This 397986-nucleotide long non-coding RNA is filed under the name Coffea arabica (coffee). RNAcentral's name for it is "long non-coding RNA (CARA_LNC001379)". The stretch from base 340519 to 340605 matches the Rfam family "small nucleolar RNA snoR127". Lineage: Eukaryota; Viridiplantae; Streptophyta; Magnoliopsida; Gentianales; Rubiaceae. The record is from RNAcentral.
GGACACAGUUCUGCUGCCAGAGCUGGGAGCUCAGUUGUCUCAUCAAUGAUUCCACCUUACCCUGGCAGUGUAGCUCGGGCCCGAGACCGUGUUCAAGCUCUUCAGGCAUAUUUUCAGCAACCAAGCAAUACACCAUCAAUACGCAAUCCAGUGAUGUCUGGAUCACGGAGAUCAAGUGCUCAUAGGAGUGUGGCACAAGUUGGUCCAGUUGCUUCAUCGUCUGACCAGACUGGUGCUUUUUAUUUCAUCCCUUCAAGUUCAUCUGGAAGAACCUAUCAAGAAGCAGAAAAUUCCCUGCCCAAUCGCUUCCAUGGUUGGGACCGAGAACACUUGCCUUCGUUUCCCUCGAGUCAGAUUGAUAGAGACCCGGGUUGGGGACCAUUCCAUCAAGCAGCUGGUGGGGCUGAUGGUAGUCUCCAGGACUAACAGCUUUCGUCAGAGGCAUGGACCUGAGAGGAUGCCAUCACAAAAUCGGUCAUAGACUGCUUAUUAUGUCGUGAUGAAACGUUAUGAUAACUAUGACUGAAACACAAUUUAUAUAUAAUGUUUGAGAAACAAUGAACAACAGUUGUAGCCUGUCAAGAUUGGCAGACGAAAAGCUGUUAGAUGGCCUUAAAAGUUUGGUGGCCAAGUGAUUGUGUGAUGGAUUUUGGCUUCCUUCCUCAUGUCUUUGCCUGGGGACAAUGAGAUCCACUCUUCAAUGGCAAAGUUGUAAACAUUUCCAGCAAUUGGCUUUGAAAUUGUUUUCAUAACGAGUAACAUGACAUCCAUGUUCUCAGGAAAUUCUCUGAAUAAAUCACUCAUUGGCUGUUCAUAUUUGAAAAGUGAAUUCAGGUCAAGAAACCGAGAGCGAGCAAUUGCCUUGGGACUCCGCUGGCUGAAGGCCUAUUCUCAAUCUUACUUUCUUAUUAAAAGAGCAGACUCCUUCGUAGACAUGGGAUCUUAACUCAUGACUGGAUAAACCCUUCGCUUGACUCUCGAACUCAUGACUGGAUAAACGUCUAAGCGAUUUUGUCAUGUUCCCCAGUCUCAACUUUUUCGCCACUUGCGUGAUAGUAUCUUGUUCCAGUCUCUUUGCUUUCCGACAUCUUUAUUGUUAUAUAUUUAAAGCAUGAACACCAAUUUUGAUGUUAAAAUUUCUGUGAUUUCAUGUAAUGUCAAGGAAGCCUUUCUUCCAUUGGCAACUUAGACAACUCGCUUCCCGUUCUUUUUAUCUUUUGCCUGCUUCUGGCCUCUCAAUAAAACCUAGUACCAUAUAGUAACUUCCACUAGGAAUACAGAGAGUCCGACAAAUGCUGAAGAUUCUAAUGUGCACGAGCGUGUUCUCGACAUAUAAUUCUUUCCUCUACAGCUAUAGCACCAAGGCACAUUUUUAGGCUUGAAAGGUUAUAGAAGAUGAUAUCCUUCCGUUGCAUGAUGCAUAUUGCAAAUUUCAGGACAUCUUCAUUCGCCGGAAUUUCGCGAGGCAGGUACCAAUUUCAUUGAAGUACCCACCAGCGUGGCUGCAGAGCGCCUCCCCUUCAAAAGAUCAGCCGGAGCUCCCCCAGAAACCACUUCCUCAUCAAUCUCUUCGCAUCGAACACUACUUGCUUGUUUGUUAAAACAUCAUCAUAGCAAAAUCUUUAACAGGAGGCCUACUUAUCGAGAUCAAGUUCUUUCAGAAAGCAAAGCAAAAUCCUCGCAUGAUAAUAGGGAAGAAAGUAAAAAGUGAUGGGACUUUGACCACAACCACGUCACUCCAUCAAUAAAAACAACAGCGCUAUAUAUACCCAUUGAUGCGUAAGCCGACAACCAUAUAUUAGAAUACGCAGAAGGAAAAUGAGAGCGCCGACAAGAGAGGACACAGUAAUCAGAAGUUCUAAUGCGAAAAUCAAUCUCCACAUCAUAAGGUAAUACAUAUUUAUCAGGCCAAAUUCAUACGUCAUGUAAGUUCUGUGAAGGGCUGAAGGUGACAGCAUGUUCCUUGCAAAAGCCGCAACACAAUAUUACUAAUCCAAAUCCCAGGGAACAAAUGAUUGGGUCCUACUAAGUCUGCUCCGUAGAACCCUCAUUUAAAGUCAGCCAGGUAGAGCUUGAAUCAGCUUCAAUCAGAUCUCACCUGUAAAUUACAACAAUCAAAAAGGCAGUUCCUCGAGUACAAUAUAAUUAGAAAAUGGAGGAGAAAGCAUACAUACAGGAGAUAGAGAUCCAGAGAUGCUCCUGCUUCGGCUCCUACUAAGGCUUGGACUUCUGCUUGCAUAUUUGCGACGCUGUGAAUAUACAAGAUUAAAUGGGAUCAGUAAGUUCAGUUUUGUCGAAUGGAAAACAAGAAGUAAUCCCAGAGGAGUUUAUGACUUACAGAUAGUAUUGGGCUUCUAAAUUUCCUUGGAGAUCUGCAAAAAUUUCCAAAAUAAACCCAUUUUAAUAUCCAGAACAGUCCAAUAUGACUUCUGAUCCAUAUGCAUCCAUGCUACCUCGACGUCGAUAAUCAAACCAAGGAAACAAUAUCUACCAGCAAUCUUUAGCACCACUUAACAUACACUCUUUUAGACCAAUCCAAAAUAAUUUCACGUUCACUGUUGUCCCAUUCUUCAAAUCUGGUCUUCUCCAACGUGGGAGGACAAUGAUACACAAUGCUAGGGCAAAGAGUAAGACAAUUCGCUCAUACUUUACCAACAGCAAAGCUAAGAAGCUGUUGUAAACCACACAAAGAUGAUGCUGUCAUCGUUACCUUGGGUUCAGAGUUACGAAGUGCCAUUCUAUCUAGUUUUUGUUACUUUUUUGCAAAAACCACCUUAGACAAGAAUCCACAUUAGGAAAGAAUCCAUCAUCUUCACUAGGGAAGUUAGCACCAUGGGCAUCACUUGCCACAGUUAAAAAAGUAUUAACAAAAUUUACCAUCCAGGCUAUGCAGCAGGUGCUCAUCAACUAAAACAGCAUGCAGCCACAGGGCCCACAACCAAGAGUUGCAUGAUAUUUGAGCACCAUAAUCCUCAAGUCCCUAACAUGCAAAAUCCCCAGAUCGCCGCGAAAAUCCAGAUCUAGAAAACAAAAAAACCAAUCUUCAUAACAGUAUCAUUAACCACAAAAGGUGGCAAGUCCUUUCUGAAUUGACCCUAUCCCCGAGGAUAAAAUGGAUUGUGACACUUGAGAACAAAAGACAUCUAGCAUACGCAUAUCUUAUUAGAAUUACUAAUCUGAAAUUCACCCAGAAGUGAAGCCAACAGUGCUGACUUUUGUGAAGAAAAAUAUUUUUUCUUUUUUCCAAAAAUUGUCAACUACUAAGGUGCCUUUUGAACAGACUAUUAAAAUGCCUGAACGGGACAGACUUCUCUGUAACUAGAAGUUAAAAUGCAUUAUGCUAGAAAGAGCAGUGAAUCUCCUUUUCCAGAUAUUGGAAAAAAUUAAGGUGCCUUUUUGACUGGUGAAACAGAACAAAAAGCCUAGAUAAUUCCAUAUGUUUUACAGGAAAAGAGACCAUAAAUAUAAAUGUAAAUUGAAAACUUCAAGUAGAAGAUCAAAAAUUUCGUAUCUUUCAUCUUUUUUUAAUUUCAUUUACAAAAUUGGGUGGUCAAAAACUAUCCAUCUCAUAUCAGCAACAUAAGAAGCAAAACAUUUUGCUCCUUUAAUGGUUUCAUCUUAAAAACUCAAGAUUACUAAAGAAAAGUAACAGAACAUGCAGCAGUCAUCCAUAGAUGACAAGCUUAGCAUUAGAAACCAGAAGCUGGACCAAAAAAAAAAAAAGUUUUAUAUCCAACAAGAAGACGAGGAAGGAAAAUGAUUGGUUCAGUGAUAUCCAAAGAACUAAGAAACAUUCAUCACUAGAAUCAUAAUCCGAGUAAUAAGCCACGUAAUAGAAGCAUGCAAAGAAGAGUAAGGAAAAUGAAAGAAAGAUCACACACUGUUCCAAAAAAAAAAAAAAACAGAGAGGAGAGAAAAUAAUAACCACUUAAAAAGCACUUUAAAUGGCAUAAAGGCACUAGCUUUGAACAAAUUAUUUCUCAGAUGAAAACAGAAUAAAGCACAACCAUUAAAAUCAAAAUGGAGAAUUUCAUAUUUGGAAGUAGUCUUCUGAAAAUGACAGUUAACCCUUCAAGCCCGUGAUAAUCAGGAGAGAGAAGAGAGUAUGAAUCAUAUAGCAAUUUUGACUUAGCUUCAUAAUACAUAUACCUCAUGUUAACCUUGUUGAUGCAACAACAUCAUGAAAAUAUAACAUCUCAGGAACUCACUCUGGCAGUUGCUGAUAAAAAUACCAGCCACUCUCAUGCAUUUAGGAAACUACAAUACAGCUAUACAACACACAGAAUAUAACAGAACUGGAAGGCUUCAAGCACCAAUAAAUUGUUUGAUAAGCCAAAAAAAACAAAGCACAGCAAUAAUCUACCUUGAAACAUAAUGAGGGGAGUCAGACAGAGCCCCUGAUGAAACAGACCUUGAGAGAGAUCUAGAUGGAGAGCGACGAGAGUAUCUGGCCCUUGGAGAAGCACUAUGUAAAAGCAAAGUCUGUCAAUGGGUAGAGUAAUUCAGACAAAAAUUAGAAAGGCAGAUAAAUUUAGAAUUCAUCAGACCUCCUGCUCCUGCUGCUGUAGCUAUAGCCAGGACUCCUACUCCUUGAAUAGCCAGGACUCCUACUAGGACUUCUGGAGAAGCUUCUUCGUAGAUCGUACUCCUCCACCUAAAGUUUCACAGACAAAAAAAAAAAAAAAAAUGAAAGCGACUGUCUAAUAACACCAAGAUAGAAUAUAAAGGGUUCAUCAUUACAUACCCGUAUGUAAGCCCGGGAAUACUGAUUGCGAAACAGAGAAUCAUCAAGUUUCCGUAUCUGCAAUGAAUUGAGCAAACAAGUAAAGAACAUUAUAUCAUAGCCUGCCUUCCUUCUCCUCCUUUUCAACAAUGAAGAACUAUUGAAAGAUACAUAUGGCAACUUUCAACAAAUCAGGGGCAAAUUGCAAUCAAAAUAAAAUCAUGACAGAAAUCUAAAACACUGCAAAGGAAAGAUUGAAGAUCACUAACAUUUAAAAAUACUGGAACAUAAAAAUGGAACUCUAUGUCCAGUAUUAACUUACCGCGUACUUCAUGUCAUCAUAGUUGGUGUAAUCAAUAAUCCCUCUCAUACCUACACAUGAACCAUGACAAUAAAAACAGUUAUCAUUCCAAAUAUAGUGUUAUAAAAGAAUCAAAUCUUCAAAAGGCAUUAACAGGGGAACGAGUACAAAUCUUAGAAAACUCAGAAUGACAAACUUAAGAUACUUAAAAUUUAAAAAUAGGACAGUCAUAAUAAACUGUUGCUGACAAUCUUAAAAAAGAACAAAUAAAAGACAAACAAGCUAGAAAACAACCAUUAAGUAAUUUUAACAUCCACAGAAGAUGCUCCAAAAAAAUAAAUUUACUAAGAUGACCACCCUAAAAAAAUUUAAGUAAUAUGCACCAGGAAAAAAUGUAGUGUUAUUCCACGAAUAAGCAGUGUUUACACCUCUUCUCCCACCAAAUAUAUUUGCAACUGGUACAUAAAUUCAUGCUACUAAAAGUAAAUUUAGAAUCCUAGUUUAACUGUUAAGGUCUCUCUCCAUCCUUUUUUUUUUUUAAAUAGGAUGAUUGUUGAGCAUAUCCACAUAAAUAGACACACAGGCAUUCCUGCGUGGGGAUUGUUCCUUUGAGCAGUAAUGGUAGAGGUACUUUCCAACAAAAAGGUUUGGCACAUCAGAGGAUCCAGAAAAGUCUACACUGAAGUUUAAUAAGUUGUACAGUUCAGCUCCAUAAAGCUAAAUAUUUGCGUCGUCCUGAGAUGCACAGUGUGGCCUCAGAGAAUAGUAGUAUGCUACAAACAAGUAAAGAUUUGCCAGAAUUCUUUUUAUAAAAAUCAUCGAUCAGCCCCUCAUCCACAUUGAGAAUAGCUACCAAACAGAUGUAACAAAAAUACACAUAACCAAACACCAGGCUGACAUAGAUGUGCUAGAUAAACCUCUAAGUUCAACUAGUGCUAUGGGCACACCCAUGUCUGUGCAAUUUAAAUAAAUAAAUUUAAUAUAAAUUAAUGUGACAUGAAUUUUUCUUUAUUAAAUUGAUAGUUAUUUGAUAAUUAUACCUACAAGUGAUUAUGCUGGCACAUGUUCUUAGGCAAUUUGGUUGGAAAUUAUGUUGGUAUACAUAAUUGGGUAGUUAGAAUAAAAAUUAGUUUUUAGGUAGUUAGAGUGAAUAUUAUGCAGGUUAUAUGAUUGGGUAUUUAUGAUACUAAUUAGUUUUUCUGAGGAUAACAAUGUAACUUUAAAAAGUGGCAAAACAUGUUUACACAACCCCCUCCUUUCACUUUAUAUAUAGUAUAGUAUGUUGCUAAGCCUACAGAAGGUGCUGAAACACAAAACCAGUGACACUUGAGCCCACAGAAAUUUGCAAUAGACUCUUAAUAUUAAACAAAAACACAAAUUUAUUCCAAAUAGAAAAAAUAUUAGACAACUCACCAUCACGAUCACGGAAAACUUGAGAGAAACAGACAUCACCUGCUCGACGCAUGUGAUCCUAGUAAAAGAGAUAAAACUAAUCAAUUUUAAAAAAGAAAGAACUAAAAUCAGAUAGCCCUCUAACUAAGAAAAUCUAGAACUAAAAUGGGAUAGCCCUCUAACUAAGAAAAUCUAGAAUUCUCACCUUCAAGUCCUGCAUGAAGCAGAAGGUGGCAGCCCUGUGACCAAAACUGACAAGUUUGAAGUGUUACCAACAAAUUCUACAUGUAUUACAUCCUUAGCAUAAAGCAAACCAAUAACACGUAGCAAUGACUCACCACGAUAGUCAGAGCGCCUUGAAACACCACACGACUCCCUCCACUAUUGUAACUGCUGUAGCGAUCAUAUGAUGAUGAUGAUCCUCGCCCACCAUGUGCGAGUUCAACCUGCAACACAUGGGGUAAACAGACAAAAUUAAGCAAUUUGAUACACAUCAAUCAACAUAGUCAAAACAAGGAUGGGGAACUAACCCUUAAUCGGUGACCAUCAAAGUUAUAACAUCUCGACCGCGAAUAGCAUCAUCAGCAUCACGUAAUCAUCAAACUGAGCGUAUAAAAGAGUUCAUAAGUCAGAAUAGAUAGUGAAACACAAAAUUAGAACAAAGAGUUCACCUUGUUGAUUGUCAAUAAUCCAGGCAUAACUAACACUAAUGAUCCAUUGAAAACUCAAAUCCUGAAUCAAUCGAGAAACUCACUCCACAAAUGCAUAACCAGGUGGUCGAGGAGGAAUUUUCAAGUCAAUAUCCACAAUACGACCAUACUGCAAUAAAUCAUUAGAGAGAGAACAUAAAAACAAUUAGCAAAUAUUGUCUUGUACAUGCACAUACUAACAACUAGGAAACAGGACCCAAGGACCUGCAUCAUGCCUACUCUAUUCGGUCCAGUCAAGAGAAUCUCAACAUCCGAUGACAAAUGCAUGCACAUGUCAUUUCUAAAUAUUAGGCACCAAUGAAGAAAACAGAACUAAAUUACUCCAACAUAGGAAUGCAUCCAUGAUUCAGCCACAAAAUCAUCCGAAAUUUCAAAUUUAACACAAAAUUAUUUGAUUAAUGGCAAAAGUUUCGGCCUUGGAAUCCCAAUGGUUGUGCUUCAAGCUAGUCUAAUUCCAGCAUAAGGUUUAAUACCACAGAAAACAAGAAAAGGGGCUCUGUUCUGUAAUAAAGGUUUAGCUUAUUCCAUUUCCCUUCUCCGGUUUUCAUAGUAUCUCUUUGCCCAAAUAGCAUCAAAGGAAGGUUAACUCGCAGAAUAGACAAGCAGCCUUGAAAAUAUAAGUUCAAAAUUCAACUUAAUUACAAGCAUAUGACCAUAUUUGUAUGGUUAGAACAUAAAUUCAGACAGUAAGGCACUAGCUACAACUAAUCUUGAGGAAUGCUUAUAAAAAAAUAAAAGUAAAAUAAAAUACCUUGUAAAACAAGUCUUCCACUUCACUCUCACGGAUAUCUCCGGGGAGAUUUCCCACAUAAAUGGUUCGGCUUGAGCGGCUUGAGCGACCCAUUUCUUCCUGCAAUCAUAUAAAAUUGGUCGCAUUUAAAAACACAUAAAAGUGCCAUUACAUACUUGUCAUAAAAGCUACAACCAGGAAAAAGAACUAAAUAUUCAUCAACAUUAGACAAAUUCAAUGAUCUAAAAUAAAACUGAAUGUGAUUAAUGAUAAAAACUCAUAAUCGAUGAGAGCAAAAGACCCCUUGCACUAAUUUAUUAAAUCCCAAAAAAUGACAGACAAUGAAUUCAUUAAUUAAUUUUUUUUAAAAAAAAAAACCGAGUAACAAGCAAAAAAUCAAUACCUAAAAAUUCAUGGAAACAACAAACAACACAGUACUCCCAACCCAAACAGAAAAGCAAACACAUUUUUACAAAUAUACUGCAUGAGGUAAGUCCAUAUAACACUAUAAAUCAUUCCAAUCACAGAAUUUCUUAUUUGGACACCAAAAAUUAAUAACCUCAAUUCUCUCUCUCUCUCUUUUCUUUUUCCCUUUUUGCACAAUAUACAAAUACCAGAAAGAGAAAAAGAGAGCAAAAAGCUCUAAAGAUUCUUUUACUCUUCAAUUAUGAGAAUCUAAGAUUCCCAAAACCCUAAUUUCUUCAUUCCCCACCUUUCUACAGUUAAUCAACAAUCAAAGCCGUUGAAAAAAUUCGGAUCAAUUCUAAAGCUAAACUGAAGUACCAUUACAGGUCCAAAAGGAAAAAAAAAGGAUCAAGAUUGUUCAAAAUUGACAGGAGAUUAGAAUAACAAAUAGAUGAAGCGUUAAUAAAUUCGCGUCUUUUCUAGUCGUAGUAGACUGGAAAUAAAUUUUCUGGAUUGAAAAUUCAUUUUCUAGAUAGCUUAUAAAUCGAUUUCUAUUAAAAAUUCACUAACCUGAUAAAGAAUUCGACCAGAGACUUCGUUUCUUGGGUGGGUUGAGAGAGUCUGGGAAAUAUUUAAAGUCCGAGGAGAGAUGCGACCAAUAUAUAGAGAGAGGAAAAAGAAAGAGUUGGAUUUUUGGAACCUGAUCUGACACGCGUACGGGUGGACGGUUUAAGGGUGACUGACUCUGGUUUGACAUGUGUACCCCUUUUGGCCAUUUCAUGGCUUCCACGACCACGAUAGAUACUUUUGUGCUGUUUGCCCGUGGUACGUUCACGUCACAAUAAUCUAUACAAACAAUAGAGAAUAUAUGACGCUGAAGAAUAGCGGGCCUGUUUGGAACCUGAGUUUUUUGAGAGUUUGUCUAAAAUUUUACUGUAGUGUACUGUAGAAGUUUUUGAAAAAAUUUUUUAAGAUGAAAAAUUUUUUAAAGUUUUUUUAAGAAGUUUUUUGGAAGUUUUUUGGAAGUUUUUUUCCUUUUCUUUUUUUUCUUUUCCUUUUUUUUUUCUUUUUUUUUCUUUUCUUUCCUCUCUUCUUCUUCUUCCUCUUCCUUCCCACUCCCCCUUCCCUCCCCCGUUACUUCUGCGUUGCCUCCCCAGCAGCAAUGGUCACCAUUUUUUGUCCUUUCUUUUUCUUUUUCUUUCUUUCUUUUUUCUUUUCCUUCCUCCCUUCCCCUUCCCCCUCAAAAACUCCUGUGCCCACAGCUUCUCCGGCCAGCCCUCAUGCAUCCCCGAUUCCUUCUCCAUCUCCAAAGAUUCCUCCAACAAUACCUGCGGCUUCUCCCUGGUGAAUGCUCCGGCAGUGUCACCGCCUGCAUCAUCUCCAAUUGAAAGCUCAACGAGUUCUCCAGUUCCAGCCACUGCAGAGAUUCCAUCCGCCAGUGCCAGUGUUCCUUCCACUUCUGCGACAUCGGCAAAAUCGCCGGCGAUAUUCCCUUCGAGCAGAAACCUGCCAAGUUGCUCACCGGCUGGGACGAGUUUGGCAUCGGAAACUUCGCAAGGCCCAGUUGCUGAUGAAUCGGUGCUACCUCCAUUCAUGGGGGGCCUAAUUGUUCUUGCUGAGCAUUGGAAGAGGUGAUGACAGAGGUGGUGGUGACGGAAAAAGAAGAAGAAAAAUGGGAGGUGGGGGAGGAGGAGGUGGUGGUGGGUUGGAGUGGGUGACGGAGGUAGAAGAAAAAGGGGAGGGAAUUUUUUUUGUGUGUUUUGGGUAUUUUGAGGCAUGUAGGUAAAAAACUUUGUGAAGUUUUUUGGGGUUCUUGUAGCAAAAAUUGUUAAAAACUUGUAGGAAACAAACUUGCUAAAAACUUGCACUUCCAAACAGGGCCGCAUUUGAUAUAAACACUUUUUAUCAUCUUUUGAGUUUUUUUCAUUUUUAUUUUUUCCUAAAAAAUGGAAAAAAAUUUUCCCCAAAAAAAUAACAAUCUAAACAAGACCUAGGCUCUGCGGACAUUAGGGAGUUUUCCAAAUACAUGUUUUUCUUUAUGAAAUUUACAAUAACAUAAUCCAAAAAUAACCCAAAACACUCUAAGGGUAUGUUUGGUUCCCCAUAGAAUUGGGGUUUAGAAUUGGAAUUGGGCUGUUUAGAUUCUACUCUAUUUAAAAAAUUAGAAUUGAAUUUGAAUUCUACGGGGAUCCAAUUCCAUGAAUUGAAUUCUUUACCGGACCAAAAGAAUUCUAAUUUCAAUUCCACAACUAAACCGGAUCUACACGCGGAUCUAACAUGGGUCAAAAAUUAAAAUCAGGUCAAGCAUAAGUUGCAAGAAAUAGUUUCCCGUUCCGAUUGCUCCUUCUCCACCAUCGUUACCACCUCCAAUACUAACCUCUCCUGCCACUGUCUUCCUCCUGCCUUCUGUUUCUCUGGCCACUCCCUCCAUCCUUUGCCAAUCCCGCCACCUUCCGCCCAUCACUUUGCUCAUCACAAGACCUACUCCGUCCAAUUUUUGUCACUCGUGUAAUGAAGUCAGUAGUUAAGUAGUAUAAAAGGGAAGAAGUCGUGAAGAGAAGUUAAGAGAAGGCGUGGCAGUAGCAGGAAGAUGUCAAGAGAAGUCGUGGUCUGGUGAAGACUGCAGUUAACAGUGUACGAAAGAAGAAAGGUGUGAAGUCAGGAAAAGAAAAGUCGUGGAAGAGAGAGUGAAGGCGCGAUCCAUAAAUCACGCCUUUGCUGGGUUCAUGCUGUUCUUGCUGAAGUUGGGGACUAGACGAGCUUGAAGAUUCUGCUUACACGUGUCAAUCCCUCAUUAGUUAUUGGAAGGAGUUAGUUAGAGUAGCUUCUGUAAAUGAUACGAUCAUGUAAUCUGUUAGCUAUCAUUUGGUUAAGAUUUGCUAUUGUAACCAGAGAGGGAAUAUCCCCUCUAUUGUCUUUCCUCUCAAGUUUCCUGCAUUCUUUUCCCUCUUCUCCUCUUUCCCGCCAAUUCUUAUUCUGUAUCUAGUUUUGAAGUUCAUCAAUGAAAACGAAAGGUGUUUGUUCUUGAAUCCAAUCGAAUCUGAGUAUUUAUUAAUUUUUGUUUAUUCAACUUCCAUUCCUGCAACAUUUCUGGUUCUGUACCACAACGGUGGUAUCAGAGCUGGUCUUACGAGUCAUAGGGAUGACGAAAAAUCAGGACAAAACACUGAGAAGAGAGGUAGUGGAACUUGGUAGUGUGGUCAGAACCUUCACCAACAAAAAUGAGGGAAUAGAGCAGGCCAUCAGAUCAAUGGGAUUCAGGUAGGAUGCUACUGAAAAAUUACUAAAGGGGCUAGAUCAGAAGUAUGAAGGAAUGAUGAAUAUGAUGACUCAGCUAAAGACUAAAAUGAAUGACAUGGGGAAGGAAUUUGAAGGAAGCAGCAGUUCUAAGGAGGUGGCUCAACUUGAGGGAUCUAAGUUGGAACCACCAAAGGAAGUAGCUGGAAGGAGAGAAUUCAGAACCAUCAACAAACUACCAAAAAUAGAUCUACCAAUCUUCGAUGGGGGCAAUCCUAAGGAAUGGAUCAGGAAGGCUAACAAGUAUUUCAAGAUACAUGGAAUAGAAGAUGAAAUGAAGGCUGAAGUAGCAGAACUUUACUUCAGGGAUAGAGCAGACAUCUGGUUUCAUGGAGUCUUCUAUGGAAGGGAAGCUAUACCUUGGGAAGAGUUAACUACUGCUCUGUGCAUCAGAUUUGGGGAAGGAAAACCUGAGGAAGCCAUUGAGGAGUUCAACAAGCUAGCACAGGCUGGAUCAGUAGCUGACUACUUGAAAAGAUUUGAAAUGCUCAAGGCCCUGGUAAUGCCAUCCUUACCACAUUUAUCUGAUUCCUAUUAUAAAGCAUGCUUCAUGAGUGGAUUGAAAGAGAAAAUUGUCAAUAUGGUGAAAAUGUCAAAACCUGAAACUUAGCGAAGUGGCCAAAUUACAAGAGAAGAACUUAAAAGCUAUACAGAAGAUACACAAAGCUGUUCCUGCUAGUUUUAGCAGUCAGAAAAGUCAUAUAAAAACACCCCCUCAUACCAGAUGAAACCAAGACAAUCCCAAACACACCACUAGACCCCCUAACCAAAAUGCAACAAACCAAAAUCAAUUCAAGAAGAUAUCCCAUGCAGAAUUUAACCUGAGGAGAGAGAAAGAAUUGUGCUAUAAAUGUGCUGAACCUUAUAUUUUAGGACACGUAUGCAAACAAUCCCAUAUUUAUUACUUGUUAGCUGAAGAAGCUGAAACUGCAGAAGGAAGCAAGGAGCAGGAAGAGGAGGUCUAUUGUGACUGUAUUAAUGGGGAGUUGGUAGAUGAACAUAUAGAGGUGUCCAUCCAUACCUUGGCUGGAGGGGCAGGGCACAAAACCAUAAAACUAAAGGGCCUGGUUAAGGGGAAACAGGUUACUACACUAAUAGACAGUGGUAGUACCCACUGUUUUCUGGAUGAACAACUGGCAAAGGAACUGAAGCUUAGCACACAGGGACCUAACUUGAUAGUUAAUGUGGCCAAUGGAGAAAGGGUAGAAUCCAAGGGACUGGAUAAGUCUAUGCAGUGGGAAAUGCAAGGUCAUCAGUUCCAAUAUGCCUUUAACACCUUAAGAUUAGGAGGCUGUGACAUAAUCCUUAGAGUAGAUUGGCUGGCCAAGCACAGUCCCAUAGAAUUCAAUUUCAAGGAGCUCAGUAUGAUGAUCCAUAAGGGAGAGCAGGAAAUAGUGCUGAGAGGAGAGGAUACUAGCACUAGUUUAAAGAUGAUCAGAGGAAGCAGGUUGGAUAGGUGGUUGAGGAAACAGGCAUAUGGGAUGGUAGGACAACUAGUGGCAAUAAAAGAGGAGGAUGGUACAGGUUAGAUACCUGCUAAAAUCAAUUAAGUGCUAGAUCAAUACAAAGAUGUCUUUGAAGAACCCAAAGGGAUGCCUCCAACCAGGGGCCAUGACUACUAGAUUGUUCUAAAAGAGGGAGCCAAGCCUUUCCAAAUAAGGCCAUACAGGUGCCCUUACGUACAGAAGGCAGAGAUUGAGAAAUUAGUAAAGGAAAUGCUGGAAAUAGGCAUCAUACAGCCUAGCAGUAGUCUUUUUGCCUCACCAGUGUAGCUGGUUAAGAAGAAGGAUGGAACAUAGAGAUUCUGUGUGGAUUACAGGCAACUGAAUGAGUUAACAGUGAAGAAUAAAUUCCCCAUGCCUUUGAUUGAAGAGUUGAUAGAUGAGCUGCAUGGAGCCAGGUACUUCACAAAAAUUGACCUAAGGGCAGGAUACUUUCAGAUCAGAGUCAAGGAGGAAGAUAUUCCAAAAACAGCUUUCAAAACUCACCAAGGACUCUAUGAAUUCAAGGUCAUGCUAUUUGGCUUGACCAAUGCACCAGCAACCUUCCAGGGCCUGAUGAACCAGAUUUUUCAAGAUCAGAUGAGGAAACAUGUGUUGGUGUUCUUCGAUGAUAUUCUAGUUUACAACCCAACACUGGAGUUGCAUGUCAAACAUGUAACUAAGGUAAUGAAUCUUCUGAGACAACACCAAUUGUAUGCCAAGAUGAGCAAGUGCUCUUUUGCUCAGUUGCAGGUGGAGUACUUGGGACACAUAAUAUCAGCAGAAGGAGUUCAAGCUGAUCCUAAGAAGAUAGAGUGCAUGGAGAACUGGCCCAAACCAACUAACAUCAAGCAGCUAAGGGGAUUUAUGGGACUGACAGGCUACUAUAGGAGGUUUGUCAAAGGAUAUGGAGCCAUAGCAAGGCCUAUGACAAAUCUGCUGAAGAAAGACAAUUUCCAUUGGAGUGAGGACGCAGAGAAGGCUUUUCAGGAGUUAAAAGGAGCCAUGUGCCAUACUCCUGUGCUAGCAGUGCCUGACUUCACACAACCCUUCAUCAUUGAGACAGAUGCAUGCUAUACUGGCACAGGUGCUGUUCUGAUGUAGAGCAAGAGGCCCAUUUCCUACGUUAGUCAAGCCUUGGGACAGAAGAACAUGGGGCUGUCAAUCUAUGAGAAAGAGUUGCUAGCAUUAGUGACUGCUGUAACCAAAUGGAGACACUACUUAGAGGGGCAUCACUUCAUCAUACACACUGACCAUCAGAGAUUAAAGUAUUUGCUGGAGCAAUGGAUCACUACUACUCUCCAACAGAAGUGGCUCACUAAGUUGCUAGGACUGAGCUAUGAAAUUCACUACAAGAAGGGAAAAGACAAUGUAGCUGAGGAUGCACUUUUUAGACAAGGCAGAGAGGGAUAGGGGAAUGCACAGCCAUAUCUUGUGCAAUGCCUGCUUGGAUCAGAGAGGUAAUGGAGAGUUAUAAGGGGGAUGAGUGGACUCAAAAGACCAUAUCACUGGUGCUACUGUCUCCUACACAGGCACCAGACUACUCUUACCAGGAUGGUAUUCUCAAGUACAAGAAGAGAUUAGUAGUGGGGAGGCAAGGUGAUACCAGGAAGAAGCUUAUCACUGCAUUGCAUGACUCCCAAAUAGGAGGACACUCGGGUAUUCAAGCCAGCUACAUGAGAGCCAAACAGCUGUUCUACUGGCCAGGAAUGUACAAGGAGAUCAAGAAGAUGGUUUUGGAAUGUGACACCUGUAGGAAGUGUAAAGAUGAACAUGUGGCUUAUCCAGGACUGCUAUUAGGAGUGGGAAAAAAAUUCGAUCCGAUCCGAAACCCGACCACCCCGAUCCGAAAAAUAGAAUAUCCGAUCCGAUUUUUCUUGGCGAGACAAAUGCGGGUUGGGUACUCGUAAAAACGGAUACGGAUACGGAUCAGCAAAAUAAAAAUCCACGGGUACCCGACUCGCAGGGUAUAUUAUAUAAAUAUUAGAAAAAUAAGGGUUCAUUAUAUAAUUUUAUAAUUUUUAAUCCUAAAUGUAAGUAAAGUAGUUCACAACCUCAUAUUUUAAUCUCAUAUGAUCCACCUCUUCUCAUCUUGUCCAAAAAAAGUGAAUAUUUUUUGUGAAACCUGAACCAAAUGAAUAAAAUAAAGAAAAAUUUAUGAAACUCUAUCAUAAAAAUUGUUCAUCCCUUUCAUUCGUUUUCAUUUUUAUUCUACUUCCAUCGAUUUUUUCUGCAAAAUUUUGAUCAAUUCAAUCAAAGAUUUAUGUUUGGAGCUCCAAUUUUCUGUUAACGAAAUAAUAAAAACAUUUGUGUCUUUCAUUUAUUUAUUUAUUUUAUUGCAAUUGUGUUUCUUAAAUUUGUUUCCUUUAUUUUAGUGCAAGAAAUUUAUUUUUCUUUUUCAUCACCUUUAAUGCAACAAGGUCUAUUCCAAAGAUGUAAGAAAGUUGGGAAAAAUUUUUCAAAAUUAUUUUAGUUAUACUUUCUUAAAAAAUUAUUAACUCUGUCCAAUUCUUUUCCAAACUUGAUUCUACAAUCGACUCAUUUUGGAUGCAAUCUUGUACCAUAAUAUCCUUAAGGAAAUUGGAAAAGUUGCCAUAUACUUAUUAUUCUUAUGUUUGUUAUGUUGUAAAAGGAUGAAAUGUGUGAGAAUGGUGAUGUACUCAAAAUUAUCAUAAAACUUCGUUUUAUUCUUGUGUUUGUUAUACUUGAAAAAGUUAUCAUAUACUUAUUAUCCUUGUGUUUGUUAUGUUACAGAAGGAUGAAAUGCGUGAGAACGGUGAUGUACUCAAAAUUAUCAUAAAAUUUCGUUUUAUCUAUUAGAUUUUAUUAUUCUAAUAUAUACUAAAUUUAUGAAAUCAGUUUGAUUAUUGGAAGAAAUAUGUGAGAAUGGUGAUGCAUGGAUUUUGAUUAUAAUAUAUCUACCAAUGUUAAUUGGAAAGCAUACUUUUUUUAUUGGAAAACAUGUUAAUAUUAAGUGAAAAAUAUUUUUUUAUUGAAAAAUAGUUUUUUUUAGGGGCGGGUACCCUAUGACUCGCCCCUUUUUUUCGAGUACCCGAAAAUAUUAGGAACGGGUUAGAUUUGCAAAAUGGCUGAUCCGAUAUUUUAGGGUUGGGUCAACCAUAUCUUGUUAGAAACGGGUACCUGACCCAUGCCCAUCCCUAAUUGCUACAACCAUUACCUAUCCCUCAAUAUUCAUGGAGCCACGUUACCACGGAUUUCAUUGAAGGACUGCCACAAUCAAAAGAGAAGAAUACCAUAAUGGGUUGUGGAUAGUUUCACCAAAUAUGCCCACUUCAUCAGUUUAGCACAUCAUUUUGAUGCACCAAAGGUAGCUAGACUUUUUAUUGAUAAUGUCAGUAAAUUGCAUAGGAUUCCUCAAAGCAUGUUGUCAGACAGGGAUAGGAUAUUUGUCAGUCAAUUAUGGGGAGAGCUGUUCAGUAUGUUGGGAGCUAAACUAGACUACAAUACAGCUUAUCACCCUCAGACUAAUGGUCAGACUGAGAGGGUCAACCAAGUGCUAGAGAUGUACCUCAGGUGUGUGACUCAUAUAGAACCUAAGGGAUGGAAUCAGUGGUUGUCCUUGGCAGAAUGGUGGUAUAGCACCUCACACCACACAGCCAUUUAAAUGACUCCAUUCGAGGCAUUAUAUAUCCUCCCCCCUCCUCAACUGGCUUUAGGACCUUACCUUCAGACUAGAGUAGCUGCAGUGGGAGAUUACAUCAAAAAAAGGCAGCAAAUGGACAACAUGUUGAAACAGAACUUGAAGCAGGCUCAGGAAAGGAUGAAGAAAUAUGCUGAUGAGAAGAGGAGUGAGAGGGAGUUCAGUGAAGGAGAUUGGGUGUACCUAAAGCUACAACCAUAUAUACAGAGUUCAAUAGCCUUGCGAGGAAACACCAAACUCUCAGUAAAGUACUUUGGUCCAUACUAGAUAGCAGAAAGGAUAGGAGAGGUAGCAUACAGACUGAAUCUACCCACCUCUUCAAAGGCUCACCCUAUUUUUCAUGUGUCAUUGCUCAAGAAAAAGGUUGGUGACAAGACCACCCCUACACUCCAAUUACCAGAAACAAAUGAAAAGGGGCACUGGAGGGUAGAACCAGUAGCAGUGCUUGGUAGGAGGAUGGUAAAGAAAAGAAAUGAUGCUGCAACUCAGUGGUUAAUCCACUGGUGGGGCACAGACCCUGCAGAAGCUACAUGAGAGGAUGCGGAGGAGAUUAGGAAACAGUUUCCCACCUUUCAAUCUUGAGGACAAGAUUUACUGUUAAGGAGGGAAUAUUGUAAUGAAGUCAGUAGUUUAGUACAAAAGGGAAAAAGGCGUGAAGAGAAGUUAAGGAAGACGCAACAGUAGCAGGAAGAUGUCAAGAGAAGUUGUGGUCUGGUGAAGACGGCAGUUAAUAGUGUACGAAAGAAGAAAGGCGUGAAGUCAGGAAAAGAGAAGUCGUGGAAGAGAGAGUGAAGGCGCGAUCCAUAAAUCACGCCUUUGCUGGGUUCAUGCUGUUCUUGCUGAAGUUAGGGACCAAACAAGCUUGAAGAUUCUGCUUACACGUGUCAAUCCCUCAUUAGUUAUUGGAAGGAGUUAGUUAGAGUAGCUUCUAUAAUGAUACGAUCAUGUAAUUUGUUAGCUAUCAUUUGGUUAAGAUUUGCUAUUGUAACUAGAGAGGGAAUAUCCCCUCUAUUGUCUUUCCUCUCAAGUUUCCUGCAUUCUUUUCCCCCUUCUUCUCUUUGCCGCCAAUUCUUAUUCUGUAUCUAGUUUUGAAGUUCAUUAAUGAAAAGGAAAGGUGUUUGUUCUUGAAUCCAAUCGAAUUUGAGUAUUCAUUAAUUUUUGUUUAUUCAACUUCCAUUCCUACAACAUUUCUGGUUUUGUACCACGACACUCCGUCUCUACACUUGCCUCUGCCACUUCUCCAUUACUACUGUAAUCACCAUUAUUCCUCUCAGCCUGACAUUUUGGGCUCUCUCCUUCAGCUUUUCUGCUUUCCCCAAAUUUCAGAUACAUUUAGGGCUUGUGAAAGGUAACUUUAUCUUUGAAAUUUUUUCAAUUAAUCAUUGGUUAUGGGCUUUAUUACAUAGCUUUGUUUCAUUGGACACAUUGCAAUGGUUUGUUCUGUUUUCAUGUCUAUUUUUUCUUAUGAUGAGUGCUAAUUGACUAUCAUCCUCUGUUAUCUCUGUGUUUUAGAAUGGAGAUGGUAGUCUUGGAAGAGGGUUUAUGUUUGUAGUGUUUUCUGGUUUUUAUUUCAAUAAUAGUGGGCAGGUACCACUUAUGAAUGUGAUAGCCCGUUUCCUUACUCUUUUUCCUAUUGCAAUGCACUAUGGAUUUAAGGCCCCUUAAGCAGGAAUUAAUGAUAUCUGCUCUUACAUUAGUAGCUCUCUAGGUUCUAGUGGAGGCACUUGUUUCCAAAUGGGCUUUGACUGAGCUGUAGUUGAAUAUGAAAUUAUGUGAAGUCUGUAUAGAAGAAAUUCUGAAGGCUUAAUACCCAAAUACAUCAAAAGUUAAUUUUAUUUCAAAACGAUUGUGGUGUUUUCUGUGUCUAAUGGUAUAUUGUGGCAUUAAUUUAAAUAUUAAUCAAUUCCUGGGUUGAUUUAUCAUCUCUUGUAAAAUGUUGAGUUGUUUGCUUCAUGGUCUUUAUUUCUAUAAGCAUGAGCUAUUGUUGAUUGGGAUUCUUGAUGUCAAUUAGUAACUAUAUAUCUUGAAUAAUUACUAACUAUCCAGUUAUUAGUUUGGUGCAAUAAACUGAGAUACUUUGUAUGGGUGGCAACGUUUACUGAUUAAGUGCUGGUUAAUUGUUCCAAAAUGGUUGCUUGUCUUCAAUUUUUGCACGCUUUAUGGUAAAAGCAUGCAUUAGUUAUUCACAAAUAUUCGGAAUACCUUGAACACCAGCCUGCUUAUAUACUAUAAGCUAGUAUACUGGUUUUCUACUAAGUUAGAGAAGUUGAGUGGGCGAAUUUUUGAACUGAAGAGCGAAUGAAGAUUAUUUCCUUUUUCUUUUUGUAUUCUACUCAACAGACUUGUGUCCUUUUCACUUGUCUUGGACACCUAUAAGAAUGUACUGCAUGCUACCAACAUGUAACUUUGCAUUGCCUCAUUGUGGCAGCUGGUGUUCCUGUUUUUAGGACUGCCUAUGCACAUUUUGUUUUACCCCUAAGAAGUAUCACGGAUUGAUAGUUUGUUAUGCCAAUCAAGUUACUAUUCAAGGCUAGCUCACUGCUGGUCAAGUAGGUGAUGAACGUCCAAUAUGAUCUAUGAUGUAGUGUUUUUUAUUUUUUUUUGGGUAAGAAUCUGAUGUAGUGUUUUUCAUGACUGUUUAACAUUAUAUGAUUGUAAAGUAGAUGUUCUAAUUUCAAUUUUGCACAACUUUUGAAUGGUGAAAAACUUGUCAAGUUUACGGCAAAUUUUGUAAAAAUUAGUCAACUUAAUUUCACUUUUGUGUAUAAUAGUAGUUAAACUCGAGCAAUGAAGUAUAUAUGUUAUAAAUGCCAAAGCUUAAACUUAAUUUCGAUGUUGGUGUAUGAUAAAAUUAGUGACGAGGUAUGGUAUAAACGGUAAUGACUUUUACAAAUAUUCCACGAUUGAAUUUAUUAUAGGGUAGUGGAAAGAGGUUUUCUCCAAUUAAAUGAAGUAGAGCUUGGUCUACUUGAACAAGAACUUAAACUAAUUGCUUGUAGAGUAACAUAUGUAAAUAAGCCUUGGAUAUAACUGCAAUUUCCCAUGAUUAAGCCUAUUAAUUCUACUUUCUUAUUUUGUUAACUUUUCACACCAGUAGUGUCUUGUUCUUUAAAGGAUGGGAGAUUAUUGUAUACUUGUUGUAGCAAAUUAGUGACCUAGUCAAAUUUCUUAGAAGGCGCUGAAUUUAGAUGAGAAUGAUACUAAGAAGCAAGAGGCAGGUGCUUCCUUUCUUGUGAAAAUGGUACAUUUGCUCUACAGCGAAAGCAAAAUGGUCAUUGUGUCCUUAUUCAAGGAUUAUUUAUCAAAGGAAAAUGGUCUUAAUUUAGCAUUAAACUUAUGCAGCUUUACAAUCACCCUUACCUGACAUGGAAACAUUGUGAACUGGCAUGGGCAUCUGUGUCUUAAACCCCCUAAAAAAUCAGGAGUAUUUCAUACAGGGAAAAGGAAUGUUACUAGUGCAUUUGCUGACUAUAUUUGUGUAAGAACUUUCCAAGGCAAUUGUGGACUAUAUUUUUUGACGUCACCAUCGAAUUUUUGAUGUUCAUGAAGGCUGUGUAGGUCUGCAAGGAGGAGGAAAGUGGUGGUGCCUUGGUGUUUCAAUGUUGAAGCUGAUGGCUUGGUUCCUUUGUUUUGUGUUUUUGAAAUCCACAAUUGGUUGAAUUCUUGUCUUACCUUUGAAGCUAGAAAGGACUAUUACAAUUCAAAAGAGCUACCUUUCUCUUUGGCUUGUUUUAGGCUUUUAGCGAGAAUACAUUUUUCUAUUUCUUUUAGCGAGAAUACAUUUAUUAAACUUUUAGUGAGAAUGCAUUCUUCUAAAGAAUCGUGAAUUGUGUUGCAAUAUUUUCUAUUUAUAUUGUCGUUGUUGGUUGUGGUUUUGCCUGAAUGUCUCAGCUGGUUGUUGCUCUUGGUAUUUUGCAAAAAAGGAAGUAAUUUGCUUUUUUCAUUAUAGAAGUCAUGGAUUAUAUCAAUAUUUGGCCGUAUCAAUGUUUGCUUUUUUCAGAUGCCAAGAGACUACUAAUGGCUAGGACUGGUGUUGCUUCCAGAGGCCAAAAGUUUCGAUUGCUAACAAACCAUUUCAAUGUUAAAGUAGCCAGAAAUGAGGGCUACUUUUUCCACUAUAGUGUAUAUAACCUCUAUCUCUAUGAUGGUUGUUUAAGCAAGCAAUUUAGCACAAGUAUUCUGCUCUUGAUAUGUAGGUGUCGAUUUAUAUUAUCAUUGUUGCAAUAUUUUCUAUUUAUAUUGUCAUUGUUGGUUGUAAUUUUUGCCUGAAUGUCUUAGCUGGUUUCGGGUUUUUGGCUGAUAUUUUGUCAAAAAAGGAAGUAAUUUGCAUUUUUCAUUAAAGCUUGAGUAACAAUUAGCUAAAUGCAAGAAAAAGUAAAUUAGUAAAGGUACAAAUUGGUUUUUUCCUUUAAAUUUUUAAUAAAAAUUAGCUAAAUGUAAGAAAAAAAAGAAAUUAUUAUAUAAAAACAAGGAAAAAAGAAAAAUUUUAUGUAAGCAAAUGUUUCAUGAAAAUAAUUCUAAUUCCUAAUGAAUUCUUCUCUCAUCCAAACAAAGAAUUUGGAAUUCCAAAUAAAUUCCGUAUCAAUUCUAUGCAUUUUCCAAAUGAAAGAAUUGCAAGGAUUUGGAUUUUUAAUUCGUAGAAUUCUAAUUCUAAUUCAAUUCCAAUUCUGUAGAGCCAAACGUACCCUAAUUACAGUUCCAAAUGCAACCAACAAAAAACAAAAAAAUUAAAACAAUAAGAUGAAUCCUAUUAUCUAUUUCUUCUUCCAUCCACUUCUGCCACCCACCACAAUCAUCAACCACUUCUCCCUCCUUCAUGCCUUUCCCUUCCCUCUUCCCCUCUCUUACCUCUCCCUUCCUUCCCCUCCUUUCUCCUCCCUCUUUUUUCCGCUUCUCCCAUCCUCUCAUUCCUCCUCUCUUCCCUUGUCCCUCAACCACAAAUUUGGUUGCACCGAUCACAGUAAGAAAAAUGAAGGGAGAGGAGGAGGGUUACAGGAGACAAGGAAAAGGAGGGAAGAGAACGGGAAAGAAGGAAACGGGGGAAGGGAGGGAAGGAAGCAGAAGAGGGAGGAGGACGAAGGAGGAAGGAGAAAGGAAAGGGAGAAAGAGAGAAGAGGAAGAGCAAUGAUGGUGAUGAAGUAGGAAGGAGAGGUGGGUGGCAGUGAUGGGCGGUAGUCAAAAAUCAUAACUUUUACCAAUACUCUAAUCAAAAUUUAAAUUUUAAAAACACUCAAAAAAAUUCAAAAAAAACACUUAGGAGGCACUUGGUUCAAGUUUAAGAAUUAGAAUUGUAAUUUAAAUCAUAUUUAAAAAAUAUAGUAUGGGUUUUGGUGGAAAAAUAUUUUAUACAAUAUAUAAAGGGGGAGUGUCACUAUAUGGCGUAAACAUACGGUGUUAGUCACUUUUUAAAAUUUGUAAUAUACCCUUAAUUAUAAGGACAAAUUUGUACUAAUAAUUUAAAAAAAAAUCUCCAUAAUUAGCAAGAAUCAAAAAGUAGUUAUCAGUUCAAUUGUUCACUCAUUAUAGCUUUCUUUCACCAACUCUUAAUGCCCAUGUAUUUUACUCCACUUCUAUUAUCUUUCUACAUGAUCACCUGCAUGAUAAUCGAAUUUGAUCCAUAAAAAAACUCUUUACUCUUUAAAGGGAUAAUUUUGAUAAAUAUAUUUUUGUAGGCUACACACAUGAUAGAGUGUGUCAUGAGCACUAGUUACAAUAACAUUUGCUCGGUAAACAUUUGUAAGGAAUGAGUAUUACAUUAAUUUAUUAUAUUAACUAACCAUUUUUCUUAUGCCCUCUCUUUUCCCUUUCAACUACCAAUUUCCCAAUCAGCAACUGCUGCAAUUCAAUAGUGAUUUGACUGCCUAUUUUGCAAUCACUAGUGGAAUUAGAGCUGGUAAAAAAGCCCAAAAUUCAAUGAUCACCCCAACCAGUCCAUUAAUUUUAAAAGAUGGGUUGGAUCAGUUGGAUUAUGGGUUUUGUUAGGUUGGAUAAGAAAAAUCUAACUUAUUCAUUGGGCGGGUUAGAUUUUCAUUUGGAUACCCAAUACCCAAACUUACUUAAAAGUAAUUCAAAAUAAUAAAUACAAGAUUCAAUACACAUAUGCCCAACCACUUGCACUUGGGCAUGUGUUAAUUAUUUAUUGACCAAUUUAUAUUCAAAAUUCUCAUAUAUAUGUUUCAAUUAAUUUUUUUAAUUUUUAUUUAAAAGAAAAAAGAAACUUAAAAUAAAAACUCAUGCUUAUUUUACCUUUACAACAAUAGUUAAAAUUUCUCAACUUUUAUAAUAAUUUAUUAUAUCUUUUAAAAGUAUGUUGUUUUCCUCCCCUUUUUUUAUAUUUUUUGUGAUUGUUCUCAAGUUGUUACUUGCUUCUAUUUGUUAAUAUUUUGUGUACGUAGAAUAGUGUUUUAAAUUUGUUCUAAUUACAUUUUUUUACUUUUCCCUAACUUGUUUUAUUUCAUUGACAAUAAUUCCUUAUCAAUAUUAUAAUACAACAAAUUAUAUGUCUCUUACUGACAUUUUCAAGUAUAAUAUAAUCUAGCAUUCAAUAAUUUAAAUAUAGAGAAUAUUACAACUUACAAUAAAGCAGAUAUGAAUAGUAAAAGUGUUGAUAAGUUGUGACAAAAAUAAGUUUCAAUCAAUUAGUAGUAUUAAAAAGUAUAAAAUAAACAAAUUUUUUUAACUAAUCUACUUAAAUAUACAAUUUAUUAUCUAAAUUCACAAUACAAGCAAUAUAAAAUAUUAUUCUAUUUAUGAUGUGUUUCUAAGGAGUUUAAAAAGUGAGUAUGUGUUUGUGUGUGUGAAAGUGUAUUAGUGUGUGAAAAUACAUUUAUGUACAUGAAAAUGUGUUUAUGUAUGUGAAAAAUUUUUUUGUGUGAAAAUAUAUGUAAGAAAGUUUAUGUAUCAAAAUGUAUUAAUUAAUAUAUUGGGUCAUGGGUUUGGGAUGGUCCAAUAUGACUCAACGCAAAAUCAACCCAAUUUAUAAUUAAGCAAGUUGGAUAUAACCCAUUUAAAUAAAAAUUCAAUAUCAACCCAUCUAAAACCCAUCCAACUAGGGCUGUCAACGGUCCGGGUCUAGACCCGGACCCAGCUCAGGCCGCUAAUAUUUGCCGAGUAGGGGAAGGCAUAUAGUUCCGUGACCCGGACCCGGACCCAUUUUGUCUAAUGAAUUUGCGGGUCGAAUACGGAAUAUGCCGUUCCGACUCGUAUAGGACCCGAACCCGUUUUUUAAUUAAUUAAUAAUUAAAAAUAUAUACCUAUCUCUAUCUGUCAUAAUUUUUCAUACCACUACUUACUUUCAUUCCCAAUUUGUUCAACCCUAAUAGUCUAAUACCCACCGCUGCCGCACCUCUCUUCUCUGUUGCUCCUUACCCAACUCCAGCUAUCCUUUUUCUCCUCUGCCUCCCGACUCCUGAGUCAUGCCUCCGCCAGUCACCACUCACCAGACACCUGACCUGGACCGGCGAAGCUUCUAGUUUGCUCUUCAUCCCCAGCUCCAAAGAAAAUCGCUGGGUCUAGCUAGCUCCAAAGAAGCAAGCCCAGCUCUUCCGUCAUUCCGUGAGACUUCUCCUCUUUUGCUCUACCUCCGUGCUCCGCCAGACACCAGUCCGCCCUGACGCCUGACGAUUGCAGCAAGCCCAGCUCUUCUAGGCUUCUAGUUCUACCAAGUAGCAGCCCAGCUUUCUUUCUCAGUCAAGUAUUUUUUUUAAAAUUUUUUGUGGGGGAAAAUUGAGAAGAUAUGAGAAAUGCUGUAGAACGAAACCUUCUUACCUCCCCAAACAGAAGGUAUUUUAGUCGUUGUUAGUGAUAGUUUCUUGCGAGCUAGAUUUUCGUUGCGGAUUGCAUAAGAAACUUGACUUAAUCUUAAUGUCCCAAUUCAAUUUGUGAAGGGUAAAUGAUCAUUUCCAUUUUGAAGGGUAUAUAAAUUCAAUUGAACUCCUAUAAGUAACGAAGUAGUAGGAAAUAUUUGGCCCACUCAACAAGAAAAUUUGUUUGCAUUCAGCCCUCAGUUCCUCUUCACCCAUCGUCGUUGGUCUUUUCUUUUUGUUUUCUGUUUUUCGUAGAAAUUUGGAGGUCUGAAAUAUAAAACAUCUGAUGGCACCAAAGUGGAAUGGAGCUAGAUUAAAUCUUGGACUAGAAAAUAGAAAUAAGCAAAACCAAAAAAAAAAACAGAAGGAAGAAUAUAAGUAUUUUUCUAGAAAGAAGGUAAGUGCAAAAUGAAAUUAGGGAAACUAGAGUUCAGGGAAGAGAAAACAAAGAGAAAAUGGCAAUCGACUAAACUCAACUCUUUCAAGGAGAAAAAAGAUCCUAAAUCCUAAAUGUAGUUGUCCUUUUCAACUCCAAAAUAGGGCAGCUUAUCCUUUUCCCCCUUUGGAGUCUUACUAACACAAUAUCAACAUUUGUUAUUCUCCUUUUUUUCUAGAAAAAAGUAAAAAAAUGGUUGAUGCAUACAUGAAUCUGCUCACUGGAUUUUUUGCAUUCACUGGAUUUUGAAUGCGACAUUCUAAGGAAUUUGUCUUGUACCAUGUUUAUCUAAUAAAUUAUGUUAUUCACUAAUUGCAGGAUGUCAUCUUUGCCGAGUAAUCCAACAGGACCAAGUAGCACAGCUGAUGAGAAUGAGAUUGCCAUUUUGGAUUCGGAAGAGGAGGAGGUGAAGGAAGAUGAUUCGUGUAAGAAACCUAGGGAAAAGAAAUUAACAUCUAAGGUAUGAUUUGAUAUGGAUAGAGUUAAGACUGCUACUGGUAUUGUUGCCAUAUGUAAGCAUUGUAAAAAAAAAUGGCCAGGGAUAGCUCAUGCGGGACAAGCCAUUUGAAAAAACACAUAGAUAAUUGCAUUGCUAGAAGACAUAGGAGUGGAGGGUAGCAAGUACUUCAGUUGGCUAAAAAUGCUUUGGAUGAUAAAGUUAAAGUUCAAACUUUCAAGUUUGAUCAAGAGAGAAGUAGAAUGGAUUUGGCUAGAGCUAUAAUAAAACACAACUAUCCUUUUACCAUAGUUGAGUAUGAGUACUUUGAGAUUUUUUGAAUAAUUUGGAGCCAAAUUUUAAGCUGGUUUCUUGAAAUACAGUCAGGGUAGAUGUGAUUAGUGUUUAUAAAGAAGAAAAGGCAAAAUUGUAUAAGUAUUUGGAUGAUUUUGAUGGUAAGAUAAGUCUAACUACUGACAUCAGAUCACCAAAAUUUUGCCUAUGCCUAUUUGACAGCUCAUUAUGUCAAUGAACAUUGAGAAUUGAAAAAGAAAAUUAUUGCUUUUAAAUUUGUUCCAUAUCCUCAUGAUGGUGAAACAUUAUUUAAAUUUAUUUCUGAUAUCAUCUUGGAAUGGAACAUUGAUAAAAAGCUUACCUCUGUUGUUGUUAAUAAUGCAUCUUCAAAUGAUUCAAUGGUUAAAUGUUUGAAAUCAUGGCUAUUGGAUAAGUCAUUGCUCAAUUUAGGAGGUGAUCUUUUUCAUGUUCGAUGUAGUGCACAUAUUCUUAAUUUGAUUGUGCAAGAUGGGUUAGUUAUUAUUGGAAAAUUGCUUCAUAAGAUUCGAAAGACCUUAAAGUACUUGAAAAGGUCUACUUCUUCUUAUCAAAAGUUUGAGAAUGCAAUUAAUCAAUGCAAGAUGAAAAAUAAAAAAAGAGUGGGUAUGGAUGUUCAAAAUAGAUGGAAUUCUACAUUCUUGAUGCUGGAGACUGCUUUGCCUUUGAAGGAAGCUUUUUGUCAUUUAGAACAAAUGGACAGAAAUUACAAGUUCAAUCCUUCAAAAAAUGAUUGGAAAGUGGCUAGUGUUGUUCAUGGUUGUUUGAAAAAAUUUUAUGAAGCCACAUAUCAUUUUAGUGGUUCUAUUUUUCCCACAGCAAAUGUUUUCUUUCCCGAUUUAUGUAAUCUUCGUAUUAAGAUGAGGCAGUGGGAAGUUAGUGAGCAUGAUUUUAUUCGAGAAAUGGUUAUUCCAAUGAAAGCAAAAUUUGAGAAAUAUUGGGAAGAAUGUUCUUUGGUGCUAUCUAUUGCUGUGGUGCUUGAUCCUAGAUUUAAGUUGGCUUUAGUAGAGUAUUAUUACAAUGAUCUUUAUGGAGAAGGUGGUGAAAGAUAUGUGGAUAGAGUUCGUAAUGCUAUUGCUGACUUGUUUGUUGAAUAUGGAGGUGACCUUACUCCUUUUUUGAGUUAUGUUGGAGAUAAUAUAGGAGAAGGGAUUUCUAGUUGUGGUAACAAAAAUAUAGAUGUAGAAGAUGAUGAUGAUAAGUUGUCUGAUUUUGACAAAUGGUAUCAGCAAUCAUGUUCUUCUACUAUUCUUGCUAGUCAAAAAUCUGAAUUGCAAUCGUACUUGAACGAGCCUGUAUUUCCAAGAAAAGAUGAUUUUGACAUACUAGGCUGGUGGAAGGCAAACAGUCCAAAAUUUCCUAUUCUUAGCAAGAUGGCUCAUGAUAUUCUUGCAAUUCCAGCUACUACUGUGGCAUCGGAAUCAACAUUUAGCAUUGGCGGAAGGGUAAUUGAUGAGACUCGUGCUGCUUUGCUUCCUGAUGUGGUCGAAGCUUUGAUAACAACUGGAGAUUGGUUACCUUUGAAAAAGAAAAGAAGUAAGUCCUCAUGUUUAUGUUUCUUUUGUUGUUUUUUCUUUUUAAAUCCAUAUUACAAGUUUAUUUGGUUGAGUUACUCUAGAAAGACUAAUCUACUUUCUUUCUCUUUGUUUUCUUAGAAGUAUUUGGAGAAGAUUUGAGUGAUUCUUCUAAAGUUCUCAAGUUAGGGUGUAUUUGUGUAAGGCCAAUUUGAUUUCUUUCUUACCUGAUUUUUUUUUGUAUUAGUUAGUAAUUAGUUUACAAAUAUAUUGUAUCCUUGUUUUUGUUGCAGAAAAUUGUGAAACUUGAGAGCCAUGAAGACUAUUGUAAUCUACAGGACUUCAUUAGUUGGUUGAUGUAUUUGAUAUUUAUGUUUGAUUGGACUUUUUAGAAAUUGUAAUUUGUUGGAUGCUAUAUUGGCUUUGUUGCUAAUAUUGGUUUGUAAAUUGUAAUUUGUGUGGAUGUCAUAUGGCUUUGUUUGACUUUUUAAAUCCUUGUGUUUGUUGGAUUAGAUUAUAUGAAAUAGUUUGCUACAUGCUGUUUUCUUCUUGUUAAUGUUACUUUAUAUUAUCUUUUAUGUCCUUGUUGGCUGAAAUCUGUUAAGUGUUUAACUCUUGAGCUGUGGUGAUGUUAGGAAAAACGAUUCAUCACCUUGUUCCUUUUUGUUUCUAGUCCUUUCUUGAGCUGAUAGUCCCUCGAUAAUGGCAAGACUAUUGAUUGGAUUGCAUAUUGGAACCUUCAUCAUGAAUGCUUCUCGAAGACUGGUGUUAGUUCAUUAUGUUAUAGUUAUAGUUAUGUUAUAAUUCAUUUAUAGUUCACCAGUCUGGUGAACUAUAACAUAUUUGGAAUCCCUUUUGGAUUGCAUCUCGAACACCAAUCUUUGAAGGCUUCAUGGGGUCACUCCUGAGAGGGGUUAGCUAUGCUUUUGAAUAUAAGAGGAGAAUGUGAUAAAAAUUAGACUGCAUUUUCCAGGUGUUACUUGAACAGGUUUUUAAUAGGUCUUUUUGCCGGGUAGACCCGGCCCGGAUUUGGGACCCGUCGGGUGCGGAUCCGAUGAAAGAUUAGAAGACCCGUCAGGUAUUUGGGUCGAAUCCGGAACUAAUCCAGUAUAACGGGUCCGGGUCCGGAUAUAUGCAUUCCGACCCGGACCCGACCCGUUGACAGGCCUACAUCCAACCCACCCAAUGGCAAGGUAUAGGUGGAAUAUGACUAUUCAUUACGAUCUAAUUUGUUACUUUCAUUCAAUCAAAAACCUAACCAUGUUACCUGAUCCCUCACUUCUCCUUUGUUGCCUAGUUCAGCAGCAAUAUUUCUUUAAAUUUGUCCUUUCCCAGCAUACUUCUCAAGAGCUAAUUUUCGAAUUCCUCCAUAGUCUUCGCUCCAAAGCCGUCUCCUCUAGGUGAAGAAAGGACGAGAGUGCAAAUUUGCCAUGGCGAAUAAGAGGGAGGAGGAAGCCCAAUCAAAGAAACAGCGUAUUAGCAGUAGUGGUCAUUUUAUAGGAAGAGAAGAAGGAAAGUUUGACAGUGAUGAAGAAAAAGUGGAGAGAUAAAUUUGCUAUAAGGAGGAGUAGGAAGAUGAUUGACAUCGAAUAAACUUGAUGUCAAAUUGGUCAUUUGGCAGGCAACAAGGACGAAGGGAUAGAAGUGAAAGAGAGAAGUUUUGAAGGCACAAUUAAAAAAAUUAAACAAAUUAGAAUUGGAAUGAAAUUUGGGGAUUAACAAACCUCUCAAUUUAGUGGCUAAUUCCUUCGAUUGUUGCCUAAAAAAUAAAAAAUUGGAAGAAUAUUGUUCUGACAUGGAUAUGGUAUGAAACUAUGCCUGUCGGGUUUAGUUAGCCUGACAGGAAAGAUUUUUUUUUUUUUAAAUGCUGAGCUGCAGGGCUUAGUUAGCCCGGCAGCAAAGAAUUUUUUUUUUUUUUAACAAUGCUGGGUUGCCCGGCUACCAAGCUGAAUUUUUUUUUAAAAAUAUGUUGGCCUUUGACUGUUUUUAAAGUAAAUUACCAAUUGCAUCAGAUACGAAUGCCUGGAAUGCUAUACUGCUAAAUUCGACAUUUUAGGAUUAUCUCCAGUCACAAAAGGUGGGUAAGAUUAGUAUGUGGCUCUUUUGCUUUUAGGGAAAAAUGCACUUUUCAUCCUCAAAAUUUGGGGAGUUGACCAAUUUUAUUCUCAAAGUUUAAUCCCAAAUACAUUUCAUCCUCAAAGUUUCGUAAUUUUGACCAAUUAAGGACAAUUGACGAGAAAUAUCCAAUUGACCGUUACAACCAACGGUUUUACCCAACAAAAAUGGGUAAAACCGAAUGAAGCUAACUUUAAAGGAACAAAUGCAACGGACAGAUGAAAAGCUCCAUUGUUGUCCUUCUUCCCUCUGCCUUGCAAUCCCAAAAUUUUUUUGCCAAUCUUUGCAGCUUUAAACAUUUCAUCCUCAGAGCAUCCAGCAGUGGAGCUCUCUGUGCUCUCAUUUUUGCCUAAAUGAGAAGCAGAAGUUCUGAAGUCUCUAGUGGUUCAUCAACUCCAUUCUGCAACUGUGGGUUAAGAACAAAAAUGAGCAUCUGUUGGCGCUGCGAGAAUCCGGGAAGAAGAUUCCUUGGUUGCUCUCUGUGGCCGGUAAGAAAUAUUUGUCUAAAAAUAUUGGUCCUUCAAUGUGUUAAUUUAGCUAACUAAUUUCAGAGAAAUGUCAUUAUUAUUAUGGUAGAGACCCGAGAGAUGCAGGUACUUUGAAUGGGUUGAUAAGCCAAUUUGUCCAAGAGGGAGAGUUCUCAUUCCUGAUUUGCUGAAAAAGAUUAACAAAAUGGAAGAACAAGUUGAAAGAAUGCGUAAGAGAGAGAAAUUUUUUAUUACGAUAAUUGUGCUUUUGGUGGUUUUGCUAGUACUGAGUUGGAGCAGUAAAGGCGAGGGAAAAGUAAAGGGAGGCAAGUUGCUGCUAACAUUGGAGUGAUUUUGAUAAAAUUGCAGAAGAACAUUUUGAAGUUGGCUGUGUUUGUUGUUGGAACGAGAGUUGCAUUUUUCCCUAUGAAGUAAUAUCCAAUUGUAGGGUAUAGAAAGGGACUUCUUUUGUUUGUACAAAGGUUCCAAAUGAACUCUGCAAUUUAUGUAAAUGGUGGGAUUUAGGAAAGGAAAUGUAUUUGGCAACAAUGCAAUUUAUGAACUCUGCAAUUUAUUUUGUUUGUAAAGCUAUGCGUUGAGUGUAAGAAAAUGGUCCUUGUCAAAGUGUUGUUCAUAUCAUAUAUAUAUAAUGGCCAUAAACUGAUAAACCACAUGUACUGAUAAUACAAACAGAUGCAAAUAAAUCACGGUGGAAAACAAAUGCAAAUAAACCAAGCUGGUAACUAAGCUGAUAAACCAAGAUUGUCCCACAUGUACUGAUAAACCAAAUUGGAAAAUAAAUGCAAAUAAUACAAACAGAUGAACAUGAAAACAACUGCCAUAUAUGUAUAUCAUAACUUCAAUACAAUUAAAGUGCAUUCCAAAUGAAAUAAAGCAAACUACAUAACUGUUGUUGAACAUGGGUCCAUAAAUCAAAUAAAGCCAGCUAUCACAUUACAGCCUGCAUUUCCAUAAUUACUAGGCAAGGCAAAAGUUGAAACAACAAAAGUCAUUCACUAAUUACAAAAGCAGCAACUUGGCUUGAACAAAAGCAGCUUGGCUUGAAGAAAAUUCAGCAUGUUGUUUUCUCCUAUCACAGUAGUUUCUCCUUUCCCUUCGAUCUAGAUGAACUAGGAACACUUAAAUCUGCUUUGGCGGCAGCAGCAGCAACAUGCAUAUGAACAUCUCUAAUCCUGAAGGGCAUCUGUACUUGUUCUUUAGUUUGUGUUCUGGCUUCCUUGGUGUUAUAUUUCACUUGGGACCUUGACAGCCCAAACACUUCGUACAUAUCCUGGUCUACUUGAUCUGGGGCAGAGGAUGUUAUGUCAAUCUCAACUAGUGGCUCAGCAUUCUGUUGAUGUUCAGUGUUUGAAUCAUCAUUACAAACUGCAGCUGCAACUCUUCUUGUACGUCUAUGUCUCUUUUACACAAAAUAGUGACGUAGCAAAAGUCAAAUUGCAUAUAGACAAAAAUCAAAAGAUGUAGCAGGUUUUUCUACCCUUUUAUUUGAAAACUCAGUAGCAGGCUUCUUGAUUUUCUUUGUUCCCUGCAGUUUAAAAGGAAAACAUGUCAUUUAUAUACCAAAUAACAAAGGUAGCUGUAACGAGUCAUCAAAACAACUUACAACUUUUUUUCCAUCUUGGCUAGUUGGAUUGUUGGUAGAAGCAGCAACUUGGCUUGAACUAAUAUUAGUUUCUGCAACUGCAGGAUCUUGAGCAUCUUUGAGAAGCUUGCAGGACCUCAUAUUAUGUCCUCUUUGAUGACAGUAUCUACACUUGUUAAUCUGUCUCACUCUUGUCACUUUCUUCUUAGUUUUUUUCUUGGCUUGUUGAACCUCCUCUGCACUUCUCCUUCUCAGUUUCUUAAGCUUUCCAGGUGCUCUCCCAUAUAAGGGUGGCAAAGGACCUUCACCAACAUCAGUAAGCUCCCAUUCACUUUCUCCAUUCAUGGGACACACUGAUCCUUUAUAGCACUUCAUAUAUGUCUCCACUGUAUACCAUUUUGAAACAUAUAGCGGAGGAUCCUUUUUAGCUAUCCAUAAUGCAUUAAUGGCAUGGGGACAGGGAAUACCUGUUAGUUCCCAUUUUCUGCAAGAGCAUGUUUGCUCAUUGAUGUUCACUGCAUAUUGGUCACCAUAUGGGCAACUAACUUCAUAAAGAUCAUCAUUUGACUUAAAUGAAAAACAGUCAGGUGUUCUAUCUAUAUUUUUCUACAUAAUGUGAAGAAUUUUGGGGUAGUAAGGAUAAGUCUACCACUUCUCUUUGGCCAGAUUCCUAUUUUUUUGCAUUCUCUGCAUCAUGUACAACCGUAUUGCUUCAAACAUUUCAAUUAUUGGCUUCUCCCUCGCAUCAAGAAUUUUGCUGCUGAAGCACUCACAGAUAUUAUUCAAUAACAUAGCACAUUUAGGAUGAGUGCUAAAAUAAACUCUGCUCCAUUGACUUGGUGGUUUGUCAUCAAACCACUUGGCUGCCUCUAUAUCAAUUUCAGCCAUUGCUUCCAUUCUGCUAAUGAAUUGGGUUGGUGUUGUUGCUUUGGCAACAGUUCAUAACAUUCUCCUCAAACCUUCUCCUUUGAAACUAGUAGAAGAAAAGUUAUUAUGCAAGUGUUUCACACAAAAUCUGUGGGCUGCAUUUGGGAAAAUCAUAUCAUAUGCUUCAAUUAGACCUUAUUGUUUGUCACUUAUUAUUGUCCACUCAUAAUCCUUUUCAAUUUUCAAAUCUUCUUUAAAUAGUUUGAAGAACCAGCACCAUGAGUCCUUACUUUCACCCUCUACUGUAGCACAUGCUAUUGGAGAAAUGCCAUUAUUGGCAUCAACUCCAACAGCUGUUAGCAAAACUCCUCCUACUGAUUCUUUCAAAAAAGUACCAUCUACUCCAAUAAAUUGCCUACAUCUAGUUAGAAAACCAUGCUUCACUCUAGCAAAAUAGAUGUACAGCUUCUCAAAUCUGCCUUUUCCUGUUUUUGAGUCUCUAAAGCCAUCAACAGUUUUCAUUAUAACAGUGCUACCAGGGUUGGAUCUUAGAAUUUCAUGCAUAUAAACUCCUAAUUUGUUGUACUGGUCUUUUUCACUGUCUUGAACAAUUUUUAUUGCUUUUCUCUUUGUCCUAUAUGUUUAAUUUUUUGUGAAGGAGCACCUAUUUUCUUUCAUUACUAUCUUCCUAAAAUGCUCCAAAUCUAAUUUAGGAUUACACCUAAACUCUUCACAGUACUUCUUAGCUACCUAUCCAGAAUGCACAAGAGGGUUAUCAUAUGUAAAAUCACAUGUGUAAUUAUGUUCAAAUGUUCUUAUUUGAAUAGUUCAAUCCCCAAUUAAUUUCCUAACAUACAUAAGCCAAUUACAUUCACUAUUUUUGCAUCUAGCCCUCACCCUCACUCUAUCUUGUUUCAUAAACUUACAAGGCCUGCCUUGUUUCACACUAUAAUUAUGUAUAGCAGUCUUGAAGAGUUUCAGACUUGUAAAGGACAUGUACAGCUCUAAUUUUGGAUUGUCAAUAUGCUUAGGAUCAAAAGUACGAGACCUCAAUUUAGACUCUUCAUCAUCAGACUCAUGAAUGCUUUCAAAAUCAUAUUCAGAAUCAGGAACCUAUUCUGUUUCAUCAGAAUUAGGAACCUUCUCUGUUUCAUUCAAAGGAUCAGGAAUCACAUUUUCUUUCCUGUGAUUGUCUACUCCUAACCAUUUAGCAUUUUUGUCAAUAUUAUCAUGAAAUAUACAAUUAUCAGCAUCAUCACCUAUUUCAUAAUCUGAAUCAAUAGCUGAAAAAAAAGUCUCAUCACUUACAUUGGAAUUAUUAUCACAAUUAUUAGCAGCACACCUUCCUUGACCUUCAUCCCUAAUAUUAUUGUUACCAUCACCAUUUUGGAGUUCAUUUUCCGUCUCAUCUACCUCAUACGGAUCAUAACCAAGUUGUUGCACUAGAAUUUCAUGAAAAGAUACUUCAAGAUAUAAGUUAACUUCCUUAGUUGGUCCAACCUCUCCCUUAACAUAACCAUUCAACACCCUACUGCUAUCUAUCCUCCUAAAGGUGUUAUUUUCCCAACCAUAGUACACCUUAUGACCAUAUACACCAGCACUCUCAGUUAAUCUAUCCAUUUCGAAAACACUUAAACCUAUACUCUCAACAUAGUCAAAAACACAUAAAUCUCCACCUUCGUAAUGGGGAUUAGAAGUAUAUGAAAUGAGGCCUCCAUGGUGACAUCUUAAUGUAAUAAAUGUGCUGCCCGUUUCUGGUUAAAGAAAAUAAUAUAGAUCAGACUCUUCAGAAAAAAAAAAAGCUUCAUCAUUUCAGUACAACAAACUGUUGACCCACACAAAAACUACCAAACAAGGACCACUUUUACACUUUUUCCAUACACAUGGCCAGAUACACAUGGCCGGCAAAAUAUACCAAGUAUUAUUGUUUAUUAAUCACUCUCACCACAAAUUUAUAGUCAAGCGGCAACUAUUAUUAGACAUAAGGGACCACAUUCACACUAAAAUAAUCAAAUCAAGACAAAUUUUUUGAUUUAUUUAUACCUCAUGCAAAUGGCCAAAUUUGGAAAAAAAAAAUAGCCACAAAUUAUAGUGGGAAAAAAGUACAAACACAAGGGAUCAUAUAUCAGGUUUCCUUCUCCAAAAAAACACAUAUCUUUAUGCAAAUGUGGAGCUGUUGAUUUUGGGUAUAAAUACUGUAAUUUGGGGGUCGACAAAUGUGGAGCUCUUUCUCCCGCAAUGCCAUUUUUUUCUUCACCUAAAAUGCUCCACGGAUGUCGUUUAUGCCCUCCUUCUUACCAGCAGAUGCUCGAAAAGUGGAUGAAAGGAUUGGCCAAAAAAACUUUUAGGGCUGAGAACAGCGAAGAAAGAAGGAGAAGACAGGAGCUUUUUUCCUUUUGCUAUUUUGUGCAUUUUUGUCCGUUAGAAAAAGUGGCUCCAUUCGGUUUGACCCGGUUAUGAUGGGUAUAAAGUUGGAUCUGACGAAUCGUGCUUCUCACGUGCAAAGUUCCGUCCCAAUAUUUGAUUUGUCCUCCAAUUCCCGUCAAUUGUUCUUAAUUGGUCAAAAUUACGGAACUUUGAGGAUGAAAUGUGUUUGGGGUUAAACUUUGAGGAUGAAAUUGGUCAACCUCCCAAACUUUGAGGAUGAAAAGUGCAUUUUUCCCUUUGCUUCUACUUAGCUAUUUGGUAGUUUGGGGAAAAAUUCUUAACUUCAUUCUUGUUGGCAGGUGCUCCUUCCUUCCUCACCUAUGGAUCAACAUGAAAAGGGUUUUACUGUUGAUAGUGAUAUUCUUUACCCAAGAUCUCCUAGAAACGUAUCAUCCAAUCGAGCAAAGUCUGAGUACGGAGAUUCCAACUCCACAGGAGGCUUUAUGGAGUUUUGGCAGGAGUUUAAACUUACAAUCGUUGGUAUGAUGAACAGUUUGUUUGAGAGCAGCAGAUACUAAUGGAAAUGUGACCAGUGGCUUUGUGGCUAAGGCUCUUGGGCCUUCAUUAAUGGGCUUGGCUGUCAUGGUUAUAAUAGUAGUGGUGCUAAAGUAAGUGUCUUUCCCAUUUGUUGCAAGUGAAUUUGCCAAAGCCACAUCAUGUCUACAUUAGGAGUUCUUUCCAGAAGGGGUAGAGAAAUCUAAGAUAGCAUUGGAAAUUACUCAUGUGUACAUACGAAGCGAGAAGUUCUAGUUUCUGUUAAGGUUCCGCACAUUUUCUUAGAACGUUUGUCCUCUUUUUCACUAAAUUUGAUGAGUAUCUUUGGGUUAGAGAACUUUUGUUUUGUUAAUUCUCAGAGAUUGAUAUGGCUUUUGUUUUGUUAAGGCCAUCAUUCAAAAAGAAAAAUUUCUUUAGCCCGACAGGUAUAGUCUCAUAUCAUAUCCAUGUCAAAAUAAUAUUCUUCUGAUUUUUUAUUUUUUGGGCAAUAAUCAAGGAAUUAACCCAAUUUAGUCAGGAGCUGAGAGUUGCUACAUUUUUAGAAAUCAUUCUAAAAUCUUAAAUCCCAAACCUUUAAUCCAAACACCACAAAUGACUUUUAUUCCAAAUCCUGAUUCCAUACCUUGGAACCAAGCAGCCCCUUAAUUUGUAAUGACUAUUUAUGGUGGAAAGUUUUUCAAAUACAAUAUUACAAGAAUAAAUAUUAUAUAUACUGACGGUAUAUAAACUAUCAUCAUUGGAUUCAUGGUACAUGUACAUAAGUUGGGAGUUUAAAUUCAAAAUUUGUAUAGUUUUCAUUCAUCUACGACUGAAAAUUAAUCCUUAUUACAAUGUAGUUUUUUAAAAGUGCCACAAAAAACAGUUAAUUCAUAAGUACCCAUUUUGUAUUUCGAAACACAAAAAUUAUUUUAAAAGCAUUAGUGGUGAGCAUGUGCUAAAAGUGUGCUAUACUUCUAAAAUUUUAAAAUAAUACUUACCAAAUACUUAAAAGAAAGUGCUUUCAUCAUCCAAAAUAAAAAUUAUUUGAGAUAAUUUUGUGAAAAAGUACUAUAAUAUUUUUUUGAUAUGAUGUAUAUGAAAUAAAAAGGUGAUGAAAAAUGUGUUGAUGAUGCAAACAAAUCAGUGUGUGUAAAUAAGGUGUAAAUAAAGUGAAAUAAUUGACAUCCAAAGUCCAAACACACUCUUUGUUUUGCAAAAGUAACAUAAUCCCAAGCACCAAAUGGUACAUUACUAAUAUAAGAUCUAGGCUUCAAUAAUGUCAAUUAUUCAUGCAAUAUAUCAAUUAAAUAUUUAACACAAUUAUGCGUACUAUGCAAUGUAACUUCUCACACAUUAAAAUAACAAAUGUCUAGACAACAACACAACGUGCAAUAACGGGAUAAAAUUUGAAAAUGCAUUAGAAAUUCUGCUCUGUAGACUCAUCCAAUUUGAAAUCUAUUCAAUUUCCACCAUCAAAUUUCUACAGAUCACAGGUAAUUACAGAUCACACUGCUUGUCGGGUCAUCUCAUUUCCCAAGUGUUUAUGAGAUACCACAGUAGUUGCAACACAUGGGGUAUCUUUCACAAUUCGAACUGGUCUAAGAUGAUUUUUUGUGUUAUAGGCUCGAUACACGGAUGUACUUGGAUACAGACAUGUACACUUCUUCUUCUUCUUCUUCUUUUUUUCUGUAAGUCCCACAUAUUUGUAUUUUGAUACAUUAAUAAAUCUGGUUAUAACAGACCUUUCCAACCAAAAUUUAGCAGUGACAUGCACUUGCAAAUUUAUUGAAGUAUGCAAUUGGGUUAGGCUUCCCUUAAUUGAAAAAUUAAGUGUAAAUUACAACCUCAAAAAUAGUGAAAAUUACAAAAUAAUGAUUUGGAUGAGGUUGAUGUUUAGAUGAAUGUGAUUGAUUGCUGACGCAAUUUUUUAAUAAGUGACAAAAUUUAUUAUAUAAUUUUUGGUAUAUAUUAUUUUAAUGAGUUAAUUUUAUAUACACUGAUAGUGUAAACACUAUCACGAAUUAUGUGCAACGUAUCUAAUGGUAAAAGUGUAUACACUGUCAGCGCAAUCUUGUUUGGAUUGCUAUUUGUUAGAGUUUUUGUAGAAAAAUAUAUUAUAAUAAUUUAAUAUAUGUGAGUUAAAAAGAUAAUUGAAAAGAUGCGCUCAUGAAAAAUGUAGAAACUUUUUAGGCAAAUACCUUUCCAAAAAAGUUAACGUACAUAUCUCAUUUAAUCUAUAAAAAUAUAAAAGAAUUUUAAUGCUAAUUUGUUCCACACCGAUUUGGACUAUGGACUAUAGUAGAAUUGACCAACUUCUUUGUCCUUCCUUAAAUCCAUAUUGGCUCGAAAAAUCAUCUCGGAACCAAAGUUCAGUGGUUACCAAAAAAGAACUAAAUCUCUCUUUGACUUGUAGAUCGGCAGGUUUAAAUCCUACCUGUAGUGAAAAAAAUCUAGAGGAGGUGUCAGCGUACCAUUUUGCUUUAGUUAGAUUCUCAUACCUAUUACCAUCUUAUGCAUAGCUUUUUUAGAUUCCCUCUCUCUAAAUUAGAAUAAAUUAAGUUAUAGAAAUGUUAUUGUUAUCAUAAAAAAGAAAAAAGAAAAAUGGUCUCGAGCACCAUAACAUGCCUAAUCUGUCCUUUUGGUAUUCCCGCUUUCCUUUCUACUCUACAACUUGAAGUCAAUCUUGUACUGCCAAAUAGAGAAAUUUUCUUGCUGUUGCUCAACACUCAUUUGCAACACACACUUUAAUGCUAAUCCGGUACCCCUUUGUGAAUUAGCACAAAGCAUUGAAAAUUGCUUCCAGGAAGUGCGAGGAUGCAAAGCUAAAUUGGUUUGACUUUGAUCACUUGCUCCAAAAAGAGAAACUAGGCUGUAAAUUCUCAAGAGUAUGACAGUAAAAUAGAUGUUACACACAAUACUUCUUUUCUCCUACCAAAAGAUGUGGAUGCUCAUAUCAAAUCACUUGGACGCACUCAAAUAAAUUGCUAGCAACUCCAAAAUUGUAAGCUCUGCCAUCAAAUUGAGAUCUUGAAUCGUUUAGAACAUCUUAGUGCAAAUGAUAGUGAUAAUUUGAUGAAAAAUGACGAAGUUUGUAAUGCAUGACUAUGAGAUUGAAGUGUAAAUAUAAGAUGAGAAAACGUCUCAACCCCUUUUGUUCUCCUAAUUUUUAGGACUCCAUUAAUUUGAUAGACGCAUGCCCUUAAUUUUGUUGCCAAAAUCUAUUGUAAUUUUCACAUUUCUUAAACACACUUUAGCUAACACAGGUGCAUGAUAAGUAUCAUUAUUCAUAGUGGUGUCAAGCCUCAGAUAGAUUUUUUUUUUUUUGGUAAAAGAAAAGUUUAUGUGGGUUGUGCUUGGAUCACCACUAUAAGUCACAGCAAUGUUAUCGGACCAUACGUUGAAGUUUUUACAAAUUAUCCACUAACACAAUCCUCACAUUAGUAACGAGAUUCAAAUAUACAACCUUUCGUAAGCAAAAUGAUCCAUUCUUACUAAAUAUUCAGUUUAGUAAAACUGAGGUCUAGAAAGUAAAAUAUGAAAUCUGGAGUUGCUUUCAUUUGAUUUCUUCAUAUUUAUCUAAACCUUCACAUCAAUAUAGUUAUUUUAUUAUUUAUCUUUUUCCUAAAAUAUGCAUACAUAUAGGGUCCGUUUGUUUCGGAUGAAAAUAUUUUUCAGGAAAAUAUUUUCCUAAUUUCCCGUGUUUGGUUGCACAAAAGUUACUGAAAACAUUUUCCUAUGUAAAAUAUUUUCACUCAUCUUAUGAAAAACAACUUCCCUUCCAAACUUAUUGAAGUUGUUUUCCGAAAUGUAUGCAUCCUGCUUGUAGUAUGUUCCAAAUUUACUGAAAACAUCUUGCAGUAUGUUCUUUUUUUUUUUUUUUAGUGUAAACAGGAGGAUUCGAACCCAAUACCUCUUCCUUAUACUCCCUCCCCGUACCACCCAAUCCAACCCAACCCAACCCUCCACCUAGUAUAUUCAAAAUAAAAAAAAAACCUCAUCCUGCUCCUAUGCUAGUAAUUAAUUAUGUAUAAUAGGGACAUUCUUUUCUAGAGAAACUUUCAGUAGUGAGAGUGCAAGAUAUAUGUCACAAUAAGCAUUGCAUGUGAUUGAUAUUUGACACUAAAUGACCAGUAAUUUGUUUAUUAUUUAAGGAGAUAUUUUUUAUUCAUAUAUACAUUUCUCCAAGAUUUUUUAAAAUUAAACAAUGAGAUAAAUUUUCUUAUUUUGCAUGAGAAGAAGUAUGUAGUUAUAAUGUGUAGAAAGUAAAGAUAGAGAUAAAAGUGAAAAUAUUUCAAAAGUGAAACAAACACUAGAAAAAUGAAGUAAGAAAAUAUUUUCAAUAAACCAACCAAACACCUGAAAAUGAUGAAAGGGAAAUGAUUUUCAUGGAAAAUUACUUCAACGGAAAAUAUUUUUCCAAGGAAAACAUUUUACUUCCAACCAAACAGACCCAUAAAGUGUGCCUCACCGACUACUACUAGAUAUUGAAUAUAUGCAAAAUAUAUUAUUUAUAUAUAUUAAUAUUUUUAACAAAUUAGUUAACAUAAUGCAAUUGUACAUUCAAUGAUGUUACUCGUUUUUAUAUGCAAAAAAAUUGUUCCUACUAUUCUUCUUUUAUUUUUUUUCAAAAUUUGAAUGCCUGGUCAAAUAAGCAAGUUGUACUAAAUUGGGAAUCGACAUUGGCGGCGUAGGAAGCAGUUUAACACGGAAUACAUAAGCGCCAACUGUUUCUGAGAGGCAGAGCUUGCGAAAUCCGCCUUGGCCUUCUCUUUCUUCCCAUUUCCCGCUAUAUAAAUAUGCUCACCAAACCAGAGAUUCCCAAUCCUCAACAGCCAGAUUAGCCAUCUCUUGUUCAACAACAGAAGGGAAGACAUGGCUGUUGCUGACUCUAAAACUGCCACUAAAUCCUCCUUUGAAUCCAUCAGAGAAUGGGUUGUCGAGCACAAGCUUCGUACUGUUGGUAAUUCUUGUACCAUUUUCCCUUCUUUGCUUCUUUUUCGCUUCAUUUCUCUGGUGGGUUUUCCUUUUUCUUUUUCCCCUUUUUAUUAAUGAUUGUUUUGAAUUGGGUGAAAAGGGUGCUUGUGGUUGAGUGGAAUUGGAGGAUCCAUCGCUUACAAUUGGUCUCAACCGGCCAUGAAAACCAGCGUCAAGAUCAUUCACGCUAGGUACCACAUCAAUCUUUCUUCGUCCUUUUUACUUGAUUACCUUUUUCUCUCUUGAAGAUCUAUUUAACUAUAGUAUUUUUAUCUUGUUCUUGAACAUUCUUGUGCACUUUUUGGAUUAAAUUCUCUGUUCAGGAUUUGAGCAAAUUGGUUGAGAUGGGUAGAUUGGGAGGAGGGCCCUUUUCAUGUGCUUUUUAACCCGAUCUUUUUUCCUUUUCUUUUUCUGGAGAAUUAGGCAUUGUGAUUUUGUUGGCAUAUUUGAAUACAAUUUGAUCUCACUUUACGUAGCCCUGCAUAAAGAUUGUAUCGUUUUGCGUGCUACUAGAUUAUUUAGUGCCAUUAGCUGAUCAUAAUAUCUAGAUCAUGUUUUCCUUGCUUGAUGAAAUUGAUGGGAUAGGAAAGGUUUGGGAUUUAUAUGCUCCGAAUUUAUAAUAUGGAAGGUAAUUUACGCAGUGUGCCUAAAAGAACAUGUUAAUUGUUGCUCAUGAUAUCUUCUGGCUUUUAAGUACUUUAGAUACUUAGUUUAACCAGGCAGUGUUUUUAAAUUCAAGAUGCUAAGAAACAAAGUGGUUGUUGGAUUGCACCAUUUAUUAGACUGAGAUAAACAGAGGCCGAUUAUUUAAGUUUGUUGAAGAAUAUAAAAGCUUGCAUCUUUAAUCCAUGUCUGUGGGCUCCUUGUAGUCAUUUAUGUGGACAUUUUACCCUGCAAAUCCAUCUACCCCUAUUUGGCUAAAUAGCCGUCAUCACAUUAACAAAAGCCUCUGCUUCUACCUAGUAAAUUGCAUAAGCUAUAUUGCAGUAUCCUUGAGAAGCGAAUAGUACAGUUUGCCAUUUUAACAUACUUUUUUUAACCAACUGCUACACAUUUUAUGCAUGAAACAUGCAACAGAUACUGACUUUGGUUUGAUGCAAAAAGCAUGUUUGAUGUCUUUGAGAUCUACUGUGUGAAAUAACUUGAGAAAAUGUGAGCAAAGAAAUAAUUUUUACACUUUGAUUGCAUAUCCUAUGUACAUUUGACAUAUAUAAGCACACAUCUUGAAAAUGAUGCAUGCACGUGUAAAAUAGCUAAUUAACUUGGUAUAGUAGUUUUCUUGAGUGGUGGUGGGUGAUUAGACUGUGUCUGGAGAAUUGGAGAAUGAAGUGAAAUGUGAAAUGAGAUAAAGUGCAGAGACUGAAGUGUAUUGGGGAUGUGAAAUUAAAGAGUUUGAACUGUGCCUUUUUCUCUACCAGCAAUGGCAUAUGCAAUGGUAGAAAAGAUGUCCUUGAGCAGGAUCAGCCGCAGAGGGAGACAGAGAAGUGGAAAUUUUGUUGGUUUAAGUUAAUGCCAUAAGUGAUAGUGGAAAGGUGAGGAUGUCUUAAGGUAUCUGGGUAUACUUGCCUUUUUCUAUAGUUGUAAAUGAUGCAAUCGAGGAUUGGGACAUAGAGAGUUAAAGAUUACAGUGAAGUGAGGAAUGGCACAAAGUGUAAUACAGAAAAUUUUUUGGAGACUGGAAUUUGACUUGGUGACCUUAGGGUUUGUGGAUAUCUUCCAUCUGGUUGUCGUGGUUUUGUAAGGGAAGAUGGUGAUUAUGGGGCGUGUUUUCAGGUUUUAGUGAAGGUAUUGUUGAGUCACAGGUAGUAAGUUUGGUCUUGGAAUAUGAGAUCAAGAAAAGAAGUGGAUGGUUUUUUACUUGUAGGUUAAGGAAGUUAAGAUAUUUUUUGUGUUAAACCAAUUGCUUUGGAUGCUGACUCUUGUCAAAUUAACGUAGCUUGACGUACUGAAACUAUUCCUUCUGAUUUCUUCAAACUACUAUGUGUAAAUGGUAUGGUUGUCUAUUCCUUCUGUUCCAUUUUGGGGAUUGUCUUUUAAACAAACUUGUUUCUAACUCAUUCUUUUUUCCAUGGGAAGACAUACUAAGCACAUGAUAUUGUAUUAAGAAUAUGCAAACUGGAUUUUUUCUUCAGGAACCUGUACUCUACCUUUUCGUUCUUGCUUUUGUAAUAUUCAUAGUCGUCCCGAAACGUUAUCCUCGUUUUACUUCAGGUUGCAUGCCCAAGCUCUGACAUUGGCUGCACUGGCUGGAGCUGCGUUGUUGAAUACUAUGACCACAAAACAGGGAAAACACAAGAUCGAUAUCCCAAAUAUCUUCCGCUGGAUACAUACUCACAAAAGACUGAAGAAUUAACCUACAUGUGUAAUUUUGAAGAGGGUACAUCAAACUCAUUAUGAUUCCAAAAUUGAGUUUUGACUGAAAACGUUCUUGUAUUUCUAUAUGCUACGGUUUUGCUGAUUGAUCGGUGAUGUAAACAUGUGCCGCCACUGGUACAUCUCGUGAUUGUUCAUCAAUAACAAGGCAUUAUUUGGUCCUUUUAUAUAGAGUUUAGCUACCAUCAAAUAUCUUUCUGAUUAUCUAGAAUAUUGUGUCGCAUUCGGACGUAGAUUUAUUGCUAGCAAGCACUUGUGGUAAUACAGGCAUGAAUAGAUUAACUAAUGACGUGAUUGUUCUUUCCAUUGGAAUCUAAUUGCAGUUGAACUGCGUUUCUUGCUGAUUGGCUCUCUCUAAACCUAUUUGAUUGGAUUCUGAGUGCAAAACUAGCCUUAUUGGGAUUGUUUUGAUUCUUGCAUUCAUUCUAAAACAAGCAAGGACAAGUCAUCUUCAAUUACGCAGAGGUCAAAAUGUCGCAACUCUAAUAUUCCUUAGUUGUUAUAGAUCAUGACUUCUUACAAUAGACUUUUUAUUUUUUAUUUUGGUCAAAAGCAUUGUAUAAUUUCAUUUCUAACUUGAUACCAUAAGGUCUGUUACAAAAGGGCUACUACCCGAGUAAUCUUUCUGUGCGCUCUCAUGGAGCCUAAGAUUGCAAACGAAUCGAACCGAUCGCGAGCGGUUCAAAUUCGGUCAAUAUCGAACUGGUCAAGUCGAACUCGAAUUCAAAAAUAUUAAAUUCAUUAAUUGCGAGCCACGAGUUCGAUUAUAUAUAUAUAUAUAUAUUAUUUUAAUAAUAAAAUUAUAUAUAUAUUUUUAAUAUUUAUUAUUUAUUAAGAAAAAUUAUUAUUUUAUUUAUUUUUUUAAAAUAAAAUAAUUUUUAUUUUUAUUUUUUUAAGUUCAAACUCGAGCUUGACAUUUUGAUUUCGUAACUCGCUUCGUAAAAUUAUGUUGAGGUUCCGCUUAAUUAGACUGAAAUUCAACUCGACUUGAUUCGUUUGCACCCCUUGAAUCCACAAGAGAAAGUUUCCUUUCUCAUUUAAGAUUUUUAGCAAAUCUAACAGCAAAUUUUGCUAGAUUCUUAGUGAAGAGCUGAUUUCUGGUUAGGUCGCCGAGCUGACCUAAUUCAGCUCCCUCUUUCGGUGAAGUGAAAGUAAAAGGUAGGAGUGCUGUCCCGAAGUGAGAGGUGGGGCUUUGUCCCCUGAGAUCACUCCGACGGUCAAGUCAAUAUAGAGAGAGAAUAAAAAGUAAUGAACAAUACGAGUGCAACAGUAGUCUUACUUGUAAGGAGUGAACAGAAGAUAUUUAUAGAGUGUGAGAGUGGAGGGAAGGACAGUGGGUUUAAGCCACUGGGUCCCGCUUCCUGAGGAUUACGGCUCCGCUCUGCACCUGCAGCCUCUGUUCCUGACAAGGGAUAAUAGUUCAGGCACUUUGUCAGGUGGUCACGCAUAUUCCCAAUAAAGGGUCCUAGGGUUUUCAGUUAAAGUGGUGGCCCUUAAUGACAUGUCAGGACAGCUGAUAUCUCCCGCGUGCGGCCGAGAUACGACGGCUGAAGAGGUGAAUUUCGACCCGCAGGAGUGAGUCACCCGAACUGGAGGAAUACCUUUACCUUGGGCAACUCUCUUGGACGAAGUCACCUGCUUGGAUAAGAAAAGGGGCUGGAUCCCCCGGUAUAAUUUCGAAACUUAAAUCAGUUCGGAUAUAGAGAAGUAAGAAAGUAAUGAGUGGAGAUAGCGUUCUACCAGAAAUUGGUCAUCCCCUAUUCCAGUAGAGGUGUUGUGUAUUUAUAAGGGACGGAUUGGAGAGAGGAACUGCCUGCACAAGUCCCUGAAGAUCUGAGAUAGUCAGUGCAUCUGGUGGACUUGACCAGUCUAUGAAAAGAUGUGGUGUGAUAUCCCGUCAGAUUCAGGCGGCAUGUCAGAGCAGCCAUUACUCAGGCGUUAGAUGUGUCAGGGGUCACAUCCCUCCUUUCCGUAAUUGUCGAGCAUGCAAGGUUCACCUCGGAGAUACGACCUGGACCAUAUAGCCGAGGUGGCAAACGAGUUCCAACCGUCUCGCAGGAUGAUUCGCCGAGGUGGCCUUUCAGGACACGUCAGAGGACCAGGCCUCGGGCAAUCCGAGCCUAAAUGGCCCUCUUCACUAAGCCCCCCAAGCUUUGGGAAGGACGAGCACGGUACUCGCCGAGGUCGUUAUUUCCCGAGGCUGACAAGUGUGCAAGGCACGGGACACAGACACGUCAUGACUGUGCAGGGGGGACUAGGAGAGAGGUGAAAACAGGGGCUGUCAACUUUAACGUCGGGUCAGUCAAAUCGAGUGUCAGAUGAACAGCACCGUCAUUAAUGAGGAGAGAGAGAGAGUUUUUUAGGGAAUCCCAAAGAUCGCGUCUCUUCGGCUUCCCCUGUCGCCCAUAAAUAGGAGCCUUUUUUCACCGUCUCUUUCUUUACCAAAAAUUGUGAAUCACCCCAGAGCUCUGUUUCUUUGUCUUUUGACUUCGGCAGUCUUUCUAAACCACAUCUUCUUCGGCAAUUCCUUCAGAUCACAUCUUCUAAGUAAGUUUUACUUCUUUUCCUUCUGAUACAAUGGCUUAGAACAGCUCGUACUCACAAAGAGACAGUGCGGCCUGACUUUACCGAGGCAGAGAGGCCUGACCCUCCGAGAAGAGAACUGCUUCCGACGUCGGGGGAGGAGGUGCAGAGUCAUCUCACCGAGCUGGCGACAUCUGUGGAACAGCACGAGGGGAUCGAGGUCGAUCCCGAGGUCUUAUACAACGAUGACCUCGGAACCGAAGUCCCAAGGACGGGGUCUACAAAGAGCCUUCCACCCCUCCGAACGUGGAUUCUCUUAACUACGGCCUGAUGCGACCUUUGGGAGUAAGUUGGUGCAAGCUUCUGUAGUCGAGGUGAUCCGCAAGUACCCCUGGAGGAGGGAUUACAGUAUUUACAUACCCCAGCCUCACCAAUCUGCCGCACUGCCACCAAAGGAUAGGAUGGCUAUUUAUGUGGAACAACUAGAGCCGGACUCAGGGUGCCUACCACAAGAUUUUUUCGGGACUGUUUGAGGUUCUGGGGGGUGAGAAUCACUCAACUCACCCCAAUGCCAUCCGCGUCCUCGUCGGCUUCCAACUGCUAUGCCGCCACCAGGAGAUAGAACCCACAGUUAACCUAUUCCACCGCUAUUACUCACUUAAGAACAGCGGGAGCGAGAAUGGUUGGUUUUACUUCGGGAACAAAGUCCCGAAAUUAGUGGUGGAAGCCCCGAGCUCAAUAAAGGAGUGGAAGCAUAACUUCUUCUUUCGUCCCGGCUGAGAACUUUCCUCGGGGGUUCUGGUGGAGGCCCCCCACCUCGGUAAAAGAAACCUCCCGAGCAAGCUGGAAGAACACAACCUCCAGAAGCUACUGGGGUCGGGUCUCAGGAUUAAUUGUUGGGACUUUCCCGAAAUGGUUCUCGUAGAGGGCGGGCUCAGCCGAGCACUGAUCAGCUCGGACCACCCCGUCCUCCUUUCUACUAGGCUCCACCGACCUUGUACUUUUUCGCUUUCCCUUUUUUGUUUUUCCUUCUCGAAUUCUAACUAACUUUUCCUCAUUCUUUGCAGUGGUGAAGGUUUCUGACCUGAUAACCUCGGGAGACGUCGAGGUGGCAAAGAGACCACCCAAGAAGCGCAAGGGCACCGCUGAGCCUCCGCCAGGUCUGCUAAGAAGACCACCGCAGCGACAAGCGACCGCGAGCCAACCGUAGUGAUCGUGGGCGAGGGCUCACACACCUCGGCCUCUCCGGGAGGCUCCGUGCCUCGGCUAUUCCUGUGGGGUCCCCAUCCGAGGGGUCACGAUAGCCACUCCACCUCGGGGUCAGGGCGUGACUGCGUUCCCCGAUAAUCCCGUCACGGGGUCCUCUUUGUUCAACCUCCACCACAUGGCUUCCAAGGCGGCCGAGGAGGACAAGAGGCACCCCGGAUCGCACUGGUGUCCGGAGUGGGAGAUCAACGUCAACGAUCGUUGUAAGAACCCUCUGGUUGCCCAGGAGCUUCUGGUGCACUCGGUGUUGCCUCGGGACAGCAUUUAUACUAGAAAGCUCACUCCGGGCGAGCUGAUGCAAAUAGGGCUGUCGACGGUCCGGGUCUGGACCCGGACCCGGCCCGAACCCGCCAACAUUUGACGGGUAUGGAUAGGAAUAUAGGCCCGCGACCCGAACCCAUAUUAUCUAAUACAUUUGCGGGUCGGAUACGGGAUAUACCAUUCCGACCCGUAUCCGACCCGGACCCGUUUUAAUUAAUUAAUAAUUAAAAUAUAUAUACCUAUCUAUCAAUUAUUCAUACCAAUACUACUUUCAUAAUUUCAUUCCCAAUUCUUUCGAACCCUAAUACCCAUCGCCGCACCUGCACCUCCCUUUUCCCCUCACUCUCUUUUCUCUUUUGCUCUGUCUCCCACCUCCGCUAGUGACCGCUGACCAGUCCGCUCUCCCAUCUCCAUCUCUCCAUCUCCGGCGACGCUCUCGACUCUCUCCAGCUCCAAAGAAGCCCAGCUAUCAUCGUUACCGUCGAGUCUGGCCAGCUCCAAAGAAGCCCAACCCGGUCUAGUCUCACUGUCUUCUCUCUUGCACUCUCCAUCUCUGACGCCGGCGAGCUCUCUCCAUCUCUGACGCCUGGCGGUUGCAGCUCCGGUCGAAGCCCAACACUUCCAGCUCUUCCAGGCUUCCAGCAGGCCAGCUUUCUUGUCUCGUCUGCUUUACCUUUUUUAUCCCCUUUUAUUUAAUAGGGAGAAGAAAAAUUAGAAAAGCCGAAAAGAAUUGUAAAGGAGAAGGCACGUCUCCAGAAAACCUACAAUUGAAAGUGGACGAUAUUUGCAUCGCAUUCUUUCGGUAACCUCAUCUCAAAUGCAAAGUUUGCUGGAUAGUUAUUGGAUUGUGCAGCAACUGGCUCUUUGUUUUUUUGCUACUACAAGAUAUGAUACCAUGACAAUAAAGUAGGCAAGUGGAUCACUCCCAAGCAUUUGAGAGGUUCUUGUUGAAAGGAAAAAAAAAAGAAAGAAAUCCAAAAGCCCUGUUGCUCGGCCUCUAAUUUUCACCAAGAAAAUAAUUUGUUAUUAUUUGGUCUCUGCACAAAGUUAUUUGAAAGAUUUUGCACUCCAAAAAUCGAGGAGCAAAAUUCAAUAAUAAUGCGUCUAGAUUAUGAAAAAUGGAAAAAUGCGCUUGAUUGCUAUAACUAGUUAUUAAGGUCAGCAGAAAAGGUGAAGAUGAUAGAAAGAAAGGAUCUCAGGCAGAUAAUAAAAUGAGGGCAAGGAUAAAGAUGAAGGUGUAAAUCAGGUUUUUUUACUGGUCUUAUUCGGGUAGGCCCUACCCGACCCGGGACCCGUCGGGUGCGGUUCCAGAUAGAGAUUAAGAGACCCGUCGGGUAUUUGGGCCGGUUCCGGAAUUAAUACGGUAUUACGGGUCCGGGUUCGGAUUUAUUGAUUCCGGCCCGGACCCGACCCGUUGACAGGCCUAGAUGCAAAGUGCUUCAGUCUCCUGAGCCUCCACCACGGCCUUCUUUGCUGAAAUGAUACAACGCUACGGGCGUUUUAUGGAAACCUUUGAGCCACCAGCCGAGCUCCAGAAGAAGAUUGCCGACCUGGAAGAAAAACUGAAGGCAACUGAGCUAGAGCGCGACAAGGCCGAGGCGACAAGGAAGAAGGCCGAGGUCGCGAACAAUUCCUUGGUCACCGCCCUUGACGAGGAGAGAUGAAGAAGGGCCCAAGAGGAGCAGUCGACCAAGGAGGCCAUAAAUAAGGCCGGGGUAACUGCCGUGGAGUCCUUCCGCAGCUCGGAAUCCUUCACGCGCGACCUCGGGGAGCUUACGCGACCGAGCUUCAUGCUUGGCUACACUUCGGCCAUCAAUGAUGCAGCGCCCUUCCUCUCUUCUGAACAGCUGGAGUCCCUUCAAAGCACUCCUCACUAUAAUGAGGACGCCAAGAAGCUGUGCGACUGCAUGGCUGAGGGAAUCCAAACUGGAAGGGACCUAGCCGAGAUCCGGAUCGAGUUCAACAAAUGGCUCCAGAAGUUUGAGAUAGAUGGUACUGAAGACGACCAAGCCGGCGGAGGAGCUGAGGGAGGACAGGAUGCCGAAACGGGAGGCGCGACCAUGGGGGUCAGGAUGCCGGGGUAAGCGGUCAGGAUGCCGGGGUAGGAGGUGCUUAGAAGCACUCCUCUAUGACCUCGGCCUUUUGCUUUUUGUUCUUCAAUGAAAUCAACUUUUUGUUCUCGCAUAUUUUUUGCCUCUUUUUGAUCGAAUUGAAUUCAACUUUUCUUAUUUUGAACACUGCUUUGUCCCCUUAUUUUUCACUUGAAGAAAAUAAAUUGAAAUUUGAACAAGUGAGAAAUAACUUGGAGAACUGAAAUUUGAGAACACGUACUCUUUAAGGGUAAUACAACUUAAGGUUUUCAGCAUGCCAAGUCCGGAGCACUCGAGAGCCAUCUCGGUAAGCUAAUUUACAAUAUCCAUUUUGGUUGGACUCAACAACACGGUAAGGUCCUUCCCACUUGGGGUUAGUUUACCCUGAGAUUCAACUCGACUAACUGAGUUCUUCCCUAGAACAAGGUCUCUCGGAUUGAACCGCAAGUGCUUGACCCGAGCAUUGUAGUAACCAGUUAGGAUAUUCUUAUAAAUGGCGAUCUUAGCUGCGGUCAUAUCACGCUUUUCCUCGGCGAGGUCGAGAUCAACUCGUCGUUCCUCUUCAUUGGCCUCGGCAGCAUAUGCGGCCAUACGCGGGCUUGGUGUGAUGAACUCGGUUGGGACAACAGCUUCAGACCCGUAGGUUAAGGAAAACGGGGUUUCUUGGGUUGUUGACCUCGGCGUAGUUCGGUAGGACCAGAGCACACUGGGAGCUCUUCCAUCCAGGACGAUCCAGCCCGGUGGAGCCUAGUCUUGAGUCCAUGGAGAGUUCGGUUGAAAUUUUCGACUUGUCCAUUUGCUUGUGGGUGUCCAACCGAGGUGAAAUGCUGCUUAAUCCCCAAGUUUUCACACCACGCCUUGAAAGGAUUGUCUGCGAACUGCCUGCCAUUAUCCGAGAUGACCACCCGGGCAGGCCGAAGCGACACAACACGUUCUUCCAAAAGAAUUUUUGAACAGCAACUCCGGUUAUGCUUCUCAGGGCUCGUCUCGACCCAUUUGGUGAAAUAGUCUACUGCUACCACCACAUAGGCAUAAUAUCCUGGAGCUUUUGGAAAGGGGCCGAUUAUGUCAAUUCCCACUGCUCGAAUGGCCAUGGCAAAGUGAUGGGGAUCAUAAGAUUAGUCGGUUGGUGGUGCUCAGGAGCGUGGUGCUGACAAGAAGGGCAACAGAGUACCAUGACCUGGGCAUCUACCCUCAUGGUGGGCCAGAAGUAUUCGAGCAGCAAGGCUUUCUUCAUGAGCAUCCUGAAACCGACGUGGGCACCACAAAAUCCCUCAUGAAUGUCUUGAAGGACUCCCUUACCUUCUUCCGGGGUGAUACACCGCAACUAGGGGUCGAGGUAAGACCUCUUGUAUAGGAGGCCUUGUCGGAGGAUGUACCGAGCUGCUUUUCGUUGAAGCUUCCGUGCUUCACCUCGGUCUUCUGGAAGCUCACCCUGACUGAGAAAUCGAGUCAAAGGCCCCAUCCAGGUGUCCCCGGGUAAAUGGGGUAUACAACCUCUCCUUCGUACCCCGGCUCGGAUAGGACUUCCACGAGAACCGUCUUGUUCAGGUCGGCAAAAGAAGUAGAGGCGAGCCGGGAGAGAGCAUCAGCCCUCCGGUUCUGUGACCGUGGUAUCCUUUGAAUUUCGAAAGACUCAAAGUGUGCCACCAGUUGGAGGACCUUAGAGAGGUAGCGAUGCAUCACCUCUUCCCUGGCCUCGUAUUCGCCUAAUAUUUGGCACACGACGAGUUGGAAGUCACUAUAGACCAAGAUGUGUGCGGCCCCGAGCUUUCGAGCUAGUUGUAAGCCGGCAAUGACAGCCUCGUAUUCGAUUUCGUUGUUGGAGGCAGUGAAGUCAAACCUCAGGGCGUACGAGCACACAUCUCCUUGAGGGUCUUCGAGGAGCAAGCCUGCUCCACUACCCUCACUGUUGGACGAUCCAUCCACGUGUAGAAUCCAUCGCUGGAGCCCAGCGAUGGCCACUUCAGCUGUCACCGGGGUGGUAGCUCGGAUGGGUUCUUUCACCUCGUCAAAGGUGAGUUCGACUAAAAAGUCCGUGAGAGUCUGGGUCUUGAUGGCUGUGCGAGGUUCAUAAGAGAGGUCAUACUCCCCCAACUCAAUGGCCCAUUUGGUAAGACGUCCCGAAGCCUCAGGUCGUGUCAGGAUCUGCCGGAGUGGUUGAUCAGUCCUCAAACAGAUGUGGUGAGCUAGGAAAUAGGGCUUGAGUCUGCGGGCUGCGUGGAUCAGGGCCAGCACAAGUUUCUCCGCUUGUGUGUACCUUGUCUCGGGACCUCGGAGAACUCGACUAACGUAGUAGACGGGCAUUUGGACUCCUUUCCCUUAUCAGCACGGCACUCACGGCCUCCACCGCAACAGAAAGAUAUAAGAUCAGCUUAUCCCCGGUCGAGGUGAGGUGAGCGUGGGAAGGUAGUGAAGGUAAUCCUUCAGCUGCUCAAACGCCUGUUGACACUCUUCAAUCCAGGAGAAGUGGUCAGUUUUCUUCAAUACUUUGAAAAAUGGCAGAGCUUUGGAGGCUGACUGCGAUAGGAACCGGUUCAGGGCGGCCAACUGCCCCGUCAACCUCUGGACAUCGCGGACGCACCGAGGUGGAGACAUCUCCUGGAUAGCUCGCACCUUAUCCGGAUUCGCUUCUAUACCUCGCCUUGAGACGAGAUAACCUAAAAAUUUUCCCGAGGUGACCCCAAAGACGCAUUUCUUGGGUUCAGCAUCAUUCGCGUCUUCCGGAGAUAUCACGGACCUCUUUCAGGUCGGCCAGAAAAGCGAAGGUCGUCUGGCUUUUGAGGAGGAUGUCAUCUACAUAGGCCUCAACAUUUCGGCCGAUCUGAAACUUGAAUGCUUGGUUGACCAAGCGUUGGUAAGUGGCUCCGGCAUUCUUCAGCCCGAACAGCAUGGUAGUGUAACAGUACGUGCCGCGGUCAGUAUAGAAGGCCGUCUUCUCCUGGUCUUCUUAGCUCAUACCAAUUUGGUGAUAACCUUUGAAUGCAUUCAGGAAACAGAGGAUCUCAUAUCCCAUUGCCGAGUCUACUAAGGUAUCAACCUUGGGCAAUGGGCAACAGUCCUUGGGGCAGGCCUUGUUGAGAUCGGUGAAUUCGACGCACAUUCUCCAAACCCCCGUAUCCUUCUUGACCAUGACCGGGUUGGACACCCAGGUAGGGUAUUGGACUUCCCGAAUUAUUUUAGCGGGUAAGAGCUUGUUCACUUCCUCACCGACAGCUCGGCUGCGCUCAGGGCCGAGGUGCCUUCUCUUCUGUUUGACCGGACGGACUUGGGGGUCGACGUUCAGCUCAUGCAUCAUGAGAUGGUGCGGGACCCCUUGGACCUCUUCGUCGACCCAAGCAAAGACGUCCCGAUAUUCUCUGAGGAGGUCCACCAUAUCUCUUCGGACAGGACCGGGCAAUCGGGUACCAACGCAACUGUUUGAUCAGGCUUCGUGGGGUCCAGGGGAAGCUCUUCCACCUCAUCCCCAAUCUCCAGCCUCGGGACCUUCUCAGCUCGCUGAGGAUCGAUACUAUUUAUUGAGAGAAUAUUUGACCUCUUCUCGGUCUCGUUCCGGAGAUUGAUGGGGAGGCCGCUUGUAGAGUGGCGAGGUAACACUCUCGGGCAGCGCAGACUUCGCUACUGACCUCGGCCACUCCUGCAUGGGUAGGAAACUUAAAACUUAGGUGGUAUGUAGAGUACACCGCCCGCAGAGCAUUAAGAAUAGGUCGACCCAGGAGCAAGUUGUAUGGGGAGUCAGCCUUAACCACACAAAAUUCACUGGGAUAGUUCGGCAGCGGGGGUGGUGCCCCACGGUUACCGUUAGGGUCACCAUUCUCUCGGGGUGCACAACGUGCCCCCCGAACCCUACAAGAGGGGUUCUCACCGGGGUCAUGUGCUCCCUGGUCAGUUUAAAACUCUCAAAGGUGCGGAGGUACAUGACGUCAACUGAACUUCCCGGGUCUAUGUAGAUCUUUUUCACAAUAUAGUUGUUGGUGAGGACUUCAAUCACUAAAGUUUCAUGACUGCUGGAGGCAGUUGGGACGGGAUCACUGGGUCCGUAGGUGAUCACCUCGGACAGGCGAGAACUCGACUCGGCCUGAUCUGGAUUGGCCUGCCUAUAGGUCCUCUUCCGGGAGUUCUGACUAUCUCCUCCUGUCGGACCUCCGGCAAUGGUGUUAAUGACUCCGGCGAUGUUCGGCCCAUAUCCCAACCCAUGUCCAGCAGAUCCGUCUGGGGGAGGCCCUUUCGUCUCCCUGGGAUCCUCAGGAGGUCGGCAGCUGCUUCUGGAGGUCCGCCGCUCAUCUCGGCGUCGGUCUCCUCGUUUGUCUCGCCGGUUUUCAUCUCGUUAGUGGCCUCCAGCUCGGUGGAUGAACUGUUUUAAGUGCCCCUGUCUAAUGAGAUUCUCGAUCUCUCUCUUGAGAUCGUUGCAGUCCUCAGUCUCGUGACCAAUGUCACGGUGAUAUAAGUAGUAGAGGUUCGAGUUCCUCUUGUCUCUGCUUCCAUACAUCCUCGGUGGGGCUUUUCCGAGGUUGUUUUGUUCCAUCACGGACAACACCUGAGACCGGGAAGUGUUCAAAGGAGUCAACUCGGAGUCGAGAAUGGGCGACUUCCCUUUGGAUAUCCUGUCGAACACGUUUCGGCGGUCCCGGCCAGGAUUUCGGAAGCCACUUCACGUUCCCACUUCAGCUCGGCUGGCAUCUUUUCCCUUUCGGGGAUCAGCCCUUAGACGGGUGGCUUGGACCUCUUUCUUCAUGCAGUGGAGGUCUUCGGCCUGUAUGCCCUUUUCAACCUUCAGCCACAAUUCAUGCAGUGUGCGGGGAUAUUUCUUAUGGAUCCCCGUAUUGAACUCCCGGCAACGAGUCCAUGGGUAAAAGCAGCGAGGGUUACCUACUCAUUGGGGGUCAGGUAUCUGAACGCUUUUCUCAUGGAACCUCCGGACGUACGACCGAAGUGACUCUCCCGGAUUCUGUUGCACAAUGAACAGGUAAGCCGAGGUCUUGGUCGUAGGUCGGGAGGAGACAAACCGGUGGAGAAACUUUUCCACUAAUUCACCCAGGGUCGAUAUGCUCCUAGGUUCUAGGGCCCAGAACCAUUUUCGAGCUGUUCCCCGAAGGAAUACUGAAAAGGCCCUGCAGAUGACGGGGUCUGGGAUGCAGUAUAGGCGGAAGGCCGAGAUGAAGGCAUGGAUGUGGUCUUCGGGUCACCUCGGCCAUCAUAAGAUUGUACUGCGGGGAGCUUAAAAUUGGGAGGAAACCUUUCCUCGUUUAUAUCAUCUGUAAACGGUGGAGCCCUCAUGCAGUCCACCCCGGGUAUUCCCAAGGACCGAGGCUCUUUCUCGGGUCGUCGCCCCAAGAGCCCUCGAGAAAACGCCUUGGUCAGGAAAGGUACCUUAGAGGUAGCCUUAGAAAAUGCUCGCUUUGAGGCACUUCGGCUUAAGCGCCUCCCAUCUGACCCUUCUUCAGAUGAGUCCUCAGGAGACCCAUCUGACUUCCUUUUAGAGGACUCGGCUUUUGUUUGCCUUGUCUCUUAAGGUAUCUCCCCAACUCUUCAAAGAUGUUGGGUUCUCAGUUACAAACUCGGCCAUACGGGUUAUGGCUUCUUCGUUUGCGGGCUGAGUCCUCGGGGACUCCUGCCCUUCAGAAAUAUUUUCUUGUUGAGCUGCAUUGCUUUGCUCAGCCUCUAUAGCGAGAGCUUUUCUGCUCCUAGAACGCGCAGGCUUCAUCUUCUAAUAUCUUUGCGUUCUCACAGACGGUGCCAAUUGAAGAGGUGAAUUUCGACGGCAGGAGUGAGUCACCCGAACUGGAGGAAUGCCUUUACCUUGGGCAACUCUCUUGGACGAAGUCACCUGCUUGGAUAAGAAAAGGGGUUGGAUCCCCCGGUAUAACUCCGAAACUUAAGUCAGUUCGGAUAUAGAGAAGUAAGAAAGUAAUGAGUGGAGAUAGCGUUCUACCAGAAAUUGGUCAUCCCCUAUUCCAGUAGAGGUGUUGUGUAUUUAUAGGGGACGGAUUGGAGAGAGGAACUACCUGCACAAGUCCCUGAAGAUCUGAGAUAGUCAGUGCAUCUGGUGGACUUGACCAGUCUAUGAAAAGAUGUGAUGUGAUAUCCCGUCAGGUUCAGGCGGCGUGUCAGAGCAGCUAUUACUCAGGCGUCAGAUGUGUCAGGGGUCACAUCCCUCCUUUCCGUAAUUGUCGCAUGCAAGGUUCACCUCGGAGAUAUACCAUAUAACCGAGUUCCAACCGCCUCGCAGGAUGAUUCGCCGAGGUGGCCUUUCAGGACACGUCAGAGGACCAGGCCUUGGGCAAUCCGAGCCUAAAUGGCCCUCCUCAACGGCCAUCUAGGUCAUAAAGGCCGAGGCCCACGAGAGGUCGCAGAGACCUAGCCGAGAUCUAUCCGAUGUGACAGGAAGGAUCACGGCCAUGGCACCACUUCAGAUAUGGCGAUCCGAAGUGACCGCCUUCACUGAGCAUAUAUGUUACCUAUUCUAUUAACAAAAGAAAAGGUACAUUGGUCAAACAAGCCUCUCAUGUUAUCAAUAUCGUCUAGUAUAACAGCAGUUCUGGAUUCCAUAACAUUUUCCUCCAUGAUCAUGUCCGCUAUUGCUUUGCAAUCUGAUUGGAAUUCCUCUUCCUUCCAUUGUGCUUCUCGGCCAUCAUCAUUCCCGUUCUGAGUGCUACAGCUUCCUCCACUGGUUGUUCGCUUGAUUAUGCCUCAAAUCUUGCCACAUUGCUCUAAGUUUAUAACCAACGAUGCAAUUAAGCUUUUUCACUAUUUAUAUAGUUUGGAGGAUCAGAUAAGUUCCAAUUCUUUGUUUCUGGUUUUGGAUCCAGGUUUAGAUGAGCGGAUUUUUAUUGUCUCCCACUCUGCUAUCUUCAAUCAUCUUCUUUUUUUUUUGCCAAGUCCUCCCACUAUAGAAAAAUUAAGAGCAAAACAGUGCAUAUUAGUACUCUUUUAUUUUUGGUUUCAAGGCCCAAUAGGAUUUCCUGCUUUCCCUUUUUUUUCGUGACUAAAAUUUUGAAGCCUACAAACUUUUAUUCGUGCUAAAAUCUAUGCUUGCAAAUUGUCUAAUCAGACAAUACUUUUAUCAGAGGAGUUCUUUUUAAGCAUUUCCAUUAUCGUAAAAGCCUACCACUUCUUGAAAACCAAUGUAGCAUUAUAUAAUAUGCGAAUGCGACCUACUAAUGACAUAGAUAUUCACAUAAAUAGCUUCCUCUAAAGAAUUCUUGAUAAUUUCUCCAGCUAAAUUGUUCAAGUUCUUCUGAUCUAGAGCAUCAAACACCUCGAAACAUCAAAAGUGCUUAAUCAAAGGCCAUAGGUUUACACCUCUCAUUUAUUCUUGAAAAGUGCUUGAGCUAUCCUUCCAUUAGCUCCCUUGGGCAGGAAAUCCACCAGGGGAUCCCUCAUUACCGGUAACAUAAACAAUCCUUAAUAUCUCUGCUGGAGAGCGUUUGUACGAGGAGGAGUAAUAAUUCGCAGAUAGGACAUUGCUUGAGGUCUGAUUUUCUGCGCCGAGAUUUGGGUGGACAUGGAUGCCUUCAUCCUUGUUGCCACCCUUAGCCAAGAGGUUUUUGACAUUGGAAAUGCGAGUUGUAAAAUCAGCUACCGUGUGUUGGUAUAGUUCCACCACUUGAUCUGCCCGUUGGUAGAGAUAUAGCCUGAUAACGGGCAUCUUGGCCUGCUUCAACACCUAAUAAUCCUGCUGAAACCUGUAAAUCAAGCGUUAAUAAAUUGACCUCGAGCUCACUUCAAUAUUGGAAAUUAAUUGACGCGGCGCGAUUGGUUUAUAACCUGAUACUUUUGUGUUAGAUGUCCUCUGCUGCGUGAUCUUUUGUGCUAACAAGAUUAUAGACUUAUGCGCUUGCUACGGUAAGUCUUGAGGAGAGGGUUUAUGCCAACAUAUCCUGUCAGUCCAAUGUAUGGAACUGCAUAAGUAGCCAGAAAGAAACUUAGGCUGUUCUCGUAAGGGUUGAAUGGAGGUCGAGUGGUAUCCAAAUGCUGCAUCAAUGAUCUUUGAGAAGAGUUCAGCACUUAGAUCAAUCUGAGCUCUUGGGAUCAAACCUACAGCGUCUUGAAGGGCUCUACGCAAUUAUAAGCACAAAAAAACAGUUAGGUAAUGAAGAAAGAAAUCUAGAUUAAUGAACCUUUUUAAGGUUUUAAAAAAAGGCAAAAGAACUUAAUUUUGGAUAUGUAGUAAAUUAUCUACCUUAGAUGGCCAACUCCUUGAUAACCAAACAGUUGCAAUACUUUGUGUGAGCUUGUCCAAAUUUGCUUUUAGGCACCAAUAGGAGCAGCGCAUCCGAUCCUCAACCCCCUCAAGGAGCCUAUCUGUCGAGUCUCAUCCUAAAAAUUUGACACAUGUAACAAAUCAUGCGAUUUCAUUCACCCAAUCCUACUCUGAAGCCUAUUUGGUAUUCCCUUCUCUUGAAUGUUACGAAACCCACUCAGUGUAUCAAUGAUCCAACCAACAAGAAAUCACAUCAAACAAAAAUCUAUAAACCCUGAAUCCAUCAAGUCCAUGUCACAAGGCACCCCGCAAGAACCAUUCUGCUUGCAAGAAUUCCAGAUUCUGUGCGAAUUGCAACGACUCAAUGUCACUUCUGGAAACUUGAAGAGGAGAAUGAAAUAUCAAAAUGGCUAGACAUCAACGUUAAUAACAAGAAAGUGUAAAAGAGAAAUGAUGAAUGGAGAGCCAUUGAUGUAAGUGAAGACAAUUCUGCUCAUAAAACUUGCAACUUCUUGGACUUUAUACAAGUAGGAGUAGAGCAUUUUUUCUGUAUAUAGCAUGGAUCAUCGUCCAGAAAUAAUAUGAAUCAUGUAAAUUUCCAUUUGAGAAAUUAAUUAAAAAAAUCAAUUAUUCCACCAUUCUUUUAUCCCCUAGAAAACCUUUUUUUUUUGGAAGAAAAUCAUUUUUGAAGUUUGAAGUGAAUGCAGUUACUAAAGUAACAUAUUCUUUUUACCAAUUUACCUUUGUCGAAAAUAUAAGUGCAAAGCGAGGGCAGUUACAAAUUUUUGUAGUAUGUAACUACAUGUACCAUAAUUUCUUUGGAUUAACAUAUUAUGCUAUUUAUGCAAAAUUACUCUUACGUUGCUUUUUUUUUUUUGUUUUUUCAAAUUCAUAACUUUACAUUCAAGGAGUUGUUUAGAAGUAGUUUAUUGAUAGUGUGUUUGGAUAGGAGGUUAUUUGAUAUAUUUAUUGAAAAUAAUUAUUGUAGCACUUUGUAUGAUGUGAUAUAUGCGAGAUAAAAAUGUGAUUAAAAAUUGUGUUCAUGAUAUAAGUAGAAAAAAUUUGAUUUUUUUUUUCGCAAAUCUUGCUAACCAAACAUACUUGCUUAUCCGUUUCAGAUUGUUUGAGAAAUUUUUUUGAAUUUUUCCUUCAUUUGUAUCAUACUAUCCUUAUUUUUUAUGUAAAUGGAAAGUUUUAAAUCUUUUUUUUAAUUUAAGUGAAAAUUUUUAAAUUGAAAACUUUCUACUUACAACCCUCUCGUACAGUCGAAUAUUAAAUACUUUUGGGUUCAGGGGAAAGCAUUUAGAUGGAAUUUCAUCCAAGUUCAUGGGCCCAAAUUCAUUGGUAAAAAUAACUAGUUACAUAAUCUCGUAUUUUCACGUACCUGAUUUUUGUCUAUAAUUAAGAUAGUUUUACGGGGGUAAGAAUGUCUCAAUAUUUAAACCAAAUGCAGGUCUUCUUGAUAUCUUUUGCCAAUGGUUGUUUUUUUUUUUUGGUAAAAAACAAAAAAAAAUCCCUGUGGUAAGCCUAAUACACAAAAAAAAUUCCUAUGGUUUCAAAAUAUACAAUACAACACCUCAUGCUUUGAAUUAAAUUGUAAAAGUGACGGAAUCCGUUAAACUUAACGGAAAUGAGUCAAAUAACUUAUUGGAAUCUAAAAAAAACAAUUUAUACCUAAUUUUUAUCAAAUAUACCUAUUCUAUCCUUUAACCCUCAAUUCUCUCUAUUUAGAUAAGCCUGUCAAUCGGAACUAAUGAGUCGGGCUUUCAUAAGGUCAAACUCAAUUCAUUUAAUUUGGAACAUUUUCGAGUUUCGGGCUAUGAGUUUUGGGUUCAUAAAUGUGAAUCUCAUACUCAACUCACAUAAUAUUCGGGUUAUGAGCCUUAAUCGAGGUUAAUCCAAGUUCACUUAUUACUCCUUAAUUUUUUUAAUAUAAUUACUAUAACUAUUAAGUUUUAAAACUAAUUUAACAUUUACAAGACUGUAAUAUUAAAACUAAACAUGAACAAAUAAUAGUUCUUAAAAAGUAUAUAAACCAAAACUUUUUCAACAAUAUUUAUAUUUCAUUCAAAAUGCAUGAAAAAUAGUAAUAAAACAUGCGAUCAUAAGCCAGUACAUCUUUAAAAGUUGAAACUUUUUUUAUAAUCUUGUGAUUUGAAUGCAAACAUGCUUGAUGAUUUGUGUUUGUAGAUCAAAAAGAAAUCAACCAAUAUUAUGCCAACACAAAAAUUUAUUUAACCAAUAAGAAAAGUUAGAGAUUCAAUUAUACAUCACUAAUAUUGGCUCUCAAGAAAGCUCAUGGAAGAGUCUUUAGAUGUAUUUUUAUAUUUUGUAAUAUAUAUAUAUAUUUAGUAUUUAAUAAUAAUAUAUUUGGAUAUAUAAUUAUACAUAAUAUCAAAAUAUAAAUAUUAUAUAUAUAGAUAAUUAAAGGACCGGACCUAUAUCGGGUUUGAGCCUAAUAGGACCCAAGCUCGGUUCAUAUUUAAUUCGGGUUUAAUUUUUAGGCUAAAACUCAGACCGGCUCACUAAAAUGUCGGGCUCAUCGGGCUUUUUGUCCGGCCGAACGAGCCGAGUUCGAGUUGGCCCAACUCCAUUGACAGUCCUAUAUUUAGAGAAUAAAACAAAUUAUUUUUUUGAGUUGUCUUUUGCUUAAUUAUAUCAGGCCAUUUUGGUCAUUUCGUCCAUUUCCGUUAAGUUUAACCGAUUCCGUCACCUUUACAAUUUAGUUCAAAGCAUGAGGGGUUGUGUUGUAUAUUUUGAAACCAUGGAAAGCUUUUCUGUAUAUUAGGUUUACCACAGGGGUUUUUUUUUUACCCUUUUUUUAUAUAUAUACUUGAAUAACUAUACAUGGUCAUGGAACCUUUCUCAACUCUUUUUUUUUUUGUUUCUUUUCAUUGGACAUUUUCCUCAAUAAUUUUUUUGACUUUUGAGGUAACAUCAAACAUAUUAAUCUGAUAUAAUAAUAUUUACCUAGAGGAAAUAAGAAACUUGAAAAGGUGCUCAUUAAAGCUAGUUAUCAAUACUAACUAUAUUAACCCAACUAUCCAAUGGCCUGUUGCCAAAAUCAAGGGUUCAAAUCCAUUUGAAUUACGACUCUAGUACGUAGGUCAGACUAGGGGUGAGCAAUUACGGUAAUUACCGAAUUACCGAUCGAAUUUGAUUUGAAUUUGGUAAUUCGAAUUCGGUAGUUAGGUAAUUCGGUCGGUAAAUCGGUGAUAUCGAAUUAAUUAGAAUCGAAAUAGGGUCGAAAAUGGUUUUAUAGUUUUUUAAUUCGUAUUUACCAAAUUCGAAUUUAUUUCGGUAAAAUGGUAAAUUAUUACCGUUUUCAAUUUCGAAAUUCCGAAUUAAGUUAAAUAGGAAAUAAUAUCCUUAUGUCUAGAUGUUCCAAUUUCAGACUUUUGCCCUAAAUUAGCAUUCGUUCCCAUCAGGUAAAAUCGUUCCCAUUGGCUCAAAUCCAUCUACCCAGACGGUGCAGUCUGUGCAUAACCUAUGGUGUCUCCACAAUCCAAAUGCACCUUGGUUAAGCGAGGAUACUGCACCAGAGUGCUCAACCCAAAGGGGUACUGUGCAUGUUUUGACCAUUCCCUGCAAUCUCCUUCAACCUUGAUUUGGAUCUCCUCCAGGUUGGGACAAUCCUCAAGACCAGCAGCAGUCAAUGGUUAGAAGCUCACCCACGCCAAUCCAGAGUGAAAGACAUUGCAGUCUAUCCCAUGAGUUGCUACAAAAUCCAUUGCCGCUGUUGUUAAAUUGCAGAGCAGAGCAAUUCAGAUCAUAGGAGUGUCUGCACCUCUUCUUCUUGCUGCACAUGAUAUCACUAUCAUAAUCUCCAAAGUAGUUAACAAAUCCAUCCGACUGGUUCAAUGCCCUAAGAAGCAAUUUUCACGAAUUCGAUUAAAUCGGUAAAUUUUCAUUUACCGAAUUCAAUUCGGAUUGAAUUCAAAUUCGAUAUUUUCUAUUUCGAAUGCGAAUUAGGUCGAAUAUUUCCAGAAUCAUUUACCGAAAAUUACCCAUUUCAACCUAACGAAUUACCGACUUCGAAUUCGAUGCUCACCUCUAGGUCAGACCAUGUUAAUUAUUUUUCUCUUUAUAAUGUGGAUUGAAUUGAUCGUAAUUUUGAAUUGUUAUAUAAAAUAAAAAAGAAUAUGAAAAACAGCCAACCAACAAUGCUAGGUCAACCAUAAAACAAACAUUAAUCAAAAUAUUGGCUUGAUUUUUUUUUGAAAUUUGUGUUCUUGCUUUUGUAUUCAAUUUUGAAAAUAUAGGAAAGAUAAAAUUUAAUUCAACAGAAUUAGUUAGUUGAUGUAAUAAUUUCCUCAAUUCAUCUCGGUCUAAAAUUAAGUCGAGUAUUUAAGACCCUGUUUUCAUUUGCUUUAAAUUUUACAAAAUUUAAUUACAAAAAUUGAUUGUAGAAAAUAAUCAGAAUCAACAAAAGUUACUCUUCAGCUGAUUAUAGAUUUUAAUUUUUUUUAUUAUUAAAAAAGUUCAAAUUAGAAAGUAAAAACAACCAAAAACACAACAAAAACUUAUUAUCCAAAAUUAAAAUAUAUAAUCAUUUAAAAUAAUUAAAUUGAGAACAAGCCCAAAAUUGGUUAGAAGUAACACUAUGCUUCGUCUGGUGCUAUUUUUACAAUGACACUCAAAGGGCCUUCAACUAAGAAUUGGACCUCAAAGCCCACUAAUACAAAACACCUCCAUUCAUGUUUUUUUUUGGGAUAAUUUCAAAAACCUCCCCUAAGGUUUUCGAUAAUUUUAUUCGGCUCCCUUAAGGUUUACAUAAUUAUAGAGACCUUCCUUGUUAUGAUAAAAAGACAAUAAUGCCCUUUAUUAAUUGUCAACUCAUUGAAAAACUCUAUCAACUAUUAAAACUCUCUCAUCUACUAUUAACCAAUAAUUCAAACCACAGUCUUUUAUAUUUAACUACCUAUUCUCUUUCUCAUAUAUCUAUUUUUCUUUCAAACUCAUUUAUUUAUUAUUAUCAACUAAAUGUGUACUAUCGCUACUAAUAAAAUCACCAUGCACAUUAAACCACCAAUGCUUAUAUAUCUUUCCCAAUCCUCGAUUUGCCAUUAUUAGUAAAUAGUUUCCUUGCACCCAUUUUUGUUUCCAAUUUUUGAUAGGUAUUAGCAAAUUGAAAUUAUCAAAUGACAAAUUGAGUGUUAAUUUCAUUGUCAAAUUAAAUGGAGAUGAAGAUAGUAACAGUGAUAAAAAAAAUAAAAAUUAAGGAUAAGAAAUGGAAUAGGAACUAAAAAUAGGUUAUAUUGUUAUGGUUAUCAUGAAAAAAAAGUUCUUGAUAGAUAUUUAUAACUGCAUUGUGUUUCCAUUUUUUAUUUACAAUUAUUGAUAUUAUUCCUUUAGAGAGAAUUUGAUUGAUUUUGAAUUUUGUACCAAUAGAAUAUAUAAGAUAUUGAUAUUAAUAGUGAUGAUUUAGAUUAUUCUGUAGUAAAAAGGUGGCGGUCAUGUAAUUGAAAUUUAGGGAUAUUGAUGAAUAUUGUAGUAUUAAGUAAAAUCUGAUAUUGUUAUGAAAUUGUAGGUAAAUUUUUGGGUAUAUGAUGUAGCAUUUAAAGUUGAUACAAUGGUUUGCAUCAGAAAUUUUUAGGUAAAAUAGGAACAUUAGAACAAAGAUAAGUGUUUAGUUAGUGGUGAUUUGAAUGUUGAUAAGUAGGUAAUAGUGGUAGGAAAUAAAUAUAAAUGAAAUAGAGACUGUAAAUCAUUUUUUCCUUUACAUUUUUGUUGUGAAUUAUAACUCAGGAGCAUUAUAGGAAUUUUAGAAAAAAGUAUAGCCUUUUGGGUCUAGAAUGUUACUUAAAUAGGAAAAAUAGGGGAGAUAGGUGUAAUUUUUAGAAAUUGAGGGGAGUUUUCCUCAAUUGUUAAAAACCUUAGGAGAGAUAUGUGAAAUUAACCCUUUUUUUAAUCCCACAUGAAGAGCGGCCCAAUCAAUAAUCCACACAAAGCCCUGUAUAAACUCUCCAUCAAAAACCCUAUUCCAUUUCCUUUUCUUCGUCGUUGCGUCUUCUUCUGCUUCUCUGCUCGAGUUGACAAUGCUUCAUCUAGUGCUAUUUUUUCAAUGAGACUCAAAGCCUAGUAAUACAAAAACACCUCUAUUCAUGUUUUUUUUUUGGGAUAAUUUUAGAAACCUCCCCUAAAGUUUUCGAUAAUUUCACUCGGCUCCCUUGAGGUUCACAUAAUUACAGAGACCUCCCUUAUUGCGAUAACAAUACAAUAAUGCCCUUUAUUAAUUGUCAACUUGUUGAAAAACUUUAUCAAAUAUUAAAACUCUCUCAUCUAUUAUUAACCAAUAAUUCAAAAUACAGUAUUUUCUAUUUAACUAACUAUUCUUUUUCUCAUAUAUCUAUUUUUCUUUCAAAUUCAUUUAUUUAUUAUUAUCAACCAAAUGUAUACUGUUGGCAGUUGCUACUAAUAAAAUCACCAUACACAUUAAACCACCAAUACUUAUAUAUUUUGGUAUGUAUUCCCAAUCCUCAAUUUUCCAUUAUUAGUAAACAGUUUCCUUACGCCCAUUUUUGUUUCCAAUUUUUGAUAGGUAUUAGCAAAUUGAAAUUGUCAAAUGACAAAUUGAGUGUUAAUUUCAUUAUCAAAUUCAAUGGAGUUUUUCAUUAUCAAAUUAAAUUGAGUGUUAAUUUCAUUAUCAAAUAGUAGUGACAGUGAUAAAAAAAUAAAAAUUAAGGAUAAGAAGUGGAAUAGGAAUUGAAUAUAGGUUAUACUGUUAUGGUUAUCAUGAAAAAAAGUAUUCUUGGUAUAUAUUUAUAAUUGUAUUGUGUUUCUUUUUUAUUUACAAUUAUUGAUAUUAUUCCUAUAGAGAGAAUUUGAUUGAUUUUGAGCUCUGUGCCAAUGGAAUAUAUUGGAUAUUGAUAUUAGUAGUGAUGGUUUAGAUUAUUUUGUAUUAAAAAGGGCAGCCAUGGUAUUGAAAUUUAGGAAUAUUGAUGAAUAUUGUAGUAUAUUAAGUAAAAUCUGAUAUUGUUAUGAAAUUGUAGGUAAAUUUUUUGGGUAGAUGAUGUAGCAUUUAUAGUUGAUGCAAUGGUCUGCAUCAAAAAUUUUUAGGUAAAAGAGAAACAUUAGAAUAAGGAUAAGUGUUUAUUUAGUAGUGAUUUGGAUGUUGAUAAUUAGGUAAUAGUGGUAGGAAAUAAAUAUAAAUGAAAUAGAGACUGUAAACCAUUUUUUUCCUUUACAUUUUUGUUAUAAAUUAUAACUCAAGGGCAUUAUAGGAAUUUUGGCAAAAAGUAUAGCCUUUUGGGUUUAAAAUGUUACUUAAAUAGUAAAAAAAUAAGAGGUAGGUGUAAUUUUUAGAAAUUAAGGAAAGUUUUCUGCAAUUGUUAAAAACCUCAGGGAGGUAUGUGAAAUUAACCCUUUUUUUGGUUUAAUCGGCCCAAUCAAUAAUCCACCCAAGGCCCUAUAUUAGAGCUGGCAAAAAAGCCCAAAAUUUAACAACCCGCCCAAUCCGCCCAUUAAUUUUAAAUGAUGGGUUAGGUCAAUUGGAUUAUGGAUUUUGUUGGAUUGGGUAAGAACAACCCAAUUUAUUCCUUGGACGGGUUGGAUUUUUUAUUUGGGUACCCAAUAUCCAACUUGUUUAAAAGUAAUUCAAAAUAAUAAAUACAAGAUUCAAUAUACAUAUGUCCAACUAUUUGCAUUUGGACAUGUGUUAAUAAUUCAUUCAUUAAUUUGUAUUCAAAAUUCUCAUAUAUAUAUAUAUAUAUUAAUCAAUUUUUAAAUUUUUAUUUAAAAGAAAAAGGAAACUUGAAAUAAAAGCUCAUGUUUAUUUUACUUUUAUAACAGCAGUUAAACUUGCUCAACUUUUAUAAUAAUUUAUUAUGCCUUUUAAGAGUAUGUUGUUUUCCUCCCCCUCUUUUUUUUUAUUGUUCUCAAGUUGCUACUUGCUUUUGUUUGUUAAUAUUUCGUGUACGUCUAAUAUUGUACAAAUUUCUUUUUUUAACCUUUUAGGAUUAUAUAAUUUCGGAUUCUUCAAAUUAACAAACAAAAGCUUACUUUGUGUCAGCCUAACUUUUCAAUAAUUCAAAAUAGGAUUAAUCUUUCCUAUACUGACUGUGUAUACACUAUCAGCGUCAGUGUAAGAAAGAUUUACUCUUCAAAAUAAUGCGAUCCCGAUAUGAUAAAAAUAUCAGAAUAGUUCAUGAAUUCUCCUCUCAUUUAUUUCUUAAAAAGUUUGGGAUUUUCCUUAACAAUUUUUUGGGGACCAAUACCAGUUUUACAAGCAUAUAAAUAUUUUCUGCUUUAUAUCAGAGUUGUGGUAAUUCUAAAAGGUGGUAAUUCUAAAAGAUUAAUAUGACCAUAGCAUCAAGUAUGAUCCUAGAUAAUUCUAAUUAAUCAGGUGAUGAAUUAUCUAACUAUAUCUAUAAAAAAAAUACCUUCUAAUAUAUCAUAUAUGUAUAUAGAUCAUGAUAUUAACUUUGAAUCAAUAUAGUUGACUUGCGGAUUCUAUUUUAUUUUGAUUAAUUAUGGCAACUUGGGCAUGGCUAGUUCAACGAUUUCAAUUUCGUCUGAAGCAAAUACCUCCAAUCUUCAAUUUCAUGAGAAGUUUGGAAUCAGCAAGACAAUUAAUUUUCCCUCUUAAUUACCGAGUCCAAAAACCAAAAUACAAUAAUGUCUCUAGUCAUUUAAUAAGUUUUAAUCAAUUAGUAGUAUUAAAAAGUAUAAAGUAAACAUUUUUUUUAGCUAAUCUAUUUAAAUGUACAAUUUAUUAUCUAAAAUUCACAAUAUAAGCAAUAUAAAAUAUUAUUCUAUUUAUGAUAUGUUUUCAAGGAAUUUAAGAAGUGAAUGUGUGUGAAAAUACAUUUAUGUGUGUGAAAAUAUAUUUAUGUAUGUAAAAAUGUGUUUAUAUGUGUGAAAAAAAUCAUUUUUGUAUGUUAAAAUGUAUGUAAAAAAGUUUUGUAUUAAAAUAUAUUAAUUAAUAUGUUUGAUCAUAUUUGGGUCAUGUGUUUGAAAUAAUUCAAUAUGAUUCAAUCCAAUUUAAAGUUGGACGGGUUGCAUAUAAUCCAUUUAAGCGAAAACCCAAUAUUAAUUCCCCUAAAACCCGUCCAAGCUGCCGAUUGCCAGGUAUACCCUAUAUAAACCCUCCAUCGAAAACCCUACUUCAUUCCCCUGUCUCCUUCGCCGCUGCUUCUCCUUCUGCUUUUCUCCUCCGUUACAGAAUACCAAAUCAGGUAAUUGCCCCAACAACUCCAUUAAUCUACUUUUAUGUUCAUAUUUCUGAUUAAUAAUUUUUCACCAUUUUCUGUUUGUGGGAUAAAGGAAAAUGAGUAAAGGAAGCAGUGGUGCCGCUCUCAAGGGAGGGAAGAAGAAAGGAUCGACGUUCGUGAUUGAUUGUUCGAAGCCGGUGGAGGAUAAGAUCAUGGACAUUUCCUCACUGGAAAAGUACCUUCAAGAGCGUAUCAAGGUCGGCGGGAAGGCCGGCGCUCUUGGAGAUUCCGUCUCCGUUGCUCGUGAUAAGACUAAGAUUACCGUCACCACUGAGUCCAGCUUCUCCAAGAGGUAAAUUUUUUCGCUGAUUUUUCUUUGAUGAAAUUCUCCCUUUUUUCUUUCUAUUGAAUCUUAUAAUGGGUCUGGCUUCUAUUUGUAUGCCAUUUUGAUAUCUGCUACUGAUUCUUUGAAGUCGCCAUUGCCACUCAUUUGAUUCGAAUUUUAAGUUAGUAUUUGCUUCUUUUUCUGGAUGGACAUUUUGGUUUUAUCUGCUUUGUGCUCUGGAUGAGCCUGAUCUAUUCUUGCUGUUUUAGUUUUGGAUGUGUCCUUCAGAGACCAGCAUUUUAAUAUUUCAGUUGAUUUGAGCAGGUCUGAGCCUAUGGGACCUAAUCAUUUGAUUAUUUUAUUUUAGUUGAUCUUUUAUAUUUUUAGUUGAGCAGGUCUGAGCCUAUGGGUAUUAAUAUUGGAUUUUGACAAAUACUGGAUUAAACUUUUGUGGUUAUCGUAUAAAGUUUGUUAUGAGGAACGGAUUGAUAUGAUAAUGAGACCAUUUCUACACCCUGCAAUAAUCUCCACCGCAACACCCCCCCCUCUUUUUUCUAAUUUCACGGAAAAAUGAAAAUACAAAAAAUCCACCUAACAUGUUCAAAGUUUUCUUGAUGACUGAAUAGUCUUCUGUGAUUAAAAAUUCUUCUCCAGUUUACUUAAUGUGAAACUGGAUGACAAUGGUGCUUGUUUCGUGACUCUUACAUAUGGUAUCACUCGGAAGUGGAGAGAGGUGCCGGAUUUACGAGUCUUUUUUUUUUUUGGCUCAGGAAGAGAAAGCUGUUGAAAUCUGUUGUUCUGUACUAUUAUUUGUUGAGACAAUUUGUUUUCUGAUUGGCCCUUGGACUUCUCUAAACUGAUGGUUUUCAUGUGCCGUUUCUUGUCGACAGUUUCCUCAGCUAGAGGAUCCUUUCGUCAAAAUUUUGUGCUCUAAAGUACAGCUUUACUUAUAGGUUGGUCUUUUGUUUCUGUGGCUCAGGUAUUUGAAGUACUUGACAAAGAAGUACCUAAAGAAGAACAAUGUGCGUGAUUGGCUCCGAGUGAUUGCUUCCAACAAGGAUCGGAGUGUGUAUGAGUUGAGAUACUUCAACAUUGCUGAAAAUGAAGCUGAGGAAGAAGAUUGAUUAGGAGGAUAGAUCAUUUAUCCAAGAGUCAGCCUUGUCAAUUUGCGUAAUCUGUAGCUUUACUCUGGCUAUUGUUUCUUUCAGUGACAUUAUUUUUGAGUUACGUAUGUGUAAUUUGAAAUCCUGCAAAUUUUGUUAUUUCCCCUUUGGGAAACCUGAAUGAGAGACGCAAUCAUAUCAGAUUAGAAACUGUACUGAAAUUGGUUUUUGCAAAGCUCAGACUCGUAUGCACUUAUGUUGAUAACGUUACUGAUGUCUAGAUCACUGGCUUGAUUCUGGACUUGAUAAUUAUUAUCAGUAACUUGUUCAGUAAAACUGCAUUUGCUGGUGGAGUGACUGUCAUGGAUAACUAGUACUGUGACAAGUGUUGCACCGGACACAAUACCAGGCUCUAGUAGGAGUAUGUAAAGUUAUUAUGUGGGUAAAGUUCAUGAACUGCUUUUGUGUACCUUUGCUGAUGCGAAGAAGAUUGGUAUGCUUUUGUCUUUUUUCCUGCUAAUGGUGUUGAAAGAUGUAAAAUUGGCGGAGGGCAAUAUUUUUUUCUCAAAAGGAGAAACAUAUGAUAUUAAUUCCCGAUAUUCACAAGACCAUCACAUUUUCGUAACAAUAAAAAGACGGGAUUAGUCUAUGAGUUCAUGCAAGUAUGUCAUACCUCAAUGGAGAAAUGUAAGAUUAACCUUUUGUUUUGUUUUGUUUUUUUUACUAUCCUGUUCAACCUCACAUAAUCAUCAUCGGACCCACACCAAUAAUGUCAUCAUCGGAUUGGAUCCAUUCCGCACCAAUAUUCUGCGUGCAUCGUUGACUCUUCAACAUUGCCAUCUUCCUUUCCAUUUUUUGUUAACACGAUCAUACCUUUUAUUUUAGACUACUUCUAUUCUCCGUUAAAGACUCCAAGAAAGGGUAACCAAAAUUUCAAGAAGAAGAACAAGACAUUGGAGAGGAGUUGAGUACUGCAGUUCAUCAGAAAGUGCUGUAGGCUUUCCUUUAAGCAUAAUUCGUGUUUCUGAUUUGAAAUGUUUAAGAAUUCAUGUGCAGCCUAUGGAUGUUUUGGGAUUUUGUUUCUUAGUCUUCCUGUAGGCUUUCCUUUAAGCAUAAUUCGUGUUUCUGAUUUGAAAUGUUUAAGAAUUCAUGUGCAGCCUAUGGAUGUUUUGGGAUUUUGUUUCUUAGUCUUCCUGCAUUUUACCCUUCUCCAUUUCCUUGGUGAUUUAUUUGCAAUCCUUGUGAUUGUUUGAUGGCUAUUAUAAAUGGUAAAAAAGUGAAUUUCGUUAAACGUUUUCACCCCUAGUUGUGUAAAUCUGAUGACCAAUUGUGUUUAUCAAAUGCUGUUGGAAGUAGGAACUAAGCUUGGAAAGGGAAAUGUUUUACAUUUCUGGUUAUUAAUGUCUAGAGAGACUUCUGGGUUUUGUUAAUGGCUCGUUUGCUGUCUUUAGACGUCUUAUUUUUGGAACUCAUCUACAAAACUCAACAGAAAUCACUACAAUGGCUGAAAAAAUUGAAGUACUAUUACUCCCCUUCGCCUUCUUACCAGCCGGCUCAGUAGUCUUCUUCUUCUUCUUUUUUUUUUUCAAGUAUAAAUGUAGGCGGGAGGUCUCGAAUCUGGUAUCUCUAACUUACACUCUCUCCCGCGCACGACCCCGCCGCAGCGGGGCUUAGUAGUCUUUGGUUUUAAUAAUCUCUGCAAGAUCAGUAAUCUGACUUGUUUGCAAUACUUGUCUGACCAACAGAUUCUGUUUGACAGACUGUGAAAUUGAGAGAUUGACGAGAGUGUUCAGUAAGCAAACAUAACUUGUUUGGUUUAAGAGAACUCAAAGAUGGACAGAUCUCGUGUGUGGACACCAUCUGACGGUAAUGGACAAAAUGUAAGCUCACCAAUCUCAAACUAUAAGCAGAUACGAUCAAAUAGAUCUUUACUGGUUUUUUUUUUUUUUUCUCUUCUUUGGGAUGUUUUCUAUUAACAGGGCAAGAUUACAUUUUGGAGCUAUUGUGUCAUUUGUUGUGUACUGCUCAUUUACACUUCUUCAGAGAAGAUAGGAAUCCUUAUGUAAGUGCUGCUCAUACUAUAUGUCUAAGACUCUUUAUGGUAAGUGGGAAUUUGAUUUUAUUGGACCCCAUGGAUAAGCAAAUCAUUGGUUUCGGUAGCUUAGAUUUUAGAUCAUAUAUAUAGAUAUCGUUCAUUUGUAUCAGCUUCUUUUUCAUCCUCGUACUAGGAACUCAAGAAAACUAGGAAAUUAUAGUUUCAAAAUUGCUGCUGACAAUAUCGGAACAAUACGGCCAUUGGAGAAAGCAUGUCAUUUCAAUAAAAUAUAUCAGCUAGGGGACUCAAUAGCUGAUACCGGAAAUCUUGUUCGAGAGAGUCCCUUCGCAGUGGUUAUCCUUUCGCCCAUCUUCCUUACGGAGAAACAACCUUUGGAUUUCCUACUGGUCGAUGUUCUGAUGGCCUUCUUAUGAUCGACUACAUCGGUAUGUAGUUAUUCGAACUAAUUUUUUGAUUCCCGUUUCUUUCUUAGGUGAAUAAUUUCUUUCAGUUAUACGUAUUUAGUUUUUUUACUUGAUCAAUGAAAAAUGUAAUUCUUGCAACAUGAAUUUCCUCUUUUGUCGGUUUUCGAAGUUCAAUCUGUCAGUCUUGCAUGCCUAAUUUUGUUCUCCAACACCCCCCCCCCCCGGGAACAAAAAAAUGUUCAAUAAUACCUGGUAAUGAGGAUCACAAAUUUUAUUUUACAGCAUUGGCAGCUGGUCUCCCAUACCUGGAACCCUCCAUGAAAGAGGAUGGAAACUUCACCACUGGGGUAAAUUUUGCUGUUGGCGGCAGUACUGCUUUACCAAAAGAGGUGUUGGAAGCUAAAGAUAUUACCAAUCCAAUAUCCAACAGUUCACUUAGUGUACAGUUGGACUGGAUGUCCUCUCAUUUCGCCUCUAUUUGCCAUACCAAAGAAGGUUUGCAAAACAAUCUUUACCAACUAGGAACUAUAGCUAACGUGUUAAAAGCAAUUAUCCUAUGUUUGUAUUCUUAAUUUUUGAUCCAGGAUGCCGUAAGAUGCUUGAAAAAUCUCUUUUCUUCGUUGGAGAGAUUGGUGGUAACGAUUAUAAUGUGCCAUUCCUCGAAGGAAGAAGCAUGAAUGAGUUAACUGCCUUAGUGCCAGGAGUCGUCCAAAGUAUUACCAAUGCUAUCAAGGUUAGUUUUUUCCCUCUUUUCAUUUGGUAUGUCUUUAACUCAUUCAAAAUUCGUAAAUUCCCCUGGUAGCAGUUUCAACUAGACAUUCAAAAGAUUACCUAUUUCACUUGUUCAAGUCAGGUUAACUUGCACUGGGGUAAAGAAACACUGAUAACACAGUUUUGAUCCUAAUAAAAUUUUUCUGUUUCAGAGAGUCAUUGAUUUUGGGGCAACUCGAAUUAUUGUCCCAGGAAACUUCCCAAUAGGUUGUAUUCCAGUUUAUCUUGCUUACUUUCAGACAAACGACACAGCAGCAUAUGAUGAACAUCAUUGUCUGAAAGACUUGAACAACUUCGCCGAGAUUCACAAUCAGCUUCUAAAAGCAUCCAUCAAGAAAUUGAAGAAAGAUUAUCCCAAAGUUGUCAUUGUCUAUGGUGACUACUACAAUGCCUAUUUGUCACUCCUGUCCAAUGCCCGAAGUCUAGGUACGUUUGUUACAAUAACCUUUUCUUCAGCAUGUUAGUAGCCAAGAUUGCUGAAUAGUUUCUGGGAUAAUUCUUGUAGGAUUUGAUGAAAAUUCUUUACAAAAAGCUUGUUGUGGAACUGAGCCAUAUGAUUGCUCUAGUGGCAAGUUCUGUGGCACUCCUGGAGUUAAAGCUUGUCCAAGACCUGAUAAGUACAUAAGCUGGGAUGGAGUUCAUUCCACGCAACAAGCAUACAAGUACAUGACAGCAUACUUGCUGGACUCUAUCAUACCUCAGUUAAAGUGUCAUUCUUCAGCUCUAGAUGCUCGAAUGAAUAAUCAAGCAGUAUUCUAAUUUUUCAUAUUCUUCAACGUUUUGCUAGAUUAUCUGAUAAGGGCCUUUUUCUUUUCCAUCUUUUUGGGGUCCCCUCUUGAGGGCACACUUGUUUUGAUCAUUUUGAAGAAUAGCUAGGAUCUGGCCUUUAAACUAUCUCAUGUCUCAUUAAUUUUGAUUAUUACUUGCUUCACAUAAUUCAGUGCUUACUUUAUUCACUUUACCUUACUUUUUUUCCCACAUAAUAUUUCUUCUUGGUUUUUAUAUUUUUUUCCGUAGAGGCCAAUAGGGUGUCAACAAAUAUCUAAAAAAUAUAUCUUCAUCGUCUGGGACAUAGUAUGUACUUCAGGACUAUGACUUUGCCUUUCUGCAAGAAACAUCGACAGUGGAGCUGAGAAUCUUGUUCCCAUGCGCGAGUACAAAAUACUAAUGCAGGUAGGCUGAGGUUUUGGAAGAAGAUUGAAUAGGAUGUACAAUUAUUUCAUCUGCCUAACCAUUCUUUUGCAUCGUAAAUCAUCAUCAAUCAUCAUCUUCCACUCCCCUGAUUCAGCCCUUAAAAAUGCUCCAUAAAGAGGGUAACAAAAAUUUCAAGGAUAGAAUGCUGGACACGAGUUGAUUACUGCAGUUCAGUUCAUGGUAACUGACACUGGAGUCAACCGCCACCACCGAAACCAUCACUGACAAAGUGCUGUAGCCUCUCUUUUUUAGUUCAAUUUCUGCAUCUUAUUUGAGAUUUACUUUAGCUUAAUGCGCAACCUGUGGAUGUUUUGGACUUCAGUAUUUGUAGUCUUCUUGAAUUUGCAGCUUCAUGAUUUUCAUGGUCAUAUAGGUUACAGAAAGACUGAAUUUGGUUGAAUUGAAAGUUUUGGGUACAGAAAUGAUCAGAUUUGAUCAAAUAAAAAUGCCAAAGUUAAAAUAAAGGGUUGCUCGCUGCUUAUUAUUGAAUCUUGGAUUUUUUUUUUCCCUUUGUGCGUCAGAUUUGAGUGUAUGACAAGGGUAGAAAAAAUUGGCUACAAUGGCCAUGGCAAGAAUGAGAUUUAGAAGAGUGGCAAUACCAGUCUCCGUCCUAAAACCUUUGCUCUAGCAUUCUCAUCAUUCCUGAAUCCAAUCCGUACCACCUCUGCCCCAUAAAUGGAAUCCAUGGAAAUCAAUCCGCGAUUCACAAAAUCGAAAAACAUACAUAAACAUAGAAAAUCGAACAAACCAAAAUAAACAAAAAGGGCAAACUGAGGAAUUGAAGUUUGGUUGAUAACAACCAUCAUGGUCAGAAGACCUCAGCACCACUAAAAUCCCCUGGAAAGUGUUGUAAUUUUCCUUAUCUCUUCUACUGCCUGAUAGGACAACUGGACAAGGAAUUUUCUCUCUUCUUUUCCUCAUUUGUUUACUGCUAUUUUUGUAAUGAAAUCCGUUAUUUACUGCAUUGCUUAUUUUCUGUUUUUGAAAAAUUCUUGAACUAAGUAUGGAAGGUGGCAAAGUAGGAACUUCUCAAUAUGCAUGUCUCUGAUUCUGAUAUAGAUUUGUAUCUUCUUUAACUUGUUUCUUUCAUAUAAUUCUCUCUUAUGAUGGAAAACCAUUGUCUGCAACAAUCUAAACAACUUCUCCAUGUAUCGCACGCGAUGCGCGCUUAAAACAUGCCAUGGAGGAGUUUGAAGACAGAUUACCCCAGCACAACAAUUGUUUGUGGUGACUACGCAGUAGCCAUAGAGGUAAGCUAACAAUUCUGCCUGGCAUUCCUGGGGUGCCUGAUCGUCCAGACUCAAAACAACAAGAAUACUAAUGUACGGCAGCUGAUGAAACCACAUUUUUAUAUGUUUAUGCUUGAUUAAGACUAAUCAAAGAAGCAGGCCACUUGUGUGCAGGGAUUUCUUGACAUGAUUAUUAGAAAUUUAAGAUUUCACAAUUAAUAUUGACUGGUAGGUGCUAACAGAUGACCAUAAACAAACCAAAGGUGUAAGAAAUUGGAAUCAGUUCAUUGGAUUCCCCAUUUUUGCAGAGGAAAGAAGGGAUGGUUGGUACUCCAUCUAUUGUGCAUGAGCUCUAAUAAUCCCGCAGUUCUGCUCUUUGAGAGGAAAUACAGUUUCUUCAUUGCACAAAAUCAAUUAACUGACAAUAGCUCCUGUAUAAAUACUUUAAACAUUGAGAAUUCUAUGAUAAGCAACCAAAGAUGGAAGGCUUCAAAUUUUACAUAUUAUUGAUGCUUGCAGAUUUCAAAUAUUUGGCAGUAAUCUGCCUUAUUUUAUUUAUUAUCUACAUGUUGUGCAAAUCAAAUAGAGUUUACCUCAUUGACUUUGUAUGUUUCCGUGCACCUGACGCAUACCGAGUUCCAAUCUCUGGUCUAGUAGAACACUUGGAUUGCAUGGGUACACAAACAUUUGAGUUUCAGAGGAAAGUUUUUGAAAGAUCAGGCAUUCGUAAUGAAUCCUACUUACCUGCAGGAAUUCGUAAACUUCCUUGUGAUCGUUCGUUAAAUUCCACAAUUGAAGAAGUUGAGAUGGUUCUGUUUUCAAUAGUUCAGCAGCUUUUCACCAUCCACAAGAUCAAUCCGAAAAGCAUCGACUUCCUCGUUACGAAUUGCAGCCUCACCAACCACUGCCCCUCUUUGGCUGCAAUGAUCAUAAACAAGUUUAGAGCUUCAAUCUUUCUGGCAUGGGCUGCAGUGCAGGGAUUUUGUCAAUCAGCCUAGCGAAGGACUUGCUCAAAGUGCACAAAAAUUCCACAGCUCUAGUUCUCAGCACGGAAUCAGUAAGUGCCAAUGUAUACGAGGGUAAAGUCAAGUCUAUGCUUCGAAUGGGAGGAGCAGGGAUUCUACUAUCAAAUCGAAAUUCAGACAGACGAAAAGCGAAAUACGAAUUACAACAAAUUGUCAGGACCACUCUCAGUUCCAGGACAGGUUCUUAUGAGUAUGCGAUGCAGGACCUGAUGAUGAAGGCUAUAUAGGAGUCUCCCUUUCAAGGGCUAUACUUCAAGUUGCAGGGGAUGCCCUGAGGAUUAACUUGUUAACAUUAGGUGCAUUGGUGCUGCCUUAUUGGGAGCUAGUUCGAUAUGGACUAGACAUAAUAUGGAAGAAAAUCUGGGCUCCUGCUAGAAAAAGAGGUCCAUCUGUACCAAAUUUCAAGAGGGCUUUCAAUCAUUUCUGCAUACAUGCAGGUGGAAGCGCAAUAAUAGAUACCAUUAAGGACAAACUAAAAUUGACAGAGAGGGAUGCUGAAGCCUCAAAAAUGACUCUUUACAGGUUCGGAAACAUCUCAUCUUCAUCGACGUGGUAUUCAUUAAGCUGUCUAGAGGCCAAGGGGAGAGUCAAAAAGGGUGACAAGAUUUGGCAGCUGGCUUUUGGUAGUGGAUUCAAGUGCAAUAGUGCAGUUUGGAAGUGCAUUUCAGAGCUCAAACCAGACAAUGCCAAUGCUUGGUCAGACAGGAUUGAUCUGUAUCCAGUAAAAGUACCAGAUGUAAUCGACCAUUAAGUAUCCAUGGUUUGCCAGAACCAAAAAAAAAAAAAAGAAAAACAGCAACUGAUCGUUGCAUAUACUAAAUAUAUGAAGCUGGCUAAAACAAUGAAAGGAAGAUGUUUACCAGUUUCUUUUUUCCCAACCAUAUUCUAUUGAAGGAAUAUGAACGUUAAGAAAUGUACCCUAUUGAAGGAAAAAUUGAACGUUAAUCAGGUUGUAGUCUUAGCAUCGUCUUUUCAAAUGCAAUUCUUGAUAAUUACAUGCUUCCAAAUUUGUCUGUAGCAAUCUUAAAUGUAUUAAUUUAGUGUUGUACAUUUUAUAAAAUAUUUUACAGUAAAUGACCUUAUCAAUAAUAUAGUUUAGGGAAGAACUAAAUUAAAGCGCUAGCUUCAUCUCAAAAAAUUUUAGUUUUGAACAUAAAACAAAAGACAACGUUUUGUGCAGUUACAUCGAAUAUGUUAACUUUCGAAGAAUUAUAUGAUCUUCUAUUUGAAAAAAAAAAAAACAUUUCAAAAUAGAAUAUGUUUGGUUUCAAUAUGUAGGGUAAAUAAUAUUCAGACAUUAUGAUUGUUUUAUGUAUAAUUAUAAAGAAAUUUAAUUUGUUAAACACAAAGUAAAAAACGAGGAACAAGUAAACAUUUCCAUAUGUGUGUUUCGGGUUACAAGAUUUUUGCUUAUCUUGUAACUCUCCCAGAAUUCUAACCACUCCAUGAGGUGCGAUUUGUAAAAAUGGGGAACUAUACGAUUAGCAUCGAUAGCUUUGUUUGGAUUGUAUUUUUCUGGAUUUUUUGGAGAAAAAUUACUGUAACGAUUUGAUAUAUGUGAGAUAAAAAGAUGAUUGAAAAAUAUAUCCACGAAAAGGAAAAAUUGCAAUCCAAACAAGACUAGAUCUAUGCAGCUUUUCUAAUCUUUUUGGUUGCUAAAACGAACUUCUUCUACCUUAAUUCUCAUUUCUGACAAAUUACGUAGUCCAAUUGUCUCAAAUGAACUCAGCAACAGUUGAAAAAAAUAGUUGUUGACUAAGUUUCACUUCUAGUAUAUCCUCAAAGAUUAAUACCCAUAGCUACUUUAGUCAUAUAAAAUAUUUAGCAGUUUUGAUCCUUAAAAAGUUAAUGGUUAGGAGCAAAGUGUAUAUACUUUGACUUCAAGAGGGCAAAGUGUAAUUAACCCUUUUCUUUAAGUAAGUACACUUGUAAACUAAAACUCGUCACUUAAAAAUCUUGCCUAUAUGCUAUACCCUUAUAAUUUAUAGGUUCAUAUGCAUAACUCAGAAGGACAGCCCUGUCUCGUGUCAAAAUGUUUGGACUUCCGUAGAAUCCUACGUAGAACCCCAAUUUUAGGGUUCUAAUAACAAUAAAUAAUGUGUGCAGGGUUAUAAAAUUGAAGGGAUAAAACAAACAUUCAAAAUAUAUGUGGGAGAAAAGAAAAUAAUUAACUCACAAUAUUAUUGAAAUCACAAACUAUAAAGAAAGUCACACCACAAUAGAAAACCUAACAAAUUCUUCUAGACUCUCUUAAGAAAAUAGUUUAAACUAAUGCCAGACUUGUUGGAAAAAAAACCACUUGCAUGAGAAAUUACCAAAUAAAACACAAAUUCCUAAAUCAUACAACUACCAAAAACCUAACUCCAAUAAAACUAAUAAAUAAAUAAAUAAAUAAAUAUUUCUAGACUUGGUUUAGUUUGCCAACAUUGUCUCUCCUAAACCAAACUCUCCAUUGAGGCAGGUCCAACACCAUCUCGAACAACAAUUUCUAUGCAAAUUUCUGUCGUUGUAUAGCUGACAUGCAAUUUCAUCUUGUUAUUGGUUAUUAACUUCAUCUUUACACGUGGCAGCGGGCGCACUUUGUAUUUUGCAAAUAAUUUUUCAGCAAUUUUUUCUUGAUCAAAGUACUCAUUCAUGCAAAUCCAUUCAUCACCAAAAUCACCAUAUUUACCACCAAUAUAAGUGCCCAAAAAUACAAAAUCAUAGAUUGCUCUCUUAUCAAAACUAUCAUCACCAAAUAAUUUAAAAUAUCCACAUUUGGAUAAUUAUCCAAAAUUUCAUACUUUCAGUCAACUCUUUUGGAGCAAAAUUUUUUGAAUUGCAAUGAAAUCCAUAUCUAUCAAAUCAAAUAUCUUUCCAUCAUCUUGAGGAGAGUCCAAACCAAUGAUUUUUUUCAAUGAUAAUUUCUUUUUCUUCACAUAGCAAAUCAGACUUCUUUUCUUCCUUUACCAUAUUAUUGCAGUUUUUUUCUUCAACAAAUUCAUCACUUCCAAUUUCUCCAAACAAAAUAUGCAAAUCAAAACUAUCAACUGAUUCAAAAUUUUCAAUAUCACCCAUAUUAUCAACAAAUCUAUCAUUCUCAAAAUUCACAAACCAUUUCCAACAACCAGACUUUGGUUUGAGAGCAUAAUUCUUCUCAAUCGUCUGAAAAAUAUAGUAAAUAUCCUUCUAAAAUCUCCAAGGUAUUUUAGUAUGACGAACAAAAGUUUUGUAAAUACAUUCUGCCAUUGUUUUACACAUCACUUGAAAAAAUAAUCGUGCCUUUUUCUUGAAAACAUGUUUUGGCAUGCAUCUCACUUGCAUCAACCCAACAAAGAAUGUCAUCCAAAUUACAUUGUUUGAGAUAUUUUUUCACUAUCAAAACCCAACCAAAAUAUCUAUGUCUAUUUGUCAUUAUGGGAGUCAAUAUGAAAAAUUUUUCACCAUCAAUCAGAUCUGUAUAAUAUUACAAUAUUUAACAAUUUAUAUACCCGAAUAAUUUUUUUUCUCCAUUCUAUCAAGUUUUCUUGGCCUCCCUGGUUGAUUGACCAAUUAAAUCUUUCAAUCUGACAAUCCGCAGCAAUCAAUAAAUCUGGCAGGACUCUUCUAUGGUCUCUGCCUUCACCUGUAGCAAUCUAACAAUUUUCGGACCAAUCUUAUGUUCGAAUUCUUCAUCAACUACACACUUCAGGACCAAUUUUGUGGUCAACCUCGAUUAACUGAAUACUUUUCAGCAAUUUUUUGGCCUUAUUCUCUAACAGCGGAAACGCCCAAAACUAACAUCAUAGUCUGGCUCUGAUACCAAUUGUAGAACCCCAAUUUUAGGGUUCUAAUAAUAAUAAAUAAUGCGUGCAGUGUUACAAAAUUGAAGGGAUAAAACAAACAUUCAAAAUAUAUGUGGGAGAGAAGAAAAUAAUUAACUUACAAAAUAUUAUUAAAAUCCCAAACAAUUAAGAAAGUCACACCACAAUAGAAAACCUAACAAAUUCUUCUAGACUCUCUUAAGAAAAUAGUCUAAACUAAUGCUUUAUUUAUAACCUACCAGACUUGUUGGAAAAAAACCACUUGCAUAAGAAAUUAUCAAAUAAAACACAAAUUUCUAAAUCAUACAACUACUAAAAAAAACUAAUAAAUAAAUACUUCUAGGUUUGGUUUAGUUUGCCAACAUCCUAAAUCAACUAUAAAACUUUUCCAGUAUUAUACUGAGCAAUAAUAGUUCUCUAGGUGGAUAGUGUUCAACAAUUUUGUUAUGCCGAAAAUAUACCGUAUAAAUUACUUACACAAGUGAAGUCUAUAAUGUGAAUUGGAUGUUUUAGUAAAUCACUACCUAUUUUGAUUCUUAUAUAAGUUUCAGUUAUGUCCACAUAAUAUCUUCUAUAAAUUUCGUCAAACUCAAAUUUUUCAACAAAAUGUUUAUCAUACUUCUGACAAAAUUUACACUACUAUUAGUUUACAUAAGACUUUUCUGUUGUUUUCUCCAGUAAUUGCAAAUCUCCUAAGUGGAUAAUUUUGACUUUCUAGGUUGGCUUAGGUUCUACAUUCAUAUAGUCUGAUUUGUGAAUGUAUUCUGGCAACGAGAGAAGUUUGGACCUAAGGAGGAAAAUGGUUAAUUGUGUAAGGGAGAGGUUGCUGAAAAUCGCUGUAGAACCCUAUCAAUAUAUUAAACACACAUAGAAUUUCUACUACAUCCAUAGGAAAAGCCCAAAAAAAAAGUUACAGAAAAUCAUAUCUACAUUUGCAGCUGCCAGGUAACCUACAUAAUCACAGCAGCAUUAACAGCUAUAUCUGCUCAAAGUCCAUUUCUCCCAUGCAUGAUUGAUAAUUGAUACUGUGAAAAUACCAUCUAAGAAAUAGAUGAGGGGCAAAGCAAAAUCUACUGCUGAUCGUGUAAAAGGGAGGCAUGUGAAAAAAGUGAGAUGGCAAUUCGUGAAGGAACAUGAAUCGUGAGUGGCAAAAUUGACAAGCAUGCAUCGACUAACGUGCUGCAUUGUGUGUGCAAAAUGGCAUCCCACAGACAAAAGAAAUGCAUAUUCCACUUCAUGUCUCUCAAUUGGCUAUCAAAUCCUUUAAGCCAUUGCUUGCAAAUUAAGGUACCCCUUUUGGCUCACACCUAUGUGGUCUCUGAAUUCUGAUUGAGGACAAGUACUGCUAUUAUUGCCCUUUACACAAUUCCAAUUUCCAACAACAACAAGAAGAAAGUAGUCAUCCUCCCCUCCCUCCCCCCCCCCCCCCCUUUACUUAUUUCACUAACCCUAUACAGAAAACAGUACUAGUUGCUACAAGUCUGCCAAAAAGAAACAAGUUCCCCACUUUCUUAGGGAAAACCCAAGUUUGAGUUAACUUGUGCUACUUUCUUGUGACUGCCAAAUCAAGUAGUCCAUUCUUGCAGUUGCUGCUGCACCCCACUUCAGCAUCAUCUUCCUGAUCUGAUCUGAUCUCUUCUGCUUCUUUUUCCCCCUGCAGAGACGUGUGUAUUAUCAGUCAUUGAAGAUGAUUUAGACUCCGUACUAUACGCGGGCAAUUUUCUUAGGCCUUAGCCGUUAGCUGUGCAAUGCAGAGGCUGAUUCUUCCAGUUGGGAAGAUAACCAGCAGAUGCUCUCAUCUCUAUGUAGUUCGAUAACAAUUUUCCUUUUUAAACUUUCUUAUUCUCUUGUCAGAGUAAAUCAUUGGGAAAAUCGUUCAAACCUCGUUCAAAUAAACAUUUUUCAUCUUUCAAUUUUAAAAUGUUAGCUUUACUUCCUCUGCAAAUUCAAGUUAAUAAAAUUUGAUCCCAACUUAAGUUGUGUUUGGAUUGCAUUUUUCAUGGAUUUUUCGGUGAAAAAUUACUGUGGUGAUUUGAUGUAUGUGAGGUAAAAAGUUGAUAGAGAAAUGUGUUCACGGAAAAUAAGAUCAUUUUUUAGUGAAAAAUGGCUAAGUUUUCGACAACUUUUGAACUUGAAAUUGCCACAUAAAUUAUAUGCAGUCAUUUUUAUAUAUAAAAAGAUCAGAUUUCACUUUUUAGUGAUAAAAGUGAAUAUAAAUUGGAUCAAAUUUCACAUUUCAAAUCCUACUUUUUAAAUGCAAAAUGAAUGUGGAUUGGAUUAUUUAUUUAAAUACAAAUGAGAUUUAACCAUUUUGCUCCUAAAAAAAAGAUAAUGUAUGGUCGCAUAACAAAUUUAGAGUAAAACGUGGUUAAAAACUUAAAUUAUGAUCAAAUUUUACCAACUAAAAAAAUUAAAUUAUGAUCAAAUUUUAGCAACUUAAUUUUGUAAAAAAUGUAAAGUUAUUAUUUUUAAAGUGAAUGGCAAAAAAAUUUAUUUGACAAAAUGUAAGGGUGUUUUGAAUAAUUUUUCCAAAUCGCUUUGAUGGUUUGGCCACAUUUUUUGGGUUUGUAAUUUGGCGUAUAAAAUAUACCGUGUUUUAAAGAACCAUACAGCAAAGUGCUUUAAGAGAGAUUUUGGUAAUUGCCUUAAUAAUUGUCAUUGUAUAUACCCUUAUUUACGUUAAAGCAAAUAAUAAAAAACUAUUACUAUACCCUCCAUGUUUUAAUCCUUCAUGCAAGCACUGCAAAACGGCGGUAAAAAAAUGUUGAUACGCAUAGUGGCUAUUUUGCACUCCAAACUUUGGGAUUUUAAGAAGAAAAUAAGCAUGAGAAUGACAUGGUUAAGCAGAAAUAUUAUACAAUUGAAGUACAUUUCACAAUUUUCAACCAUUUUUUUUUAAUAAUGCCAACCACCUUUAGUUAUGUUUUCGUGUACUUCUCAGAAUUUUUGCGUCGAGUAUGACUGAAGUACAAAAUAAGUACAAUUGGUACCAUUUCUUAACCGUUUCUUGCACCGUGAAAAUUCAUGAUGUCCAUCUUCAAAAUGGUAGAGAAAUUACACUAAAGCGCCAAACUUUCACAAAAGCAUGACAAUCCAUUUUAGCUAACGACACAUUUUAAAUUAGUUCAAAAUUUCAAGUAGAAAUUAAGACACCUUUUUCACUUUUAUAUUUUUCUGUGGUAUUCUUCUAGUAAACAAGUGGCCAAAUACAGCUCCUGCUGCUGCGGAGAAAGCCAUUGAAGGCAACCACAUACAGUGAUAAUUUGGUGGGAGGUCAAGAGUCAACACCACCAAGACUUGAGUGCUUGGCAGCGACCACCAAGUCAAAGGGCUAGUGGCCUAUUGGACUGUCAAUUGUCAAAUAUUGGCCUAAAUAUGUUGCUAAUGGACAGCAAUGCGAAUGGUGCACUCCGUUUGAAUUAACUGUUUUAGGAGUGUUUUUAAAAUAUUUUAUUAUAACAGUAUAUAUAAAAAACUUUUACGGUAAAUAUAUUUUUUGUGAUGUUUUUGGAGGAAUUUUUUAAAUAUAUUUUAGGGUAACUUUUAAAAUUAACUUAUUUUUAUGGUACUUCCAUUCCUUCUCCUUUUUCCUCUCCCUCCCUCUUCCCCCUUCCCUCCCCCCCUCCCCGUCCAGAUCGAGAGAGGCAGGAGAAGGCCGAGGGUGGCAGAAAAGGGAAGGGAAGGGGAAAAGGAAAGAAAGGGAAAGGGAGGUGGAAAAGGAAGGGGAUGGUGACGGUGAUGAGUGGUAGUGAUAUAUAUGAAAAUUAUUAUAGAAUUCAUUUUUUUUUAAAUUUUUUUGUGCAUGUAUGUGAGUUAUUUUUGAUAUAUUUUGUGGAUGAUAUGUUUUUUGAAUUGUUUUUGUUUAUAUGCUACUGUAGCAUACAGAAUUUUUACAAAAAUCAAGUACGAGUAUUUUGCAGUUUGCUAAUUGUGCUUGGAUAGAAGAUUAUUUAAAAAAAUUAUAUAGUAAUUUUUAUAAAAUGAUAUAUAUAAAAUAAAAUUUUAUUUAAAAAAUAUAUUUAUUAUGCAAGCAAAUGCUCUGAGGGUCAACCGUUAAGUGUCUACGGGAAAUGCCUUUGACUUUUUGUAAGUGUACUAUAAUACUCUGUAAUUGACAUCAAGUCAUCUAAACAAAGUGCAAAGUGAAAUGUUUCCAAGUUUUAAUUUAGAACCAUCUUUCUUCGUUAGGCAUCUAUGCCUCUUUAACAAAAGCUUCGAGCCAAUCACAUAAUACCACUUGACAUGAUAUAAAGUUACAUGGUACUACUGUCUCUUUUCUGGAAUUCAAUAUUGGCAUUAUUACUGGUGGAACCGAAGAUUGAGAUUUAGGGGACAAAACACACACACACUCACUGAAGGAGGCAUUCUUACAUGUUUCAAGAACUUUAGAGGCAAAGUUUAAUAUUUUCAAGGUACAAGUGAAAAGUCUUGAUUUUUUAAGGGGCACUUGAGAAUUUCUAAUAUCUUCAGGACUGCUGCCAGUGGGCAAAUCCUAACCCAUGCAAACAAAAAUAUUUUUUCCCUCAUUUCAAGAAUGUAUGUUUGGUUUGGUGGAGUGAAAAAGGUCAACAAAACCAAGCACAUUCCACUGGUAAAAUUUUUGAGAUCCAUGAUAAAUUCAUCAAGUUCUUGAGUACUGGUUUGGCUAAAGUCAUCAAGUUUUUUUUUUUUUCUUUGGCUCAAAUUCAUCAAGUUAUUAGGCCAUGACAUCAAAUUCUACACAAAAGUAGUCUUCUCUGCAUCUCUCUUGCAGCCAUAUAUAUAUCCUGCAAUUGUCUUCUGUUAGGAAAGCAGCCAGCAAGACGUCAGCCAGCCAGUUGGUUUUCUUAGUUUCAACAAGUCUUUGAGCUAGCUUGUAGUAGUAGUAGUUAGUACGUACGCACAAUAGCCCUCAUAGCCACUCAGAAAUUGAAUGGGAUAACUGAAAUUUUAGGUAAAAAAAUUCAUUGAACAUAGAAAUUUUUAACUACAUACACUGAAGUAGUAUGGUAGUGCUAAGAUAUACAAAGCCUAGAAACCAAAAUGCAGCAAAUGAGCUAGUCAUGUGAGAAAAUAUUACAACCAACACAUGCAAAAGAUUAUCAUGGACUUAGUUUAGUUUACACAGCCUAUGGUAACGUAGCAAAAUUAGCUCAAAUCUUUAGAUGACAAGUGUGUAUCUAGUGAAUUAUGAGCACAAGGACGAGGGAGGGAGGGUUAGCUGGAGAGUUGGAAUUGGCUGCCAAUCGGCCAUGCCAUGGACCAGUAACCAUGAAGUAUAUUAAAAGAACUCGGAGGCGCAGCAGCAGCUACAGCGGCCUAAGUUAAAUGUAAAGGAGCCCCUCCAUCAUGCUAGCUACUUUCAUUUUACAGCGAAAGCGGUUUCGUUACCUUUUCGAGUUUUUCUCUUCUGGACCGUCUCUUCCAAUUGAUCUGAUGUAAAAAAGAAGAAUUGAUCACCAGCCACCUAAUAAAGAAGAAUGAUCAAAUAUGGUUGUUGAUCACAGAAUUUCUUCCCAAAAGGGAAAAAAAAAGAAUGGGAAAAAUAAGGGAAGAAAUCAGGGGUGAAAAGUGAAAACAUGAAAUCUAAGGUAGAAUCCAGUCCAGUGAGGCAGGUACUAGUACAGGUUCUUAAUUAAGGUCUGCAAGACUGCAACCCCAUAAAGUCAGGAGCCAGCCAGUGGACCACAAAGCUUUUCUUCGGUCCCUGAGAAAUGUUUGAACUGCUAAUGUUUGGGCAAAUGUAUCCCACUAAAACUAGAAAUAAUUAAAACUUUUUACAUUAGAAGCAAAAUUCAUGAGUAAAAAACAAAGGUGGGGAAAACCCUCCAAGUAGUAUAAACUAAUGAAAACACACUUCUACUACCAUAGUGGCUGAAUGGUAAAGGAAUACGAUGAUGUUUCUUACUAAGUUAAGGGCUGAAAAACAUGAUGGUAAAUAUGUUGUACGUGGUGGAUAAUUUUCUCUGACAACCACCUGCAAGCGACAGUAGCUCAGUUCAAGUUUCCAGCAUUAUUCUAUUCCCACAUAUUACCAAACUUGCACAUAUUUGUCUGCCUUAUGGUUCCACAAUGCUUAUGCCUGUUGGAAGGACCAAGGCAAAGUCUUAUUUAGAAAAGACAAAAAAGAGGAGAAGAAGCUGGAAGCAGGUACAGAGGGUUUAGAGAAGUCAAGAAUCAGACCUGUGAUUGUUCAAUUUUGAAGAUGAUGAUAAGAAGCUAGAAGAUUCAAGUAGAGGAGUGAGCAACACAUGUUGGAAAGGGGAGCACGUGCAGAGUUCAUGCAUGGCUAGUGGCAAAAGGAGAACUUGCACGUGCCCUGCUUCUCCAACAAGAGCUACCCGCUCAAUCCAGCAGCAGCAGAAGGGCUGAUUAGCUUUGGCCAAAACCAAACUUCCAAUCACAAUUGCAUCACAACAAAGAAGAAAGCAUGGCACAUGUAUUUAUAGGGAAAGUUUGGAGCGUGGGGUAGGUUUGGGGGGAGAGGAGUUAAAGCUUGGAGUCUUGGAGUGGGGAUUCUUUAAAGACCAUGCAACAAGCAAUCAAUGUAUCCAGGUUGAUUUCAAUUGCAAUUGAUUUGGUGAAGGAAAACAAAAGUCAUGCCCUGCUUUUGCUUGCCCAUGCAAUGCAACUCUUUAAGUUCUUCCUAAGAAGUAAGAAAGCAACAAAGUCCACUGGCAUACAACACAUCUAAGACAGAUUGAAAUUGAUUGCAAGCAAAGCCAAGAAAGAGAGAGAGGUCAUGAGAAAUUCAGAAGCAAAGAAAGACAGCCCUUUGAUUUUGAGCUCUCUGAAAAAGAAUAAUGCAUCCUCACGCACUACAUGGUGCGUGCUGUUCAUGUCACGACACAAACAAAGUCCACUAGCUUUCAUUUAACUGUAUGCGAGGAUAAGAAUCUAGAAACAAAACUUAAAGCGGUCAAGCAAAUAAAUAUCUCAUGCUUAAAGCGGUCUAAAGUUGGGAUUCAAUAAUCUUAGAACCUUUUGGAUUGCAUUAUUUAAGAAGUUUCUAAAGGUUCGCUUAUCACAUUUUUAGGUUGUGUUUAGAUUGUAAUUUUUUGAAAUUUUUCUAAAAAAUGUACUAUAGCGAUUGAUUUGAUAUAUGCGAGAUAAAAAGGUAAUUGAGAAACGUAUUCACGAAAAACGCAGAGAUUUUUAUAGAAAAUUCCUUUCCAAGUAAGGCCUUAUAUUACCUUUUUAUGUUACGUUGUAAAGAAAAUCGGUGAUAUCGUGAGGGUAAUUAUCAUAAUUAUGUUUAUACUAGAGUAUUUUAUGUAAAAUACCCAAACCACUCACACAAAAUAUUUAUGCUAAUUUCUCACAAAUUGACACGACUUCAAUGUAAUUCAUUUUCACAUGUUCGAUAUUCUGUAUCAUCUUUUUCCUUCCACAGUUCUCUCUUCCUUCCCUUGCCAAUUACGCCACACAUCACCUACUCUUCUCCUCCAACUUCAUUCCAUUCCCCACUCAAUCCACAUUGGACCCUUUCCACCAUUGGCCUUCUCUUUUCUCCUAUCUUCAUUUUCCACUGUCAAUACGACUUCUUUCCUCAGUUACCCUCCUUUUCCUCAUGUCUCCUUUUCUGUUGCCUCUAUCUACUCCAAUCGUCACUUUUUCUAGAGCUACCAACCCUUUUACUAUGCAAUUCUUCGUGAAGUCAUAGCUCACAAGGACUUUCUGAGACACUUGUUAUCAUGGAGAAUAGUUGAUGUAAGAAAUUUAUGCAUCAAAAAAUUCAUGAAAAAUUAGGGGGAAAAAGAACUCCAAUACCAAUCGUGUUUUUAUGGUAACUGUGGAAUGUGACUUUGGAACAUUUUGGAUCUUUGCCAAUUGGUUGACAUGAGAUGAGAUUUGACAAAAAAGAGGGAGUCAUGAAAAGAGAGACUCCGACAAUUUAUGGUGGUCAUAGUCUAAUUUGUUACCAUUAACUUUUAUAAGGGUACUCUGGACAUUUUCUUGAAAAUAUAGUAAAUCAACUUUCAAAAAGUGCUGCACUGUUAUUUUUUUUUUAAAAAAAAUUACUAAAAAAAUCCAAUUCAAAUGAACCUUAAUUUUGGAAAUUUUGGUUGUAUGACAUAUCUCCGUUUGGCGGGACCUGACAAAUGCUAAAAUUCAGAUGAAACAAGAGUUGAAUUAAUACAGCCCUUUUCUUAUAUAAUUGUAGAGUAACGUAAGAAGAGGUUUCUUUAAUAGGAGAUGCAAAUGUGCAUUCCAUUCUGUCCAUUUCCUUCUUCUUCUUUUUUUUUUUGGAUAAUUUUGUCCGUUUUUCGGUUAAAAUGAAAAGGGAUUUCUACCAAAAAAAUCUCUAUAUUUUCAUGAACAUAUUUUUCAAUUUUCUUUUCAUUUUACAUAUGUCAAAUCGCUACAAUAUAUUUUUUAUAAAAAAAAAAUCUUCAAAAAGUUGCAAUCCAAACGCAACCUUAGUUAUGAUUCAUUGCUUGAGCGUGUUGGAUACGCUCCCGUGAAGGUUGUGAGCUUUUACUGCUGAGACACACAAGAAAGGAUGCAAUACUAGAUUUGACGCCCGUUUUGACACGCUCAGUGAAAAUCUUAUUCUCACUGCUUUCGUCAACUGGUAUUUUGUUCCAUUUAUUUGUUUCUUUCUUCCGAGUUCUUUUUCGUCAUCAUUUUAUUCUGCGUAAGAGCGUACACACACAGAGUUGACUUGCGGUUCACUACUGUCAUCAGCUCGACAUUAUGAGCUCGUUUAAAUUUUGCUAAUUUUUAGACUAUUUGACGUAAAUUAGAUUAAAAAAAAUGAUUGAAAAAUAUUUAUAACAAAAAAAUUUUUUUUGUAAAAAAUGAUGAUAAUACAAACAAGAUUUAAUAUAAACGUUUCAAGUGUUGGUUCGCGUCGCGGAUGCUUAAUUUUGCAUUUUUUUAUUCUCUAAUAUUAAGCCAUAAGUUCAUAAAAAAUAAGAAAACUAAUUGCACAAUUUGUUGGAUUAUCAACCAAAGCAGAUCACGUGCAUAGAGAUUAAAAAAGAACAACUUCAAAGAUUUCUUGGCAUGACAGUAAAUUGUACACAAUAGUAGGUAAACCCACCAAAUUCAUAUAUUAAACGAAAUUUUAUUUUCUAAUAAUUUUGUUAAUUUUUCAUAGUGAUUAUAAAUAAUUCUACCUUUCUUUUUAUUAAUAUCAGUCAUGAACUCGUGAUAAGAACUACUAGUUUCUUAAACAAGGUAAAAGUUUGUUUUUUCUUGUUGGUAGAUAAAAGAGUUGUUUAGUACAGUAAUCAGAGAGGUAAAGUAUCUCUUACCAAGUAGUUUAACACCUUUAUGCAUGUUAUCUGGCUAGUUUUAGUAAUUAUUAUGCAUUUUCAUUUGGUUUGUUCCGCAAACAUUUUAUUGACCAUGAAUGUGAUGGACAGUAGCGUUUUAAUAGUUGGCAUGAACAACGAGAGAGGGAGAGGGGGUGGGGAACCACUGGCCCAUUGGCUCAGUGGCCACCAGAAAGGGACUUCCCUUCUUGACUGUUAGUGAGGGUUCAAACCUCACCAGCAACAAAAAAAAUCUAAAGGUUGUGUUAUAGUAUUUCCUUGAUUUAAUUUGGUCUGUAUACCCACUAGUCCUUCCACAGCCUCCUAGGCUCCCCCCCCUAGAUUAGGAUAAAGUAUGUUAUACAAAUGUAUCGUUGCUGAUAAAAAAAAAAAAAAAAAAAAAAAGAGAGGGGGUGAGGGGGGGGGUACUUACUAUUAGGAGGAGCAACGGGUGACUGACUUUUGACCAAGGAAAAGGAAAUGAUGGAGUGAAAGAUACAAAUUUUUUUUUUCUUUUUCAUUCGGAGAUUAGAUGGUGAGAGAAGGGGUUUGCCUAGCUCCUUGGUUUUCGGCAAGAAGGAAAUUGAUGGGGAGGGAGAAGAAAAGCACGUUGCGUGUUGUGCGCGAGUUCUCUUGAUGAUACUGCUGAUAUGAUGAUGAUAGCAACAGAAGCAGCAAGUAUAAAAACUAUAGCCAUGGGAGAGAAGUACAGUAGUAAAUGUUACCAUAAAGAAACAAAGAAAUGAAAGCUAAAUGCUUUCUUCAUCACAGUACUUGAGUGAUGGAGUGAUUGGCGUGCAUGUGAGGUGUCACUUUGAAGAUAUAUAGUAAUGGUGUGGUGGUGGUAGUACAGCAGUAGCAGUAGUAAGUUUGUGUGUUUGUAUUGAGGAAGGCAGGGUGAGUCCCUAGGUAGAUAUGAUUCCCAUCUUUAGUAAGUAGUAACCCUUUGCUUCCAGCACUACACCACCUCACUCGCCCCAAAAAGCAAAGUAGAGUGUAGUAGCAUGAGCAAAUUUGUUUGUAUUGUGGCGGUUAAUUUCCAUGCAUGGCUCUUGCUCUUGCUUUCAAAUCACAUUUAAUCUCUUCUCUCUUUGGAUAUGGGGUAAAUUUGGAAGAAAAGAUAUAAUCAGGAGUGUCUAUUGGGCUUUCUGAUUCGAGUUUGGUUCAAUCUAAAUCCUGAUUCAUAAAAGAGGGAAGAAAAAAUUUUCGAGCUUUCGGAGUUCAACCUCGUAUUUGAAGCUCAUACUCCACCAAAAUAUUAGGGUUUCGAGUCUACUUUAGACUCAGGCUGCAAUUUUGAUAAACUGAAAUUUAAAUUUGAAUUCAUUAAAUUAUUGAAUUGUUAAGUAUUAAAUCAAAUAUAUAUGAUAGGUGAAUAGAUUAUCACUUAUUUUUUAGAGAGUAAAUUUUGCUUAGAAAUUUCAAUGUCACUUAAUUCAUUCAGAUGCUCAAUUUUAAUUAUCAAACAUGUCUGAACAUAUUAAAAUCUGAAUCCAUUAAGUUUAAGUGCUGAAUUGAUUUAUCAAACAAGGCUUUACAAUGAAUGCAUAAUCAUAGAUAAUAUUUACAUUUAUAAUGAAAAAGUAUAUAAUUUUUACAUAACAUUCUAUAUUGUUACGAUUACAAUAUAUGUUAUAAAUUGCGUACAGAAUAGAGUAUGUUUUUACAUGAAAUUGUUGGGACGAAACUUUAGUUGGAUUGAGCCUAAUAAAACUAGGUCUAAUUAUUCCGGGUACAAGUAGGGAUAUAAUUCCGGGACCAGGUCCGUUUUGUCAAACAAAAGAACGGGGUCAGAUACGGAACGUGGUAUUCCGACCCGAACCCAAAUAUAAAUUGAUUAAUAAUUUAAAAUAUAUAUAUAUUAUUAAUAUAAUAUCCCAAAUUUACUUCUCUAACUAUUAUUUCAAAAAUAUAUAUUUUUUCUGGUAGCCCAACCCAAAUCUGUGACCUGUCGGAUCCGUUCUGAAAGAAAUCAUAGAGGAUCUGUCGGGCAUUCGGUCAAGAUCCGGAACGGGUAUAGUAUAUACUGGUCUGGGCCCAGAUUUAUUAAUUCCAGCCCGUUGACAGACCUAAAUAAAACCAAGUACAAUCAAAAUUGAGCAUAGGAUUUUGGCCCAUGUUUUGCAAAGUAACAAUGAGACUAGGUCCCAAUUCUUUGGUCCGAGCUCAGGCCAAUCUGGCCCAACUAAUAGUCCUAUAGAUGAGUACCUAAAGUAGCAAGGGGCGUCGCAGUAAAAAUAAAUCCUUAAUUAGUAAGGCUCUUGCAAAUUAACGGAUGAAAUACAUCUUAGUCUAAAUCUUAUUCCUAAAACUGCAAAAUUAAAUGUUUUGGAUAACUAUUUUUGUCAAUAAAAAAAACUAAUUAAACACCCAUUUAGCAAAAGGCUGUCUCUAUAUUGCCAUUAUUUUAACAAAUUAUGCAGGCUGAAAUCUAGUCUCAUCCCAUUUCAAUUUCACGAAUAGUUUCAAUCAGUGUUUUGAAAAUCUGAUCGAAUCAGUUGGUUUCACUAGUUGAACCACCGAUGAAUCAUGUCAGUUGUGAGAUUCACUAUUAAAUUUAGAAAAUUAAUUGGAGUGGUCAAAGUCGUUCAGGUACCGAUUAAGUGAAUUAAAAAAUUCUUUUUUUAGUUUUAAUUACAAUUUCUCCAUAAUCUUAGUAGGAUAGAUUUAAAAUCUAAUUAGUAAGCUAUUAAUAGAAAAGAAAAUUCAAUAGUAACUUCACGUCAUCAUAAUGUCUUUCAUUCCUUCACAAAUCACAUAUUUAUAUCAUGAAUAAUUUAAUGAUUUAAGAACUUUUAAUGUCAUAAAUAAUAAGGUAAUUUGGAGCACAAUGAAAUUUGCACUGUAAUUAGUGCAUAUACAAAGUCAUCCACAAAACCACAAUAACAAGUAUUUUAACAAAGAAAUCUAACUAUUACAAAUCUAUUAAUCUAAAUGUCAAAAGCAUCGCUUCCAUGUAAGAGAAAUAAACUAGGUUAUGAAAUAGUAGUGUACUUGGAAGUCGCUUGGUCUUUAAUUCCACGGCCAUUAUGUAUGGUAAAUUGGGAAAUAUCCAUCAUGACUUUGAUACAAACUCGCGAAAUUUUAGACAAAAUGCAACAUCAAUCAUUUUUAUGUCAAUAGCCACUGGCCAUUUGGUCCGGUGGUCAUCACUAGGGAUGGCAAUGGGGGCGGGGGUGGGGCGGGUGGGGGGGAAUUUUUUCCCCCGCUUAGAAACGGGGCGGGGAGUAUACCCCCGCCCCAUCCCCCGCCCCGCCCCCGCAAAACAAAAAAAAAUAUAAAAAAAUAUAUAAUUAUAUAUAACAUGUAAGUUAAUUAGUUAUAAACUUAUGAUAAUGAUAUUAUUAGUUAGAUAUAUUAUAUAAUGUAUAUUAGUUUAUGUAAUAUAAUUGAUAUUAUCAAUUAUAUGAAUAAUUCUACAUGUUUACUAAUAGAAUUUAUUAAUUAGUUAUACUAAAUUUACUAAUAUAUUUAUACUAAAUUUCUAAUUACACUUAAUAGAAUAACACUUUUUUCUCAAAAAAAGCACAAACACAAUAAUGAAUUAGUGAUUGCAUUUGUACUAAAAGUGAAAACUUGACUAUUUUAGUUAUAUUUAUUUUAUCAUAUUGGAUUGUAUUCAAAUAACUUCUGUUUGAUUGUUUUUAUGAGUUUCAAUUGUAAAAUUACAAUGAAUAAUAAUUUGGUGAUGUGUUGAUAUUUUAGUACUUGAUUAUUUAUUAAAAUUUAAUUAUAAUAAAAUUAUAUAAUAAAAUUGUAUUAACCCCGCGGGUGCCCUCGCGGGGAAACGGGCGGGGCGGGGCGGGGCGGGGGAGCAGGAGGCGGGGGACGGGGCGGGGGACGGGGGAACUAAUAGGCAACGGGGCGGGGACGGGGGAAGGGACCCCCGCCCCAACCCCGCCCCGUUGCCAUCCCUAGUCAUCACCAUCUUUGGUGAUGCUGGAGGUCAGGGGUUCAACCCCUGCCUCUCACAAACUUGUCACUUUACGUGACUGAUCUUCUGCCCUCACGGGAUAGUUCGAGCGGUCCGCUCCUCCUCCUUAGGGUAUGACGACCUUCCUGACUUGUCCAGGAUUCGAGUCCCGUUGUUAAUGUGCUCGGUGUGGAGUAGGGCCUCCACUCCCGAUCGCAAAGGAUUAGUCGAGCCCCGUAUGAAUUGAUCCGGACACCCCUGUGUUGACAAAAAAAAAAAAAAACAUUUUUAUGUCAAGAGGUUUAAAAAAUAAGCAAAGUUUAUUUGGCACCGAAAUUCUUGUAGUACCUCAUCAUAAUAAUGACAUGUCUCUCAUUUGAUUCCUUCAUAAAUAUUUAUGCAAAAAUAAAAAAGAGGUGGGUGAGUUUUUCUCUCAUAAAAUUCAUAUAAUAAAAAGAUGGACCAUAGGAUCCUAAAUGCCACUAUUGUCAUUUUGUUCUCUCAUUUCUAUAGUCGCACUCCAGCACUCAUUGGACUGGAGUCUCUAAUAAGUGGAAUGAAAACUCUCGCUCUCGCUCGGCCGCCCGGUUGUCAGUCACUGGCCAAGUAGCUCAACUUCCCCAAGCUUUGCAGCUAAUCCCAUAAAAUCUCUCUCUGCCUUUUGUUGGGCCUUCCCGUCCCCUGGGGGAAGGUUAAAGGAGUUUUAAAUUAAAAAUAAAAAUAUCUGGGCGAUCCUUCAUAAUUUGGCUCGUGCUUUCGCUCUUCCGCGGCUAUUCUACUUUGGCGACUCCCUUGGGAGCAGUUGACUAGUGACUUUGGCGGUGGUCGUUGGGUGAAAUUCAAGACGAGGUCGGAAUAUUUGUUAAUGAACUGCUUUCUCUGCAAUUUCUACGGCUUUCUCAUUUUUUGGGUAAAAUUCUUAUUGUCACUGUAGAUUUAUUCCUUCUAUCAGGUAUUUGUACAUGCAGAUAUGAAACCUACAAAUUUUGCCAAGGAUUAGGUGUACACUUUCACCCUAAAAUUGAGGAUUUUUUGCCCAAAAAAUGGUCCUUCGUCUGAUUCACUAAGCCCGUACGAACCCUUUUUUUUUUUUCAGCCUUCAGAUCUCUGUCAACAAUUUCUGACUCUAAAUUUUACUCUCUCGGCUUCGAUUUGAUGGCUGCUUAGUAAGAGGGAAGUAGAAUCAGUAUUAAAAACCGGAGGAAUAGAAAAGGGCGCUUGAGGUUAGAGGCUUUAUAGGAUAUACAUUUUAUUUCAUUUUCUCAUAGGUGAAAAGAAAAUAGAGAGGUUUCUUGCCUUUUGGUGUUUUCCUCUAUGGUAAAGAAAAUUUUAAAACAUGUUUGGUUUUUUCCUUUUCGCAUAGCAGACACACGAAUGCUACACAAUUAGUGUUUCUUUUUUUUUUUUUUUUUUUGGUAUUUUCAGCUUUGUUUGGAAAGUGGAAAAUCCUAUCAAGUGGUUUGGUGCCUUUUGUUCCCUUGCAUCCUGGUAAAUAAAUUUCUUGCCAUUAUUUUUUUCUUUUUUUUUGCACCACGAAAAUAUAUACUGAUCAGUUUUUUUAAAAAAAAUUUUCAGCUUUGGUCCGAAAAUAGAAAAGGUUUUGCAGUAAAAUUUCUGUUCAUUUCCAGGUUAGUUUACGUUUGAUUUGUAUCAUUAAUUUGCUGAAAUUUUUGUUAAUAUUAUAUGGGCUGAUAGUUUAAAUAUUUUAAUAUUAGAGUUAUGUGCCUAUAUGUUUGGCUAUUUACUCUGAUGAUAAGUUUUUGCUUAUGCUUCUUAAGAAGAUAUAGCUGUGCUUUACUGGUUUUAUGUGGUAUUUUAAGGCAUCGAAAUAUUAAUAAAGUAUUUUUAAAAAAACGUGAUUUUCCCCCCAAUUUAUUUGCCCUUCCGAUUUACCUUCUAUGUACAUUAUCUCAUCUCCCAACUAUGCAAUUCCUUUUUUUCCUAGAAAAAGGAGAGAAUCAAAGAGGGGAAAACACCAUACAUCUCCCUUCCCCACCCUAUUUGCCUUCCUAGCUAAAAACAUGAAGAAAAACACACACUUUCGCAUCAAUUUUCAGCCAUUUGAUGAAUUUAUUGUGAGUUUUUCUAGCUUUUUUUCUUCCCAAAAUUGUGCUCCUAGCAGAAAUGUUUGCUUUUGUUAUUAUUGAUUGUUUUGUAAGUUUAAAAGAAUCAAAAGAAGCACAGCAAAGUAAACAUCCACUAUUUAAGGUGUGUGAUCAUCUCUUACAAGAGUAGCAUGCUUUGUGUUUGAUGAUUUGAUUCUAAAGGUAGCUUUACCACUACACUGGUUUAGUUUUCUGAGAAUUUACGUGUUCCAUUGUUAUGGAGUAUUAGAUGAUUUGAGAGAUGCUUUUUAGCUUACUGCUUGGUCCUAAACAAAAUGAUUUUACUUUUGCCUUUGUGUUUGUAUGCUGAAUGAUCCUUUAAUGUCUUGCAAUGGCUCGAACUAUCUUUAAAUUUCAUUGGAAACAAUUCUUUGAUAGACCUAGAAACAUUAAUUUCAUUGAUUGUUUUUUACUUUUACUGCAUUGUCAUGUUAGUGACUAUCAUAAUUAGGACCAAAGAGCAGUUAGAGAGUAUUUCCCCAGCUUCUUGGUUCUAAUUUUCUGCAUGUUUUGGGGCUGAACAAGUAGAAUCUGCACUCAAAUCAUGAUUUGUUUGACAUAAUUUGGUUUCUGCUUAAAUUUUAGUUUUAGGAACUGGUCAUGCACUGAUUAAUUCCUGGCACAGAUAAGCACUUCUGAUUUCCAUAUCUUGGUUCAUUGAAAGCGGAUUGUUUAAUGGACGGAUCCUAACUUGGGGGACAAAGGCUUUUAACAUACCUCAGUCUUCAAUUAUUUUGCUGCUUCCUUGUUAUAUUAGUUUCUCUGGUUUUGCACAUGGACAUGGGCAUUGCUUUAAUUACCCUACUGCUAUAGUUUGCAUAUGGACAUGGUUUCUCAACAUGAUGACAAUUAAGAUCUUCCACGUUCUAUUAAUUUUAAAAAUGAGAGAUAUAGGGAAUUUUUAAAUAUUUUUUACACAACAAAUUGGGCAUUGGCUGUUCAACACAGCCAGAAAAUUUCUAGUAUUAUAUAUAUAUAUAUAUAUAUAUAUAUAUAUGCAUGUACGCACACGCACGCACCACAUACUUGUGCACAGAAUAAGACAUCCCAUGACCAAUUUAUAGCAUCACCUGAUAAAAAGUUAAAUAUUUUUAAAUGUAAAUAAGUCUUUAAAAUUGUAAAUUCAAACAAAUAAAUUCAUUUCAAUUGUACCUACUAGGAAAAAAAUCUUAAAUCCAACACAAACCACAACCAUAAUAUUUGAAAUUAAACAAAAUGCAUUGAAACAUCUAAAAUUAAACAAAAUCUAAUAGAACUACAAAAGAAAAUGGCGAUCUUUGAGUUUGAAAUGAGAAAUAGAGCGAGUUUGGUUACUCUUUUAGAAAUUAGGAUUGGGAGCAAAAGAUUUGACAAAUAAGUUUUAUGUUUAAAACUUUAGGUUCAUUUAAAAAAAAAAAAAAAUUAGAAAUUGCAAUUCAGAGGUCAAUCCAGGUUGAACGGUCCAAUCAAUUUUUGCGAUUCUGACUGAUUUUUAUGAUGAGUUAAACACUAGUAGUGAAUCGAACCAAAAACUUGACCUGUUCAUGAUCCAACUAGUCAAAUUGGCCGAUUCAGCCUAAUUUUCAGAACAUUGGUUGUGACACAUAAAAUAUUGACUAUUUAGUUGCAAUAUAAUAUAAUUUAAUAGAAUGAUAAAUUUGAAUAAUAUCAUACGAUGUGUUAUUGAUAGAAUCAUAUCACAACAGUCAAUGUUUUACUGCAAAAUGUGUUAUUUUACAUGUCACAACAGUCAAUGUGAUAUGAUUCUACGUAAAAUUAACUCCCUCGUAAGCUCCACAAAUAGAAAAUGCAGGAGUACUUCCUAUAAUAUAAUUUGGAUCAUUAAUUUAAUUUAUUGAUCAUGGAUUAAUAAAGUAUUAUUUACUUAUUUUUUAUUCUUUUUUUUAGAACGAAUUUUGCAAUGAUAUAGUUCUUAUGCCAUUAUAAAUUCUUAACCAUGACCAUUAUAGUUCUUACACUGUUAAUACUUGAACAACGAAAAAGGACAUGAACAAAAAUAAGUACCCAGCCCAUCGUCAAAACCCACUAACAAUCUUCACCAAAACGACUUUUCUAACAAUCUUCACCGAACAAUUUGAGCCCACUAAGCCCAAAGCCAAUAUCCACUGCAUGCCAACCCAACAGCCUUUGCCAACACAACGCCUUCUCCCUGGCUUCCCUUCUGUUAUAACCUUAGUUUCCCUCUUCUCAGUCACCCUUCUCUCCUACCUAGUUGCCGUUAUUCAAGGUUUUUUGAGGAGACAAGCUUGGGCUAAAGAUUGGUAUGGAGUUUAGUUUCUUAUUAUUUUUGGUGCAUUUUUUCUUAAAUUGUUUUGUCCACUGAAUUCUACUUAUCAGUGCUUUUGGGAUGUUGUUGGAAUUGUCAUUUUUCCUUUCACUGAUAAUUUUUUUUUCUGGUAAGAUUCUUUCCACUGAUUUUAGUAAAGUAGAUUUUUUUCCUUGAGAUUUUAUGUUUUUGCCUUUAAAUAUCUGUAAUUGUGUAGUCAGCUGGUUAGCUAGUCAGCUCUAUGAAAUCCAAAAAGAAUGGGCCUUUUUGAGGUAUCUAUAUUAUAAUAAUUAGAGUUCAUGGUUGCAAAUGGAAAAUCUGAUUUCCGUUUAAGUAGUUGCAAGAAUAGCUGUCCUCAGACUUUUGAUCGCUAAAUCAGGUGUUCGGUAUACUCUUAUAUGCCGACAUUGCCUUUGAUUUUUCUGCAUAUUAAUAUUAGAUAAUUCUUCUCUAUAAUAUGAGAAAAUCAUGUGUUUGAUGCAGUGAAAUAUAAGACAAGAAUGAAUAUGGGUAAAAAUCUAUUCUUGGGUAGUGAUGGAGUGAAACUCAUAAAACUCUGAGUUUUGCUUUGUUGUAGGAUUGUUUUCAGUACUGGGAGCCUCUUCUCUCAUCUUUUUUGAGUGGAAAUUCUACUAUUUGCACAUUAUGAUUUUCCCUUUAAUUGAUCUUUUAAGUGGCCACAGCCAUAGAUGCCUUUUGUGGAGUGACCAACUGGGUAGGGUGCAUUUUCUCCUCUUAAACUGCUGUCAGUAGGAGCUGUGAAAUUGAAGGCAGAUAUGAUUUGCACCCAUUCUUGUCUAUGUAGACUCUAGAUAUAAGAACUUAUGCAAAAAUCAAAUGUGAGCUAUGAUCCAAGUGGCAUGAUGUAGGCUAAAUGUUUGAUAAGAUGUAUCUCAUAAGUUUCUUUCUAUGUUGCCACAGAAAUGAUUAUUAGGAAAGCUCUCUGGUUUCCAAGAAAAGACAUGUGAAUUUUGUGAGGCUUCUGGGUAUCACUAAAGUUUUUUUCUGGAAAUAGUUUGUUUUGGAAAUCACUGUAGAUGUACAAAAUGCAGUGCAUGCGUAUUUCCCUGACAUAAUCACAUGAAGAUGUUUAAGAUGUGUAGCUUGUAAGAACUCAUCAUGUUUGUGAUAAGAUUAAACUGGCGGCUUUUAGAGUGUGAAUUAAAUGGGGUUUCAUUAGACGAGCAUCUCUUCUGAAUGGCUAGGUGUUUCCAAGAGAAUUAAGUAUUUACCAGUCCCUGCUCAAUCUUAUACACAACAUACAAACAGAGAAAGAGAAAGCAGCAGAGAUUUAUUCAUUUCCUCUUUUUUCUGUCUCAGAUGGGUUGCCCCGGGGCUGGGGGAAUUGGUGGAUUGUAUGAUCAAGUGCAACUGGGAGGUGCCUUUUGAAUGCAAUUCUUCAGUGUUUUUCCAACAGGGGCUAGUCUUCACUGCAAAGUGAAGUGUUUUUUUUUUCUUUUUAAGUAAGCUUUUCAAUGGAUAGGCCUGAACCUGAAACUGGCAAUCAAGGAUGCGUAAAAUAAUGUUAGAUUUAGGUUUUGAACUGGAGAUUGACCCAACUCAGUUGGUUUUACAUCAAUGGUUGAGUUAUCUGAAUGGGUAUCGGUGUGUCAAGUCUGACGUCUGGAUAUAAAUGAAAGACUGUGUUAUCCACGUCUCAUCCUUUUGCAAACUCAGACAGUAUACUUCAACUCUCUGGAUAAAGACUUUUAUCUCAUCCAGUAUUUGCACUUUAUGCUUCCCUUUCGCAUACCUGUUAUUUUUGUCCAAGUCGUUUAGCUCUUGCAAAUACACAGUUAUCACAAGUACCACUCUCUCCUAAUUGGAUAUGGGUGUUUUGUGUUAUAUUGACAUAUGUGCUUGAUCUUUUGUAAGUUAGAUGUCAGGAAAACAAAAAUGAACAAGUUGCACUGGCUUUUAAUAAAAUGUUGUAGAUUGAUUUUUUUUUUUUUAUUUAUUAUUACACAUGUUUCAUGAAGUCGUUUUUCUUUGGUGAUGCAGAAAAUGGUUAUCCCUCCUGCAGUUCGGCCAGAAAGAGUUACCAAUUUUCUCAAGCCUUAUGUCCUGAAGAUGCACUUCACGAAUAAGUUUGUGUCUGCUCAAGUAAUCCACACACCAACAGCAACUGUAGCAUCCUCUGCCAGCUCACAAGAGCAGGCACUGCGGUUAAGCAUGGAAAAAGCCAGAGAAAGUACAAGGGACGUUGCAGCUGCUGCAAAAUAGGCAAGAUAUUGGGGCGAGCGACUGCUUCUCAAGGGUAUUCCGGCUGUUUCAAUUUUCUUGAAGAGAGAACAGAAGUAUCAUGGCAAAGUUAAAGCAGUAAUUGAUUCCGUGAGGGAAGCAGGUGUCAAAUUAGUUUAAAUUUAAGAAUCAGCUCCAUUCAAGAGUGGCAAAUGCAUGCCCCGCAUGCAUUUUCUGAAUCCCUCUUUCUUUAACUAGAGGUCUUUGCUAUUGUGACGAGGAUUAGAAGAAUCAGGGUUAUAUUAUUAUUUUUUUACGUGGCUAAAUCUAUUUCUUGAUAAUCCAUAGUCUGUCUGUGUUUGGGAAAUGAAUGGACCUGCUAAACUUGACAUUUGAGAUAAGAAUUAUUGCAAGUACGGAUAGGUUCUGUCUGAAUUAGCCUACAAGGAGAAUGGCGUACUCAAGGAUAACGAAGUAGUCGUUUCGUAGCCGGUGUGGAGCAAAGGGGGCAGUUGAGGCGUAGUUCUUUGAAUGCAUGAGCUGUGAAUACUGUCCAGAUAGCAAGGGAGGUCCCCAUAUUCUGCUGUGCUCUUUUAUCUUUGGCUUAACGUAUCAAAGUUCUUAUAAAGCAAAGCUCAGCAGCAUGGACCAAAGCAACUUGCUGUAGUGCAAGCAGGGACCCGCGGGCUGUCUGGUUCGCAUCAUGCCAUGGUUCUUGAAGUGUCCUAGACGGGAACAAAAGACGUUAUUGAGGAGAGCUGGUGGCUGUAGAUUAAUGGGAACUUUUUUGGUUUUCUUUUAGUAUUAUGUUUUGGGCAUUUGGGGUUUGAAUUAUGGUAAAUUUUUUGGCGUUGAAAUUCUUUAGUCAUAGUACUACUACUGUCAUCUUAAAUUCAGGAAUGGUUGGUUCAUCGAGCCAUUUUUCGCCCAAACUCUAUAACUAAGAAUAAGUAGUAAUAAUAAUAAUAAUAAGGGUACUUUUCAAAAGGGGUUAAUUUAUGAGUAAAUCUUAUAUGCACUGACAUUGUAUGCACUAUCACGAUUGGAUGCGUAAUAUAUAUAUAUAUAUAUAUAUAUUAUAUAUAUAUAUAUAUAUUUAUAUAUAUAUAUAUAUGCAAAUUUAGGAUUUCAUAUUCAAAUUUGAAUCAUGUGUCAUGUAUUUAAUGGUGAAGAGCGCGCGUACGCUGUCAGACAGUGUAUAGAAGAUUAAUUCAUGAUUUAUUUACACCAACGCAAAAUCAAAUUUGUUAUUCCGUAUCACUGUGACACGGUCGCGAAGUGUACAUUUUGGCCCCCACAGUUUGGGAAUACAGAUAAAAUUUACUUUGAUUCAAAAAAUUAUGAACCAUCAAUAGCAUGAUAAGAAAGGGAUUCAACAUUAAAGGUGUCAACAUUUUGAAGCAAUAAUUGAUUUGGAGUGACAAAGAACAUAAAGAGGCCUAACCAGAGAGGUUAAUCAGCCCCAUCACUAUCUGCCUUGGAUCUUCAUAUCCUUCUUUGCUAGACAAAAGUCCGGUCCUGGAAAAAAUAUUUGCCAUACCUCUGCUUCUUUUCUUUUGGGUGUAUUGCUCCAUAUUUGUGGUCACAAUAGAAGAAGAUGAGGUAUGAUUAGGUACAGUUUCCAUAAAAGAAAUUAUCUUCACCAAUCAUCAUUGACGAACUUUAAGAGAGUGACAAAAGGGAAACAUUUUUUUUUUUUUUUUUUUUUGUAUCUGGAAUUCACCUGAGGAAAAAGUUAUCAAUUUGGUUUUUUUUUCCCCUUAAUUUUUUAAAAUAAUAAAACUAGUGUAUUGAUUAUCAACCCUGUUGCUGAACGUUACUCCAUUGAUUAUUUGGCAAAGCCUGACUUUUGUGAUCCAUUCGAAACAAGUUGGCAGACCACUGCACCUAAUAUUGAUUGUGUGAAAGUGAUUAGUGGGCCUAUUAUGUCUGUUCAAUCUUCCAAAUCUGCAAUAAUUUAGCCAAGAAUCUUCGAUGGCUCGUCAUGCAUUACACGCGCUGAGGUGGCUAUGGAAUCGGACUCAUAGGGUCAACUCGUCUGCAACUCGAGAAAUAGACUGCUCGACUAUAGAAUUAAUAAUAAAGAAAGAAUCCAGGAUUUCCUAGAAAAAUUUCGCCACCGAAUGCGUAAGCAUCCGUCUAAACAGAUUUAUGUUUCAUUUUUCUCCGGAUUAUGUUUCAUCCAGGAUUAUGUUUCAUUUUUCUCCGGAUUUUCUCCCUCGACCCUUUUGUGUCAAUUCCUUCUUUAGUAUAGAGUAGGAGCAGGUAGAAUAUAAUCUAUCGUAUCCGAUUAAAACACAAAAAAAAAAGACUAUUGAAUUAAAAUUUUUGACCCAAAAGAAAAAAGAUAAGAUAAGACUAUAGGAUUCAAGCCGCCACCUCUAACUCAGUGGCAACCGCAGAGCUCUAACUCGGUGACCACCACUUCUUUUGAUGGGAUGGGAGGUCAGGGGUUCAAUCCUUACCUCCUUUUCCGCAUAGGUUAAAAUAGAUUAGGUUAUAAGAUUUCUACCGUUAUGAAAAAAAAAAAUAUAGAAUUAAAGCCUAAUUAGGACCAAGAAAACAGACUGUUAACUCUACAUUUUUUUUUAUAAGGUGCCUGGUUACACUUAAUCCGCGACAAGAUGAUAUGGCAAUUAGCACAACUAGGUCAUGGAUGGCCUCGCACUGCCUCCAGAUUGAGAGUCGUGGAAAUCCUUCACAAGUUACUGCUAAUAUUCAUAUUCUAUCUUUGAUAGUGACCAUAUAUCAUUAAAAGUUGUAUAAAGGAUAAUUCUAGAAAUCUCUCCUAAGGUUUUUAGUAAUUUUACUUGGCUCCUUUGAGGUUUUAAAAAUUAUGCAUGCCUCUCUUAUCUAUUUAAAAUGACAGUAGUAGCUUUUACAUUCUAAUAAAACUCCCUUGUUUGUCAUGCUUAUAUAAGAGAUGGGGUUUUAUUAAUUUUUUUUCUUUUGUCUUCUUAUUCAUUUCUCUUCAUCAGAAAAUCUAAUGAACUAUUAAUAUUGUCUGUAAUCUCUAUCAUGAUCAAAUGUCAAACUAGUAAAUUUUUUUUAUAACUUUAAUAAUGUUUGGAUAGCAAAUUUAUUUCAAAUAAUAUUUCGCUUAUAUCAUAAACACAUUUUCCAACCCACAUUUUUAUAUUUCUAACUACCUUUUUAUUAUAUAUAUACCUCGUAUCAUAAAAAGUGCUGCAGUAAUUAUUUCAAAUAAUAAUUUGUCCAAACAUAAUAUCAUCAUUUAAUUAUGGUAAUUCCACCACUGAAUUAGUCCACAAACUUUGAGAAAAAAAAAUCAAAAUAACGCUUUCUUUUCUAUCUUAAAAAGAAUCUAUGUCCCCAAUAAAGCACUAUGAAAAGUAACCUAUUAUAGUGAUAUAUUUAUUGUUGAUUAUCAAAUAAAAAAUAUUGACGUAAAAAAAACUAACACUUAUUCCAUUUAUAAUUGUGUCAAAUUACUUUACAAUUGUUUAAAAGAAUAAAUUACACUUUAUAAGAUAAGGGCAUUUUAGAGUAUUCAUUAAAAUUUUGACCCUAUUUUAAGGUUAGAUUAUCAAAAGUAUUAAAUCAAGGAAGGCACGUAAAAUAAUUUUUAAAACUUGAAGAGUUAAGUAAAUAAGUUAGAAACUUUAGGGGAGGUUUCUAAAAUUAUCCCUUAGUAUAAAUUUCAAGAUUUCUUUUACACUUUUCAUCCAUGAAAGUAGCGUUUGUUCAGUUCGAGGACAAAUAGGCUUUGUAGUUUAAAGUGAAAUUAUCUGUUUGGAUUGUGAAUUAUUAGAGAUAUUUUUACUGUAGUAUUUUUUGUGAUGUGAUGUAUGUGAGAUAAAAAGAUAAUUGGGAAGGUAAAAAGGUGUAUUGAAAAUUGUAAUGAUGAUGUAAGCAAAUAAAUUUUGAGAAAUAAAGUCCAAUCCAAACAAUAUAAUCACACGUUGAGAAACAAACAAAAAAAUGAGAUAAGAACAUAUUAACAAUUCGAUUUUAUUUAAUUCCGUGGACAAAACGAACUAGUAGCGUUGCUUGUAGCCUUCGGCCCUCUGUUGACAAUUUGGUCCGGAUCCGGACUGCCGCCGCCAUUAUUUCCCUUUCGAUUUGAUCUUGUUCGUUAAUCUUUCCUACACUGAUAAUAAAUAUUUUAAAUAAUAUUAAUAAUAAAUAUAUUUAAAUAAUUAAAUAAUGAUCAAAAUUUAUUUACUUACGUCACUUUUAAAGGCUCAGAAAUCAACUUAACAAAGUAACAGUUCAAAAUGUAUUAUUUUAGAUAACAUUACGUAAAUUUUACACAAUUAACAUGUAGUACUUCAAUAUGGAAAAUAAAAUUCUGUUACAAAUUAAUAAAAUUUUUUCUAACAAAGGGAGGGAUGGCAUUUAAAAAGCCGGUAGGAGGCAGAAGGAUUAGAAUACAUAUUUUUAGUUCUUAUGUUUUAACCUUAACUACUAAAUCGAUAAAUUAUGGAUCUGCGUGGAUUUAUUUUUUUUUUUCAAAAACUAUUUUUGUAUUUGGAAUCUAUAGUAACAAUUCUAAAAAUAAAUUCCAAAAAUAACUCAAAAAAACACACAUAAUCUCAAAUACAACUUAUAAAAAUAAUAAAACAUAAAAUAAUAAUAAUAAAAACGAAUCCUACCACAUUUUUUUCUUUUUCUACUCACCACUACCACUUACUAUACACAUCACCACCCACCACCGUCGCCACCCCAAAUCUCUUUCCUUAUCCUCUACCCUCAUCCUCCUCUCUUCUCCACCCUUUCCUCCACUUUUUCUGUGGCUUUUGGUUGCGACUAGAUCCUUUCGAUCGUAGUAGCCAGAAACCAUGAAACGGUCGCGGCUUCUACUUGCUAUCGAAGAGAGGAAGGAAAGGAGAACGGGAGCGGUGGUAGUGGUGGUGGUGAUGUUUAAUUUUUAAAAAAUACUUUUAAAGAAUUUUAAAUUCUAAAAGUACUUCAAAAUACAUCACAAAAAUACUUCAAAAAUUCCAUAAAAAACACCUAAUUAUUUACAAUAAAAAUUACAUAUAUAUAGUUACAGUAAAAUUUUCUAAAAACAUCUGAUCCAUAUAAUUUACUAGAAAAGUUGUUCUUUGUUGUUUAUAUACACAAUUCAGAACUGGUUAAAAUAGCUGUAGUGCCGUACCCCAUUCAUGAUGAAGGACGGUCAACAAUUGGCAUUGGCCAACCUUUCUGUCCCAAAUUCUUAUCUCAAAUUCAUAAAGGACUGUCAAUAGUUCAAUUACCUGUAAAGGACUUCAUUGACUGACAAGCUCCAACUCAAAGCAAACUAGAAAAGAAUCUAUUCAUACGUCAUAUAUGUUUGCAUUCCGUUAGGGUUAGGGCCACAAACGAGCCGAGUCGAGUCGAGUUUUGAGUUAAUCGAACCGAGUCUCGACUAAAUUUUACCAAAUUCGAACUCGACGAGCCGGCAAAUUUCGAGCUCGAGCUCGAAAAAAAUAAAAAAUAAAUAUUUUUAUUUAAAAAAAUAAAUAAAAUAAUAUUUUUUUCUUAAUAAAUAAUAAAAUAUUAAGGACAUAUACGUAAUUUUACUAUGAAAAUAAAAAAUAAAAUAUAUAUAUAUAUAAUAUACGUAAUUUUAUUAUUAAAUAAAAAUAAAAAUAAAAAAAUAUAUAUAUAUACCCAAACUCGCGAGCCGGUUCGCGAGCUAACGAGCUUAAUAUUCUGAGUUCGAGCUCGAGCUCGAGUUUGACUCGAGCCGGCUCGAGCUCGACUCGAGUUCGAUUAACAUCGAGCUCGACUCGAGCUUGACUCGGAUCGCUCGCGAGCGGUUCGAUUCGUUUGCAGCCCUAGUUAGGGUGAUGCUUUGUUGGGCAUUGUUUUUUUUUUUGUAGAGUUUCUUGCGUUUCUGUCGCGCUAUCAAUCGAACGUGGAACACAACUGUUAAUCGAUAUUGUUAAUUGUGGAACAAACCAAAAGACAAUUAAUUUGUUUAGGAAACAGAUAAUGAUUGAUCCUUGAAAUAUUUAGCUGAGGUUGUUGAAAUGCUUGUUUGGAUUGCAGUUUUUUAUCGGAAAAAUUACGUUAUUUUUCGUGAUCAUAUUUCUCUAUUAUCUUUUUUCCUUACAUAAAUCAAAUCGUUACAAUAAUUUUUUAUAAAAAAUUAUGAAAAAUGCAAUACAAACAAAAAGCAACCCAAGUUGAGGACCAGGGAAGAGAAUUAAAUUGAAUGUUUGAACUUAUACUGGUAUGGAAGUUUGGAAGAUAAAUAAGAGAUUUUAAAUUUGAAACUUCUCAUUUAUACUAAAAAAAGUUAAAAAUACCAAAAAAAAGAAAGAGUGUUGGAACUUGUACAUGUUAGUACUUAAUAAAUGAUAUGGAUAUCAAAAUCUCACAAGGUUUUUUUUUUUUUAAUAUUAAAAGCCAAGUAUAGUGCUUUGCAAAAUUAAAUAGUAGCAUGGAUUCAACGGUAAUUUAGAAUUUUAGCGCUUCAUUUCUCCCUUCAGCGUCAUGCUUCUAGAACAUUUCCAAGAAAAGACUAGAAAACGUAUUAAUGAUUUCUCAUUGAUGCUACCGCAGCACGAGAGCAAAUCCUCUGUCUAAUAUUUUGUGUUUAAUUUUCUGUUCAAUGUGAAACUACGUAGUUUUACUUAUUAUAUCUGUUGAGAAAAACAUGCCUUGUGCUCUUCGUAACAUGCAUUGAACCACAAAUUCGAAUCAUACUUGAGGAUUUAAAAUAAUUGAUUCUUUUUUAUUUUUCUUUCAAUUUAUCUAAUUUUUAAUAUUCAUUUUUAAGAUUUAAAAUAAUUAUUGAUUCAAAACUAUUUAUGGAAACAAAGAUAUGAUUUUUAUAAAAUAAUAAGCAAAAACUUUUUUUAAUUUUUUUGGAUUACUUCAAGGUUAAUAAAUAAAAAUAUGUUCUUUUUUUAAUGCAAUACAGCCUCAAAAAGGGCAUUUUUGAUAUUAAGGGAAUUUUUGUUAAAUGUUUGAUCAUUCAAAGGGUGAGACCGUUAUUUGAAUAAAUUACAGGGAUUGAUUGGUAAUAUGGUCAAAUCUCAGGGGAGGUAAAUGUAAUUAACCCAAUAAUCUACUGUCCAAACACAAUAUUGUUUGGAUCAUGUGUUAUUUCACUUUAUUUACACCUUAUUUACACACAUUAAUUUAUUUAUAUUAUCAAUAUAUUUUUUAAUCAUAUUUUUAUCUCACAUACAUCGCAUAAAAAAAGUGUUAUAUUACUUUUUCAUAAAAUUAUAUCAAACACACUUCGUACCAUAAAAAUUAUCUCAAACACACUUCGAUCCAUUUCGCCAUUUCCAAUGAAUCCGAGGGGCCCCCACUAGGGAUAAAGCAAAGGGCACUCUCGACCUUUCACAUCAGAACGAAAACGACGCAUCACGUGACAUGCCCUUUCUCCCAUUAAUCGCCCUCCACGUGGCGAUCCACAAAAAAUCUAGACCCUCAACGAUCUUAUCUCCUCUAUCGUGCUUAUCGAUCCACCCUCCACGUCACGUCAGAUCCACCCAGCCCAGAUCAACGGCCACGAUUGAAUCUGAACUCUCCCCAUAGGACUCUGCUCCAACUUUAACGCGUUUUCGGCUAAUAAAUAGCCGUUGAGCUGAGCUGAGCUGAGGACCAUUUCCUCUUCUAAGCUCUCUUCGUGAAAUAAUUUCCGAGUGGGUGAAGGGUUGAGGGAAUAGUUCCGUUCCGUUCCGUUCCGUUAGCGUGCGGGGAGUCUGCUAAAGUGCGCCAUGAGUUUACUGGAGAAGCUCUGGGAUGAUACAGUUGCCGGCCCCCGGCCCGAUAGCGGGCUCGGGAAACUCAGAAAACAUCCUACCUUUAACCUCCGACCGAACGCCGGGAAGGGUACGCCUUCCUUGCUAUCUUACGACGUUUGUUAAAUUAUAACAGAACUGAAAUCCACAAUAUCUGGAAAUUUUGAUUCAUAUCUGUAAAGAUGCUGGUAAAGCUUUACUAUGUAUCUGGAAAUUUUGAUUCAUAUCUGUAAAGAUGCUGGUACAAAUUUUGUGUAUAAGAGAUUGAAGUAUGUAAUAUAUAUGGGCGCCUGGAAAAUGGGUUUACUGAAGAAGGGCUGGUUAGUUAAGCACAAGAUUCUGACAAUAUGAUGAUAAGAUUUUAGCAGAGUCCUAGGUUGAUAGGAGAAAAGUACCUUGAUAAGUUGACUUUUGGACAAGAUCAUUUUGGGGACUAUCCUUUUUUUUUUUGGGUUGGGAUGUACCGUAAUAGAUCAAGUUGGGAUGUACGUAAUAGAUCAAGUUGAAUACGGAUGCCUUGAGAAUAUUAAUGCAUGAAGCUGCAGUUUUAUUGUUUAGUUUCUUUGGGUUUUGUUCUGUAACAUCAGAUUGGAUUGUUUGUACGGUUGAGUGUUGAUGUCAAUUUCUCCUCCUCCUUUUUGUUUUUGGUUUACAGAAUCCGUAGUUGGAAGCCCGAGAUCAUACAGUAACGGAGCAGGAGGAGCGGCGGCGGAGGAUGCAGUGAGGGUGACAAGAAGUAUCAUGAUAGUAAGGCCGCCUCCAGUUGACUUUAAAGACUCGCCGCCGGCAUCGCCAGCCGGGUCAACACCUGGCUCUACAACACCUGGCUCUACACCUCCGGUAUCUCCCUUCGCCGGUAAGGUUGCAAUAGUCAUCACUCUCUUAUGACUAGUCAUCAGUAGAGUACUGUUUUUCUGCUUUUGGUCGUGACCAAAUGUCCAUUUUGUCCUUGAUAACCGGCCUCCAAGAAGUAGGGAGGUAGCUUUUUUUACUGGGUCAAAACCCUACUCCAAAUAGUAGUAUAUCAAAGUUUGACAGAAAAAAUAGAUCAAAGGCUUUGUAUUAUACCCGUGCGGUACACUUUUUUAGUACUGCAUGUAAGUUAGUGAAUAGAUGAUACACUUUCUUAUCGAUGUGCAUAUUUUUUAAAAAUACUUAAAAAAUACUGAAAAUAUAGACCGAAAAUAUCUAUAAUUUUCGAUUAAAAAACCUAUUUGGAAUCAUAAUUGGCUUGAAAUUAUGGGAGAAGUCUGUAGAGGGGCCUUAGUCUAGAUCUAGAACAAUCUGUUAAGAGGACAUAUUGGUAAAUCCACAAACGGGGGUUCAUUUGUAUGGUAUAGUAGAAAACUAGUGAUAAGUUUUUGUUAAUUGAAGGGUUAUUGUCAAUUAUGGCGACAAAUUUUGCCAUAUUAUGUGUAGUUCUAUGGAUGAGUGAUAUAUCACGUCAUGUGUAUUUACAUUAAAUAAAAAUGGUAACAAAAAUUUGUCAUUAAGGGGUUGUGGUGGAUGGAUCUUUUGAGCGGAUAAUGCAAGGCGGCCAGAAAAGUUAGGUGGAAAUGUGGAAAAUGGUGGAUCAGAGGGUGCAAUUAUUUACUGGUUGUCUUCUUAUACACUAAUAAUCCGUUUUAAGGUGGCAUCCACGGAGAUGUUUAGUAAAUUAUUUGGUAUUACAACCAAAUCUUUCCUUUUCGACGUCACAAGUCACACCCACCUUGCAACUUGCACGGGGAUUAAUUGGCUGAAAUUGACUUCGGCUCCUCCUAUGGGACAUGUUUGUGGUUGUAUCACAAGUUGUAUGGUGGACGUGCGUCCUUACUCUUUUUGCUGGAUGGAAGAUCCAGGGCUUGUACCUUAAGAAGGGUAAGAGGGCUAAUGAAUACAAGGUGCAGGAGUUUCAGUUGAAUUCCGUUUCUGAUGACUAACCAAACAAACAUAGCCGAAGGGACAUGAUAUCUAGGUGGUAGUAAGACUUAAUUCUCUGUAAGGAGCUCGACAGUGGUAAAGAGCAGGUGCUCUAAUGAAGUCUGUGCUGUGUUUCAGUCUAAAUAUGUACCUCCUGCUCGAGUAAGAUUGAAUGGGCUGCGAUAUGCUGUUGUGCAAGACUUUGUAAUACAAAAUCUUGAAUGUGCUGCGAUAUGCUGUUGCCCAUCAUGAUGGUUGUGUGCAGCAAUUGAAAUGGAAGCUUGAUUAAUUUGGCAUAUGGAACCGACGAAAAGUUAGGUCUUAGGUCAUAGGAAGUGGAAGUGUUGUUAUGCAUGUGAUCAUGUGCAUGACAUGGUCCAUGCUCUCAGCCUGUGGUGGGAAAGAAUCCGAGUAGGGUGGAAUAAAGGGAAAUAUGGUUGGAUGUGGUAGGUGAUGGGACUGCUUAUUAAUGAACAAAUUGAAUUGUAAAUGGCAUGGAUGGUCUCAAAGCAAUGUGAUGAUGUAGUGUUUCUUUUUCUUCCUUGAUCAAUAGCAAUUGUAUCAUGACAUGGGGCUUCUUUUGCAGCUUGCUUGGUGCAAUGUCUCUGUCCCCCUCUUUAUACUCCUUGAUGCUGUACUGUACUCCAGCCUAUUGACUGCUACAGUUUUAUUUCUUGUGCAAGCUUUCCUGCAUUUAUUGCAUUACUUGGAUGAAGAAUGUUGACAGCAAAAAGAUUUUCUCGAUGCAUAAUGUGUAGGUGCUGGAGGAAGAGAGGCGUUUCGGUUUCGCAGGAAGUCUGCAUCAUUCGCAUAUGAGAAAUCCAGCAGUGUUGACCCAGGAGCCCUCCUCCUCCUUACGACCUGUGAGAUAUGAUGAGGCUUGGCAUUUUCCAUUGAGCGGCGGCUAAAGUAGUCGGAUUUUCGUCUUCUUCUCAGCUUUGUCAUGGGGAAAUCUUUUAGAUGAAUAGCACUGAGUGUGAAAAAGUUUGGUGGCGUGCAAUCAAAAAUUAAUCUUGUAAAUAUGGGUUAUGGUAGUGUCUGCUGUCUCGGUCGCGGUGUAUGGAGGGCUGGUCAUGCAGACUUUUGUAAAAGCUCAGUUUGAAGUUUGUAAUGUGUCCUGGUCUCUGUAUGCAGAGCUCAGAGUGGUUUGGUUUCUCCCAAAACUGCUAAGUUUCUUCUGUCAUUUUCCGGUGCGCUUGAAUGCCUAUUUGUGUUGUGCAACUUUGGUUGAUAUUGCAGUAAAGCUCUCCUCUCCCUGUUCCUGUUUUUCAAUGGCAAUAUUUUUCCUUUUUACCUACACUUCUCGUCUGUAUUAUGUGAUGAGUGAGCCCCUCGAAAAGAAUGGAAAUUGGACACCAAUUGGUUUUCCCUCACUCCCCCCAUCACCCUUAAAAGGGUAGAAAUGGGCAUGGUGGUGUUUAAUAUGUCGCCAAAAUAAUUAUAGCUUUGUUUGAAUUGCAGCUUUUCGUCGAAAAAUUACGUUGUUUUCCGUGAUUAUAUUUUUUUAUUAUUUUUUUUCUCACAUACAUCAAAUCGAUACAAUAAAUUUUUUAUACAAAAUUAUAAAAAAUGUAAUUCAAACAUACCUUUAUUUUAUGAGCCAUUGAUUUAAUUAAUUAAUUGUGGGUUGCAUAAUAAUUAUAUUAUAUAAUAUAAUAAUAUAUUUAAAUUAUAAAAAUAAUAAAAAUUUUAAAUUGGUGGUUUAAUCGGUAAUUUAUCGGUUGAAUCCGUUGACUAGUCAAUAGAUUUGUUGUUUAAUUGGUUUAAUUAGAAACUUAUUUGGAUCGUAUAGUCAGUUCACUGUUAAUUGGUUCGAUAAUCAAGCCGGACCAAAAUUUAUAACUACGAUAAGAAUGACAUGUUUCAUUAGCUAAUUGACAUAAUAUGCUCUUGUCUAUUAAAAGCACAAGUCAUUAUUAUUGAAUUUUGGUCUAAUGAUCAGGAGUUUCUUAAAACUCUCCUGUGCACUAAGGUAGGGUUCAAAAUUUGCGUAGUGCAUUAAGGCAGCCAUGCACUUGUGUGGUGUAGGGGUUCACGUCUUGUGUUUGGAUUGCAUUUUUCAUGAUUUUUUAUGGAAAAAUUACUGUAAUAAUUUGAUAUAUGUGAGAAAAAAAAGUGAUAGGGAAAUAUGAUCACGAAAAUGACGUAAUUUUUCGACGAAAAACCGCAAUCCAGUGUAGAAUGUUGCCUGAGGAGAGAAAAAAAAAAAGUUGGACACAAAAGACUAUAAUAACAUAAUAGAAAAGGAAAAUAAUAGUAUAUAACUCCUCAAAAUUUUAUGAAAAUUUGACCUGGAAAAAAGUCAUGAUUCUGGGAUAAGCAGAUGGACCAAUUUGACUUCAGAACUUUGGGCUUGCUUCACUGUCUCUACUCGGUCCAUGUUAACAACCAAUUGUUUAAAAUUUUGAUUAAUUAUUUUCGCUAAGCACACAAAUUUGGUGGCAAGAAAAAGAUUAAUUUUAUUGAUAAAUUCUAAAAUAAAAUCAUGAGAUAAGAAUAUAAACAUCCAAAAAAAGGUUUAGAUUAUUGCUUGGAAUAAAUUAAAGCUAUCUUAUAUAUAUAUAUAUAUAUAUAUCUCAGUAACACUGUAUCUUAUAUAUAUCAGUAACACUGUAUCAUAUAACUUUUGAGUUAGAGAAUAGAGAGUUUAGGCAAGAAGAAGACGGCUUCGUUUGGAGUGGAGGAUUCGGACAGAAAAGAAAGGGAAAGAAGAGAAAGUUAGCUUUUCUUUCAUUUGUUAGUUUUUAGUAGGAAAGAAAAGAAGGAAAUGGAAUGAUUUAAGAGGAUGAAUAGUAUGCAAAAUUUUUCCUUCCAAAUUGGAGAGAAAUGGAGAGAAAAUUGGAGGAAGCUUAUGAAAGUUUUUUAAAAUACCCAUUUUAUCCUUAAAAAUGUCUUGAACAAAUAUUUAAUGACUUUCAUAUCCAAAAUUAUUCCACUAAUUCUCAAAACUCCCAAACAACGUAACAAUCCCUUCUCUUCUCUUCUCUUCUCUCAUAACUUAAGUUUUCCCUUCUUUCUUUUCUAUCCUAAACUCCCAAACUUAGCCUAAAACUGAUUAGGCAAAUUUCCUCUUUCAUAGAGGAGAAAAAAAAGUUGAAAUUUGAAAACGGAAUAAAAGAAGCUUUCUGAUAUUUUUAUUACUGCGAAACCUUUGGGAAGAAAAGUUGGAACUCCUUGACCUAUAGCACCAAAAGAUGAGAUGGGAAAGUCACCGCUGCAUUUUGCUGCUGAUACUCACCACCUCAACCAUCAACCUUCCUUUCUCUCGCGUCUUUGCUGCUUCUGCUACUACUAAUACUGGUAUGUGUAUUAUUCCUAAUCUCUGCCUCUGUUUCUCAAAUCCAAAGUUAUUCCUGGUAUGUGUAUUAUCAGUCAGACAUAUGCACGAACAUAUACAAGGCAUGCCACGCGAUCACAGAUGAAUUCACGGUUAUUUUGCAUUCCAUAAUUUUUUUCUGACCCUUUACAUUGUUUAUUCUCGAACCCAAAUUUUGUUUUCAUCGUUUUUUGAGUUUUAUUGUUGAGGUGUUUGUAUGUUUUGCUUAUCUUUUGCUAUUCAAGAAUUUUGCUUCAGAUGGUCAUUACUGCCAUACAGUAGUAUAUUUUGUGGCUUUAAACCUAUCAAAGACAAUUCAUAAUGGUUUUCUACAAUUGUUUUGUUUUUACUUCCGUUUGGGUGGGGUGAAAGGGGGAGGCGAGGUUGGAUUAUUUGUUGAAGUGUAGCCUUUUACUAAUGUAAUGGUAGUGGUAGUGAAAAAUAUUUAUGAGGGUGGUGCGAAAUCAUUAAUACCUAAUUGUAAUGCUAAAACCUAGCUAGAAACAACGUCUAGAGAUUUGGCUUGAAAUGGGCCCUUAAGUACUUCAAAGCAACCGAAUUACCCUUGGAGUUAUUUAAUUUAACAGGAUUCAUCUGUUUAGAUUUGAAUUCCUGUCUCUUCUUGAAGGUCCACAUAUUUUAAAGAUUGAAUUUUUACACCAGAUUGAGGCAAUGGUCAACCAUAGGCUACCUUUCCCGCAGCUUUUACAAUUUAUUUCUCAUUCAGCAGUUUAGUGAAUCUUGUGACGUGCUUGUUGUUUAUUUGGGUAGUUAAGAAGAGACAUGGCUUCGCAUAUUAGUUUAAUAGGAACCUUAAGAGGUUUAGACUGUUGAUUGUGCUUAGAAUGUACACCUUUCACCUGAUUAUCUUCUUGUAGUUGUUUUUCUGGUCAUAUAUGGAAAGGGACCAGCGGCAUCCCUCACUGGUUAUUAAGGAGAGAAAGCAUCUGAUAUGCGGAAACUAAUUGAGUUUAAUAAUUGUCGAAACAUUGUGGAUCAGGAAACCAUAAGAAGCUAGUAAAAUUGCUCCUUUCCUUAAUGGGUAUGGUUUCUAGCGCCUGAUUUAGGUUAAUUUUUCAAUGAGCUCAAAAUGAUGAAUCUAAAUGUUACUUAAAAUCGUUGAGGGAGAAUGUAAGUAGUGAUGGUCAUAACUAGGUGAUGGUAGGUUUCUAAAUGUAAUUAUGGUAUCCAAUGCAUUAGACAAACUGGAAAGACCUUUGGAGUUUGUUUUGAUUCUUAUGUGCUUAUCAAAGUUGAGGAAACUUUUGGAACAAGGCAAGUCAACCAACUUCCAGUUUAGCAGCAAGUAGUAGGCUUCCGAUGACCAACAUAUUAACAGAAUGCUGGUACAACAGAAUGAUGACAUGGAUGGCCUGUAAAAUACUAAAGAUGUCUAAGAAUGUAGCAACCCAUAAUACGAUAAAGCUUCCACUUCCAGGAGAAUAAUUAGGAGAUACUCAAGAUUGGUGGAGUCUUCAAAAAGAUGAGCAGAUUUAGAAAUCCCUGGGAAUUAGAGGUUCUGGGUUCAAAUUCUCCUUUGCCCUCCCCGCUUCUUUAAGUCCCGCCUCAUUCAUCACUGCUAAAAUAAAAAAGGCCAAGGUGACCUUGGUUUAGUGGCUAAGGUUGGCAAGAAUUACCCCCUCCCCGGGGGGCUUGCUUUUCAAAUCCCACGUCUCUCCUGCUUAAUUUGGAAAAAAAAAAAAAAGACGAAUUGGAUGUGCAUAAAAUGUUGGUGCUAAGAAUUGAAGGAAAGCAAAGGAUAGAAUAACUCGUAAUGGGUAAAUGGAACAGUAUACAGGUCACUCAAAGUAAAGUAUGUGCUAAUAGUGCGGAGCCCAAAAGAUAGGUUACUUCUGUCCAGUUGUGCUAAAAACUUGGAAGGUAAGUGGGUCUUCAACACUUAAAAUGCCAAAACUGAUUAUAAUAUUUCAAAACCAGUGCUUGAGUCUCCAUUGCUAUCUUUAUAAUUCUGUAGCUUGGAAAAUAGAGUCUUCUACAAGGCUGAAGUGAUUGAGGAAUAAUCCACGAUAAUAAGAGAACUUGAAAAAUGGCAAUCUUAUGUUCUGAAGAAGGGAAGAUACCAUUUGAAAUUGAAAAUUCCUACGUUGCUCACAUUUUUCUUCUGGAGCAAGGUUUACAAUCUAACUUGUGUAGAUUAAUAAAUAAACACAUAGCAUGCUUUGAGCAGCUUGUAUACCCUGUAUGGAUUCCUUAACAACAAAUAUAUUCUUAAAGCAUCAAAAGAUCUGCUAAUUUGUAAAUAAACUCUGUUAAUAUAUAUGGUGGUUACUGUGCUUUUGAAGUUCUUGACAUCCUCCUAAUGUGUCUUUACGCCUAAACUAAGGAAUUGAAUUUUACUUCAUGCAGAAAAACUUCUGUGUUUGUGUAUCUCCUGGUGGGCGCUUCCCACCAUUUCUAGAUGAGGGUAAGCCUCCCAGAAAAGUAAGCAAGGGACAUCGGGAUCUGACUCUUUGCAGGGUUUUUCGCCAUAAUACAUGCUGUGAUGUAACCCAAACGCAUCCAGCUUUUCUGUCUAUCAGGAAGUUGGCUUCAGCUGGAGAAGCAAGCCAAGAAUGCUUACACUUGUGGGAAUGUUGGAAUGUUCCAUCUGUGAUCCUCGUGUUGGUGUACAGCCUGGACCUCCUGUAAUAUGUGUAUCGUUUUGUGAUAGAGUGUAUCAAGCAUGCUCGGAUGCAUACUUAUCUGUGGAUGCUAAAACACAGGUUUGUUGUGCUUUAAUUAAGGCUAGAUAUGUGGUUUUCCAGUUGGCCUUGUAACAAAGUAGCAAAUAUGAAACUUUGCUGAAGCUUCCUAUCUUUAGUUUGCGAGGGAGCUUGAUCCAUGGAACUGUUCUAUGUUUUUCUUUGGUGUUGCUUCUUUCUUCUUUUCCCAAAUCUGAUUCAGUAAAGUUAGCAAAAACCGUUCAAGGGAGCAUGUGAAUUAUCUUCAAAGUGCUCCUUAUCUAGAAUAUUGUUAUGCCAAUGCCCCUAAUUUUCUGUGUAUAAAAAAUAUUACCUUAAGUUACCUCAUGCAUUAUGAAAAAUUUACUCUCUUAUUUGACCAUUACAUGCCAGGUUCUAGCACCAUGUGGAUUAAAAGACUUUGUGUGUGGUAGAGCCUCAGAAUGGAUCUCUAAUGGCACAGAUCUCUGCCGUGCUGCAGGUUUUUCUGUUAAGCCAUCUGAUGAUCCUCAAGAAUUAUCAUGCUAUGGUGGGAAAGCUAGUCUGGAUUACGUUGCUGAUCUCUGGAAAGCUUCAGAGUCUAGGGUUCCACAAGAAACAGAAGGUUUGUGGUCUUUAGAAGAUUUCAGGCAAUGGGUGGAGGCAAUGCCAUUCAGUGAAAAAGUUUCUUGGGCAGUAGGAGGAAUGGUUCUUACAGCGGGACUGAUAUUUGCAAGGUUAGACAACUUUGUUAAUGGUAUCAAAAGCAUCCGCCAUGUUUUCUACUCGAGUCACAAUACUUAAUGUCUAUGGUUUGAUGCUUUUACUAUCUGAAGUUUAGUUCAUCUACUGAAUUUUUUGUAUCAUAUUCAUGCUAGUUGAACUUCAUAAAUUUGUGGCAACUAUGCAUAAUGAGCAUUCUGUGCUGUCUUGGUCUAUAAGAGAUCAAGCAGGAGACACAUACUUCGGUUUAGGUGUUUGAAAUGGAAGUGUUGAACAGGCUUAGUUUGAUGACCAAAAGUUUCUGAAAUGGACUUUAGGGAGACUGGUGUUAUACACUGUGACAAAUAGAGUUUGAAACAGGAAUUGGAGAAAGGCUGUCCAUGUGGUCAAUAUGUGAAAGGUCAGCUUCUGGACUGGUAAAAACAUAAUAAGAGGUGCUCCAGUAUCCCUUGACUUAAUCAGAAACACAUUUGGGCUUAGGAUGCAGACCAAAUCAAACAACCUUGAGUAAAUAGGCUUUAGUCAAAUCAAGGUUAUAUAUCUUUAAGCAAGGUAAAAGUUCUUUUAUUGGCAUGAGGCCUGGCUCUGAUGAGUUGAGGGUGGUCACAAAAUCUCUCAGUUUGUGACUUCAAGAAAGGGUUGUGAAGAAUUUAAGCAACAGCUUCACACGCUUUAAGCAAAAGCUUCACACACUUUUCUGGUCAUCUGUUUGCAAAGUAAAGUUGCCCUGGGAGGAACAUAUGAAAGGUAGGUUUUAAUCAGCUAAGGGGAAAUCAGCUCUGCUGAGAGGGGACAGAGACUGAUGAAAUAGUUUCAGAUGCCGUGGAGAUAAAACUUUGAAUAAACAGGAUCAUAGAAUAGUGUCUUAUUAUAUAGCUUUAAAAGUGAUACCAAAGGUUGUAAUUUUUAGGAAUGCAAGGGUUUGUUUCUCUGAAGAGGAAGGGAGCUUUUGAGAAAGAGGUUUGAAUCUGGUGGAGAUGGAGGACUAUAAUGAUGGGUUGUGCUCUGGGGUAGGGAGUGAUGAUAUAUAGUUCAGUUGCAGAAAUUGAGCUAUACCUUUGAAUGAUUACCUGUAUGAUCUACCUCGGACUUAUGUGGCAUCCAACUAACUGGUUGCUCUAGCAAAGUUUAAAGUGUAAUUAGGCUUUUUCAUUGCGAACUAUGAAGUGAUAAUAGAAGAUUAAAGGAAUCCAGACAAGAUAAAAGCCAAGGAAAGGUCAAUUGUGACAAAGGGAAGAAAGUGGGGAUAGUAUGCUGAUGGAAGUUGCAAUUGUGGGUUGUUCCUUGUGUUUAUCUUUGUUUUCUGUCCUUUCCAUAUUGAAAUGUUUAGGUAGUCUUUUGGUGCUAAUUAUAGUUCGUUUGAUGGAUGGUAGUUUUUUUUUUUUCAUUUGUCUAUUUGAAGUUUCACGUUGGUGCAGCAUAUUUUUUAGCUCUCAGUCUUUGGGUUAUGUAAAAUUUUGGGGAGAGAGAGAGAGCUGUUUGUGUGCAUCUCUUCUAGAAACAUUUCUAGGAGGAGUAGCAAGAGCAGCUUGGGAAGCAUUUAAACAAAAAUUUCCAGAUAAAUUACAACAAGACCAGGUGCAUGGAGUAAAUCCCAUGAAUUUUGUUAAUAGAGUAGAAGAAAUUCUUUUAGCAACAAGUCCAAAUAGAGGAGGAGUUCUAACACAAAUAGAAUCUAUAAGAAAAAUAGAACAACUAUCUAUUAGAAAUUGAAAAUAUAUUAAACCAUUUUUACAAGAUUUCUUAUAUCAUAGCUGUUUAGCGGGAUGUUUUUAUGAUGAAGGAAUUAUAGAAAAAUUAUUUGCUAAAUUACCAGACGAUCUAGGAAAGAAAAUAUAUACUUUAUAUAAAGAAACACCUAUGGAACCAACACUAAAAAAUGUAAGUACAGCUAUAAGAUUCAUAAUUAAUAGAUUAGUAGAGGAAUGUACGUUUAUUAAAAUACAAAGAUAAUUAAAAGGGGAAUAUAGUUUUUGCUCAGAAAUAUAUACACCACAAAAAUAUGGAGAAAGAGAAAAAGAAAAAAGAAAGUAUAGAAAACCUUAUAAAAAUUAUAAAAAGUACCCCAGAAAACAAUACUAUCUUCGGAAGAGCAAAGCUAGAAAACCAUUUCUUAAAAAGGAACAUCAUGUUAGAAGAUAUAGGCCAGAACGUACCUAUGGGAAUAGAUUAUCUUGUUUUAUUUGUAAACAACCUAACCAUUUAGCAACCAAUUGCCCAAAUAAACAUAAUUCUUUUAACAAAGAAGCUCAUUUAGUAGAAUUAUUUUCAGAAGAUUUAAUCGAAAUAGAUGACAAUAUAUUAGAAACAGAAAGCAUUUAUAGUAUAGUAUCAGAAGAGAUGGAUUUAACAGAUUUUAUAGAACAAGAAGAUACAGGAUUCAUAAAUGAAAUCCUAGAAAAAUCAGAAAAUAGAACUAUUAUGGAUAACAUAUACCUAGAAGAAAUAAAAGAAGAUUUUAAAAAAUUAGAUGACUUAGAUCUAGUAGAAGUAGAAUGUACUCAUAAAUGGGAACACAGAAAAGGUAAUUAUAGUAAAGCUUGUUAUAAUUGUAAUAGAUACCCAGCAAUAGAAUUAAGAUUCCAAUGUCAAUUAUGUUAUACAGAAGGAUGUAAAUUUUGCUUGGAUAAAUUAGCACAAAUAUACGUUUUAUUAGAACCAGUUAAAAAGGAUAAAACAGAAAACACUGUGCCCUUAGAAUAUUACCUAGAAAGAAGAAUAAGAAUUUUAGAAAAUAAAAUAGAACAAUUAGAGGAAAAAAUAGAAAAAUUUGAUAAAGGGAAAUCGAUAGAAAGGGAAGUAUAUAUAGAGAAUGCUGAUAUAGAAAUUUUUCCAGAAUUAAUAAGACAUAAUUAUGAUUCUGAAUUAUUACAAGCAGGGAUACCAACGAUAACUUCCAUUGAAAUAAAAACUAGAAUAAUAAUAGGAGACUUUGAUACAGAAGUUUUAGCAAUAGUAGAUACAGGAGCAAGUAAUAUAGUUAUCCAACAAGAAUUAAUACCAGAAAAAUAUUAUGAAAAAGCAUAUAAUAUUAGAACUGCAAGGCAAAUGGAUGGUAGUACUUACACCUACGACACUGCAAUUCAUAAUAGUCUCUUAUUUUUUGAAAUAGACAAUAAUCACUGCACACCACCUUAUCCAGUAGAAGAAAUAUAUGUUAGAAAUUUUCCUUAUCAAAUGAUUUUAGGAUUAGCUUUUUACUACAAUCAUAUCAUGGCAUGAUUAUUACAAGGACAGGGUUAACAUUCUUAAGAGACCAUACUUUACCUUAUAAUACAUUCAUAACACCAGGAAUACGGAAAGACAAUAAAAAUACAGAAAUUCAUAAUUGUAAAUGUAAAGGAGCAAAAGAUUGCAAAUGUAAUCACAUAGAAACUAUAGAAGAAAUAGAAGAAUUUAAUAAUAUAGAAACUAUAGAAAGCAUAGGAGAAGAUUUUAAUGAAAUAGAAAUAAGUUUAGACCUUUUACAAAAUGAGAAAAUCUAUAAUAUGUUAGAAACAGGACACACAGAUAUAGACCGAUUAAUAAGUAAGUUAGAAAAAUUAGAAAUUUUUGGAGAAAAUCCAACCAUUCAUUGGGAAAAAGAUAAAACAGAAUGUAAGUUAGAAAUUUUAAACUCAAAUUUAAAAAUUAGUACAGCAAAAAUAGAAGCCAGUAAUGAAGACAUAAAAGAAUUUGAAAUGCAUAUAGGAGAUUUAAAUAAAUUAAAAAUAAUCAGAAGAAGUACAAGUCCACAUAGAAGUGCAGCAUUCAUAGUUAGAAAACAUAGUGAAAUAGUCAGAGGAAAAAGUAGAAUGGUAAUAAAUUAUAAAAGAUUAAAUGAUAAUACUAAAGAAGAUAGUUAUGACAUACCAGAUAAAAAUGAACUAAUAAAUAGAAUUCAGUAUAGAUAUAUUUUUAGCAAAUUUGAUUGUAAAUCAGGAUUUUGGCAAGUAAUAAUGCACACAGAUAGUAUAGAAUGGACAGCUUUUACAUGCCCCUUAGGACAUUUUGAAUGGUUAGUAAUGCCUUUCGGAUUAAAAAAUGCACCGGCAAUAUUUCAAAGAAAAAUGGAUAAUAUUUUUAACAAAUAUAAAGAAUUUGUCAUAGUAUUCAUACAUGAUAUAUUAGUAUUUUCAAAAAAUAAAGAAGAACAUGUUGGGCACUUAAAGUUAGUUUUCGCAGAAUUUAUUAGACAUGGAAUAAUAAUUAGUAACAAAAAGGCACAAUUUUUUAGGAAAAAUAUAGAAUUUUUAGGAACAGAAAUAGGAUAAGGAAAAAUAAAAUUACAACCACAUAUUUGUAAAAAAGUAUUAGAAUUUCCAGAUAAAAUAGAAGAAACGAAGAAAUUACAACAAUUUCUAGGACUACUAAACUAUGCCAGACCUUUUAUAAAAAAUUUAAAUAGUUUAGUAGCACCAUUAUAUAACAAAACAUCUUUAAAAGGACAAAAAUUUUUUAAUAAAGAAGAUAUGAAAUUGGUCCAAACAAUAAAACAAAUAGUAAGUAAACUAACAGAUUUAAAAUUACCUUUAGAUACAGAUUAUUUAAUAAUUGAAUGUGAUGGCAGUAGUAUAGGAUGGGGAGCAGUUCUUUUUGCAAAACCAAAUAAAUAUAGUAGCAAACAUAGUGAACAAAUUUGUAGAUAUGCCAGUGACAAAUAUAAGGAAAAAUGUAAUAGAAGCAGCAUAGAUAAUGAAUUGUUAGCAGUAAAAUAUAGUCUAGACAACUUUAGACUUUUUAUACUUAACAAACCAGAAAUUACUAUUAGAACAGACUGCGAGGCAAUAAAAAAGUUUUUUGAUAAACACAAUGAAAAAAGAAGUUCUACUAGAAGAUGGUUAAACUUUGUAGAUAGCAUUAUAGGUAAUGGAUAUAAAGUUAGGUUUGAACAUAUUAAGGGAAAAGAUAAUAAUUUAGCAGAUUUUUUUUUCCGUCUAUUUAACAAUUCUUCUGAUCUUUUAGCAGAUGGCACGGCAGCUACCCAAAGUACAAAUUGGCCAAUAGGAACUUAACAAGUAUCCUAAAGGAUCCAAUUUACAUUUUUUCAGCUGUGAGGAAGGUAAUUUAGAAGAAAUUCAGCAGGAUAUCUUAGAUAACCUCUGGAAUAGUAGAAUCAAUUCUGAUAGAAUUAAAAAUUUAAAUAUUUUAGCAUUUUAUUUCAGUAAUCUACCAAAACAAAGUUUUUCAUAUUAUGCAGUAGUUCGGGGUAAAACACCUGGAAUUUAUUCCAAAUGGAUUUCUGUAGUAGAACAAAUUAAAGAUUUUCAAAAUCCUUUGUGGAAAGCUUUUCAUAGCAACCAUGAAGCCUUGGAUUUUGCUAGAAAAAAUAUUGGCAUCAGUUUUCAUGUAGAUAGCAAAGCUAGUAUGGAUAGCACGAGGGUGCCAGUACAAUCUUGUACAGAAGCCCCUAGUAGCAGCAAUAGUGGUAGAAGUUAUUCUGAUUCAGUAGCAUAUGAUAAUACUCAUAGCAUUCAAUUUUGUAAACAUUGUAAGGUUAUGGAAGAAGCAAUUAGAAGUCUAAAUCUUAAAUCUAGAAAUCUAGAAGAAGAAAAUAAAAAUUUAUAAGAAAUAGCUCAUUCUCUGACAGGGCAACUCAAAGAAAUGUGUAAAAUAUCUGGAUCACAAAGUGAUACAAUAAUUUCACAAAUUUCUGAAAUAGGGGAGCUACAAGGAAGACUGUCUCAUACAGUAUCACAAAUGGCCAGUUCUUCAUCCGGCCCAGCAAAAGAGAUCUUCAUAAAAGAACAACCCAUCUCAAAUAGACCCUUUGAGUUUCUUAAGCCCAGAAUAUUUUUUAGGCCUUAUCCUUUAUUAGAUCAUUUUCCUUUAUCAAUCAUAGACAUUAUCAGCCAAAAAGUGCAAGCCCAGCACUUAGCAAAAUUAGAAGCAGUGCAAAAAUACUUCAAAGAAAUAGCAACCAAACCCAAUACCAACUAUAGCCUUAACAUUAGCCCAUCUUACUGGAUCAACCCACAUAAAAAAUGCCCAAAUAAUCCAGAACCUUGUAACCACCAAAAAUACAGAAACCAUUGUGUACAUACACUUGAUUUUCUCAUACUCUGAGCAUCCAUUAAAUUACACAGAUAUACUCCAGUAGCCCUUAUGGUCAAUAAAAAAAGAAUAGUUCUUACACCACAGUUCUUAAUGGAUUGUGGAUUCUUAAAAGAAUUUUGGAUUUCUGAUCCAGAUGACUCAUAUCAGUUAGGAACAAGUUUGGCAUAUUUUUGUAGACAAAUGCUAAAUUAUGAACAAUGGGUUCAAGUAAAAAUUAAAUCAGCACCAGCAGAAUGGAUUGGACUCAUUGAUUUAGAACCAACAAUCCAUAGAAUAAAAAUUCAAGUUAGCAAUGAUUAUCCGACUCCACCAGCAGCAGCAAGAAUAAUGAUAGCAGAGUGUCCUUUAACACUAGAAGAACAACUCCGAAAUUCAAAGGCUAUGCACUUAGCCUAUAGACAUUUUAAAUCCGGAUGGUCAUACUUCAGAUUGGCAGCAGAAAACAAAAUUCAGAAGAUCUACACUCCCUACCGAUAUAAGCUGGAAAAAGACUUUAUAGUUCAAACAACUUUUCCAGAACUAUUCCAGCAGUACUUAAAUGAUUAUAUGGAAGAAAGAACUCAGCCAGAAGAAAUUGAAGGAGAAAUUGAAGAAGCAGACAACGAUCAUUAUUGGCAAACAAUGGGACCAGAAGAACUCCACAACAUCGAGAAUAUGAUGGAAGGAUAAUAGGAUUCAGACACAUUAUUGUACAUACCAGCACUGAAAAAAUACCGGUCUCAUAAAUUUUUGUAGCACAUAUAGCCUUUAGAAGCUUUGAAAGUUUCGGCCCUUGUAGGCUUUUCAGCCAUCGUAGGCCAUUGCAGGCUUUUUAGCCAUUGUAGGCUAUAUAGCCUUUAAGAGCUUUAAAAAAGUUUGGCUAUUUAGCAUAGACAUAGGUUUUUGAAAAUUUUGGCUAUAGACAUAGCUUUUUGAAAAUUUCAGCCACUGUCGGCUCCAUAGAUUAGACAUCAGAUUCCAAUCCAAUUGAAAUCCGCAAACAUAAUUAGGAAAUAGAAGUCCGGAUUUCAAAUCCGAACAAUAAAGCCUAUAAAAGCACCAGUCCCAACCAUUGUUGGGUACGAUACUUUCAUAACAUGUAAAUUACAAAAACAUUCCAUAUAUCCAGUUCCAAACACUUCUUGCAAGUUCACUAUUUUUAGUCAUCUUAUUGAGAGGAAAGGAAAACAUAGAAUAGAAAUUAAUACAGCCUCCAAAUAACCGGAAACUUUGAGAGAGAUAUCCUAUUUUGGAACCCAAAAAGUCUAAAAGACGGUGUAGUACCCAUCAUAGCCGUUCUGUCAAGAGUUCCUGCAAGGCGUAAGGGGAAGAUCUGGUGAGGCAAACCUCCAAAGAUAGGACUCCAACUCUCAUAGCAUCAGAAGAAAACUUUGAAGGUAUAAUUUCUGUAACCUCUAUCAAGUACCGAGUACUCGUAUAAUUCUUAAAUCAAGUUGAUAAUUUAUACAUAUAAAAUCUGUAUGAAUUUUGAACCACCUUUUCAGUUUACAACCACUCAAGAAAAUUCAUAUAGAAUAGCAUUAGCAACUCUUAAACAACCAGAUACAUAUUAUUAUUUUGAUAAAAUUUUAGAAGAUCUAGAAACUUUAGAUUAGUGUUUAGCACAUAUACAAAUAGAAGAAUCUAGAUUAGUAAAAGUAGCACACCACCAUCCCUCAUCCUUUCUCAGAAAUAUUAGACAAGCAAAUGUAGAUUUACUUUGGCACAGAUACUCUGAAUUAAAAUCUAUAGAAAGACAAAAAUUAGAAGAAAAAGAAGAAUAUAAAAACAGAAGGAAUUCCUGUAAUAAAAUCUGUGGAAUAUCUGAUUAAGCAAUAUAGGAUUUUAAAUAUAGGUCUUUAACUGGAGCCUAAUAGUCCAGCCAUUCUAGGACUUUUGGUACCUAGGUAGUUUUUGAAAAGUCCUAGAAUGGCUGGACUAUUAGGCUCCAGUUAAAGACCUAUAUUUAAAAUCUUGUAUUGCUUAAUCAGAUAUUCCACAGAUUUUAUUACAGGAAUUCCUUCUGUUUUUAUAUUCUUCUUUUUCUUCUAAUUUUUGUCUUUUUAUAGAUUUUAAUUCAGAGUAUCUGUGCCAAAGUAAAUCUACCUUUGCUUGUCUAAUAUUUCUGAGAAAGGAUGCGGGAUGGUGGUGUGCUACUUUUACUAAUCUAGAUUCUUCUAUUUGUAUAUGUGCUAAACACUGAUCUAAAGUUUCUAGAUCUUCUAAAAUUUUAUCAAAAUAAUAAUAUGUAUCUGGUUGUUUAAGAGUUGCUAAUGCUAUUCUAUAUGCAUGUUCUUGAGUGGUUGUAAACUGAAAAGGUGGUUCAAAAUUCAUACAGAUUUUAUAUGUAGAAAUUAUCAACUUGAUUUAAGAAUUAUACGAGUACUCGGUACUUGAUAGAGGUUACAGAAAUUAUACCUUCAAAGUUUUCUUCUGAUGCUAUGAGAGUUGGAGUCCUAUCUUUGGAGGUUUGCCUCACCAGAUCUUCCCCUUACGCCUUGCAAGAACUCUUGACAGAACGGCUAUGAUGGGUACUACACCGUCUUUUGGACUUUUUGGGUUCCAAAAUAGGAUAUCUCUCUCAAAGUUUCCGGUUAUUUGGAGGCUGUAUUAAUUUCUAUUCUAUGUUUCCCUUUCCUCUCAAUAAGAUGACUAAAAAUAGUAAACUUGCAAGAAGUGUUUGGAACUGGAUAUAUGGAAUGGUUUUGUAAUUUACAUGUUAUGAAAGAAUUGUACCCAACAAUGGUUUGGGACUGGUGCUUUUAUAGGCUUUAUUGUUCGGAUUUGAAAUCCGGACUUCUAUUUCCUAAUUAUGUUUGCGAAUUUCAAUUGGGUUGGAAUCCGAUGUCUAAUCUAUGGAGCCGACAAUGGCUGAAAUUUUCAAAAAGCUAUGUCUAUAGCCAAAAUUUUCAAAAACCUAUGUCUAUGCUAAAUGGCCAAACUUUUUUAAAGCUCUUAAAGGCUAUAUAGCCUACAAUGGCUAAAAAGCCUGCAAUGGCCUACGAUGGCUGAAAAGCCUACAAGGGCCGAAACUUUCAAAGCUUCUAAAGGCUAUAUGUGCUACAAAAAUUUAUGAGACCGGUAUUUUUUCAGUGCUGGUAUGUACAAUAAUGUGUCUGAAUCCUAUUAUCCUUCCAUCAUAUUCUCGAUGUUGUGGAGUUCUUCUGGUCCCAUUGUUUGCCAAUAAUGAUCGUUGUCUUCUUCUUCAAUUUCUCCUUCAAUUUCUUCUGGCUGAGUUCUUUCUUCCAUAUAAUCAUUUAAGUACUGCUGGAAUAGUUCUGGAAAAGUUGUUUGAACUAUAAAGUCUUUUUCCAGUUUAUAUCGGUAGGGAGUGUAGAUCUUCUGAAUUUUAUUUUCUGCUGCCAAUCUGAAGUAUGACCAUCCGGAUUUAAAAUGUCUAUAGGCUAAGUGCAUAGCCUUUGAAUUUCGGAGUUGUUCUUCUAGUGUUAAAGAACACUCUGCUAUCAUUAUUCUUGCUGCUGCUGGUGGAGUCGGAUAAACAUUGCUAACUUGAAUUUUUAUUCUAUGGAUUGUUGGUUCUAAAUCAAUGAGUCCAAUCCAUUCUGCUGGUGCUGAUUUAAUUUUUACUUGAACCCAUUGUUCAUAAUUUAGCAUUUGUCUACAAAAAUAUGCCAAACUUGUUCCUAACUGAUAUGAGUCAUCUGGAUCAGAAAUCCAAAAUUCUUUUAAGAAUCCACAAUCCAUUAAGAACUGUGGUGUAAGAACUAUUCUUUCUUGAUUGACCAUAAGGGCUACUGGAGUAUAUCUGUGUAAUUUAAUGGAUGCUCAGAGUAUGAGAAAAUCAAGUGUAUGUACACAAUGGUUUCUGUAUUUUUGGUGGUUACAAGUUUCUGGAUUAUUUGGGCAUUUUUAUGUGGGUUGAUCUAGUAAGAUGGGCUAAUGUUAAGGCUAUAGUUGGUAUUGGGUUUGGUUGCUAUUUCUUUGAAGUAUUUUUGCACUGCUUCUAAUUUUGCUAAGUGCUGGGCUUGCACUUUUUGGCUGAUAAUGUCUAUGAUUGAUAAAGGAAAAUGAUCUAAUAAAGGAUAAGGCCUAAAAACAUUCUGGGCUUAAGAAACUCAAAGGGUCUAUUUGAGAUGGAUUGUUCUUUUAUGAAGAUCUCUUUUGCUGGGCCGGAUGAAGAACUGGCCAUUUGUGAUACUGUAUGAGACAGUCUUCCUUGUAACUCCCCUAUUUCAGAAAUUUGUGAAAUUAUUGUAUCACUUUGUGAUCCAGAUAUUUUACACAUUUCUUUGAGUUGCCCUGUCAGAGAAUGAGCUAUUUCUUAUAAAUUUUUAUUUUCUUCUUCUAGAUUUCUAGAUUUAAGAUUUAGACUUCUAAUUGCUUCUUACAUAACCUUACAAUGUUUACAAAAUUGAAUGCUAUGAGUAUUAUCAUAUGCUACUGAAUCAGAAUAACUUCUACCACUAUUGCUGCUACUAGGGGCUUCUGUACAAGAUUGUACUGGCACCCUCGUGCUAUCCAUACUAGCUUUGCUAUCUACAUGAAAACUGAUGCCAAUAUUUUUUCUAGCAAAAUCCAAGGCUUCAUGGAUGCUAUGAAAAGCUUUCCACAAAGGAUUUUGAAAAUCUUUAAUUUGUUCUACUACUGAAAUCCAUUUGGAAUAAAUUCCAGGUGUUUUACCCCGAACUACUGCAUAAUAUGAAAAACUUUGUUUUGGUAGAUUACUGAAAUAAAAUGCUAAAAUAUUUAAAUUUUUAAUUCUAUCAGAAUUGAUUCAACUAUUCCAGAGGUUAUCUAAGAUAUCCUGCUGAAUUUCUUCUAAAUUACCUUCCUCACAGUUGAAAAAAUGUAAAUUGGAUCCUUUAGGAUACUUGUUAAGUUCCCAUUGGCCAAUUUGUACUUUGGGUAGCUGCCGUGCCAUCUGCUAAAAGAUCAGAAGAAUUGUUAAAUAGACGGAAAAAAAAAAUCCGCUAAAUUAUUAUCUUUUCCCUUAAUAUGUUCAAACCUAACUUUAUAUCCAUUACCUAUAAUGCUAUCUACAAAGUUUAACCAUCUUCUAGUAGAAUUUCUUUUUUCAUUGUGUUUAUCAAAAAACUUUUUUAUUGCCUCGCAGUCUGUUCUAAUAGUAAUUUCUGAUUUGUUAAGUAUAAAAAGUCUAAAGUUGUCUAGACUAUAUUUUACUGCUAACAAUUCAUUAUCUAUGCUGCUUCUAUUACCUUUUUCCUUAUAUUUGCCACUGGCAUAUCUACAAAUUUGUUCACUAUUUUUGCUACUAUAUUUAUUUGGUUUUACAAAAAAAACUGCUCCCCAUCCUAUACUACUGCCUUCACAUUCAAUUAUUAAAUAAUCUGUAUCUAAAGGUAAUUUUAAAUCUUUUAGUUUACUUACUAUUUGUUUUAUUGUUUGGACCAAUUUCAUAUCUUCUUUAUUAAAAAUUUUUUGUCCUUUUAAAGAUGUUUUGUUAUAUAAUGGUGCUACUAAACUAUUUAAAUUUUUUAUAAAAGGUCUGGCAUAGUUUAGUAGUCCUAGAAAUUGUUGUAAUUUCUUCAUUUCUUCUAUUUUAUCUGGAAAUUCUAAUAUUUUUUUACAAAUAUGUGGUUGUAAUUUUAUUUUUCCUUGUCCUAUUUCUGUUCCUAAAAAUUCUAUAUUUUUCCUAAAAAAUUGUGCCUUUUUGUUACUAAUUAUUAUUCCAUGUCUAAUAAAUUCUGCGAAAACUAACUUUAAGUGUCCAACAUGUUCUUCUUUAUUUUUUGAAAAUACUAAUAUAUCAUCUAUGUAUACUAUAACAAAUUCUUUAUAUUUGUUAAAAAUAUUAUCCAUUUUUUUUUGAAAUAUUGCCGGUGCAUUUUUUAAUCCGAAAGGCAUUACUAACCAUUCAAAAUGUCCUAAGGGGCAUGUAAAAUCUGUCCAUUCUAUACAAUCUGUGUGCAUUCUUACUUGCCAAAAUCCUGAUUUACAAUCAAAUUUGCUAAAAAUAUAUCUAUACUGAAUUCUAUUUAUUAGUUCAUUUUUAUCUGGUAUGUCAUAACUAUCUUCUUUAGUAUUAUCAUUUAAUCUUUUAUAAUUUAUUACCAUUCUACUUUUUCCUCUGACUAUUUCACUAUGUUUUCUAACUAUGAAUGCUGCACUUCUAUGUGGACUGGUACUUCUUCUGAUUAUUUUUAAUUUAUUUAAAUCUCCUAUAUGCAUUUCAAAUUCUUUUAUGUCUUCAUUACUGGCUUCUAUUUUUGCUGUACUAAUUUUUAAAUUUGGGUUUAAAAUUUCUAAUUUACAUUCUGUUUUAUCUUUUUCCCAAUGAAUGGUUGGAUUUUCUCCAAAAAUUUCUAAUUUUUCUAACUUACUUAUUAAUCGGUUUAUAUCUGUGUGUCCUGUUUCUAACAUAUUAUAGAUUUUCUCAUUUUGUAAAAGGUCUAAACUUAUUUCUAUUUCAUUAAAAUCUUCUCCUAUGCUUUCUAUAGUUUCUAUGUUAUUAAAUUCUUCUAUUUCUUCUAUAGUUUCUAUGUGAUUACAUUUGCAAUCUUUUGCUCCUUUACAUUUACAAUUAUGAAUUUCUGUAUUUUUAUUGUCUUUCCGUAUUCCUGGUGUUAUGAAUGCAUUAUAAGGUAAAGUAUGGUCUCUUAAGAAUGUUAACCCUGUCCUUGUAAUAAUCAUGCCAUGAUAUGAUUGUAGUAUAAAAGCUAAUCCUAAAAUCAUUUGAUAAGGAAAAUUUCUAACAUAUAUUUCUUUUACUGGAUAAGGUGGUGUGCAGUGAUUAUUGUCUAUUUCAAAAAAUAAGAGACUAUUAUGAAUUGCAGUGUUGUAGGUGUAAGUACUACCAUCCAUUUGCCUUGCAGUUCUAAUAUUAUAUGCUUUUUCAUAAUAUUUUUCUGGUAUUAAUUCUUGUUGGAUAACUAUAUUACUUGCUCCUGUACUACUAUUGCUAAAACUUCUGUAUCAAAGUCUCCUAUUAUUAUUCUAGUUUUUAUUUCAAUGGAAGUUAUCAUUGGUAUCCCUGCUUGUAAUAAUUCAGAAUCAUAAUUAUGUCUUAUUAAUUCUGGAAAAAUUUCUAUAUCAGCAUUCUCUAUAUAUACUUCCCUUUCUAUCGAUUUCCCUUUAUCAAAUUUUUCUAUUUUUUGCUCUAAUUGUUCUAUUUUAUUUUCUAAAAUUCUUAUUCUUCUUUCUAGGUAAUAUUCUAAGGGCACAUUGUUUUCUGUUUUAUCCUUUUUAACUGGUUCUAAUAAAACGUAUAUUUGUGCUAAUUUAUCCAAGCAAAAUUUACAUCCUUCUGUAUAACAUAAUUGACAUUGGAAUCUUAAUUCUAUUGCUGGGUAUCUAUUACAAUUAUAACAAGCUUUACUAUAAUUACCUUUUCUGUGUUCCCAUUUAUGAGUACAUUCUACUUCUACUAGAUCUAAGUCAUCUAAUUUUUUAAAAUCUUCUUUUAGUUCUUCUAGGUAUAUGUUAUCCAUAAUAGUUCUAUUUUCUGAUUUUUCUAGGAUUUCAUUUAUGAAUUCUGUAUUUUCUUGUUCUAUAAAAUCUGUUAAAUCCAUCUCUUCUGAUAUUAUACUAUAAAUGCUUUCUGUUUCUAAUAUAUUGUCAUCUAUUUCGAUUAAAUCUUCUGAAAAUAAUUCUACUAAAUGAGCUUCUUUGUUAAAAGAAUUAUGUUUAUUUGGGCAAUUGGUUGCUAAAUGGUUAGGUUGUUUACAAAUAAAACAAGAUAAUCUAUUCCCAUAGGUACGUUCUGGCCUAUAUCUUCUAACAUGAUGUUCCUUUUUAAGAAAUGGUUUUCUAGCUUUGCUCUUCCGAAGAUAGUAUUGUUUUCUGGGGUACUUUUUAUAAUUUUUAUAAGGUUUUCUAUACUUUCUUUUUUCCUUUUCUCUUUCUCCAUAUUUUUGUGGUGUAUAUAUUUCUGAGCAAAAACUAUAUUCCCCUUUUAAUUGUCUUUGUAUUUUAAUAAACGUACAUUCCUCUACUAAUCUAUUAAUUAUGAAUCUUACAGCUGUACUUACAUUUUUUAGUAUUGGUUCCAUAGGUGUUUCUUUAUAUAAAGUAUAUAUUUUCUUUCCUAGAUCGUCUGGUAAUUUAGCAAAUAAUUUUUCUAUAAUUCCUUCAUCAUAAAAACAUCCCGCAUAAGAAAUCUUGUAAAAAUGGUUUAAUAUAUUUCCAAUUUCUAAUAGAUAGUUGUUCUAUUUUUCUUAUAGAUUCUAUUUGUGUUAGAACUCCUCCUCUAUUUGGACUUGUUGCUAAAAGAAUUUCUUCUACUCUAUUAACAAAAUUCAUGGGAUUUACUCCAUGCGCCUGGUCUUGUUGUAAUCUAUCUGAAAAUUUUUGUUUAAAUGCUUCCCAAGCUGCUCUUGCUACUCCUCCUAGAAAUGUUUCUAAAUACGUAUACAUUUCUGUUACAUUAUGAUCAAACCAUUUUUGUAUAUAAUUCCUAACUACUCUUGCUUUCCAGCUACCUAUUACAUCUUCUAUCAUUUGGGGGUCAUAGGAUGUUAACAUUAAAGUCUUUCCUUCAUCUACUGAAUUUUCUUUUAUUUCUAAUUCUAAAGGUCUUCUUUUUCCUCUAGGAUUAUAUUUUUCUUCUGAUUCUCUAUAUUCAUUAUAUAUUAUUCUAGGUGGUUGCCCUGGUUCAUAUGUUCUAACAUUCCCUGCUUGGCUAGUGUCAGUUUGCAUGUUUGUUGGUUGAUUACUUCCACUGCUUUGUUCCAUUAAUUCUCUAUAUGAUGUUAUACUAACGGUUUCAAUAUCAUUUUCUUCUUUUUUAACUCUAAUAUUUCCUAUGUAGUCAUAAUAUAGAAUUUCAUCUAAAGUUAUUUGUCCGUUUAAUUCUAAUUUUCUUUCUAAAUCAAAUAAUUCUUUUUCUGUUAAAAUCAUAUUUAAUUCUGCUGGAUAAAUAAUUUUAUGUUCUAGUUCUACAAGUUCUUCUUCUAUCAAAUUUAUUUCUACUAGAUCUAACUCUGUAUCUGAUCUUUCUGCUUCUUCAUUUUCUGUUCCUAAAGAUGUUGAUUCAUAAUUAUAGAACCUAAUACUUGUUUUUCCCUUACUAUUUUUAUAUAUUAUACUAUCUUUUGGUAUGAUUGGAUUAUUUUCUUCUAUAAAUUUACUAAUUUCCCAUUCUUCUCCUGCCAAAUUUUCUGAACUUACUUCUAUUGGUUUUAUUAAUUUUAUUCCCUUACUAGCCAUAGCCUCUACUAUUGGUUUAAUAUCUACCUUGUAUCUGGUUUUACUGCUAUUUGUUAAUCUCCCUAUAAAUCCUAUGCUUAUUGUUAAAUUAUCUCCUUGAAAAUUUUCAUAUCCUUUAUUUUGUAUGCCUAUUUCUAAAUUUUUAAUAUCUUCUAAGGUUACCAUAAAAUCUGGACUACAAUAAAAUAUUCCUCCAUUUUGGUUCAUAUCUACUUCUAUACUGGCUAUUAAUGCAUCUUCUACUGUUUUAUGUCUUUUAUCUAAUAUUGCUAAUAGUACCUUUUUUUCCUAAUCCUUUUCUUGUUAAACCCUUUAUUCCUAUAACUAUUAACCCUAUAUGCAUAUAUGUAUAUUGUCUUCUGAUUUGAUUUAUACUUUGUUGUGUUAUUAUUCUUAGAUUUACUGGAUUUGUUAAUGCAAUUACUGGCUCUUCUCUAGUUUGUCUAAAUAAUCCUGUAUUACUUCUAAGAAAUCCUACUGAAUAUAAAGUUCUCGGAUUUAAUAAAUUUAUUUCAUUAUUUCUAUAUAUUUCUAAAUCUCUUUCUAUAUCUAUUGUCUCUUCUAAAUGCAUGCUCCUAUUUCUUCUUAACUGUCUUCCUAUGUUUAAUACACUAGUUCCUAUUUGUGUAUUUUCAUUAACUGUUCUACUGGGUCCUGUAAAUGAGCUUCUACUCGUCAUUUUAAAAUUUUUGUGGUUUGGGGUUUACUGAGAAUAUGUUACUGAGAUGUGGCUUAUUUUCUUUCCUUGUUACUGGUAGUCUUUUAAACUGAUCCGUAAUCUCUUCCAGGUCCUUUUCAAAUUUAUCUAUCUGCAAAACCCUAACUUUUUCUGUUACUGCAUCUAUUUUCUUAUGUAAUGAUACUAACAAGGCUAUUAUUACGUUAUUUUGUUUAGGAUAUGUUUUAUCUGAUAUACUAGUUCCUAAGUAAUCUGUUAACCCUAAUGUUUCCUGGUGAUAAUAUUUUAAUUCUUCUAAUAUUUUUAUAUAUUCAGGAUAAAAAGCAUACUGAGAAGGAGGUGGUUUAUUAGUACUGCUCAUAUAUUAACUCAAAAUUAUUUUUUCUAUUUUAUAUAAUAAUAUUUCUACCUGAUUAUAAGAUUGUUUUAAUUCUUUUAAUUUUUGACUAAUUUCUUCUAAUAUUUCGUUAUUAAUUUUAUAUUCUUUGAGUUGUUCUAGACUUCUUAUUUUUGCAAUUAUCUUAUUAUUUUGAUCUUUUAUGUAGUCUUGAUUUUCUACUAAAUUUUUUAUUGUUUUAUUUUUAUUUUUUAAUGAUUCUACUAAGUUUUCUAUUAUCCUAGAAUUAUUUUUUGACGUGCGCGGGGUAUGCAUAUACAAUUAGCUCAUCCACAAUCAAGUUUUACAUUUAUAACAUCCUAAAUACCCCACACGCAAUUUUUCUGCAAUUAUACAUUUCGUGAGCGAAUAUAGGGUAUUAAGGGUCGAUCCCACAGAGAAGAUUUUUAAUUACCGGUGUUUUUCAAACUCCUUAAUUAUUUAGACUACCAUAAACAUAAAAGUAAUGAAAAUAACACUAGAAAACUCCUAGAGAUAUGGAAUUCCUUACUACUUUAGCAAAUGAGAUUACCGGUUAAGUGAAUGCUAUUAUUUUGGCUAGUUAUGGCGUAAUUUCCUAAUGUAUGCGAAACCUACUCUCGUAGUGAAUUAACUAUACUUGUAGCUAAACUAUACCUACUCUUGUGGUUAUGAAAUUAACUACAAGCUCAUUUCUUUUAUGAAAUUACAUGAAACAAGUCACUAAAACACAUAGGUGCACCUCUACUUCCGUGAGUAAACUCCCUAGAUUUAUCAUUUCCUUGAACUAAUGUUAAAUUUCAAUUCUCAUUGCAAACUUAACACCUUUAGAUAAUCACAAUUAAUGGCUGGUUAAUCAUGAUUAGAAAAACAAAAGUGAUAUAUAACUUGCUCAAAAUAAUAUCAUCACAUAACCAAGUAAACAUCACAAACAAGAUAUAGAAAGUUCAUCCAUACUCUAGGCAUCAACAUUAGCAAAACAUGAAAAUAAGAUCCAAACUUGUAUUAUAGUUAAACAUGAACUUAAAUACAAAAGAGAAAAUGAUAGGAGAGAUGUCACCCUUGUCACGUGAGUUUCAAACUCUCUAUCUUUGCUCAAUCUUCAUCCAAAUCUAACUACAAAUACAAGAAAGAAAAACUACACUAACUACUCUAUACUACCCUAACUAAUGAACUAAGGAAAUUCUAGUGAAAGCUACAUUUUUUUGUGAGUUUCUCUAGCCUUCCAAAGUUCUUCUUAAAAUGGUUCCCAUAAAGGAUUCAAGAGCCAAAAUGAGUUGUUUUCUUGUUGGCAUUUUUGACUCUUGAAACUCUCAAAGAUUGCUUCUCAAAGUUUCCAUAUUCAUGUAAUCAUUUCCAGUUGGAAUCUUUGCAGAAAAAGUGGUCAAACAUGUUGUGUGAAAAGAGCACAAGUUGCAAAGCAAGUAGCAGCCGAAAUCCACUAAAACACGGGUAGAAAACGCGGCCUGUGCCUGCGUUUUAACCCCCUCCCGUUUUACUCUUUGCAGGUUUGCACUUUUCUGGGCAGAAUUCAUCCUUGCUCUAUUUUUUGUCCAAUUUCAACUGAUAUUUUCUAGAUGUUAAAGGCUGAAAUUGCUUUUGCGUAAAACAUGAAAGUUGUAGCUCUUUGAAUUAGUUUUCCAAUGCAUAAAAAAUCAUCCAAUUUGGAGUUUUGUGGACUAAGAAAUGACCACUCGACUGGUCAGAACCUCGUUUCAGCUUUCGACCACGAACAAGCAUUGCUAUAUUUUAAUUUUUUGAUAAUGAAAAUGACUGAACUGGAUUUCAAUAUCUUCAAACCAAAUGUAUAUCUAUCUAUUAGUUUCAAAAUGGCUUAAGAAUCAUCUCGAUCCAAUACUUGUAACUCAAGAUAUAGCUGAAAUACCAUAAGGUGUCAAAACUGUUUUCACUUGCAUUUCUUCCUUUGAAUGUUUUGCACUUCAUGUCUUUUUUAAACCACUUCAAAUCAUCAAUAAUCAUUAAAUUCUCUUCUCAAUUCACUCCCUUUGAGGAUUGAAUCCUUAAACCUACAAAACAUGAAGUUUUCACCAUGAAAAUCCAUAGAAAUGCAGUUUUUAUCACUUAAAUCACAAAAUACAUAUUUUCACUAAAAUUCAAGUUAAUUAGCUAUAAAAGUAGUUAAAACAUACCAAAACUAACUAAUAAAACACACUUAAAACACGUAAAAUAUACUUUUAUCAAUUUUGACACCUGAUUUAAUAUGCCAACGUGAGCCUAACUAAUGGCUGUAUUUGGUCUUUACGAUUUAGUUACAAUAAAAUAUUCACACUUUACUUAUUAAGCUUCUUAAAUAUGUCCAAUUUCCUUUUUGAAGAGUUAAUAGGCCCAAAACUAACUUCCGCCCAAGUUAUAUUGUUCACCUUUUACCCAGUUAAAAUGAUCAGAAUUGGCCACUUAUUUUAGUUAGGCAGCCCAUAAGAAGAACCCAACUAAUUCAGACUCGUUUGAUUUUGAAUAGUCAAACCCAUUGACUCAGAUAACCGACCCGUUUUCAAAAUGGAUAUCAUCAUCCAAAUCAGAAAAGCCUAUGAUACAAAACCCUAUUGUACAAACCCUGAUCACCAUCACCAUCAUCAUCGUCAUCAUUUCCUUCAUUACUGAUGGUUCUGCCUAGGGCUGCAAACGAACGAGCUACUCGCGAGCGAUUUGAGUCAAAAUCGAUCUCAAAAUAUUAAGCUCGUUAUGCUCGCGAUCUCGAGUAUAUAUAUAUAUAUAUAUAUAUAUUAUUUUAGGUAUAUAUAUUUUUUAUUUUAAGUAUAUAUAUAUUUAUUUUAAUAGUAAAAUUACAUAUAUAUCCUUAAUAUUUUAUUAUUUAUUAAGAACAAAAUAUUAUUUUAUUUAUUUUUUUAAAAAUAAAAUAAUUAUUUUUUAUUUUUUUCGAGCUCGAGCUCGAGCUCGAGUUUUAAAUUGUUAGCUUGUCGAGAUCGAGCUCGAGUUCGAGUUCAAUAAAAUUAAGUCAAGACUCGGUUCGAUAAGAUCAAAACUCAACUCGACUCGACUCGUCUCGUUUGCAGCCCUAAUUCUGCCUAAAGCAACAACAGCAGCUGCUAAUGCUGUAGCUAUAAAAUGAAGCAGCAUCGUUGCUGGCUACUGGCUGCCGUGGCCCUUGGCAGCCAUAUUUUGCCGGCCGUCGCCAAACACUGGUGACUUUGAAAACUUUUUUUUUUUUUUUUUUUGAAUGUAAGUAAGAGGGUUUGACCUUAGGACUUUUCAAUUACACUCCCACCCCUGAACCACCAAACCCAUCCUCCCUCUCCCCACUAAAUUAGAGAACAUACUUGCUUUUAGGUUUGUGAAAAUAUUUGUCCUAAGUGAGACUCUAGUUGAUCGCCAGAAUCUUUCCUCUCCAUUGAUAUUUUUAGUUUCUGAUAGACAGACUAGUAACCAGAAUGAAAAAUAUCGUAAGUUUUAUUUAAGGUUUGAUAAUAUAUCUCUUUUAAGAAGUUCAUUUUUAGUAACCAUCCUACCCACACUCUCACACUAACUCACAUUCUGUACUUAUUUUAGCUAAAACUUAGUUAAGGGAUAAUGGAUAGAACCAACUUAUCCUCUCCUCUCCUGAAAUUUAUACUGUAACUAAAAUUUAUCCUAUUUUACUAUUAAGUAAAUCUUAUAUAUACUAACAAUGUAUAUAUUAUCAUGGUUGGACGCAUGAAAAUAUAAGCACAUUUUGGAUUUUAAAUUUAAAUUCAUAUGAAUUGUCAUGUAUUCAAUAGUGAUGGUGUAUACAAUAUCAGUAUAUAAAACAUUAAUCCUUUACUUUUACCCUUAGUGAAUUAAAUUAAUAACAUACUAAAUAAAAAUAAAAUUUUAUGGUAUUGCAAUAUUCACAUCAAUAAUACCACCUCAAAAUAACCUUUUUUUUUGACAAAUUUGAAUGAUGUGCUUACUAAUUUUGGAAAAAUUCAAUUUAAGAAAAGCUCUAGUUUCAAUAUUUCUUUAAAUUUUCUUAUACACAUUGGGAAUUAUUUGUAAAGAAAGAAUUCUAAGUUUCUUUAUUCACGUCUACUCACUCUAUCUUCUCUACCGCUCCAUCUUCGUCCAUGAAUUCAAGUGGACUCCAUUGAUAACAGGGGCGGAUUUAAAGUGGGGGCACUGGGGGCCCUUAAAUUCCUAUAAUACAUUUACAAUUUUGACAUAAUUUUAAAGGUGCCCCCAUAAUUUUUUUUAGAAAAAAUAUGAAAGAAUGGGUCAUAAAAUUUAUAUCAUUCACUUUCCUCCUCUAGUUCCCAUUUUCCCACCAAGAGGGCCAAGUACCAAUUAUAUCAGUCAUUCCUUUUGGUCUCCACUCCCCAAGUUCCCUUUAUUCCUGUGGUCCUCCAUUUCCCUUCACAACCAGCUCCUCUUCUUCCACACCCAAGCCAACUACUUUUUCUUUUUAUCACUUCAUCCAAUUAUCAUUUACUUCCUUUGUCCCUACUCCCCAAUUUCCUUUCCUCAUCUGGCUCUCGAUUGUCCCCACUCCCCAACAUACAUAGGAGAGCCAUUUUUUUUCCACAACCAAAGCUUGUUACUCUUUUUUUUGAUCACUUCAUCCUAUUUAGAAAUUGUACCAGAAUCAAUUGAUCUUCUAGGACUUGGGUCCGUCACAUUUUGCAGCUCUUUUCACCAACUUUAGGAGACCAUCAAAAUCAGGUUAUAAACAAUUACUUCUUAUUAUUAUUAUUUUAAAUUUGUUUGCAAAUAUAUUUCUAGAGCAUGAGACUAUUACUGUUUUAAAGAAAUUUGAAAAUUGAUUAGUUAAUGUAAUAACUACUAAAUGGAUUAUUUGAUAAAUAUUUUAACUUGUGAAAUGGUGAUUUUAUGCAUGAGACUUUUUUUUUUGCUUAAAAAAUUAGAAAAAGAGUAGAUAAAAAAUUUUAGUAUUAUUUUUGCCCCCACUAAGAUUUUUUUCUGGCUCCGCCCCUGAUGAUAAUAUCCAUUACAAAUUUUGCAAGGUCUAGCACGACUUUUGCAAGGUAGAUGAAAUCUAUGACGAAAUCUAUGAUGAAAGGCUGCAAGACUUCCACUGGUAAGACAAUAGCUAUACCAGUGGACAAUAUUUCUGAUAAGCAAUAUUGAUCGGAAUUAUUCCUUGAAAUAUUUGACACCACCUUUAAGAAGACUAUUAUUCAAAAGGAAAUGUGUUUUUUCUGGUGAAAUGUGCAUGGUGGAGAUACCCAAUUUGUUAAACAAACAAGUAAUACGUACUUCUGAUCAUUAAAGCCAAAAAAAAUAAAAAUAAAAAUCCGUAAAUAGUUUUUGAUUUGCUAAUUAUAGCAGACAGACUAAUGCAUUAAAUAAAGCAUAUUGAUAAUGGUUAAAAUAAUUCUGAUCAUCCGAUUUUUGGUGAUAUUUGUAUGGAACAUGAAAAGAGAAAACUUAUAACUUUAUUGUACGUUUUUCUCUUUUCUCUAAUGACUUCAGCUCUUUCUGUUUUUUUAUUUAAUUUUUUUCACCUAUCAAAAAUUUCCGAACCAGGCUAUUGCAUCAUUCUGCAUAUUGUAAGAGAAACAAAAGAUGUGUUGCAUCUAGUGUGCUACGAGCCCAGAAACACUCCAACUUCAAAGGCUGGUGAACUCAAAUUUGAAACAUGCCAUCAAUAUGUUGCUCUUUAAUUCAAGUCGCAUACUAUUUCAUGUCUGUGCCUAUUUUGUUAAAGAACAUAAACAUGUCCUACUCUAGCAACCAACAGUAUAUGUUAACAUAAUCUUUUUAUGUUGCUGCCCAAUCACAUCAAUGAAUUACUGGGCUGCUUCAACUCCACUAUUUUGGUAAUUCUAGUUGUCAAUUUGAAGAUUUCUCAAUUGUUUCUUAAAAUCCAGUGUAUAACACAACCACAAUAUUGUAACAAUGGAGGGGUGGUAAAAAACUUACAUGUAGAUCUAACUUCUAAAGUUGAUGAUAAUUUUUCGUGUUCCAAGUGCAAUCAACAUAGGAAAUACAGCAACAUGAUUAAGUAAAUAAGAUCAUAGCAUAUGUCCAAAUGGUACAUUAUUUUUUAAGCCUUAGGGAUCAACCUCAUUUGCAACCUACAUCCCAUGCCUAAAGGUUAUGAAUUAUGAUCCCAAAUGAAUGGUUGUCCAUUUUGAUGGAACCACCGAAUCUUAUCGCAUCACUAAUUAUGUCAGGUGCUUUAUAGUAAAGGUCAAGCAGGAGGAAUUUUUUUUUUUCUUUCUGGGAGAAAAAUGGGGACAAGCACGAUGUGAUGUACUGUGAUUGUGAAUGAACGCUUUUGGAAGAAAUGAACUGAUGAAGUCAUUGUCAAACACUCUAUCCUGCACAUCAAAGAGAGACAGACAGACGACUAUGGCGACCAAACUGAUGGCGACACAAUAAAGUAGCUCUGGGUGUUGCUAAGAAACGACAGAAAUCUUUUAGGAUGGCCUUAGCAAGAUGCAGUCUAGAAAUUAGUAUAAAAACACAUAUUUUAGAAAUCCGUUUGUUUGGAUUGUAAAUUAUUUGAAAUAUUUUUACUGUAACACUUUUAAUGAUGUGAUGUAUGUGAAAUAAAAAAAUAAUUAAAAAAAUAAAAAAUUAUAUUAGAAAUUGUAAUGAUGAUAUAAAUAAAUAUAUUUAGGAAAAUAACUCACUGUCCAAACAAACGAACGCUUCGGCUUGUAGGUGUACCAAAGGCUUGUAACCAACUGAAUCACGAGUAUAACCCACUGAAUCACGAGUAUAACCAAAGGCUUGUAGGUGUACCACCAGCAGCCUGUGCCUAGUAUAUUGGUUGCUAGCUAUAAUUCUGAUUCUGAAUCACCAUCGCUUUUGGUUUGCUCGAGCGAAUUUGUCUUUUUCCAUGUUCAUCCGUCAUGUUUUCUAGUUACUAUUCUUUUUUUUUUUUCCAGAUACCAUAAAUUCUAAUUUACACUUACUCCUACUCUGUAACAAGGGGAGGGCGUGACUCAAAGGAGUCAGGGAGGAACUCGAAGAUAUUAAAUCAACACCGAUCCAAACGAGUGCCUAUGCACUCACUGGCUAAAUUUUUCAAGAAAUUCUAAAUUUUUAAAAUGUAGGUCAAGAGAUUCGAUUCCUUGAUUUCCAUUCAAACAGAGUUUUAAAAUUCUCUUAGUGACUUUUUUUUUUCUCUAGAGACGACAACUAUUGUAUAAUCAAUCUAUCCUAUACUACAGGGGAGAGGGAGUCUAAAGAGACUUUGUGUUAGGGACUAAUAGGUACACAGAUCUUAUUAGACCAACAAAGUGUUUUAGCACAACUCUUGGAUAUUUUUUGCUGCAGGUAAAAUUUGAACCCGCCUACGACCCAAGCAAAGUUUUAAUGCCCAUCUUGGUGGCCACUCUAUUGUUUUUCUAGUUACUAUUCGUUUUGGAAGGAUAUUGUUGUCAGACUGCAUUCAGUGGUCUGAAUGGCACAGCUUUGCAUGUGGGAAUUUAAGAAUUAAUUAAACAGUAUUAGUGCAUUCACCAAUUCAAAUGUAGGGGCGUAAAAAAUUGCACUUUGCGAGCUCAAACUCCUGACAAGUAACUUUGAUCGAACUGGAGCUCCAACUAAGUUGAGAAUCAAAAUUAGAACUCAAGUUCGACUCAUCUUAUGAAGGCUAGGAACAUCAAGCUCAGCUUGAGUUUGUUAGAGAGCCAGGCAACUGAUCGAGGUUGAGUCUUCAUUGGAGAUGAGCUCAAGCUGAAACUUGAGUAAAAGAUGUAAUUUGUUUAAAGUGAAUAGUCAUUAAUCUUUAUAGAUUAUUAAACCAAGCAAAUUACAUUAGGGGUGAGUGUGUUUUGUUGAUUAAGUGGCCUUUUAGAGCAUAAUUAGAAGUUGAAGCGGCAGCAGAAUAUUUAUUUAUGUGGCCUUUGUUAAAGUUUGGCAAAUUCCAUUUAUUCAUGGUGUUGGGAGAGAGUUGAGUUAUAAGGAUAGAGGGAAACUCUCUAAAAUUGAUAAUUGUGAGUUUCAUUAUCCAAACUUGAGUGUUUGUCGUGUGUUUAUCCUCAUCUCUUGCUACAUAUUUUUUUUAUAUGUAUUGAAAUAACUUCAUUUUUAUACGUACUAAAAUAAUUUCUGUUAUGCAUAUUUUUUGUAUUAAAAAUUUUACCUAAAUAUAUGAAAAAUUGAUAUAUAUAUAUAUAUGAUAAUUUUUGUAUAUACUAUCAGUGAAAACGUAGUUUACAUUAACAGUUAACAAUAUUGUGACACCUCAUUGAAUCACUUACUUUACGGAUUACCGACCUUCUCUCAAUUAUUUCGUGCUCAUAAAUAUCGAUCCCACAUACAACUCUUCCAGUUAGCAGCAAUCUUCUAAGACUUUCAUAUGUGCUUGUCACUACUUGAUGAGCAUUUGACUAGAGUACUAGCAUGUUUAAAUUUGAUUCAUUAUCUAAUUUAUUUUAACGAACACACUCAAAUUUAACUCGAGCUCGCUUUUAACCUGGUUCAAUUGAGUAUUUGAUUGAUCUGCAAGCAAGUAACUUGGUUCAUUUACAGCUUUAUUCCCGUUUGCAAAACGUACCUGACCAUAAUUUCCAUAUAGAUGUAGGAAAAUGGUGCUAAGGCAUAGGUGCUUAAAUAGCUUAAGCGCAUUAACAGCAGGAUUAGCUCCUAUCCAUUAGAAUGGAGUGAAUUCCUUUCAAUUAUGCCAUAAGUUUCAAAAUUCUAAGUUAAACCCUGUUUGGCACUUGAGUUUUUUGCCAAGUUUGUCUGUUGCAAGUUCUUUAAAAACUUUAACUACAGUAAUAUCAAAAAAUUUUUCUAAAAUUUUAAACUAUGCACUUCAAAAUAUUCAAAAAUUUACAUACUUCAAAAAUUUUUUUAAAAACUUCUAUAGUAAGUUACAGUAAAGUUUUAGACAAAUAUCCAAAAAAACUCACUUACCAAACGGGGCCCAAAUUCAUUCAUAAAAUACUUCAUGUGAUGUUUUGGUUACAUAGAGCAUUGAAAUUAUAUGGACCAAGUUUUGCUGGUUGAUUAAUGGUAAAAAUGAAAACUUGGUUAACAUAUGGGCUAGAGUGGCUAUUUGUGGGACUUUUUUAUAUUAAGGAGCCUCUAUCUCCAUGAAUCUAAGCCACUUCAAUUGGCCACGUCACCGCUAAAAAAAUCUUUGAAGCAUAUUCAAAAUUCUUUUUUGUUUUGUGUAUUAAGUCGGAAGAAAUUUCUUUAUUGGAAGGGCGAAAAGUAAUUGAUUAUUAUUCUUGGUGAUCAUCAUUCCUCGUUCAGCUAAAAAAACGUUGUACUUAACAAAAAGUACAUUUGAUGAGCAUAAACAUCAUCAGUUGUCAAGGAAAAAAGUCUUGAUCUUCCGUUUUGUUGUAUCAUAUAUGUAUUUGAAGAAACACGGCAUCGUUUCGUGUUGGUAGAUAGUAAAAUGGAAUAAUUGUACGCGAAAAUCGUUCAAAAUGUCCUUCACAUUUUACAAGAUAACUUUUUUCGUCCCUCACUUUUAAAAGUAUAAUUUUAAGUCCCUUACAAAUUCACAGUGACCAAAUUUGGUCCCUACCUAAGUUUCCGACUAGUUUUUGGCCGGAAUCCAUAAUGUGACUUGCAUGUGAUCAUUUUUUAAGGGGCAAAAUUGUCAAAUCAAAUUUUUACAUAAUCUGAUUCAUAGUCCCUCACAUUUCACAAAAUGAAUUUUUUCGUCCCUAACAUUUUACAAAAUGAAUUGUUCGGUUUCUCACAUUUCAAAAAAUGAAUUUGUCCAUCCUUCACAUUUUUCAAAAUGAAUUUUUCAUCUCUCAUUGAUUAUGUGUAUGAAUAGCUUUUCUUCUAUAAGCCCACGUAUAUGUGUGUUUGAUUUUACCUGAAUAGUACGAAUAACAUGUAAUUUAUCUCUAUUGGAUUUCAUCUAAAUAUGCUAAUCGUAGUUAUACACAUGCUAUUCAAUAGAUAUAUAUAGGGGUUUUAAGCUAAUAAUUUUGUUUGAAACCCAUGUAUAUAUUUAUAUGAUUUCACCAUUUGAACCUAUCCAAUAUUUGUGACUUUUCUCUUUUGGUAAUAAUUUAUUUAUUGAGUUGUAUAAUAAGUUCAUCUAAUUAAUGGGUCCUAACUUGAAUUCUAUAAUUUUGCUAACAAAUUUCAGUUUAAAUCUGAAUUUCUACUCGACACUUUUAGACCAACUGUUGAAUUACUUGCCUUGUGAUUGUCUUAAAAUUUGAAAGUGCCAAUCACUUAUUUCUUUUUGUCAUAUUUUUCUUUUGUUUAUUUUUUCUGUCCAAAUUUAAUUUGAUAUAAACACUCGAUAAUAUUUAGGAUUAAAGUCUUUUUUAUUUUCAAAUUUUGAAUAAAAGAAAAUAAAUAUAAGUGAAAAACUAACAAUUUUUUUAAACUCAUGUAUAUAUCUAUUUGAUUUCACUUGAACAGUAUGAAUAGUAUGUAAUAUAUCUCUAUUUGAUUUCACAUGUUAUUCGUACUAUUCAAGUGAAAUCAAAUAGAUAUAUACAUGGAUUUAAAAAAAAUUAUUCACACAUAUGAUCAAUAAAAGAUGAAAAAAAUCAUUUUAAAAAAUGUGAAGGAUGAAAAAAUUCAUUUUGUGAAAUGUAAGGGACGAAAAAAUUUAUUUUAUGAAAUGUGAGGGAUUAUGAAUCGAAUUAUAUCAAAUUUGAUUUGACAAUUUUGCCCUUAAAAUAUGAUCAUAUGCAAGGCACUUGGUGCAUUCCGACCAAAAACUAGUAGAAAACCUAAGUAGGGACCAAAUUUGACCAAUGCAAAUUUGUAAGGGACGCAAAAUUAUAUUUUUAAAAGUGAGAGACGAAAAAAGUUAUUUUGCAAAAUGUGAGGGACGUUUUAAACGAUUUUUCCUAAUUGUACAAACCUCUCUCUUGAGGUUUAUGAUAAUUGCAGGCAACAUAUUUUGAGUUUGAAAAAUUAUAGAAACCUCCCUUGAAAAUUUGUUCGGGCUCACUUUGCUGGUAUAAGUGAAAUGUACCUAUUGAUAAUGUUCCUAAAUUGCCUUUAAGUGAUUUUCCUCAUAGGCAUAAAAUUCCAUAGUAAUUUUAAACAAAAAAAUAUACCUUACAUAUCGUAAGAAAGUUAUCUACCGAAUUCAUUCCUCUUGAAUCAGAAUAGAAAAAACACUCACACCUACUGAUCUUAAAAUUUUUUUUAAAAAAAAUUCUUGGAUACUAGUCGAAUAAAAACCUACGUUCAGAGGAAUCUAGAAUUUUUUUCCCUUCCCAAAUUAUGACUAAAUUAAAUAAGAUUGGACUAAUGUGAUUUGAGUGGUAAGGACUAGAUAGAAUCUAUUGCUCUUGCUCUUCUACUCUCUCUCUCUCUCUCUCUAACGGUUUGGUAAAUUAUAUCCCUCCAUGAAGACAUUAAAUCUAGUAAUUUAUCAAGGUUAUUAUUCUUAAUUUACACUAUGAGGGGAGGACGGUGUAAUUCUUGGAAGGUACUUUCUGUAAUUGUUAUAAACCUCAAAGGAGAUUUGUGAAAUUAUCCCUACUAAAAUUCCAAUACGAUGCUUAUUAAAAAGAAUAAAAAUUCAAACUGGGAUAUACUCAAAAGUAUCAAUAUAUUUUAACAUAUUAUUUUCAUUUUAUUCUUUUUUACCCGCUUUUGUUACACAUGUUUUUAUAUGAUUGCUUUAGUUAGUAACCUUAUGGUUCCUCCAUCGAAAGAAAAUAGAUUGAAUGGUAACUUGUUGUACCAUCAGUUAAUUAACCAUGAUUUUGAAGAUCUUACUUUAAGAAUUACACUGAGAAAAAGUUAAAUGUGACUCCUUUUAUCCUUAAUAAAAAGGUGCAAAAAAUCAGAGUAAUUCACCUUACAGUGUUCCAUAGGCAACAAUGACCAACUUAUUUCUCUUGUGUAUCUCACAUUAUUACAAGUACCAUGAUAAGUGAAACAAUGGAAUUAGAUUUUAUAAACGUACCUAAACCUAUUUUUUUUUUUUUUUAGAUUUUUUUUACACACUUAUGUAUUCGCAGCGCCGCAUACAAGUAUUUUUUUUUCCGAUUUUGUCUGGCGUCUGUUAUUAUUUGCUUAUCAGACCUUGCACUUUUCUAAUCAUACAGAGGCUUAAUUGGAAGGCUAUUUAUAAACUCGAAAUUGUCUUAUUCUCUGGACAAUUAACAUUGUUCUUACUAGCAGGUGUCGACAAUGUCUACUACAGAAAAGACAUGAUCCCAUGUGAGUCUGUUGAUUGCAUUGCCCCAUCGAUCCAAUCUUAUUUAGUUAGUCCUAAUUUGCCAUAAGCUUGACAAAAAAUGUUGUUACUUUAAUCAAAUAAAAGAAAUUUUUUAAAAAAUACACAAUCAAUCUCCCGUACUUUGUUUCUGAAAACUAAUUGAAUAUUAAAAAAAAAAGUUUGCAGACCUAACCUCAUGACAUGACAUAUCUGUUUCUGUAAUUUUUUUCCACCUGACUGGACAAUAAAAACAAUUGCCUAUACUUAUUCAAUUUAAAAUUUGAAUGGUUAUUUUACUUAAAAGGGAUAAUUUCAGAAACCUCUCCUUAGGUUUCUGACAAUUUCAUUGCUUUCCCCUGAGGUUUUAAAAAUAUCAUUAACCUCCCUUAAAACUAACGUUCUUGUAACAAAUUAGCCCAAUUCAAAAAAAUUGACAAUACAAAAAUGAUUUCAAGAGUGAGAAGAAUAUUUCAUACCAAAAGUAUCCCUUAACUUAUUACAAGUUGGUUGACUUAGAAUCAAAAGGGAAUAUUAGUUAAAAAUAGAAAAUAAAGACUAAACUCUAGCAUGAGCAUAAUAGAAUUUAUGGUCUGUUUGGUAGGACGUAAAAUAUUUUCUUUGAGAAAAUAAUUUCAUUGGAAGUCUUUUUCUUGAAAAAGUUUUGUUUUCUUUCUAAUUUUCAUCUAUUUGGUUACUUUGGAAAACAUUAGUCCUCACGAGUAAUUAAUUCAAUUCCUCACCAUAUCAAGAAAUCCUCUCCCAUCGCCGUCUCUGCCAUUCCUCUCUCGUCUCCCCUACAAAAAACUUUCCUUCACCGCGUACACCACCCCUGCCAUCAUUCUUUGACCGAGAAGAGAUUAAAGAAAUAGAUACAUGAGUGAUCAAUAUCAGUUUUCCAACUCAACCAUAAUCCAGUCAUAAGACAUUGAAGAUGACAAUGAAAUAAAACCAACUCUCACAAGAAUAUUUUUGUCGCUAAAAUUCUUUCAAAGAUCUAGAAGAUCUCGGAUUGAAAUUUCCAAAGCAAAAGCUGGACAUUGUUGGUGAUGUAUAGAAUUAGUUCAUCUCUCUCCUCUGUGGCCAAUCUUAAAAGACUUUCUUCCUCCUGUAAAAGUUCCUCUGAGAUCUCUUCUUUCUUUAUGCUGCAAAUCUCCUUGUUUUGUCUCUCUAGAUCCCCCCCUAUUUCUGUAGAUCUUAAUUGUUUUUGUAAAUCCAACACAGAUGCAAUGGGAUGUGCGAUAGGUUGGAUUGCGUUUGUAUGAGAGGAGGGAAUAACAUGGAAUGAACAGAGGGGCGAUGAAAGGAUCGAUGUUUUGCUGAGAGAUAUCGGACAAUUCCACCUGAACUAUUUCCUAUGGCCUUUUACAUCGUACGUUGAUGAAUGUAACUAAGGACAAAAGGGACAGGAUUAGAGGGUGGAAAAUAACUUCAGUAAGUUUAUAAGUAAAGUUAUUUUACACCCACUUAUGGAAAGGAUUUUACAAGAGAAAUCAUUUUCUCAGCGCUAAAUUGAACCAAACAGCGGAGAUCUUGGAAAAUAUUUUCUAGAAAAUCUUUUCAGUAACAAUGACUAUUUUUCAUAGAACUACAUAAAAUAGAAAAAUCAAAGUAUUGGAGAGGAAAAAUUGUUAAUUUGGAAUCAAGAUUUACACAUAAAAUUCCUAAACUCUUAGUAUCAGAAUUUGAAAGAUUUGAAUAGGAAUUGAACAAGACAAAGUAUGGCAUUUUCAAGAAAAAACAUCACAAUAGAUGGCUAAUGAUAAAAAGUGUAAAAUAUGGUAAAAUAUAUUAUGUUUUUUGAAUUAUUUUUUAACUUACAUGGUCCAUUAUUUCACAUGAUUAACAAGAAAUUUCCAUCAUUUGUAAUUAAAAAAAAACAACAACUCUCAAGCAACAUUUGGAUUAAUAAAAAGUGUAUGAUUUUAAUGGAAAGGCAAAUAGAUCAAAGUAGAAAAUUUUUUUUCUAUCCAUCUUCUUUGGAUUAUGUAUACAAAGAAAAGAAAAUAAACGCCAAAUAUUUUGGAAAAGAAAGGAAAGGAUAGAUUAUGUACAGUUACAUUUUAUUGCAUUUUAUCCAUAAUAAAAUCUAAUUGUAAACAUAUUUUAAUACUUUAUCCUCUUUUUUUUAUGUAUUUUUCAUAUUCAUCUUGUUAUUCUUAUGAAAAAUUCAUGAAAUAAUAAUAUUUUAAUAGGAAUUUUAAUCUUCUUUAGGAGAAAGAAAUUACAAGAACUACUAAAAUACAGAAAAAAAUUUUAAAAUGUUAACAAUUAUUGUUAUAAAAUUUAAUAUUCAAGAUUUUUAAAUUUUUUAUAUUCCAAAGUCAUGGUUAAUUUAGUUCAAGUGACUCAAUUGUUUCCGUCCAUAUAAAUACAUAAUAUUUCCUAAGUUGAAUGGAUAGUAAAGUCAUUUGACCAUCCAUGAGGUAAGCAUUGAGCCCCAAAUCGCUUAUAGGGGAGGUAAGUGAUAUUUUCAAAAUUUUGAAGAAGGGCAGUGAAAUUGUUAGAAACCUCAAGGAGGUUUCUGAAAUUGUCCCUACUUAAAAUUGAGAUAAGUUGGUAAUUCUUGAAAUGAGAACAAGAAAAGAACACAAAGAAAAUGCAUACUUGACCCCCUAAAUUAGCUACUUAAAUAAUGGGCUAAAAGGUGCUCGGCCUCGGAAGUUAAUACCUUGGAGUUUUAGAGGACUGACUCUCCAAGACUCCAACCAUUGUUGAAGCCAUUGCUCACAAGUUCUAUUGCUUGGGUUACCUUUAUAAGGGAGAAAGUCAUGACACAUGCCGUCGAUGCUAAUCUUUACAAGUCAUCCUUUUAAAGAUAAAACUGAAAGUAUCAAAAUAAGGCAUAGGUAACAUGUCAACUUGACUAGUUUAAUAAACUUCUUAAUUGGUCCAAGACGAAUCAUAUACCAUAUUCUGUUGCAAUUAGUGCCCACGAAUUCUAUAUAUUUCGGGCCCACCUUAGAUUGCUUGUUUAUCGGGCCGAUUUAUCCGUUAAUUUUCGUACUUAGUCUAAUUAAGUGUGUGUGUGUGUUUAUUUCUGUAUCCGGAAAAAAACAAAUCCAUAUUUGGUGAGGGUGUGCACGAGGGGUUGGGCUUCCAUCCCACAUUAGAAGAUCGUGGAGUCUUCAUCUUGGAUUUAAGGUCCAUGGGGUGUCCGUCCUGUCACCAAUUGACUGGAUUGAAUUGCUCUGUGGGUCUCCCUUAGAUUGCUUGUUUAUUGGGCCGGUUUAUCCGUUAACUCUCGUGCUUAAUCUAAUUAAGUGUGUGUGUGUUUAUUUCUGUAUCCGGAAAAAAAAAGAAUUCUAUAUAUUUCAAUCCUCAUAAAUUAAGUCGUCGUUGUAUUUAGCUAAUCCUAACUCAGUUUUUGACACAUGCUCAUUCAUUCACAUGACUGAGUCAAAGGAAAGUUGCCGGUUCUCCACUUAGCACUACAAGAUUUCAAACGGCACACAGGCCUUGAACGGGGCCGAAAAUAGAAUUGGCUUAAACUGAAAGAUGAUGAUAUAUAUAUCAAAAGUAAAUCAAGUGUAAUCCAAAACAUAACUGACUACAACUUUUUCAGGUACAAACAUGACUUGACAUUUGCAUCCUCUGAACUGAUGCGUACGACUCUUAAGCUUGAAUUUGAAUUCAUGUUUCUGUCUAAUGAUUUAGGGACGACUUCGAAAACCUCCCUAGAGGUGUCUGAUAAUUUCAAUUGGCUCCCCUAAAGUUUCAAGUAUUAUACUUACUUCCCCAAUUUUGAGUUUUAGUAGAGCAAUAUUAGCCCAUGUAUGCCAUCAAAAUUCAUAUAAAAUCCUAAAAUGUAUUCUCAUCCUCAAAUUAUCCUUCCACGGCUUAUAAAAAAAGACAACAAAUUAACUAAACAGAAUUAAAAAUUCAUUCAAGAUGUAAGAUAGUUAUUUGCCAAGAAAGAGUUAUAUAUGGCAUGUCACGAUGAUUAGGUACAUUUUAGGUUUAAAUACAUUUUACCCCCUUACAAUUAGGCGUUAGUAGCAAAUCGCCUCCCAUAUUCAUGAAACUUAUGAAUUGACCCCUGAUGAUAAAAGUCUAAUGUAUCUGGAUAGUAAAAAAGACAAUUUGCCCUCAUUGUUAUAAUAUUGUCCAAUGACUAUUUGUCUUUUUCUCUUUCUUCUUGUUUUUUUGCUUAUUAUUGUUUAAAUUUCUUUGCUACUAUGAAAUACAAAUUUUCAUAAUAAUGUGCUAAAGAAUAUCUUCUAAACAAUUUAAUUAUCAUAAGAAAUUAAAAUGUAUAUAUUUAUUCUAAAUAACACCUAUUUUAUUAACAAAUUCUUGUCAUGUAUUCAUUGUUACUAAAAAUAAUUAGUAUUUUAUUAACUUCUAUUUUCUCUUUUUAUUCAUCUACUUUUAUUCUUUAUAUUCAUCAAUGGUUCAUUUGACACUUAAUCAUAUACAGUUAUUUUUCUAUCAAAUAUUUAACUAUCAUAAAUUAUUACAAGAAACUAAAAAAUGUAUAUUUAGUAAUAGUGCGCUAUGUAAUUUCUAUUUUUUAUUAAUAAUUAGUGCAUCAUCAACAUCUUAUCAAUAAUUAAUACACAAAAAGAAAUAGUUAAAGAAAAUAGAAACUAGUUCAAGUUUUGUAUUAAAUAUGCACUUUCUCAUUUCAUAUGAUAAUUUGUGAUUGUUAAAUAUUUACAUAAAUAAAUAAGGAUAAAUAUAUUUACCUAUGAAAAGAAAUUAUUGACAAGAAAAUAAUAGAAUAUGUUAAACCAUAAAAUAAGGAUUCUUAAAUAUUGUAUUAUAAUCGGUGGAGUAAAAAGAAAUCUAAUAUAUAAAAGGAAAAAGGAUAAAGAAGAAAGAGGAAAGAAAAAGGAUCAUCUAAUAAUGUCUAAUAAUGAGAGCAAAAUUGAAUUUUUGUUAGAGACAUACAUUUGCCUAAUAGUCAACAAGGGAAAAUUAAUUUGUAGGUUUGUGAAUAAAGGGGGUAAUUUUCUCCUUGACCCUAGUUACAAGGGGGUAAUACACGAUUAAACCUACGCUUUAACCAAAUCAUUGAGAAUUAAAAUCUAAACCUUGAUUAUUAAAAAUACUUGGUGUUAAUUUAGAAUUAUAAAUUGAACUUUAGAAAAAGUGCUUGAAAUUUCAAAAGGAAAAAAGGGAAAGAUAUAUCCCUUAUGAGCAAUAAUGAAGUAGGCCACAUUAUCACACUUAGCGGUAUCUAAAAAAUGAGUGUCUUAAUUUGAUGAGUAGAAUUUGGUAAUUUUCGAAAGCAUUUCAAAGCAUGAAAUGGAAAAUUUUUUUCGACUUUGUUAUGAUUCAUCUAAACAGUUUACUCUAAAUAAUUUUGUAAGAUUGAUUUAUCUCAUUUAUACUGCAUUUCUCUAGUCCUUUUUUUUUUAAUUUUAGUAUGCAAACAUAAUUUGGAAAAGCAAAUGAUUUUCAAACUCUUAUAUGAUUUUUUUAAUAUAUGGACUAAUUUUGUCACACUAAAAUUCAAAAUAGGAGAGGUAAAUGUAAUAUUCAAAGUCUCGGGGAAACCAAGUGAAAUUGUCAAAAACCUCAAGGGGAGGUUUCUUGAUAUUAUCCAAUUGUAAUGUUCAUAUUUAAAUUUCACAUUUUUGUGAAUGGAUUGGUUGAUAAAGUAUAAACAUGUAUGUAAGACAAGUUUAGCUUUCAUUUCAAUAUGAUUUUUGUGCAUAUAAAUUCUUUGGAAAGAAAGAGGUGACAAGAACUUUGUUCUGUUUUCCUCAUGUCACGUGUGGCGGUUGCUGAGAUCAUAAUAAAGUUUCUUUUAUUUCCCUUUUAAUUCAUAUUUAAAUUGUACUGUUCAUAUUUAAAUUUCACAUAUUUGUUAAUGGAUUGGUUGAUAAAGGAUAAACAUGUAUGCAGGACAAGUUUAGCUUUCAUUUCAAUAUGAUUUUUGUGCAUAUAAAUUCUUUGGAAAGAAAGAGGUGACAAGAACUUUGUUCUGUUUUCCUCAUGUCACGUGUGGCGGUUGCUGAGAUCAUAAUAAAGUUUCUUUUAUUUCCCUUUUAUUUCAUAUUUAAAUUGUACUGUUCAUAUUUAAAUUUCACAUAUUUGUUAAUGGAUUGGUUGAUAAAGGAUAAACAUGUAUGCAGGACAAGUUUAGCUUUCAUUUCAAUAUGAUUUUUGUACAUAUAAAUUCUCUUGAAAGAAAGAGGUGACAAGCACUUUGUUCUGUUUUCCUCAUGUCAUGUGUGGUGGUUGCUGAGAUCAUAAUGAAGUUUCUUUUAUUUCCCUUUUAGUACCAAUCCAACGACAUUACAUGUUUGGAUUCAAAACGAACUAUGGAGUCGACUUUGGUACAUAAGUCAAUUUUAUUGACUCACAACUAGCGUACAUACAUGUACAUAUACAUAUAUAUAUAUAUAUACACACACACAUAGUGUAUAUGUAUGUAUAUAUGCAUACAUGUACACAUGUAUGAGUAUACAUUUUUCUCAAACAAAUGAAAUAAUGGAAAAAAAUUUUAUGCUAUAUUUUACCUAUAUCGAAUUAACUCUACACAUCUCAUAAGUCUUGUUUUGAAUGUUUUACUCAAAUUAUACUAUUGUUGCCCUCUCAAACAUGUAUAAAACUUAUAUGUUGUGCCCUCUCUCUCUCUCUCUCUCUCUCUCUUUUUUUAAGGAUUAGUACAAUGUAAACAAUAGCAUCCGAUAACAAAAUAAAUUACAAUUAAAAAAUAAAGAUAAAAGAAAGUAUAAUCCCAUUAGCAUUUUACUUGUAUUACAUCAAAUUGAAAUAAUUAGGGGUAUUAAUUAACAUAACUUAUAGAAGUUACAUAGAUGAUAAAAAUAGAGUACUAACUUUUGGGUCUUUGUAUUUUUUUUUUUGAAGUAUCUGGGUUUUCGGACUGAUAAUAUCUAUUGACCCAACUAAUCCUCUGCGGAUCGGGAGAGGCUGCCCAGCUUUUUCACCAACCGCUUUACCCGGGAUUCGAACCUUUGCGGAGGUACUUCCCCAACUGGGGUACUACCACCAGCUCUAGCCCUGGGGGGGCUAACUUUAAAUCUUGUAAUUUGGUCCAAUAUAUUUUCCUUUUUAAUCAAAUGUUUUUGUUAAAUUUCUUUUGAUUUGGGUAUCAUUUAUUGGUUACUAUGAAAUUUUUUAUUGAUAUUUUUAUAGUUCAUAGUCAAUUUAAUUUUUAGUAUUCAUUUUAGACUGUCUCUAUUAUUAAAAAUAUUUAAAUGCUAGUUAUCUUCUUGUAAUUUUUGAACUUUGAAUUUUUGUACGUUUGGUGGCUUGCCUCCUCAACUAUAAGACUCUGGUUCUGUUCAUAUGUAUAAUGCAUACGAUGAAUGAUCUAAGUUUUUUCAUAACAAAAGAUUUUCAAAACAUUUAAUAAGUAUCAUAUAUAGUUACUAGAAUAUUCUUUAGGCAGAAGAGGUUUUGAUCCUGUGAUUAAAGUUGAGAGACAAAGACUUGAGGUUUUGGAUUCAUAUUCUUCUCCUCCUUCCCGUUUUUUAAAUCUUGUACUUCUUCCGUUAGGAAAAAAAAUAAAAAAAAAUUACUAGAUUAUUCAUCACCGCUAUCUCCAAAAUAGGCUGUCCAUUGGCCUGUCCCUCGUAAUCCUGACGAUUACUACGGUGAGCAUUUUGAACUUUAUCGUGAUUGUAAUGAUAAUAUCGUACCAGAUGUUAUGUAGGGAGUCGUGAUUCAUAUAUGAGGUUAAACAAGGAGUUUCAUAGUUGGCUUAGAAAAGAUUAUUAAACAAAAACCCUUAAUCAAGAGCGUUCUUCGUGCAAUUACCUGAACACAAAAUAAGAAAAAAAAAUUACAUAGGGAUAUAUUAUGAAAGUCAUGAACCACAUGAGAGAGUUUGUUUUUAAUUUACACUUUCGGGCUCAUAUUUGCAUUGUACCUGUAUAAAAUGAACUCAUUAAAGAAAUGAUCAUUACAAAUUCUAGAACUGGGUGAAACAUAUUAUUUGAUUUGAUCUUUUACAUGCCUAUUUUAUCAAUCAUGGAAGUGAAUGUCAUUCAAUUUUCAAAAUAGAUUUAGAUACAUCUAUAUCUUUUAAACUUAUAGUUUGGCUAACGAGUAUCCAUUCGACACUCAAUAAGAAGGGAUUCAAGUGUUAAUUUUAGAAAAAGUAUGGUUAAUUUGAAAAAGCAUUACAAUUCAAGGGAUCCAAUAAAUGUGAGUCUAUAUUUACAUGGUAAUUUAGACGUGUUUCAAGUGUUUUAACAAAUAUCCUACUGGCACUCCUCACUGGAAAAAUUUUAUUUAUAUGUAGGAUUCUACAUUUGCUCCGAAAUGACUCGCAUCUUAUUAUUGAACUAUUUAAAACAUACAAUUCAAAGAUUAGGUUAUAAUAUGAACUAUUUUGUUUUAGAUAAUGCAGAAUUAAGAUUCUGCGAUUAGAUCAUCGCCAUUAAGGAGUAAAUGAAAAUCAUCCAGACACGCAGUAAUUCUUGGCAAAUAAUUUGACGCAAACAUAAGGCAUAUAUAUAACAAAAAAUUUAAUAAUAUAUGCUCGGAUGCUCAGGCUACAACCAUGCAAUUAAUUACUCUUACGAAAAAAAAGAAAAAGAAAGCAUGUUGUUGUUUUGUCAGAGCCGCAAGCUUUGACUUGUGGCAUAAUUUUUUCAUUUCCUUCUCAUCCCACAUCGGAGCCUGCUGAAGAGAAGCCGGCUACUCGAGGCCUAUAAAUAGAAGGGUCCAUUGAAGGAUUUAAUUUGCACCACUCAAGAGAGUUAUAUGGGCUAUUAGCUUCUUGAGUCAUAUAGCCCAUUUAGUUAAAUAUUUUAGGCUCUCUUGUUUUGAGUUUAGGAAUAUUUUCUAAACUCUUUUGUAAGUGCCUAUUGGCCUAGGAACCACUUUCCUACGGCUUUUGUAUUUCUUCUUCAUAGUAGAAAUAUUGCUCCUCCCUCGCCCGUGGACGUAGGUCAAUUUGACCGAACCACGUAAAUCUUCUGUGUCUUUUAUUUGCUUUGUUAUCCGUCUUUAUAUGGUCGGUUUUACCGCCUAAUUAUUAUAUGGCUGGUAUCUACCGCCUAUCUAUUAUAUGGUCGGUUAUACCGCCUACUUUGUGCUAACUUGAAUUUGUCUACUUCCUGACCCGAUCCUAACAAACUGGUAUCAGAGCUGGUUGUUAUAUUUUGCAAGACAGGUUCAUCUGGUGGGGCCCGUUCAUCUGGUGGGGUCCGUCCAUCCUGUGGGGCCCACUAAUCCUGUGGGGUUCGUUUAUCCGUGGGGCCCGCUCACCUUGUGGGGUCCGUUCAUUCCCGUGGGGCCCGCUUAUCUCGUGGGGUCCGCUCACCCUGUGGGGCCCGCUUACGAGACUUGCAUAUUUGUUUGGCCAGUUUUUUUGAGACAAACUUCAGGUUACAGAUUUUGUGGCAACAAUGACGAUAACAAAGACGGUUGUCGAGAAAUUCGACAGGAAUGUCAACUUCGGCAUGUGGCAGCUCAAGAUGGAGGCCAUUCUUGUUCAAGACGGAGUUGAUUUGGCAAUUCAAGGAAUUGAGAAAAAGCCAGAAGAUGUGACAGAUGCAAAUUUUGCUGAGAUGGAUAAGAAGGCAAGAUCCAGUAUUAUCCUAAAUCUCUCCGAUGAGGUAUUGCGUGAGGUAGCAACGGAGACUUCGGCCAAGGCUAUGUGGGAUAAAUUGAAAGCCUUGUAUAUGAAGAAGACAGUCGAGAAUCGACUAUAUUUGAAGCAGAGUUUGUACAUGCUUCGGAUGUCUGAAGGUACAUCUAUACUCUCCCAUCUUGAUAAAUUUGAUUCCAUUAUUAUGGAUUUGGAGAAUAUAGAUUCGAAAAAUGAUGUUGAAGAUCAAGCCCUAUUACUUUUGUGUUCCCUUCCCCAAUCCUUUAAGUAUUUUCGUGAUACUAUGAUAUAUGGAAAGGAAACAAUUUCGUAUCGGGAAAUUAAAUCUGCAUUAAAAUCUAAAGAGCAGAUAGAUAGGGAUAUUACUGGGGAAACUAGUGGGAGUCAAGCUGAUGGCUUGUUUGUUCGGGGUAGAUCUGAAAAGAGAAACACAGAAAAUAGAAAUAGAUCCAAGUCCAGACAUAAAAAUGUGGUGUGCAAUUAUUGUAAAAAGAAGGGCCAUGUUAUCUCUGAUUGCUUUAAAUUGAAAAAUAAAGAAAAGCAAAAGGGAAAAUUUGUUGAGAGAAAUACUGAAUCCGCUGAAGCUAGUAUAGCAGCUGAUGAGAAUGAUGGAACCAUUUUCUGUGCAACGGAAAAUAAUUUUAGGUCUAACAAUGAGUGGAUUUUAGAUUCGGGUUGUUCAUAUCAUAUGUGUCCCAAUAAGGACUGGUUUUCAACAUAUGAAUCAACUGAAGGUGGAGUUGUCUUAAUGGGCAACAACGCUGUUUGUAAAGUUGUUGGCAAAGGCACAAUCCGGAUUAAAAUGUACGAUGGUAUUGUGAGGACGCUCACAAAUGUUAGACAUGUUCCAGAUUUGAAGAAAAAUCUCAUCUCUUUAGGCACUCUUGAGUCUAUCGGGUGCAGGUAUUCAGGUGGAGACGGAGUUCUUAAAAUCACUCGAGGAGCUCUUGUUGUUAUGAAGGCACACAGAUCUGGUACUUUGUAUAUUUUGCAGGGAUCUACUGUGACAGGUGCUGCUGCUGUUUCAACAUCAUCUUUGUCAGAUACUGACAUCACCAAAUUAUGGCAUAUGCGUUUGGGGCAUAUGAGCGAAAAAGGCUUGGGCAUACUGAGCAAAAGAGGACUUCUGUGUGGACAAAGUACCGGUCCAUUGGAAUUCUGUGAACAUUGUAUUUUUGGGAAGCAGAAAAGAGUCAGCUUCAGUUCACCAGCAAUUCACAAGACAAAAGGUACUCUUGAUUACAUUCAUUCAGAUCUAUGGGGUCCUUCUCGUGCUCCUUCUAAAGGUGGUGCCAGGUACAUGUUGACUUUCAUUGAUGACUAUUCAAGGAAAGUUUGGGUCUAUUUUCUUAAACACAAAAAUGAUGUUUUCCUAACUUUCAAGCAAUGGAAAGUUUUGAUUGAGAAACAAACAGGAAAACAUGUUAAGCGGUUGAGAACAGAUAAUGGCAUGGAAUUUUGUGGAGGUGAAUUUAAUGAAUUUUGCAAAAAUGAAGGAAUUGUUCGGCAUCACACCGUCAGGAUGACGCCUCAACAAAAUGGUGUGGCCGAACGUAUGAACAGAACGCUUUUGGAGAGAGCAAGAUGUAUGAUCUCCAAUGCAGGGUUGACAAACGACUUUUGGGCAGAGGCGAUCAAUAUGGCCUGUUAUAUUGUCAACCGUUCUCCUUCUGCAUCUCUUGAUUUCAAAACUCCUGAGGAAGUUUGGUCAGGUACUCCUGCUGAUUACUCCAAUUUAAAAGUUUUUGGGUGUCCAGCAUACAUGCACGUGAAUGAUGGAAAAUUGGAGCCUAGGGCUAAAAAGUGCAUUUUUCUUGGGUAUGCUUCUGGGGUGAAAGGAUACAGAUUAUGGUAUCCUGAUCCCAAAUCCCCAAAAUUUGUAAUCAGUAGAGAUGUUACUUUUGAUGAAUUGUCUAUGUUAUCUUCCAAGAAGGAGUCUUCUAGUCCUUGUACUAUUGAUAGUACACAGAAGCAAGUGGAGCUUGAUAUUGGCAGUUCUGGUCCUUCUCAAUCCAAAUCUUCUAUUCAGCAAGUGCCAGUAGAUGCACCUGAAUCUACUGUUGAAGAUAGUUCAGAAGAAGAUGAGUAUUCCAUAGCCAGAGAUAGAGCAAGGAGAGAAAUUCGACCACCACAAAGAUAUGCAAAUUUAGUUGCAUAUGCUUUGUCUGUUGCAGAAGAAACUGAUGCAGUUGGUGAGCCUUCCACCUAUUUAGAAGCAGUUUCUUGUGAUGAUUCUGCAAAGUGGUUGAUUGCGAUGAAUGAAGAAAUUGAAUCUCUUCAUCAGAAUGAAACUUGGGUUCUUGUAAAGCCGCCGUCAGCUAAGAAAAUUGUUGGUUGCAAGUGGGUCUUCAAGAAAAAGAAAGGUAUUCCAGGGGUUGAAAAUGCAAGGUAUAAAGCACGAUUAGUUGCAAAGGGCUAUAGUCAGGUACAAGGUGUUGAUUUUAAUGAUAUAUUCUCACCUGUUGUUAAACAUAGCUCUAUUCGUGUUUUGCUUGCUUUAGUUGCCAUGUAUAAUUUGGAGUUAGAACAGCUCGACGUUAAGACAGCUUUCUUACAUGGCGAACUUGAAGAACAAAUUUAUAUGAGACAACCCCAGGGUUUUGAAAUUGAAGGUAAGGAAGACCAUGUUUGCUUGUUGAAGAAAUCCUUAUAUGGAUUGAAGCAGUCUCCAAGACAAUGGUAUAAAAGGUUUGAUUCCUUUAUGUUGGGUCAUGGUUAUUUGAGGAGCAUGUAUGAUAGCUGUGUUUACUUCCGGAAGUUAAAUGAUGGUUCUUUCAUUUAUUUGCUGCUUUAUGUUGAUGACAUGCUCAUUGCUGCCAAGAAUUUGUCAGAAAUUCACACCUUGAAACUGCAGUUAAAUAGUGAAUUUGAAAUGAAAGAUUUAGGAGCAGCUAAAAAAAAUUCUUGGCAUGGAUAUCAAUCGAGAUCGAGGAGUAGGAAAGUUAUUUUUGACCCAGAAAAAUUACCUUGAGAAAGUCUUGGAGCGUUUUGGCAUGAAAGAUGCUAAACCAGUAUCUACUCCUCUUGCUAGCCAUUUUCGGCUAUCUGCUGCUCAAUCACCAAAAUCAGAUGAAGAGGAAGAUUAUAUGGCACGGGUUCCUUAUUCCAGUGCAGUCGGCAGUAUUAUGUAUGCAAUGGUUUGUACUCGUCCAGAUAUUGCACAAGCAGUCAGUGUUGUUAGCAGAUAUAUGUCUUGCCCUGGUAAAACACAUUGGCAGGCUGUGAAGUGGAUUCUCAGAUACUUGCGAGGUACUUCAAAUGUAUGUUUGGAGUUUGGAAGAAAUAAUAACACUUUGGUUGGUUUUGUAGACUCAGACUACGCUGGGGAUCUUGACAGGAGAAGAUCACUUUCAGGCUAUGUAUUUUGCAUUGGCAGUUGUGCUGUUAGUUGGAAAGCUACUCUACAAUCUGUCGUAGCUUUGUCUACUACUGAAGCAGAAUAUAUGGCUGUGACCGAGGCAAUCAAAGAAGCCUUGUGGUUGAAGAGUUUAUUUAGCGAGUUAAGUCUAUAUCAAGGUGUUACUGAUAUUCACUGUGAUAGUCAAAGUGCCAUACACUUGACUAAAGAUCAGAUGUAUCAUGAGAGGACAAAACAUAUUGAUGUGAAGUAUCACUUCAUUCGGGAUAUCGUUGCUGAGGGAAAAGUCCUUAUUCAGAAAAUCAAUACUAAGGACAAUCCAGCCGAUUUGUUUACGAAACCUCUUCCAAUUUACAAGUUCAAACAGUGCUUGGACUUGAUUGGUGUUCGCUUGUGAUUUAAGCCCAUUGGGGCUUAUGUGAAGAAGGUGGAGCAAUUUUUACUAUUGUCGAUGAUAGAAUUCAAAAUUAUGCCAAGGUGGAGAUUUGUUGUUUUGUCAGAGCCGCAAGCUUUGACUUGUGGCAUAAUUUUUUCAUUUCCUUCUCAUCCCACAUCGGAGCCUGCUGAAGAGAAGCCGGCUACUCGAGGCCUAUAAAUAGAAGGGUCCAUUGAAGGAUUUAAUUUGCACCACUCAAGAGAGUUAUAUGGGCUAUUAGCUUCUUGAGUCAUAUAGCCCAUUUAGUUAAAUAUUUUAGGCUCUCUUGUUUUGAGUUUAGGAAUAUUUUCUAAACUCUUUUGUAAGUGCCUAUUGGCCUAGGAACCACUUUCCUACGGCUUUUGUAUUUCUUCUUCAUAGUAGAAAUAUUGCUCCUCCCUCGCCCGUGGACGUAGGUCAAUUUGACCGAACCACGUAAAUCUUCUGUGUCUUUUAUUUGCUUUGUUAUCCGUCUUUAUAUGGUCGGUUUUACCGCCUAAUUAUUAUAUGGCUGGUAUCUACCGCCUAUCUAUUAUAUGGUCGGUUAUACCGCCUACUUUGUGCUAACUUGAAUUUGUCUACUUCCUGGCCCGAUCCUAACACAUGUGAUGAUAACUCUAGCCUUAAACUAGUAUAAUGUGUGUAUGCAAGUUACCAUGUUUUGUAAGAUAUAUUCCACUUUGAACUUUUAGAUUAUAAACACCUUUCUACUUUAGAUACUUAGCCCCUAAAUUAUGAAAUUUAUCUUAUUUUAGUCCUUAAAUUUCAAUUCUAGACACUUUAUCCUUUAAAAUAUGAAAUCUACUCUACGGAAUUGUCAAAACUAAUGAAAUAGUAGUCAAAUGUUGUUCAAAAUUUAAAGAUUAGUUUAGGGUGCAUUCUAUACUUUGGAUGGUAAAGUGUUCAAAAUUGAAAUUUAAGAACUAAAAUAAGAUGCAUUUCGUACUUUAGGAUGUAUUGUUUCCAAAUUUAAACUUUAACGACUAAAGUGGAAUAACCUCUAUAGUUUAAAAACACAUUAAGUUAUUACUAGAAGAAGAAUAAUUUACUUGGUGAGGCAGCCUGACGAGUCGACACAUGCAUGGAUGUCUUCCGCUCCAUUCUUCACCUUCUGCGCUCCAUCAAAGGAACCUCUCUCUUGACAAUGGAGGGCAGAAGGCUCCUUUUGAAGCGCUGAUAUCAAUCGUCGUUGUCUCGUGUACUCCUUGUACAUUUUAAUAGAACUCAAUCAUUGUUCCUUUAGUCACAUUUGCUAUAUAUAAAAUGCCAAAACUUCUUAGGAUUUUCAGAGAAAAGCUCUAAGCAGCCGGAGUUGACCAGCAAGAUAGCCUUCCUACUUCCCCUUGACCACUAGCUUCACAUAUCUUCCUCAAGAUUUGAUGGACAAUUCAGUCGGUUCAUGGUUCUCUGAGCUGGUAAGAAUUGUGUUUUUAAGAAUUGCGUUUUUCCUAAUCAGUUAAAUCGCUAGCUAUUUGAACAUUAUUCACUGUUUCUUGAAGCUGAGUCAAUACCAUCUCUUAUAGAUGAAAGAAAGAAUCUAUCCUAAGCAGUAGUCUUUGAACUCAUAAGCACCAUGAAUACUAACAAGUUUAUACGUUCGCCUGGACUCUGAUGCCAUACAUGCACGUAGAGGGAGAAUAUCAUUUAUUAAGAACCAUGCUAAUGAUUUAUCCGUUUGCUAUUGUUGUUUAUUAUUUUCACUAAUAUAUAUCAAUCAUGCAAGGGAUCGAAGAUGAUAAUCACCACAUCUUUUGUGAUGUUUUAAGUAAACGUAAGCCUUAAAUUUACAUAUUUCAUAUUCUCCUCAACUGUUUUUAGAUUUUUGUUUCAUUUUUUUUUCGAGUAAACCUAAGUGCUCUGUUAAAUUCUUUCAUUUUCCCGUGCAAGUAGAGAACCAGCAUCUCACAUACGUUUCUUUAUUGACUUGUUAAUUUUUGGUGGUACAAAGCAUCCCUUCAUCCUUAGCAAGCUGUCAAUGGAAGAUUAAGAAACAAAGAAACGUAAAAAGGAAUAACGGCAUAAGAAGUAGCCUUCAUUACUUCCUCAACAUGUUUUGGUUACCGGAAGAAAACAAGUUUACUUCGAUAUAGUUGUUGAUCCUUAGAAAUUUCUGAUUGAUGUAUGGUUGAUCCGUAUCCUAUUAUUCAAAUCCAUUUUAAAAAGAUAGAUUACUCAACGGACAAAUCACACACAAAAUUUUAGUCUUACUUUUGUAAAAUCCAAUUUGCUAUUGCUUAGGAUGCAAAAUUUAGUCUUGCAAAAGUUCAAAGGCUCCAUUGAUUACUGAAAAAAUGAUUAUGGUGCAUCCCAUUAAUUCCUAUUUCAACACAGGGGAUGGAUGAUCCACAUUUCGAUGAGCAAUGUGAUAUCAUGGACUUUUUCGAUGAAGAGUUAUCUGCUGCACUAGGAGAAGAUUUGCAAAACACUUUGUCCCAAGAAGACAAUACAUAUUCCUCCCAGGAAGUUCCAUUUCCCCAUUGCGGGUUUCCUGAAAUUAACCUUAAAAAUACAUAUUCCUCCACCUUAAUUCCAAGAAAUAGUUCCACAACCAAUUUAUCUGCACUUUCAGCCAUGGAAGCUCCUCUAGUUAGUACUGAAAUACCAACAAAGCAGAAAAUUCUAAGAGCUCUACUUCGUCCAUUAAUCUUAAUCAACCUUGCUGCUCCCCAAUGGUUCUAACUUUUGGAAAUUGUCAACAAGUAACACUAGGAAGUUUUAGUCCCGAGGGUGAUACAAUGUCUGAGGUUUUAUUAUCCCAAGAAUCCCAUAUGAAUCUUAAGGAUGCAAUUAUUAAAGAUACUCGAAAGAAAAAGAAAAAGAAAACUGCCCGUCGCGUGAGGCCAGCAUCGCAAACUUAUGAUCACAUAGUAGCUGAAAGAAAGCGAAGGGAGCAGAUCAGCCAGCGUUUUGUGGCUCUCUCAGCCUUAGUCCCUGGCCUGAAGAAGGUAUCUAGUAUUUUUUUUCUUUUUAUUUAACGUCUAUCCCAACAUUUUUGUUCCAUUAUCUUGAUGAUAGAAAAGUUUGAUGAGACUUUAAAAAUUGUGAUGUCAUGCCUCAUGUCACACGCGACUAAUUAAAGUAAUCACUGUACUAGACAAUAAUAUCUCGUGGGCACUGAUAAAAAUUUUUGCUCCAAUGUCUUUUUGCCUAAAGCUAAAGAGGUCAAAGUUGAAGCGAAUUUAUCAUUGGUCAAUAUAAAAUGCAGAGUUUUUUGUUCUGAUUCCCAUUAAUAUAAAGGAAUGUAUAAUGUAAGCUUGUAUGUGCAAUUGCUCUAUCCUCAAAAUAGAACCAUUCAAUCAAAUUGGUUUAGCUAGUUUUUAGGCUACACUGCAGAUGAGUUCAAUUCCUAUACUAACUUCGGUAGGGACGAAAAACUUUCUCAUCCUAUUUUCUUUACGGCUUCAGAUGUUUUCCACAUGGUUUGUCUGAUGAUGAGAUCUUAAUUUCUUGCAGAUGGAUAAAAAUUCUGUUCUUGGAGAUGCAAUCAACUACUUAAAACAUCUUCAGGAGCGAGUGCAGACGCUCGAGGAACAAGCUGCCAACCAACGCAGGGAAUCUUCCGUGCUUAUGAGGCGAUCACAGCUCUUAAUCGAAGAUGAAGGAUCAUCAGAUGAGAUGGGCUGCACCGAUGAGCAGAUUCUACCUGAAAUUGAAGCUAAAGUAUGCAAUAAGAAUAUUCUUCUGCGAAUCCACUGCAAAAAUCACAGAGGGUUGCUGGUAAAAAUACUGUCUGAAAUUGAAAAGCGCAAUCUCUCUGUUGUCAAUACAAAUGUUGCACCUUUUGGAAGUUUGGCUCUUGAUAUUUCCAUUAUUGCUGAGGUGAGCUUUAUCCAGUCUAAUCUUAUUAAUUGGGAAUACUGCGUUCUUAUUUGUUUCUUUUGAACUAAUGAUCCCUUAUAAAACUUUGUUUCAGAUGGACAAAGAAUUCAACCUCACAAUGCAGGAACUAGUGAGAAGGCUUCGAUCUGCUCUCCGGCAAGUUCAACAGUCUGAUUGAAUGCAGAAUCAUCUCCAAUUCUGAUGGUGUAGGACUAGGAGUGGCUGCCUGGUUUAUCUAAUGAAAUUGCAAUGGACUGAAGAGUGAAGCCCAGUGGUUAAGGACUGAAAGAAUGGUCACGAAGCCAGACUAGUGACCAGAAUGCCAAUCAUUCUUGUAUUGUCAAUAGGAUAACUUUUGGCAACAUUAGACUAAAAUUUGCACCCACGAGGGUCUCGUGGGCCUUUGAUUGCUUCUGUGGAUUUUGUUUUCUUGUAUGUUCAUUAUAUCAAUGUCCGGCAUGAUGAGGAGCUUUCACCUACAGUGGUAUAGUAUAAUAUACAAUGGCUUGGUCCUCAAAUAUUCCUUCAACUGGGGACCAUUAUUUAGCUUGUCAUUUUAUGGGCAUGAUGAAGCCUUAACCGCUAAAGAAUACUCAAAUUAACACUCUACCAUUUUUUUUUCUUUAAAGUGAUCAAAUAUCUCAUAAAAGCAUAGUGUAGAAGUUGCAUUUUGUUAGCUUUUGCAAUUAAUCUUUCUUUUUACAGUUAGUUUUGGGGUUAAUUAAGUUCAACAGGACUUUAUUACAUCAUUUACUAUAUACUUCACGUUUAUGUAACCUCUAUCUGACUGUUGGGAAAUUUUCAUCUACCAUGUUUAGGACUAAUUUAGGAAGAAAAGAAGUGAUGAAAUUCAAGUGGGUAAGCUAAGUGUACAACAGUUCGAUGCACACGCUGUAAUUGGUUUGUGUAACAUGUGAUGAUCAGUUUCUUAAAUGCUGCUUAUGUAUGCAAAUUGACUAAACUAUCAAUCAAAAGCAAAAGGUAGUCCAUCAUAUUGCAAACCACUGGAACCUUAAGAAAAGCAAUUGAACUUCUGCAAUAGAUGGGACUCGUUAAAAUCAGUAAUUGAGGAAUGUUUUAGUAAAAUAUUGGUGCAUGAGAGUGAAGUAGCAUCUGAAGAGCACGAUCCAAGUGUAACUAUAGAAACCUUUCGCCUUUUCCUGCAUUUGUUUGAGGUUAACUACUGAAAAACCCGAGAUAAGCAAUUGAACACCUCCAAACAAUAGGGCUAAUCAAAAUUAGUAAUUGAGGCAUGUUUAAGACAACAUUAAUGCGUCAGAGGUGAAAUAUCAUUUGAACCUUGGUUCGAAGACUUGGCCGAGUCGUCUCGGUCUCGGCCCAGUCCGAUACGAUAUCGUGACGAAAAGAUACUAAAAUACUUGACUCGCCGAAAAAUAGGUCGAGACGUCAUCACGACGGGUUGAAACAGCCCAGUCACAUCGAGUCACUCCGAGUUAUCCCGAGUCAAGUUGAAUUCAACAAAAAACCUUUAACAAAAAAAGGAUUAAAAAGGGGAAAUUCGGGGACCUCUCUACCGCCUGUGUCAAUCUCCUGUCAAGUAUGCUAAUACUGAUGCUCCUUUAUACAGGGAAAGAAAUGCGACUGAUGGGCACAUCAUAAAAGACUUCGUGGGGCCUUCUUUAGAUUAAUCAUAGUGGUUUCCUAUUCUAUUACCAGACAUAAUUGGGAGAAGCACUAGGACCGCAGCUCAAUUACAUCGACCCUUGGAGUAAAAACUAUAGCUAGAUCCCAACACAUGAGAAGGAGAAGUCAAUAUCAAAAUCAUUCAUUGGAAAAUAGAAACAAAUUUGUCAAAGUACUGAUCAUGUGAAAAGAUGCGUUUAUAUUAUUCCAACUUGGUUCAAGUAUAUGUACCUUCACUUUAUUUUUCUUUUCUUUCAAAGGCUAUCACUUCCAACUUUCUUUUCCAAAGUUAUCACUUUAUUUUUCUUUCAAAACUGGCAGGCAUCCAAGGUGAUAGAAUAAGUGAGAGGAGAAAUGCCCAAAAAUGAACUGGAAGACCACCCCAGUCAUGGUACUCUUCUUACGAACUCUUAUGCCACGGUGGGAUCCGCCUGGAGUUUUGUUCUUCAAAUAGGAUGUCCAUAAUGCGGCUGCCAUUCUUAUAUCGGUUUUGCUUGGCUUUUUCCUGCAACUUUCUGGAGCUUUGACACUUUUGUACGAAACUCUUUAAAUAAAAGACUAGACUAGUAAUUUUAUGUGUCGGCGCAAGAGUCCACAGAUUUAAAAUUUUUAUGCUUUCUCUCAUCUCUGUUCUUAUUUGCACUACAAGAAUUUUGGUCAUCAGUGAUAACUACUUUUCGUCACAAAUAAUAAAAAAGUCGUCACUGAUGACCAUUAUUGACAACAUUUCAGUUGUCGCAAGGUCGUCAUUGAAUCUCCGUCGGUAAAAGUAUACAGUGACGACUUUAAAGUCGUCAGUAAAUAGAACCUUUUUUAUGACAAUCUAUGUUGUCAGUAAAAGAUGAAAUUAUACAGUGACGACUUUAGAGUCGUUAGUGAAUGAAACUUUUUAUGACAACAUAUGUCAUCAGUAAAAGCUAUAAAUUUAGUGACAACACCUUCUCUUGUCAGUGAUGCAAGUGAUGCAUGAAGGGACGAUAGUGAGGGCAUAGGAGAAUUAGUGACGACUUUUGUUGUCGAUAGUGAGGGCAUAGGGGAAUUAGUGACGACUUUUGUUGUCGAUAGUGAGGGCAUAGAGGAAUUAUUGACGACUUUGUUGUCAAUAAACCCCUGAUCAACUGUGGCAACAUUCCCUUAUCAAUAGACAGUUUUGAUUGAGUGACAAUAACAAUUGUCAAUAAAGACAUCCUGCCUAGAAAAAUACUACUCAUUUACAACACCUUACACAUGACUUUCCUACUACAAUAAUAUCUAAAAAAUGAAAAUAUCAGCAAUGUUUAAUAAAUAACAAAUGUAGGCACCGUUACAAUAGAAUAUGCCAAAAUAAUAUAUUAAAUAUUCAAAUGUCAUAAAUAAGUGCAACAUCAUAGUACAAAUAGUUUCAUAAGUUUGAGUAGAACAAAUACUACUCAUAUUAGUCAAAGCUGCACUAAAAAACAUAUUCCAAGUCCCAAAACAUUUCCUGCGCUUCUGAAACAUUUUCUAAACUUAAGACAGCACUAUAACCACAGUUUUUGAGCCGACAUGUAAGCCGUACUGCUAAUCUUCUUCGAAACCUCCAAAAUGAGCAAUAUAUCUGCAAUAAAGUAGUAAAGUUAUUAGUAAAGUUAUCAGAUGACAAAAGCAAAACAGUCUCUAAUUGCUAAAUAAACAACAAAAGUAACAAGCAUUCACUAAUCUGAUACCACCGUAAUGAAUGCAGCAAUUGCAGCAGAAAUAGAGUGAUAAGGGGGAGAGAAACUAGACUUGAGAAAGAAGAAAGAGAGAUAUUAUUCAAAAUGAUUUUUCCAUGUUGCCCAAUCUAGAUUUCUGCAUUCUUAUACAGCUCAAGAAUAACAAAAUAACUACUUGAUUGUUGACUCAGCACAACAGUCUAACUAACAAGGAAGAUUCCCUUUAACUACUUGAAGGAAAUACAUUUCGCAUGUACUAUACUGGUAUUCUUCAGGUGAAAUACUAUACUAGAAAUACAUUAAUUCUUCAAGUUGAAACUGACAAUCCACUGCAGAGAGACCAAACAGUACUAUACUGGUAUUAAAGGCUAGACGGACACAAAUUAAUGGAAGGGGAGAAGAUGGAGAAGGGGAGAGUAUGUGUAACAGGUGAGCAAGGAGGACUAGGUAGGUAGGUGGCAGUUCUUCUCAUGGCUGGUAAGACAUAACAAAACUGUUUACCCCAAUGAAGAAAAAGCAAUCUUUAGAACUGAAGUCUGUAGAGCUGAAUCGGAUUCCACCCUGCAUGCCAUUCGGAGGAUUGUAAAUGGAUUGGUGGUCUGUGGACAAAAAAAAAUUAGUGCACAGGAGUGUGUGUAGGAGGAAAGAGUUGGUGGAUUGGAUUGAUGAUCCGAAUUUGAUUGCUGAAGACAUCGGUGGGGUAGAAAAAUCUUGUUUCUGCAAAUUUUGCCUGGAUGUCAAGAAAUGAUAUGUUUUUGCUACAAUGGAUGGAAACAGGGAAAAACUGGGAACUGUGAUAAUUGCAGGCCUUAUCUACUACACAAGAUGCCGUGGUUGACUACCAAAGAACGAGGAGUGUUAACGGUUGUAAAGAGGAGGUUUGUCACAAAUGAAGACCAAUUUUGGCAUUAGCAAUGUUUCUUUAAUCUGUCAAAAUACUAUCAAAGAUGAAUAAAUCUUCUGUUUUGCUCGUCCAUCACUACUAUACUACCACUCUGCUAUACAAGAGGAAUAUUCCUUUUAGAAUAGUCACGUAAUCAAAUCAGUAAUCUUACAAUACAAGUCAGCGAUUGAUAAAAUGUUCACGUAAUCAAAUGCAGUAUUCUCCCAACCCAACACAAGUCGGAGAUUGAUUAAAUUGUUCACUUAACACUUGGGACUGUAUAUCUUGUUCCGUCAAAAGUUUUUAGCUAACUCAUUGGCCAUGAAAAGUUUUUAGCUAACUCAUUGGCCAAAUGACAAUAAUAAUCUUUUCUAUUCUUUAGCCCUUCUAUGCUCCUCAAAUUAAUAUCAUGAAACAGAAACACUAUUGAAGCUUUUUUUUUGUGUAAUGUUAUUGUUUCAUGAUAACAAAGCUAUGAUAAAGCCACAAAUGUACUCCCAGGAUCAAAACACCAUCUGAUUAGAACCUUGUGUUGACAGAAGUAAUUCUUAAAUGUCCCUCCUCAGUCUUGAUAUUACAAGUUAAUAUUGUCACCUACCAAUAACUAAUUUGCAAUAACUUAUGUUAACUUUAAACCAUAGCAGCCAUUAUAUCUAUUUAGACAAGUAUAUAUAGUUGAAAAAUUGCUUACCAAUCAGUUCGUUCAGAUGUGCCUUCAUCGUCUUACUUGUUGGCUUGUAGCUGUGCUUUCAAAGAUUUAAGGAGAUCUUGCAUUUCACUUUGUUGGUUCUGCAUUUCACUUUGCUGGUUCACAAGCUUCUCCAUAAGUUGUUGUUGAGAUUGGACCGUUAUUUCCAACUCAGCUGAGCGCUUCUCCGCUUGUUCUGCUCUUUUCUUGAAAUCAUCUAUCUCUGCAAGCUUUUGGGCAAUUAUUCCAGCUUUGGAGGGACCACGGCCAUGUACGUAUCCGGUUACACGUCCAGUUACUUCAAUGGAAAUGUCUUCUUCAGUCCUAUUUGCACCACUGGAUUCAGAUUCCAACUUUUUCUCCUUCAUCAUGCUCUGUCACAAAGGUAAAUUCUGAAGUUAGACUUUCAUAAGAGUUGUACAACAAUAUUAGAGUACCAAUUCCAUUUUUCUUACUAAGUUCAUAGCAGAUGUUUCGUCAACCAUUGCAUUCUUCUUCUUGCUGUAAUGGGUGAUGUCAUAAAGUUCUAUUGGUCCAACUUCCCUCCCUUCUUGUGCUUCCUGUUACAAUAAGAAGUUAAAUAACCUGCCUAAACAAUCCAAAAGACAUGUCUUCAAGAUAAUCAAAUACCCGGUCAGCUUUAUGACGAAGAAAGGAUUUUGUUCCAGCUGUAUGAGCAGUUUUUUGCUUUGAUCUAUUGAUCUUGUUCCUCUCACUUAUCUUCUGCACUUAUCAAGUUCAGCCGUGAUCAAAAUUUAACACACAAAAAACAUGAGAAAGAACAAUAGUAAAUGAUCAAAAGUCGGCCUCUAUACCAUAAAAUUUAGACUACAGAAAUAGUCACAAAGGUAAAUCCAAUCAGAUUCUUCAACAUAUUGUGAACGAUUUGCAAGUGCUUCCUCUUUUGUACUAAAUUUCUUGAAAAUCUUGUGAAAAUUGUAUCGUCGACUUCUGUACUGUGUAUUUAACUGCUUAAGAAGUGCUGGCUUAACAUGUUCUCCUUCUUUUACCAUUUUUCUGCUUUCCAUUUGCCAUAUUUACGAAUGACACAACUUGCCUCUGAGAUGUACUGUUGUGCCCCUCCUCCAAUUACUCUUCCACUAACUUCAGAGACCUGGACUUUUACCUUUUUGCCGGCCUUCUUUUCCUUGGACAGUGCAAUAUUGCGAGUAUAUCCUCUUUUCCUAGUUACAUUGAUACUACCUACCCAAAACAUAGUACACAGUUAUGAAUGUGAGUGGAAAAAUCUGAAAUGAAAUUAGCUGUGUAAUAUAAAUUACAAGUAAAUCUCAUAUACCGGUAUCAUUCUGUUGAACAUCAUUGCUCUCAUUAUUCCGGUCACUUCCACAACCAAUGGACUGGUUAGAUCCGACUUGUACUGAAGUAGGAGUAGUAUUUUGCUGGUUAGAUCCAACAAUUGCAGCUCAAACCCAAACAGAUUCAGCAGCCAAACCGACAUUAACUUUCAUAAACUCAUAAUCAAAAUGCCAUGUUGUACAUACAAGAGGAUAAGAGCUAACAAAGUGAAAGUUUGCAAAUUCUAAUUCAUUCAAAAGGUCUCCACCAGUUCUGAAUUUACCUAUGGGAGUUCACUUAACAAGUUAACACUCACACUUGGUCGGCAUUAUGAAAAGGAAAACAGCAGUGAAAGUCUUGUUUCAUGGUAAAGCAAGUCAAAAUCUCUCAAACGGGCUCUUAAGCAAAACUCCGCAGAAACGUAAGAAAAUAGUUACUUAAACAAGUGAACGAACAGGAGCACAACAGAAGGUAGCAGGCUUACUGAUUGCUGUUUUAAAUCGUAGCAUACUCAUAUAUGAGAUUAUUAUCAAACAACAAACCAACCAAAAAGGAAAUUCAAACCAUUCCAGAAACUUCAACAAUUCAAAAGAUCAAAAUUUUUAUUGCUGCAAUAGAGAAUAGGGCUCUAAUCUGUCUACAUUGCUGCAGCAGGACAAGGAGCACCGUCCUUGUUGCAGCAACUCUCAGCUACUGGAAUUGCUCGCAUAACAGCGAGGGAAUGGGAAAAGAGGACAGUGUGCCUUUAGUUCAAGGCUAAUGACUUUCUAAACACAGCCCUGAUAGCUGAUAUGUUCAUAGUAUCCCACUCCAGUUGCAAACGAAAACAAGAUUAUCAAAUGAAACCACAACUUUAGCAAUCCCAGAAAGAAAAGACUGCUGCAACAAGCCGAUAACUUCGAGCUUGUCGCAGCGCAUCCUUCGAUUGGACUCCAAAGGCCCUAACAGACCCAGGUUAUGCAAAUAAGGACCAAAGAUGUAGUCUUUGGCUUACCAGAUUGGAGAAAGUUAAAACCUUUGGAUCAAACAACAAACACAGCAUCACAUCAAACGCUAUCUCAGCGACCGAAAGGCCAAAAAAGAUUAAAAAAAAAAAAAAGUACCGGAAACAGUUGCAACAAGCAAAAGGUUUCAUCUUGUUGCAGGGGUUCUAACAAAACCAUUAAUCACUACCACAAGUAAAGGAAUGGAACGUUGAAACAGGAAAUUUAUGUGAUUUUUCUGAUUUUGGCCUGUCAAAACAUAAGAGGGCAACCAUAAACAUCCAACGAAAGACCUCAUGGGUUCAUCAUAGACUGUACCAAGAACCUUAAAAUCAUAAGUAUGGCAAGGCUACCUCGUCAUCGUCAAACAGAUAGAUAAGAAGUAACAUACCUGGACAGCAAAAAGGAAGCGGAUUGGAAAGAUCUUUAGCGGACAGAGUUGCCCUUCAACGAUGAUGGAAACCGAUGAUGGAAAGCGAUGGUUUUCUCCUUCACUCGCUGCUUUCCCUUUCCUUUUGCUUAGAAUUUCUCAGCCUUACUCUCGGCUCUCUCGGUUUCUCUUCUCAGUUUUUCCUUCUUGUUUCAGUCUUUUUCCUCUCAGCUCCAACACCUUGCUCCCCUGUGCUUCCUCGACAUAAAUAGAGGGGGCAAAAGAUUGGAAAAAAAAAGGAGAAAAGCAAAUGUAGUAGGGAUUUGGAAAAAUUGGGGAAAAUGUAGUAGAAUAUUAGGGAUUUGGAAAAAUUGGGGAAAAUGUAUAGGAAGCUCUGUUUCAGCUCAGUGCAGAAGCUUGUUUGUGUUUCAGACCAAGUGUUCCGUUGCUUUUGUUUUCAGAAUGUGUUCCGCUGCUUUGGUCUUUGCUUUGCUUUGGAUAUUGUUUUUGUUGCGCGGCACUUUCCUAUGAUUUGAUCAAAAUUUUGACUUCACUCAUUUUCCCCCCAUUUGAUACCAAAAAUCAUGUUUUUUUCUGGAUUUGUAAUAUGGUUUGAACCAUAGAUUUUAAUGCUAUAGUAUUAUUCUUUAUUUUUUAGCAAAAAAUAAAAAUUUUCAUCAACAUAGGUGGCAAAAUUUGUUAAUUUCAUAUAAUUGAAAAUGUACUUUUAUAAUUUGCUAACAUUUUAUACUAAUUUCUUAUAAUUGCAGCACUAAAGAACAUCAUGUAAUUCAAAAUAAUUAAACUCAAAUUAUAUCGUUAUAACAUAGUUUCAAUAAAAAUAAUCAUUUUCCCAACAUUUGAGACCAAUCAUCAUGCUUUUUUUUUAUUUUUAAUUUGGUUUGAAGCAUAGAUUUUAUUGCUAUAGUAUUAUUCUUUAUUUUUUAGUACAAAAACACAAAUUUUCAUCAAUAUAGGUGGCAAAAUUUGUUAAUUACAUAUAAGUGAAAAUAUACUUUUAUAAUUUGCAAAUAUUUUAGCCCUGCAAUUUUUUAUAAUUGCAGCACUAAAGUACAUCAUUAAUUGAAAAUAACGAAAGUCAAAUUCUAUGGUUAUAACAGACUUUCAUUAAAAAUAAUCAAAUGCUAUUAAUAAGACAUUAUUGUUAAGUCAAAAUCAAAGAAAAUUUAGUGAUGACAUAAUGUUAUCACUAAUUUAUUCAAGAUUAUAAUGACAAGAAAAGUCGUCACUAAUUAAAUUGCUAGUUUUUAAUAUUGUCAAUUGCUAGUUUUUAAUACUUUUGUGAAAAUAUUGAUAAUGGUUGAGAAAAUUUUGUUACAUUACUGCAAGUGAUAAAUGUACUUUUGUUCUUUUUCAAACAUUUAUUUUAAUGUUUAAUUUUGUUUAAAACUAUUGUACUAGUAUAGAUUUGCAAGACAAAACUUAAGUUCUCAAUAGUUAAAAAAUUCAUUACAGAGAAAACACAAAGUAGUAGUUGCAAAAUGUGUAUAAAUUACAGAUAUUUUAAUGUGUAUAAAUUACAGUUUAUUUUAAUAUUUAAUUUUGUUUGAAACUAUUUUACUAGUAUAGAUUUGCAAGACAUAGAUUUAUGGGUAAUUUCUUUUUUUUUUUGCUUUCACAUAUUUAAUUUAUGUUAAAUACAAAACCUACCAAUUUCCCUCUCAUAAAAAUAUUAGUGCAACACUUUUUGAAUUUUACUUACAAACAUUUAUGUAUUUAACAUAAAUUAAAUGAUUCAGAGUGAAAUGCCCAUAAAGAGCAUAAUAUUUGUUCAUGUAAUGGAGGAAGCCCACAAAGAGUUGGUACUUUAUGGGCCAUUUCUUUUUUUAAAAAAAUUUAAUUUAUAUUGAAAAGAUAAUCUACCAGUUUUCGUUUUGUAAGAAAUCAGUGUAACACUUUUUGAAUUUUACUUACAAACAUUUAUAAAUUUAUCAUAAAUUAUAUAUUUGAGAGUAAAAUGCCCAUAAAAAGUUGGUACUUUGAAUAGAUAAUGCUCAUUUGCCCAUAAACUACACUCCCUGAAGGCUAUUUUGUUAAUUAUUUUGUAGUACUUUGUUAUUCCUUUGCUAAUACUACUUGGCAUGUAGUACAAAUGAUAAAUCUGGCAUAAAUUUCUUAUUCCAUUGAUAAAAAGACCUGCCUGCCUUAUAACUAUUGUAAUGAAAGAUAUAUCUUUAGAGUUUAUAACAAAUUAUUACUUAAGUUUGAGAAAAUUAUAAAAUAUUUAUGCAUAGUUUAUCAAGAUACCAUUCGCAAUUUCCUAAUAAAAAAAUAGGGGCUAAAUUGUAAAAGCUAGGGUGCCAUAAUAGAAAUAAUAAAAUUGGUGUAUUACACAUGGGUGUCAAAUUGCAAAAGUUAGAGUGCCAUAGUAGAAUUAAUGAAAUUAGUGAAUUACAUAUGGGGCUAAAUUACAAAAGUUAGGGAGUAAUAAUAGAAUUAAAGAAAUCGGUGUAUUACAUAUGGGGCUAAAUUGUAAAAGUUAAGGUAUCAUAAUGGAAUUUUUUACAACAUUUGGGGCUAAAUCGCAAAAGUUAGGGUGGCACAGUAGAAUUAAUGAAAGUGACUUAGAAAUAAGUACUUUAAACAGUGACGAUUAAUUCUUGUCACUAAAUCUGCAUCGGUAGAGUGACAGUGACGAUAUUAGAAGUUAUCACUAUAUAAAUCAUUUUAGUGACAACUUUUUCAAGGUCGUCACUGAAGACUUAGUUCCUUUGAGCAAUUAUGACAACUUUCCUUGUCGUCACUAAACAACCACGUUUUGUGACGACUUUUUUCGUCACUAAAAAUGUAGUCACUAAUGACCAUAUUUCUUGCGGUGUAGUUUGUGACGAAAAUAACGGGUCGUCACUAAACAUUUAGUUGCUUUGAUGCAAUUGUGACAACUUUAGGUGUCGCGACUAAAGAAGCUCUUUUUGUGACGACUUAUUGUCAUCACUACAAAAAUGUUGUCACUAAUACCUUUUUUUUUAGUGAUCAGUGACGACAACAAAAAGUCGUCAGUAAAUAGGCCAAGCAAUAGUGAUGAUGUUCUUAAUGUUGUCACUAUUGUGUGUUCUAAACACUCCCGCGCUCUUGCUAAAUCUUGGCGGGAAUUUACUAGUGACGACUAAGUCGUCACAAAUAAGUUGGCUCCCUUUAGAGGUUUGUGACGAGUUAGAAAGUUGUCAAUAAAGGAUCCACUUUUGUGACAACUUUUUUUCGUCACAGAGAAAAGUUGUCACUGAUGACCAAUUUUCUUGUAGUGUUGGAUGUUCUUAGGGAAACUAGAUAGUACCUAACAUAGGAGGAAUCAACUCCGAUCAAGCUUCUCUUUCCUAUCAGAAAUAGCUAGUCGACAACUUUAGUUGCAGCAACGGCCCUUUCAUUGCCCUCCCUUGGCCUUUCCUUUGAAAUAAGGACUUUUCCCGUGAGUCAGCAGGUAUGAAUUUAUUUCUUUAAGUUUUCUAUACUUAUAGUAGGUAUGAAAUAGAAACAUAUUUGGAUUAAUUAUAGCCCUUAUGUAAUAGGCCAAGGUUGGAUUAAUUAUGAUUGUGUCCAAAAUAAAAUUUAGAAAUUUAGAUUUAUCUAGCUAAUUUGUGUUGUUGAAAUUUAUUUUGGGCCAAACAUAAGUUUAACACUUAUCUCACAUAUAAUUCAAAGUUUAGCACUUUUGCAAUUAUUAGUUUUAAAAUUGUGGUCUAUGUUAUUUUGAUUUUAUUUGUGAUGCCAUUGUCUUAAAUAAUUAAAAGUACUUAUUGUGUUUAAUAUGUAUAAAAUAGUACAUUUUGCAAAUUUUUUUUUGCUAGCUUUUUAUUAUUUUUGUUUAGCGUACUUUUUUUAUAUUAUUAACAAUUUUUAGAAUAUUAAAUGUUUUAAAAUUUGCUUCUCACUGAAACAGCGACCGAUAUGCUGAGACCGAUGUGGAACGUUCCGAGCCGCGACCGCGACUUUGAACCAUGAUUUGAACAGCACGUUACAAGUGUAAUUGCAGAAAUUUUCCCCCUCUUCUGCACUUGCUGAUAAGUCUAUACUCUAUAGAGCUAGAUGCAAUAAUGGAGGCUCUUACUACAAAACAGUGGUGCUUCAGUUGCUUGUGUUUCAUGCCAUGACACUGGCCUUUGAAGAGGUCUUUUGUUUACUCUGUUUCUUUCUUCAGUUUUUCGUCUUUAGUUUUGAGAAUAGGUACUUUUAAUUAGUCUUUGUAUUAUUCACUCAUUUGCUACUGUAUCAAUGUUUAUAACAUUUUUUAAAGAUGCUCUAAGUAUAUUCUUAAUUUUGAAAUUUGUGUGGGGAACCAGGUGAGGUGUGGGUAGGGGUUGUUGUUAGACUGCAGUUUGGUGAUCAAGGUACGCUCUAAAUAUAAAUUUAGGCCUAAUGUCAUUAGCAUCAUUUGUACUAAAGUCAUUGAUAACAAUCCUACAGAUUCAUCCUCACAGAUGGAUCAAUUUAGGCCAAAAGUUUAUUAAAAAAUAUUGGAAUUUGUUCUUCAAUACACUCUUUUGGAACCUAAAUUUUUGGGACAAUGUUAGUACUAUGGCAAGUGAAGUUGACAAGUCGCAGAACACUUUUCCUGUAGCACUUUUGUGUGCUUUCAUUUUGACUUGUUCAGGCUAUGUCAUACCUCUUCUAGCUAUCACUGGGGCAAUAUUUGUUGAUAAAAAUUUAUGAUUAACUAGAUACAUGGCUUAUAAAUUUUGUAGCACGAAUGAUUUCUGGUAAAUGGUUGAAAAUUUGGAUUGAAGUCGGAGUUGUUUUAUCAGCAAUUGGCUGAUGCUCAGUUGAGCAAGUUGAGAGGAAUAGCAAAGAUUGGAUUCUUGCCUAAGUUUAUUAAAGUAAUGUCAAAAUGGUUCAUGCUUAGCUGUUGAUAUUGUAAUCAACUGCUUUUUCACUUGGUCUUUUAUGUGUAAGCUACACAGAUAUGAUAUCAGCAAAUUUCUUGCAUGGUUUAGGGAUGCUUUUGGAAUUUCCAUCCUUUCUUUGGUUGAGAAGAAAAUUUCCAACCAGGAAACAACCUUAUCAGGUUUCGCGGAAGAUGCUGGCUCUUGAUUGUAUGCCUAAUUCUAUCAAGAUUUUUGGUGUUUACAAUGGCUAUAGCCACCAAGAUCGUGUAUUUGGUGAGUCUUCUGAUGACUGUUUGUGGGAUUGCUUCAUGCUUGGUAUUUGUUGCUGAAGUUGUGUGAGGCAAAGAAGUGGUUCAAAUUUAAUGUUGGGGAAGAAAUACAAGGACAAAGAUAUUUUUAUCUUUUGAAGAUUCUUGUCAAUAUAAGUACAGAAAAACAAGCUAAUGACUUGUCUAUCUCCAUGAAUUCACUAAGUGGGACACAUGUUUCCAAAGAUUUUAUUACUCUUGCCAUUGAUUCCAUGUUUUGGAAGAUUUCAUAAUUUCGCUCUGUCUUUUCUUGCGUUACUUUAAGCAUCACUAAUUGUUACACUUAGAAUUUGGAUACCUAUCAUCGAACUUUUAUCUCUAUUACUUUUCAUCCUUAUGAUUUCUGUUUGUUAUACACCAAUUUUUGAUUAAAAUUGUCACUUACUCAACAUUACCAGUUCCCUCGCCAUGCGCGAGUCUCACCCCUGGUAUCUAACUAAGAUUGACACAAAUAAUCCUAGAACUAUCUAAAAAUAGUAAAUCUACCAGCAAAAUCAAACAGAAUGACGACUAUUAUAUUUAUAUAGAUUGAAUGUACGGUUGGAAACAAAAAAUAGCUAUUUUUAGCAAAAGCAAAAAAAGUUCAGCGGCUAAAAGUAUAUGACUUGAGUAGUUUAAUUGCUAAUUAGGUUUCUUUUCCCUCGUCUUAUUUUCAUUAACCAAUUAAAGCAUAAGAGAUUUCUCUUUCUUUUUUAAUAAUUUAUUCCAUUUCCUCGAGACAUCCAAUAGCUUAUGGCUCCAUAAUUGAAAUUUGAAACCCAUGACCAAGUCAUACCCAUUUCUUCAAUCCGGUAACUGAGUCACAACACUGGCCAAAAUAAAGGACGGUAGAAAAGCAAAAUAACUGAAUAGAAAAGGACUACACAACAGCCAUUGCUACCUUGUAUCUUUUCGAUCCAUUUUGUACGCCUUGCUAGUCAUCUUUGGGAGCAACCGAAUUCCAUUGAGGAGGUGAUCAUUUGCAAAUGAGGGAGACAACUGAAUGGCUAUAUUUAAGCGGCAUUAUGAUCAGUAUUGCCUGGCAUAGUGGCAGAGCAUAUUCCCUAUGAAUGCCGUGCUAACUGCUAAUGAACAUGAAUUGUUCAUUAACAAAUAGAGGAUUAUAGUCUCAAAAAAUGUGAGUUUUAUCUAAUUCUGUUCUGGUGUUUAUCCCAUUGUUUAGCAAUUAGUUUACAAUUUCAGUUUGUCCUAUCUACAAGUGAUAGGCUGGCUAACAUAUGCCAGUAUGCCACAUCUCUUCUUUCUGUACGUAUAAUCUGAAACGUGGAAAUCUUAUCGUUAUCAUUUUUUGUAAUAGACGAGACGUGUGUGAUUAUGUACCACGAGUGGAUUGUGAAGUAGCCAUCUGUAAAAGCGCCACCAGCCAGUUUUUGGAAGUUAGAAUGGCUUGAUUAGCUAAGUUCCAUGGGUGCAGUCAGAAUUCAGCAAUUACCUUUUGGUUGUACUUGUGGAGUUAGUUUAGGUGUAGUUUGUGAAAAUUUUUACUAAAAGAAAAAAUGACCUGUUGGUGAGGUUUGAAGACCAGAGUGAAUGAGUGUUAUUUAGCACUUAGUAGAGAGGUUCCCUGCUCCCUUGCCCUGAGUCCCACAUCGGUUAGUAAGAGUGUGCGUGAGUUCCACUUAAGUUCUAUAGGUGUAGCCAGAAGUCGGCAAUUGCCUAUUGGUUGUACUUGUGGGGUUAGCAGUUAGCUUAGGCGUAGUUUGUAAAAAUUCUUGCUAAAAGAAUGGCUUGAUUAGCUGGAAUAGAAGAGGAGGGAUCAACUGAUUUCACCCAAACAAAGGAAGCAGAUGGUCUCUAGAAGCAUUUUGCGCAAAGUUUAUGCGAUAGAAUCUCUAUGCUGGUUUAAUCCUAGCUCUUUUAAUGGGUAAAUUAUUCAUAACUCUCUUGUACUUUUGCAUAAUGACACAUGACUUUCAUAAGAUUUCAAAAUAUCGAUAUAACCUCUCUUACAGUUUUGGGUAAAGUGAAAAUUUGACGAUAAAUAAUGUCAUUAAUUGGCAUGCCAAUAAUGCUUUUACUUAAAUACUAAAUUGAUUAAUGGUCUAACUAAUUUGUAUAAAAUUAUAGGGGAUUAUGUGGAUAGAUACUAAACGACAAGCUUGUUAAGUGGAUAUUUAUGCAAAAUCAAAGAGGGAAGUUAAAUAAAUAUUAUAAUUAUAAUUUCAUCACACAUACUUUUUGAAUGCGUCUCAGCUAAUCACCAUAAUUGGAGAUGCUUUCUAUCUGUUUUUCACUUUACAUAAAAUGACUGGGGAUUAUAUGGAUAUUUUAAAACUUUAGGGAGAUCAUAUGGUAUUAUAAAAAAUUGUAGGGGGUUAUGAGUAAUUUUCCUUUUUUCAAUGAUUUUUUAAGGGUAAAUUAUAUUUCAUCCUCCUAUGAUUUAGUAUUUUACCACAUAAACUCUUUUAUAAUUUUAAAAGUUGUACAAAACUUGCUUGUAGUCUGGACUAAAUGGUCAAACUGGCAAACACAGUCUUGUGUCAUAUAACCAAUUUCAAAAUCUAUACAUAACCUCUUUACAGUUAUCUAAUUAUUUCCAUCUUGAAACUGGGUUAUUUUUGAAAAUUUAAAAUUUUAGUCAGCUUUGUUACAGAUGGAAAAUUCCUCACUUUAGUCUUUUACGACAAAUAAUAAGGGCGUUACAUGUAAUUUUGAAAAUUAUAAGAGAGCUAUGUAGAAAGCACUAUUUCAUAAGAGUGUAAAGUAUGAUUUACCAUUGUUUUAAAAACUGCGUAUUAUGCUCACAAUUAGUGAUAUUUUGGUACACAUAUUUACUUUUGUUGGCAUACUAAAUCAAGUCUAAAAAUAAAAGUUUAUAAAUUGUUAUUUAGCAAUAUUUUGGUCAAGUCAAAUUUUUAGUAGUUUCAUUGGAGUCAAAUUAUGGUAGUUUUAUUGUUUAGGAAUUAGUAUUUUAUUAGAAAAUUCUUAUGGUUGUAAAACUUGUUUACCAAGUCAUGUAGUUUAUAAAUAGGGAGUCUUAUUAUUGUAUUAGUAGAACAGUAAAAUUUGAGAGAUUUGUUAUUUUGGUGUGUGAUUAAUAUAUUAUUGUUAGUAUUAUUCCUCUUCUCUCACACCUACUUGCAUAUGUAUAAAUUGGCUCCCCAUCUACACUGAUUUCAUGAAAUUUAUCUCCUGUAACUUGUUGAUUGAUUUUUUGGAUUCUAUAUCUAAUAUCAGAGACCUAGGUUCAAGAAAUUGAUUCUAUGAUGCCUGUGAAUAUUGAAAAUUGUUCUGACUAUGAGGUUAGUAUUGGACAUUUUUCACUCUUAGAUGGAGCAUAAAUUGCUUUGACGAAGUCAGUUGAUCGAGUUAGACCACAAAAUUGGUCAUGGAGUAUCUAGUUGAUGCCGGUUGGACCAUAGGAUUGGUCCGAAAAUUGUUAAAUUGAUUGUGAUUGUGAAGUUGUCAGUUGAAUUGUGAUUAUGAAAAUCAUGAAAUGAGUUGUCAAUAAAUUGAUAUCAAAUUAUGUAACAAGAAUAGUCUAUCCAGUUGGGUGAAUUAUUUUAGCGAGUCAAAAACAAGUUAAGUGAAGAGGUAAAUCUAUUCAGGUACAUGGAAUAUUAUAGUAGCAAACAUUUUUGUAGAUGAAAAAUUCAAAAUGAUACUAAUAGAAUUUUACAAGAGAGGUUAUUGAUCAUGAUGGUGGUGAACUCGAUCUAAGAGAAAGCUUGAUUUAAAGGAGGCAAUGUUGGUACACCAAAUCAAGUCUAAAAACAGUAUUUUCUAAAUUGUUAUUUAGCAGUGUUUUAGUCAAGUCAAUUUUUUAGUAGUUUUGUUGGAGUCAAAUUAUGAUAGUUUUAUUAUUUAGGAAUUAGUAUUUUAUUAGAAAAUUCUCAUGGUUGUAAGAUUUGUUUACCAAAUCAUAUAGUCUAUAAAUAGGGAGUCUAAUUAUUGUAUUAGUUGAGAAGGGUAAAAUUUGAGAGCGUUAUUCUUGUGGUGUAUGAUUAAUAUAUUAUUGUCGGUAUUAUUCCUAUUCUCCUGCAUAUAUUUUUAUGUGUGUAAAUUACCUCUCCAUGCAUCUACAUUGGUUCUAUGAAAUUUAUCUCAUCCUACAACAUUUUGAUAUAAUUUUUUUGGGUUCUACAACUUUAAUUUUUCUUUCAAAUGUAUUUUGUGGCUUAGUACGUAAGCAUCAAUAUAGCAAUUGGUCUUAUUUUACUGGACAUUCCUCUUCAGCUAAGAGGUGAUAACUGCCAAAAAAAUAAAAAUGUGCUAAAACAGCAAAAUUUGAACAUUCUGACCAUUGUUAAGGAUCCACUAUCCAUCCGUGGAUCCAAGUUAACAAAUUUGCACAACUCUCUGAAAUGAAUCCGAUUCACUUUCUAUGGAAUCCAGGGACUGAUUCUUAAUCCGUGGAUAGAUUCUCAAUAAUCCAUGACCGGAUUCUGAAUUUUAAAAUUCGUCAACAAUUGUGUAUAUAUAACUCAUCUCAUUUUAGUAUCCACAAAAGUAGUUGGCUGUGCAAAAACUGAAAGGAUUAUAGUUACAUUACAUUAGGAUCUCAUGUAGUUCAUGGUUUCAAAACUUGCUAUCUGAUUUUAAUUUCUUUUUACUCACAUAACAUAUGCUCUUGGUAUCUAAUACCAAUGCAAAAUCAUUCGAGUUUGGCAACAGUUUUCUAUCUUUAGAAUCAUUAGGGUUCUGAAAUUUAAUUGUAUUUACAUUGCAUGAGUUCGCAUUUAAAAUUCGUGAUGGUGACUUGUCAAACAAAAAAAAAAAUUUUGUGAUAGUGACCCGACCAAUUGAUGUAUCAGUGGCAGGGAAAGAAUAAGUGAAGGAUAAGCAGUGGCAGACUGUCAUAUUAUGAUAUUAAUGGGCACUAAUAUAAGAAUCCAAUAGCUAAAUUUCAAAGAAAUUACAGGCAACAUCUGCAUAUACGUACUAUAUCAUAGUUUCGUGACCCACGAGGUGUAUUAUUUUUCAUCGACUAAGAGCAUCACAGCUUCCUCCAAAAACAACAAAAAAAAAGGGAAAAAAAAAAUCCUGGGCCAUGAUAUUGGUCUGUCUGCAUCCUCCACUAGAUCGACAGUCUUGCUCCAGAUCUUUCUCAAUUUUUUUUCACAUAGGACGCCAAAUCAUCGGCAGUUUUAUUAUUAGUACAGAUCAAGGCAUUUUGAAACAAUUUCCCUCGAAACUCAGCACUAAGCAGCCUGCUUGCCUCUCUCGUGAUAUUGAUGAACAGACACAAGAAUUCCCAACUGCUUCCAUGAUUAUCAGGUUGAAUUCUUUCUCCAUCUAAAAAAGAUUAAUUCAAAGGAUCAUUGCUCGAAAAUCUGUUGCAAUUUUACUGAAAAAUCGUUCCAUGGAUCAGCAGUAAUUGUAAUGUCAAGAGCCCAACUUCCAAAUGGUGUCACACUAACAGCAAGAUUGAGUUUCUCUACCUCAGAAGCAAUUUUUGUCAGUACCCUUUCUAUGAUCUUCACAAUGAACAAUCAGAAAAACGUUCUUGUCUUAAAAUUUAGCCUAAAUUUCAAUCCGUGGCUGCUCAUCAGGGCCAGCCAUAUCAUCUAAAUAACCUUCAUUUUCAACUAAGAGUUGUGGUUUCUUCACAAGCACCGCUGGUUCCAUGGUUUGUUCCUCCAGCUUCUUUGCUCUCUCCUCAAGAAUGAAAGUUUUAUGCAUCUGCAAGAACUUAAAUGUCUCGUGAACAAGAAUUCUAUAAGAACUUCGGUUGCAAAUUACGUGCUGAGAUUUCAAAAUCUAUAUAUAGGUUGGAAAACUUGCACGCCCGAUCAAUUUAUUUAGUGUAGUCGUCACUGUCUGCCUGAUCAAUUUAUUUAUCUAACCGAUAUUAGCAAUCAACACAAACUUGUCUACUAUGCUGGUUUUUUUUUAUCCCUAGUUUAGGAAAAAUUAGAUAGUACCUUCUUGAGACCAGGAACUAUGGUGGAAAGAGCCAUGAAACUCUGGCUGAACAGCUCGUAUCGCUUUCUUUCUGCUACUACGUGAUCAUAGUUUUGGGUUCGUAACCUUGUACGACCGCCAGGUUUCUUUGCUUUUGUUUGGACAGUAGUAUUAGUGGCCUCAUCAAGUUUUACAAAUGAACCUUGGGAUGUCAAAACCUCAGACACUGCAUCAUCCUCAGGGUUCAAUGUUCCUAGACUCACUUGUUGAGGAUUUAUUCCUAGCAUAUUUGGAUUCCCAAAAGUGAGAAUCAGUGGACAAGAAGAAGCUUGAUCAAAAUUUGGCACAUUGUGGAUGCUUGACAAGUUAUAGCCAUUAGGCUUGUGCUGUUUGGCUGGUCUUUCAGGAACAAAUAGAUGAGCUACCAUCACUGAACUAAGAGAUCCGAAAAUCUGGAGAAGGAUGAAUUGCCUUUUGGAUACAGAACUAAGAUAUAGAAAUAGGUGGAGAAAGAUGAAUUGCCUUUUGAAGACAAGAGAAUAUUGAAAGUAAUGGACAGCUGCGGCAGAUAACUCUUCAUCAAAGACGUCCAUUAUUGAUCACUAAAACUGGAUCCUCCAUUCCCUGUUAAUUAAGACAAAGGAGAAGGUUGUAUAAGCUUUUCAUACGUACUUGAAUUUUUCCUCCUAAGUGAUCUUUGUAGCUUCUGAGAUGGGUGAAACAUAUCCAUACCUUAAAAAGCAAAAGUGGGAAAUAAAGGAAAAAACAAAAGAAAGAGCAAUAGAGAACAAGAGGCGUACAAGUCCAGGACAUUUUUAUCAGUGCUUCAAAAGGAUCCCCCCUCUGCGCUCCAUUGUCAGGGAAGGCCCCUCCUUCAAUGGAGCGCAGAGGAUGAUGAAUGGAGCAGAAGACAUCACUCAACCAUUUAUACACGGUUGUACGCCUGAUUCAUUUAGGGUUUGAAUGUGCUCAAGCUGCACGAUGACUAGUUCAUGAAAUAUUUUAUUUGAAGCGUGUAAAUUGAGAAAAUCGUUAAAUAUUACUAUAUUCGAUGAACGAUUAUAUGCCAUAAAUAUUCACUAAACUAUUCUACGUAACUCUAGUACCACAAAUCCACCAAACCUCCCCCAUCCCCACCCAAAAAAAGUUUAUUUUUUGGGUAAAAUAUCCAAAAACUCCCUGUAAUGUGCUAAAUAUUCAAUUUAACUCCCUCUAAUUUGAAAAUUUAUACUAUAACUCCCUGUGGUUUCAACUAAAUUGAAAUUGGAUGGAAAGCAUUUAAUCUAACGGUUAUACUUGAAAUAUCAAUAUUGCUCUUAUAUAAAUGAACUCCCUAUGAUUGGUUGAAUGUUCAAUUUAACUCCCUCUGGUUUGAAAAAUUACACUUCCUACGAUUUUGACUAAAUUAAAAAUUGAAUGGAAAGCAUCUCACGUAUAGCAGGGGCAAUAUUGAUAUUUCACACACAACCAUUAGACUUUAUGCUUUCUGUCCAAUUUUCAAUUUAGUCAAAAUCACAAGGAAUUAUAAUGUAGGUUUUCAAAUCAGAGGGAGUUAAAAUUGAAUAUUUGUCAAAUCGCAGGGAGUUUUUUGGUAUUUUAUCUUUUAUUUUUACUGCUUUUUGUGAUAUGAAUGGAUAAAAAGAUUCUUUUUUAUCUCAAUUAAAAAAAACACAAACAUCGGGUAAUCGAAACCAUUAGAUAGUAGAUAUAACUUGAGUAAGUCCGAUUACAUAUCUUAGUUGUACUUGUUAUAGAAUUUUAUGCAAAAUUAAAAUAUCAUUACGAUGCAAAAAUUAGUGUAUACAAACAAAAUAUUUUAUGUAACUAAAGCCCAUUAAUAUAUUAUAAUUAUACUUUGUACGGUAAAAUAAGUUCAUUAACUAUCAACAAUUGUACAUCAUGUAACUCUACUAUCACUAAUCCAACACCCCCCAUUUCCACCUACCGUACUCGCAUUACCCCACCUCCCUUCUGGAAGAGGGGCAAACAAUCGUUCUUGACAGUUCACGGCUAAGAUUUGACAAAAAAAAAAUUAUAUGAUCCAGAUCUCAUUUUGUAUUUAAUUUUUAAUAACAUGCAUGAGAUCUAUAAAAUUUUACUCUAAAAUUACACGUUAUUAAAAAUAAGUUACACCAUAUAUAAAUAAAAUUAUACCAUAUAUAAAAUACACAUAAUCUUCGUCAGGAACUGCAAUCGUUCCUGCCCUGGUCCCUCCCUCCCCCCCAAACCGACGCCGUAAAGCCCGAGCCCAACUUCUGGUACGAAGAUUCUCAUAUCUGCGACCUCAGCCUUUCCUUUAUUGUUUUGUUUUUUAAAAUGUCGUACAGAGAUUGUGGGCCUUUGACUUCUUCAACUCUCCCCUAUUUUUUCAACAGUCUGUCUCAUGAAUACCCGAUCCUUAUGAUAUACUAUUUUAAGUAUUAUAUUUUUAAAAAUAUAAAUUUAAUUAAAAAAAUAAAUAAAUAUAAGAAAGGGUAAACAAGAUUCAAUAGGAAAAAUAUAUAAAUAUAAAAAAAUAUAUAUAAAUAUUAGGGAUGAUAAUAAUUAUUAAUAUGUAUAUAUAUAUACAGUAGAUUAGGUGAAUGAUAAGUGUAUUAAUGUGUCCUAAGAAUACUUGCUAUAAAAAAUCCUUUUUUCAACCAAACAUGGACAGAGUUUGUAGUACUUUCUGUCUGUGGAAGUGAAACGGGGUCGCUUGAGAGAAGGGGGAAAAUAAAAUUAAAAAAAAAAACAGAGAAGUUUAGUGAAGGCUCAUGACAUGAACCAAGCAAAUUUGAUGUUGGAAAUUCAUGAUUUCCUGCCCAAAUCCCUGGAUUCUUGAACCAAAUUACUCCUUAGUACUUAGGAAUUCUAAUGCCAUCAAGGAUUUGAGCUGAAAUCCCUAUGUAUGCGAUACUUCAAAUUUUGAUAAGUGCAAGUACAAGGGAUAAUCCCCAAACAUAUAUAGGAAACCUAUGACUGAGCCAAAGGCUAUACUAUGUAUGUUACACAAACCAAGCCAAAACAGCCUAACUAAAUUUGUGCAGUCCAAUGGAUUGAUGAAAACCAACUCAUUAUAAGACCCCAAUUCUUUUUCUCGCUUUUGUCACAUUCUCCAACUAUGCACAAUACAAUACAUCCCGAAUAAAUUCUUUGCACAACCGGACAGGCCAAUCUAAUGUUUGAAUACCACCAAGAUUUGAGCUCUCCAAAUGUGAUAAACAGUCAUAGCCAGUCAAAGUUUGCUAAGCUGAUGACGAAAAGAUCAAUUAGACCUGGCAUUGCAUCUCAACCAGGCUAUUUUCAUUGGUCCAGCCAACAGAUCAGCCAUAAGCAUGAUAAACUCCAAUAUUUGCCUCGAUAAAACUUCAAAUCUUCUGCUUUAUUUUCUCCUUCUGUGUUCCAAAGCUUUCUCUUUCCUUCUUUUGUUUUCUGAAGUACUACUCUUCCCUUUUUCUUUUCCUUUUUCCGAUUUUGUCUUACUAAAAAUAGGCAAGUUUCGAUUGGUAACUUUUACUAAUGAAAAAGUAGUAUCUUUUACCCAAAAAUGGUAAGUUUCAUUAAAAAGGUGAAAAGUUUGUAAACAAAUUGUUAUAAACAGAAUGAUGUGUUUAGUAACGAAAUCGUAUGUUUUAGUUAAAAAAAAAAAAAAGAAUCUUAUUGCCGUAAAAGUUUGUCAUUUUGCUAAAAAGGAAAGCUUUAUUAGAAUACUAGUCAGCUCAGCAGGUGUAGUAAUACCAAUUAGAUUAUGUGAUAUUAAUUCUGCUGUAAGUCUUGCUAAUGUAAUCUACUCAAGAAGUAGUAAACUUUGCUAGCAAUAGUAAGAAGCAACUUUUUUUUAUCAAUUACUCACUUUUUCUAUUAACUGGUAUCCCUUUUUUUUUUUAAAAAAAAAAGGAAGGUAGUGCCGUUUUUCUAUAGAGUCGUAGUCACUGUUGAAAAUAGAUAGAUUUUGUCAACAAAGUGUUGAGAGAAAGAAAAACGCAUAAUUAGUGAACACUAAUGUCAAGGGAUGUGGUCAUCACCAUCGUUGAAGUGAUUUUGCUCAUCCUGAGAAAGUGUCCGACAAUGGUACAAAAGAGACCUCACAUGCUAUCUCUGUUGAAGAAGUAUUCAACGGCUACCUUAAUUGCGUGCACUCGCAGCCAAGGCUUGGAGAUUGUUAGGACGAGUCAAUAAUAGAAGAGGAGUUCAUUAUCAAAAAAAAAAAAAAAUUAGAAGAAGAGUUUUGUCGUGUGGUAUGAAAACGGUGAUUAAUUAAGCCAUGAUCAGUUAGCCUUUUGUUUUGUCGGAAUAAUAAUGUUCUUAUAAUAUAAUCAAUUCUAUUUUAUAGCGGGCUAGAGAGGAGGUUAAAGAGCCUUAUAACCUAAUCUAUCCUAUUUUACAGGGAGGUAUCUAUCACUUCUGCAGGUGGGAUUCGAACCCCUUAACCUAUAGACAAAAGAGGGAUUUAAUCGCUUUUUGGUGGCUACUAAGUCAAAACUCGAUGGUUAUAAUUAGUUAGCCAAUUUGAGGGUAAUUCUAACAUAAGUCCAUUGACUAGUAAUUAACACAUCUAAAUUCACCUAACAUGACAUGUAUAUACACUGUACAUACUAAUAAUUAUUAUCUUUCUUUGAAUUCAUAUACUUUUUCUAUUUAAUUUUUUCUAUCAUUCAUUGUAUUUAUUUACUUUUCUUAAUUAAUUUUACAUUUCAAAAAAUAUAACAUCUAAAAUAUAUCUAACGGAUACCCAAUGGGCACCUGUUAGAUAGACCCUUAGGAAAAUAAUUGAAGGAAAAUUCGAAAAAGCGCAUUGACUAAACAAAGGGACAAAAUCGAUGUGUGAUUAACUAGAUGAAUUCAUAAUGCAGGGGAAGUUUAUAUAAGGAAACUCAGUUUGUUUGGAUAAGAGUUUAUUUGGAUGAUUUAUUUGAGAUAAUUACUGUAGUACUUUUUAUGAUGUGAUUAGAGGUGUCAAAAUGGGUAACUUGGGCGGGUUUGGGUUGGGUAAAAUAGGUAAUGGGUAUAAGUGAAUCAACCCAUUUAUACUCAUUUAAUUAAAUGGGUAUAAAUGUGUAAGUUAAAAAAUGAAUUUGGUAACCUAAUUACCCAUUUAUAACCCAUUUAUUUUAACUUUUUGUAAACUCAUUUAAAUUCAUUUUUUGCAAACUAAGUUAUCAAUUUAUACCGUUCUUUGUACCCAUCAUUAGUUUUAAAUAUUUACUUAUAAUGCUCAAUAAGUCUAAUUACCAAUUUUUUUUCCAUUUAUACUCUAUGUCACAAAAUUGCAUAUUAUUUAAUAAUUGAAUAAUAAGAAUAUAAAAAUGUGAACUAAGUACUAUAAAAGUUAAUAUAAAAACUUAAUCCAAAAAAUUUUGAACUCCUAACAUAUUUUUCAUAUGUAAAUUUAAAAUUUCAUUUUAGAAAGAUAAGAAAAGAUGCUAAAACUUAUCAUAAAUUGGUAAUGCUGAAAAAUGAGCAAGUUAACAAAUUAAGAGAAAAUAAAAUAAUAAGAUAAAAUCAACAAAUAAUAAUAAUAAUGAAACAAAAAUAGUUAGCAUCAUGAUGAAAAGAAAAAUCUGAAAAAAAUGGGUUGGAGAAGAGAAGAGACUUGGGGGAAGAGAACUCUAAAUGGGUUAAUUGGAUUUGAUAGAUUACCUAACAAUACCCAUUUAAUAAUACCCAUUUAAUAAAUUGGUAUUAUUGGGUAAUCCAUUUAUACCCAUAUAUAAAAAUUUAAGAUACCCAUACCCAUCUAUUUAUGGGCGGGUAUGGAUAAAUUUAGUUAAAUGGGUUGGUUUGCCGGUAAUAGAUGUGAUGUAUGUGAGAUAAAAAAGUGAUUGAUAAGAUAAAAAGGUGGUUGGAAUUUGUAAAGUAAAUUAUUUUACUUCAAAUCUUUUUAAUCCAAACACACCCUCUAUUUGAACUAGAAAGGAGCUAGCUUUGACGCUUUAUUACUUAGAAGAUGACGUUGUAACUUAUUUCAGAAAAGCAGUACAAUUUCUUAUUGACGUUGUAAUACAGUUGUCCAAAGAAGUAAGUUUUUGUUUUUAGUGGUUAAACUAGCAAGUCAACACUGAGAUAAAGUGGUCAGUUUUCUCAACAAGAUUUUUCUAACGAGUAAUAGUUGCACUUGCUAACAAAGUCAUUUUCACCUAAUUUAGCAUUUAGACACUUUUUGAGAACUAACUUCACUUUUGUAAUCCAAAAAAAAAAAAAAACACCUGAGAUUACUCUUAAUGAGUGCCAAGUUAGUACCACUAGCCAAAUCCUUGGAAGCAUUAAUAAGGUUUUCAAACAAAGUGCAUAAGAAAACAUAAAUUUUUGGAUAUUAAAAAAGUAAGCGAAAAUAAUUUCUAUAUAAUUAAUUACAACAACUAAUUCCACUUUGAACCCUCUGAUAGAAAAAAGUUAACCAUUCUUAUUUUCCACCCUCAAUUUCAGUUUUGAAUAUGUUACAUAUCAAAGUUUCAAAAUCAUUACAAUUUGAUCUUUUCGUAAACCACAUUGACAAAAUUGAUGAAUUUUAUGUGCGUGCAGACCAAGAAUGCUAAGCAAUAGGUCUCAAAUUCACUUUUCAUGCUCAACUUUUUUUCUAUUUUUACUUUACACCACAUAUAUUAAUUCUUUAAGCAUUAUGCCCUCAAUUUGGUUUUGAUGCAUUGUCAUAGAUUUUCUAAAUGUGCAAUAGAAAUAAAAGAAUUUUUACCAAUACCUUGCUCCAUUCAAUUUCAUGAAAUUAUUUUUUGUAGAAUUUAUAUUUCUCUAAUUACCUAAAUAUUAGUUAAAUAACACAUCACUACGUAGAUAUCCAAGUGUAGAAUAGGGCGUGGUUUUAUAAGUUUAGGUGCUAUUAGAAGUAAAGGGCAAUAAACUUGGUUUUGAGUAAAUGUAUUAAACUUAUUGUUAAUAAUCCUAAUAAAAUACUAUAUGAUAGCAGUUUGGUUUCAACUAGCUUAAUCCAUCACGAGUAGCAUGGUUUCUUUGUUGGUUAUUAGAAGCACACUAAUAAUGAUCUUCAUAUAUAUAUAUAUGCUAAUAUAACACAAGUUCUUUGUCAAUUAAGCGUUCAUUUGUGUCUAAUUGUAUGGUCAAUUCAUACAGCUGUAAUAGAUGAAAAGUUAUGCAGAAAAUAUAUGCACAUAGAGUAAAAGAUUCAAAAUACUAAUUUUAUAAAUUUGAGGGGACAUGGUGUGCAAAAUAUUAGAUAAAAAUCUAUAUAUACCUAUUGCACAACUAAAAGUCUAUAACAUUACAUUAAAAAAUGAAUUUUAGAUGAAAUAUAUCCAAAUACUGGAGUUAAGGGUACAAAGUAGAAACAGGGGAGUAAGUUAGCGUGCAAAAUGACAUAGGUAUGCCCCCGCGUGAAUGGUCCAGUGGUAGUGCCUCUCACCAGUGAAUCUUGAGAUCACAAGUUCGAGUCUCCGCUCCACUGGAUUCCUCCGUGCACUUAACGUGUUCGGGCCGGGUUGGAGCGCCGGGUCCAGGCCAAUGGAGAUUAGUCGGGUAAGUUUUCUUCUUGUUACAAACGCAAGUACUUCUAAAUUUCAUUAGCCUUAUCCACUAUUAGUACAAAUAUUAGUAUUUUCUUUUAAUCAACCGUACAAAAACAUGAAUUUGGUGGACAGAGCUGAUACGUACCGGCUGCGUAUGGCACCAAAUUGUCUAUUUAUGUGACGCAGAGCACUGUCCAAAAAUAUAUUAUACCCAAUUUGUUUGUUCUGAUUGUUUAGACUAUAAAGAAUUAGGGUGGACUGGUGUUGGCUCCACAACAAUAAUUUAUAGCCAGCCUAUCAGGUCUAGUGAACUAUCCUAGCUUUUCUUAUUAUUUGACAAUUCGCAGGUCAUAUUCUUAACCACUUGUCCCUUUUGCUUCUCUUUCUUGCAGAUUAAAAAACGUCAGGUCUAGGAGAUGCCAUGAGUAUUUGAAGCAUCUAAAGGAGAGGUAAGGACACUAGAAGACCAAGCCACGAAGAAAAACCAUGGAAUCUGCAGAGCUUGCGAACAAGUCAGAAUUUCUAGCUGAAGGUGAGGGAUCUUCAGAUGAGAUGGGCAGCACCAGUGAUCAGCGGCCACUACCUCAAAUUGAAGCCAAAGUUUGUGAUAACAAAGUUCUUCUGAGACUUCACUGUGAAAAUCAACGAGGAGUGCUGAUAAAAAUACUCUCUCAAGUAGAAAAGCUCAAUCUUGCUGUUUCUAACACUAAUGUCUCACAAUUUGGAAAAAAUCGGGCUCUUGAUAUAACUAUUAUUGCGGAGGUAAGCUAAACUAUACACAGUUCAAUUUCUUCAAGUUUUUUUUUUCCAAGUGAAUAUUAAGGGAUAAAUUUUUUUUUGGUGUGCAGAUGGAGAAAGAAUUCAACCUGACAAUCAAAGAACUGGUUAGAAAUCUUCAAUCAGCUCUUCAGCUUGUGAACUAAGAAGCCUGGGGUUUCGUCUGGUCCUCAGGUUCAACUAGAUGGAUCAAAGGGCCUUACGAGUCAGCUUUCGUGGCCACUAGAUCCAUAAGUACGUGUUUCACGAGUGCAAAUGUAAAAGAACUGUUAUGUUUUCCAAUAUUUCAUAGGUAUAUGACUAGUUUACUUCAAGGUGUUUUACUAUGACUUCAUUCAGUUCAUUGUGGUUUUGUUCUGUUCGGUUCACGAAAGUUUCUAUCUGAUGUAGACAUUAUUUCUACCUUCGUAAAACAUUCAUUGGCAUUUGUGAAAAGUAUCAGGUGGCCCAAAUUACUUCCACGGCCCCUUAAUACAGAUACGGAGAUGCUUUUUGCAGUACCAAUUUUAGUGUUUCACUCGUGUAUAAUCUGGGUUUUUUUCUAUUGGUUAGAAAAAAGCAUGAAAUCGACAAUUGAGGUCUACUCAUUUUCUUCGGUGUGUUUCUCCAAAUCCCAAAAAUUUCCAGGUGUUUCCAGGUGUCUGAUACUGCAAAUGCAAUGUUAAUUUUGUUUACAUCUCAAACUCCGAUUAUUUGAGCGGCUGUCUUGAAGCUCGAGAGUCGAGACUUGGAAAGAUUUCAGUUAUACACCCUCUUUAUAACCAUAUUAUUGCAAACGAGAUCGUUAAAUGUACCUUGUCAAAGUAUCAAUAAGCAAAAGAUCCACUGCUGUUUCCUUUAAGAUAUACUCCAUUAUUCAUGCACCAAAACGGAAUUCAGAAGUGAAGGGGCAUAUCCAUGGUUCGAAAUCUCGGCCGAGACCGAGACGACUCGGCCGAAUCGUCACCGUCUCGGCCCCUACCGAUACGAUACCGUGACGAAACGAUACCGAAAUACUUGACUCGCCGAGAAAUCGGCCGAGUCGUCACCGCGACGGAUUGACUCGACCGAGUGACACCGAAUCACUCCGAGUUAUCCCGAGUCAAGACGAGAAAUCAGUCGAGUCACACCGCGACGGAUUGACAUGGCUGUUUCUUUUGCUAUUUUUUAAUUAUUUUUAUUUAGCAUACUUUUUUAUAUUAUUAACAAUUUUUAAAAUAUUGAAUACUUUAAAAUUUGCGUCUCACCGAGACCGCGACCGAUAUGCCGAGACCGAUGUGGAACGUUCCGGGCCGCGACCGCGAUCGUAACCGUGACUUUGAACCAUGGGCAUAUCCCUCAAACUAGUAUAUAAAAUGAAGCAUUAUGCCUUGUAGUAAACAACUAAUGUGAUCUGAGUUUCUAUCAAGGUACAAAAAUAGAGCAAGAGAUGCCUAAUUCACCGCAAAUGCUCAAACCUUCCUGGGAUUUUUCACAUCUUCCAAGCAUACAUCUUCGACAGCUAAAACAUACACUCAGUCAGGAGAGAACAAUAAAUUCUUGAGAACUUUCGAAUUUCUAUGAGGUCACAAGUGCUAAACAGUAGCUGGAAAAAUCAUCCCUUCAUCCGGCAGAAAGAAAAGAACUUUGGGGAACAAUUUGGAACCAUCAAUAGCAGUGGACAGUCACACUAUGUAACUUGUCCAUACAGCAGACAAGCUCUGGCUCCCAAUCAUAAGCAGUAAAACAAGAUGGGAUAAAGAUUCAUUGGCUGAUGAUGGAAGUUUGUGUAUAUUGGAUCAGCCUCAAAGUCCGCAGCUCUCAACACAUAAUGUUUUCUCCAAACAAUUCUAAAAUGAGGCACUAGGGUAAUUAGCAGAAGCUAGCUCAUGCAUAGCAGGCUUAGCUGAGUAUACACCUUCCUUAUCUAGCCGAGUAUACAGCAGAAUUAGGAAGGAAGAGAGAGAGGUAGUUAAUUUGUUGCUUCGAUUGAUUAUAUAUAUAUAUAUAUUUGCGUCAUAUUUGAUGUAUUUUCCUAUUUAUGUAGAUAUUGAAAUAAAAUUAUGUUUUAAAAAAAAAAUCCAAGCACAUACACCACUAGGCAAUAUGGUCUCCAACCAGUAAAAGGUGUAAAGAGUUCGAGAAGAAUAUGCUUGCAAUUAUGGCCCCUUAGGCCACCAGUCGCACUAAAAUGUGACGUGCUUGUCGUGCGGCAGAACCAUUUGGUGCCGCCCUUUAGUUUGAUCUUUGAUGGCUGUGUCUGGACAAAUUACCUAGGGUAAAAUACAGAAAACUCCUUAUGAUUUGACUAUUUGACACGCUACCUUUUCAUUAUUUAAAAACAUCCACACUAUCCCCUCGUGCUUUGGACUAAAGUGAAAUUUGACUGGUAACUGUAUGUUACCUGCAAGUGAUGCAUUAUUAUUUUUUUAAUAUUUUUUUAUUUUAUUGUCAUUUUUUCUUUCAAUUUUGGUGCUUUGACUUAACUAUCAUAGGUAUUUUUACAAAUUUGAGAAAUUAGUGAUGCACUUUUAAAAUUUUCUAAAAAUUAUUCAUACCCUCUUACUAUUUUGCCCUGUCGUCUCUCUCUAUUGAUGUCAGUCGCCACCACCGCCCACGGCUUUGUCUCCAAAGAUUCUUCCAACAACAAUGCCCCCAAAAUCCAAAUUCACCCAAAUAUCCAAGAAAAAAUUUCAUGAAUUUCAUAAGCUUCCAUCAUAAAAUUCUUGAAAAAGUAGACAAAUCAGAUGAGUGAAAAUGGCAUCCCUCUUCAUUUUUCGUUUUUCGUCGCAUAAUCCGGUAACCGCCGGAUGAUCCACAAGAAAAGCGGCAGGAAUCAAACAUAGCUAACCAGCUUUGAAAGCCAUUAAAAGAAAUCAAAUUCGAGGUAAUUAUCAGAAUUUUACUAAAAGGGCAUAGCUCCAGGAGCAGGCUUUUCACCGGUUGACGCUGUUGGGACCGGAAUCUUCUCAAUCUCGAAUGGCCUUGAGAUAUCUAGAGGGCUUGCACAACGAAUUAGAGCCCAAUUUACACCUUCAAAGAAGGGAUGCUGCUUAAUUUCGAUUGCCCCACGUUUGUAUGCCAACCUAUGUUGUGGCUCUUUAACUAGCAACCCUCUUAUAAGAUCUCUAGCUGAAAAACUGAUGACAGGAGACUUUGGAAAUUGAAGGGGCUGCCCGACAACGUUGAAUAAGGUCGCUCGAUUCCCAGUUCUGGUGGAGGCGAUGAUGGUGUGAAGUGGUGGAGGGGGAAGGGGAGCAGGAGAGAGGAGGAAAAAGAAAGAAAAGGUGAAAAUGAAAAAAAAAAAAAAAGAAUCAAAAAAUGAGCAGAUGCUAAGACCACCUUGCUUCGAUGUUGUGACUUGUGGAGAAUGUGAAAUAGAGGAAGAAGGAGAGGAAUAAUAGAAAAGAAAAGGAAAAAAGAGGAAAGGAAAGGAAAAUAAAAUAAAAAGAAAAAAUUUAAUAAUAGACAGGCUACCGGUUCACAGCAGGUCAAAAAGCGUAAUUCUACUCUAGUCUAAAGCAUGAGGGGGUAGUGUGGGUGUUUUUAAAUAAUGAGGAGGUAGCGUGUCAAAUAGUCAAACCACAAGGAGGUUUUCUGUAUUUUAUCAAAUUACCUAUCAAGUUUUGGUGUUACAAUCCAGUGUCCUAAGCUCUACAUGAAUCAGAUGUAUUCGAUUAUUUUCAAUAUUUAUGUAUUUUGUCAGGUAUAUUACACAUGUUUCAAAUUCUAUAUUGAUAUAUACAGACACAUGCAUGCAUUCAUACAUACAUAUGUCUAUUCUUUUAUUGAAAUUAAUGUGAUUUAGUUUGUACGCAUUUUUGGGUUAGUUCCAAUAAAUCUCCUCAACAAUACUCUUUCUAAAUCAACUUGCCCACUAAAGGUUAAAUUGUACGGUUUCGAAUCUUCUGUUUCCAAAUUACUCUCUAUCUCCUGUCUCUUCUUGUACAGCUGCCACGUAUUUUUAACUUUUUGAUAACCCAAAUUCAAACAAGCUAAUAGGUUGCAUUUUUGUUAUUAAUUUUAUGAUUAUUUCCCUCUUUAUUUUACCAAAUAUUGUAUUAAUUGAUAGAUUCUGUUUAUAUUUGGUGUUUUGUGUUAAUUAUAGGGCGUUGGAGUAAAAAGUGCUAAAAAAGGGUGAUUUUCUUGGAAUUGAUUGUCAACCGCAAGUUUCCCAAUUCAAGAUGAAGCCUACGUGGAUUAUUGACUGAAGAUUAGGAAAUUACCAUUUUUUUUAGAUAUUUUAUUUAGGAAACAAUUGGCAUUAUUCUUGAAGUUACCUUUUUCAAUUAGAAUUCUAGUUUCGGUUGCUGAAGUGAGAGCCCAAAUUUGUUAGUAAUUGGUAGUCAUUUAGGUUUCUUAUUAUCAUCUUUUUUGCGGGGUUGGCUGCAAUAGGGAGGACGGCCGGUUGGCCUCUCAAUUCGUCUUGCUUUCAUUAGUUUUAGAGGAAAACUAAUUGCAACCAGAUUCCACGAAGUCUGGCGGAAUUUCUUCUAGAUGUGUUGCUAAAUCUCCAUUUUCUAGUCAAGGAACAACGGAAGUUUUGGUUUAUUUAAAAAUUGUGAGAUCGAAUUAAUUUUAUUUAUUCAUUUUAUUUACUGGUAUUUGCAUAUUCUCUGAUUGUAUUGCUUAUGGUUGUUUUAUUAAUUGAGUAUCUUGGGCCCGGACGUUGAAUUAAUUUAGCAACCUAGUAUCAAUUGGAACAUUAAAUCUGUAAUUAUUUAAUUACUCUAAAAUAGUGGCAACUGGCAUGAUUGGAUUUGCGUCAGGAGAAUACGCGAACUAAUCUAAAAUAACUCUGGUAGUGUAUUAUUUGGUUAGAAUAGGGCUUCUCUAAUACGUAAGGCAACUGAAAAAUUAAAUCUUACGGGCGUACUUAGAAUUAUUUCUCGAUUAGAGUAGUAAUUAAUGGGCGUACCUUAAUCACCGACACAGUAAAAAAGAGUUGACUGUCAUCACUUGUUUGGCAGUUAUAACUUAUUUAUUAGUUAAUAAUUAGAAUUACCUUUGCAUCGAUAAUCAAUUAGGAAAACCAUUACCGAAAUUAUUUCUUGACUAGAGCUUAGUUAUUAUUAAUUUGAUUUUAAUAAUUUGUGAUUUAAUUUUUAGUUGGCUAUUUAUUGAACCAUUUAAUUAUUACCAAAAAAACCCCCCUUUGUUAGUUUGAAUUUCAAAAGAGACAAAUAACCCCAGUCCCUAUGGUUUCGACCCUACUUAUCACUAUCUACAAAAAUUAUAUUUUAUUUGAGUAGGUAUUUAUUAUUGCACAGACUCGACAACUUGUCACUGCCACGUGUUUCUAACAUUUUGAUAACCCAAAUUCAAACAAGUUGAUAAUAAUCAGUUGACAAGUUUCCUUAAAAGCAAAACUUGCAGUUUUCUUCUUCAUGUAAACUAGAGUUGAAGAAAUUCUGAUAGGGAACCACCGCUUGAUUUAUCCAAAGAAAAAAUAGUUUUGAGUUAUUGGAACAGUUUGAUUUAUUCAAAGGCAAAAAAGUUUUGAAUUAUCUGUUUUAAUUGAUUUUGAGUACAUUUGUCAAUUGAUUAUUAUCGGUUUGUUUGAUUUUGGAUUAUCAAAAAGUUAGAGACACGUGGCAGCUAUACAAAGAAGGGACAGAGGAGAUAAAGACUAAUUUGGGGACAGAAGAUUCGAAACCAAAUUGUACUAAUCCACUCCUUAUAAUAUCACAAUACAACUCAAUUGGGUUCCCCCUCCUUUGUAGAAUAGGAUAACAUAGACAUUACCAAUUAAUCAAAAAAAAAAAAAAGAGGAAUCGGGUAGAACAGUCCAAUUUAUGGCUAAUUUUGUCAUGUGAACCUCGCAUAAUUAUGAGAAGUGACCAAACUAUCUCCACAGCAACUAGUCAAUGACAUGAUCAGAAACAUCUAUAAAUGAAGUGGGAAUACUAUAAUAUUAAAUAGGUAAAUUAGCUCAAUUCAAUCUUUAGUGGGGCAAGGGGUUACUAGAAUAACCCUAUUCGAAUAAUCUUAUAUUUGUCAUUUCAAGAGAGACUAAGUGAAAUCUGGUCGGCAAAUCAAUCCCUACUACAUUUGUCUCAAAGGGAAGUCAAGGGGCACUGGGUAAGAAGGAUCGAGACGCUACUUGCAAAGCCCUAAGCCAUGUUGGUGGGGUCCUUUUAGCAGCAGCUUUAGUGUUACGCUUGUGUCUAACGUGGGGCUUGUAUUGAAUAGAAAAGAUGGAAUGGGCAAUUGAUGUCUUUUCAUUUUCUUUUGAUGUGCUUUACCACCACAAGAUUCCAGGUUACUCAUAGUGCUGUGUCACGGUCAUUGGGUGUACUUGAUUCCUAUUUGGAUUGUAAUUUUCUAGAAUUUUUAUAGAAAAUAUAUCAUAACGAUUUAAUAUAUAUGAUAUAAAAAAAUCUAUGUUUUUAGACUCAGACCGGGAGUCGACUCGGCCGAAUUCAGUAGUCAGGGAUCAAUGGGUUCGACCGGGGUCAAAAGGGGGUCGAACCGAAUGACAUCAUAUAUACGUUGAGGGUGGUAGUUUCGGCUUGGCCUUCUCAUCUCGACCCCCUCCAGGACGGCUCCCCCAUCCUGCUUGUCUAUGCCCCGUAUCGCCCUGCCGAGAUGAGUCUCGUACCGACUCUACCGGUCAUCUCGAGCACCUCGGCUACCGAGGUGCUUGUCGUGAAGCCCCUGAUACCUGAUGGGACAACUGGGGCCAAGUCACAGUCUGAUGCCUGCAAGGGGGAAAGACACUUGAUGGGAUCUACCUGACAGACCUGAUGAGACAGGCUGACAUGCCCAGUCUGUCAAGGCAUGGGAAGUUGAUCCCAACUGCCAUUUCUCUCCGAUUGUUCCCUAUAAAUACAAGGAGGUUACUUAGAAGGGAGGAUUUUUUUUUCAGGGUUUUACAAGAUAUAUUGUCUACAGGCUUUUUAAAUAAACUCUCCCCUGAUAGAAGCUAACUAGAUCGUCGGAGGUAAAUCGGGGGACUUUACCCCACCUCUGACACUCUGAACAGGUGACUUCCGCGAGACCGUACCCACUUCAGGAGAGUUACUCUCACACUCAGUACCGUCUGCUGAACCCGAAAAUCACCUCUUUAAUUGGCGACGUCCGUGGGAACCGGAAAACAUCAAAGACUGAAGCCCAUGCAUUCUAGGAGCAGGAAGGUUCUCACUAUUGGAGCUGAGCCAAGUGCUGCAGCUCAACACGAAGAUGUCUCUGAAGGACAGGGGUAGCUAGAGAAUCAGACCACAAACGGAGAAACCAUAGCCCGAAUGGCUGAGUUUGUAUCUGAGAAUCCUAAUAUUUUUGAAGAAUUAGGGAGGUACUUCAAGAGGCAAGGCAAGCAAAAAGUUGAAUCCUCUAAGAGAAAGUCAGAUGAGUCUCCCGAACUCCCAUCUGAUGAGGAAUCCAAGGGGAGACCUUCCAUCAGGAGUACUCUGAAGUGGGUCUCCUCUAAGAUCACCUUUAUCUCUAAGGCAUUCUCAACGGGCCUGCUGGGGAAAUGAGCCGAGGAGGAACCUCGGCACUUGGGAAAGCCAGGAGUGGAUUACAUGAUGGUUCCGCCUUUCACAGAUGAUAUCAAUGAGGAGAGGCUCCCCUCAAACUUCGAACUGCCUGCCAUACCAUCUUAUGAUGGCCAAGGUGAUCCGGAGGACCACAUUCAUGCCUUCAUCUCGGCAUUCCGAUUGUAUUGUAUUCCCGAUCUAGUCAUCUGCUGAGCUUUUCCAGUAUUCUUGCAGGGAACAGCUCGAAAAUGACUCUGAGAUCUGAAACCUAGGAGCAUCUCCACUCUGGGAAAAUUGGUGGACAAAUUUCUCCAUCGCUUUAUCUCUUCCAGACUGACGAAAAGGACCUCGGCUUAUCUGUUAAAUAUACAACAGAAUCCAGGGGAGUCCUCCGAUCUUAUGUGCAGAGGUUUCAAAAUGAAAACGUGCAGAUACCUGAACCUAAUGAGCAGGUAACUAUAGUCGCCUUCACAAAUAGAUUUGUUGUCAGGCUGUUCAACACCGCAAUACACAAGAAAUACCCCUGAACGUUUCGAGAGUUCUGGAAAAAGGUCGAAAAAGGCAUACGGCCCGAAAAUCUGAACCGCAUGAAAAAGGAAGCUCAGGUGGCAUGCUCAGGACAUGAUCCCCGAAAAAAGAAGGAAUCAAGCCGAGGUGAUGCUAGUAGUUUCCAGAGCUCUGGCCGAGACCGCCGGAGCAUUUUUAAUUGAAUUGCCAAUGGAAAGUCAGCCGUUCCAGAUUCCAAUCUGACCUCUCUGAAAACCAAUCGUUCCCAUAUCCUUGCUAUUAUGGAGCAGAAUCGUCUCGGGCGAGCCCCUCCCAGAUUGGCCAGAAGAAGGGAAAAGAGGAAUUCCAACCUCUACCGCGCCUAUCACCGAGACAUUGGGCACAAAAUCGAGGAUUACAAUGACCUGAAGAGAGAUAUCGAAGAACUGAUUAAAUGGGGGUACUUGAAACAAUUCGUCCGCAGAGAAGAAGGCAAUACGAGUGACCCUCGCCGCUACCGUCAGGGCGAACCCCGUCAGGAAAGCAAUCGAAGUGAACCCCGUCGAGAGAACAUAAAAGGGUUCAGAAAUAGCUGCCGACCCCUCGAAAAUCCUAGGGAGUCGAGGAAGCCUCCCCGAGAUGGAUCCCCUGGCUAUGAGUCAGGUUAUGGGCCAAACAUAGCUGGGGUCAUAAACACUAUUGCUGGAGGUUCGACAGGAGGAGAUAGCCAAAACUUCCAGAAGAUGACCUAUAGACAAGUCAAUUCAGAUCAGGCCAAGGCGAGUUCCCGCCUUACUGAAACAAUCACCUAUGGCCCAAGUGAUCCUAUUCCGACAGCUUCUAGCAGUCAUGAAGCCCUGGUGAUUGAGUUGCUCACCAAUAAUUAUCUCGUGAAAAAGGUGUACAUUGACCCCGGAAGUUCUGUGAACGUCAUGUACUAUUGAACUUUCGAAAGUUUAAAAUUGACAAGGGAUCAGCUCGUACCCGUGAGGACUCCGCUAGUGGGGUUUGGGGGGCAUGUUGUUCACCUGGAAUGGAUGAUUACAAUGAUGGUGACCGUGGGACGACAUCCUCGGUGUCGAACUGUCCUCGCCAAUUUUAUUGUGGUCAAAAUUGAUUCCCCGUAUAAUCUGCUCAUGGGGUGACCUACCCUAAAUGCGUUGCGGGCGGUGUACUCAACGUACCACUUAAACUUCAAACUCCCCAUGCCAGCAGGCAUAGUCGAGGUCAACAGCGAUGUCUGUGCCGCUAGAGAAUGCUAUCUCGCCACCCUCUAGGCAGCCUCUUCGUCAUCAGCCGAUUUGAAAACUGAGGGUAAGAGAUCUCGCAUCCUCUCGAUCGACUGCAUAGACCCUCAACGAUCCGGAAAGCUUGAAAGGUUAGAGACAGGACAUGAGAUCGAAGAAGUUCUUCUGGAUCCUUCAAAACUCGAGCAAACCAUCCGCGUCAGCGCCAGUUUGCCCGAGCCACUUAAAGGCGAAGUGGUUAACCUCCUUAAAGAGUAUCAGGAUGUCUUCGCUUGGACUGCUGAUCAGGUCGUGGGAGUUCCCCACCACCUCAUGUUACAUGAGCUGAAUGUUGACCCACGCACGAAACCUGUCAAGCAGAAAAGAAGACACUUCGGCCCGGAACGCGAUAAAACUGUGGCUGAAGAGGUGGAUAAGCUCUUGCCAGCAUAGAUAAUUAAAGAAGUGCAAUACCUCACUUGACUAUCUAACCCUGUCAUGGUUAAGAAGGAUACUGGAUGGUGGAGAAUGUGUGUGGAGUUUACAGAUCUGAAUAAGACAUGUCCGAAAGACUGUUACCCACUGCUGAAGAUAGACACCUUGGUUGAUUCGGCAAUAAGUUACGAGAUCCUUUGUUUCUUAGAUACCUUCAAAGGUUAUCACCAGAUACGAAUGAAUGAAGAAGACCAGGAGAAAACGGCCUUUUUCACAGAUCGAGGAAUCUACUGCUACACCAACAUGCCCUUCGGUUUAAAAAAUACCGGAGCGACAUAUCAAAAACUGGUAAAUCGUGUUUUUGAAUCCCAGAUAGGGAGGAAUGUCGAGGCCUAUGUUGAUGACUUUCUCCUAAAAAGCAAGCAUGCCUCGGCGUUCACAUCUAAUGUAAGAGAGGUCCUUGAGAUCCUCCGAGAUAUGCGGAUGAUACUCAACCCUAAGAAGUGCAUAUUCAGCGUGACAUCGGCAAGUUCCUGGGAUAUCUAGUGUCACACCGAGGUAUAGAAACAAAUCCCGACCAGGUGAAGGCGAUUCAGGAGAUGUUUUCACCCAGAAACAUUCGAGCCGUCCAAAGGCUGACGGGGAGAUUGGCGGCUCUCAAUCGGUUCUUGUCACAAUUUGCUACAAGGGUAUUGCCAUUCUUUAAAGUGUUGAAGAAGGCAUACACGUUCUCUUGGACUGAAGAGUGCCAAAGGGCCUUCGAGCAGAUGAAGGAAUACCUGCAUCAACUCCCCACUCUUACCUCACCUCGAGUUGGAGAAACAUUGGUGGUGUUUGGAUAGUGUGUUAUUUGAAAUAUUAUUUAAAAUAUUCAAAGUUGACUUUUGUGAAUAAUGGAACUUCCAAAUAAUCGUUUGGACAGUGAAAUAUUGCUUGAAAUAAUUGUUUGGACAACUACAACUUUUAUUUUUCCUUUUUUUAACUAAAGUAAUACAAGAGUCCACGAUUAUGAGAUAAAUGCUAGACAUUGAAGUUCCUCUGCCAUAAUUCUCAACACACUAAUUCUGGUUAUUGACCUUUAUUCCAUUGACGAUGGCAGCAGUUGAUUAAAAACUAUGCGAUAGGUUGACUACUACAGAAGGUUGUCAUCUAUCGCCUGCGGCGCCCUUGGGCUGCAUACAUCUAGUCCGCCAUUGCAUCGCUUGCUGCUUUUCAUGCUUCUACCUCCGCUCGAGAAACGUUUGGCGUCUGCGUACGUACCUUUUCUUCGAGGUCGGGUUGCACCUCUAAUUGGACAUUUUCAUCCUCGAACCUUUGAAAAUGAGCAUCUCCAGGUUGGAACAUUCUCAAAAAAUUAUGUAGCCCAUAGCAUACAAUUACCACACUAAUUUGUGUGGUCAUAUAAAAUUCGAUACUGGGCCCUUGAGGAAUUUAAAUCUCAUUUUUAAUACACUAAAUGUGCGCUCUAUAACGUUUCUAAGACUCGAAUGUCGAGUGUCAAACAACCGCUUGUCUGGGUCUCGUUCCCGAACAUUCUUGUAGGGUGGUAAGAAACCCAGAGUGUUUCUAUCCGCUGCAUCUACCAAGUAGUACUUCCCUAUAUUUCUCAAAUCAUGCUGGGGAGCAUGGAUGCAGAAUUAGUAACAAGGUUUUGUGUAUAUUACGUGUGUGUGUGUGUGCCGAAUUUUAAUUAAUUAUUACCUGAAGGUGGAAGUGAAAAAUUUGAUGGCGGCAUCAACGCUAAUUCUAGCACUCAUGCAUCGUGGGCACUGCCUUCCCAUCCAGUGUAGACGUAGUUGAAGUGCAUGUCAAAAUCGCACACUGCUAGGACAUUUUGUGAGUGUAUCCCGUGUCGAUUGGUAUAUGCCAUUUGCUCUCCACUUGGCGGGCAAACCGGAAUAUGUGUGCCAUCUAGAGCUCUAACAGCAUCCUGCCAAUCAUGAAAAAUCGACUGCAAAUGGUGCGAUUUGCAAGGACAGCAAAUUUUUCACUUUAUUCAGUAGACUAAAUUAUAGGAUUUUACCUGGAACCAUGGAUAGAAGUGUCUUGAGUUUGCAAUUCUUGGGUGAACAUUAUCGUGGUCAUACGGCCUUAUUAUUGUGGCAGCAAAUCUGCAUAGCCCAAGGAGAACUUUGUGCACGUUUCGAUUAAUUGUCUCCGUUGACCGGUUGAAUCGUUCCGCUAGCAUGCGCUGAGUAUGAUGAUGACUUACCAUGACUAGAGUCAUUGCUAAGGCUUUCUCUAUUUCGACCCUUUGUUGAUAGGAUCGAGACACAUAACCGUAAUUCUACAGUAUUUCACAUAAUCGAAGGAAAUUGUCAACUGUGAUAUGCAUGUUUUCCACACUACGUCGGUAAUGCCCAUUGAUCACCUCUUCAACCCACUGCCGUCCGAUUAGAGAGCCGUCGUGGUGAGGUAUUUUAUCUCUAGUCCUGUCACGAUACAGCAUCAUUAAUUCUGCUGUCAAAACCAACAUUGUCUCAUCCCUUUCAUCUUCCUCAGCUAUUGCCUCUCUCCGUCCUCUGCCCGUCCUCCUAUUGUUCGCCGCCAUAGUACAAUUGCCUCUAGAGAAAAAGGGAGUAACUGUAAAUUGCUAAAUCAGAAUCAAACUUGACAGAUAAGGAGCAAGGGAAACAAUUACCUUCAAAUACUUGGUGGCAGACAGGUAUCUUUAUCGUCAGAAAGAACGUUAGUUUGAGCUAGUAGACGAGAGAAGCUAGAGUUUUGUGAUAAUUGCGAGACUUCAAGCAUAAGGAGAACAAGUAAUUUAAAGUGCAAUAAAAAUACGAGCAAUACUACGCACCGACAAAACUCACAUGCAAAAAUGAACGUCUUUUUUAAAAAGGUUACCAUCUUUUUGAAAAGCCUAAUCAAUUAUGAUCGGCUCCUGUACAAUUCGGUGGACACAGCUGCCCUCUACCAAAUAAGAGAGUAAACAGUUGCUAUGGCAAGCAACUGAAAGUGGACUGGCAUGUUGCUGGAGUUGUGUGUCAGAAUACGCAGCCACUAAUAGCUGCAUGAAUGGAGCAAACAAAAAUGAUGCAUGGGAAUUAUGACAGGGGCUCAUUUCACAAUUCUCUUUCUCUCUGUUUCAUUGUUGUUGGGGUAAGUGAAAAUGUAAAAAUAGUACAGGACUAGAUAUGGGAGAGGGGAAGGGAGGGAGGGAAUAGGGGAGAGGGGAAGGUUAAAAUGAAAAAAAAAUAACAGUGAAUUUAUUUGACAUACGACAUUCUGGGUUCCUAUGGCUCAAACUGGACACAUGCAACUAAGGCACGAACUACGGUCAUUCACUGGCGUUCAUGCAAAAAAAGUCGAGAAUGCCUCCAAUGAGUCGUGGAUUCUUUUGCGGCUUUAGCUAGAAAGAAUAGCAUUUAGCUUAUCAUAAUUCGUGGAGUGCUGUCGGCUGGUCCCAGGUGAACAAGCAAUUUCCUAAAAUGGAGUGAUGUCGGCUGGUCCCAAGUGAACAUUCAAUAGAGUGAAUUUUGCUACUAUCUCUAUUCAGUAUAAAAAUAGAAAAGCGCACUUAAUCUAUUUAGGGAAGGUUCAAAUCGAGUUUGUAUAUUACAUAAACAGGACAUGGUAUAGCUGCAAGUGCCUAAAGAACUUAUAUAUUAAGAAACUCAUCUGCGGCUAAUUUUUUUGUCUUUCGCUACCUUCUACCAGUAAAAUUUAAUCACAAGGCUUGAAUGACUUCCAUCCACUGUCGUAAUCACUCAAAUCCUGUACUAGUACCCUUACAAACCAGUAGGUUAAACAGGUGAGAAAGUAAAUUUUCAUCUACGAAUGAUGAACUUCCUGAGUAAAAAUUACCAACUUUGACAAUAAAUAGCUCCCCUAAAUGAUGAAGUACAAUAGCAACCAAAUGGAGUGAUGAACUAGAAAAUGAUGAACUACAAAUGAUGAACUUCCGCAGUAAAAAUAGCUGUUAAGAGUUCACUUAGAAGAAUUAGAGAGUAACUGGCUACUCUUAGAAGAAUUAGAGGAGUAACUCAGAACUCUUGCAUACAAACUACUUGCUAAAAAAUUCUGUAAAACUGAGAGCUAUGAACACUUAGCCAACAAUGAAGCAAUGAUGAAGCAAAUGCCUCCAAUUAUUCCAUUCUGCAACUUCGUAAGAAACAGAGAGCUAUGACAAUUCAAGCCAACAAUGAGCUUCAUACGUACACCAAUCUCAUACUGCACAUAUCCAUUACGCAAUAAAAGUAACAAUUAAGGACUAGCAACAAAAUCUCACAUACCAAAAUGAAACAAAAAUUUGACAAGCAAACUCCACCCACAUAUUACACAUACCAGGUACAACAGCAGUUUUGUAAAAAGAAAAACAACUCCAGCGCAUAGUUCUUAGCGGUUAUAGGCAAGUCCUGAAGGUUGGGAAAAAAAAUACAACUCCACCUAACUGGAAAAAAAAGAGCUCCACACACAUCAUACCAAACUUACACGAGCCAAAGUUGACAACGACUAGGGAUAUUAUAUAUUCCCCUAUAACAGAACCGUUGCCGGAGUGAAUAUCAGAAAUGGAUUUGAGACGGCAACCCUUCUGUUUUGGUGGAAUAUGCUAUUUCAAAUUAUGCCUCACCUUUCUUCCUCAUAUGCCUUGCGACAUAUGCAUAUCUUCCGGUAGCAUAAUAGCGCAUGAAGAUAAUCCGUUGGCCUAAAUUUGUAUCUUCGGUGAGAUACGAGUCUAUUUCUACCUUCCAAUCAACGGGGAUAUCUAUGGCUAACACAAUGUCUUGACAAUUAUCAACUUUGUACGUCUCAUCUCUGUCUAUACGAUCCUUUCGAUCAGUGAUCGCCACCUCUGUGAAGUUCCCGAUCUUGCUUAAAGCGUCUUCAAGUCUAUCCGCAGAUGACCGGCCAGAUUUUGUGCCUCUGGAACCUUCUUGCUCGCCGGAGUUACCCAAACUGGAUGUUGGUCGCUUCCUACUACUGCCUCCCGGAAUAGGGGAGACGUAGUACACAUCCUCCCUUUCCCAAGAGGAGGUGGCUGAAGACGAUUGCGACGACGAUGAGGCUUUGACCUUGCCUUUCCGACUUCUCCGAGAGAUGGUCUGCUCGUUUCCCAGUUGUUCAAGGGCAACUGGCUGGCCAGCAGACUGUGCUCGUGUCCCUGUAGCCUUUUCCCCAAUCGUGAUAGGAGUGAAACACUCGUAUAAGUCGCAACUGAAGGGCUUAGAGAAGUCUUCGUACUCGCUGUAUGACUGUUGGUUAAAAGACAGAAGGAUAGAUCAUUUUUCAUGUUUCUAGCUUCUAUAUAUGCAUAAGCAAAGUGAUCAAGUUCGGUAGACAAAAAAUGAAAAAACUAACCGAAAUGAGAGCAGCCCAAUGGUCCUUGUCAGCAGUGAAAUUCUGGGUGUCCUCUUCCCAUCCGAUGCCAGUUUCGGCCUUGUAGCUGAGCCCCCUCAGUUGGCAAAAAACUUGCCAUUUCUUCUUGAACCGGUAGAAUCUAGAUUGGCACUGGGCAGCACUGACGUCGUCUCCAUGGUUUUCAAGCAAAUGCUCGGCUAUCUGAUCAUAAUUUCAUUCUAGCGAUCUACAUCGGUCCCAUUUUUUUGAUUUCUUGAAGGCGAUAUACGCAUCAAUAAAGUGCUCAUCCAUUUUAGGAGUCCACUCGAACUUACCUCCCAUCUCCUUUUGUAAAAUUGUAACUUCAAGUUAGUAGGCAUGCAAAUAAGUAAUGGUAAUUAAAAAUAUUUUGAGGUGAGGCAAAUGUAUACCAUACGGUUUGCCUCAAAGUUACUGAUGCACUCUUCAAUAUCAUUGGAGUCAGUGGAUGAUUGGACUGUGCAAUUGGAGGUGCAGCUGAUGGGAGGAGCUAAAGACAGAAAACAUGCAGAAAACUGACGUGAGUCACAUAAUCACACAAUUCAGUAAUGUUUUCAGGAGGAAAAACUGAAGUACGCCUUACACUGACUAUUACACUGCUGCUGUGUCUUGAGGGGCAUCUCUAUCAGUCUCCGUCAUGGCCUUAUUCAAAACGUAGGGAAAGUUUUUUUGGAAGGCAGCUCUCAAAAGAAACGUUUAAACUUUUUCUGGGUUAAUUCACGCUGAUUUGUGAACUCUACAAAUACAACAAAUAAUAGGAAAUAAAGUGGCACUAAGUUGAGUCCAGCUACUACUACCAUGUGUAGAAUAAAAACUGCUUUGAGUGAUAAACAAAGAUUGUACAAUAAUGGCGGCCAUGGUACACGAAUGGAUAUUGUAAGGUUAGAAUAAAACACCUUUUCUGCUUUCGCCUAAAAACUCACUAGUAUCUGGUGACAAAGGGUAAGUGCCAGCAUAACAACCAAGAUUUUUUCCUCCAACUCAUAUUGUACAGAUGCGAAGCUGAACGACCAUUACGGUGGGAAGUUAUUGGGCUAGAAAGGAUUUUUUUUCUAAAAAAAUUUAAAUGUUAUAGGAAUAGUUUAAGUCGCAGCAUGGUUGUCAAAUGUGUCCAUAACCACAGAUAUUUAGCGCACAUAGAGCCCCAAAUUUUUCAAAUCAUUCUAGCACAGUAGGCCAACACUAGCCGCAAAACAAGUCCACAUUCAAACAAGAAAGCAAAUCCCUAAAAAUUGGUCCUACUGAAAUUCAUGGCAAAUGAGAUGAUGUUUCUCAAAUUAAUUUUGACAACGGUGGCCAUUUUUGUAUUUCUCCUCAAUCCGAAAACCGGCCACAUAGAAACCUCUCUCCAAAAUCGAAUCAAAAUAGGUGGUUUUAAGCACAAACAGGUAUAAAAAAGUGCAAUAAGUGCUCAGAUCAUAUUUGCCACAAAAAAUUCCUGCUAUUCAUCCAGACACAUACAAAUCCAGAUUUAUGUCAAACGGUAAGUUGGGUUGAAUUUUUUUACAAAAAUUUCAACCCAAUUGAUGAUACCUGAUAGAAGCUCCCGGAUCGAAUUUUGUUGGCACUUCGAAGACGGGGGUGGAACUACACCGCUACUAAUAGGGACUCACAGCCGCUUGUGUUGCCGGAAAAAUGGUGGCUACUAUGUGACGGGUUAAACGAAACAAAAGGAAGCAGGCGGUUAAGGAGUUCCUGGAGUUGUGCUUGAGGAAGUGGGAAUAAAGAGAUGAGAUCGGCUUCAGAUCCAGAAGCGCACAGUGGUGUUUCAGUAAAUGCUAAGCAGCAAGGAAAUAACCGAAGGUAAAUUCAGUAGAUGGGUAAAGUAAUGAGGACCCAACGGCUAAAAAAUCUGAAUUAUGAAACCCAUGCGCCACGCGUCGUAAUGCAUGGACAGCUUGCACAGGACAAAACCCAGGCCUUGCUAACAAGACUAAGUACAAAAUAACAUGUGGGAUUCUAAAUUGUGAAAAAUAUUCAGUCAGUCCAAACACCAUUUCUUCAAAUUAUUCCAACACCACUCAGAUAAUUCAGUCCAAACAAAACCAUUAUAUCUCUACUUGUCCGCGGCUGAAGAGGCGGUGAACACAGUCCUAAUACAAGAUGAUGGCACCCAGGUCCCAAUAUAUUACGUUAGCCGAAUUCUUCGCGGUCUAGAGACCCGGUACACCCGAGCCGAAAAGCUCGUGUUAGGACUAGUACAUGCGGCUAGGAGAUUGAAACCUUACUUUUUAUCUCACCCCAUACGAAUCAAAACAGAUCAGCCUAUCAGGCAGAUACUGUCCUGACUUGAAGCCUCGGGACGCCUUACCAAGUGGGCCAUCGAGCUCGGGGAAUACGACUUCACAUAUGAGCCGCAGACUGCCAUUAAGGCCCAGACCCUUGCCGAUUUCCUAGCAGAACUCACCUUCCCCGCGGACCAAGACACCACCUCGGAAGUGUUGGAGCCACAAAGAUGGGCCUUGUAUGUGGAUGAUUCCUCUAACAAUGAGGGUAGCGGAGCCGGACUACUUCUCGAAGACCCUCACGGAGAUGCAUAUUCAUAUGCUCUCCGUUUUGAUUUCGUCACCUCCAAUAACGAAACUGAAUACGAGACUGUCAUCGCGGGUAGGGGUGGGCAAAAUUAUCCGCUAACUCGAAAACCCGUCAUAUCCGAUCCGAUUCGAUCUGAAAAUUAGGAUAUCCGAUUUUUAUUAUUUGAUCGGAUCAAAAGAGGGUCGGCUAUCCGCUAAAAUGCGGGGCGGAUUAGGGUCACAUAAUUAAAAACCCGCGGGUACCCGAUCUGCCCCGCAUAUAUAUAUUUUUAUUUUUAUUUUUAUUUUUAUACAUACACUAUAAAAUAAUAAGUUAGAAUUAAAUAAGCAAUUUUAUUAAACAAAUUGCAUUACAAAUAUGAGAGACUAUAGAUUAUUUACAAGAUUCAUUUGUAAAGGUCAUGAUCUUAUAUUUUAUAGAAAAAAGUUUAAUUAAUGUGGAACAUAUAUAUUAAAAAUUGUGCUAUUUAUUUCAUACUUUUAUUGAUUUUGAAUUCUUUUAAUUUUUUUCCUUUAUCUUAUAUUCUCUUCAUAUGCUUGUUUCUUGGUGGAAAACCUUUUUUUAGAAAAAAAAAUUAUUAAAUCUUAGAUGAAUGUAUAAAAUAUAAAAUUAAAUUGGUAUAAAUCAUUUUAUUUAAAAAAAUUAAAUGAUAAACGGAGCGGGAUGGGUACCCGCUGAUCCGACCCUAUCUCAGCGGGUACCCGAUAACCCGUUAUCGGGUACCCGCUGAUAUUCGGAGCGGCUAAGGGUCAGAAAAUGGCUGACCUACAAGGUGCGGGUUGGGUCAGCCAAAUGGUAAAUGGGGCGGGUAUCCGACCCGUGUCCACCCCUAAUCGCGGGCUUACAGUUAGCUCGCCGACUGGGAGUUCGGCAUAUCACUGUUUAUAGUGACUCCCAACUCGUCGUAUGCCAGGUACUAGGGGAGUAUGAGGCCAGAGAGGAAUUCAUGCAACGAUACCUCUAAAGUACACCAAUUGGCAGCUUAUUUCGAGUCCUUUAAAAUCCAGAGAAUACCUCGGUUUCAGAACCGACGAGCUGAUACUUUAUCCAGACUUGCUUCUGCCUCAUUUUCUACCCUCAACAAGACAGUUCUCGUGGAGGUUUUAGCCUAACCCGAUUACAUGGUGGACAAAGUCUAUCCGGUGGCCCCGAGGGACACCUGGAUGACCCUACUGGUCAAGUUUUUGGAUCAAGGCAUUCUUCCAGAUGAUAAGCCGAGACAAGGAGAGUGCACCGCAAGGCGGCCCGAUAUGCCCUCCAUGACGGCCGCCUCUAUAAACAAUCUUAUCUCGACCCAUGGUUGCGAUGCGUCAUCUUGGAAGAGGGAGAGCGCACUUUUCAAGAGAUACACGAGGGACUCUGUGGAGCUCACGUCGGUUAUCGGAUGCUGGUCAAGAAGACCUUGCUUAUUGGAUAUUUUUGACCCACUCUACGACGAGAUGCUUAGCUUUUGGUACUCUGUUGCCCUUCCUGUUAGCACUAUGCCCUGGAGCACCACCACCCCACCAAUCUUAUGAUCCCCAUCAUUUCUCCCUGGCCUUUCGAGUUGUGGAGGAUAGAUAUUAUUGGACUUUUUCCUCGGGCGGUAGGCGAUUACGCCUAUAUAGUUGUAGUUGUCGACUACUUCACAAAGUGGGUCGAAACCGAGCCCUUGAGAAGCAUAACUGGUUUGGCCAUUCAAAAGUUCUUAUGAAAAUGUGUGGUUUGUUAUUUCGGUUUGCCUCGAGUCAUCAUCUCGGACAAUGGGAGGCAAUUUGUAGAUAAUCCCUUCAAAGCAUGGUGCGAGAGCCUGGGAAUCAAACAGCACUUCACCUCGGUGGGACACCCCCAACCUAAUGGACAAGCCGAGAAUUUCAAUCGAACGCUCCUCCAUGGGUUCAAGACUAGGUUACAUCACCUCGGAUCCUUCUGGGUAGACGAAUUCUCCAGUGUGUUGUGGUCCUAUCGAACCACGCCAAUGUUUGCUACUCAAGAAACACCAUUCUCCUUAACCUACGGAUCUGAGGCCGUAGACCCUGCUAAGUUUAUUACUCCAAGUCCUUGAAUGGCGGCCUUCAUCGCCGAGGUGAAUGACGAGGAAAGAAAAAUUGAUCUUGACCUAACUGAGGAAAAAAGGGAUGCCUCAGGAGCCCGAAUAGCCCUGUAUAAGAAUAUCCUAGCCAAUUACUACAAUGCCUGGGUCAGACACCUUCGGUUCAGACCAGGAGACAUGGUUCUAUAGAAGAACUCCGUCAGCCGAUCUGAACCACAGGGCAAGUUAAAUCCGAGGUGGAAAGACCCAUACCAAGUUGUAGAGGCUAGUCAGAGUGGUUAUUGUAAGUUGGCCUACCGGGAUGGUGCCCCGGUACCGUGAACUUGGCACGCCGAAAACCUUUGGUUGUAUUAUCCUUGAAUUGUUAAUGUUCAGUUCAGUUACUGACAUCAUUACUUUAUGUUUAGUGUUUUACUCAAUUAUUUUCUAAAAAAUCACUUCAUGGUGUUAUUAAAAAAAAUAAGGGGACAAGAUAAGUAAAAGCGAAACGAAAGAGACAAUUUUGGGAUGGAAACAAACGAUAACUUUCAUUGAUUAUUGAAGGGGGAUUACAAGUAUAAAAGGCUGAGAUGGGAAGCUCAUCUAAGAGCCACCCACCUCGACGGAAUCCGCUCCCUUUCUACUGCCGAGCUCACCUCCUCCAAUAGCUCCGCCAAGCUCAUCACCCGAGACCUGUUCGAAAUCGGCCAUUUUUCGAUUAAAUUCCUCUCAAACUUCGAUCAAAUCCCGUCCGAACUGGAUGCCAUUGGCCAUGCGGUCGCACAGUUCCUUAGCAUCAUCGUUGUAGUUAGACUUGUCCUUCAGCAUGUCUAGCUGCUCUGGAGUCCGGAAAGAAGUCGCAUCCUGGAUGGCCGUGGUAUAGUCGAACAUGAAGCUCGGUAAAGUCAACUCGCCAAAAUCUUUCAUGAAAGCCUCGGAAGAGCGGAAAGCCUCGACGGUCGUACUGCCGGCCUUCUCUAUAACUUCCCGAGAUGACUGCUCCUCUUCUUGUCUUCACUUCUUUUCCUCCUCGAAAGCAGUCUCCAAUGAGUUGAUGGUAGCCUUAAAAUGCUCCAUUUCGGCCACCGCAUUGUCAUGUUGCUUCUGGAGCUGUGCUUUUUCUUCCGCGGCCACCUUCAGCUCCUUUUCAAGCCGAGAUACUUUGUCCAUGAGCUCAGCAGGAGGCUGAUUCUCGACCAUGUUGGUAUACCUCUGGAUAAGCUCGGACAAGAAAGCGGAGGUAGAAUCCCACGCCAUUGAAGUGCUCUGCAUCAGCUUUUCUGUGGUGAGUUUCUUCACGAAAGUGUGAUCUCGGGGCAGACUAGAAUGGACAAGGAGGUGAUGGGGCAACUCGGGGAUCUUUGCAUCUGUCGUUGACCGAGACGUCUCACUCCAGGCACCAGCGCCAACCGAAAUACCUUUUGUCCUCCCCUUCAGGCACGGAUUGGACGAAGUGUCGAUUCCAAAGGAAGGACCUAGUGACAGGCCCCUCUGGGGUUUGGAUUUGUUUACCUCGAACCAGAGAAGGUGGAGCGGCGACUAUCAUACCACGGGUGGCCACCCCCUUCGCAAUGGCCGAGGUCCUGAAGGUAUCUUCCUAGACCAUGAUCAAUGGAGUGGUGGUCGAAGUGCCAAGAGCGCUUUUCUUCUUUUGGACCCCCGAGGUCUGAUCAGGGGCCUUGCGUUUCAAUGGUCGCUUAACCACCGAAACCGCUCCUGAGGUGAUCAGAUCCGAAACUCUUAUCACUGUACAAGGAAAAAGGAUUAAUAAGAAUUAAUUAAAUGAAAUGAAACAAUAGGAAGUGAUGAAUGAAGAAUACAAUAUUUUUGAAACCGAGUAGAGAAGUAAGGGGGCGAUCCGGGGUGAUCAGUGCUCGGCUAAUGCCUCCAUUGACGAGGACCGUCUCGGGGUAGGCCCAGCAGUUAAUCCUGAGACCCGACCCGAGUAGUUUUUGAAAACCCUCCUCAUCGUGCUUCCCCGGAGAAUAAUCCUUCGCCGAGGUGGGAGGCCUCCACCAAAAACCCCUAGAAAAAUCCUCAGGCGGGAUAAAAAGGAAAUUGUGCUUCCACUCUUUUAUAGAUACAUGAGCAUCUACCACCAACUUCGGUACGCUCUUGCCUGGGUUCCCGAAGUAGAACCAUCCUUUCUCACUCCCACUGUUAUGGGUAGUAUAGCAACGACGGAAGAGGUUGAUGGUGGGACUCAGCCCUUAUUCCCGGUAAAGCAUCUCGAACCCGAUGAGAAUCCGGAUUGAGUUCGGGACUAACUGGGUGAUUUUAACACUCCAGUAUCUGAGGCAGUCCCGAAAGAAUCUGGUAGUAGGCAUUCUCAGCCCGACUUCCAGUUGGUCCGUAUAGAUGGCAAAUCUUUCUUUUGGGGGCCGUUCGGCAGUUUAAUCCGGCCGAGGUGUGUAAAUGCUGUAAUCUUGGCGAAAAGGGUACUUGCUGAUCACCUCGUUAGCCACAACCUAAUUGAUGGUGCUGUUGAAUAACGGGAGUUGGCCGAAAUCAACACCCAAGAGAUCGGAAGGGGUAGCCGGUUCUUGUACCCUUUCAUCCCGAGGUACUUCGGAUCCGAGCUCAUCAUUGUAUAAUUCUUCGGAUCCUUCCUGGAUUUGCUCUAGCAACGCCUCGUCCCCAACGGGUACUUCGACUUCCUCCUUCUCCGGGGUGGAAGGGUUCCCUUCCUCCUCUGUCGGAUCGGGCCUCUCCGCUGCUUUGAAGUUCAGCCUGACUGUCUCUCUAUAUGUACCGGCAGUUCGACCCAUAGUGCGAAAAAUAAAAGGAAGGGGUGUCACUUAUUGAUUAUAGAAAAAAAGGGGGCUGGGAUGAGCAAUUAAAGCAACUUGGGUGAUCUUUCUCCCAUACUUCAGAUGCCCGCUGUGACUUCGGAAGACUUAAUAUAGGGGGUGCUGUUAACUUCACGGCGAAAGGUUGAUACUAAUGAACGCCCCUAUUUAUAUAAGAAUAAGGGAAGGUGAAAGGACGGUGUCCCUCGAGCUUUCCCAUGACGCUUCUGCUCUCCUCAUUAAUGACUGACCGGUAUUCUGACUCCCUGUCACAUGUCUUUUCACACAAUCAUGAUGGCUGACUGCCAUUUUGCCUCUCCUUACUUUAUAUGACAUGUCAGCUAUCUCCUACUCACACGAAAGCCUUAGAAGUUGACCGUUGACUUGCCACCUCCCGAGGCUUGAGGAACUUAUUGAGAGUGGUAAUUUUGGCUCGGCCUCCUCGUCUCGACCCCCUCCAGGACGGCUCCCCCAUCCCGCUUGGCGAUGCCCCGUAUUGCCCUGCCUAGAUGUGCCUCGUACCGACUCUGCCGGUCAUCUCGAGCACCUCGGCUACCGAGGUGCUUGUCGUGAAGCCCCUGAUACCUGAUGGGACAACUGGGGCCAAGUCACAGUCUGAUGCCUGCAAGGGGGCAAGACGCUUGAUGGGACUUACCUGACAGACCUGAUGAGACAAGCUGACAUGGCCAGUCUGUCAAGGUAUAGGAAGUUGAUCCCAACCGCCAUUUCUCUCCGAUUGUCCCCUACAAAUACAAGGAGGUUACUUAGAAGGGGGAUUUUUUUUUUCUAGGGUUUUACAAGGUAUAUUGUCUACAAAUUUUUUAAAUAAACUCUCCCCUGAUAGAAGCUAACUAGAUCGUCGGAGGUAUACCGGGAGACUUUACCCCACCUCUGGCACUCUGAACAGGUGACUUCCGCGAGACCGUACCCACUUCAGGAGAGUUACUAUCGCACUCAGGUACCGUCUGUUGAACCCGAAAAUCACCUCUUCAUACAUCAUAUAUAUAUUCCUGCAAAUCAAAUUUACAAAAUAUAACUAAAGAACCCAAUCAUCUAAAUUUAUAUCCAAUUCAUCAAACAAAUCAUCAAAUUCAUCCAAACUCACAAAAUUUAUAAAAUAGAAAUCUCAUACAUGUUUAAUCCCUGAUUAAUAGCAAUCCAAAUUAGGUAACAAGUUCAAGUUCAUAAUCCCUAAGAUUUCAGUCAUUUCCUAACAAAAAUUGUUUACUAUACAGUUGCAGACAAAAGGAAAGUUCCAUAAAGCAAACAGGUCUUCCAUACCGAAGUCAGUCUGCCACCACCCUACAUCAUUUUCUUUUCACAUGCACCUCAAUGAUGUCAUUCUCCUCCAUUUCAAGCCCAGCAGGGGUGGCAAUAGGACUAAUUUUAUCUCCAUCAAAACAAAAAACUAGAUUCUGCAAAUCAAGCUUGACCUUGUCAGCAUACAUCUUGAAGAGUCUCUCAAAUUUAUCAUCCAUGAAAACUCUAAAUUGCUUGGUCCAUCCUUGUCCUGGAUCGUAAUAACAAUCUUUGCUCUGUCCUGGCAAGUAUCUGAGGGCUGUUCUGCAACACCUCUUGUAGGAGAUUGUGAUGAUGCAUUAAGGUGACUUUUCAUAGAUUCUGCAGCAGUGAACUCUCGUCUCACAGAUUCCUCAACAGCUUUCAAUGCGUCCUUUGCUGAUUGGCUUAGCGAAGCUAGUUCCUGCCUUUUCAAGUGACAACGGUGGAGGCUUUUAGAUUUAGGGUUAUCGGAGUUGAAGAGGAAAGGAAGAAAACUACGGAAUGAGAAGCAAAGUAACUGACCCAAGUUUUGUUAAUUUUGUUUGAUUUUUUCAAUCAUUUUUUAACUUUUUUAGUUGGUUAGUCAAACUUUUGAUUGAAAAAAAAGGCAGAAAAAGGACAAAAAAAAAUCGGGGUGGAUCAAAUUAUCCGGUUCACAGGUCAAAUCCGGUUUAUGACCGGGUUUGACCGAGUUUUUAAUACUCGAGUUUUUUAACUAACUCGGACCGGAUGCCUAGCUAGUUUUCGGUUCGACCGCCGGUUCGGUCUGAGUUUGAAAACACAAAAAAAAGUGAUUGAAAAUGCGUUCGUAAAAAAUUAUAAAAAAUGGAUUUCCAAACAAGACGUAUCUUAAACUGUGAUUUAUUGAGUGGCUGUUUUGAAGUUCUUGGGACUUUGAUUAACUUCUUAGCUUUAGACCCUCCCUACAACAGAUCAUUGGAACAAAGAUUCCACUCAAAAUAUAUUGUCAAAGAAACAUUAAAUAUACUUUCUUUUCCUAUGGGUUGAUUACACUUUAUAAAACUAGGAGUAUUUUCACUUUGCCCCCCGGCCGGAAUCCAAACAACAGAUCACUUUGCCCAUCAAUGAGUAUUACGCUAGAAAAAGUGACUGAGAAAAGCUAACUUGAACAAUUUCAGAGUAGAGAAGAUUUGCAUGGAGCAAUCGUAUCCUUCUUGUCGUUUAGAAGAGAAUAUAAAUAUUAACCUAAAAAAAAUAAAGAGGAAAAAGGAAAAUUUUGCAUAAGUUUUUUAGGUCCAAUUAAGCAUAUUUCACAGCUUCCACUGAAAUUUCAAAACUUUCAAUUAGUUUAAAGGAUUUAUUUUGACCAAUUAUAUAAAAAGUAUUGGAAUUUCAGCCUUGUAAAUUAGGCCCAUCUAGUCUUUUAAUGUCAAUUUUUAGAAAUCUAGUCAAGUUCUAAUUUGUUUCUUUCAUACAUGUUCAGCUUUAUAUGUAAACAAACACAUACACAGACAUAUACAUGAAUCUAAUUGUUCGGUAGAAUAUUGUACUUUUUCAAUACCUACCAACGUUUGUAUCUGUCAAUUAGGCUGGAUUUCCGUUGGGUAAUUCAAUAUCUUUUGGAUUUGUCCAAGCCGUGAGUUAGGAUCUGGUCCCGAGUAAUUAUGAAAAAAAAAAUUAAUUUGACAACCUACAAAAGUAAUAACAAAGACUAUAAUAAAAUGUGGAAAAAAUAUUAAAUAAUAAUGACACAAAAAUUUACAUGGUCCGGUCAAUUAGACCUAUAUCCAUAGAAGAAUGUCAGCAAAAUUCAUAAUCAUAAGAAUACAAAGCUUAGGACAUCUUAAAGCAGCAAAAUAAAUGAGAGACAAAUGUAAAAGAGAAACUCAAGAUUGAACAACCAAGGAAUGUUUCCGAACUUGGAACUCUCAACUCUCUCGGCUGGCUUUUAGAAAGAAAUGUAGUAGUGGAAUGGUUGGUGCCCCAAUACCACAAAAUAUGAAAGAGAUUAAACAAGAAAUCUCAAUAUUAGACAAAAGGGGGAGAAUUCCCUAAAUGAGUUUAUUUCUCUGGUAUAGAAGUGGCAUACCAAAUGCCUUGCCAAACCGCGUAUUUAUAGGAGAAAUUCUUCAAUAUGAAACCACCAUUCGAACAUGAGUUGCUACUGAAAUUUUUGACAGCUAAAGCCUUCAAAAUAAUAGUAGAGGUAUGACAUAGGCUGGUGAAUACUAGAGCUGGCAAUUUGUCCCAAGUCCCAAUGGGCUACCCAUGCCCAAAGGAACUUUGGGCGGGAUGGGUAUUAUAAUUUGAUAUUGGGUUUAAGUUGGGACACAUCCCAACUAUACCCAUUAAUGAAUGGGAAAGGGUGGGAAAUACUUGGGUACCCAUUGGGUUCAAAUAGCAAGGGCUCCGUUUGGAUUAGCUGUUUUUAGGGGGUAUUUUUGAAAUAUUUUAUUGUAACAGUGUAUAUGAAAAAUAUUUACUAUAAAUUUUUUUUUGAAAUAUUUGAUAUACUAAUAUGGAUGGGAUGUUUCUUGAGUUAUUGUAUAUUACUGUAACAUUGUAUUUGAAAAACUUAUUUUUUGAAAAAAUAGUCAAUCCAAACGGAGUCUUAGAUUCAAAAAUCAUCUUUAACAAUUUUUAUAGUCAUACCAGCGAAUAUAAUCUAGUAGUCUUCCUAGUCAUUAUCCACAAGAAUUUCUAGCAUUUCAGUCAGUUUAGAUCUGUCAUCCUUGGACAAUGAUCAGGAUAAAUAUUCAACAUCCUAAGGACCUUGGUCAUCUUGAUAUAUGUUAGAAUAUAGCUGUAUAUCUAUCUUUUCUUUUAUUUGUUAAUCUAAUUUUUGGUGGGAAUCUUGAGUAUAAAGCACUUGCAUAUUUAUUUAAUAAAACUAAAAAAAAUUUAAUAAAUCAAAAAUAUUAAAAUUAUAUAAAAAAUAAAAAAUGAAUUAAAGGAAAAAAAAUAUGUAGGAAAUGGAUUUGGGUAUUGGGCGGGAUCAAUCUAAAUUCAUCCCAAAAUGAUCCCGCCCAAGUUAGUCCCAAAACACAUAUGGGUAAGGUUUGGCUCAAACCCAUAUAACUCGGUUCCAUCUCAAACCCAAGCAAAUCCCGCCCGCCCAUUUUGCCACCUCUAGUGAAUACGUACAAAGAAAAAAAUGUCGAUGUAACCCACAAAGCUUGACAGCACCAUAAAUAAUUUUACAAGGAUGUCAAAGACAAAUUUCAACAAGUCUCCACCUUCACUUUGCAUCUAUCAUAUAGUAAAAUCGAAAAAUAGUAAACUUGAUCCACCUUCUCCUUGAAAACUUCAAUGAGCCAAUAUCAUAAAAAAUUCUAAUGGAUCCCAAUGGGCACAUUAUGAAAACCUCAACAAAUUCCGACAUGUUAAAUUACGAAAGUCUCAACAAAUCCCAACAAUUUAUAAAUACAAAAUCUCAACGGAUUCCAAUGGGCCAGAAUCACAAAGGCCUAAAUAGAUCCCAAUAGGCCAAAAUCAGAAGAGCCUUAAUGGAUUCCAACUGGCCUAAUUUACAAAAGUUUUAACAAAUCCCAACAGGCCAAAAUCACACAAGCAUCUAUAGAUUCCAAUGGGCCAAAAUCACAAAGUUUUCAAUGGAUAUUAACAAGUUUAAAGUCACAAAAGACUCAAUAGAUCCCACAAAAAGUCACAAAAGUCCUAAUAGCAUAUGGUAAAAUUGGAAUCAAGCAAAACUGAUGUUGAAACAGUAACAGCAUCUAUAAUAGUAAAUCUCUCUGCAAAAUAUAUAAAGUACGAAACUUGUACGGCUUCAUAACAAUAAAGCACUUGAAGUGAUAUUUAGAAUUCCACCUUUAUCUGUGUACCUUCAAACAUAUAAAGCUUAUAUAAACUUUAGUUCAAGUAGAGUCAAUUUACUAUCGUCCUCUUUAUGUAUAAAAGCUCCAAUUUAUCCCACAAGUCUUUGGCCGUCUUUAUUGAGCAAUUUCAUGCAAAACCUCAUCAGAGAGAUUUAGGAUAAUCGCCAAAAGGGCUUUAUUAUCCAUUUCUUUAGAUUGCUCAUCCAUAAUUUUUUUUGGCUUUUUCUCCUUUUGACGUAACGCUACUUCUACUCCAUCUUACAUGAGAAUAGCUUUCAUUUUAAGUUGCCACAAAUCGAAACUGACACUUCGAUCAAACUUAACAGUAUAGGUCUUCGUUAUCGUCACAAUGGUUGAAGCAAAAAAAAAAAAAAAAGAACUGAACCCGAGAUAACUGGGAUGUGAUACCAGUUUGUAAGGAUCUGGUCUCGGGUAAUUAUGAAAAAGUUAAUUUGACAACCUGCAGAAGUAAUAACAAGGGCUAUAACAAAAUGUGGAGAAAAAUAAUAAAAGACAAUAACGCAAAGAUUUACGUGGUUUGGUCAAUUAGAUCUCCAUCUAGAAAACAAGGUGAGCAAAAUUCACAAUAAUAAUGAAGAAUACAAAGUCUAGGACAAAAUUUCUAAAGCUCCAAAAUAAAUGAGAGACAAAUAUAAAAGAGAAACUCAAAAUUGAAUAAACAAAAAAGGCUUCCCAACUUGAACUCUCAACUCUCUCGAUGGCUUUUAGAAAGAAAGGUGAUAGUGGAAUCGUUGGUGCCCCAAUAACUCAAAAUAAGAAAGAGACUGAACAAGAAAACUCAAUACUACAGGAUGGCUUUUAGAAAGAAAGGUGGUAGUGGAAUGGUUAGUGCCCCAAUACCUCAGAAUAAGAAAGAGACUGAACAAGAAAACUCAAUACUACACAAAAGGAGGAGAAUUCCCUAAAUGAAUUUAAGUCUCUGGUGGUAGAAGUGCCACACCAAAUGCCUUGCCAAACCGCGUAUUUAUAGGAGAAAUUCUUCAAUAUGAAACCACCAUUUGAAAAUGAGUUGCUACUGAAUUUUUUGACUGCUAAAGCUUUCAAAAUAAUAGUAGUGCUAUGACAUUGGAUGGUAAAUAGAUAAAAAGAAAAAAAUGUUCAUGUAGCCCACAAAACUUGACAGCAUCAUAAAUGAUUGGGCAAAUUACAUUUUACCCCCUGUGGUUUAGCAUUUUUUAUAUAACUCCCUUAUGGUUUCAAAAGCUAUACAUAACCCCUUCAUGGUUUAGAUUAAAGUGUCAAAGUGACGGAAAUAAUCAUUCGUAAUGAAACCUAUGAAAAUAUCGAAAUUACUCUUGUUUAAAAACUAAAAUGGCUAAAGUAAAAAAUAUAUAUAAACAUAAUAUGCAUGACACUCUAAUCCUGUAUAAUUUUAUAUUUUGCCAUAUAACCCCCUUAUAGUUUAAUGAUUUACCAUAUAAUCCUUUUAUGAUUUUCAAAUAUAUACAUAACCCCCUGUGGUUAAUAAAUAAUUUUUAAUUUUACAUAGGGGUAUUUUUGACAUUUUAGUUGACUUUGUUAUGGAUUUCAAAUUUCAUCACUUUGAUACUUUAAUCCAAAUCAUGAGAGGGUUAUGUACAACUUUUGAAACUACAGGAGGGGUUAUAUAAAAAAAAUACUAAAUCACAAGGGGAUAAAAUGUAAUUUGUCCUAAUUUUAAUGAAUGCCGUCAAAAUAAAGAGUGAAACUAGUAGUAUAACUGAGUAGUAUAGAACAUCCUACUCACAGCUAAGAGUCCAAGAUAACUGCGAAUUAUAUAGGCAGUAAAGAUUGUGGUAUGGUGCAAUUAAACACGAUUGCUAUAUUAAAAAAAGAAAAAGAAAAGAAGAACACCAUUGCUAUAUUUCUUACAACUAGAAGUCAAUGCCUUUACCCAAGUUGUCACUAACCAUGUGUGUGCUCAAAUUUAGUAGUAACGACUUCAAAAGUCAUCGUCGAAUUUUAUCAACAGUGACAAGAUUUUUGUUGACACUGAAAAUCUUGUCACUAAAAAUCAUUUUUAUUGUAGUGAAAUUUCAAGAUUCGAUAUACAUUUGUAAACAUUACUAUUUCACGCACACGAUUUCGUUAUAGAGGCGUCACAAACAACAAUUUUACAAGACUAUAAAAACCAGAAUUGUACACAUGCCUCAGAUCUUUAGUCUAAGACCAUAUGUAGAGUACAAAUUGGCAUUUCGUGACGCCUUCCACUUCCCCUCUUUCACCUUCUGCGCACCAUUCAGGUAGAGACUCGAACACUGAGCAUGGAGGGCGGAAGGUUCCUUCUGAAGCGCUGGUAUCAAUCUCCUGACUUUGAUGUUUCCUUGUGCAUUUUAAUAAGAGAAAAAAAAAACCUCAAUCAUUCUUCUUCCAUUCACUAUAUAUCUCUAUAUAAGAUGCCAAAACUUGUUUAUUCGUGAGCUUCCCUUUCUUCAAACAUUUCACUUCUACAUUUUUCUGUACACAUUUCUGUCUCAUACUUAUACCAAUAAAUUACAGUGAAUUACGAACUCAAGAAGACCCACGUUCAUGGAUAAUCCAGUGAGUAGUUCAUGGUUCUCUGAGCUGGUGAGUUUUCUUCCUUUUUUCACUAUUUAUGAUGAGUUCUCCUUCGCCAUGAAUUUACUUUUAGCAGCACUAUUGGCACAUUGAAAAGAAUACAGACUUCCACGAUACCAGUGCUUUCAUCGCUUCAUUCAAGUUAAAAAAAAAAAAAAAAAAAAAAUAGCCUGUCAGUAUACCUUAAUUUUUUUAAAAUUUUUGGUUCUCUUACACAACUACUUUUUAGCUAAAAGUAAGAUUGUACGUAACAUAGUUCAUUUUCAUUCUCAAAUUAGGAAUUCCAAGCCAGAUUUUUUUUGCUUUUUUACAACUACUGGUAAGUGCUGAGAAUAAUGGCUUAAGAAUACGGUCAACGGAGGAUUCAGAACUCAAAAAUGGAUUUUUCCUUUUCGGGCAUAAUUAAAUGAAAAUUUGAAAUCUAGGAGCACGUAAAUAGCCUUGAUUUCUAAAUCUAAUUUGAUGUACUUGUCGAUCUAGCAUUAAGCUUCGUUAGAACAUAUUUUUUACCCAUAAUAAUGCAAAAUUUGCAAGGAGUUUCAAGAACUGCAUAUCUCGUAAUUAUAUUGGAAAAACUUCCAUUGAUCACUUAACCUAUUUCUUAUACAUUUCCACUUUUCUUUCAAAUACAGGGAAUGGAAGAUUCAUUUUUCAAUGACCAAUAUGAUGUUAUGGAUUUUCUGGAUGAAGAAUUCCUGAACGCAAAUUUGUCCCCGGAAGGGAAUACUAAUUCCUCCACCUUCAUUCCAAUAAGCACUUGCAGUACCACUUUGUCUGCAUUUUCAACCAUGGAUGCUCCUCCAAUUAGUACUGAAAGACCGGCAAAACAGCAAAAGUCCGAUGACUUGAACUCUUCCAGUCUUGGAAACAUCCCAAAUCAUCAUAAUCAGCCAAUGAUUCUCACUUUUGGCAAUCCAGUUAUGCCCGCAGAAAUAAAUCCACAACAGAUAAAUCUUGAGGAUGAUGCCGUGUCUGAGAUUUUGAAGUCCCAUGGUUCAUUUGUAAACCUUGAGGAGGCAACCAGAAGUUCCCAGAAGAGAAAGAAAACAGGUGGCCGCACUAGGCCAGCAUCGCAAACUUAUGAUCACAUUGUAGCAGAAAGGAAGCGCCGCGAGCAGCUCAGCCAGAGAUUUGUAGCUCUGUCAACUCUAGUUCCCGGCCUCAAGAAGGUAAUUUAUGAAUUUAUUAUUACAAGAAUGACAAGAACAUCAAUAAACCAACAAAACGUUUUUGAUAUUAAGAUCUUAUUGCUGUCGUAGAUGGAUAAAACUUCUGUUCUUGGAGAUGCUAUCAGUUACUUGAAACAUCUUCAGGAGCGAGUGAAGACGCUGGAGGAACAAGCAGCGAAACAGAACAUGGAAUCGAUGGUGCUUGUGAAGAGAUCACAGCUCCUAGUUGAAGAUGAAGGAUCAUCAGAUGAGAUGGGUGGCUCUGAUGAGCAGCCACUCCCUGAAAUUGAAGCUAAAUUAUGCAAUAAAAAUAUUCUUCUCCGAGUACACUGCCGAAAUUAUCGAGGGGUGCUGGUAAAAAUUCUUUCUGAGGUGGAAAUGCUGAAUCUUACUCUUAUCCACACAAGUGUUGCGCCAUUUGGACGUUUGGCUCUUGAUGUUACUCUUAUGGCCGAGGUGAGCUCAUAGUUAAGGAAGAUUUAUUCAGGUUAAUAUUUUGAUUGGCAAUGAUACAUCUUUUUUUUUUUUGGUUUGUUCUAAUUCCUUAAAACAUUUUUCCAGAUGGAGAAAGAAUUCAACCUGACAAUGCAGGAAUUAGUUAAAAGUCUUCAAUCCGCCCUUCAGCGGGGCAAGCAAGGCGAUUGAAUGCUGUUCGACGUCUGGCAGUUAUCUACUAGUGCUGAUUGACAAGUAUGCAAAAAGAAAUGGCAGUGAAGACCAUGAAUGUAGACCAUGAAUGUAGGUUUAUUUGUCAAAAAUUCUUACUUUCGUAAGAAAAUGUCAGAAAGGAAGACCAUGAAUGUAGGAAGACCAAGGUACAAGGAGGUAGAAUUUAUGGAUGACCAUGACCGUCUUGAUCACGGGAUUAGACCAAAAAACAGUAUCCUCGAGGGUCUCGAGGCGUGUCAGUAUACUAAGAUAUUACCAUGUCCUCCAGAGGGAUUUUCCUGAUUGGUUUUCUACUUCUUGGCCAUCAUUACUCUCAUUUCGCUUGUGUUCCUUAAAAGAAUGGAUAAAUUUUUCUCUUGUAUCCAUCUUUUCCUCCGCCAAAAUAAUGAUAAAAAAAAUAUUGGCACAUAAAAACGCACAUAAUGAUAGCUAUUGAAUAAACAUAGAAAUAUAUGUCUGAAGAGAAUAAGAAUAAAACCAAAAAUUCGCCAUCAAGCAGUAAAUGAUUUUAUUCACUCAAAACUCAUCAGCUAUAAACUAAGAAUUCUUUCAAAUUUUGGAGGCUUUCCAAAAUUUCUCUGUUCAGUCUCUCUUCAGCUAAAAUUUUCAGCCAAGCACCAAUUUAUAUAUGGGCUACAAUUGCAUGACUGAGAAACUUAUCAAAUGCAACAGACCAGUAAAAAUUCUGACGCGGACUUUAAGGUACUUGGAUUAGAAUUUAGAACCGAAAAAUGAUUUGUAAUCUGCCUAGGGCUAUGAUGGAACUAAGUUACAAUUAAAGGACCAACGAAUUAUACACAUGACACACAAGCUAAAUAAAUUAACUAAGUCUGAUUUGAAUAUGUUAACAAGAAAUGUGAAGUUUCCCCUUUACAAUAAGGAUAAUGGUGUAAACUACAACACAUGAUAUAGUAAAAAAAAUCAACAUUUCCUCUCUCCUCUUCAUGAGUUGACAAAAUAUAACGAGGAGAAAUUGCAAGAGAAACCAAAAAAAAAAAAAAGAAAAAAUGAUUAUAACUUCCAUUAUUUGUAUAUGCAUCCUAAGAAGGGAUCUUUAUUAAAAUGUUAAAGCUAAUAUUAUCAUUUUAGGUGGAUAAGAAAAGUAGGUAUAAUUUUUAAAAUCUCGAGGGAGCUCAGUAAAAUUAUCAAAAAUCUCAAAGGAGGUUUUUGAAAUUACUAUCCCACUUAUUAUGCAAAUAUUUAGUAAUAAUCAUGGUAUAGAUAGUUUCAAAUUUGAGAUCCUAACUAGACUGGCAUGUCAUGGCUUAGAAAUCUUAAUAGGGUAAAAUAUACUUUACUCCCUUGUGGUUUAGCAAUUUUUCAUAUUAAUCCUCUUGUGGUUUUAAAAAACUAUAUAUAACCCUUUCAUGAUUUGGGCUAAAGGGACAAAGUGACAAAAAAAAUCCUCUGUAAUAGAACUCAUAGAAAUGUUAAGAUUACCUUUGUUUAAAAACUAAAAUGGCUAAAGUGACCAAAAUAUAUAAACAUAACAUACAUGACACUUUAACCCUUUAUGAUUUUGUGUUUUACUACGUAACUCCUUUAUAAUUUUCAAAAUAUAUACAGAAUUCCUCAGUGGUUAAUAAAUAAUUUUCAACUUUAUAUAUAGAUACUUUUAACAUUAUAGUUGGUUUCGUUAUGGAAUGUAAAUUUCGUCAGUUUAAUACUUUAAUCCAAAUCAUAAGAUUAUAUAUAACUUUUAAAACCACAUGGGGUUACAUGAAAAAAUACUAAACUACAGAGGGAUAAAGUGUAAUUUAUCCAUCUUAAUAUAUCAUGUUGUCUUAUUUUAUCCAAUGUUACAACGCAUAGAGGAAAAUUACUUUCCGUUGCUUGCUCUCGCCAUUUGCUUAUUGUGCUUUAUUCUUUUGAUACAAGUAUCCCAAUUGACCUGUCUUCGUUUAUGAUAUGGUAAAAAUGAACUAUUCAUACUAGACGAAGUUUACGCAAAACUAUUUCAACAUGUGUUAUUUAACUCAGGUAGGGUAAUUUAACAGAGCACUCCUAGGUGUUAAAAUUAAUCGCGACACAAGUGUACAAUUAUGCAUAUUAGACCAACUUGCUCAAAACAUAAGUCAAUAUUAUUAAUCAUUUCGCUGGAAAUCGUCCUGCACGAUUUGCUUUCAGUUGGUUAUGAUUAAAGAGAGGGACCUUAAGAAUUAGAAAAUUACUUUUUUUUUUUGUAGGCAACAUCAUCAAAUAAUUAAUUAGCAAAUGCUACGUAAGUAACCAAAAUCCAGCAACCCACGAGUCCCACGAGAAGCCGUACUCUACCUCAACCAAGACCAGGAAAGAUUUGUCCCAAAAUAAACAAAUGGCGCAUAAAAUUCUUGGUCUAGCUGCAUGCUUUUCCAAAUUGACAUUCUAGCUUACUUUAGAGUCUUAAUCUCUUGAAACUUUUUGACAUAGGCUUCAAAAUUGGCAGCAUCAUCACUAACAAGAUUCUGUACUCAUACUUUUGACUGCCAACUCCGCACUAAGCAGCCUGCUUGACUCUGACGAGAGCAUCGAAGACUUUCAAACUGUACUUUGGCGGCCAGAUUGAGUUUUUUCUCCAUCUUAUUAAAAAUUAAUUAAUUAAACACUCAGAGGCUCAUUAUCUAAAAUUCUGUAAGACAUAUAUAGCAAUGUUUGUCACUAACUUAAAUUGGAUCCUCAGCAAUAUUUGUAACGUCAAGAGCUAACCUUAAUUUUAAGCGUUGAUCUACACUAUCUCCAGUGGCCAAAGUUAAAAUGAACAUUUUAACUAUGAAUUUUUAAAAGCAUUGCUUGUUCCACCACUAAUUUGUAAAGAGCACAUAAAAUAAAAUUACUUGUUCUAUGUUAUAUGAAUGCUUUCACUAUUACAAGUAAUUGUUCAGAAAGUUAAGAAAUAUUUGCAUCUUAUUUUGCCCUCACUAAAGGAAAAUUCUGGCCCCCACCUUUCAAAGGGUGCAAAACUUGUGUUGGUAACAGCAUUAGAGAAAUAAAAUAAAUAAUUUAAAACUAUCUGUAGCUUCUCUACCUCAAAAGGUAAUCUGAUCAGCAGUUAUUUUAGGAUUGCAUACUUUAGCUGCAAUUUCAGUGAGUAGCUGCUUAUAUAUCAAGGCCAUCAAUCAGUCUCAUCGGGUGAUCCACCGUCUUCACCUUAGAGUUUUGAUUUCUUCACAAGCACGUAGGAUACCGGCUGUUACAUUGUUGAGCUAGAGGGGCCACUGCCCAAUUCCAAGAAAAUUAGGUUUUGUCCCAUGAUAACUUAGAAAAUUUACAAAAGUAUCCUUUGUAUUAAAUAAAAAAAGAGAAAAAGUUCCCCACAAAAAAAAAACUUUGAUAAUUAUGUAUGAUGCAUUAAAGUUUAGAUGUGUAUAAAGCUAGCCGUGUCAUAAACAAGGGCAAACUAGGGGAGCGGGGCAGGGCCACCGCCCCAAGUUCUAGAAAUUCAUGCAUGUCACCCAUAAAAUUUUGAGAAUUUUCAAAUCUUUUAUAUAUAUAUUUAACUAUUUGCCCUCCCAAAUUCUAGAAAGUCAUGCUUUCUACUGUUCAAAGUUUGAGAAUUUUCAAAAUUUUCUAUAUUUAUUGAUCUUUUGUCUUUCAAAACUUUGGCUCCUAAUUUUACAUGUGUAUAUAUUGUGCCCUCUCAAAUUAAAUUUUCUAGUUCUGCUACUGAAAACAAAUGUUUCUGGUUCCAUAUCUGCAUGGUUUACUCCUCUAGUGUAUUUACCCUCUAUGGAAGAUGUCUUGGGUUUGUGACAGCUUCUCCAAGGAUAGAAGUUUAAUACAUUUGCAAGAGUAAGAAAAGCUUGUGAAAUAUGAAAUUUCAAUAAACAAAUCUGGUGCAAGUUAUGUAGUUAGAUGUGUGCGUGAUGAGUACAGUUACGCAAGUUGUGUUGUUAGAUAUAUGUCCAUGUAUAAUUAUGCUGAGGUAGUAUAAUAGGUAUGUAGUUGAUCAAGACUCUGCUUGCCAGCAAUCAAUUCGACAUAUGCUCCUACAUCAUUAACAUUGCCCCUAAAUUUACUUGAGAUACCAAUUUAAUUCCCAUUUUCUUGAGGCCAAGAACUAUGGCCAAAGGAGCUAGGGAUCGCUGACUGAGCUACAGCUUCAAAUUCUUUCUAGUGUUGUGUGAUCAUACAUGUGAAAAGGUGCGCCAUUUGGCCUCAGAUCAAUCCUUCAAAGAUUUUAGAGACUGUUAUUGCAUUUUUUUCCCCCUUCUCACAAAGGGGUAUUUUAGAAUUUUUGAGGACAAAUUUAGCAUAGUGAGUAUAUAUUGUUACUGCAAUACUAAUAAUAGAGAAAGUAAGUAUAAUUUUUCAAACUAAAGAAGAGCUGCCUGCAGUAGUCAGAAAUCUCAGGAGAGGUUUCUUAAAUUAUCUCAAUCUUUAAAGCUUAAACGGGAAAACCACGGGCAGACACCAGUCCGAGCCGAUUGGUUAGAAAGAAAAGCUUUGUCGUCCACCGUACUUGGAACCUUUAAUCUUGCAAAAAGUUUUAUGCUAUGAUAAAAUUCUUGGUCGUGUUUUGGACGUUACCGUGUACUAUCAUUUUGAUGAAUUAAGGCUGCAAACGAGUCGAGCCGAGUAGAGUUUUGAACUAAUUGAGUCGAGUCUCGACUAAAUUUUACCGAGCUCGACGAGCCGGCGAGCCGGCAAAUUUCGAGGUCGAGCUCGAAAAAAAAUAAAAAAUAAUUAUUUUAUUUUUAAAAAAAUAAAUAAAAUAAUAUUUUUUUAAUAAAUAAUAAAAUAUUAAAAAUAUAUACGUAAUUUUACUAUGAAAAUAAAAAAUAAAAAAUAUAUAUAUAAUAUACGUAAUUUUAUUAUUAAAUAAAAAUAAAAAUAAUAUAUAUAUAUAUAUAUAUAUCCAAGGCUCGCGAGCUAACGAGUUUAAUAUUCUGAACUCGACUCAAGCUUGACUCGAGCCGCUCGAGCGGCUCGAUUCAUUUGCAAUCCUAUGAUGAAUGUCUCUUUGAUGCAGUCUCGAGUGGUUUUCUACGCCCAUCAUAUUAAUGUGCAUACAAUAUUAUGGUUUCUAAUUGAGCGGCGAGAGAAUUUUUUGUGCCUGGUCCAACAAUUCCUAGCCUUUCUCACCGUCAUAGAAUAUUCAAUGUUAACCAAUACCCGUAAAAAGUCAUCACUGGUGGACGUUGCUAGAGUUCUGGAUACUGUAGAUUUACCCUGUUGUCGUUUGGCUUUUGGACACCCCUAAAUGUUUGAGUCAAAAACUCAUUUUCACGUUAGAAUCAAGAAGGUUGCCUUUACAGUAGAUAUGUAGGCAAGCAAAAUCAUUAUGGCGCAAAAGACAUUCAAUUUCAACCAUGUUAUGUAUUUUUGGACCUUUCUCACUUCAGAGUUUAAAGGGUAAAUUACACUUUAUCCCCCUAUGAUUUAAUAUUUUCUUACAUAAGCCCCCUAUAAUUUCAAAAUCAUAUAUAAUUCCCUCAUAAUUUGGAUUAAAAUGUCAAAGUAACGAAAUUUGCAAUCCAUAACGGAGAUAACUAAAAUGUCAAAAAUAUCCCCUAUAUAAAGUUAAAAAUUAUUUAUUAACCACAAGGGAGGUUAUGUAUAUAUAUUGAAAAUCAUAAGGGAAUUAUAUGGUAAAGUACCAAACCAUAAAAGAGCUAUAUAGUAAAAUAUAAAAUCAUACGGGAUUAAAAUGUUAUGAAUAUUAUGUUUAUAUAUUUUAGUUAUUUUUAGUUUUUAAACAAGGGUAAUUUUGAUAUUUCAUAAGUUCCGUUAUAGAUGAUCAUUUCCGUCGCUUUGACAAUUUAAUCCAAACUAUAAGAAUUUAUAUAUAGUUUUUAAAACUAUACGGAGAUUAUGUGAAAAUUAACUAUACUACAAGAGAGCAAAGUGAAGUUUGCCCAAGUUCAAAUAUGCAUGUCCAGUAUAUGUCGUGCUUUAUUUGCAAGUGGUUCUAGUCGUGGAGUAUUACGCCAUAAAGACUAGUUAGAAGACCACUGUAGGUUUAGAAUUGAUUUUCAUUUAUAGAAUAUCCUUAGUUCAUCUGACAAUAGAUGAUGACUAGGUAUAGAUGUAUGCUAUUUAUAAAAACGUAACAAUGAUGUAAACAGAGAUAGUGUAUCAUGAAUUUAAUUUUGUUCAUAUUUUAAAAAAAAAUUAUUGACAGAGUAAUUAGAAACAUUAAUCUGUUAAGCUCGUUGGUGUCUUCACUGCUUCGCGUGAUGCACACUUAUUCUAAGAAAUUCAACAAUCAUUAUUUGUCCCUGAGAUUGAUUGACACAACAUGACAAUUAGAGAGGAAAACAUAAGUCCGAAAGUAGCAUUACUCAGUUGACCUUAAUUCUUUCGAACAAAGCUGCGCCUGCAAAUACACUUGCUUAGGUAUGACAAUUGAAUCGGUUUAGGAUAGAAAACGCACCAAUCUCCAGUCUUACCAACUAGACCUUUUUCUGAAUUAACAUACUUAAUUCGAUCCACGUCCUCCAUGUUUAUUUGAUAGCACUAGUAUAUUUUAAAUUCUAGUUGAAUCAUGCAGACCUUUGACAUAUGCGGAUAUGCCCAUGAAAAAAGCUUGACCCCAUGAUUUAAUGGUAAUAAAAAGUUAGCCUCUAAUAAUGCAAAUUGAAAUCAAAGCUACAUUAUAAAUCCAUUAUUUGCAGAUAUUUAUGUUAUGAUUUGCUUAUCUUUUAUUGUGGGUUUGUCAACUAGUAAGUGCAUUUUCUAUGAUUUUCAAGAAAACAAAUUGGAAGAUUGAAUUGAGAAGAUAUGUAGAAAAAUCAAGGAUUUUGUAGUGAAAAUUACCAGAGAUGUGAUUGGAUAUAUCUUUGGGCACUUAUCAAGGAAUGAUGGUUAAAUUUGGAAAAUCUUGUCAUGCAAUUACACCUUGCCCAACCAAAGACGAAUCCAAUUGCAAUCCAACUAUGGAACGAAGUUUAGUGGGAAUUGGAGAGAUUUUCUCUAUCAAAUAUCUUAUUUUAUAAUGUUUAGUCAUGAAAGCUUAUCAUCACGGCAAUUUUUCUUACCUUAAAUAGGAGAAGCAAAACAUCCAAGAAUAGGAAUUCAUUCCUUCAUGCAGUAAAGUUGAAGAUUGCACUAAGGACUGAGGAGAGAAUAUAUAUGCUAGACAAUUAAUAGGGUAAUUCCAAUAUGUAAUAGAUUGUGUUUUUGCUCCAUAGAAUGAAAGGCAGGAUUGCACGUUUUGAUUGAAGCUAGAAUCAAUUGUAUAGAAUGACAGUCAUGAGUUUAUAUGGCAAAUUGAAAAGAACUUAAAACCAAAAUACCAAAUGUAUAUGAGCCUCAACAAUUAAUUAUUUAUACGUGAUAGUUGUUUGUGUAAUUUCCAUUGGAUACAUCAUACAUCUAUCUCUAAUUGAGCUGGGGCUAAUUAACUGCUAGUGAAAAUGGAAGGUGACCAUAUGUCUUGAAUAUAUAUUAGGGUAAAAUAUACUUUAUCCUCUUGUGGUUUAGUAAUUUUUUACAUUAUCCCUUUGUGAUUUCAAAGUUAUAUAUAAGUCCCUCAUGGUUUAGACUAAAGUAUUAAAGUGACAAAAAUAAUCCUCUAUAACGAAACCCAUAAAAAUGUCGAAAUUACCCGUGUUUAAAAACUAAAGGUCAAAGUGAUGAACAUAUAUAAACAUAAUUGCAUGACACUUUAUCCCCUCAUGAUUUUGUAUUUUAUAUCACAUAACCCCCUUAUAGUUUAGUAAUUCACCUCAUAACCCUUUUGAUUUCUAAAAUAUAUAUAUAACCACUCUGUGGUUAAUAAAUAAUUUUCACCUUUAUAUAGAAGUACUUUUGAUAUUUUAGUUAACCUUAUUAUGAAAUACAAAUUCCGUAACUUUGACACUUUAAUCCAAAUCAUAAGAAAGUUAUGUAUGGUUUUUGAAAUCAUAAGGGAGUUAUGUGGAAUAGCGUUAAAUCAUAGGAAGGUAAAAUGUAAUUUAUCUUAUAUAUUAAGGGUUCACGAAGAAGUGAAGAAAAUUUCAAGUUAGAAGAGUGCAUUUCAUCCAUUAUAUACUAAGUAAGAAAGGAUUCCUCCUCUCUCUAAAAGUGAGAGCUUCUCUCUCUAAAAUUGAGAGCUUCCUUCCUCGGUGUAGGAGCAAAAACUUUUUUCACUUCUCUUACCAAUAUCCCGCCCAGCUUUUGAAACUUUUUCAAAAUUCAAGAACACAAAACGUAAAACUCAUCUGGCCCAACAUUUGGGGGAUACUUGAUCAGAUCAAUGAUGGGAUCAUUGAAGAAGAUAGUAUAUUAUGUAGAUGCUUCAGUUUAAUAUUGUCUCAGUAGCUUUCUCUUUCUUUUUCUUUUCAUCCUUCUCUUGUUCUUUCUUUUGGUCUCCACCAGUCAAGGAGCAGAAGUAAGCUCAUGUGCACAGAAUCCUGAACUAUGGAACUCCAGGAACCCAGUUAGGGGGAAGAGGGAAUCUUUUAUUGCUAUCCGAUUUUCGUUUCUUUUGCUUUAAUUAGUCUCACGUUUAUAGUUUUUUGUGGUGCUCUUUUUUUUAUCUCUUUUAUACUCAGGUCAAAAGGUUGUUUGUCCUUCUUGAGAUAGUACUGGGUACACUGCAUGGUUUCGGGGAAGAUGGAGGAAGCUCUAGCAAACGCCUUACAAAGAUUUGAUCUGUCAGAGACAAAUGGGUGGAAUAGAUCUGAGCAGUGAACAUGUGGCACAAAGUGUUCCGGAUUGUAGAGGAAGCUUGGUUGGAAGAAUAAUGGGAGAUAAGAUAGCCAACUUCACUGGGGUAAAGAAUUUUACCAACCACGUUUGGGGUUAUCCCAGAAACUUAAGAGUUACUGAGAUAGGUCCAAACGUGUUUCAAUUUCAGUUUGAAAGGGAGGAGGAACAGGAAAAGGUUUUGGCAGGAGGUCCCUAAAUCUUAGAUAAUCAGGUUCUAGUAACUAGAGAAUGGUGUGUAGGCUUUGAAAAAAAUGUUGAGUGUUUUAGGUUUGCCAGUCUCUGGAUUCAAAUCUGAAAUCUGCCUGUUCAUUGGAUGAGUAAUGCAGCAGGGAAGAAGAUAGAGAGAGUGUUUAGAAAGGUUAAAGAAGUCCUCUUACCACCAGGGGAUAGAAAGGAGGGGAGACAUAUGAAGAUAUAUGCUGAAACAGACUUAUUACAGCUACUUGUUAGAGGGCCAGUGGUGAAGCUUAAUGGAGAAAUGGUCUAGAUAGAAUUUAAGUACGAAAGAUGCCUAGACUUCCGCUACAAGUGUGGAAUUAUAGGACAUGGAGAUAAGAACUGCAGACUUGAAAUGAGCUCCAAUCAAACUCACAAAGAAGCCCAAUUUGGGCCAUGGAUGAGAGAUGGGAAUAUAAUGAUGCCACUACUCAGGGGUGAGCAUGGAAAAGAACUGAUUCUUAAGGGUCAAUCAAAAACUUCAGAGGAGGGAGUUAUUGAAGAAAAUAAGGGGAAUGGGGUAGUGGAGAGACUGGAACAGAAUGAGUUGAUUAGGAGAAGAGAAGAGGGGGCGGGAAGGGCAAGGGAGAGAAAAGAGGAAACAUGCAGGAAAGUGGAAAACAGGGGGAAGGAAAUAGUGAUAAGUAAUAAGGAAGGGAUAGAUAAGGGGUCAAGGAUAAAUGAGGAGAGGAAGAAAAAUCAGGAUAGAGGAAAAGUAAAACAAGUACAGGAGGAGGAGGACAUGAUAAGGGAAGGUGAAGGUCUUAUGGAUCUAGAAAUGCAGGAAGAUGCAGUUGGACAAGAAACAAUGGAAAAACCAGCAAACAAAGAGAAUUUUCAGAGAGAACAUAUAGGGGAAAAUAAAAAAAAAAUUGCCCAAGGAUUAUCUGUGAAGUUGGAAGACAAAAGAAAACAUCAAAAAGGUUUUCAUAGGAUCAAAAGAAUCCCACUUGGAGAGAUUAAAGACAACAUUCAGGUGGGGGAACAAGGAGGCAAAAGAAAGAAGAUUACAGUAAAUAAGGAGGGCGAACCAAUGGAAGAGGAUGGUUAGGAUGAACCUUUGCUGAAACAAGGGCGAAGGAAAAACAAGAAAAUAGCUAAACAAAGGGAACUGGAGGCAAUCCCAACAAAGCCUCCAUAGUGCAAAUGAAGGUCCUGGUGUAAAAUUGUCGAGGUAUGGGAGCACCCUUGACAAUUCCCCAACUAAAGGAGAUGAUAAAUCUCCACUUUCCAAGCAUUAUUUUCUUGGCUGAGACAAAAAACCAGAAAACAGUAAUGGAAAAGAUCCAAAAAUAGAUUAAGUUUGAUCAAUGUUAUGUGGUAAACUCCAGUGGUAAGGCAGGAAACCUUGCAAUGUUUUGGAAGGAUGAGAUAGAAGUGGUGAGCAUAAAUAAGGAGAGUUUCUUCAUAGAGGUUAAAAUAAACGACAUAGAGUCAAGAUGUGCAUGGUGGCUGGAGGGAAUAUAUGCUAGCACAGAUGAGAAUACCACAAAGGAACAAUGAAAAACUAUAGAGCAAAAAAAGAGGGAGUGGGGGAAACAUUGGGUAAUAGUAGGGGAUUUUAAUGAUAUACGAUCUGGGGAAAAAAAUGGGGAGGGAGAAGGAGACAUGAGAGUAGUUUUACUGAGUUUAAUAGGUUCAUAAGGGAAAAUGAGUUGGUAGAUAUAGGAUUUGAGGGCAAACCAUGGACAUGGUGCAAUCAGUGGGAGGGUAAGGGGGAAGUAAAGGAAAGACUGGAUAGAUGCCUUGCAAGUGUGAAAUGGUAUCAACUUUUUGAAGGAGCUAUGUGUAGCCAUCUAGAAAAUGAAGCAUCAGAUCAUAGUAUGCUCAUAUUGGAUACCAAUCCCACUUAGAAGACAGUAAAAAGAAAAUUCUACUUUGAUCAGAGAUGGGCCAGGAAUGAGGAAACCAAAAGGAUAAUAGAAAGAGCAUGGAGAGCAGUUCAUCAAGGAUCAAGAAUGUUCAAGGUAACAAGGAAGAUAAAAGAGUGUAGAAUGGCUCUUUUAACAUGGAAAAGGAGCAACAACCAGAAUUCAGGGGAGAAAAUUAAGCAUAAAAAAAAGAAAAUACAGGAGAUAAAAAACAGCAACAAUUCAGGAAAAAUGGGACAAUUAGCAGACAUGAAGCUGCAACUCAGUAAAGCAUAUCGUGAGGAGGAAUUCUAUUGGAGUCAAAAGGCAAGGACUAGGUGGUUACAGGAAGGUGACAAAAACACUGCAUUCUUCCAUGCUAGUGUAAUGGCUGCGAGAAAACAAAGAAAAAUCACAAGUUUGCAGAAGGACAAUGGAGACUGGUGCAAGACUGAGCAGGAAGUGAUGGAGGAGAUAUGCAGAUACUACAAACAGAUGUUCACUACUGUAGAAUCAGAGCAAAUGGAGGAAACAAUGCAGGGAGUUCCCACUACUAUUUCACGACAGAUGAAUGAGAACCUGAUAAGACCUGUGGGCGAAGGAGAGAUACACAAAGCACUCCUCUCCAUGCAUCCUAACAAAUAUCUUGGGACAGAUGGUAUGUCUCCACUUUUUUUCAAAAAGUACUGGCACAUUAUCAGUUUAGAUGUGGUUAAUGCAGUGGUCAGUUUUUUUCAUACUGGCAAGAUGCUAAAGGUUGUCAAUGAAACUCUAAUAACUUUGAUUCCAAAGGUGGAAAAUCCUAUCAAUCUGACUCAAUAUAGACCUAUUAGCUUGUGCAACACUCUAUAUAAAAUCAUUUCAAAAGUGCUAGCUAAUAGACUCAAAAUUGUUUUGAACAAGUGCAUUAGUGAGACCCAAUCUACUUUUGUCCCGAGUAGACAAAUUGUUGAUAAUAUUCUCAUUGCCCAUGAGGUGAUGCCUUUUUUGAAAAACAAAAGAAAAGGAAAAGUAGGAUUCAUGGCUCUUAAACUAGACAUGUCAAAAGCAUAUGACAGGGUUGAAUGGAAGUUUAUAGGAAGAAUGAUGAUGAACAUGGGCUUCUGUCCUAUCUUUGUUAGGUGGAUUUUGUCUUGCAUAUCCUCAGUCUCUUAUUCUUUCAAUCUUAAUGGUGCAAAAGUGGGAUCUAUAAAAUCCAGUAGAGGCCUGAGACAAGGCGACCCCCUUUCUCCUUACCUUUUUGAUAGGGUGUUAAUUGUUAGUAAUUUUUAUUAUUAAUUUCCCCUUUGUUCCUACCAAAUAUUGCUUUAAUUAUUAAUAUCUAUGUAUAUUUGGUAUCUGGACUUAAUUUCAGGGAUUAGAGCAGAAAAUUACAAAAAAAAAGAAGGGACUUGCUCCAUAAGAGGGAGACUUCAAAAAGCCCCAUGGACCUGGCCCACAAGGAGAGAAAGAAACGGAAUGGCUGAUGAAGAAUUAAUUGGUACUAAGGGCUCUACUAGCAAUAGCAAACGGGAAGAGAGGAAACAUUGAGUAGGGCCUGGCCCUUUGGUACCCUUUGUUGACUUAUGCGGCAGGGACCACGGAGAAUAGGGAAGGCAUUAGUCAUUUGGCUUUAAAAGAGAAACAAACGUACACAGGAGCUCUUAUCACUAGUUUUAGGAUAGUUUUAGUUCAGUUUUAGUUUUUCUUUUCCUUUUCCUUUGUCAGGCACACGCCAACUGUUCGACAAUAUUCCCUAACGGGAAAAACAUCCCUUAUUCCUUGCUUUCUAGUGAAAAACUUGAUGCCUUUACAGUCAAUUAAUUUGCAUGGAUAUUUAAUUAUGCGGCGUGGCUAAGCCCUUCAUCUAGUUGAAGGCCAACUUGAAGGCGCGGUUCCAAAUAUCUGUGAGAUCGAAUUAAUUUUAUUUAUUUCUUUUAUUCAUUGGUAUUUGUACGUUUCCUGAUUUAAUUGGUUAUGCUUGUUAUGUUAUUUGAAUGUCAAGGGCCCGAUAUUUGAAUUAACCUAAUGAUCUAUGCCAAAUUAAUUGAUUGAAUCCGUAAUUGUUCAAUUGACUAAUACCAGUGGCGACUAGCGUGAUUAGUUUCAUGUUAGAAAAACGUAUGAUCUAAGUUAAACAAACCCUUGUAGCGUGUUUGUUGGUUAGGGUUGGGCUUUUCUAAUUAUUAUUGCAAUCGAGUAAUUAAAUCCUACGGUCGUACUUAGGGUUAUUUCUUGGUUAGAGAAAUAGUUAACGGUCGUACCUUAACUAUCGAGAAAUUAAGGAAAGGUUGGUUGUUCAUCGCGUGUAUGACAACUAUAACUAAUUUAGUAAUGAAUAAUUGAAUUAUCUUUGCAUUGAUGAUCAGUUGAAUGGACCGUGUCUGAAAAGUUGCACCUUUGGCUAGAGUCGUAUUGAUUAUUGAUUAAUUAUUAUUUAUUCCUUUUAGUUGUUUCAUUAGUUAGUUAAUUAGUAAUUUUAUAUUCUCCAAAAACCCCCCCAUACUUCGAACUCUAAAAGAAAUAAGUUAUUCCCAAUCCCUGUGGAUUCGACCCUACUCACCACUAUAUACAAAAGCUGCAUUUUUCCUCGAGUAGGUAAUUAUCAUUGCACAGGCUCGACACCCUGUCACUUUUCUUAAUUUGUGCAGAAGGUUUGUCUCAUCUGAUAAACACAAAGGUUGACAAGAAAAUGAUCACAGGAAUCAAGGUGAGCCAGAAAAAUCCACAAAUAUCACAUCUAUUCUUUUGCAGAUAACUCUUUGAUUUGCUGCAAAGCAACAAUCCAAGAGGCCAAACAGGUGAAAGAGCUUCUAAAGAGCUAUUCAGUGGCUUCAGGACAGCUUGUAAAUUUUGACAAAUCAGCAGUUUACUUUAGUAGAAACAUCCCAAUGGCAAAUAGGGCAGCCAUUUGUGAAGAAUUGGGGAACUUCAAGGAGGCAGCUAAUGGAAGAUAUUUGGGGCUACCAAUGGCGAUAGGAAGGACUAAGAACCAAGUGUUUGGUUAUAUCAAAAGUGCAGUAAACAAAAAGCUAAAAGGCUGGACAAACAAAAUGUUGAGUUUGGCUGGGAAAGAAGUGCUCAUAAAGUCAGUAAUUCUAGCAAUGCCAAACUAUGCCAUGGCAUGUUUCAAACUGCCAAAAGGACUGUGUAAGGACAUUUGCAAGAGUAUAGCCAACUUCUGGUGGGGCAGUAACCAGCAGGAAAAGAAACUACACUGGAUUAGUUGGAAGAAACUAGCAGAUGUCAAAGGAAAAAGGGGUUUGGGGUUUAGGGAUUUAGAAGCUUUUAAUAAAGCUUUACUUACUAAGCAACUUUGGAGAAUCAUUUGUUUUCCAAAUUUGCUUAUGACUAAAGUGAUCAGAGGCAAAUAUUUAAGAGACCAUAAAUCCCUGGAUACCCACCCUCCCAAUUCAGCUUCUUGAUCAUGGAGAAGUAUUCAUAGUGCAUGGAACUUGAUUGAAGAAGGACUAUGGAAAAGAGUGGGGGAUGGAAAACAGGUGAACAUAUGGUUGGACAGAUGGGUGAUGUGUUCGGAGACAGGAAAAGUUUCAACUCUAUGCCCUCCAAACUGCCAAGUGCAAACAGUAAGCCAGCUGAUACGAGAAGGAAGUUGGAAUGAGGUCAUACUGCAGCAAGUUUUCAACCAAAAAGACAGGGAGCAAAUAGCUAGCAUGCCUCUCAGUGCGUUUAAAAGACAAGAUAGAUUCUUUUGGUGUUUUUCGAAAUCUGGAACCUACACUGUCAAAACAGGUUAUGCAAAGGUUGUGCAGGCAAGCAGUAAUGUCAAAAAAAGAUAGAAGCUGGAGGAGGAAACAAGCUGGAAAAUUAGGAAACAUAGCAUCUGGAAGCAACUUUGGAACCUGAAUUUAAAGCACAAAAUAAAAAACUUCAUCUGGAAGUGAUUGCAAGAUAGAAUAGCUGUUAAAGAGGCUCUCUACAAAAGAACUGGUAAAGGGGACAAUAUUUGUACAAUCUGUGGAGAAGAAGUAGAAACAGUUGAACACAUAUUUUUCAAAUGUCCAAGAGCCCAAAUAGUAUGGAAACUAGCACCAGUUAGAUGGGAGGAGCUGGGGGAUUUACAAAAUAAUUUGUGGAGAUUGUGGGAGGCUGUAGCUCAGACGGGAUCAAAGGAACAUGGGAUGGAACAUAUCAGCUUGACAGCAAACAUCUUAUGGCAAAUUUGGAAAGCAAGGAACAAGGUAGUGUUUGAACAGCAAAGAGGUGAAGCAAGAGAUAUAGUACUGAGAGCACAACAAGAAUGGCUCGAAUUUGAAGAGGUGAUGCAGCAGGAAGGAGUAACCAAAUAGAAAGGAAUGGCUUCGAACUAGAAGGAAUAGAUAAAGGUACCAUCAUUAGAAGGAAUCAUUCGAAUCAGCACAGAUGCUGCUAUCAAUGCAAGGAUGAUCAAAACAAGAAAAGGAAUAGUUGCAAGGCAUUGGACAGGCAAGAUUAUAAGAGCAAAGGGAGUAGUAGAAAGAAAAAAAGGUGAAACUCUAAUGGGGGAAACAUUAGCCAUUAGAUUAGCUCCCCAAAUGGCACGAGAAGCAGGCUGGAGGAAAAUUGCUAUCCUAUCAGACUGCAAGACUGCCACAGAUUACAUCAGAUGUAACAAUGUGCAGGAUGGGAUUCUAGCAACCGUCCUAGAAGACAUUGAGGAUCUAACACUAUAUUUUGAAUAUUGCACAAUAUCUUGGGUGCCUAGAACAUCUAAUAUAGCAAGUCAUAGGCUAGCACUUUUUGCAUCAAAGCUAGUUAAUGACAUAGAUUGGAUAAAUGACUUCCCAAUUUGGUUGAUAGAAGCAAAUAGGAUAGAUGAAAGGGCUGUUGCCCCCUUUUGUAACUAAUUCUUGUAUUAUCAAGUGUUAAUAUAUAUAAAGAUAUUGCCAUUUGUUGAAAAAAAAAAUCCAUUGUAUACUAAGUGCACGAAGCCAACUUUUAUUUACUUAAAGUUGACAGCGACAUAGGAUGGUCAAUAAGACUUUCACUCAUUCACGCUUUUGAACAUGCUCUCGUCUUACAACAUUAGGGGUACCUUAGCUGUGUGAGACACAGCUGGUCCCCUAGAAAUUUAGUUAAACACACAAUAACAAAUUUUUGUAAAUACAGGAGAAAUUUUGAGCAUCAAAAUAAUUAAAUUAAAAUUUGUCGCCAAGAGAAAUUUCGUCUACGAAGUUAGCACCUAUUUAUCAUGAUUUGAACAAAGAUUUUUGAACCAAUAUUAUGUGAACAUAAUGAUACCAACAAAAAGGAGAGAUAAUAAAUACACUGCAUUGUCAGUUUAAUAGCUGCAUAACUUUAAUUGUGACUAAACUAAAAGCAUCAUAAUACUUCUAUCAGUUUAAUGAUCAGAAAAAGUUUAGAAAGUCAUCAUGAUCUGUUAUAAUCUUAAAUAUCAAUAAAACAUACAAACUUGUACAGUUUUCUAUUUUAUUUUUAGAGAAAAAGCAAGUUAUUAAUCCAUCCAUUUAAAUCUUUUUUAAAAGCAUUACAAACAGGUGAGAACAUUAUCUGCCAAACAGUUUGGGAGAAAUAGCAAUUUUAGAUAAAAAUAUAAACUAUCACAUUUGUAGAUUUACAUGUACAAAUUCGAAACCAAACCAUUUGUUUGAUCACAAAACGUCUUCUUAGUCAAGAUUGAAUUUUCUAACAAUUUUUUGUCGAGUCACACUCUAGACUAAAAGCCUCAAUUCUGACUUUCACAACCAACUACAAUCUUUUAACAACUGUAAUCAAUUAAGCUACUUAAAUUGGCAAAAGUUGGCUAACUCUUUCAGCCAAAUAGUCAUGAUAUGUCCAGUUCCAUACCCAACUUAUAUUAUCGUUUGAGACUCUGAAAAAGGAUAAAAGUACAAAACCAUAGAGCCAACUUAAGCAAAUGAUUUUGAAAUCUAAUUUUACACUUCUUUUAUUCUCAGACUAUCAUUUGCUAAAAUUAAAAAUCAUGAAAAUAAACCACCUAUCAUGUAUACAGUCUAGUAAUCCAAAUGAAGAGGUAUUGUUGGAGGGAUUAGACAAAAUCUUAUCUUUCCUGUAAGACCAAAACAUUAUUUUUUUCUCCAACAAGAGCAUCAAACAUUCACUCGGAUAAUUAUAGAAAAACAAAAAAGCAUACUUCAAAGAGAAUCAAGUAGGAAGCAAAAAGGAAAAAAAAUUAGAAAUAGCUAAAAAUAAUAGAAAGAUGAUAAGAGAAAUAUGGGACGGUGAAUUAGACUAAAAAAUGACUGGGAGAGUAAUGAGGGAGUGUUGAGAAAGGAAUAAUUAUGGAGCAUGGCUUUGGUCAAAUGUAGUUAGUAGACUUAAUCUAGUUUGAAAUAGCCAAAUUAGUUUAAAAUAAAAAAAAUUUUGCACUCUAAAAAAUGAGAGAAAAAACCUCAAUAAUAGAAUACUACAUAAUAAGCAAGGAUGUAGUUUCAAUACAAAAACAAUAUGUAACUUCUGAAUAAUAAAGCAAAAAUCUCACAUCAAAUAGCUAGCAUAAAGAACAAAAUUCCGAACAUUAAAAACGAACUAAAGAUCAGAAUUGCAAACUACAUAGAUUUGCAUUUAGUUUCAAGGCAAACCACACAAAAGAAGAACCAACUUGCUAGAGCAAAACAAACAAAUGCUUAAUGUAUAGGAUGCAAAUCAUGUAUAAAAUUAGGCAAAGGUUGUAAUCCAUCAAUGUCUACUAUCCUGCAAAAGCAAUAAAUACACAGCCUUGAGUGAUUAGCAAAAAUUGACAAUACUAAGAGAUGAAAGGAAAAGAGGGAAAAAAGGGGGGGGAAAUGGAAAAAGAAAGACAGACAAAGGAGGAAGUCGUGAAGAAAGAAAUAAGCAAAUAGGUUUCUAAUCAAAAGGCAAAUGAUGAAAAAAAUAUUAAGUAGUACGUACCAAAGAGAGAGAUAAUAAGAGUAGAUGAUCAUGAAUUAUGAUUACCAGACUAAACAAGAAAGGAAGUAUCAAAUCCAUGAUCUCCUACAACAAAAUCAUUCAUUUAGUUAAUUAUGGAAAAAUACAUCAACUAAUCCAGUAGAAAAAAAUAGCAGAGUAGAUGAUUAGGAUAAAGGGAAAAAAAGAAAAAAAAAAAGGGCAAAUUAUACUUUACACCAUUGUGGUUUAGUGCUUUUCUACGUAACCCUCCUAUGGUUUCAAAAAUUAUUUAUAACCGCCGCCUCAUAAUUUGAAUUAAAGUGUCAAAAUGACGAAAUUUGCAAUCCAUAAUAGAGUCAACUAAAAUAUUAAAAAUACCUCUAGGUAAAGUUGAAAAUUAUUUAUUAAACACAGGAGGGUUAUGUAUAUAUUUUGAAAAUCAUAAGGGGGUUGUAUGGUAAAGUACUAAACUAUAAAAGGGUUAUAUGGUAAAAUAUAAAACCAUAGGGGGUUAGAGUAUCAUGCAUAUUAUAUUUAUAUAUUUUGGUCACUUUGGCCAUUUUAGUUUUUAAAUAAGGGUAAUUUCGACAUUUUCAUAUAUCCCAUUUUGCAUGAUUAUUUCCAUUACAUUGACACUUUAAUCCAAACUAUGAAAGGAUUAUAUAUAAUUUUUAAAACUAUAGGGGGUUAUGUGAAAAAUAGCUAGACCACUGGGGGUAAAAUGUAUUUUGCCCAAAAAAGAAAGAAGUAUAGAGUGAAAAUUGAAUGUAGAAGUGGCACCGUAGAUGAAUAUUUGUGUGGUUGUCUUUGACUAGAAAAGAAAGAGGAAAUGAGGGUAAAAAAAAAUACCAAAAGAAAGGACUAAAAUAAAGAUAACUUUCUUAAAGGAUUAAUGAGCCACGUGUCAAAGUAGAUGGGAGCCACUUAGCAGCCAUUGGACCUGCUAUAGUAAUUUCACUUCUUUCUUAUAUAAUAGGUAGAUACAAGAGUUUUAAAAAAAAAAAUUGUAUCUUUUGGAGUAGCCCGAGAUUUACUCAACUAAAACAUGGCACAACCCAAGAAAAAUGGUUAUCUUGUCUUAAUUCUUAAUACAUACAAAUUAUAUAUAACUCUCAUGCAUGUUAAUUUUCCCUUUGCAUGUUCGCAGUUCAAUCUGUGAAGAGUAUGAAGCUGGAGAUUUUCAAAGGCCUCGAUAGAAUGGUUCUAUCUAAGGACGUAUUUAAUAAAACAUUAUAGCGCUUUAUGGUAUAAAUUUGUAUGAGAAAUGAAAAGGUUGGCCUAAAUUAUAUAUGUUCAAAAUUUUCAUUCUGAAAAAUUCAAGGCAUGUACUAUAUAGUUCUUCACGAAAGUUAAACAUAAAAUUGUUACAGUUGUCGAGAGAAAGAUGUUCCAGUUCUUGAUUAAGAGUAAUUUUCCCUUUUCUAAUGAUUAUGGCUUCCAUUAUACAUCGCAUCAAAAUUCGCCGGCCAUAGUCAGCUCCGAGACACAUGCAUCUGUUGUUGUGUGCACAACACAAGUCAAACUUUGGACGUUAUCUAAUAAUAAUAACUAGGAGGUAAUUGGCUGUGCUAAGCACAGCCUAGACCCUAUAAUCUGUUGUCAUAUCCAAACUUUAUUCAUGUUUGAAGAGGGUUGUUGACCUUCUGGGUUUGGUAGCAUAGACGGCUGGAAUUGGACUUGCUGAGGAUAAAUGCGCCGAAUUUGUGCUCAGAAGAGCCGUGUGGUAGAGAGAAAGGAGGAAAAGGGUUAAACGGCAAUUUGGGAAAGAAACAGUGCAAUGGCAAAAGAAGGAAAAGAAAUAGAAGGCUUGAAGAGGGGUGUUGACCUGCUGGGUUUGGUAGCAAAAUCUCCUCUUCUCUGUUUCUUCCACUCAGAUAGCCGAAUAUGAACCUACAAAAGAUGCUAGUGUUCUACCAAUUUUCUGAACAAAGCAUUGUACUUUCUUUCAGUUAGAACCACAAAAAUCCUCCACAUGCACGUGAUUGCACUUGUCCCAAGAAUUAGCUUCUUUUAGGGAUUGUACUUGGUUUGAAUUUACCAGUGAAUUCUUUCUUUUUUCUGCUGCUACGAAGUGAUUCAACGGCAAUUUGAGAAAAAAACAGUGCAAUGGCAAAAGAAGGAAGAGAAAUAGAAGGCUUCGGACAAGAGAAGCUUUAGAUUCAGACAAUUUGCAAGAAACAUUUUACCCUGCCAUUCCUUAAAAAAACAAAUGCAUAUAUUUUUUGUCAUUCAGAAAUUAUUGCAUUCAUUUGCUCAACAAAAAAUUUUUUUGUCAAAAUAAAAGACAAAUGCUCACAUAUCAAUAAAUUAAAAUAAAAUUGAUUCGAAAGUGUAUAUUCUAUUAGUUGGUUAUUUCAUUUUUGCAUUUAUAACAAAUUGGAACCAAUUUCUUUUUUUUUUUUUUUAUCAUUUUCCCACUUUGAAGAUAUCUUUUUCUUUUCCUCCGAGUUCAAAAAUAGCCAAGGUUUGAUUAAGAAAGUUUAAAUAUUUUUUUAGCAUGUAGAUUAAAAUAAUAAAAUUCUUGCUAUUAGAUUUGGAUAUUUCUUUUAAUUUUUGAAAAUGUGACAAUUUUUCUAUCAUUUUUUGACGGCUUCUAAAAUAGCAAAAGUUAUAUUAACAACGUAGCAAAAAAAAUAAAAAAAUAUAAACUUUCAAAAAGACGAAUAGAAUUUUAUGAUUUUUAAUAAAGUCAAGUUAAUCUGUGAAAUAUAAGUUUAAAUGAUAUUUCAAAUCGUAAUAAAUAUAAAUUCAAAUAAUGAUAAUGAUAAUAAUAUUAUAAUUGGAUUACAUCUGUCCAAGACCUAGAGCUUGAAAUCAAUUUUAAAUAUUUCUUUUUGUUUUUGAAAAUACGGUGAUCUGAAAAAUACUCUCUCAAAUUGACAUCAUAAUAAAUAUAAAUUGAAAUAAUGAUAAUAAUAAUAAUAAUUUGUAAUUGAAUUACAUCUAUCAAAAGCUUACAAAUUGAAAAAUCCAAUAAAAAUAAUUGGACCUCAUACUUGAAUGCCAAGGCCAGACCAAAUUUGGUCAUUGUGCAAUGCAAUCCAAUCUAUCUAUCUACCGUUGCCUAUAAAAAGAAAAGGAAAGAAUAAAAGCUCAAAAACUCACUAAGAGUGCCAUGUGUCAAUGAGACAGCAUGCUACAGUAACAGUGCAAAGGCAAAAGAAGGCAAAAGAAGGAAAAGAAAUAGAAGGCUUCGGACAAGAGAAGCUUUAUAGAUUUAGACAAUUUGCAAGAAACAUUUUACCUUGCCACUUGUCAGAUAAUUAAGAAGCCAUGUGGCAAGAGGAAAGGAAAAUACUAAACCUGGCUCUUUUCUUAUAUACAAGGUAGAUAUAAGGUGCAUUUUUGACAAAAAAUAAUAAUAAUAAUAUAAGGUGCACGUGCACCUACUCAGGGGAAACGAGGGAAUUCUUCUACCUAUAAUUUUCCGGCGCAAAAACAACAAAAAAUCUUAUUUCCAAAUUCAAGGGGAAUCUUUUUUCUGAAAUAAAUCAAUUGUAUUAUGUAUUAUAAUAUUUUUUGUUAUGUGAUGUAUGUAAAAUAAAAAAUACAUAAAAAUAUAAAAAAUGAUAAAAAAAAAUAUACUUAUAUACAUAAACAAUUAUUCAAGCAUACACAUGUUAGAUCCAAAUUCCAAAAGAUAGCAACUUGAAGAGAAUUACUAUCCUAAGGAAUACUAUUCUUCACAUUUUGAAGAGAAUUACUAUAAUUUACAAGUUAUAUGUUUUUAGGCCAUUAAAAAAAAGGAACUCGAAGAAUAACGAGAUCAUCUUCUUCUUCUUUUUAUUUUGCCACUUCAAUACGGAAUGCUUUUUUUUUUUUACUCUUAUUUUAUUUAUAUAUAACGGGGUUCAUUUUCUGUACUUUUAAACAUGAGCAAUUCAUGAAAACGUCUUCAUAAAAUGUGCAGGUUCCUGCCACUACUUAUGACAAAGCAAGACUUGAUAAAUAAAUCUAAAAUUUAUUUUCCGCAGGUGUCUGAAAUUUAAAGAUUGAACUUUAAGUAUUGAAGUAUUAGUUUGGUAAGUUAAAUAAGUCUUAUCUAUCUCAUAAUCAGCUGAAUUUGAACGGGAAACUCUAUUCUAUUUCGUGUGUGUAUAUCACAUCGUCUAAAAGUAAUAAUAUACUUUAUUUUUAUAUUAUAUUUUCAAAUAUCAUUUUUGACACUAAUAAGUUCCAUUUGAUUCUAUCAGGACACUUAAAAAAAAAUUCUGAUUAUCCUUGACCAAGUUUUUUUUUACCCAUAUAGGCUCCAUGUAAUUAGAAAAUCUACUUUUUUUUUCCCUCGCAUUAGAAUGAACAAGUGCAUGGAUCCUCAUGCUACAAUCAUGGAGUAUUUGUAGUCCAACAUGGUUUUUCCUUUAUUUAAGUCCAACAUGCUUGUUGAUUGUAGCCUGUAGGGGAGGUCAAGUUUCCCCGUCGAUCGAUUCACACAUUUAACUCUCUGAAAUAGCUGGUCCUCCAACUUGCUGUUUAGAGUUUAGACCAUGCUCGGAGCCAGGGACAGAUUUACAGUGAAUUGCCUCUGACCCCACCAAAUCCUUAGUAUGUAUGUAUAAAUUAAGAACCCGGGUGGAUUGUUAUUUUUAGAAAUUUUUUUUUUUUUGCAGAAAAAUGUACUGUAACGAUUUGAUAUAAGUGAAAUACAAAAGUGAUUGAAAAAUAUUUUUAUGAAAAAUAUGAAAAUUUUCUAGUAAAAAAUAGCAGUCCAAAUGUGUUCACGGAAAUAUUAUGUUCCAAUAUUUAGAUAAUAUUAUUCACUUGCACCCAUUACUUUUAAGUCCUACCAAAAUCUUUAAUAUAUAUGUAAAAAUUAAUAACCACAUACCCUCGCAUUUAGAGAUUAUUGCUUACCACCCUUUAACAAAAUAAGGUGAAUUAUCUUUUAUCUCCUUGUGGUUCGGUAUUCUACAACAUAUCUCUCCUAUGGUUUAAAAUUCUAUAUAUAAUUCAACUCAUGAUUUUUCAUUAAAAUGUAACCAUUAGUUUUUCUAUUAAUAAUAACGGCCAACAAUAAAAAGUCAAAAUCAAACUAAUAAAUUGACAAUUUUAUCCGAUCAUUACUUCUUCUUCUUUUUUCACUCCAAACAUAAAAAAGAAGAAAUUGAAAUAAAAAGUAGAUAAAUAAGAACUAGAAAAUUCCAUUAAAGAUUUGGUUUAAAAACCUAUAAUGAUAUUUAUAGUAAAAAAAGAUUUGAUAUUUUUUGUUUCUUAUUUAUUUAUUUAUUUUAUAUUUCCUUCCCUCUUUUUUGUUCCAUAUUUAUUUUUUAUUUCCCAUCCAUCUCUUUUGUAUUUAUAGAAAAUUAAGAUUUUGUAGGUCAAAGUACAAGUUUUCAAAAUCAUCUCUUCUCUUCCCCAAAAAAAUAGAGAAAGAAAAGAAAACAAAGAAAAAAAAGAAAAAAAAAAGUAAUGAAAGAGUGAAUUUGUUAAUUUAUUAGUAUGAUUUUGACUUUUGACUUUUGAUCAUUAGUUUUAACGAAAAAAACUUAAUGGUGACAUUUUAAUCUAAACUAUAAGGGGAUUAUAUAUAGGUUUUUAAAUCAUAGGAGGAUUUCGUGGUAAAAUACCAAACCACAGGGCGGUAAAAUAUAAUUUAUCCAACAAAACAUAUAGGUGUCAUCCUAACUUAACAAGCUUAUAAAUAAACAUGUGCAUUUUAAAUUAUAUUUUAUAUUAUUUGUUAAACAUGUGCAUUUUAAUGCUUGAACAGUUAUGUUUACGCAGUGUAUUUGCCCCCACUAAUUUAUAUUUCUAGCUCCGCCAUUGUUAGAAGCACCAUGUAAACAAUAGGUAGUUCGCCAUUGGAUAGAUUAUUAUUUGAAAUAAUUACUGUAACACUUUUUGUGAUGUGAUGUAUGUGAGAUAAAAAGGUGGGUUGGAAAACGUGUUUACGAUGUAAGUAAAAUAUUAUUUGAGAUAAUUUCACUAUCCAAACAAACCCAUAUUUUAUUGGUGAGGCGACCUUUUUCCACGUGCAACCCUUCGAAGCUAUGACCAUAAUAUAAGAGAAAAAGUAAAAAAUUUAUGGAGCCCCAAACUAUCACCGUUAUUAAAUUUUGGCCCAUAAUCUAAAUUUUAUCUCUGGUUGGCCUCUAAACAAUUGAAAGUAUAUAGUUUAAGGAUUUUUAGUCAUUUUAAACAUAAGUGAAGACGAACCAAAGGACAUUUUUGUCCAACUAUAAAUGAAAGCAUUGAGACCAUCAGGUCCAUUAGAUGGAAUUCUAAUAAAAAAACAUUAAACCAUCUUCGCUGGUGAUUUUGAGCCCCAAAUUUCUUAACACAGCCACAAAAUUAAUGUUAAAUUAUAAAACAAACCCUACUAAUCACCCCAACCUUACCUUCCACUCCCUCUACCAAUCAUCUCCUAGUAUCUAAUGCUUAGAAUCCAGGCUCUGCAACUUCAACUAUUGCUUAAACUGGUUGAUGAAACUAUCAGCUUUAGCAUCAACCUCGUUGUCAACUCACUAUCAACUUGGCACCCUAUCUCGCAAUCACCAGACGCCGAACAUCCACAAUGUCAUGCUCCUUGAAGUGCUUAAACGCAAAUUUCAAACAUGUUGACUUCUUUAUCUCUAUCAAUAGCCUCGUUAGAACCUCAGUCGUGACUAGCUUAGUAUCUAACUUUGACCUGCCAAUGCGUAGGUGACAGGUUGUCGAGCCUGUGCAAUAAUAAUUACCUGUUUAAGAGAAAUACAGAUUUUAUAUAUAGCGGUGAGUAUGGUCGAAUCCACAGGGACUAGAGAUAAUUCAUUUCUUCAAGAGUUCAAAGAAUGAGGGGUUUUUUGAAAAAUAUGAAAUAACUAAUUAACUAACCAAUGAAACAACUAAUAGAAAUAAUCAGGAAUUAAUCAAUAACCACUACGACUCUAGUCAAAGGCGUAAUUCUUUAGACACGGUCUAUUCAACUGAUCAUUGAUGCAAAGAUAAUUCAAUUACUCAUUACUAGAUUGGUUAUAGUUGUCAUGCACGCGAUAAAAAACCAGCCUACCCUUACUUUUUCGAUAGUUAAGGUACGACCAUUAACUAUUUUCCUAACCAAGAAAUAACCCUAAGUACGACCAUAGGAUUUAAUUUCUUGAUUGCAAUAAGAAUUAGAAAAGUCCAACCCUAACCAACAAACACGCUAUGAGAGUUUGUUUAAGUUGGAUCAUACGUUUCCCUAACAUGAAACCAAUCACGCUAGUCGCCAUUGGUAUUAAUUAAUUGAACAAUUACGGAUUCAAUCAAUUAAUCUAGCAGUAAAUUAUUAGAUUAAUUCGAAUAUCAGGCCCUUGACAUUCAAAUAACAUAACAAGCAUAAGAAGUUAAAUCAGAAAACGUACAAAUACCAAUGAAUAAAAGAAAUAAGUAAAAUAAUUCGAUCUCACAGAUGUUUGAAACCGAAUUCUCAAAUUGACCUUCGACUAGAAAACCGAGAUUUAGCUACACAUCCUCAAGAGAAAUCCACAGGACUCCCUUGAUAACCAUUUGUUCCUUCUCCAAAAACUAAUGAAAGAAGACAAAGAAAAGAGACAAGUCACGACCGUCCCUCCCAAUUCCUAUUUUGUAGCUUCUUAAGGAAAAUCAAACUCCUCCCGAAAUUGCUGCUGGCCAACUCCUAAUCAAACGGGAAUUCGGCUUUUUCUCUCUUUUUGUUUCCUAUUCAGCUUCUACUACUAAUAAUAAGAUAUAUAUGUUACCCAAAAUAUAAAAAGGAACUGCUAAAAAUAAUAUUCCAAGUUUCCUAAUCCAAUAUUAGGACUAAUAAUGAUAAUUAAAAUCUUCAAAAUCUUACUUUGAUACUGCCUUGAAUUUGAUUUGGACUUGGAAACCGGUUCCGAACGUGCCACUAUCAAAUUAUUUGGAAAAUUGCCCCUUUUUGUCACGUUUUACUCCUUUUCCUACAAUUAGUACCAUUAACCAAAUAUAAGUAGAAUUUAUCAAUUAAAACAAUAUUUGACUACAAUCAAGGGGAAAAUAAUUAUAAAUUUAGCAACAAAUUAUGACCUAUCAAUUUUUUUCACACCUAAACCAUGCUUGUCCUCAAGCAUGAGAAUAACAAAUUAAAUAAUCAAAUUCAAACAAUGGUUAUUGCUCAAAUCUUCUACUGCCAAGAUACAAUUGAAACAUAUGUCAAGUAUUAGUGGCAAUUUUUAAAAAAUAUCUCUCCAAUUAGCUUUCAAGAUCAUUGACUCUUUUAAUUUAUGACUAACUAAUCUAGAAUAUAAAAUAUUCAACCAGCAUCCAUAAGCAAAUGGUUCGACUAUUAAGCAAAAUCUCAACAUUAAAAUUCAUGGAUCAGCGGCAAUUUAUUCAAACACUUUCACAUUUUUCACUAUUAGCACAUUUUUUUCUAAAAUAUCUCCAUGCUUGAUUGAUUAUUUUUUUUCCAGGGGAAAUGCUUAGUCUUUAGCCAUUUAAGCGUUUUGACGCGAACUUCAACAUUGGCCAAAUGAAGGAGGCCGGUUACUCAGCCAUUAUCGCUUAAAAUCACAUCCUCAUAGUUAUCAUCGUUUUUUGACGUGAAAAUCGACACUUGUGGUGAAGGCCUCUAGUUAUUGGGUAAUGAUACUAGCGGAGUAUAGCCAAAUACUAUUCAUAAAUAAGCAUCAAAUUAAAACUAAAAAUCACACAAACUCGUUUCAUUUCUUAAACAUUGAGAACUAAGAUUAAUUAUUGAACCAAUUUGCAUAAAAAAAUGUUAGACAAAUAUUUACAAUACUUAAAGAAGUUAACCAAAAAAUGCAAAAGCCACAAAAUCUCAAAUAUUCAUCAAAAAGAUACUCUUAGAUUUAAUCAUGUCAUACUUAACACCUUAGAGCGUAAAAUCUUAGCAAUAGAAAAUUUUAAACCAUCUAACCAUCGUUUAUCAGGAACAUUCACAAAUAUACACAAAGAUAGGCAAAAAUUGGAUAAAAUUCGACAAAGUCAAACAAAAAAUUUCAACAAAAAUAUCUACACUUGCACUUUUUCAAUAAAAUACCAAUAUAUUACUCCACCCACACCUAAAUCUCACAUUGUCCUCAAUGGAGAUCAUAAAGCAAAGAAAGUAAAUAGGGCAACAAAACUUCCCUGAAUACGUGGUAGAGGGCCUCGGGCGGCUGUGGCAUAGGUGCAAAUGGUGUAGUGAAAAUGGUGCUACAGCAAGGUGCAACAGUGACGGAUUGCAGAGAGAAGGAGAGCUUCGGGGUACGUCUUGGUCCAAGCGACAGCGGCGGCGCGCGGCUGUGUUAUGUGAAGUGGCGGCGAACUACAACAGGGGGAGAGAGAGAGAUUGGUGGCGGACGUGUUAGUGUCGUGGCGAUGAGCGAGCAUGGAGGACAGCAGCAGCGCGCGGCUGUAGUGGCUGGCGGCCGUGGGUUAAGCGCGACUUGCGGGAGCGGCGGUGGAGGUGGGGUUUCGGCCGAAGAAAAAGAGAGAAUAGGGGAAAUAGGGGAGAAAGAAAGAAAGAAAAGAGAAGAAAAGAAAAAGAAGAAAGAAAGAAAAAGAAAGGAAAGAAGAAAAGAAGAAGAAGGAAAAAAAAUAUUUUUUGAAUAUUUUUUCUUUUUUUUUCCGAGAUACGGUUGUUUAAACAUGGCAUGGGCACGCCAAGUUUUGUAAAAGUAUUCUGAUCCUGGGGUGACUUUUUGCAAAUCAACGCGUGCCCUCCUUGCGUGAGCACGCCAAGUCUCCAUGUCCUGCCGGUGUUGUGAAAUGUUGAGGUUUUACCAACAUAGCGCGGGCACGCCAUGUUUUGCAAAAGUCUCCGGACCAUGAGGUUGGGACUUACAAAUUAACGCGUGCCCUUCAAAUGUGGGCAGACCAAGUUACCCUGUUCUGGUCACUGUUGAUGAAAACAUCCAGAUCAAUCAGUAACCAAGUGAGAAACAGCAAAUUUAAAGCCUUGAACAACGAAAAAUAAAUAAAAUCAAUAUUUGGGUUGCCUCCCAAAAAGCGCCUUUCUUUAAUGUGUUUGACUAGACAUUUUCAUGUUUAUUCACGGAGAAUAAAAUCUUGUGACUCGUUUCAAUGCUUCAUUCUCUAUAUAAUCCUGAUAGCCCUCGUAAAUAGAAUAAUCCUUGAGCACACGAGGUACAGUCUUCCAUGGAUUAGUGGAUAGCGCCAAAUGAACAAGUAAUGACCUUAAUUCUUCACUCACUCCUCCAUUACGAGCAUUUACUGGUUCAAGAUAUUUUGCCAUCGUAACUCUUAAUUUAUUCCUGUCAUGAAAUUCAAAAUCUUCUGGUAUAAUAAAGUCAACGUCACUAACAGGAAUUAAAGAAUAAGAGUCAGGAAAAUAUUGAUUAAGGAAUGGAGGAGAUGUCACCGCAUUUGGAGAUUGUUCACUGGAUUUAUUCACUUGAACAAUUUGAUAUUGGAGUUCCAUUUCUUGUACUUCAAUUCGCUUUUCAAUUGUAUCUUUAGAUCUGUUUUCUUGAGACUCUUACAGCUCCAUGUCACUUGUCAGGAUAAUUGCACUCUCAUCAUCUUUAAGGUCGAUGUUGGUCUGUGAAGGCAAUUCUUCAUACAUUCGAGAAGUCAAUUUCGUUAUUCUAGAUGUCAAUUGAUUCAUUUGAUCUGCUAGGUUAUAAAUGCUCGCUUGUGUCUCCUGAAUGCUCGCUUGUGUCUCCUGAUGAAAUCGAUAUGUAUUAGCAGUUAGUAAUUUCAUUAUUUCUUCAAGAGACAUACCUAACAUGGAUGACGGUUCUUAAAACUCUUGUUGUUGAAAAUUCAUUAGUCUGGUUGCAUAAUUAAAAUUGGAAUCAUCCUACCAUCCUUGAUCAUACCCGUUUGAAUAAGGGUCAUACCACGUUUGAUAUUGAGGUGAAAAAUCUCCAAAAGUAUCUAUUGAAACACUUAGGCCAUCGUAAAACGUGAAGUAUAUUUCGGUUGAAUGAUCUAAGGCAAAAUAACUUCCACAAUUUGCAACAACCAAUUGAUCAUUAGAAAAAACAUUAGUCUCAUAACCCCUUCUAAAAAUAAAAUCCAGUCUAUCACCAAAAUACGGAAUGUUAGUAGCCAUAAAUUAUAUAUAAAAAAAUAAGAGAAAAAUAAAAAAUUGAAAUCAACAUGAACUCAAAAAAGAAACAAAUUAAUUGGAAAUCAGUGCCCGGCAACGACGCCAAAAAUUAAUAGAUUGUCGAGCCUAUGUAAUAAUAAUUACCUACUCAAGAGAAAUAUAUAUUUUGUAUAUAGCGGUGAGUAGGGUCGAAUCCACAGGGACUGGGGAUAAUUCGUUUCUUCUAGAGUUCAAAGUAUGGGAAAUUUUUUGGAGAAUGUGAAAUAACUAAUUAACUAACUAAUGAAACAACUAAUAGAAAUAAAUAGGAAUUAAUCAAUAACCAAUACGACUCUAGUCAAAAGUGCAACUCUUCAGACACGGUCCAUUCCACCGAUCAUCAAUGCAAAGAUAAUUCAAUUACUCAUUACCAGAUUGGUUAUAGUUGUCAUACACGCGAUAAAAAACCAGUCUUUCCUUACUUUUUCGAUAGUUAAGGUACAACCAUUAACUAUUUCUCUAACCAAGAAAUAACCCUAGGUACGACUAUAGGAUUUAAUUUCUUGAUUGCAAUAAGAAUUAGAAAAAUCCAACCCUAACCAACAAACACGCUACGAGGGUUAGUUUAAGUUAAAUUAUACGUUUCCCUAACAUGAAACCAAUCACGCUAGUCGCCACUGGUAUUACUUAAUUGAACAAUUACGGAUUCAAUCAAUUAAUCUAGCAGUAGAUUAUUAUGUUAAUUCGAAUAUUGGUUUCUUGACAUUCAAAUAACAUAACAAGUAUAAGAAGUUAAAUCAGAAAACAUACAAAUACCAAUGAAUAAAAGAAAUAAGUAAAAUAAUUCGAUAUCACAAAUGUUUGAAACCGAGUCCUCAAAUUGACCUUCGACUAGAAAACCGAGAUUUAGCUACACAUUCUCAAGGGAAAUCCACAGGACUCCCUUGAUAACCAUUUAUUCCUUCUCCAAAAACUAAUGAAAGAAUACAAAGAAAAGAGACAAGUCACGGCCGUCCCUCCCAAUUCCUAUUUUGUAACUUCUUAAGGAAAAACAAACUCCUCCCGAAAUUGCUGCUGGCCAACUCCUAAUCAAACGGGAAUUCGGCUUUUUCUCUUUUUUUUUUUUCCUAUUCAGCUUCUACUACUAAUAAUAAGAUAUGUUCCCCAAAAUAUAAAAAGGAAACUACUAAAAAUAAUAUUCCAAGUUUCCUAAUCCAAUAUUAAGACUAAUAAUGAAAAUUAAAAUCUUCAAAAUCUUCCUUUAAUAUUGCCUUGAAUUUGAUUCGGACUUGGAAACCGGUUCCGAACGUGCCACCAUCAAAUUAGUUGGAAAAUUGCCCCUUUUUGUCACGUUUUGCUCUUUUUCCUACAAUCAACACCAUUAACCAAAUAUAAGUAGAAUUUAUCAAUUAAAACAAUAUUUGACUACAAUCAAGGGGAAAAUAAUUAUAAAUCUAGCAACAAAUUAUGACCUAUCAGUAGGGAUGGCAAUGGGUUGAAUAAAAUCCAAUAUCCAUGGGUAUUCGACUCGAUGGUUAGUCUGAUAAGAUGAUUGAUGGGUUAUUGACUAGGGUUGGUGUUAACAAGAAAUUACGGAGGGUUAAUCCAAUAGGAUUUAGCACGAGAACCCUAAAAUCCCAAUACCCUAUAUAUAUAUAUAUAUAUAUAUAUAUCUAAGGUUCCAAUUUUAUCUUUCGAUAACACAUUUCUUGAUUUUGUAACCAAAUAGCAUAUAACUCUAACCCAACACAAAUUAAGACAAUUAUGAUUAAAAACAGAAGAAUGUCGAUUUAACCCUUUAUUAAAUGUUGGAUUUUUCUCAUACAAGUUCUAUGGCUUUAUCCAAGUUUAAACCUCAAUGUAGUGUUAAUUUAACAUGAUGUAUGUAUUGAUUUUAAUUUGAUAAAAAUUAAUUUUCCUUUUUUGAACUAUUCAAUUAGUGGGUAGAAGAUACCCGAUGGACAAUCUGAACUCGUAUAUAAGAGGAUUUGGUAAUGGGGAUUAAAAGCCAGAGGGUUAUUGAUAGGAUUUGAUGAAAUACUUGCAUAUGUGGAUUAAGAUUUGGUAAGAUGAAUUUUCCAGGGUACUCAACCCACUGCUAUUCCUACCAAUGUGACACCCUUUGAGCUGAUUGUGCACUUCAUCCAAGCAUUGCAGUUCUUCAUCCUCAACAUUAUCCGUAUGGCUUUGCUCAAAAUCCAAACACCUUCCAUUUUCUCAUCAUUUUCCCCGUGUCCUUGCUGAAAAUGGAAAUGGUUUCCAUUUUCUUCAACAUUUUCCUCAUGGGUUCCCUAAAAAACAAAAUGAGUUCAAUUUUCUUGAGCAUUCUCCUUGUGGGUUUACUGAAAAAUGAAAUGGUUUCCAGUUUCCUACCCGUUUUCUUCAUGGGAUUGCUGAAAAAAUUGAUGGAUCUGAUUUACUUGAACUUGUUCGAUGAACAAUGCUUGCUUCUCUUGAUAAGUUGUUCAAAGAUGAAGCUGGUGAAAGAAAGAGAUGAUUAUGUCCUUUUAAUUUUGGUCCUGUUCUUAAAUUAUGGUUAGACAAAAAUGACUUUGAUUUCAGUUUCAUUUACGUCUAAAAUGACUAGAAGUUCUUAAACUAUGCACUUUUAAUUGAUUAGGGGCCAGUCGAAGAUAAAAUUUAGAUUAGUGGACAAAACUUGACAAUGAUAAUAGUUUAGGGGCUCUUUAGAUUUUUUACUCAAAGAGAAAUUUCAUUGUACAAUAUAUAUUGGGGUUUCACAUUCUAUGUUGUAGUUUUACUAGUAUAUUAAGGCCCUAUUUGAUAACUCAAUUAGGUACUUAAAUUUAAUGAAUUCAGAUUUUAAUAUGUUCAAACGUGUUUGAUAACCAAAAAUUAAAUAUUUGAAUUAAUUAAUUGGCACUAAAUUUUUUAAGUAAAAUUUGUUUCCAAAAAUUAAUCAUAAACUAUUCAUUUAUCACUUAAUAUAAUAUACACUCAAAUAUAUCAGAUUUAGUACCUAACAAUUCAAUAACUUAAUGAAUUCAGACUUCAUAUUUUAGAUUUCAAUUUUAUCAAACGCACUCUAAGUCUUAUAGCAUGUUUUAACUACACUUGUUAUUCAUUUUCCAACGACCAUUUGUAGAUAUUAAAUACAUGGACAUGUGUUGCCUUGAUACAUGAUGUAAAUUAUGAUAGAAAACGUAAUGUUAAAAGUGCAGAAGAAAUCAAAAACCUCAACAAUUACAAAUGACACCAACCAUUAUUAGGAUGUCAAAUGAGAAAAGACGUGAUCUUAAUAUAUGGUGUAAUGAGGAGGCAAUACCAAAAGUUUAAUAGACGAGUUAAAAACUGAUCGUGUACAUGUCUUGCCUUCCACUUUGCUUUCACCUUCUGCGCUCCUUUGAAGGCAGCUCAAACACUACAAUGGAGGGUAUAAAGCCCUUUUCGAAGCGCCGAUAUCAAUCCCCAGAUUGAUGAUUUCUUGUACAUUUUAAUAAGCCUCAAUCAUUGUUCUUUCUAUUCGCCAUCUCUUUAUAUAUGAUGCCAAAACUUCCUAGUUUUGUCAGGGAAAGCUCCUAGCCGGGGAAGUUGAUAGUGGUGAGCUUCCCUCUCUUUUCACCCAUCUUAAUUGUUUUCCCGUUAUUCUUUCCUUCCCCAUUUACAUUUGUAUCUCAUACUUCAUUAUGCCAAUACAUUAAAAUCCCUGUUUCUUGAAGAUCCUUCUGCAGAUCCAAGUUGAUGGACAAUUCAAUGAAUUCGUGGUUCUCUGAAUUGGUAAACAUUUUCCAACUUUCACUGAUUAUGAUGACUUCUUUUUUCCCUCAUCAAUUAUAGACAUUGAAAAACUAAGAGGUACAGCUCCGGCCCGUGAAUGCAUUGACCACCACAGGGCUUUCCUUGCUUCUUUCAAGUAUUGUGGGUUAAAACAAAUAGCUUGCCUGUGGACUUGACAUCCCCCAAUGCCCUUAUUAUUUAGGCACUUUGUUUUAUUACUAGCUCGAAUUUCCCUUGCCUUACAAGCUAAAAAGUUUUCUGCGCAACAAAACGAAAAAAAAAAAAAAAGAAUGCUUAACAGAUUUUGUUGUCUUAACAAAUAGUUUUUCCAGAAGAAAUUUUAUGUAACAUUUUUUAAAUCCAUUGCGAAACUAGGAAAUUAUCGCUCAUUUAGUUUUUCUACAAAUACGACUGGUUAGGAGCCAAGUGCUGAGAGCAUUAGAUACAGGGAAUGGAGGAUAAAAAAUAUGAAAAACAAAAGACAAACAUGGAGGUAGGUAUAAGUUGCCUUAGUUGCUGCUUCAAAUUAUUAGCUAAGGAAUAAAUUAAUAUAAAUAUAAUUUAGUACACUUCAUGAUCUAGCAUUAAGCUUAAAUUAUGAACCAAAUAUGUGGUCAAGAAGGGUCCAAGUGUUUCAUCAAAUACGUUUAAUCUAGAUUACUUGGUGGACUAAGUAGUCAAAUAAAGUUCAGUGUCAUUAUUAACUUCCAGUUGGGCGUUGCUUUGAUUUUCUGAUACUGUAAAAUUAUAAUGUGUCCAUGUAUAUCAAAAAAGCUAAAAAAAAAAAAAAUGCAUAGGGAAGGGAAUAACGAGAGUGGUUGAUACCAAUUCAACAAAGUGUAUUAAGUCCUCUGUUUUCAUUUGCAUUUCUGAGAUGUUGCCAAGAAAUCAAUUAGGGCAUAAUCACCAAUCUCUAGUGUUAUAACAGAUGCAGCGGAACAGAAGAACAAACAAGAAUAGACAAGAACAACUUGGGGGAAAUCAGAUUUUAUUAGGGUUGUGAUUGGAAUAGUUUACAGACUAAAAUAAGGUGUAUAUAUAUACAACCAAACAUUCUGGACCCAAAAAUAGGCCCAAAACAAGAUCCAAAAUAAAACAGACACGGUAACUAAUAUAUACCGUAAGCUCAACAUCUAGGCAUCUCAACAUCUAGGUCCACACACACACACACUCUUACAAGCAAUGGACUUCCUACUAAUGAUCCAAUAAAAAUGUUGAUCGAGUUUUAAGGGCUAUGAAUCAUGAUUAUCUAUCAAAUGCUUGUAGAAUAUUCAAUCUUUCACUUUAACUACAGGAAAUGGAGGAUCCAUUUGUCGAUGAUCAAUGUGAUAUCAUGGACUAUUUUGAUGAAGAUUUCACUGCUGCACUUGGAGAAGAUCUGGAAAGCAAUUUGUCUGCUGUUUCAGCCAUGGAAGCUCCUCCAAUCAGUAUUGAAAUCCCAGCACCACAGCAGAAUUCUAAUAGCUGUAACUCGGCAGCCACCCUUGAAAACAUGCCAAAUCAUCACAAUCAGCCAAUCAUCCUUACUUUUGGGAAUCCAAGCACGCCAGAAAUAAAUCCUCAACCAUUAAAUCUAAAGGAUGAUGGAGUAGUGUCUGAGGUUUUGACAUCCCAUGGUUCAUUUGUAAAUCUUGAGGAGGCAGCCCAAAAUGCACGGAAGAAAAAGAAAACAGGCGGCCGGGUUAGGCCAGCAUCGCAGAUUCGUGAUCACAUUUUAGCAGAAAGAAAGCGCCGCGAGCAGCUCAGCCAGGGAUUUGUAGCUCUAUCGGCCAUUGUUCCCGGCUUCAAGAAGGUUUGUAGUAUUUCCAAGAAUCCAAUUUUUUAAAUAAAGAAAAUAAACAGACAAAAAUUUUUCUAUCAUUGUGAUAUUUCAAAUGUUUAAUGCAACCAAAUUUUGUGAUGUCAUGUCUCACGUCAAAGGGGGCUAAUUUAAUUAAUCCCACGACAAGUUAUUCAAAUAUAAAGUGUGCUGUUGAUUUUCCGGAUCGCGAUUACUAUAAAGAAACAGCAUAACCUUCUAUCAUUGCUCUCUCUCUCUCUCUCUUAUACACAACUACUCUAUUAGUAGUUGUUUUUAGCCACUAGGCUUAAUUUUGCUUUUUUUUUUUUGGAGCUUCACAUAGUUUUGGUUACCAAGAUCUUAUUCUUAUUGCAGAUGGAUAAAACUUCUUUUCUUGGAGAUGCUAUCAUUUACUUGAAACAUCUUCAGGAAAGAGUGAAGACGCUCGAGGAGCAGGUUGCGCAACAAACCAUGCAAUCUGUCGUUCUAGUGAAGAGAUCACAGCUUUUAGUUGAAGAUGAAGGAUCUUCUGAUGAUACGGGCGGCCCUGAUGAGCAGCCACUCCCGGAAAUAGAGGCAAAAAUGUGCAAUAGGAACAUUCUUCUCAGGAUUCACUGCGAAAAGCAUAAAGGGGUUCUGGUUAAAAUCCUUUCCGAGGUAGAGAAACACAAUCUUGCUGUCAUGAACACGUGCGUGGCUCCGUUCGGAAAUUUCGCUCUUGAUAUUACCAUAAUUGCUGAGGUGAGUUUAGCAGUCAGAGAAUUUUUUUCCUUGGGAUUUUGUUUACAUGAAUAUUGAAUGUGAUGAUACAUGGUUACACAUAAAGAAUUGCAGCAGAAGUGAGGUAGACUUCCACAUGCUAGAAGCAAGGUAAAAAUAUUGAAAAAGAGAUAUUGUUGCUGGGGGAUUUGAAGUUUUGAACCAGCAAAUCUCACCCCGAGAGAGCUAGUCACCAAUUUUUAUGUUCGAUAAUCUAUUAGUAAAUUUCAAUGUUUACAAUUUGUUCUAAGUAUUGAUUUCAUUAAAUCUUUCCAGAUGGAAAAAGAAUUCAGCCUGACAAUCCAAGAAUUAGUUAAAAUUCUUGGAUCCGCUGUCCAUCGGGGGACGGUGGCCGAUUAAGAGCCCCCGGUUGGACCGCCAAGAGAACUGUUCCAUAUCCUAUGGGAUCCGACAGAUGCAAUGGUGAAGAAGACAGACGACGUUCACAGGCCAUACUUUGAGAUUGACAACAUAUGGAUGCCUAUGCAUAUUAGUACUUGCCCGGUUUUAAUGAUCAGGAAUGAAAAUUACUAUCAAGAUUAGACUAAAAAAAAAAUAAAAGGCCUACCUCCUCGAGGGUCUCGUGAGCUUUCGAUUGAUUUUCGUGUGUAGCUAUUUGGCAUUGCACGUAGACGAUACAAAUAUACAAAAUGUUACUGGUUCCCUUUAGAUUACAUUUUUAUGAGGUAUUUUGGUAAAUUUUUGGGUUUGUUAAGAUUUUUUUUUUUUGGUGUUUUCACAAAUUUUGAUUUGUUUCGACUAUUUUGAGUAGCUUUAGAAGCUUUUGAUGUAGACAUUGUAACACUUGUUACGAUUUAAUGUAUAGUUGUAUGUAAUAAUUAUAAUAAUAAUACUAAUAAUAAAAGGUGUUACAAAAGCAAAAAAUGAUUGUAGCACUGCUAGCAUAUCCUAUCUUAAGGAAUUUUCUUCAGUUGAUAUUCCACUUAUUAGGGCCCAUUAAUUUGAUGAUGAAAGGUUUUCUUUUUUCUUUUAUUCCCUUCAUAAUCAAGAAAAAGAAUAAUUGUUUCUUUUAUUUCCUAAUGUUCAAUCAAAAUCAAAACAUGAGAUGUUCUUUACAGUAAUACACGGCUUAUGAUUAACGACUUAGUCAAUCCACGUGUUUAGAAAGCCAUUAUUAGCUGAUGUCUGAUGAUUAGAAAGAAUUGACAAAGUCUGCAUUCUGGUCAUUGAUUGAUGAAUCUCACAAGUCGUGUGGACAGUACUCUUCGACACCAUGUGAUACUCUCGGGUGCUACAACGUGUUAAAGUACACUUUGAUGCCCACAACAGCAAUGAGAUGUUUUUGCAUGAUGAAUCUUGAGUAGCCAAAUACUUGCUAAUAUAUUUCAAUUACCAAGAACUAUACAAGUUUGAAUAGCCAUGUUUGAACUAUCAAUGCUCUUGCAUUCAACAUUAUCUUUAUUCCAGUUACAUAUUGAAAGCGGUUGAAAAUGGAAUAGGGUGUGGCAUAUAACUGAAACGAAUGGAAUGGAUGGCUGGUGAUUGAGGAUUAUGCGUACGAAGCAACCAGUAUUGUGGUAGGAUUUGUAAGCACCUGUGCGGAACUAUCGCAGUAAUUUGUUGGGGUUACUAAUACAUCUAACUCUACUCUACUAGCCAUCAAUGUUUUUAAAAUCAGAUGGGAGAGGGAAUUGAAGGAGCUUUUAGUUCACGAUUCAACCGGUUUGAUUGAUUCAACUCCGAUAUAAAGGUUUAAUAAUUUUUUAUUUAUUCUGGUAUUAAUAAUUUUAAUAAAAUUGAAAUAUUUGUAAAGAUAAAAAUUUAGCGAAUUUCAGUUCAAAAUCUCUGUUUCUACCCAUUUUUACCAUUCCAAUCGAUUCUUGAUCAAGUUUAGUUGAUUUCAUUGAAUUUUUGAAUUAACUAUUGACUCGAAUUAGAAGUAUAAUCAAUUUGUUCUUCCAUUAAUUGAACCGACUAGUCUAAUCCGAUUUUCAAAAUAGUAGUAGUCAUGGUAAUGGUCUUUCUCAAGAGAAACUUUGCAAUAUCCACUUAACUAGUACAUUGUAGCUAGCAUUACCCUUUGGUCCGUGACAGGUGCCGAACCUGUGCAAUAAUAAAUACCUGCUCAAACAAAAUAUAAUUUCUGUAUAUAGCGGUAAGCAGGGUCGAAUCCACAGGGACUGGGGAAAAUUUAAUUUCUUCUCAAGUUUCAGAUAUGGGGGGUUUUUGAAAAUGAGAGUAACUAAAUUACUUGGAAUGAAUUAAAAUAAAAUAAAAUAACUACAACUCAAAUAACUAAUUAUCACAAUAAAAAUAAUAAUGGACGAACUCUAGCCAAGAGACAACUUCGGAGAUGGUUCACUUAAUUCGAUCACAGAUGCAAGGAUUAUUCCAAUUACAAUCUGAUAAAUUAGUUAUAGUUGUCAUACACGCGAUAAACAACCAACUCUUCCUCAAUUUGUCGAUAGCCAAGGUACGACCGUUGACUAUUUCUCUAAUCAGGAAAUAACCCUAGGUACGACCAUAGAAGUUCAAUUCCCUAAUUGCAUGAAUAAUUAGAAGAGCCUAAUUCUAACCAAUCAACACGCUACGAGGGUCUCUUUAAGUUAGCCUGUCUAUCUCCCUGACACAAACCCAAUCAUGCCAGUUGCCACCAGUUUAGGAUAAUUAAACAAUUACGGAUUUAACUACCCUAAUUGGCUUCAGGUUAUUGAAUUAAUCUAGAAUCCGGGCCCUGGAUAAUCGAAUAACAAAACAACCAUAUGAACAUAAAGCAGAAGAUAGACAAAUACCAGUGAAUAAUGGAAAUAAAUAAAAACUAAUUCGAUCUCACAAAUUUAGUAGAACCAAAUCCUCCGUUGUUCUUGACUAGACAAACUUAGCCACGCCUCAUGAGAAAAUCUUCAAGUAAUUUCAUUGAGGUCCAGGCCAUCAAAAGAGCCAAGAAAGAAAAAGAAAACUAAAACUAUGCUAAAAACUAAGCUAAAACUCGCCCUUCAGCCUUUCUUACUAUUGUCCUUAUAUAGCCAAAAGGAUACAUGACACAAGGCUUUCCUUUAUCCCGUGGUCCCCGCACGAAUUGAGAGUCCAAUUCCAAUUUUACAAGCCUUGUACGUUUCUUUCUCAUUUUAAAGUCCAAAAGGAAUGAUGACUCCAAAUGCUCUUAUCCCGUGGUCCCCGCUGAGAUUGAGAGUCAAACAAACUCAUAAGAAAAGCCUGCCGAAUUACUCCUUGUUUCCUAAUGUUCCUAGGACUCCUUGUACCAGCCUUCUCUUCAUCAGCUCAAAAGGGAAGCCGUUUGUUUGAUCUCUUGUGGGACACGUUGAGGGAGCUUCGCAGGAGACUCCCACUUGUGAAGUAAUUUGCUUCAAAAAGUCCCUGCUUUUUGUAGUUUUCUGCUCCAUUCCCUGGAAUUAAGUCCAGAUACCAAAUAUAAGUAAAUAUCAACAAUUAACACAAUAUUUGAUACGAACAAAAGGGGAAAUUAAUAAUAAAAUUGCAAACAAAUAAUGCCCUAUCAAUUCCCCCCACACCUGAAUCAGGCUUGCCCUCAAGCAUGAGAAUAGCAUUUGAAUACCAAAAUUUUGACAAUGACUAUCGCUCCAACUACCGUAUUGCCAAGAUACCCAGAAAAACAUACAUCAAGCAUCACAGGUCAAGAUCAAAGAAAAUUACUCCGGUUAGCUUCCCAACCACCAACUUCUCCAAUUUAAAACAAGCUAAUCUAAGAAAAAGGAAUGGUUGUUCACAUUUAUCAGCAAAUGGUCCAACUACUAACCAAAAUCUCGACAUUAAGAUUACAAACCGGCAAGCUGACUUAUUCACACACUAACACAAUCUUUAUUUCACUUUUUUUUUUCCUUUUUGUUUUUUUUGUUAUUUUAUUUUAUUUUUUUUUUUUGUUUUUUUUUUUUUGUGAAUAACAAAAGACUUAAUCUAUAGCCAUUAGAGCCUUUUGACGCGAACUCCAACAUUUCACAGAUGGAGGAGCCCGGUUACUCAACUCCAAUCGCUACGGGACCACGCACUCAUAGUAACUACUACCUUUUGACGCGAGAAUCGAUACUUUAGGUGAAGAUCCCCGGUUACUCAAUAGUAAUCACUAGCGGAGUACAGUCAACUCUUAUUUAUAACCAUAUAGCACAAAAAAUAACAGCAGCCAGCCUCAAAUUUCCAAACAUGGAGAACUAAAAUUAAUAAAUGGACCAAUUCACAUGAAAAAUGCCAACAAUCAUUCCCCAUGCUUAGAAGAGUUAACCAAAAAUAGGAAAAGUUAAGCAAUUAUUGAUAUUCACCAAAGAGAUAUUCCUGAACUCAACCACAUCAACUUGAUACCUUUUUAAUAAACUUGGCAAUAGCAAAAUUAGAGACAACCAUCCGGUAUCAAAACUUGGUAUUCAUAUAAAAACUGACCACUAGGAAAAGAAAAGAAAAGAAAAUAAAUGAAAAGGAGAUAAAUAUCCGACUUAAAACAAAGGAAAAAACACCUAAAAAAAAUCGAAAAUUGAAAAUACUAGCACCCAAAACUGACCCCCCACACCUAAUUCACACAUUGCCCUCAAUGUGAUAAAUACAGUAAUAGUAAGCAAAAGAGCAACGGUACUUCCCUGAAAUCACGGGGACCAUGGCGGGGCCACAGCAGUGGGUGAGGCGAGGGAUGGUUGAGUUGGGUUGGAGUAGGCUAAGGUCAAGAGGUUCUGGACCAAGAAGAGAACCUUGAUCUCACUAUUGCCGCAAAUUAGCAAUUUAAAGCCCUGAGCAAUUUAAGCCCAACAAGUCAAUCAAUACCAGAAAAUCAUUCCAAACAAUGUACCAGUUAAACUCCACGGGCAAAGGACGUCCAACCAAUUUCACUCAAGCAAACUAGGAGCAAUGCGACUGAUUAAACAAAGCAACAAAUUUCAGCAAGUGGACACAAAUUCAGCCAAGAUCUCAACAACUGGUUUCAACUUGACAGCCAAUUACCCAAUCUAAAUUCCAGCAGCAACCGAAUAUUAUUCGAUCAAAUUCCAAGAAUUUCAGGCAAUCGCCGUGACCAGUACCACUGGUGCAUAUACAAGAAGGGAUGAAAUCAAACGGCCAGCAAUAUAGCAGCAAUAACAAUAGGCAAAAAAUCUCAACCAGUACCACUGGUGAGUCACAGGGAAAAAUUAAAUUCAAUAACAAACCCCAACCAACAAAAUGCACACUGUAGGCACCCAAGGUCGAGACAAACUUCUCAACAAAGCAUCAAUUAUAGGCACUAAGCAAUUAGGGUCCCAACGUAGUCAAGCACAACAACAAGUCAGCCCAUCAAUUCAAUUAAUAGCAGAAAACACCCCCACAGAUAGCAACAAUCAAACUCAAUUCCGUCCAAACUGAUUCCGCAGAAAUUACCCAAUGAAUUUAACUGCUCGAAACGCCCUCACAGAAAACCAACCCCAAAAUGUGCAGGAGAAACCCCAAAUAAAUCAGCAGAUGAUAAAUCAAGAAAAUUAUCCCAAUUGCAAAUCAAUUCCAGCAAUUAGUUUCUAGAAAUUGCGAAGGGGGAAGGGCAAGCAAUACCUCCACCUGUCAAUUUUUGACAGGUGGCGAAGGUGCGGCGAAGAGGAAAAGGUGAGAGAGGGGGUCGCCUGCGCGGUGGUACUGGAGGCGUCGGCUGGGCGUCGAGCGGCGAUGGUGGCGUGCUGCUACUGCGCCUGGGGGUGCGCGCAAGGAGCUCCGCUGCUGCUAGCGGCGGACGAGAUGAAGCUUCCGGCGGCGGUGGUGGCGUGCUAGGUGGAAAAAGGUGCGGUUGGUGAAAGUCAACAGGCUUGCUGGCUCGGCUGCGCGCUGGUGGAGGUUGGUGGUGACCGCGAGGGGAGGCCGGAGCUGGUGGUGGCGCGCGAUGCUGCCGCGCGGGAGAAGGGGCCGCGUGCGGGCGGCGAUGGCGACUGGGCAGUGUGGUUUGUGCGAUGGAAGAGAGAGGACUAGCGGCGUGGGUUGGUGGAGGCCUGGAGGCGAUGGUGGAGGCGCUGGUGGCAGACAGCAACGGCGGAGAUGUGCGCAGAGCUGGAGUGCGGCGUGCUGGUGGCGCGGCUGUCGCGGAGCUCGGGUAGGCGGCGGCUCUGGUUGAAGGAACAAGAGAAAAGGGGAAAGCAGGGGCAGCGGGGAAGAAGGAAGAAAGAAAAGAAAGAAGAAAAGAAAGAAAGAAAGAAGAAAAGAAGAAAAAGGGAAUUGUUUUUUUUUUUUGUAAUAAUAAAAUUUUUAAUUUUUUUUUUUUAGAGGGACUCCUGUCUUAGGCGUGGGCACGUCUAACUGCUAUAGAGUCCGCAGAUCCUGAACGAGAAUUUCUUUCCCUCAAGCGUGACCACCUGGCGUGGGCACACUUAACCGCUAUGGAGUCCGCAGAACCUGAGCGAAAAUUUCUUUUCCUCAGGCGUGACCAUCUGGCGUGGGCACGCCUAACCGCUAAUUUCCUGCCACCAAUCAUCAAACCAUUAAUUGACACUAACACUUAACUAAAACUUCAAAAAUGCAUGAAAACUAAAACAAAUAGUCUUGGGUUGCCUCCCAAGUAGCGCCUUUCUUUAAUGUCUUUGGCUAGACAUUUUCAUGUGUAUUCAUGGAGGAUAAAAUCUUGUGGCUCGUUUCAGUACUUCAUCUUCUAUGUAAUCCUGAUAACCCUCGUAAAUAGAGUAAUUCUUGAGCACACGAGCUACGGGCUUCCAUGGACUAGUAAAUGGCGCCAAACAAGUCAACGAUAAUUUGCAUUCUCCACUCUCUCCUCCAUCACACGCCUUUAUCGGUUCAAGAUAUUUGACCAUCGUAGCUCUUAACUUAUUCCUGUCAUGAAACUCAAAAUCGUCUGGUAUGAUAAAAUCAAUCUCACUAACAGGAAUUAAAGAAUAUGAGUCAGGAAAAUAUUGAUCAAGAAAUGGAGGAGAUGUCACCGCAUUUGGAGAUUGUUCACUGGAUUCAUUCACUUGAACCAUUUGAUGUUGGGGUCUCAAUUUUUGCUCUUCAACUUUCUUUUCAACUGCAUCUUUAGAUUCCUUCUUCUUGAGACUCUUGCAGUACCAUGUCAUUUGUCAGAAUAAUUGCACUCUCAUCUUCCUCAUGGUCGAUAAUAGUUUGUGAGGGCAAUUCUUCACUCAUUCGAGAAGCCAAUGACGUUAUCCUAAAUGUCAAUUGAUCCAUUUGAUCUGCUAGGUUACGCCUGCUCACUUGUGUCUCCUGUUGAAUUUGAUAUGUUAAUUCAACUAUCUCUUCAAGAGACAUACCUGACAUAGAUGAUGAUUCUUGAGACUCAUACUGCUGAAAAUUCAUUGGCCCUGUUGUAUAAUCAUAACUGGAGUUAUCCCACCAUCCUUGAUCAUACCCGUUUGGAUUAGCGUUAUACCACGUUUGAGACCAGGGUGAAAAAUCUCCAUAAUUAUUGAAUGGGACACUCAGAUUAUCUUGAUAUUCGGGGCACAUACCGGUUGAAUGAUCCCUGGCAUAACAAAUUUCACAGGUUGCAGCAGCCAUUCUUUUUUUAAUAGAGUUUAUUGCCUCUAAGUAUGCAAACUUAGAAAAACAAUCAAUCUCAUUGCCUUCCCCAAAAACAAAAUCCAGUAUAUCACCAAAAUACGGAGUGUUAGAAGCCAUAAACUAUAUAAUAAAAAAUAAGAGAAAUAAAUUAAAAAUGAAAACAAGGUGAACUCAAAAAGAAACAAAUUAAUCUGACACCAGUCCCCGGCAACGGCGCCAAAAAUUGACAGGUGCCGAACCUGUGCAAUAAUAAAUACCUACUCAAACAAAAUAUAAUUUCUGUAUAUAGCGGUAAACAGGGUCGAAUCCACAGGGAUUGGGGAAAAUUUAAUUUCUUCUCAAGUUUCAGAUAUGGGGGGUUUUUGAAAAUGAGAGUAACUAAAUUAAUUGGAAUGAAUUAAAAUAAAAUAAAAUAACUACAACUCAAAUAACUAAUUAUCACAAUAAAAAUAAUAAUGAACGAACUCUAGCCAAGAGACAACUUCGGAGAUGGUUCACUUAAUUCGAUCACAGAUGCAAGGAUUAUUCCAAUUACAAUCUGAUAAAUUAGUUAUAGUUGUCAUACACGCGAUAAACAACCAACUCUUCCUCAAUUUGUCGAUAGCCAAGGUACGACCGUUGACUAUUUCUCUAAUCAGGAAAUAACCCUAGGUACGACCAUAGAAGUUCAAUUCCCUAAUUGCAUGAAUAAUUAGAAGAGCCUAAUUCUAACCAAUCAACACGCUACGAGGGUCUCUUUAAGUUAGCCUGUCUAUCUCCCUGACACAAACCCAAUCAUGCCAGUUGCCACCAGUUUAGGAUAAUUAAACAAUUACGGAUUUAACUACCCUAAUUGGCUUCAGGUUAUUGAAUUAAUCUAGAAUCCGGGCCCUGGAUAAUCGAAUAACAAAACAACCAUAUGAACAUAAAGCAGAAGAUAGACAAAUACCAGUGAAUAAUGGAAAUAAAUAAAAACUAAUUCGAUCUCACAAAUUUAGUAGAACCAAAUCCUCCGUUGUUCUUGACUAGACAAACUUAGCCACGCCUCAUGAGAAAAUCUUCAAGUAAUUUCAUUGAGGUCCAGGCCAUCAAAAGAGCCAAGAAAGAAAAAGAAAACUAAAACUAUGCUAAAAACUAAGCUAAAACUCGCCCUUCAGCCUUUCUUACUAUUGUCCUUAUAUAGCCAAAAGGAUACAUGACACAAGGCUUUCCUUUAUCCCGUGGUCCCCGCACGAAUUGAGAGUCCAAUUCCAAUUUUACAAGCCUUAUACGUUUCUUUCUCAUUUUAAAGUCCAAAAGGAAUGAUGACUCCAAAUGCUCUUAUCCCGUGGUCCCCGCCGAGAUUGAGAGUCAAACAAACUCAUAAGAAAAGCCUGCCGAAUUACUCCUUGUUUCCUAAUGUUCCUAGGACUCCUUGUACCAGCCUUCUCUUCAUCAGCUCAAAAGGGAAGCCGUUUGUUUGAUCUCUUGUGGGACACGUUGAGGGAGCUUCGCAGGAGACUCCCACUUGUGAAGUAAUUUGCUUCAAAAAGUCCCUGCUUUUUGUAGUUUUCUGCUCCAUUCCCUGGAAUUAAGUCCAGAUACCAAAUAUAAGUAAAUAUCAACAAUUAACACAAUAUUUGAUACGAACAAAAGGGGAAAUUAAUAAUAAAAUUGCAAACAAAUAAUGCCCUAUCAGUCCGAUUAUAAACACUUGAAAAGUAUUUACGCGAAUUCCUUUCAAUUAUUCACCUCUAAAGAGGCAACUUAUUCUUGAUGUUGGUGAAAACAAUCGAAAGAGCCAAGAAGUAAUUUGCGGUUCAAAUGGAGUCGCAUGUCUUACGUGAUUGGCUUGAACCAUGAGUGCGAAUCUACUCACAAUCUAGUUCGAGCAAGUUAAGGUGCGGUCUAAUUUAUGGAUUUUGUACCUUUGGCUUUUUGUGUUUGAUUCAUUUUUUUAAAAAGGGAAAGAAAAUGAUAGGCAGAGAAAGGGAAUGAUAGGUCAAAAGUGGACAAAAAUGGAGGAAAUAAAAUCUCUCUUUCAUUGAUUUACUUUUACUGGUUAAAUAACGUACGUAAUUCUUUCAUUUAUUUUGUUUGUUUUUCCUUUUUACAUGAUUGAAAUCACUCUCUAUUUUUCUUUUUUCUCGUUAAGAAGAUGAAAAUCUGAUUAGUAACUUUAAGAAUCACUUCUAGAAAUCUUUAGGCAUCACACCUAAAAUUAGAAUGUAUCACACAAUUCCAAAAAAAGACAUUGAGUCUGCAAAAAAAAUUUAUUAAUGAUAAAUUUAUUAACGAAUAUAUAUAUAUAUAUAUAUAUGCAUAUCUAAAAUAUAUAAAAGGGGGAACGUCCAUUUGCUACAGUCCAUCCAUGGGCCGGUUUCGGUGGUAAUUCUCAUGAGUUCGUGGGUUAUUUUGGUCUUUCCACCGUAUAUGCCUUGCAAUAGGUUGUUGCUUGUUUUCUCCAUAAAAGGGGGAACGCCCAUUUGCUACAGUCCAUCCAUGGGCCAGUUUCGGUAAUAAUUCUCAUGAGUUCGUGGGGUAUUUUGGUCUUUCCACCGCAUAUGCCUUGCAAUAGGUUGUUGCUUGUUUUCUCCUUCUAUUGCUUCUGUUAUUACAAUCACAGAUCAGAAAUCAGAAAUCGGAAAUUAUAUAUUAUAAUUAUAAUGGCCAACAAAGAUAUUGCACUUUAAUGACCCUGUACCGUGCAGUCUUCAAUGUUUCCAUCUUCCCAACUUUCUGCUCCAUCCAUGCAAUCCACAUAUAUAAAAAUGGAAUCUAUUUACUCUAUUGCCCUUGUCUAAUGUUAAGUUGACUAUUUCUCUUGUAAUAUUUAUCUUUAUAAUAUAACUGUAGUGUGCGUAUAUAGGUCUUUGCCCUUAUGAUACAUUUGUGCACGUGUGUAUUUCACGUACCCUCCCCUCAACUGUUUAACUUUGUACAACAAUCUGAAUUGGUGAUUCCUUGCGCACUCUUUCAUGUUGCUCAUUAAUUACUGAUAGUGACGGUCUAUCAAGUAGUCAUUUUUAGUCACUUAUAUUUAUCCUUUUUCACCCCACUAUAUACGUUUUCUCCACUUUUUAUUACCAAUUAUCCGGUAAUUUUCCUAUCCCACAGUUGUCAUCAUGCCCUUUGAAUUUUUUCCUCUCAUGCUUUUUUCCUCCCGUUUAUACAUGUUUACUUCCACGUGUUCUUUUUUUACCACUCCUGUUUGCACUUCGUUUCUUUUUCCUUCUCUGAAAGCCACCCAGUCAGUAGCCGUCUCUGUGUUCCUUGCUGUUCAUCUUCGUUUUUGCUCCUCCACUCACCAUGACUUCCAUCUUGGUGCUGUUCUUUUGUUCUUUACUAUAUGUUUUAUAGUUCCGCUAGAUGUUUAUCUUCAUCAUCUUACCCAUGGUUCCAGCAAAGAAUAUUCUAUCUAUUGCAUAUUUGUCUAGGUGUUAGCCAUUUACUUCUGCCUUUUGCAUAUCAUCUUUUUUUUCCUUAUAAUUCUUUGUAUUUUUUGCUCAGGUCAUCGAACAACAACGUUUUGCUAACUGUUAAAAGUCAGUAAGAGAAACCAAUUUCUUUCCAUUACUUUUUGCUGAUCACUCAAAGUUGCGAAGCCGAACCAGUUCUUUGCGCCGGUAACUGGUAUGCACACGACUCUUACCCAUAACUCUUCCAUGAUACGUUUGCUUUUUCUGCCCAGUUCCGUUCUUAAGAAUCAUGCGAACGUCUUUUACUUAUUAUUUUUUUGCUAUGCAUGUAAUCAUUAUCUAAUGUAUAUAAUGUUUUGGUAACUUACACGUGAAAACGAUAUAAUCAUCCUUCUGUUUCAUAUUUUUUAUUAUCCAGUUAUAGCAACUAUUAUUUUUAUUCAUUUUAUAGCUUUCCUAUAGUUUGUUUGUGACCAUGCCGCGAAAAUGAAAAUAUACUUCGUAUGAAGAAAUGUGUCUACACAAGAAUCAUCGUCGUAGGGAAGCUAAGGCGUCUAUGCUUGACCCAAUGGUUCACACUAAAAAUCCAGCUAAACUUGAAAGCAACAAUAUUGUAUCCUCGACUCCAGUAUCUCUACUUUCUGAGAAUCAACUGUCUGAUGCUUCAGAAAACAUAAGCCUAUCGCUUCCUAUGCUAUCCGAACAUGUCCUCAAAACAUCUGACAUACCUUCAGCAAGUAAGACACUUCGUUUAGUCGUCCAUAUAUACUCCAUCUAACAAAGCAUUCAGUACACCAAUUUUCUUUAAAAAAUAUAUAUUGAUGUCUUGUCUAAGAAUCUUUGUCCAUCAAUAAUGCAGCCUGUUCAUCUUCUAACAACCAUGUCUGCUGUGAUGUUAUAAAUGGACCGACUAAUGGAGGUAUUUAUACCUUUAUCACUGCUAUAACUUCUCCCACUAUUGAAUAUUUGUUUCGUGCAAAUUUUCCUAAAUACAUUCGUCCAUCUUUUACAUUUUACAUCCAGUUCAACAACAAAUAGUCUUUCCUAGCUCUCAAAUGACCAGCAACAUGCCAAAACAAAAUGCUGGUAUAUAUGAAAACUCUAUCUAUUGCCUAAGAUACUCAAUAAAUGUAUCUAUAUCUACAACAUGUAAUUGAACAGUCUCCCAUUCUUAGGUCAUCAGCAAAAGGUCAAAAAAAAAAAACAAUGGAUUGAUAGGAUUCCUACUCAACCCUCUGUUUUACCUGUUGUCCAAGAUUGUGUUUUUUGUGGUGCUAAACGUUUCUACCAUGAGCCACCUGGUUUUUGCUGUGCUUCCGGUGAAAUUCGAUUAGUUGAGACAGAGAUGCCAGCUCAGUUAGCAAAACUGUACACUGCUAAUACUCCUGAAGCAAUCGAAUUUCACCAAUGUAUUAGAAGCUAUAACAAUAUGUUCGCAUUCACGUCUCUGGGAGUUCAUUCUGAUAAAGAGUUGAAUAAGAGAGACAGAGGAAUCUAUGCAUUCAGAGUACAGUGCCAAAUGUACCAUUUUCUCAAUCCCCUGGUUCCAAUGGACGGCCACAAACCAUCAAAUGUAUAGUUAUACUAUUUUGAUACUGAGCAUGAAAUUGCGAAUCAGAUGGCCAUUUCUAAUAAAUUUCAAGAAACUAUUCUAGAAUAGCUGCAGCAAAUUCUGGAUCACAAUCCAUACGCAGCAUUUUUUCGCAGUUUAAGAAGCUUUGAAGACAUUUAUAACCAUAAAGUUUUCUUAAACUUGCACCCUUCUCUAGACCAGUGUGUGUAUAAUACUCCAACAGUCUCUCAAGUGGCUGCCAUAUGGACAGAAAAUGACCUUAAUAUAGAAGAUUCCUCUCAGCAUAUACAGGUCUAUCCAAGGAGUGGUAGACCACAAAUCAUUAAACACUAUUUUGGAUGUUAUGACACGUUACAGUAUCCCUUAAUUUUUGCAAGAGGUGAGACUGGAUGGCAUGAAGGUAUACAAAGAAUUUUUAAAAAUCAACAGUCUGUACAAGAUUCCAUGACAUGUCAGGGCCAUGAUAUCCAUAUAGGCCAUUAUUCUUCUGCAGAGGAAAUAAUUUCAGCUGAGAAUGCAGGUAAUUAAUAAAAUAUGAUAUGUCUUAUGUAUAGUCCUUACUACUAUCUUUUUCUCAUCCACAUAGUCUAUCAUACCUUUUGCCAACUUCAUUGUCUUGCACCAAUUUUGCAGAAAAAAAGGAGCACUGUCUCUUGUCGUGACUACUAUUGCUACAAGUUUCAAAUGCGCCAAAUUGACAAAUCCUUAAUACUGCACUGUGGGAGACUCUUCCAGCAAUUCUGUAUCGAUACAUAUGUCAAGAUAGAAUUAGCAAGCUGGGUUUUAAUCGAAAUAGGCAACGACAGAUCAGAACAGAUGUUUACUAAGGAAUUUUAGACAGCAUUUCAAAUGGAGAAACCUCUAUAUCAAACGUUGGUAAACGAAUAUAUUUGCCUGCUUCUUUUAUUGGAGGUCCUCGAGAUAUGAAACUAAGAUACAUGGAUGCCAUGACGCUGGUUCAAAAGUAUGGAAAACCUGACAUAUUCUUAACAAUGACCUGUAAUCCAGCUUGGCCUGAGAUCAAGAAGCAUCUGUCUGAUGGCGAAGAAGCACACAACAGACCUGAUGUAACAUCAAGAGUAUUUCGUGCCAAACUAGAGAUGCUCAAAAAUGAUAUUAUCAAAAAAGGGCUUUUUGGCAAAGUAGCAGAUACAUGUAUGUUAUAGAAUUCCAGAAAAGAGGCCUCCCACACGCACAUUUUUUGAUAAUCCUUGCAAAUAGAUGCAAAUUAAACUCACCUGAAGCUUAUGAUCGAGUUACAUCUACAGAAUUACCGGAUCCAGAUCCUUUCCCUUACCUCCAUUCUGUUAUGGUUGCUCAUAUAUUGCAUGGACCAUGUGGAACAGCUAAUAAAAACAGCCCAUGUAUGAAGCAAAAUGGAAAAUGCAGAUUUGCCUAUCCAAAGGAGUUUGCUGAAUUCACGAGACAUAAUAAGGAUUCGUAUCCUCUUUACAUGCGCCGUCAUGAUGGAAACACUGUCACAGCUCGUCACUUCCAGAUUGACAAUCGUUGGGUUGUUCCCUACAAUCCAUACUUACUUGCCAAGUAUGAUUACCACAACAAUGUUGAAGUUUGUUCCACAAUUGAAGCUGUUAAAUAUAUUUACAAAUAUAUCUACAAAGGACACUCAAAGAUCCUGUAUCAGCUCAAUGCAGCAGAGAAUGAUGGAGCAAUUGACGAAAUAAAAAACUUUCAAUCUGGACGUUGGAUAUGUGCACCAGAAGCAACAUGGCGAAUAUUUGUUUUCGACCUCAGUAACUUGAAUCCAUCUGUCAUGGCACUACAGAUACAUUUAGAAGGAGAACAGUCAAUGGUUUUCAAUGAGGAUGAUAUUCUGGAGAGACUUGCAGUGGAUGAACGAAUGUCACGAACUAUGCUAACAGAAUUUUUUCGGAUGAACAGUUUAGAUGCACGUGCACAAGCCUUAAAAUGUCUUUAUAAAGAAUUUUCUCAGCAUUUUGUAUGGAAUGCAACUCACAAAAUAUGGGAACCGAGACAAAAAAGAAGCACAAUUGGAAGACUAACUGCAGUGCAUCCAACUCAAGGUAAAAAGUACUACUUACGGAUGUUACUAAUGCAUGUCAAAUGGCCUAUGUCUUAUGAAAGUCUAAAACACAUUGGUUCAAGAACAGCUUCAACUUUCAGAGAAGCUGCAGAAAUUCUAGGCUUAUUAAAGACUGAUGAUAGGGCAGAACAAUGUUUACUUGAAGCUGUAUCAUUCCAGAUGCCUUCUACUCUCCGUCACUUGUUCGCUCUCAUUAUGGUCCAUGUACUACCUCCUAAUCCAAUGUUGCUAUGGCAGAAAUUUGAACCAUACCUGUCUGAAAAUAUUUCUAGAGACAAGUCUUUAUCACCUGAGCAGACAAAACUAAAAGUUCUCCAGCUUAUUGACUCUCACCUGCAAUAUAUGGGCAAACAUCUUGCUGAUUUCAACAUAGCUGUCCCUGACACUGAUGCCUUUUCCAUUCAAAGAGACACACAAGAAAUAGGGGCCGAGCUCGACAUCAAAGUUUUUGCUGAAGACAUAGCAUCAGUUGCUCUUCUUAAUGAUCAUCAACAAUCUGCUUAUAAUAAAAUCAUCAAUAGAAUUGACAACAACAUAGCAGGAGCUUUUUUUAUAGAUGGGUCAGGAGGAACAGGCAAAACAUUCUUAUCAAAGACUUUAUUAACAACUGUGAGGUCUAAAGGCCAAAUUGCAUUAGCCACAGCAUCAUGCGGCGUUGCUGCUUCCAUUCUUCCAGGAAGACGUACAGCUCACUCUCGAUUUAAGAUUCCAAUUCAUGAGGACAAUGACAGUGGCUGUAAUGUUAACAAACAAAGUAGCAGUGCAAGAUUGAUCAAGCAAGCCAAACUCAUCAUCUGGGACGAAGCAACAAUGGCCAAAAAAUAUGCUAUUGAGUGCUUUGAGAAGCUACUAAGGGAUAUAAUGAACUCAGAUACAGUAUUUGGUGGCAAGGUUAUCGUAUUUGGUGGUGACUUCCGCCAGACAUUACCUAUUGUCAUCAAAGGGUACAAAGAAGAUUACAUUUCUGCCAGCUUGGUAAAAUCUUAUGUUUGAAACCAUCUUGAAAAACUCCGCCUGGUUGAAAACAUGCAUGCACAUUUAGAUAAACCAUUUUCAGAUUUUCUUUUGAGUCUUGGUAAUGGAACUUUGCCUUGCUUUGAUGACUCCAGAAUAACAUUGCGACACUAUCUUACAAUACCUUUUGUUGAUGAUCAAUCUUCACUUUCUGUUCUAAUCACCAGUGUCUUUCCUGACCUCAUAGCAUUUGGUACACACUCAUUGCAUAUACUUAACAGAGCUAUACUAACUACUAAAAAUGAAUUUGUGCACGAGAUAAACAACCUCCUGAUCACAAAGUUUCCUGGUACAGAACACAAAUAUGUAAGUUAUGAUGAAACUAUAGACCAAUCCAAACAAGCAGAACACAAGGACUUUUUACAUUCAUUAGAACCUCCAAGCCUGCCACCACAUGAACUCAUUCUAAAAGUCAAUAGUCCUAUUGUAUUACUUAGAAACUUGAACCCAAAAGAAGGUUUAUGUUACGGAACACGACUAAUUUGUCUUGGUUUUGCUCCCAAUGUUAUCCAUGCACUCAUUGCUGUCAGAAAUCAUAUUGAAAAACAAGUCUUUAUCCCAAAAAUCUCAUUACAAUGUUCUGACAGUAACAUUUACAUAGUACCCUUCAAGAAAACACAACUUUCAGUUAGACUUUGUUUUGCCAUGACUAUUAAUAAAGCACAAGGACAAACACUCGACUUCGUCGGCUUGUACUUAAAGGAGCCAGUAUUUGGUCAUGGUCAGUUGUAUGUUGCUUUAUCUAGAGCUAAAACAGCAAAUGAUGUUAGAGUUUUAGUUAAGCCCUCUCCAGAUGAGCAGACUGACAUAGUUUCUACAAGAAAUAUAGUAUACAAUGAAGUCCUAUCAAUUGCUGGUGUUAUCUAAGCACUGUCUCUCUUUAGCUUCUAUCAUUAACAUCUAACUUCAGCUUUAUUCACUUGCUCCUUAUAAUACACAAAUAUGAUUAUCCUCUCUUAAAUUAUGUGUUUUAUAUUAACAUUUUAGAUCCCAUUUCAUUCACAGUAGCAUUUUCUUUUCUCAAUAAUAUUGUUACUGCCACGCUCUUCCUUGUAGUCAUGGAUAGCAGAUGUAUUUUAAUAAUAGACUUCCAGGAGAAACAGCGCCAAUGGUUUGCCAAACUUUAUGUAAUAGAGGUGACAAGAAUCUUUGACCCAACUCCAAGAACAAAGGCAUACCGAUGGCUCUUAUUUGCAGAUGAUCAGGUACAUAUAUAUCUAUAACAUAUACAAUAAACCAAUACUUAACUUUCCUAUAACUUAUACAACAACAUUAUGUUCCAUUAUCUAUCUAUAAUCCUGUAACCUACAAUUUAUAUUUCACAGAAUGACACGGUUCAGGGCAUCAUUUAUCAACAAUACCUGGCUUUCAUUGGCGAAAUAUUCAAGCACCAGGCAUCAUACUACUUCGGUGGUGCAUAUAUUAGCAAAAUUCAAGAUUCCCGCCACCAAAUGGGUACAACACCUCUUCAGCUAACCUUUGACAAAAGGUCCUUCAUACAACCAGUUGCAAGUCCUUUACCAAUGUCAUUGCCAAUGUAUUUUUCACUCACUUCAUUCUGGGACCUAGACCAAUAUCAAGGCAAAGAUAACCAAAGACUCAGUACACAACACACUCCUCCUUAAAUUUAUUUUAUAUAAAUCAUUAGUUUAUGUCAUGUUUCCACUUUUAUUAAUACUAACCAUUCAACAGAUAUCAUGUGUAUUGUCAUUCAAGCAUUACCUCAAAGAAUGAUUGGUGGAGCCAAGCCAUCAGUUAUCCAAGAGUUCAUUGUUGUCAAUGAAGAGUAAGCAAAACGAGAUUUUGUACACUUUAUCUUACCUAUUCAUCAAUAGCAAAUGAUUUAAACUUUCAUUGUAUUUCUCUAACUUUCAUAGACAGCAUCCACUUAUCCUCACACUCUGGGAACCUUUUGUUGAUAAUGAAGGAGCUCAACUUCUUCAAAUUGCACAUACCUACCCAAUUGUUGUCAUUCUCAGACCUAUAGUAACCACCUUUUAUGGUAUAUUUUGUAGAACAGAACCAUUUCUAUCUAUAUUACAAAGCCUACAAACCAAAAAUUCUAACACAGCUUUGAUAUUGUUACAGGUAUCUCUCUGAGGACCAAAGGAAGUACAAAUAUACUCCUUGAUCCUUCAUUUCCACAGAUCACUUGGCAGGAUGGUAUGCACGCUUUCACAUUCAAACUUGCUUCUCUAUUACUUACAUUUCUAUAUAACCAUGACUCAAUAAUACAAAUCAGUAAAUACACUGCUAUUAUUACCACUGCUUGCUACAGGAUUGAAGAAAACAAGAACUACAUUGACAAUAUAAAAGCACAAAAACUAUACGAAAAAGCAAACCAAAAGAUCAAGCCACCGCCUGAAAAAGAUAUUUGACAGAUCUCACAAAUUCUUGGUGCAUACAUUCUGGUAAGCUAAUACACUAACUUAACUCCAGACAUCAAGUUUGCUUUAUAUUUAAAUGGUACCAUUAUAGAUAUGUAUCAAACUCAUUUUAAAUUAUAUAUGACCAGCCAAAAGAUUUCUGGAUAAAAGGAACAAUCCAGAUUACAAAUUCUCGGCAACACUUCUAUAUUGCUAGCUGUGCCGACUGUGGUUGCACCACCAAUGCACCUAUGGAAUUUGAAUUCUCAUGCCACAAUUGUAACAAGAGUCAAACAAAACCUAUCCCCAAGUAAGUCAUUAUCCCAUUCAUAGCAAAAAAGACCUCUUAUUUAUCAUAUUAACAUAUAUAUAUAUAUAUAUAUAUCUACAUCUAUAUAUACAUAUAUCUAUCUAUCCGUCUAAAAAUGUUUCUGUAAACACACAAAUCUACAAUUAUCCAUUUUCAUAUAUUAACAUAUCAUUUUCCUAUUAUACAUCUCCGUCUACAUUAGUAUAUUACUUCUCAUCCCUAACACACUCGAAAAUUCUCUUACAUAGGGCCAGACUAUUUGUCCAAAUAUCUGAUGAUUCAGCUCAUUUGGAUGCAUUUGUCCAAAACAAUUACGCUGAGAACAUAAUUGGGCUCACAGCAAGACAAAUCUAUGACCAAAUAUCAUCUGUGAGAAUCACUAAGUUACACAAGCAAAUUUUUACAGUACUUCAGAAAUAUAUACAAUAAUCCAAAAAACUCUCUUUUCUUAUUCUCCUCAACAGGGACAAGCAAUUCCAAUUCAAAUAAUCAAUGAUAGACUUUUUUCAGAACCUGUCUACUGCCAAAUAAGGACCAGCUCCAACCGUUCCACUCCACAGGGAUUGCCAAGCUUCUUCCUCUCCUCAUAUGCUGCUGUCUCCCAACAACCUCUCGCUGCAAUUGAAGCUAACCCACAUGAAGAAUCAUCCAUCGGCAUUGUCACAAGUCCAUCCAUCACAUAUUUGACAUCUGAAAAACAAUCUGCUUAAACUCCAAGCAACAAGACAGAACCAACACCAACUUCAGAGCUGAGAGAUUCUGAAAUCACUACCACAGACACCACAUGCACACCAACAUCUUCUGCUAAACGCAAGCUACAACUGGAACCUAAAAAAGAUAGCAAACAGCCAAAACAAGGUUAACAAUGUAAUGCCAUCUAAAAAAUAGCUCUUUUGAACCAACGUUGCAUAAUCUCUGUUAAUACCUUUAGACCAUAUCUUUUGGUACAAUCUGUUCCAGCUCUUUUGUAUCUCUAACUGCAACUUUUCUAAGCAUCGUUAAGAAUCUAAUGUCGUAUAAAAAUGACUCCUUUAAACCAACAGUGCACAAUCUCUGUUAAUACCACAGCAUAUCUUUUGGUACAAUAUGUUCUAGAUUUCUUCACCUCUCUGCCUACAAGUUCUGCGAACAUAUAUAGAUCCAUGACCUAUUAUACCAACAGCUCUGUCUAUUCACCUAUUAUAGGUGAAUACAUAUCUGAAUUUUGUAGUUAUUCAAGUAUAAUGACAGUGGUACCAAGGAUAUAUUCUUUCUACGUUGGUGUUUUUUAAUAUCAAAGCUGUAUAUUCAGCUUUUGCAGUGGCAAGAAAUACAAUAGUGUGGCUUGGUUUGAUAUCAUGUUCCUCGGUAAAGACAUUCCAGUUGUCUGUGAUAUAUUUCCCUUCUAUGGUCAUUGAAAUUGUUUUGCAGCCUGUAGUGAGCUUAAGAACUGGUGUCCGUUCUGGAUUUAUUCCUUGUCUCAAGAGUUUGGGGAUUUUUUGCAAAAAAAUUGGGAAAUAGUCUUAAUGUAUAUGAUGUGUUUUAUGUUGUGAAAGAUUCUAUAUUAUGAAUGUAGUAAAAAAUGGCAAAGUUACCAAUUGAAGUCUGUCGUUGGUGGAGUAUACAUGGUAAAAAGCUAUGUUUUUUGUCAAUAUUUUGGUGAAAGUUUGGGCUUAAUGAUGAGAAAUAGGUUCUAUGUAGUGCUCGACGUUCAGCUGGGUCUGAAAUGGAUGGAUGGAUAAAAUUGUUAGCAAACAUUUAAUUAUGAAAACAGUUCAUAGUUUUAUAGACAAAGAUGGUCUUACCUCCGUUCACAGGAGAUGGAUUCGUGUUUGUUGUUGAGAAAGGAGUUGUCCAUGGUAAAUAAUCUUGGAAUUGGUGUUCAUUAAAUAUUAUUGUGUCAAAAAUGUUUUGUCUAUCAAAUAAAAAUAAAAUUAGAUAAUAGUUUUGUAUAUUAUUAUCCAUUAGAUAUGCUUUCCACCCAACUGUAAAAUCUCAUCCCUGUAGUUGGAUUUGCCAUUCCCUAUGUCCAUGCUUCAGAAAUAUUGUUGUUUGAAUUUGUUGUUGACUGGCGUUAAAGAACGACGUUGGAAUUUUCUGUAAAUAUCAUAAAGUCAUAUACUUAUGUCAAACAUUUCUCACAAAAAAAAUUAUGAAUAUGGGUUGAAUGAGUACCGUAUUCAACGUGCUGUUCUGCCGUAUUACAAAGCAUAAUUUUAGAGCUGGGUCUUGAAUCUGAUGUCUUGUCGACGAAGCGGUAUCUGUGGAUGAUCAGGUUUUCAGUAAGUAUAAUAGAAUUUUUUCUAUUUAGUGUAGUCUUAUAUAUAGAUUGUUAUUGAAAGAGUAAGAACUUAGACAAGAACAUACCUGAUAGAAUGGCGUCCAUACUACCGUAGGAAAACUUUGAUGAACGAACAAUGUAAGGGUUAAAGCUCGUUUUAUAGUUGUACUUCCUCAUUUUUUUGGCAUAUUUGUUUUCAAUAUUUUUGAAUAGUAAAAUGACCUUCUCAUCAAUAUUUUAGUUGUUCUCUUUGGGAAUUUGUUCAUAUAUAUUUGAUAUUUUGUCUAUUGAAUAUUUUUAUUGUUAUUUCUUUGAUUUUUGUCACUAUAUUACAAAUGAUGCAAUCAUCAACGGUACAUAUGGCACAUAAUGCACAGCUACAUAUAAUUGCUUUUUUCUGCUUAGAAAUGAAAUAAUUGAGUUACUGGUGUGAUGUUUUGUUUGAUAUGGUACUUAGUCAUUGGUCACGUGAAUAUCUAUCAUGUUGUUUUUGAAUAUAUAUACACUAUUUCUUCUUUAUCUUUUCUAUUAGGUAUACCAUGUUUUUGUUUCUUGCUUCUUGUCUCUACAUAUUCGUUCUUAUCUAUAUAUUACCUGGGUAUAUAUAUAAUGUUUAAUUUAUUUCUUGAUUUUUGUUGAUUUAAUUAUACACUUACUGAGCAAUUAUCGACUAAAUGAUUACAAAUUUACUAAUUAAAUUGUUUAAUGGUCAAUUACUAACAAAAAAUAGUUUGAUAGCCAAAAUAUAAUCUGAUCAAUAGUUUAGUGGCCACUAAGAUUUUGUACCUUAAUAUUUAUUUAUUUGUAAAUAACUAACGAUCAAUAUGUACAGUGAUUUAAUAGUAUGGUCUUUGAUUGAUUUCUUGCAGCUUUCUGUAAGCCAUUUGUUUUCAUCCUUUGUUUGUUAAACACCCCCAACACAUAACAAAAUUUACCACUCCCAACAGCCCCAUCACACAAUAAAAUCCAACACCCCCAACACAGGCUAGCGCAGGGCCCAAAAACUAGUGUGUGUGUGUGUAUAUAUAUAUAUAUAUAUACAUGCAUAGAAUCAGAAACUUUGGAAACCCGGGCCCCUUUUCUUGUGGAUAAAACAUAAAGGACCAUUAUAUGCCACUUAUUAGAGACAAAAACUGCACUGCAUUUCGCCCAUACUGCAUUGGUUCUUAGAAAAGUUACUUCUGUGACCUGUUUUAACUCUUCCUCUCAACUUUAGGUUAGGGUCCUCUAAUAUAAAAAUGAGGGAAGGGGUUGUGGCAGCUUCGAAAUUCUCAAAUAUGUGGGCAGUAGUAAUGGAAUGACAAUAUUUCAAAAGAAAGAAAUCAAUGUCAAUCAGCAUCAUACAUCAUAAAGUAGCAUCACUAUUUAUAGAAAUACAUAUAAUAAUUCACAAGCCAACGAGACCCGCGAGAGGAAUUGUUUAUGCCAUCAUGAACCACGACCAAAACAAGAGCGUCACACAAAAAUCUUUAAAAUAAACCCAAAAAAAAUUUUGGCAAAAAUCUACAGAAUUUUGCCCUCCCAAUCUAAAAUCUUGCUAAAAACAGACGUUAAGAAGGGUCUGUUUGUUUUUGAUGGAAAACAUCUUCCGAGAAAGUAAUUGCCUUAAUUUCCAGGGUUUGGUUCCAUUUUAACCCGGGGGAAGUCACUUCCCUUGUAAAAUAUAUAUUUUACUUCGGCGGAUGUAAAACGACUUCAAUCAUAAGCUUAUUGAAGUUAUUUUCCAGCCACCACCCCCUCUCUUUGGCCCUUGUUUGCUACCUCUAUCUUGUCCCCAGCACAUUACGCAUUAGUUGUCUCCUCCACAGCUCUAUUCAACCCGCAUUCUUCUUCCCUUGCACAUUAGCCUGCAUCAUCAUGAGCCAAAGUCAUGGAAGACUAGUGCAAAGGAAUUAGGUCUAUAGAAACAACGUGGAUUGGACAAAAAGAGAAGAUUUCUAGUAGAAAAGAGAGAAUACAACUCUAAAACUUUUACAAACGGGUACAGAUGUUUUCAAAUUGAUUAUACAUGAGAGAGCUUGACAGUUUCGCUGAUCAAAUAGAAUUUCCAUCUUUUGCUUUGACAAUAGGAAUCAAUGAUGAAAUCUAUUAGGUCUUUAUGAACAAAUUUUGGCUAUAAAACUAUUCUUGUAACACCUGCUUUUUAUGUUCUUGCUAUUAUUUACCUUGGAUCACAUUUCAUUUGACGGUGGAAAUGGUGUUUGAGGUGGUGGAAGAGGUUUUUGUGGUGGUUGUGAUGCAUUGAUAGCAGGCACUGAAGAGUAGUGUAGUGGUCAUAUAUUGUAAUGGCUAUAUUACUACUGAAAAUUUAUUUUCAAAACAGUGACCAAACACAAGAAAAUUAGGAGAAAAACAAAAUAUUUUCUGAAAAUGACUUCUACUGAAAUUAUUUUCCCAAAGAAAACCUUUUUAUGUCGAAUCAAACAGACCCGAAUUUGUUUUCCUGUCUAAUCGGCAUAAAAGCUGCCCGUUUUACUUGUUGAAGGGCAGAACCAAUGAUGGAGCCAAGGGGGGCAGAGGGGGGCCACGGCCCCCCAUAAGUUUUGAAAAUUUUAAUUCAUAAGAUGUAAAUAUAUCUAUAAGACAAAGUUGGCCCCCCCUAAUUUUUUACAAUUUUAGUUUAUAUUAUGAGAGUUUAUAUAUAUAUAUAUAUAUAUAUAUAUCUGUGUGUGUGUGUAUAUGAAUUAGCCAACUUUGAUUUAAUUUUUUCUUCAAAAAAGUUAUUUAUUUUUUUAUUGUGCUAAUUAUUUAACAUUCAAAAAAUUAAACAUAUAAUUUGAUAAUUCAUAGUAAAUUAGCCCAAUUUGAUAUAUUAUAAUAAAAGACUCAAUUCAUAAUUAUCAAUGGGUUAAAACAAAAAUAAUUACUUUAUUGGUUCAUAUACAAAUAUACAACUUAGCCUAAUUGAUAAAAAAUUUAAAAUUAGUGAUCUAUACUCUUGUUGACCCAUAUACAAAUGUACAAAUAAUUACUUGAAGCCUUUGUGAAGACAAGAAAUUGAGUGAUCUAUCCUGUUGUCGACAGAUUGAUUAUAUUUGUUCUCACUCUUCCUAUAUCAACUGCAACUAUAGAACGGACAUUUUCAAUUAUGAAUAUAAUCAAAACGAAGAUCCAAAACAAGAUAAAAGAUAAUUUCUUGAAUGAUUAUCUACCAAUGUACAUAAAAAAAAGAAUUUGUUCAAAAAUUUAGUAUUGAUUCAAUUAUAGACGAAUUUAGUUCUAUGAAAGAACGUAAAACUCAAUUUACUUUUAAAAAAAGAGGUUGAAAUUCAAGGUAUGCUAACAUAAUUUUUAUCUUUUAUUAAUUGAAAAUAGUUAUAUUCAUAUUGCACAGUUAUAUUUUUGUUUUUGCACAAGUGACAUAUUGGAGCAUUUUCUCAUAAUGUACAAUUUGGGUAGUUUGUGAUCUUAUAAGAUAUUUAAUCAAAGGUUAUUUCUUAUCCUAAUUUUUGUUAUGACUAUGCUGCAUAUUUAUGAAAUAGACAUACUUUUAUAAUUAAAAUUAAUAUUUGAUAUAUUAAGAUGUUAUAUAUUUAAAUAGAUAAAAAUUAUUUUGAAUAUAACAUAUUAAGAUAAUUUUGUUCAGAAAAAUUUGCCGCCCCCCCCCCAAGGAAAAAAUAUUGGCUCCGUUCUAUAGUCUAUAGAAUGGACAUUUUCAAUUAUGAAGAUAAUCAAAACAAAACUCCAAAACAAGAUAAAGGAUAAUUUCUUGAAUGAUUGCCUAACAAUGUACAUAAAAAAAAGGAAGUUGUUUGAAAAUUUAACAUUGAUUCAGUUAUACAUGAAUUUAGUUCUAUAAAAGAACGUAAAUCUCAAUUUAUUUUUAAUAAAAGAGGAUGAAAUUUCAAGGUAUGCUAACAUAACUUUUAUCUUUUUUUAAUUGAAAAUAGUUAUAUUUAUAUUGCAUAGUUAUAUAUUUGUUUUUCCACAAGUGACAUAUUGGAGCAUCUUCUCAUAAUGUGCUACUUAGGUGGUUUGUGAUAUUAUAAGAUAUUUAAUCAAAGGUUAUUUCUUGUCUUAAUUUUAGUUAUGACUAUGUUACAUAUUUAUGAAAUAGACAUACCUUUAUAAUUAAAAUUAAUAUUUGAUAUUUUAAGAUGUCAUAUAUUUAAAUAAAUGAAAAUUAUUUUAAACAUAACAUAUUAAGGUAAUUUUGUGCGAAAAAUUUUCGGCCCCCCUAAGGAAAAAAUCCUGGCUCCGUCACUGGGUAGAACGAAAAUGUCAGGUUUAAUUCUUUCUCCAUUAUGGGGGAAAAGUAAAAGAAAGAAUGCAAGGGACAUUAAUUCUAUCAAAAUUUUGUAAAAAAAUUACUAAUUAAAAGAGAUCAAGUUAAAUCUGUCCCUAGAUCUAUGUACAAGAAGCUUACCUCAGCAUUAUAUAUUAGAUUAAUUUUUUCAAUAUUGAUAGUAUAAAUACAUUAUUUUACCAGUUGUUUAGAUGCAUGACACUUCAUUGCUUCUAAAUUGAAAUCUUACUUUAUAUAACACAAUGUAUAAAAAAAUAUGCAUAUCGUCGACGUAGGAAAAAUUAAUUCGCAAUUAUAAUGUUUGCUGCCAAAUUUCCAAUGAUGCUAAACGAGUAAUGAUAACAAUUAAGCUUCUCUAAACUUAAAGUCCCAGAUGGCAAAACUUUUUAGUAACUAUUCAAGUUUUUAUUAGAUUAUGUAAAACUGGCUAGAAUAAUCCUAACGUAUGCAACUACAAGGAAAUAGCACAAAGUCACCAAUAAAGGUAUUUAGCCUCGUUUCCAGCUUGCCACAAGUAUCCCUUUCCAACGGACAACUUUGUCCCCAACACCCGCAACAAUCUUCAACAAAAUACAACCUUUUCCGCAACUUUCCACACAUAAGUGGUCAAUGCUAAUCUUCCAAUCUGAUCUGCCCCACAAAAUUAUGUUCGACUUUCUUCUGAGCUCUAUUGUUUCACCAAUGCCAAUUCUGCAUACCAUUUGCAAGAACCUCACCAGAAACUUCUUGCCAAGAUGCCUUGGUAACAAACUGAGUGAGGAAACUUCUUACCAGUUUGGCACUUGAGUUUUUUGUCAAGUUUGUCUGCUACAAGUUUUUAAAAACUUUAGUUACAGUAAUCUCAAAAAAAUUGUCAAAAUUUUUAAACUAUACACUUGAAAAUAUUCAAAAACUAGUUUUGUACCCAUUCGUUGAACGGGAAUCGUCGAAAAAUAAUAAACUUUAGUCAAUUUAUAAAAAUAUCGAUAUAAAAUACAUAUUUAAUGUAUAAUCUAUUAUAACUUGUCUUAAGUAUAUUACUAUGUGCGCAUUAUAAUGUAAAGUAUUCUUAUAAUAUAAAUUUGAACAUCUAAUUUAGUGGAUAAUAAUUCAAAAAUAGAAAAAAAACAUUCAACAAUACCAUAACAUUCAAAAAACUUGAAAAUAAAUAAAUAGUGCAGUAAAUAGUAUCAAAUAAUAUUCUACUAUUCAAAAACUUGUUUUUAUUUUUUUCUGUUUGAACAUUCUCCUCGAUUUGUCAGUGCAAAUCAGCAUUUAUUUAUUUUCUAUUAUCACUGCAUGAUAGCAAAGUAGGAUAACUAAGUAUAAAAAAAAUAAAUGAUUUAUCGCAUUCAAGUUUGUAUAUAACAAUACGUAAAGAUUAUAAUUAAGUAAAUGGUCAGAGUCUUUUAAUUAACUAAUGAAUUUGCAGAUGUAUCUAAUAGAGAUAUUUAUGUCUCUUGUAUUUAUAUCGCAUUGCUUUCCAGUGCCUUUUGUUUUUGGUUGUUUUUCUUGAAGGCAAAUUAACAAAUAUCGUAGUAUAUGAUCACAAAAAUCAAUUAACAAACAUGUUAGAAAAAAUCCUACAAAAAUAAUGAUGAAAGUACUUGUUUAAAUCAUAUGUCUUCAUAUAAAACAAAUAGAAAAUAAAACAAAAAAAAAACAAAAUUCAAGAUAUGUUACUAAACUCUUACAAUUGAACAUGAAUUUGAUGCUUAAAAUCAAUAUAUUAGAGGCUAUAUGUAGUGUAGACAUAGGAAAUAAGAAUUGAUAAGAAUACAACGAGAUAUUGAUAAGAACAUUAAAAGUAUAUUUAUCUUAAUUUAAGUUACUUAAAGUACGUAACUUUAGGUAGGAAAUAAGAAUCCUAUAAUAUUAAAAAUUCUUAUAAAAAAUAAAACCAUAAUCGUCCAAAUAACUUUGGAUAGGAAAUAAGACCUUAUGUGACCUGUACUAUAUAUGUAUAUAAACCUGUACGUAAUAAAUUUACAAAUGCAUUAUCAAGAUAGAUUUUACCGACCUUAAAAGACCACCUCUACUAUAUCGAGUCCUUUAAGUGCAUGGACUUCUAUGAUGUGGGUCCACACACGAAAUACUCCCCACCAUCUCAGCAGAGAUGUAUUGUGAUUAAGGAAUUAUUAGUAGAAAUAUAUUAAAAAAAAGACGGGCAGAGGACACUACGGACAGAGACCUUUCUCUUGGAUUGGAGGACACUACGGACGGAGAAUCGAGUAGGGGCCUUCGGGGUGCAAAACUUCAACAAAUAUCUAAUGUUUUAUCUCAUCUUUCUUUAGCUAUGAUAAUGGGAUUUUAUUUCUUUGGUUGAUGACACUCCAUUUUCUUUAUGGACUUUUUUAGAAUUUUUCAAUCAGAUGAAGUGCCAUUUCUCUUUGUACAUCAAUUAUGCAUGGGGACUGUGAGUCUUGUAAAAACUUUCUCGGGCUAACUUUCUUUAAUUUUCAUGUCUAGAUUGUCUAUAUGUUGUUCUAUAUAUGGGUAGAUUAUCUUAAAAUAAAAAGAAUCUAUGAUGAAGCUAUUAAAAAAAAAGAAUAGGACACUAUAAAAAAAUAUAUUAUCAUUUAUUCCUAUAUAUCUAAUAGAGGAGAUUUAUGUCUCUUUUAUUUAUAUCGCAUUACUUUCCAGUUCCUUUUUUGGGUAGGAAAUAAGAAUCAUAGAAUAUUAAGAAUUUUUAUAGGAAAUAAGAAUUGAUAUAUAUCCAAACAAAAAAAGAGCAAGUCACGUAGGAAACUACUUGCCGUCUCGUUAAGUCACAUAGGAAAGACAAAAUAUAAAGGGAUAAGUAUGAGGAUACAACUUUAUUAUAUAUAUAUAUAUAUAUAUGAUUUACACACUUCAAAAAUUUUUUAAAAACCUUUUACAUUAAGUUACAGUAACACCCAAAAAACUACUUGUCAAAUGGGGCCACAAUCAAACUAAUUAAACUCGCUACCAGAAUUCACCCAAGGAAUUAAGCCAAGGCUUAAGAGUAAAGAGCAAGAAAAUUUUAUUCUUCUCAAGGAAGCCAAAAGCCGCACUUGUGUAUCGAGAUGAAAAUCGACUUUGAAAAUUACAGAGAGAUCAGAUUAAAAGAUGAAAAUGAACUUUCAAGGUAGCUUUGGAAUAGGGCUGCAAACGAGCCGAAUCAAGUCAAGUUUUGACCUUUUCGAGUCGAGUCUUGACUUAAUUUCAUCGAACUCGAACUCGAGCUCGAGUUCAAGCUCGAAAAAAAUAAAAAAUAAUUAUUUUAUUUUUUAAUUAAUAAAUAAAAUAAUAUUUUUUCUUAAUAAAUAAUAAAAUAUUAAGGAUAUUUAUGUAAUUUUACUAUUAAAAAAAUUUAAAAUAUAUAUAUAUAUAUAUAUAUACUCGAGCUCACGAGCCUAACGAGUUUAAUGUUUUGAACUCAAACUCGAGGUCGACUUUGGCUCGACCAACUCGAGCUCGACUCGAGCUUGAAUCAAGCCACUCGCGAGCGUUUGCACCCCUACUUUGGAACUACCCUCCAGCAGUAGGCGUUUUCUAGGCACUAAUAUCAUAAUUUAGAUGAUGAAAUUAAAGUGGCUUUAUUCCUUGACCAAAAGUACAUAUAUUAGUGAAUACUCCGUAUAGCUAUUGGAUAUUUCAGAGAAGUUGAACCAUUACAAGUUGAGGAAAUUAGCUAUAACUUGGUAUAUGGAGGUGAGAAUUGAGAACCGUUUGUUGCACAUGGAAAUCAUACCAUAAAAUUCCCAAACCAUAUAAAAAUCUCACCCUAGCUCCUUCCGCAUCAAAGUUGUUUAAAAAAAGAGUUGGUUAUGAUGGUGCUAAUCAGCUUUGCCUUGGAAUUUAUUUUAAGUUUGGAACUAAACUAAUUGACCCCCCAAAGUGAGAUGCGCAUAGCAUAAUUUAUAAGCCUAUAGUAUGUUAUCAUACUCUUUAGUAAAGCUCAAAUGUUUAGAUGAAGUUUCAUCGCGUUUAAUUUCACCGUUUGAUUUUCUUCUUCCUGUGGUACAAAUGCAGCAUGCAUUAGAGGCCAAGUUAUUUUCUGCUCAUCAUCCUUGAGGUACCAAGUUUAGUUACAUAUUUUUCGCACAUGAUGAUUGAAGUUGAACUUUUUUAGUGUAUCAUCUCUUUAUUCUAAUGGGAACAGGAAAAGGAUGAGGUACGAGCGACGAGAGUUGAAUUCUCAAAGCAAUUAAAGUUGAACUGUGAAAAGAAAAAUAAGGUACUGGUAGUCCAGGGCAUUUUCAGAUCAAUGGGCCCUAGGAAUGAAGAAUAAUCAUUAUUAAAGAAAACAUAUACAACGAGCACCAUAUAUUAUGCAAAAUUAGUACAUAUUGAGCCAACGAGCCCCACGAGAGGCAUUAUUACCAAUAACGUCACUCCAAAAGAAAAUGAAAUAAGAUAAAAUAUAGGGAUUUUGCACUCGCAAACUGCAGUCUUAAUACAUAAUGUUUAUUGGGAUCUUUUACUUAAGACUAAGCGGCAUGCUUGCCUUGUUGGAGGACAGAUCGAAGAGUAUCGACCAGUUCUUUUGUUGUCAGGUUGACUUCUUUCUCCGCCUGGAAAAGAUUACCACGAGGGAUCAUUAAAUAGUAGAAAAAUCUAUAAGAAGAAAAUUGAUUAAAAAGAUAUCGAACUUUAAAUUCGUUCCUAGACCUAUAUAUAAGAAGCUCACCUCUGCGAUAAUUGUAAUGUCAAGAGCAAAAUUCCCAAAUGGGGAAACACAAGUAUUCAGUACAGCAAGAUUGAGCUUGUCUAUCUGAGAGAGAAUUUUGAUGAGCACCCCUUUAUAAUUUUUGCAAUGUAUUCUUAGAAGAACAUUCUUGUCGCACACUUUAGCUUCAAAUUCAGGCAGUGGCUGCUCAUUCGGGCCAGCCACCUCAUCUGAAGAUCCUUCAUCUUCAAGUAAGAGUUGUGAUCUCUUCACAAGCACCACAGACUCCAUGGUUUGCCUAGCAGCUUUCUCCUCCAGUGUCUUUACUCUCUCCUGAAGAUGUUUUAGGUACUCGAUGGCAUCUCCAAGAAUAGAACUUUUAUCCAUCUGCACCAUUAUAAGUUCUUCUCAGAAAAAACUUUGUCACGAUUUUGAUGUGUAAGUUAUGUAGUGAAAUGUCUAUGCAUGUGCGAAGUAAAGUCAGUGCGGUUAUCAUUGUCCGCUAUCUAUAAUGUUUUCUUGAUUCGGUAAAGAGCAGAGUGUCAAGUAGAAAGCUAAAUAUAGGCACGUAUUUGGCAUAUGAAUGAAGUUGUAGUCAAAUAAAAUUUCAUGGGGAUGCUAUUGUGGUAACCGUAAUUAGGCUGCAUGAACGUGACAAUGGCAUGAAAAAUAACUCUCUCUCAAACCUUAGUUAUGGAUGAGAAAAUAGAUGGUACUGCUCACCUUCUUGAGGCCAGGAACUAUGGCGGAAAGAGCCAUGAAUCUCUGGCUGAGCUGCUCGCGUCGCUUUCUUUCUGCUAUUAUGUGAUCAUAGGUUUGUGAUGGUGGCCUAACACGACCACCAGGUUUCUUUGCUUUUGUUUGGACGGUAGUUUUAGCAGCCUCAUCAAGUUUUGCAAAUGAACCAUGGGAUGUCAAAACCUCAGACACUGCAUCAUCCUCAGGGUUCAAGGUUCCUAGAGUCACUUGAUGAGGAUUUAUUUCUGGCAUAUUUGGAUUCCCAAAAGUGAGAAUCAUUGGAGAAGAAGAAGCUUGACCAAAAUUUGGCAUGUUGUGGAUGUUCGACGAGUCGUAGCCAUUAUUAGUCUUGUGCUGUUUGGCUGGGGUUUCGAAACCAACAGGAUGAGCUUCCAUCACUGAAGGUUCACACAAUGCAGGAGUGGAGUUGCAGCUUGGAAAGAUAUUGGAGAAAGACGGAUUCCCUUCUGGAAAAGAAGAGUUUUGGAAGUCGUCGGCAGGCGCAGCAGAUAAUUCAUCGUUCAAGAAGUCCAUGAUAUUAAAGUCAUCAUUGGACAAUGGAUCCUCCAUUCCCUGUUAAUAAUAAGAUAAGGCAGCAUGUCAUGUAAGAAUCGUUUAUUCAAUAAAUGAAAGCUUCUUCCUCUGAUGUGAUCUAUACUUUGCGAAAGCCACAACUAGAAAUAAAAUAAAAGGAAAAGCAAAUGCAACAGAAUUAAACAGAAGACUCUGCAGUUCAUUUAACUGACAAUCGAUUCCGAUGGUUUUCAUAAAUUUUGUUUUCACAUGUUUUUGCCUAGUAAUGGUCAAGUUAAGCUUGGCUUGUCUUAGUUCAAACAAAAAAGAAGAUAAGCCAAAAUAUUGUGUCAGGUCUCUUUCAGCAAAAUUUGGUUUGCCUUUCUGAGAAUCCGUUGGGUUGGAAUCUAGUAUAACCAUUUUAAGCUUGACCAAAGAAUCUAUACGCUACACAACGAAUAAAGCAAUUUGCCAUCUAACAUCCACUCUAUAUUUCUAAGUUGAAAUUAAAGCUAUGCCAUUAUGCCAAAAUCAUACAAUAUCUUAUAUUUUUGGGGACAGCUGCCCUUUUCCUGCACCCUGAAGGUCCAUCUCUGCAUGUAUUUAUCUAUUUGUCGUGUAGUCUCUUUGCUCUUGGAUUCAAUAUUCUCCCUCAGUCAUACUAUGACCUUUCUACUACACUUCACCAUUCGUAGUAAACACGAACAGAAAUGACGACGAAAGAAAGAGGAGGAGAUAUAGUAAAUAUCUUCACAGGACUGAUAAUGGAGAAAGAAAUAUUACCCGAAUUCCGCCAUAUAUGUGUUAUUCAAACUAGGAAAAAAGUGCAAGCCAUUACUACCUAAACUGGUCGAUGUCCAACAUGAAAACUUAUCAAAGAUCAAGAAAGGGAAGACAUCAAUAGUAUUACUUCGCAUGAAUGAAAUCUGUUACCAGUUGAGAAAACCACGAGCUCGCUGAAUUAUCCAUCAACAAAGACUACUUGAAAAGAUGUCAAAUUUCUGCAAAAUGGCCAUUUACAGAAAACAAAAGGGCAGAACAUUUAGACAAGAGCAAACCCCAACCUAAGAUAAAGAAAUGUUGUCAGAAAAAAGAGCUCCUAGCAAGAUGAGGGAACCUCACCUCUUUCAAGUUUCAACACUCCUGCUGCUAAGGGCUUCUUAAUCAAGAAAAGAAGUUUUUGGCAUCUUAUAUAGAGGUGGUAAGUAAAGAACAAUUAUUGGAAGAAGGCAUAAAACCGGAGUUUUAUAUAAGCGCUUCAAAAACAGCCCUUCGCGCUCAAAUAUAAGGUUGGAGCCUCCUUCAGUGGAGUGCAGAGGGUAAAGAAUGGAGCGGAAACGCAUAACUCCUGCGUCGUAAACAAAUUGAACCCUUAAGGAACAGUUCGGAUUUGCAGCCAUCGAACAAGUGUUGACAACCGCAUCUGUCAAUAUUUUAUAUCAAUUAUGUAUUUAUUAUUUUAUUAUAUAGAUAUUAUAUGUAUAUUAGUGUAAAUUUAAUAUUGAAAUUGAAGAAUUAAAUAAAUUUUUGAACUCUCAAAUCGAGUUCUCACCCAUCAGAGUUUUAAAUCGAAUCGAACUCGAGUUUAGAUUUUGAACUCGUAUAGGAUUCAAGUUCAAAUUCAAAUUCGAAUCCAAAAUUUUAAAUUGAACUCAAACUAUGAAAAGUUCCAUUCAAUUCUAUUCAUUUACAGUCCUGACACCAACCAAUAUAUGAGCUACGUACAAUAUAUGCAUGUCACCUAUGAUUGAUUUUAGGGGGUAGUCCGCCCAUGUGCUAACUUUGCACCAUUGACGAGAUAAAUUAUUUGCUCGAUAUUGGGUUGGUAGUGGAAGAACUAUUCAAGGGAUAGAUGUUUAAAACUUUAAAAUUCUGGGGUGUUGGGACUUCUGUGAGUCGUCUGACCAGCCAUGCAAGAUAUAUGACCGUCCAGCUAUCUCAUUUUAGCUAGUAAGAUUAUUUAGAGUUUGCAUAAACAAGUUGGUAAGAUACUUGCAUUAACCCCAUGCUUCACAAGUAUUGAGUUCUUAUCCACAGGACCACCUAGCAAUGCAACUUUCUUGGAUUUGCAGUAUUUGUUUGUGCCUAAUUCAUAUAAGCUUCUUUCGGCAAUUCCUCAAACAGGGGAGUGCAUCUUCUCUCCCGCACCAUAUUCCCGACAACCCCUUACUAACUGUGCAAAAACUAUGAAUUAUAGUCAGGGACCAGCAUAAUGUUGCACUUUGAAGCUGGCUUACUUGGGAAGGGUUUAUGAACUGGAAUCUCAAUUUAAUGUUGACUUUUUGAAAGAAAAAAAAAAAAGUGAAGUUUGAUCUCAUAAGUUAAUUAAAACAAAGGAAACAAAUUUUUUAUUAACAAGUCCUCCAAAUUAUUCAAUUAGAGACUUAGUGUUUAGACUUUCCUUUCUUUCUUUCUUUUUUGAAGUUUUUCGCUUAUGUUACCAAGCAUCUAUGUAUGCCAUGUGAUUAUUCAACACCCCAAAUGAAAAAAGGGCAACUGUGGUUAAUCGAUUCAAGUAUGAAGAUAUGCGGAUAUGCAAUUUUCUGUGAAAAGUCAGAAAGGAAUUAAAAAGAAAUGUUUUGUUUCGCACUUAGCUGCAGUUGGGACAUAGCCUUUAAAGUUAAUCAAGGAAAAACACCACACCUACCUUAUUAUCGAUGCACAACCGCAUCAAUGGAUUUGCUGCCUUAGAUGGGAAAAUUUUAUUAAGGAUUUACCCAUAACUUUGUUUUCUUCGUUUUGCUUUCGAAGUUUUUGAUUUCUGUUACCAAGUAAUGAUUAACCGGCUCAAGUAAGGAGAAAAUGCAGACAUGGAAAGGCAAAUAUAGGGGACUUUUUUUUUUGACACAGAUUCAGGUGGGAUCCUAAUUUACUCAAUAAUUGAAGCAAAAACAUAACAGGCAUUAUCAUUAGAAUUAAUAUCCUUAUUAUUGAUACCCAACUAGCCAAUUAAUUCAUCAACAGAUUUGCUCUCCAAUAGAUUAAGAUAUGCUCUUCUUGUCGUGUCUUGACUCCAAACAUAAAUUCUACCUACUUCUCCAAUUUAGAUGAGUUUUUUUUUUUUUUUUGACCAUUUGAUUAGGUGAUAAAGAGGCUACAUACGUAAUUCAUUUCACUGAUACAGUAUUUAAAGAUAGUUUUCCAAUAUGAACGGAGUGAUCAUAUCAUGCAAUCCGGUUUUAAGUACACAAACGUCCAUGCAUGAGAAUCCAGUACCAGUUUUCUUUUCUAGAUAAACCUGUUUUUGAGAAAAAUAUGGUCGUUUUGAUGAGUUUAACUUGAUGGUACCAUCAUCUUGAUUCUAGAUCACAAGUUUGUAAGAUUACUGGGGAGGAGGGACUAAAUCAAUACUCCCACGGACCUGGAUUUACGUUUUCCAUGCAUUAUUAACUUGUUUAACCGACAUUAUAGUACAUAUUAUGUAAAGCAAGAACCAAACUCUCCCGUCAAUAACUAGUUUCUUGAUUAUCUCCCAAUGUAUUUCCAACUUCAUUUUUCCAUUCGUUUUCUUGUUCCCUUUUCUUUGCAUUUCAUCAUCUUCCCUUUUGUCCCCUUUUCGGAUCUCUGUUUUCCUCAGUAUCGCAUUAUGGGCAAAAUGAAGAGGCAGCCUGCAGUUUGGGGUGCACAUAAAAUCAAACUUCCGUGAUAUAUAGAAGCAUAAGUGGAGUAUAUAGUAUACAAUAAAUUUGCAAAGGUUUCAAAUUCCUGCGUGCUUGCUAUCGUGUCAGAAAAGCAACCACAAAACUUGAUUCAUUGGAGCCAUGGUAUGGUACUUCAAAUCUAAUCUCAUGUCCCUGCCACAAUGAAACUGUUGAAAGACCACAGAAAUGCUAGCUGCCAAGUGCCAACCCUUAUUUAGGUAUUGACUUAUGAAACGCUUGCCAAUUUCUGCCAUUUCUUGAAUUUGAAGGAAAGUUCUUGGAAAAGCACUCUAGGACGGAACUUGCUCAAUCACACUUGCCUAGAAUGCUCUUCCCAUUAGGCCACGACAAUUCAACAAAGAAAAUAAAAAUGACAAUCAAAUUUGGAAAAUGGAUUCUGAAUUCUAUCUUGUUUGUAUUUUUCUGGUAACACUAGUAAUAAGGAGCCUUUCGAGCCAAAGAAAAGGUUAUUUUAAAAGUCUAAAUAGGAUGGCGCCUGGGUCUUGAAGAAUAAAUCUCUAUAUCUGCAGCGGCCGUAGAUUUUUCUUUCUUUUUUUUUUUUAAACCAGAAUAGACACUAUCGGUUGCUUUCACACUUUAUAGGUCAAGUCUUCUCUCUUACUCAUGAAUCAUGAUGAAUAUCUUAGGGUAUAUUUGAUAAAAUUAAAGUCUGGAAAUUGAAAUUUGAAAUCUAAAAUAUGAAAUCUGAAUCCAUUAAAUUAUUGAAUUGUUAAAUAUUAAGUCAAAUAUAUUUGAGUGUAUAUCACAUUCAAUGAUACACAUUCAGAUAAGUGAGUAGUUUAUCACUUAUUUUUUAGAAAAAAUUUUAUCUAGAAAAUUCUGUAUCACUUAAUUAAUUCAAAUGUUCAAUUUUUUAUUAUCAAACGUUUCUGAACAUAUUAAAAAUCUGAAUUCAUUAAAUUUAAAUGUUAUCAAACAGGGCCUUAAUAACGUUUUCAACAAGCCACAAAUGUACAAAAUCACUAAUUUUAGUGCUUAUUUUUUCUUUAUCAGAGAGACAAAUAAGGAAUUUUUUUUAUUUACCACUUUCAAUCUUAUAUUGACACAUUUUCUGCGGUAAUGAUCAUUACCAUUUAGAUUAAGGCUUAUAUAACGUGUCUUUAGAUUGGAAUGGAUUUCAAACUGCGCCUAGUGUAGUCUUCUCUCUUUAUUGGAUCGCUUUUGGAAAAAUUAGACUUGAAUUGUCGAAGAUGCUUUUCAAAAAAAAAAAAAAAAUCUCCGAGAUGGAAACAACUCUUGUAGAAAAACUUGUGAGGAGGUUACAUCGCAAAGGCCAUUAUCACAUUAUCUUCUCACCAUGACUUGACUUGCACUUAAUAUGCCUUCAAGAUUAUUCCAAAAUCGGGACGCACAAGGCUUCGCGAGUUCCCUCCUUUCUUUUACUUCAACUUCUCUGCUUUUCCUCCUCUUUUCAUAAGACCUUCCUUUUACUUCAACUUCUCUGCUUUUCCUCCUCUUUUCAUAAGACCUUCCUUUUCAAGGGUCCCAUAUAUUUCAUUUUAUUUUAUUUUUUUUAAUAAAAUCUCUCCUAAGUUUCUUAGCUAGAGUUCUCUCUAAAGUUUCCUAAUAAGAAAUUUCUAUUUCUCUUUGAGUUGAUAGUGAGAAUUUUCAAUUUUUUUCUUCUUUUAUUGUUAGAUUCAAAUUUAUUUUAGAUUUGACUUUUUUGGGUUUUCGACCUCUCUCGAUAGGCUUCAUUAUCAUUAUUGGAGUUGAAAACUGUCGAUUAGUAGAUUUGGCGAUUGCAACAUAUAAAGAAGAAAGCUCUCAACAUGUCUCAUCAUCAUUAUUAGAGUUGAAUCCUUUGAUUAGCAAAUUUGAUGAUUGCAAUGUGCACAGAAGGGAGCUGCAAUGAUUUAUCUUAUUAGAGAACAAUUUAAAAUUUUUUACAUUUUCCAAAUCUAUUGCAUCCGUUAAAUUGCAGAUGCAAUCCAGUAUAUGUUUAAUAUGCCAUUAAAGCAACGAUAUAAAUGAAAUCAUGCUGGACAAUUUCCAGCAAUUCGUCAAUGAAAUUUGGUCUUUAUCAAAAAAAAAAAAAAAAAAAAAAGAGAUUCCUAAUACAUGAUAGAGGAGAGAAAUCGUUGUGACUAAUAUAGGGCAAUGUGGUACAGGAAAACGAUAACUUGUUUCCUACUGAUAAUGACUUUAAAUUCAAGAAUGGUCAAUUCAGUCAAACCAUGUGCAUGGAAAGGCAGUCUGCAGUCUGCACUCUCAACCAAAAAAAAAAAAAAAAAAAAGGUUCAUAAAUUAUCAAGGACUAGAAGUGUGGUUAUACUUUACAUCGCAGAGACUUGAGGUCAUAAAGUGGCUUUGUUUGUAUUGCAUUUUUUAGAAUUUUUUGUAAAAAAAUUACUGUAGUUAUUUGAUAUAUGUGAGAAAAAAACAUAAUAGAGAAAUGUGAUCAUGAAAAAUGACGCAAUUUUCCGGUGGAAAAUGGCUGUCCAAAUGGGGCUUUCUAGAAGUUUUGGAAGUUACAAGUAUUAAACUCUCUCAAUCGGUAUGUUUGAUCGCACAAGGCUUAAAAAUUUAUGUAUCUAAAUAAUAGAGGUGGAGAAUCCUAAAAUUUAAGAAUAAAGAGAUAGAAUAUAUAGCAAUAGAUUUGAGAGAAUUGGUCUGACCUCCAUAUUGGUUUGCCCUACUUGUUAGUACAUGCUUACGAUGGUGAUAAAGAAGCCGGUCUUUAUGCUUGCGUCCAAUUAAGUGUGCGCCAGCCAGAUUCUGAAUACGAAACUUCUCGGAUUUGUAAAGUAUACCUUUGGGUGCACUGAAGAAAAAUAUAAAACUCUACCGAUUAGUACUUUUCACCGCUUGAUAUUUUAAAAUGAUUUUUCUAACAGAUGCCCACCGGACAUUUGUUAAUACACUUAUACUUUUUCUAUUUAAUUUUACCUACUCUCUCCUGUAUUUUUUUGGGGAUGUUUUUGUUAGAUGAAAUUUUUAAUAACUGACUACACUAACUCUAAAAAUAAUAAUAAUAUUUUCAAAAUACGCACCUCAAAACACUUUAAAAUUACACACUCAUUCCUCUCCUCUAUCACCACCUCCUAACCAUUUCCACUUUCAUCGCUAUCGCCGCAGGCCAAUCCACCGCCACCGAAACCAUCAGAUACUCAUGUCCACUUCUUUCUUUUUUUUUUCCUUUCUCUAUAAAAAUUUUUUUUUCAAAUUUUACAAUAAAAUUUUAUACAAGCACCUAAAAAACACAUCAUCUAAAUGGCCUUUAAUUCUUGGUGCAAAUCAUCUAUGCCCGGAUUCUAAAACACUUCCUUGAGCUUCGAUGCAUGGAAACAAUCACGUCCGGCCAGUAUGUAAUCACUAGUAACGCCAUAUAAAGCGUGCGUGACAAAUUCCUUGUUUCUUAAUAGAGAAACGGAUCCAUCUGCCCUGUGGCGCUCCUCGUGUGGUCGUUAUAAGCAUCUGACCUUCCGAAACUUUUCUUGUUUCUAUUCCCAGCCAGGGAGCCUCCUGCAUCCAGCCACUAGCAGCGAGUAGCGACUUUCCGCACAUAAUCGUCUCCGAGUUUCAAUGAUGAAAACGAUAAGAUCUGGGGAGAAUUUCAGAAACUUCCCUCGAGGGUUUCUAAUAAUUUCACUUAGCAAUCUUUAGAUUUUUAAUAUUACACUUAUCUUUUAUUGACCCUAUAAAAUGAUCAUAAUAACCUUAAUAUAUUAAUGUUUUUUAUGCAAUUAAAAAAUAGGCUUCUAAUCUUGUGCAUAGGAAUGCACCGCACAAUUAAACAUUUAAUGGAAACAAAAACAAGAUUCACUCAUAGAAUAAUUAAUUAUGUCAUAACAUAAUUCUAACAUAUUAAAAAUUAAUUUUAACUUUGUUUGAAGGAUCUGAAGAUAAAUAAAAGAGGAUGUAAGCUAAAGGUUUGGAUUGCUAAAAAAGGACAAGGCAUGUGUUGGUACUUUAACAUUUGAGGGAUAGGAUGUUACAUUAAUACAGUUGGUGAAAUUCUUUGAGCUUAGCAGUACUGUUUUUUUUUCUUUUGUAACUUAGAUUGAUCUUUUAGAAUUUAGGACAGUUGAUGAAAUUCUUUGAGCUUAGCAGUACUGUUUUUUUUUUUCUUUUGUAACUUAGAUUGAUCGUUUAGAAUUUAGGGACUGGUGGUGGUGGUGGUAGUGGUCAUGGUGAUAAUGGUACUAAUUUGAGAUGAAGGUUUAAAAUAAUAGAGAUGAUGGUUGAAAGUGGGUUUGAGAUUUUAUGCAUAGUUCAUAUCUUUUUUGAAGAAUUUUAUAAGAAGGUAAAAUGAACUUAAAAAAAUUCAUGAGGGCAUUUUGGGUUAUUCAUUUAAAAUUUUGAUCAUUGAAUAGUUUUUGUUACCAAAAUAAUAAACUUAAGAGAGGUAUACAUAAUUUUUGGAACUUUAAAAGAACUAAGGCUUUGUUUGAAACUUAAGAGAGGUAUUUUAAUCACUUUUUUAUCUUACAUAUAUCAAAUUGUUAUAAUAUAUUUUUCUAUAAAAAUUCUUAAAAAUAGCAUUUCAAAUAGGGCUUAAGUGAAAUUGUUAAAAACCUCAAGGUUUCCGAAAGUAUCCCUAAGAUUUGUUUGUAUUCAUUUUUUCAACAAGAACCUACCACUCCAUUCCCUCACGAUCACGAAAUUCCUUGCACGUAAUCUUAUACAUUACGUCAGGCGAAAGAGUUGCAAUCAAAAUCAUAUCGUACUUUUUGUGUCAGAGAAGUAAUAAUUACGUUUACGUUGAAAGGGGUUUGAUUUGUCUAAGUUAAAUUAUUUGAAUUUCGUGCAAAGAGGAACUUACUCUAUUGAGCUCCUCAUUUUUUUUUUGUUUUGUCAAAAAAAGGACCUAGUCCCACUUCAAACUCCAACCCUUUUUUAGAUUGUUAGAUUCUUUUCUCAUUUUUGUUACAGAGUCGAACUCUGGUGGAUGUUCUAACUAGAAACUACACCACCUUACUCUAUUAAGCUCCUCGCUAUUGCUUUUCUCUCUAAUUAUAUAAAUUUUUUCUAAUCAAAUACUUGGACAAUCGUAUUGCUUAAUUGAUUUUCGAUAUAUUACUUAAUUGAUUUUCGACAUUCUAGUAAAUCAAUCAAAUUCCGGUAUUUACAGUUUUUGUAUCCAAUUUACUUUUGUAGGAGCUUUAGAUUAGACAAAAUAUUUAUAUUCAUUCUUUAAAAAGCCAUUAGCAACAAAAUCAUAUAAACCUUUCUGUCUAAUAACCCAAAAUGCACUCGUGAAAUUAUGGAAUUCAUUUUACUUUCUUAUAAAAUUCUUUAAAAAAUAUGAAACAUGCACAAAAUCUCAUAUUUUCACAUUUCAAACCUCAUCUCUACUAUUUAAACCUUUCAUAUUUUCACAUUUCAAAUUAGUACCAUUAUCACCAUGGUCACUGCCACCACCAGCCUCUAAAUUUUAAAACCUCAAUUUAAGUUAAAAAGAAAAAAAAUAUAUCAGCACUGUUAAUUUCAAAAAAUUUCACCAAUUGCAUUAAUAUAGCAUCAUGCCUCGCAAAUAUUGGAGUACCAACACCAACUCCGUUCUUAUUAAACCUACAGCUUACAUCUUUUUUUAUUCAUUUCCGAAUCCUCCAAGCAAAACUAAAUUUAAUUUGUAAUAUAUUAAAAUUGUAUCCAACACAUAAUUGAUUAUUCCAUGAGUGAAUCUUGUUUUUGUUUACAUUAAAUUUCUAAUUUUGUGAUGCAUUCAUAUGUAUAAGAUUAGGAGCGAAUCGUUUAAUUGCAUGAAAAAUAUUAAAAUAUUAAGAUUAUUAUGAUCAUUUUAUAAGAUUAAGGGAGAUAGUAAUAUUAAAAAUCUCAAAAGCACUAGAUAAAUUUGUUAGAAACCUCAAGGGAGGUUUCUGAAAUUAUCUCCCGAGUUAUCGUACCAUUGAGAAAUCCACCUGCAUAGUGAACCGCUUUUGUUGUCAGGUACGCCUUCAAGACUUGGUACUUCGUUCCUUAUUUGAACAUAUUGAGCUGGAUAUAUAUGGUCGAUUGCUAGAUAAAGCAAUUCUGCAACAUUAUCAUCAACAAGCAGCUAAUUCUUCUUUCUCUGCUUUUUUUUCCCUUUAAGAGAUCAUGGGAUUCUAUUUUCAUUGAAUGUGCUUACUAAGUCAAUCCAAACAAGUAUAUGAUUUUUUUUAAUCUCAUACCCCUUCCUGCAUUCUUCUCACCUCCAAAUAUUAUGUUUAGAAUUCAAACCAUAAACUGCCAUAUUUAGAAAGCGCACCCUACAUCCCUUGUAUCCUUCUCCCCUUCAACUGCCGUGUUUAGAAAGGACUCAGCCGCUCGAGAACAAGCAUAUAAUAUUUUUCUAGUGUAAAUGAGAAAAUUCGAAUUCAAAAUCUUGCGUUUACACUUCUUCUCCGGUACUAUCCAACCCACCGCACAACUAUAUGGUGCUGAUUGUUGCGUCUAUGUAAUUAUUUUUGUGGGGAAAUGUAUUUGAUCUCUUUUAAUUAUUGGAUCUGCCGGUUUGGUUACUAAAAGUUGGUAGAUUGGAGUUUUUGCAAUGGGCCAAUCAUCAUUAUAGUCAAAAGUUAUAAACUAAUUAAAUUUCGCCAUUUCACGUUGUCUAAUCGAUAAACUAAAAAUAAAAUUAAGGGCAAAUUUUACUUUAUCCCUUGUGGUUUAACAUUUUUUAUAUAAUCCCCUUAUAGUUUCAAAAGCUAUAUAUAACCACCUUAUAAUUUGGAUUAAAGUGUCAAAGUGACAAGAAUGACCAUUCAUAACGGAACCAUCUAAAAUGUCAAAAAUACCCUUAUGUAAAGUUAAAAAUUAUUUAUUAACCAAGGGGGUUAUGUGUAUAUUUUGAAAAUCAUAAGGGAUUAUAUGAUAAAAUAUUAAACUAUAAGAGGGUUAUAUGGUAAAAUAUAAAAAUUAUACAGGGUUAAUGUGUCAUGUAUUUAUAAAAAUAAUUUCGAUAUUUUUAGAAGUUCAAACCAUGAGGGGGUUAUGUAUAGCUUUUGAAACCAUAGGGAAUUAUGUAAAAAAUACUAAAUCACAGGGGGUAAAAUGUAAUUUGCCCUAAAAUUAACUUAAAAAUCCAAAGAUUGACAAACUUGAAAACCAUUUAUUAGAACUUCAAACCAAAAAAAAAAAAAAUCAGCUAGGCCUUUGAACACCCCUCCCUAAUUUUUGUGUUGCACUGGCUUCAUCUCAAAUUUUAGGGAUAAUUUCAGAAACCUCCCCUGAGGUUUCUGACAUUUACACUGACCUCCCCUGUAGUUUGAACAAUUACACUGACCUCCCCUGAGGUUACUAAUCCUUUACAAAUUCAGUCCAAAUGAUUAAAAUAUUAUUUUAGAGAGUGAAAUUAGAAUUUUGUACCCGAUUUGUCCUUUGUGCCACAUGUUCAAUGAAUGGCAAAGUAGUACAAAUUAAUUAAUAAUUAAUAAACUUUAACGAGCGUAGUUUAUAGGCAAAUACGUAUUGCCUAUUUAAAGGACCAGCUCUUUACAUGUAUUUUACUUUCAAACAUUUACUUUAUCACAAAUAUUUAUUCUCAAAUACAGAUUUGUAUUUAUUCUCAAAUAUUUAAUUUUUGUUAAACACAAAACCUACCAGUUUUUCUUCCGUAGAAAUAUUAAUAUAACACUUUUUCAAUUUUAGUUAUAAAUAUUUAUGUAUUUAACAUAAAUUAAAUGAUUCAGGAUAAAAUAUCCAUAAAGAGCCAAUACUUUACUCAUGUAAUGGAUGAAAGUCAUAAAAAAUUAAUAGUUUAUAAGGCCAUUUAUUUUUUAAAAAAUAUUUAAUUUAUAUUAAAUAGAUAACCUACUGAUUUUUUUUUGCAAGAAUAUUACUUUAACACUUUUUAAUUUUUAAUUACAAAUGUUAAUAUAUUUAUCAUAAAUUAAAUAUUUGAAAACAAAAUAUCUGUAAAGAGCCGAUACUUUAAAUAGGAUAUGCGUAUUUGCCUAUAAACUACACUAUUUAAAAUAAGGAGUAUAGUUUAUUGAUUUAAGUUAAGGAGUGUAGUUUAUUGAUUUAAGUAAGGAGUGUAGUUUAUAGGCAAACACGCAUAACUUAUUUAAAAUACCGGCUCUUUACAGGUAUUUUAUUUUUAAAUAUUUAAUUUAUAAUAAAUAUAUCAAUAUUUGUAAUUAAAAAUUAAAAGGUGUUACAAUAAUAUUCUUGUAAAAAGAAAAUCGAUAGGUUAUCUAUUUAAUAUAAAUUAAAAUUAAAAAAAAGAAAUGGCCUAUAAAAUGUUAAUUUUUUAUGGCUUUCAUCUAUUACAUGAGUAAAGUAUUAGCUCUUUAUGAGUAUUUUAUUCUGAAUCAUUUAAUUUAUGUUAAAUACAUAAAUAUUUAUAAUUGAAAUUGAAAAAAUGUUAUAUUAAUAUUUCUACGGAAGAAAAACUAGUAGGUUUUGUAUUUAACAAAAAUUAAAUAUUUGAGAGUAAAUACAAAUCUGUAUUUGAGAAUAAAUAUUUAUGAUAAAGUAAAUGUUUGAAAAUAAAAUUCAUGUAAAGAGCUGGUACUUUAAAUAGGCAAUACGUAUUUGCCUAUAAACUACGCUCGUUAAAAUUUAUUAAUUGUUAAUUAAUUUGUAAUACUUUGCCAUUCAUUGGACAUGUGGCACAAAGGACAAAUCAGGUACAAAAUUCUAAUUUCACUCUCUAAAAUAAUAUUUUAAUCAUUUAGACUGAAUUUGUAAAGGAUUAGUAACCUCAGGGGAGGUCAGUGUAAUUGUUCAAACCACAGGGGAGGUAAGUAUAAAUGUCAGAAACCUCAGGGGAGCCUCAGGGGAGGUUUCUGAAAUUAUCCCCAAAUUUUAUAAGAAAUGGCUUGUUGGAACUUGGAACUCUCCUUCCCAAAGUUGGCUUUAUGUCCACUCUCAAGUACAAUUCCUACCCACAUCAAAAAAGGAAAAGUACAUGAUGGACUGGUCAAUCCUAUAAUCAUCUGUUCAGUGCUUUGUAGUUGUGGUCCUUAAAUCUGAAAGGCUUUGCAGAUUGGAAUAUAACAGGUUAGCAAGGAGACCCUUCCAGCAGGCAUUUUAGAAUGCCCCCAUAGAACUUGGGGUGUCUUUGAAUAAGGAUUUUUUUUUCUUUCUUUUAAUCCCUUAAAAGUAAUACUGCUUAUUAUGAAAAUUUUCUUUCUUUCUCACCAUAGAUCGGAAGUUUGAAACCCUACCCUUGCAGAGGGAGGAUGUGUAGUACGACACUCUUCUGAUCAAGACGAUCUCUUUCUUCUAACCCCUCAUACAACUUCCUUCCUAUUAGAUUAGAAUAAAAUAGAUUAUACAUGUUACGGUAUAAAAGAAAAGAUAUACAUACAGUUCGAGAUCAUCAUCCAAUAAUUGUGGAUCGGUACAUGUAGGAUAUUGAUCAAUUUGUUAUAGCUUGAUAUCAUCAUUCAAUAAUUGUGGAUCGGUGCACAUAGGCUACUGAUCAAUUUAUUGUAAAUGUUAAUGAUUACCUCCUUAAUAAUAAUGAAGUCUUUUUUUUUUUUGGUCAACCAAUAAUUUCUAGACUACUCCACUUAUGAAGAUUGAAGUAUCGUUAGAUCAGACGGAUUUACUACACAUUUAUUUGAAUUUGAAGAAAUCAUAUAUUACUGAAAAAUAAUGAGACCCCGCAAAGAGAAUUAAAGGGACCGUUAGUUAACAAUAACGAAGUAUCAUUCUUGUUUUUAUCGACAAAAAAGUUCAUUUCUCGAUCAAUUAAUAAGUGACUCUGGACCGAAACUUUAAAGGCACAGAAAGGUUCAUUUGGUCGAUCAAUUAAGUGAAUGUGGACCGAAACUUUAAAGGCAAGUUGGACGUGUCAUGUAUUGCUUCCAGAAUCAAUAGAUGAGGUUCUGCAGUUGAUGCCGAAUCACUGUUGGUCGGAAUGACCAAAUACCUGGCGGAUUUCGAGCAACCCGUGGAAUCUAAAGAAACUAUUGGUCAGUUUUCCGAAACAACAUGUAUGAUAAGAUAAAGCCCACUAGAUGAUUUGGAGUAUCAAAGCACUACGGACGACUUUUGGUUCGGUAACUCGUUGAAAAGUAGUGCACCAAUGAAGUUUUUAACAAAAAUAUUUAUUAAAUAUUUAUUGGAUAAUGUGUAAUUUAAAAUUUUUUUAAAUAUAUUUCUGUUUGGAUUAUUUAGUUUUUUAAAAACUAUAAAAAUUUUUAAAAAGUACUCUAAAAAGUAGUGUAAUUUUUUUUUAUGUUUAAAAAAUAUCCCAAAAUAUAUUUUAAAAACUCUAUUACUCUUAAAUAUCCCAAAAUAUACUUUAAAAACUCUGCUACAGUAAAAAUUUUUUUUAAAAACACCCCAAAAAAAUAAUUAAUCCAAACGGACCGAUUAUAGGAUAAAAUGAUUAAAUCUAAUAUUUUAUUUUAAAAAUUCAAAAGCUAUUAUAAAAACACUAAAUUUGAGCUUGUGUUAAAAGUGCUUUUAGUUUUAGCACCAAAACUUCAACUUCUAAUUUUAUGGAGCGACGUUCACCAAAGGUAUCAAAAGUACUUUUAGCAUUAAAAAGUACUCUUUUAUAAUAAAAAAAAACACCACAAUCUCAUAUGAGACCUAAAUUUGAAAUUGAUCAGUUUAUUUUACCCUUCCUUUUCAGUGUUUCUUCCCUCGGCAGGAAAAAGAAAAAGAAUAAUAAUGCAAAACCUUCAUGCCCUCUUGUAGGAUUGUAAACGUGGUACCCCAGAGUGGAAGUAAGUUUUUGUCCAGUUCUUUUCCGUCCGACAACGUGACAAUGCGAGACUAUUUUUUGUCAUUCUUAGCCGUAGGGCCGUCAAUCUUGAAUCUUUGUUGGACAGUUCACAGCCUCGCGCCUUUUUUCUUCACAAGCUAUAUAGCUCCUUGCAAGCUAAUUGUACGUGUUUUUUGUUUUUUUAACCCAAUCCGCAACUGAAAAAUCUUUGAAACUUUUGCAAUUUGCAGUCUCAAUCAACUUUUUCCCCCGACAAUGGAUAUGCUUCUCUCGUCAAAGGAUAUGUUUGUCCAACGUGUUUUGACGAGGUAGUUCUUCUUAUUUUCUAGCUAGGUAACAAAAAAUCCAGGAAGAAAAGAGGCUAACCAAUUCCAAUAUCAAUGCAAGUCACCUAACCUACCCUAACGGCAGCUAAUAGUGGUUCAUAUGAAUUAGUAAUAGGAGCGAAUUAGUAAUAGUGGUUCAUAUUAACGAAUUAGUAAUAGUGGUUCAUAUUAAUAGUGGUUCAUAUGAAUUAGUAAUAGGAGCGAAUUAGUAAUAGUGCUUUUAAAUAUAUUAAUUAGAGACAUAGUUUAAUAAUUGCUUAUUGUAUUGGAUAAUGUGUAAUUUGAAAAUUUUUAAAAGUGUUUACCUCUUUAUUUGGUUCAUAAUACAGGAUAAAAUGAUUAAAUUUGAUACUUUAUUUUUUAAAUCAUAAAAGUUAUUCUAAAAGCAUCAAAUUUGAGUUUUUGCUAAAAGUGCUUUUAACACUAAAAGCUCUGCUCAUAAAUUUAUGGGAUGAUAUUCACCAAACACUUUAAAAGUAUUUUUAGCACCUAAAAGUGCUUUUUUUUUUUUUUUUAUCAAAAGUACCGCAAUCCCAAACGAGGCCUAAGAUAUUAGCACUUUUGAAAAAAAAAUCUCCAAAACUUCUUAAACUUCAUCAAAUGCAAAAGAAAGGAAAGAGUGUCUGAGAUUUCUGGAGGAGUGCUAAUAUGAUUUCGCUAAACUUGAUAGGUAACUCCCCUCGUUUUUAUUUAACUGCAAUGAGUUAUUAAUUAGGAAAAGUUAAAUUGUGAAUCGACUACUAGAAUCUCAAAUCAAAUUAUAUUAAGGCCUAAUUUCAAGGAUUUUGAAGAGGAAGAACGAAGUCGUGUAAAGCUAAGUCAGAAGGGAAAAUCAAAGAUGGAGUUAAUAAGUUUUCUUUACAAAUAAAUCGGUUGAUUAAAUUUAGUUAAGUUGUCAUUAUAAUCAACUUAUUUACCCUUUUGUGUACUAAAAUUUUAUUUGACUUUUUUAAAAGCUUUUGUUUAGCUUUAUCUAGCUAGCAUUUCCUCCACAUUUCUUCAAAAACUUGGAGAAACAAUUACGUGGCCCCUUUAUUUUCCCCCUAGCCUCCCAUUUCACUUCUUUAUUCCUUCUCUUUCUUUCCAUCCGACAGGAAGGUCAAAAUUCCUCCAAAUUAAAAAAAGAAAAGUAGAAACGGCCCAAUGGGUUUAAAAAAAACUUUAGGCCCAAAGAAUUGUUCUAGCAGUAGCACAUAUUGGGUAUGGGAAAUAACACAAAAUCUCGUCUCAAAAACCUUUGAAUUUUACCCAUUCCAUCAACCUAGAGCCUAAUAUUUGCAAACAGGCUUAAGUCCAGCAUAUAUAAUGGGCCGUCCAUUUCCCAGUUCGGCAUUACCCAAUACAAAUUUCACUAUCCUUUUUCUUUUUCCAAUGAAAUUUCCCGAGCACGCCUGUAUUUUCCAACUGAAGCAAAAAUGGCGAGCAUCUUGCAAGUGCCAGUUACGUCGUCGUUUCCCUGCUUCUCGUCUUCAUCAUCGUCCCUAAAACGACGUAUCCUCAGCAGAACAGUCUCCGCAACCAGUAGUGCUAAAAUUCCAGUACCUCCAAUAAACCCUAAGGACCCUUUUCUAUCGAAGCUUGCUUCGGUUGCCGCCUCGUCGCCGGAAGUACUCCUCAAUCGGCCUCCGAACUCCGACACGCCGCCGUAUUUGGAUAUAUUCGACUCGCCGAAGCUCAUGGCCACCCCCGCCACGGUCCGAGCUAUUUUUCUUCAUCACUGGACUUUCUGUUUUUAAUUUUGCAAUGCAAUUGAAGAUAAAGUAUUGCUAAUUAUUAAGUAUAUUAUGAUUGUUUCCUAUACAUAUAUACAUAUAUAUAUCUAUAUAUAUAUAUAUGUGUGUGUGUGUGUGUGUGUCAGUUUUCCACAAGAUAACAGUUUUUCCAGAAAAUAUAUAUAUAUAUAUAUAUAUAUAUAUAUAUAUAUAUAUAUAUAUAUAUAUAUCUGGAAAAACUGUUACCUAUAUAUAUUUUUUAAAUUUUGAAGAGAAUUGGUGCAACGUUUUUCAGGUGGAGAGGUCUGUUUCAUAUAAUGAACACCGGCCGAGGCGGCCACCGCCAGACUUGCCAUCGUUGUUGCUGCAUGGUAGGAUAGUGUACAUUGGGAUGCCGGUAAAGAGCCCUAAAUCUUUAACUACUUUACUGCCAAUAUUUGAUAAAAUAUGGCUUCAGCGAUCAGCAAUGCAGUAAAGUUGUUGCUUUUGUCUGUUAAACGCUGGUGGGCUCCUGCCUGGUGGUUUAGUUAUCAUAUGUUGCUUAAAAAAAUACUCAAAAGUGAAGGAAAUGCUUAGGUUUGUGCUAAUGGAUUGGAAUUUGCUGCGACACUUUUUUGGUGAAUGUGACAUUCUUGAAAACCUUAAUAUGGUCAAAUAUAACAAAUUGGAGAGUUGGCGACUCAAUGUAGGCCUACACAGUGGUGAUUUAAAUGCAGUUUGGAUCUUUAUGGGAAGACAAUUUGUUUACCUGCGUUGUUUUGUUGAUAUCAAACAACAAGAUAAGGUGAUAGCAAAAAAUAAAUAAAUAAAUAAAAGCAUCAGUGUUACAAAGGCCAACACACAAAACUGUAUUGAAUAGAUAUUGCUACAAAUAUUCAUACUUCUUAGGUUGAAGAAGAUGAUGGCAGAAGUGAAGUUGUGUAUCAGCUACAAAAUUCAAAAGCUUUUGAAAGUGGUCAGGAGCAAACUUGAGUUUCUGAGGAUUUUGAUAAACAAGUGUAUGGGUUUUCAAUGUCAACUAUCCAUGAAUUUGAUUGCAUUCAUGGAAAAUUUUAAUCUAGCUGGCUAAAUUUGUAUAGGAUGGAUAACGUAUUGUGGUAGAAGGGGUUUUUUGGUUGUCGUGACCUUGGUAUCAGGGAACAGAAGGUGUGUGUGAUGUGCUGAUUUUGAUUUCCAAGUUGUGUUUUCUAGUGUUAGAAGAUCUCUCUUUUUAUAGCAUAUCAGUUCUGGAUCAAACUUUGACUUCCAAAGUUUUGUUGGUAAACUCGAUCUUUUGAAGCCAAUGCGGUAAAUUGUUUGAAGGUGGCUUGGCUUAUAGCUGGUACCUGGGAAGAUGUUUUUCUAGCUUCUUGAUUUCAUAAGCGAAGGGGCUGCCUUGAUUCAAGAAUGGGAUCGAGAGGGCAGCCUGCACCUUAUGCCUUUCUGGCACAUUUCAAUGGCAUUGGUAUGAUAAUUGUUUUAAAGGACAGGAUUAAACAGCAUAAAGUACCAGCCUUUUCAGAUUGCUUAACGUUAUCCGAUAUAAUUUUAGGCUAUAAUUUCCUGCUGUUGGGUAAAAUUUCUUACUGCCAAUAGGAAUUUCUGGCAACUUUUUCCAUGUCUUUUUGAGGAGAGAAGUGGAUAGACAUUUGCGUAAGAAUGCAGGAGGCAAAAUAGGUGUAUUUUCGAAGUAAAAUCAAGGAUAGGUUGCACCUCAUUUUCAAACAGACUAGUCUUUGAAAUUUACUUACAUAGGAGCACAUCUUGUGGUUAAUGCUUGGUAGAUCAUUUCAUUCUCGACAGUUAAGUAGUUCAUGAAUGAGAGGACAAUAGAUGCCAUCACAUGGAAAGGAAUUUAGUUGCUUUCCAGUUCCAUAAACUUCUUGUACUAUGCCAGUAUUGUAAUGGCAAGGGAAAUAGACUAUCAAAGGCAUUCAUACAUAUAUAGGAUGCUGUUUGUUGGUCAUCCACAAAAUUCAUAAAUUAAAAGCACAAGCUCACUUUCUGCUCUUUCUGAACAUAAAAACUAAUAGAUCGAUUGUCUGGGAUGCUACCUGUGGCCAUGUGGUACUUUCAUUCUUGUAAACUAACUCGUUUUGGUAAGUUUUUGGUAUUAUUGCCUUGCUGCAUGAAUUAUUCCCCAAAGACUUGUCUAGUGCUGAUUUGUUUUACCAGUUAUGUUGUAUGAUGUGAUAAUCAAACCUGUUUCUUUUACCAGUUGGUGCCAGCGGUCACUGAGCUUGUAGUUGCAGAAUUAAUGUAUUUACAGUGGAUGGAUCCAAAAGAGCCAAUUUUUCUGUACAUAAAUUCUACUGGAACUACUCGUGAUGAUGGUGAAACGGUGAGCCUUUGUGUUGCAGAUUAGUUCUCUUUGAGUACUUAGCUGUUGUUGCGGAACUUGCUGUUAGUUGGCUGUCUUGUAAUGUUAUUCAUACAUGCAUCUUAACCUCAAAUGCAGUUAGUUGUUUGUCAAGUUUGAUCUUGAGUGCAAAUUGGGCCUUCUGAAAAAGGUGAAAAGCUACAAGGAAAUUACAGAUGCAAUAUACUGAAAGAGAUGCCUAGAAAUUAAAAAAAAUAAAACACAUAGGAGUUUAGACAUGUUUAAAUAACCAGUUGUAGAUUGAGAUGAGAUUUGAAGACAAAGUGGACCAGUAAUGGACCGAGAACUUACAAUGCAAUUGAAGAAUUGACUACACAGAAAGCAAGAAUGCAAGUUAUGUUGCUGAAUGGAUAGUAAGAGAUAUACUUCUCGUUAAUAACCUGAAUAUGGUUUGUUACUAAUUGCCAUCCUGUGUGCGUCUGUCUUGUCCUUGGAAACUUUUUGGCACUUUCUAUUUAUUGCUAAAUGUAUGCCUUGGGUGCUGUCUGCGAACUUACUUUUAUACCAGUCAACACUGUAGGGACCAGUUUUCUCAAGGGUUAGUCUUUUUAUAUUAAUCUCUUUACUUACAUACUGAUUUUUGCGUACUUCUCUGAGUCUAGUAUACUAUUAAUUUUCAAUUAAGCUAUUUUUAUGAAACCUUCUGUGUCUUAGGUCGGCAUGGAAACGGAGGGUUUUGCAAUCUAUGAUGCAUUGAUGCAGUUGAAGAAUGAGGUGAGCUUCUCCUAUAGGUUAUAUUUUAUGUUAAUAAAGAUGUGACAUCUGGCAUUUUAUUGGAGCAUUUAGGCUAAUUUAAUGUCUAUCCUUCUUAGAAUUUAAAUUUUAUAGCUUGCAUAAAGUAGAUGAGAGUUAAAUUCAUUAGCCAAACCUUGCAUGUUGUUGACUUUUCAAUCUAUCUAGAUUGAAACAGUAAGCCUAGUCCAGUUUUUAAAAAGCAGUUUAGUUAUGUUGUCAGAUACGAAUUAGGUGAAAAAUCUUUUCCCUGUUCAAGCUUAAUGAGGCUAUGACUAGAUUAUGCCUAUUGUUGACUUCUGAUAUCUUUGUUUCGUCCUUGGUCAAGUUUUUUUCUGUGCAUGAAUGGAGAGGUAUCUGUAUUGGAUAACAAAUUGAGAUAUGGUGUCUCUAUCCAGUGCUGCUAAAAUACACGUUUGCUUAAUAUUUCUCCAAUUAUAAUACAAUGCGCAGCUUUGGAUUGAAUGAAGUCAUUCUGUGGAUUUUGAUUGAAUAACUAAACAUACUGAGUGAUCUACAUUGAGGCAAUUUCCUCAAAUGGUUACUGUUGCUACUGGAGAGUAGUAUUGAAUGCUUUGACAGUUUCUUGUUAUUUUCUAUCCUCUUAUUAUAAUGUGAAAUUCAGAUACAUACUGUGGCUGUUGGAGCUGCUAUAGGUCAGGCAUGUCUCUUGCUUGCUGCAGGAACCAAGGGGAAAAGGUUUAUGAUGCCGCAUGCAAAAGGUAUGCUGCGUUAAUCAAAUCUGGUUUCAUGUGCAAUAUUUCAUGUCCUCUGACUCGAUGCAUUUAGAAAUUUGACAUGAAUUUUGGUUUCUGCUCCAGCUAUGAUUCAGCAGCCUCGUGCGCCAUCAUCUGGGUUAAUGCCAGCCAGUGAUGUUUUUAUACGUGCAAAGGAGGUUAGUUCAAGCUUUUGGUGGCAUUUUUUGCUUUAAAUCCUGCUGAGAUAGAUUUUAUGGUGGAUACUCAUGUGAAGUAGCUUGAGGGUUCCUUGAAAUGAGUAUGAACAGAUGUACAGCUUGAAAAAUGAGGACUGUCCUCAUGCAUUAUCAUGGUUUAGAGUUUCACUUUGUCAUCUACCCGGUAAAAAGCUACUCAAUGCAAAUUUGUGCCUAAUCCUCGCAUCAUCUUCUUAUAGGAGCUUAUUUCAUCUUCUUCUCAAACAUGACAAGCUAAGCACUUGUUGUUUGGUGCUAUUAGAAUUCUGGCACACUAUUAACAUUUAGGGAAUGUUUGUCCUAACUUUAUUUUUAUUGCAGGUAAUAAUUAACAGAGACACCCUUGUUGAACUUUUAGCUAAGCAUACUGGAAAUGUGAGUAUCCAACAUCAGAUUUAUCUCUCUCCGGCUUUGAUUUAGUAGCAAGCAGUUCAUGCAGAUUAAUUGUUGAAAUCUUAUAUUAACAGUCAAUAGAGGCAGUUGCUGAUGUGAUGAGAAGGCCAUUUUACAUGGACUCAACCAGAGCUAAAGAAUUUGGCGUCAUUGACAAGGUCAUUUGUUGAUCUGAGUCACCCCUACGAUUUUAUAUUCUUGGGAUUCAGACUCAUUUGAUUUUUAUACAAUUUGAUAUGGGGAAAACCUUGAAUUACGCUAGUAUUAAUCAACAGCAACUUGUGGUUCAGAUACUCUGGCGUGGUCAGGAACAAAUUAUGGCAGAUGUUGCCGCUCCAGAGGACUGGGACAAGAAUGCUGGAAUUAAAGCCUUUGAUGCAAUUUAACAUUUUCUCCAGGUAAUUACAUGCAGUAUAAAUUUUUCUCUUAAAUACAGGAGUAUUGGAAUACUGAACUUGAUUAGAGGCUCUGGUGACUGGAGCUUGCAGCUCCUUUGAUUCAUGCGGGUGCUGCAACAUCCUUUGUUGACCAUAAAGUUGAAAACGUUCGUCUUAAUUCUGGCUUGAAUUUCAAAUGGACUUUAUCCAUCAUUGAUAUAGAUGAAUACAAAUCAUUUAGAGAAAGCAAAAACUUUCAAAUGAACUUUAAGAUGAUUUGACAGAGUUUAAUGCACAUUUAGGAUUGUGGUGGGUUAUCAAAAAGCACUUCGCUUAGUAGAGUGUUGAGUAGAAGUACUUAUUAAGUGCUCGAUUGUAUUGUUUCGGUGCAUAAGUGCUGCUUGUAUUUGGUUUGUAUCUAUCUCUUUAUUCAAUUAGGAGUUUAUGAUCAAAUGCCCAGAUUUUUUGUUUUCUUAAGCACAAAAGUUAUUCUAAAUAUACCCAUGUUGAACUUCUGCUGAAAGUGUUUUUCAGACCAAAAACUCUACUUCUAAAUUUAUGAAAUAACACUUACCAAGCACUUGAAGGCUUAGUUUGGGAGUUUCGGAUAGAGAAGAAAAGAAGGGAAAACUGAAGUUAUAAGAGAAGAGGAGAGAAGAGAAGAGAAGGGAUUAUUAUGUUGUUUGGGAGUUUUGAGAAUUAAUGGAAUGAUUAUGGAUAUGAAAGUCAUUAAAUAUUUGUUCAAGACUUUUUUAAGGAUAAAAUAGGCAUUUCAAAAAAAUUUGAGAAGCAUCCUCAAAGUUUCUCUCAUUUUCCUUCAAAUUUGGGAGGAAAAGUUUUGCCUACUGUUCAUCUUUCUGAAUCCUCCCAUUUCCUUUCUUUUCUUUCUUACUAAAAACUAACAAACAAAGGAAAACUAUAAAUUUUCUCUUCUUUCCCUUUCUUUUCUGUCCAAAUCCUCAACUGCUAAAUGAAGCGUAAAAGUGCUUCUACCGCCCAAAAGCAGUUUAAGCAAAAGCACUGCAAUCCCAGCAAGCUCUGAAUGCUGCAGUCAUUUUAUGGGAAAUUACAACGCCCUUGGGCAGAAUUUUAUGGUCCUUUAAUCUUUCCCUUCUAUCCCUUAGUGAUAAUAGUGGUUCACAUUUUAAAUGCUUAAUACAAUUUUAGGGUCCAAAAUACUUAUUUCACUGUCCAACGGUGAAAUUAGUUAUAGAUCCUAUAUCUUUGAGCUGUCUAUUUAACUGCGCUACCCCACUAGUCAUCUUUUUACAUUAGUAUUCUGAUGUCAAGCAAAUUCAAGAUGUUUUAUCUUCAACGUAGAGAGUUAAUGUGGGAGUUUUUGAAGUGUACAUUGUUAAGGAAUCUAAAUUCACAAGUUCCAUGUAUCCAGUGCCCGCACCACCAACCCACCCCCCCACCCCCUGUAAAAAAAAAAAUCUCUUCCAAAACCAAAAAAAUCAUACAUGCUGCACAUUGUGCAUGGCAGUGUUGAUCCUCUGUAUAGGUCAAAUGAAUUAUGAUUGCUUUUGUUUAGGAUUGGUGAUUUGAGAGAACCUGUUGUCUGGCUGAAAGCACAUCUAUUCCACUAGCGAGAUGAAAAGCUUGUGUCACCUGAAGGAUUUAAAUCGGACGAAGGAACUGUCUGCUGAAAGCAAGGAUUCAAAGCGAAUGCGUUAGCUGGUUCAAGUUUGUUCGCGUACACAAAUUUCAAGUAUUAGUGGAUAGUGGAUCAUGGGUAAAUUUAACAGUAUCAUACGUUUCUGAGGCUUACAGUAAUGUUUUUAGCCUAUGGAUAACAGUAUAGACUUCCCAAGCUCUACAGGCUUUUGGCUGAAAUGUACCGCUGAUUUUUCUUAUCAACUUUUGUGUAUCAUAAAAUGUCAUAAUCUCACAUUAGGUUGCUGCUUUAUCUAGUGUAAUUCAUUAUUGAUACUUGUACACAAGCUUGCCUUGAACUUUACCCUUUGUUGGCUGCAAAAGUAUGAAUUUGUGCAGAGGAAUUGCAAUUCUUUUGUCCAAAAUCCUCAGUUGUUCAAGCAACAAACACUUUGUCCUCAGACAGAAUGGCCCCUAUUCAUGGCUUCCGAUUUCAUUUAUGAUGGAAGGAAAUGUGAUUCUACUUUUCACCUUCAAAUUCUGGGUACUCUAUUGCACAUUGCUGGGGGAACCGCAUUUUGAAAUAGCAGAAAUUAAAAUUAGAGCCUUCAAGUGCAUAAGCCAGAAGGGAUUGGAUGAUUAGAUUAACAGCACCAAGUAUCUAGUUUCUAUUUAUAUUUCUUCAUUAAAACUUUGGAUUAAUCUUCAAUACAUAGACAGUAUAUGCACUUUCAUUAUUAGAUACAUAAUACAUAAUUCAAAUUUUACAUAUGUAUUGUAUGUUAUAGUAUAUACAUUGUCGAUUUAUUCAAAAGUUCAACUCUUAUUAUUAAAAGCAAAUAAUUAGCCGAUGACUUAAAUUGAUUUAGGGAAAACAAAGUGAAAAUCUAGAACAGUGAAAUGAGAACCUGCUCAUGUAAUCUUUGUACUGAUUUUUAAGCAAUGAUCUAUUGAUCGAGAUAUAGACUGUUGAAUAAAAACAAUUUCUGACCGGAUUUUUUUUUUGAUUCAUCUGACCGGAUUUAUUUAUUGACUAUAAAAACAAAACUACUGGGAUAAAUUGAAUAUAGAUUUUUUGAAUAUCAAAUCCCAUCAUGAGAAGACCUUGAUGAAGCAUUAAUGAUCAUAUCCGUUUUCCCGAGUCAAAAUAUGAAUAGCGCUACAAAUUUCGGCCACCAUUACCACCACCGUCACGCCGCCUUCAUCAUAGGAGGAGCGAGCUGUGCCGCGGCCGCGUUGCGUUGAACGGUUGAAGAAUGACACGGACACGGCUAACAGCUUCCCGUCACUCUUAUCAUCUUUGAUGAUGGGCAAGCCGCCAUUUCUGUCGAUUAAAUUCGCCGUGGUUCUCUCCUUUUCUCUGGCCGCCACCGCCUCGUCCACGUCACUCUUCUUCCCCAGACCCAAGCCCCAAAAGCAUUCUACCGUCUCUAUACCCAAAGCCAACACCAAAGACUUGCUGGCUCUUCUGGGCUCUCCCCAACAGGCUGCUUCUGUCAAUGCCGAAGAAGCUCAGAAACUGAAAUCUUGUUUCAAGUUCCUAGUACCGUUUUCGCCUCCCGCUAGACCCGGCAUUAACGACCCUUUUCGACGUUCGCUCAAUUUUCGUAAAUCUUUGAGCAGUGAUCAUAGCGGAAGAGGAGUGAGAGACUGGGAACGCGAUAAUGAGCUAAUAUGGUGGCCGCCAGCCCCGGUUAUGGAGCUUGCUCGUCUUGCUGUUGACUCUGGUGGCGAUCCCGGUGCUAUUCAUAGAGCUCUUGAUCCUACUCCUAUCAAGGUGAAGUUUUUAACCUCCGAUUUCUUUUCUGAAGGUUUUUUCCCUCUUUUAUUUGUCUGAAAUGCGUAUUAUCACCCAUGUAAAUUAGCAAUAUGUUUUCAGAGUCUAGUUUUUAGCUAAAUAAAGCUGCUUUCAAUUAGUAAUAAUGGAAGAGCAUUAGAAUUAGUAAAAUUGUUGAAAACAGAGUAUCUUUCAUGGUUGUUUGCUACGACAUUGAUAUUUUAUUAAUUUGAAAUUACAAAUGAUAUUGUUAGUUAUAUUCUGUAGUGCCAGAAUAGGGAAAGCCAUUUCUUAAAAAUUCUUUUAAAGAGGAUUUCUUGGAAAUUGAUUUCUUCUUUCUGCGUUCUCUCUUCCUUUUCUUCUCAAAGUAUUAUCGGUUCUCUUUCCACUCCUCACUCUCCUUCUCCAUCAAUUUACAAUACGCGUGCAACUUUCAAGUGAUUAUCUCCGUAAUAUAUCCCUCUGCCUUUGAAUUGUUGUAACAUCCGAAUAUGGUGCCGAACAAAUUAUUGUUUGGACCAGUUGAUGAGGAGACCUGGGUAUGUUACAAAAGCAACAAUUUUUAUGUACAUUUGGGGGAAGUUCUCUCCUGGAAGCUUCGGAUGCCACUUGGACGCAACUCCUGCACCCAAAUGCAGGGGUUCAUGUAUUUUACAUUGCCUCCUUGCAUUUUAGUGCAGUUAUUGUCCAUCCAGGCUGAAGUCACAUUGCGGAAUUUGCUGCAUGGAUAUACAAGAACAAAAAUGUUGCCUGAGUUACACCAUAAACACAUUAUUCCAAUGCCAAUGCAUUCAAACCAUCAAUUGGCCCCCCUAAUUUGUGGUUGGGGCUUGGAUUUGGGAACAUAGUGGUAGGUUCCCAGAUGCCUUGGAUGCAAUUGCAUCCCUAGUUCUUGAACUAGCCAAUCAAAGUUAAAAUUAUGUGGUUUUCUACAGAGUUAAGUUCUUCGAGGAUCAGUUUUUGGUAAGAGACCAAACAAGAAAAAUCCAUUGAAUUUGGUUUCAAAAUUACGUCCUGUCUCAGCUCUGUAAUGUGUCCCUUAUUGGGUCUGAAUGUAAGCAUUAUUGUUUGGCUUUGAGCAUAAUUGGUGGAUGCAAUGUCUUACUUAUUCCAACUUACAGGUACCAGAUGUUGAAGGAUCAAAAGAAGAUAAAUGUGAGCUCACAAGAACUCCUUAUGGUUGGCGCUUUAUAAAUGAGGUAAUAAUUUGUUUAUUAGGGGAUGGGAAAGUAUUUCGCAACACAUUGCCAUAACUUCAAUUUGUUUUGCAUUAAAAGCCCAAGUAAUGGUUAGGUUACCAUUUGCAAUUUGGGAGGUUAAUUGUUCAAUAAACAGAGAUAGGAAUUUCUCUGCUCAAAGAGGCAAGGCUUGGCAGGCCCUGCAUCUUAGAGAAACAGAAUGGGAAAGUAUUGUUAUCUUGAGUUUGUAUUGUCAUGUUUUUGUCUUGUUCUCUUGAUUGAUUUUUUUUGUUUAAUUUCCAUUAUGUAGGAGUUGAAUUCAUACCUAAAAUUUUUAUUUGAAAUGAUUGUUGCUCGGGGUCCGAACGUAGGACUGAAUGUCUCAUUAAACCGCUAUGACUUCUUUCACGGCCACCUUUUUAUUGCUGUGGACUCUGGAAGACUUGGGAUUUUGUAAGUUAACAAACAUCUACUUUUGAGUCAACUUCAGCCAGGCCAUUUACAACUAAAAUUGUUUUGACAAUUUCUUACAAUGGAAAGAAACAUUAUGUGAAAAAGUUUUCAUUGUGAUACAAGAUGAAAUUUCUACUGAUGGUAAGCUAAAUGGUUUGUAGACUCGUUUUCUUAUCUCAGAGAAAGGUCAAACGGUGAUCCACUGAGAAUUUUCUUACUGUUUAUAAAAUGAUGAGUGAUAAUCAUGUACAAUAAUUAGAUGAAUUCUUUAGGUUGUUUCUUAACACAACACUAGUUCAUUGUCUAUUUUGGAAAGUAAAUCUCAUAAAGUCACAAGGUGCUUAUGAUAUUGGUGCUCAUCAUUUUUAAAGGUUCCAUGCCAAAGAAUACCCUGCCUACGAGAAAGAGGUGUUUCCUUACAACAUGGGUUAUUGCCAGAUUGGUAAGUUGAUCUGGAGUAAUGUCAUACAUACUUAGAAAAUGCAUUUUCUUUGUUUUCUGUUAUUUCCAGUUCUGUGAGAUUAUUUUUCUUUCUUGAUAGAUUUGAUUUGAAAGAAUAUUCUGCAUAAUUUUAGUUAGUUAUCUUGUAACAAUCUCCAAUUUUCUUGGAUGGAAUGCUUAAUAAGUGCUAAUAUGGAAUGUGGACCAUGACAAACAAUAUGGUAAACAGUUUUGGAAUCCAAAAAGCAUCUAAUGGUUCUACCAGGUCCCUUUCUAGGUGGACAGUUCUGCCCCCGUCUGAAUAUGAAACUUUUUUCCCAAUCAGACUUGGAUAUGCAAUUUGGAACCCAAGGGCUUAGUUGGUUUCCUCCAUGAGUAACUGAAUUAUGAAAAAAUGAAUUGCGAAAGCAAAAUAAUUGUCUGUUAUAUCACCUUUCAUUGUUUGCGACUACUUACUAAAUCGACAUUGCAAAAUUGCAAUUGCUUGUAUCAAAUUGAACUCAUGGCUCAAAGAAAUUGUGAAAGUACCAUCUUCUGCAGUUUUUUUCUACAAUAAUUGUCUUUGGUUAUUAUUGUCAGGUUCUAAUGUUACUUAUGACGAUUCAAUGAAUUUGCGUAACAUCCUGUGGCUAGCCCCUUUGCCAAGUAAUUCCACAAAAACGUGGUUGGCGCCUGGUAUUUCUUCUCAUUUUACCUUAGUGGACAAAGUUUAACGUUGUAUCAACAGUUUCUGCUUCAAGUUCAAAAGUUAUAUGCUGGUAUGCUUGUCCUGUUUUUGCUGCUUCAAUUAUUAGAUCUUCCAGCUGUGGGGUGCUUAUGAUUUUGCAUUCCCUAAAACUGGUUUCCAUGUAUGUGACUGGAUGAGACAUAUAAUGUAGUGUAUGUUUGAUUGCAUUUCGAAAUAUUUGACUUUCAUAGACUGGUUUUGUCAACUUUGAAAGAAGUUAGCAUAUGAAGCCUAGAGAAAGCUACAUAUGGGUUAAGUUUUCAAAGCUGUUAUGUAAGCUGUAAGAUUCAAACCACCUCAAGUUGAAAGGAAAACUACCGUCUGCUUUCUUUCAUUUCUUCCCUUCUUUUCUAUCACUAAAUUUGGUGGAGCUUUCAACAAAUGCACUUUGAUAGUCGAGUGACCAAUGACUGCAAACGAAAUCUUACAUCAAAGAGUGACAUUGUCAUCUCAACAUUCAUAAGAGAGAAAACUCGUUUCCAAGGUGGACAUAUAAGGACCACCAUAAAACAAAAAGAAUGGAGACAAUAAUUGCUGGGCUUAUUACAUACAACUGGCUUAUAUUGCUCUUUGACUGGAGCAUGGCCUUCACCCCUACUGCUUUCCCUAACUAGUGAGAUAUUUCUCUGAAUUUGGUUUUCUUAUUUUCGAGUACCAGGAACAAAAUCUCAUCAAAAUGUAUAUGGCAUUAUAUAGCAAAGUCACCAGUUUUCUUAUUUUUCUUUUCAAGUACCAGGAACAAAAUCUUAUAAAAAAGGACAUGGCAUUGUAUAGCAAAGUCGCUAGUUUAUGUGUUGGACAUUUUCUUGAAUCCUUACAUAAAAUAGUUUUUCGAGUUCCGAUGGACGAUCAUUGACUAUUACAUUUUAUCCGAAAGUUUUACUAAUAUUUUGCUUGGUUGCUAUUCCCAGGAGUCCUUGUGGUAUUAGAUGCCCAUCCAGAAGGAAUCAUUUAUCAGGACCUCAUUCCUGAAUAUGUUAAGUUUGCAAGGACUCUAUAUGAAGGUUCUAACUCCUUUUUCUAGACUUAUUAAACCUCAUUGUUUAGAAGAGUUAAUAAGAAGUCUAAUGUGAUUAAUAUUUGUCUGUCAGAGGAUUUUGGGGAAGUUGUAGUUGAUGUUAACUACCUAAAUGUGGGAGCUGAAGUGCCAAAAUAUCAACUCUUCAUGUGCUGACACCUUCUGAAGGUAGAAAGCUCCUUUCCUUGGUGUCAUGUCAAAUUUGUUGGCAGAGAACUGAUGAAUCGUUGUGUGCAUUUGUAAAUGUGACUGAUCUUCAUGCUAUAUCUCCAUCUUCCACCGCAGUAUUAAAUUCUGCAUACCAAAGAAAAUGAUCAAGCUUCCUGUUUGCAAGUUCAAUUGCUUCAGAAUGUGAUGGACUAGCAACCUCCCACCCCAUUUCACUGGAUGACUAUCUACGCAUAUCUUUCUGUUGUUUCUGAUAAUGAAACAAAAUUAUACGCCUUCCAUGCGUCCAGAUCAUGGCUGGUGAAUGUGUUACUGUCCUUCAAAGUCUCUGUCAUUUAUGAUGAGGGUGCAGCAAGCGUUUCUUGCCUCUUCUUGUUAAAAUGAGAACAAAUCCAAAUCCAUUGAUGAUUAGUUCUCUCUCAUUGGACAUUGCAUGAAAGAAUAGGCGUACUUGAAUCCAAUUGUUCAUGUCUGAUGUCUCCAUAACAGUUCCACUUUUUCUGGAUGGUGUAUUUUGAACGUCUGUAGUGUGAAUUGUACAAUUUAAAGUGCAAAGUUUUUCUCUUCUCCCUCCCUUGAAACUUCAGUAUGAUGCAUCUCUUUACCUAGAGUGCAUUUCUAAUCCAGAGAAUUGGUUACCGGUUUAAGCAAUGCAAGUAUAAUACAUUAAUACAGUAUCCUUGUCUUUGUUUUCUGCGUGAAGUAUGAAGUAAGAUAAUCCCAAUAUGCCAUGCAUGAAAAGCAAUCCAACAAUUAUCUGAACCCUUAAUCAGUUGCAUUAAAUUUGGUUGGAUUGAAACGCGUUAAGUGUGUUAAGAGUCCCAGAUUUAUGCCAACAAGUUCAACAGAAAAGAUCAAAGGAAGAGAUGUUUUUGGCUGUUGAGCGGGUAUGUUGAAUGCAUGAAAUGAUGACAGUGACUUCAACUGUGUACUGUGAUUUGAGCGUUUAAAUCAUGCAUGGCGCGUAUCAAAUUACCCAGAAUCAUUCGGUUAAUUACUCUGAUUACUGUUGAAAAAAGAAUAAAUCGGGACAAUAUUGUUCUGACAUCGGACAGGUAUCAAACUAUGAUGGUCGCCUGUUGGGCUGAUUAAACCUUGCAACAAAGAAAUAUCUACUUGUAUAUAAGAAAGAAAGAAGGUUUAAUGCUUUUCUUUACUUUUGCCAAGUGGCUUCUCAAUUAUUUGACAAGUAAGGCCAAAUAUUUCUUGCAAAGUAUUGAAGCCUUCUCUUAAUAUUUCUUUCAAAUUGAUCGAAGCCUUCUCUUUAUUUUGGCAUUAGUGCUUUUCUUUUCUUUAGCCAUGUGGAAAAGUCAAAUAUUCCUUCCAAAUUGUACAAAACCUGUCCUUUCUUUUGGCAUUGAACUCUUUCUUUCUCAAAUUGCCGAUGAAGCCUUUUCUUCCUUUCUCUCUACCAGACAGCUAUUUUGACCAGACGGCUAUUCUGAUCAAAAAUUCGGCGCACCUAUUCUAAGCAAAUCCAAUUCCAAACGGCUAUUCUACCAAAACCCAAUCGGAAACGUUGGGAUUUUUAUGUGAUUUGGGAGAUGGGUUUUGUGAGUUCCUUCUUUCAGAAAUUGCCGUUGAAGCCAGUAGGUCAACUGCCACUCCAGACACCUGAUUUCAUGUUGCAGAAAUUGCUACUCACUCACAUGGUGUUUGUACUUCAAAGGAGGAAAAUUAGGAGCAGGUGAACUGUUUUGCCUACACUUGCCGUAGUUUCCUCUUUCUCUAAUAUCAAAUUAACCCAUUUCAUGUUGCAAGAAUUGAUUUCAUGUUAACCCAUUUCUCUUUCUAUUGAUUUCAUGUUGCAAGAAUUGUGGGGCAGUCACAUGAUAAUUAUACUUCAAAUGAGGGAAAUUGGGAACUUUUUGUUAGAUUAGGUAUGACAUUCUAUUCUCAUUAGUUUUCCAUUCAGCCUUACGAUUAUGAUGAGAAAUAUCUUUUCAGAUGUGAUUUUUCCCUUGUUCCAGUUAUGAUAAAAAAAAAUAGGUUUCCUAUUCAUUUAGCCUGUAAAUUUUCCAGUGAAUUAUGAAAUCAAAAAAUAAAAUAGAGGUAUUUAUCAGUGCAUGGUGCUGGCUCCUCUGUCUUAUGAACUGCAAGAAGAAGUGUCUUGAUCUUUACACCUUCUUUGGAGUCUCUUUGGUGAGAAAAAGUCUUUCCCUUUUUUUUGUGAAAUUUUUCCCGUAUGAGUAAUACACGAAUUAAUAAAUUCUAAUAUACACAUAUGCUUCAAUUGAUAGGUUCUUUCUGCUAUGAUUCAUAUCAUCAGUCAAGGAAUCCUUUAAUUUGAAGGUCAGCUUGUUGUCUUUCUUGAAUCUAUGAGCAGUUUUUCUUCAUUUAUUUGACUAUAUUUUCAAAAGUGAAAUUUUAGUGUUCCCUUUUCUUUGUAGUAGUUUUUCUUCAGUUUCUGCUUCAUUUAUUUUAAGUUUGCUGGUGCUAUUUGUUUUGUGUGAUCCUUUAUGAAACAAAUAGUUUUUAUUUAAGUAGGUAAUUGUGUUAAUAUUUUCUCAAUCCAAUUGUGUUGCUGCAAUCCAUUCACCUGAAAAAACAAGUAAAAAUGAAGAUAUGAACCCAGCUCCCAGUUCAAUAAUCCUUAUUUUGAAAUUUGGUGAAUUCUUGAAUAUAUAUUAUUAGUGGCAUACCUACAAAAAAGAAAGAUCCAUUUGCUAAUAUGAGUAUGGCCAACUGAACUGUCCUAUUGGUUUGCUUAUGAUCAAUGUUCUAUCAAACAGCCAAAUUGCUAUAUAUACUAGAAAAAAGAUUAUAACAAUGGACAACAAUAACAUAUUUUGUGAGCCAAAAUCAUUAGCACAAUAUAUUUUGUGAGACAAACUUUUGCUUGUGCUGAUUUUGGGGCUGUGACUGCUAUGCUAAAGUUAUUAUUACAUGACAAGUUUAUUUUUAACUAAUUUCAAUCUCCUGCUAUUGGUGCUUUUGUCUUUAAUUACAAUAUACAUAUCUAAAAUAUGUGACCUGUUGUUGUUCUAAAUAAGGAAUAAGAGUGAUUAUCUAUUUUUUAGAUAACUUUAAGGCCAAUGCAGAGAGGUUGUUAUUGGCAAAGCUUGUUUAGUCAUCUAAGUGAUUAUUGGUUAAACAACUUAAGACUUUGUACCUCUUGUUUCUAAUUGAUUAUCUAGUGUGUGCCUUGUUUGCUAUUUCAUUUAGUCUAGACUUGUCUAGGGCAAUGAAACACUUGAUGGUUACCUCUUAAGGAUAUUGUAUACAGAGCAUCCUUCGGCUGUUAUUCAUUAUAGCCCUUUUAGGCAAAACUCGUUCACUCCUUUAUAUGACUAUCAGUUAAGCAACUUAGGUUAUUGUGCCUGUUUUAUCCCAAGUUGCAUGUAAUAUGCUUGUUGUUUUGUCUAAUCUAGACACAACCUUAGGAGAAUGAAAAACCUGAUGAUUACUUUUUAAAAACGGAGAUUUGAAUGGUGGUACUUGUUGUAGUCUAGCCAAAAGCUGGGCUCCAAAGGCAUCAAAUGUAAUAAACAUUUCUAAAGGAAAAUAAAGGUUAUUAACUUGGUAUUCGGAUCAGUUGUGGUUUUAGGUGUCCGCUAAUAUCCUAUUAAAAUUACUUUGUUUUGUUUAUAGUGCAUCAUUGCUCUUGCUGUGUUUGCCUCUAAAGUUCGAAUUAUGUAUGCACCUAUUUUGUUGCUUUUCUUUGCCCUUUUUUGUUCAUGUUCUUUCCCUGAUAUUUCUUUUUCCUUGUGUUUUGUUACUUGGAUAAUCUACACUUCAUCUUAGACGUAGAGCUUUGUACGCACAGAGCAAAUAAAUCUUUUUGGUAAAUAUAGGAGAAAAUUUGAGUAUCACAACAAUUAAAAUUUGCUAUGAAAAGAAAUUCCGUUUAUAAAGUUAGUCCUGUAUUCAUCAUGAUUUGGACAAAGAUUUUGAACCAAUACUAUGUGUCCGAAAAAAAAAGACAUAAUAAGUACACUACAUUGAUGUUAGCUGCAUACUUGAUUGGUAAUUUAUAAUUUUAAGAAUGCUAUUUCACAAACAUUACUGUUAAUCUUAUCUUAUAUGAAAAUAUAUGACAACAGAUUAUAUGGGGCCUAGGUUGUGCUUAGCACAGCCGAUAACCUCCUAGUCUUACAUAUAUAGAAAGACUUGAGAUUUUUACUCACAGGUUUAGCCACGUAGCGGAAUGAAGGGGGGAGAAAAAUUUUCUCCCGUUUAUGCCCUGAGAAUAUUGUUUAGUUCUCCGAAUAGUGUAUCACUGGUGAGGUCAUUUUUGUCUUGUUACAUAAAAUUACUAUCUUGCCCAGAGAAAAAUAACUAGCCCCAAAAUAGUAACUAACUGUUGAGGGCUAUUUUUGACUUUUUAUUAAUAAUCUUUUGCUUUAUUUCUCAGUCUUUUCCCAUCUCUUGCCCUCUUUUUUUAGACCAAAGAAAGCGGUAGUUGGCAUUAGCUCUGUUGUUCUCCACUUUUUCUUUGUCUCCGUUAUGAAAGAUAAGAAAUCAAAAAGCCAAACAAAAUUAUGGAAAUGCACCGAUGUGGCUGGAAAGCAAAACACUCCCUUUGCAUUUUAUUUUACAACUUUAGCCUAUCAUCUUUUGUUUUCUUCUUCAUCUCUCUCUCUCUCUCUCUCUCUCUCUCUCUCUCUCUCUCUUUUUGUUUCCCGUUUCUUAAUUUUCCUUUCAGCUUUCUUUUCUCCCACAAAGAAUCAAUUAUGGCUGCCCAUCCAUAUCCCAACUGUGGGAUUGUUCCACAAAAGAUGAUAAUCCUCUUUUCCUUUUCAUUGUUUCCGUUUCUUGGACUAUUCUUCUCUUCGGUGGAAAAAGAGAAGUAGAGAAGCAGCUGAAUAGCUUUUAGAAACAGUGGCCAAGAAAUGGGUUGUCCGCCUGCUUCCUCCAACAAUUGGUCAACAAUUUCAGGAUUGGCUUAGCUAAAUUACGGCUGCUCAUCGGAUUUUUUCGUUAGUCCUUAUCUAUUCCUUUUUAUUCCCCAGUCAUUCUUUUCCUCUUGCUUUGUCUCUUUUUUUUUUUUCUGUUUUUCGUUCUUUACUUUCCCCCUCCUGUUGUUUACAGAUCACUCAGUCAAUAAUUUCAUGAUUUUCUUCUCUAAAUUAUGGCAAUCCAUCCAAGUUUUUUUACAUCUGUACUCUUUAUUAUUAUACCCAACCAUGAGAAUGUGGUUUGUCCUUUUGUAUUCAUUUUCAUUUCUUGCCCGGUUGAGAACUUACCCAGACUCAAAUAUAUAUAUAUAUAUAUCUCUGACAACUUAUCAAGUUUGCAUCUUUAUCUGCUCUAUUCAUAAUGGCUAAUACUAUUGCUAGAGAUAUAGGUUUGUCCUUCUGUUUUCCUGAUAUUGUUGACCAAUUGCCAAAUUAUCAAGAAUGAAGGAAAGCUUGUGCCUUUAUAUUAGAAACAGAAGUACUGGUCACAAAAAACUACACCCUUCUUCUACUUUGUUCUCUGCAACCUUUCGUGCUGAAAAUAACUACUACUUUUCUUUGUCUAAUUUAUUCCCCUGCCAGUAUUUAAGAGAUUGGAUAAUCUGUCUACUUUUUAUUUUAGUUACCAAAUUUCUUCAAGAAUCAAGAGGUUAAUUGCAGUUUGAAACAAUUGGUGCAGAAAAACUUCUGAUUUAGCUUCCACGGAUUUCUAGCAAGUAGUUGCUUCAAUUUCAGGUCACUCUCUUUAGUCCUUCAAUUUCUUGCUUUUUCUUUUCCUGUUAAGAAUAUGGUACAAGUAAUUACCAAUUAAGGGUUGUCACCAUUUAUUGAAUACAGAUAAUCAAGCUAAAACAAGUUAAAUUCUCAACCUAAAGUUUAAACUAAAGUUCCAACCUUAUGUAAAAGCAUAGAAAUCAGGUUUUGCCCCACAUUAAAGGUAUUAUGCAUAGAAAUCAGGUAGGCAAUAGAAGAAACAAAACUUAAAAUAGAUAAUCCUAAUAUUGAGUUUCUAGGAUUUGUUGUAGCUAGCUUAGAAGUGUAGAAUAUUAAUUCCUCAAAGCUAUUUGUAAAGGCAACGUUCUUGGUUCCACAGAACUAUCAAAUGUUAAAACCACAAUAUGUUGGCUGUUUUAUGCAUUCACAUAAUUUGAAUGUAGUGAGUGAUGCAUAAUCUCUUCUAUGAAUACUAUUACACCCAAUUAAAGAUUACAGAAUCUGUGACAGUUUCUCUAAAUCCGAGUAUCUAUAAAGCUGGAACAUUAAAAAAAUGAGGUUUUCUUGAUGAAAUAUGUUUGCUCACUAACUUUGAACCAUACACCCUCGUAUUUGCACUAAAAAAUGCACAAACCUAAUGAAGUCAGAUUGUUUGGUAAGAAACGAUACUAUGUUCUUUUGUAGCUUAAAUGACUGUAGUUUUUAGAUUGUAAGUUCAUUUGGUUUCACUUAUUAACUGAAUAUGGCUGAAAAUAAUUGCACCUUUGCAAUCUUUCCUACUAAAACUAAUUACUCCUUUCUUUUUGUUUUAUUUUUUCCUCUGUCAGUAUUAAUAUUAUUAGAUAGUUUGCAUAGUUUUGCGUUGACUGAUAGCAUUCUUCUACAUCCAAUUUACAUUUCCAACUCCGUUCACCAGUUCAGCAUAUUUGGGGUUGAUGGAUUCAUGCUAAGGAAUUGCUUUACUUCAAGGUCAUUUCUUCUGUUCCUUGACUGCAUAGAUUUAGUUAUCAUAUUAUGCAUGGUGCAUUGAUGGAGAACAAAACAGUACUCAGGCCUAAUAUUGCUUUCAUUUUCUUACGACUACUUUCAUUGAGAUGAAAAGAUAAAGGAAUGCAAGUAAAAGUUUUAGUUUAGUAGAUGAGUGGUUUAAUGAAUGCUACAAUACUCAGGUUUCACUAAAAGGGAGCCCACAUAUCUCUCACAAAAUAGUACAAUCUCAAGAGCUAUCAACAAAUUUCCCCCUUUCUCUCUUUAUGGGGACAACCAUUCUACUAAAAGCAAUUUGUGUUCUUUGUUCUCUGUUUUAUAGAUGGCUAGCUGCCAUGGAAGCAAUCAUUCUACUGAAAGUAAUUUUUACAUUUUCUUCUCUGUUGUACAACUGUUCCUUUUCUUUCAUGUAAAAAAUAACAUUAUAAGCAGAAGGUGAAUAUAUGUAAUCCCCAGAAACUGGUAUCUUCAUUGUAAAGGUGUAUGAAUUUUGUGCUUUUUAAAUGGAAAGGAUAUUAUGUAAUUUCAUUUAAGAAGUAAGGUUCUACCUUUGCUUCUUUAUUCUUACUCUUGUUGAUUAAACAUUUACAAAUGCAACAUAGUAUAGGAUCUUUUGAACAUUUACAGAUGCAACAUAGACUACGUAGUAUAGGAUAUUUUGAUUUUCAUUAGAGAGAUGCUACUGCUAGAAAGCAAUAAUUUACGCACUUAAUAUUUUCCACAUCUUGCCAGUAAACGUAUUUGGCAUGCUAUGUUUACAACUUGAUGACCAAUGAUGCAAGCAAUCCACAAAAGUUUUUUAAUUAUACCACAAAAUCACUGAACUUAAUAAAAUUUUCUACAAUAAUCUCUAAUAUCAGAUUUCUUUUCAGCUAAAACUUUAAUCUUCUAGCCUAAAAAUCCUUUUAAAAAAUUUUUAAACUUAAAAAAAAAAAAGAAUAGCAAAUAAUAACAGUAUUUAGGUUGGUAUUUCAAUUAAUAAAAAUAAAAAAAUAAUGUUCAUAUCUAAUAUUGUUAGGACCAACAUUUCUUCAAUUUUAAUAGGUAGGCAUGAGCUAUGGUAAACACCUUAUUACAUUAGAUACAUCUACAUAAGAAUUGUCACUACUUACAAUUUAGGUGCUCUAAAUUAUAUUUUCUACACAAUAGGUUGGGAAUUGGUUGUGCUAUUGGAUUUAGAUGAAUAAUUAUUUAAUCUGAUGAGAAUUUUGAACCUUUUCAAAUGGGUAAUUUAUUUCUAAUUUAGAAUAAGAAUUAGAUACAAUUGUGCCCAAGUUUAAAAAUAAGAGUGGCAAAGAAUUUUUCAAUAUUUGUUACACAAUAGAUUGGGCAUCGGCUAUGCAAGGCACAGCCAGAACCAUUCUAGUAUAUAUAUAUAUAUAUAUAUACAUAUUUAAAAAAAUGCUGGCAGCCCGCAGCAUCAUGAAAUAGUAAAAAAAAAAGGUGUUUGUCUGCUACAAGUCUUUUAAAAAUUUUAACUACAGUAACCUCAAAAAAAAUUUUAAAAUUUUUAAACUAUACAUUUCAAAAUAUUCAAAAAUCUACACAUUUCAAAAAUUUUUUAAAAACUUCUAUAGUAAGUUACAGUAAAAUUUUAGACAAACUCCCAAAGAACUCACAUUCCAAACAGGUUUCACCAAAACUUUAUUCUUGCCUAUAUAAACAGGCGGUGAGCAUUUUUAAUGGAGUAAAUAAAGUCAUUUAUGAGUAUUUUUGUUAACAAAAAGUGCAAAAGUGUAGUUUAUCUCCUAUAGAUUUUUUGUGAAAUUUUUUGGGCUGUACAAUAACUUGUUUAAUUCUGCCAUGAUAACUUGUUUUCUUUUACUUGGCUUGCUGCAAGUUUCUGAUCACUUGACCAAGCCAGAGCCAGAAAAAGGCAGGCAAGCUAAAUUACAAUUUUUCUUAUCAAUUUCUCUACUACUUCUACCAUGAUCAAAUAAUGUAGAAAAUAGGAAUUGGCGUUUAAGCAAAUUAGUUUCUAAUAUCUUUUCUCUUUAAAAUGUUCUGAUUCAUUUGACCAGGUUAGAGUCAGAUAAAAUACAAUACCAGGCAUUCACCAAGCUAUAGGUUCUUUUUUGUUUGAUCAUUUUUCUGUUUACUUUUACGAUCAUAUUUUCAUUUGUUGGAAGUAGAAGGGUGAACAUAACGGUGUAUCACAUGGGAUUUUUAAAAUAUUCAUGAAAAUAUCUAAAAGUCACAUAUGGAAGUGUAUAAAAUAUAAGAAUAAAGGGAUUGAAUAACAUAAAUUUAGAAAAAUUAACAUGAUUAAGGUCAUGUUUGAUAAUCCAACUCAAUAUUUAAAAUUAAUGGGUUCAAAUUUUAAUAUGUUUAUAUGUGUUUGAUAGUGAAAAAUAGAACGUUAUUAGUUAAGUAGAUUUGAAUUAUUUAGGCAAAAUUUACUUAAAAUAAUGGGUAAUAAGCUAUUCACUUAUUACCUAAUACAGAGUACCCACGAAUGUUAAAAUUUUAGUACUUAAUAAUUCGGUAAUUUAGCAUAUUCAGGUUUGAGUUUUUAUCAAACUCUCGUUUUUAUAAUUUUUUAAAAGUCUAAAAAGUUGUUAGCUAAAAAGAAAUCUUGUUUAAGAGUUGCAACAAUGAGAUCAACUUCUAAAACAUGCAAUUACAAUGAGCACAUUUAUUCAACAAAAGCUUUUUUAAAUAUCUUUUUAAUUGUAUCACAUACACAGACUAAAAUUGAAUAAUUAUAUCUCAAUAAUCAAUUUAUCACUAUUUAACACCAAAUUAGAUAAAGAUUAGAUUUAUACCUGUAAUCUAUCUAAUAAUAUUUAAACAUGAUCAUUUGGUGUUUGAUUAACUUUUACAAUUACUCUUGAAAAUUCUACAGAAACCAAACUAGAAUGGUCUAGUGGACCGGGCCAGGGUUGGUUUUGUCUUUCAGCCCAUUUUAAUGAGUAAAACCAGCCAGCAAAAUCCAGUGGGUCCUCUGUCCACAUUACAUCAACACGUGUCCCACUGGCCCACAAAGAUAUUUUUAUUAGGGAUAAUUGCAGAAACCUCCCCUGAGAUUUCUGACAUUUGCACUGACCACCCCUAUGGUUUAAAACAUUACACUGACCUCCCCUGAGGUUACUAAUCUUUUACAAAUUCAGUCCAAACGAUUAAAAUAUUGUUUUAGGGAGUGAAAUUAGAAUUUUUUACCAAAUUUGUCCUUUGUACUACAUGCCCAAUGAAUGACAAAGUAUUAUAAAUUAAUUAACAAUUAAUAAACUUUAAGGAGAAUAAUUUAUAGGUAAAUACAUAUUAUCUAUUUAAAGUACCGCCUUUUUAUGGGUAUUUUACUUUCAAACAUUUAAUUUAAUACAAAUAUUUACGCUCAAAUACAGAUUUGUAUUUACUUUCAAAUAUUUAAUUUUUGUUAAAUACAAAAACUACCAAUCUCUCUCCCGUAAAAAUAUUAAUAUAACACAUUUUUAAUUUUAGUUACAAAUAUUUAUCUAUUUAAUAUAAAUUAAAUGAUUCAAAAUAAAAUGCCAUAAAGAGCCAAACUUUACUCAUGUAAUGGAUGAAAGUCAUAAAGAAUUAAUACUUUAUGGGCCAUUUCUUUCUUUUUUAAAAAAAAUAUUUAAUUUAUAUUAAAUAAAUAACCAACCGAUUUCCUUUUUGCAAUAAUAUUACUGUAACACUUUUUGAAUUUUACUUACAAACAUUGAUAUAUUUAUCAUAAAUUAAAUGUUUGAAAGUAAAAUACCCGUAAAAAACCAGUAUUUUAACUGAAUAAUGCAUGUUUGCCCAUAAAGAGUCGAUAACUAUUUAAAGUAUCGGUUCUUUACGGGUAUUUCACUUUCAAAUAUUUAAUUUAAUACAAAUAUUUACACUCAAAUACAGAUUUGUAUUUACUUUCAAAUAUUUAAUUUUUGUUAAAUACAAAACCUACCAAUCUCUCUUUCGUAAAAAUAUUAAUAUAACACUUUUUCAAUUUUAGUUACAAAUAUUUAUAUAUUUAACAUAAAUUAAAUGAAUAAAAUGCACAUAAAGAACGAAUACUUUACUCAUGUAAUGGAUGAAAGUCAUAAAAAAUUAAUACUUUAUUGGUCAUUUCUUUUAAAAAAAAUUUAAUUUUUAUUAAAUAAAUAACCUACCGAUUUUCUUUUUGCAAGAAUAUUACUGUAACACUUUUUAAAUUUUACUUACAAAUAUUGAUAUAUUUAUCAUAAAUUAAAUGUUUGAAAGUAAAAUACCUGUAAAAAGCCGGUAUUUUAAAUGAGUAAUGCAAGUUUGCCCCAUAAAUUAUACUCCUUAAAGUUUAUUAAUUGUUAAUUGAUUUAUGGUACUCUAUCAUUCAUUGAACAUGUAGCACAAAGGGCAAAUCUGGUACAAAAUUCUAAUUACACUCUCUAAAAUAAUAUUUUAAUCGUUUGGACUAAAUUUGCAAAGGAUUAGUAACCUCAGGAGAGAUCAGUGUAAUUUUUCAAACUACAGAGGAGAUCAUUAUAAAUAUUAGAAACCUCAGGGGAGGCUUCUGCAAUUAUCCAUCAGGGAUCAAUACGAAUGUCAUAGAAUUUUGUAUUGACAUCUCUUGUGGCUUAAAAAAUUACACUAACCUCCCCUGUGAUUUAAAAAAUUACACUUACUUCAUGGAGGUUUCUGCAAUUAUCCCUAAUAAUAAAACAAUCACAUUAUCCACUUAGACGUGCGCAAUGAGCACCCUGCGGACGUUAGCAACAAGUCAACAACCCUACCUUACUAUAUAUAGUGAGUCCCUUUCUUCUCCACUGCUACACUCGCGCUGCCGCCCACUCCUGUUUUUCAAUAAUGGGAAAAAAGUAGUUUUUAUUCCAUUGCACAAAUUUAAAAAAAAAUUAAGAUUAAGAAUUUUCGUGUGUGAGUGCGUGAGAGAGAGAGAGAGAGAGAGAGAGAGUUGAGGAUGGUUGUGGAGCGGUGGGUUGAAACGGCCGUCGGCGAUGUGUUGAAGGACGGCGCUCGGAUGCUACAGAUUAAGUUGAAAAACCGGUUCAGAGUCGCCGUCGAUCACCAUCGGAGAAUGGCGGGGUUCUACUCCACCGACGGCGAUGGAUACUUCUCGUCGACAAUGCAGCGGUUGAUUCAGCGAUUCAGCGAGUUCCGUAGGGAUUCUCUGCCUUCGUCCACUAUGUUCUACCGCAAACGAGGUUAAUCUCUUAUAAUAGUACUCUUUUCCUUCCUUUUUCCUUUUUUUUUUUUUUUUAAGUAUACGCUGUUUUGACGUUAUAAAUAAUAUCUACAUCUUUUUGUGCAUUUUCUGGUUAGUUUUUAAUUUAAUGCUAUUGAGUUUUGUUAUGGAUGGUGGUGAGGUGGACUUUUUCUUACAUUAGGAGUUCCAGGAGUUGAUUAAGAUCGAGCUGCUUAUAAUUUGUAUUCAUGAUCGCUAAUGAAGUUUGGGACUUGGCUGUCGUAAAAUUGGUGAUUGUUUUUUGAAGUCUGAAUUUUAUGGAAUGUAAGUUGUUGAAGCGUGCAUUUUUGACUCAUUGAAAUAUGGAUAUUAAUUGAGGAUUUGGUUGAAUUUUUUGCAUGGCAGUAUCCCUUUUGGAGAAAUGUGUUGAUAGCUUAUAAGUGGACAAAAAUAAGUUAGAAGGAUGAGAAAUCAUACUCCAUAGAUACCCAGGAAGAAACGCGAAAGUUCAUGUUGAAGUCUAGCUAUUUACACUAAUCUGGGAUAAAGACUUGAUCAGGGAGUAAACUAGCCCAAGACUUGAAAUUUAACAGGAUGGGAAAAGGCCAAAUUGUUUCGGCUUAAUGAACCGGAAUCUUCGUGCAAAUUUAAUAUGGAUGCUCACUAACUCCUAGUGUCAUUAAAUGAUUUAUUCUUCUCAUCAUUAUCUGUAAAUGCUCUGAACAGGACAACUUAUUCAAUUAGAUCAAGAUUGUAGGUAAUGAUUAAACUUUAAGUAUUGAAAUUCAGAUCUUCAAUUUUAUUGAAGUUUUCCUGAAGUUUUCUUUUCUCUACUUUCUUUGUAAGAACCUGUAUGUGGAAAAAGUCCUAGGUUUUCCCUUAGUAUUGGAAAACAAAGCUUAAACUUUCCAGUAUGAAUUAAACCUUGAUGCAUAUUUCUUGUGCUUCCACUUUCGUCAAAUAGGAUUCGGAAUUUAUGGUUGACACUCUGGAUUUGAUUCGUGACUAGUUAUUUAUUGCAACAUAACAAUAUAAGAAUGACAUGGAGGAAGUAUCUUGAUGUAAUUUCAUGUUAUGGAAUUGAGAAAUGAUGAACUUGGAAUCUUCAGUUCUAGUGAGCAAUUAAUUUUUCAGACCUAUUGUUUCUCAAUUUUUUUUAGGGGGUGAAAGGGGUAGCAGAAAGAUCUAGUAUGGCAGAGUCGACAUUGUGAUCCUAACUUGUUUCUCUAAUUGCUUUGGAAAAUAACCAUACAGAUUCUACAAUAAUUGGGAUUGAAGUUCUGUUCAUUUAUCUGAAAGAGAUGUCAAUUCGUGUUUUUUUUUCUUUAAACAAUGUCCUUUUCAUCCCGAAGAGGAAAUGAUAUAAAAAAAACUUGGUUAACUUUAUUGAUUUGUAACUCAUAUGUGUGUGAAACGGCAAGCCAUUUUACCAAAUAGUUGUAUGAGUUGCUUGAUUUCAAAGAUAUUUGAUGAAAGCAACUUGUAAAAUGAACUACAUUUCACUUGAGUCUUGCUAAAUAGUAAAAUGAAAAACAGACAAGUAGCAUUCUCACUAUACCUGCAAAGGACAUUAUGCUUUAUAUUUCUGGGAGCUGAUGCUCAUUUCUGGGUGAAGAUGACAAUACCCUGAGAUUUAAAAGUAGUUAGAUUUAAAAGUAACUACUUUUGAAAAUUUUCCUUUUUUUUUUGAGAUUUUAUUUGCAUUUUUACAGUCAUUGGAUCAAAUAUUGGUGGAUCAUAUUAAAAGUCAGUACUGAAAUAAUUUUAUCAUUGAGCUGUAUACCUCUGGCCUUCUGCAAAGCAAAUUUAUUUUAUCAUCUCCAGACCUAGUUGAUUAAACAAACUGAGACAAAAAUAUUGGAGAUAGACUUAAUUAUUCCAGGAAAUCAACUCUGUCUUCAAAGGGAAUUGUUUCCUUCUGUCUGUCUAUUUUUUAUCUUAAGGGUUAAAUUGUAGAUAGAGUCGUUCUGCGCUGUAUGGAAUCAUCUUCUUUUAGAGCUGAUUUUCCACAUAAGAUGAUUUGCUUAUGUACAGAGAGGAGUUUUUGCUUCUCAAUUCUACUACUCUUCCCUCUAUCCUCAUCUUUUUGUACAUGUACUCCGUGUCUCCUUAAGAAACUAUUUCUAAGAAGAGGGGAUGUGGUAGAGUACGUAGGGAUGGGAAGCAGGCAUGAAUCAUAGCUGGCAGUUUAUCAACUAACUCCACUAGCUAAUGUGAUCUGAAAGUUAUUUAGAGACUUUGAGAAAGUUUUUCUAGUUGUAUUAGUUGGAUUUAUAAUAUGUGAACUUUAUAAUUGCAGUUAGUAAAGACAUUGAUCUCGAAGCAGAUUCAGUCCUGACCCGAGUGCUUCAGGCUGUGGCUGUUCCUGUUUUUGGAAAUGUUUGUCAUGUUUUCAUGCAUGGCCUGAAUCGAGUGCAGGUAUGAAAAUUUUUUCUGGUGAUACAAUUUAAUAUUCUCUCUCUCUGUGUUUUUGGCAUGUUACAAACAAUUAAAUGACUUGCAUCACAGAUAUAUGGUGCAGAAAAACUUCACCAGGCUGUAUUAGGUAGACCAGAAAAUAAGCCCUUAGUUACAGUAAGUACACCAAUUCAUAGUUGUAUUUUAGUAAUAUCAAUUGGUUUACAUUUUCCCUUGCCCAUAAAAAUAAUCAUCUGAUUGCGCUAAGCUGUUUAAAUCAUUUGUAGGUUAGCAACCAUGUUGCUGCCGUAGAUGACCCCUUUGUUCUUGCUGCCUUACUUCCUCGAAAUGUUCUGUUAGAUGCUCAUAACUUGAGGUGGACACUUUGUGCAACUGAUCGAUGCUUUCGUAACCCUUUGACAUCUGCAUUCUUUAAAUAUGUGAAAGUGCUUCCAGUUUCUCGUGGUGAUGGUAUUUAUCAGAAGGUACUUCAUUGUUUGAACUUACAACUUUUUUAAAGAUAUUAUGUAUACAUGGUAUCAUAUUUUCAUCUCCACUUUUCAGACUUCAUUUCUUUAAGGUGUAAAACUAUGUGCUUAGUGAGCUUGUGCUAAGGAAGCAGAUAUUUUGUUUAAUUAUCCAAACUCUGUGUAGCUGUCAAGUUUUCAGAUGCUUUAAUUUGGGCUCAAUUGAGGGUGCUCUCGUUUUUAAACUGUGGCUGAUAUUAAAGCUGGUGCAGCUUCUCCUAAGGACCUUUAAUUCUUUGUAAUUUUCAUUUGCCUGUUCUGGUCUCAAGAUGCUAAUUUUGUCAACUAAUCUGUAAUAAAAAUAGGUUAAUUUAAAAUUAUUUCGGCAUUCUUUUAAUGCCUCGCUUUCAAUUCGAACUUGUGAAAAUAGUUUUCUCUUCCCCCUGUAUUCGACCAUUUGUCACUUCAUAGGUCAAGCAAUUGAACAUGGUGAACAUUUGUCAGUUGUGUAGCUUGUAGCGUACAUGCAACUGUUUUUACUUCACGGCUUAAUAGCUUGAAUGUCAUCUAUCUCUGCAAAUUUCUCUACAAUCUGAUCAUUUCAAAGUUGGCUUAAUUUCUUCUUCAUAACUUGAUUCAGGGAAUGGAUGUUGCUAUAUCCAAAUUGAAUCGUGGUGAGUGGGUUCACAUAUUCCCCGAAGGCAGCCGUUCUCGAGAUGGAGGGAAAACCAUAGGUCCUAUUAAGAGAGGUGUCGGCAGGUGAGAAAUGUCUUAAGCAAUCUUGUUCGUGAAUGAAAUUCAUCCCCUUUUAAAAGGUUAAAGAAUUGUGGUUUAUUCCUAUAUGCUUUUUGGUACAUGGUUUGCUGAUUCAAGCCUAGUGACUUUCCCCCCGCCCCCAAACCCCCCCCCCCCCCAACACAAAAAAAACCAUUGUUUUCCUGUUGGAGGGUGGCCUCGGGGGGACUGGGCUAAGUUACUGAGGGAAAUUGGCAAAACAAUUGUCCUUUUAUUUAGAUGUUGCUUCUUGAUUAUGGGAUGAGAUUGACUGAGCAAGGUGGACAAGAUUGUAUUGCAACAUGAUGUCUGUCUUUUCUUUAAUGUCUCAAUUAUUGUGACAUUGUGAGGAUUUGAAAUUGUGCAAAUUAUCUAAAUGACUUUUGAUAUGAUAGUGAUAACUUCUUACAGUACCAUAUUUGUCCCCGUUUCUGCAAACGAGAUGAGCUGUGAAACUAUUCACAUAAGCUUUUAUAGCUUGAAUAAGCUGUCAAAAAAAGUCUCUAUGCUGCAAUUGGUUCUACUUGCUUUUGCAGUAAGAACUAAAAGCUGUUACCAGGCUAGAAAAUGCAUCAGGUGAUAUGUCUUGUAUAUAUUUUUCAAUCUGGCCUGUAAGUAGAUAUGUGUUAUGAUCUGUUUAGAACUAAGUACUGCAGCUCAGAGUGAACCAAGAGCUCAAUAACUUGAGAGGAACGCAAUCUAGUUUAGACACCAUGACAAAGUAUUUUGAGUAGGUUCUUUUUUAUACGCAUCUGUUACGGUUAUUAUGCUUGAUGGAGGGGAUGGGUGUCUAGUUAUCUGAUAUGGUAGUUUAUAGUUGACAUUGCAUUUGUUUUGCUUAAUGUUGCACCCUGGAUUUUUCAUGCUUUGUGCCAAAUUUAUCCUAUUGACUGGAUCAUGUCUGCACUUUGACAAUAACUGUAACAGGUUGAUCUUAGAUGCUGACAAUGUACCAAUAGUUCUCCCAUUUGUGCACACUGGCAUGCAAGAUAUAAUGCCAAUAGGAGCCAAGCUUCCCAGGAUUGGUAAGACGGUAAGUACUUUUUUGUUUCACCAAGUGGUGCUAUUUAUUUUGGAAAGUUGUGAUAGUUUCAAAGCAUCAUCUUGAGCUUUCUGUUUUCGGAUGGUCAAUUUUGGAACACUCAUCCGAUAAGCUAUCUUUCUGUGAUCUGGCCUGAUCGAUCGAUCAUAAACUACAGGUUACUGUACUUAUCGGUGACCCCAUUCAAUUUGAUGAUAUACUCAAUUUGGAAGAAAACCAGAAUAUGUCCAGAGGGAAGCUGUAUGAUGCCGUGAUUGCUAGAAUACGCGAUCGACUGCAGAGGUUAAAAGCUCAAGUUGAAAGAUUAGUAGUGAUUGAACAAUCACUUCAACUUCAGAAUUACCCUACAAAGGUCACCGAACAAUCAGCUGGAAUUUUGCGCCAGGUUGAUUGGGGUUCGCCUGGCAAGGAAACUUAUACACGACUUGAAGACUAUCUAUCCCCGAGGAAAAAUUUAACAACUGAAAAAGUAGAAGUAGACCAAACCCAGUUACAAGAAAGAAGUUUACAGAGUCGGAAUUCUAGAAUGUGUUUGCUCUGGGAAGGUGGAAUUGGCUCUAGGAAUCAGUGUUACAUGGAAUCCACCGAGUUAAUGGGUUUUGCAGCUAGAGGUUUAUUAAUGAAUAAUACUCCUCGGGUUAAUGACUGCUUUGUUGAUAUUCAAGGAGUUAAUCCAUUGAAGGCUUUGAAUGACUUCAGGAAAUCAAUGUAUGAAAGCUACUAUAGUCCAGUUUUUGCUGACAACUGUGUAAUUUAAGGUUAAAAUAGAUUUUUUUUUUUUUUUUUAAAACCAAUUUUCUGUUUUCUUAUCUUGUCCUACCCAAUUGGAGUCAUUAGCACCUGGAGUAGAUUGAUUUCGGGGAAACAACCAAUAAACCUUUAUUAAAGAUAUGGUCUGUCUAACUGGUACUGUUUUGGCAUUCGUUAAAAUACAUUUUAUGUGUUAAAUUUUUAAAAAUAUAAGAUUAAUUUUAAAAAAAGUAUACAAAUAUAAAAAGAAUAAUUAGAAAAAGUGUAUAAUGUAAAAGAAAGUAAUAAUUGUUAAUAUAUAUAUAUAUAUAUAUAUAUAUAUAUAUAUAUAUAUAAUUUAGGUAUGAUAAGGAGCGCUUAGGCACUAUUAGAAAGAUCCUUCAAGCUGUAUCUGAAAUUUGAACCUUUACCCUGUGAGUAGGAGCACAUGACAUGACUAAAAGGCACAAAGCAGGGGUCUCAUUUGCAUCUUCUGUAUGAUCAUCGGGAAUCAAACUAUUUGGAUAUGAAGUUAUAUGCCAAAAUUUUUUUGAUUGUAUCAUGAUGCACUUCUUAAUUGUUGUUUUAUAUUUUAAUCACUUUUUAAAAAUCUCACAUACAUUAUUUAUUGUUCCGAAAAUCAUUUUCAAAUAACUCUUGUGCAAACAUGCAGUAUUUGUCAUUUCUAAAUUCUAGUUCUCAUAGUGGACGAUUUCAAAUGGUCUCCACACCAACCAUUUGAGUCCAAAGAAGUGUGAUUAGUUAAAGCAGAAAUGGUGCUUGAGAAUUAGCCAAAAUAACCGAAAUAAUAAUAAUAAUAAUUCAAUUUCUGCCGGCCCCAACGGCGUAUCGGAGCAUUGUAUUCCGGUUUUGUCUGUUAAUUUUUGCUACGCGAAAUAUCUAAACUUGACAGUUAUUAAUCGAGUUGAUUUGGAAUAAAAAUAAAUCAAAAAACGCAAUGAUAUUAAUCUGAAAAUUAUCUUAUCAAUAUAUUUCCUCUUUGUAAGAUUUGAAAUUUCCAAUGUAUUAUCAUCAGGGUGAUUAACAAGAUUAUAUUUAAUUGUUAAUAUUUGCUAGAAUUCAAUUUUUUUUUUUAAAACGAAUGAGUUUCGAUACAUGAUAUGUAACUUAUAUUUAAACCGGAAAUAAAGUGCAGGGUAAAAAGAAUGAAUUCAGAAAAAAAAAAUUAAUUCACAAAAUUAAAAUUACUGUGAUACUUACCUAUUUACAGCAAAAGUGGAGAUAAAAAAAAAAAAAUCACAUUUCCAUUUAAAAUGAGAAACAAAACGGAAACCGUAACCCCACGGCACGGUACAGAUCAUCACAAAAUAUUAGAAUCUGGUAAUAAAUUCGGGAUCUGCACACACAGUGGAAGGUGUGACUGUGUGUGAAAAUUUACUACCCGGAAAAAAAAAAAAGAAACAAAAAUGUCAGACGACGAUGAAGAAACGAGUACGCAGCCGGAAGAGCUGAGUCACAAGCAAAAACUAGAAAUUGCAAAAUGGUUCCUCAUCAAUUCUCCCCCUGGCGAAAUCCAAUACGUAGCCAAAGGUAUGUUUAUUUAUUUUGGGUACAAUAAUCUAAUCGCCUAACAACUUUGUGAUUUUUUUUUUUGGGGGAAUUUUUGUUGACAAUUAUCAUGUUUGGGGGGGGGCCGCCGGCUGCAGAUGUUAAAGCGGUUUUGAAAGAUGAAAAUGUAUAUGAAGCAGCGGCAGCGGAGGCAUUUCCUCUGUACAACAAAUCUCACAUGAUUUGCCUACAACUUCCUGACCGAAGUGGCGAUGUAAUUUUCGCUUCCUUCCUUUUCCAAUGCCGUUUUCUAUUUUGUUUUGAAUUUUUUUUCCGGCCAGUAUUGUGUUGGAUUUCUAGGCUGAAUCAUUUUUUGGACUGCUGAAAUAAAUGCUUCUAUAAUUUAUGCACAGUUAUUGGCAUGCGAGUUUAAUAAUUCUCUUUCUAUUGAAGCCCUGCAAGUUUAUAAGAAUUUUACCUUUAAAUGCAUACUUCUUAAUUUGCCAUUGCAUUUGUAAGUUUUCUUAAUUUAACUUGAACCUCUCCAAGAAACUGACAAUCCGCAUUUAAUUAAUUCUUACCGGGCAGCUGGUGGAUAAACCCCACUUAUAAACAUAAGGUUAUAGCCUUCUUUAGGAAGAGAUAGUCAGUGCAUCCUGUGUACCCUGUCUUGAUGGAGCAGCAACCCGAUUAUGAGUAAAGAGAUAGGUUUUAUAUAUCCGCUGCCUGAUAAUUUUUAGCCGAGUUUUAGGAGCUUUAUCGGUCAGUAUACUUGGAGGAGGAGGAGCUUAAUUGGUUAGCUAAACACUGGACUUCCAGUUCUCACGUUGAUCAGUUCAAAAGGCUGGUUUUUGCUGCUAUGGCACGUGAAUUGUGCAGAGCUAGGGAUGGAGGUGUUUUUUAGUGUAGGCAUGUUUCUGCUGGUAGUGUAUUUCUGCUAUCGUGGAGAGCGUGGUUUAUGUUGUGCUUGCCUGGGGGAACUUUCCUACAACUAGAGAGACAUUUGCAUGGGCAGUUGAUCUUGUUAGAAGUUUUUGUUUAUUUAGGUUCCUUAAUUUUUGAAAUGUAUGGUGUUAGGUUCAUGUGAUUAGUACUCCUGUAUAUAAAAAUCAAAUUUUUUUUCCUUUAGGAAGGAUUUAUUGUUGCUAAAAUUUGGAAUUGCUUGUAGUGUUGUACAUGAAGUAUUGAGUGUUUUAAUUUUCCUUUGAUGUUAUAUGUACAGGUGAUGGUGACAUCGUUUAGUGAGAUUACUGAAGAUGAAUAUCUUGAUCCUAGGACUGCGCAAGUGGCUGUGGUUAACCAUGUUAAGCAAGUAAUUUGCUCUUUAUCAUCCAGUUCAUUAUGGAUUUGAAUUAUUCUCUGCUCUUCCUUUGGAUUAAUUUAUGGUUUGUUUUCUUUUCGUGAUGAAAUGCAUAAUGAUCAAGAAGCACCACUAGAGGAUGAAAGAGUUGGUCUAGUAGCAAACACUUGUGCUUUUUACCAGUCAAAUUUGCUAUUUCCAUACACGUAGUAUAAAGUUUUUUUUUUUCCAUUUAUCAGCCCAACUGGUAUUGACUUUUUGAAAAAAAAAAAAUUUUGGCUAUAUGUGCCCGUGAUUUUGCCCCAUCAAGCUGAAAAAGCAAGCAAUAAAGUUAAGAUGCUGACGAGGUGGAAGCAAGGGUACCUGUUUGGUUUGUCUUGAACUAAUGGGAAGGUCCAAUAGAAUAUGCUUUCUGAGGCUUUUUAUAUUGUUUAGAGAUGCAAUGUAGCCUUGAUGUCAAUAAGGGAAUUCUAUUACAGCUAUUCACUCGUCCCCCCUCAGCUACAAGACUGAGUAAAUUGCUCUUCAUUUCCUCAUUCCAGGGAUCAUUAAGUGGGAUUGCAUUAGGCUUUGUAGGUUUUGCUAAGUGAACUCUGUCGAUUGAAAAACUUAGUGUGUUAGAGCCCUAAUUUUGCUAAUUUGGUAAGGUGUCUGUUUAUUUUGUACUGCCUUGAGUCUUGGAGUCUGUAAAUGAGAUACCUGAAUAUGUCUUGACAAUGAACUUAGGCUUUUCUACUGCUGUUUCCUUUCAGCAGGUGUACCUUAGUUUUUCACUUUUUUGAGAAAUGAGCUUAUUGGCUUGUGGAUUCUUAUAUAUGACAAAGUGCACUGCUUAUUCAGUCUUGCACAGAAGUUAGACCGGCAAGUGAUGAAGAACUUCCAUCUGCAUAUGUAGAGGAAUAUCGGUAUGUUUUUGGAUCUCUUUUUGGUAAAAAAACUUCAUGCUAAUUUUUUUCUAAGAGCAUGUUACAUUGGUUUAGGUGCUUGUAAGUGCUUCUAUAUAGGACAGUUUACCACCUCAAAUGUUCUUGAAGUUUAUUUAGGAGGGUUGAACUUAUUAUUUGGCUAUCAUCUGCAGGAUUGAAGUAGUUGGUUCGUUUUUUAAAAUACCCUAGAGGCUUGGAAAAACUUUUGCGUUACAUAUGUUUAAUAGAAACACAAAUGAGGGUUCUCUGUAAUGAUUAAGCAGGCAUAUAAGUACGAGGACUAAUUGCUUAAAGUUUGUUUGUGUUUACCUAAGUGAGUAAUAGCAUAUGGAGGAUGUGAGGGACAUAUAGCAUUCUCAAACAUUGAUUUAUUUGGAGGUUAACAUUUCAUUAUAUGUUGAGCAACAGUGAAAGCUGCAUUAUAGUUACCUAGUAGCAUAAAUGUUCUUCUAUUGGUCUAUUCUCCGAAGACCCUAACUCUUGAGCAUCUGUGUUAAUUGUGGUGCAUUUUGUCAGUGUACACACUGUUUUGGUUAUAUGACUGCAAUGAGCCAAUUAUUUUCAGCUCAGUCACAGAAUUUUGAUAUUACUUCAUGAAGUGCUGUUCUUUUUCUAAGUUACUGCUUUCCACGAUUUCUAACAUGUUCCUUUUGAUGGUGUUACUUUUCAGGUGCGCGGUGGAUGCAGAAAUUAGCAAGUAUGUUGGCGAAGCUUAUCCGAAAGGUGUAUGCUCAGUCUACUCUUCCAAAGGAAAGCAUGUGGAAGAACCUGGAUCUAAUUUUGAGCUUGUUGUGGUGAUUUUAGCUUCUAGACAUAGUCCUCAAAAUUUCUGGUAUGCCAAGGCUGAUUUCUCGGAAUUAAGUAAGGAACUUUGAAAUGGUUAAGGAAACUACCAAUUAGAAGCUAAUGCUUGUCUUUUGCUAGACAAAAACCAAAAAUAGCUGUGUCAUUCCAAAUUUGAACUUGAGACUCCAUCAAGGCAUUUUAGUUUACUUUCCUAUGUAUUUUAUGUGUUGCAUAGUCUCGUCAUUGUGGGGUAUCCCAAACCUUUAAUUUGCUAUUUCUUAUGAAAUCUUGCAAGUGAGGCUACACUUUUGUGGUAUUACUUCAAGAAAAAAUUUAAUUACGCUUUCCUAUGCCAUGGAAUGAUGGAAGUUUGGAAAGAAAUUAAUUACUGGUGAAUUGCAAUCUUUUCUGCAUGUUUUAUCAUGAGUUGCUCCAAAGUUUCAAAGAAAAGUAUCACUACUUUUAUUUGCAUUUGAGCUUGGCAAAAGGAAGGUUCUGCAAAAUUGUUUCAAUGUCCUAUAUAGGCUUGAACAUCUGCUAUCAUAUGUGCAUAAUUAUUGUGGUAAAAGAUAUCUAUAAUUUCUGAAAUUAUUGUGGUAAAAGAUAUCAAAAUUGUUUCAAUGGAGUUGAUUCUCUCUCUCUCUCGUCCCUCACCUCCCCCUCCAACAAAAAAAAAAACCUUAAACUGUCUGUGCAUGGAAUUCCAAGAUAAAACAGUGGGAGGGGAAUGCAUAAAUACAGAAAGUCUUGAUCAUCUUCAAGCCUCACUUUUCUGUUAAGAACUUGAUGUCUGUGCCGGGUUUUCCAUAUAAUAUGCACCUUGAGUGCUACAAGCAUCCUAUAUGGUCGAAUGCAUUUGGGAAGGAAUUUAUAACUUGAUAUUGGUGUAUGAUUUCAGUCUGAAAGUGGAGAGUUUUGUUACCCUACUUUCAGUCUAAAAAUGGACAAUUGUACAAUAAAUUGUGUGAAAGACAAGGCCAUGGUUGCCAACACUCUUUAUUGAUGACAACAUUGUGAAAAUUUAAGAACUUAUAAAAUGAAAUCUUGAUGCUGAGACCUAGGAGUUGUUGCAUUCACCAGAUAUGGUUAGCUAUAAUUAAGAGGAGUAAGAUACAGCAUUCUUCUAUUUAUGUUUUGCUGCUUAAAUAGUUGUCUCGUUGUGUAAUGGUGCAGCAAUGGAAGUUGGCGGUCAAUAUGGAAUGUUGUGUUUGAGGAUGAGCUACAAAUUGUGGAACUGAGAGGCAGAAUGGAGGUGUGAUUUGUUAUUUUGUAUUAUGAGUGUCCAGUAAGAUUUCUUUUGUUGAAGUUUUCUCCUUGUUUUACCUUGUACUGUUUACUAUCCAAGAUUAAGUAUACUCAUGCUGAGAAAGACGUGUGUAAUGUGGUAACAUUUUAUGUUUUCCUGUUAAGGUAGGGGCCCACUAUUUUGAAGAGGGAAAUGUCCAAUUAGAUGCAAAACAUGAAUGCAAGGAUUCAACUGCAUUUCAGGUCAAGAGUAUGCUAAUGUUUGUCCUGAAAUUUCUUUAUUAUAUCUAGUAUAAUUGUUGCAUGUUUUAAAUCUUCUUCUCUGUACAUUUUGUUCUGGAAUGGAAUUAUGUUUCUUUCUUUAGUUCACAAAUCAUGAACACUUCUAUAGCUUAUUCGGUGUUGCAGAAUGGUACCUGAGAUAUAGAUUCAUAAGCAAAGUUUGGAUGUCUAACAUGAUCACGUGUCUUGGAUAGCUUUCUGUGACACUUAAAAGAAUAUGGGAUAAUAACUUCAGCAACCUUCUAAACUUUCUGGUAAAGUAAAAUUCAUUCGAGUGGUUUAGACUCGACAUUUUUGGUGAAUCGAAAUCUUUUUAGGGGUUCAGAAUUCUGGACUCUCUCUCAAAUGAAUUAUGCGCUAAUAUGGGUUGUAAAAGAUCUGAUUCCAACAGUUAUCUUCAAUCAUUAUACUGGAUAUAGCUGCCUAUUUCUUUUACGUAUGACAAAUGCUUUUUUUUUUUUUUUUAACGAGUUGCAAUAACACUUCUGGAAGAAGAACUUUGGAGUCUGAUAGGGCACUAUAACAAGAUAUUAUAUACGUGUUGUGGAGGAUUCUGAAGGUUAAGAGCAACUGUUGGUGUGAUACUUUUAUGUGUUUAUUUAUCUAUUUAAUCAUGUAUUUAGUUUAUGUAGGGGAGCGUUGAGACUUUGGGUUUGGCUUAUGGGGCUUUGAAAGUUCUGAAUGAUUGAAAAAACAGAUUAUUUGAAUCUCUAUCUGACAUGUAUGUUACAUAUCUUCAGUCGCCUGAUGAUUGUGCUGCUUCUGUGAUGAAUAUAAUUCGCCAUCAUGAGACGGAGUACCUAAAUUCUCUUCAGGUUUGGUACUCCUCCAAAUCUUAAUUUCUGAUUUUUUUUCGUAGUGUUUGCACUUGGUAGUUUAUGACUGACAUUUGUUUAUUGACAGAAAUCUUAUUUGAAUCUGCCUGAUACAACUUUCAAGGUAAAUCUAGGCUCUCAUUUGGUCUGGGAUCAUCUUCAUGAAAUGAAGUUUCUGGUGGAUCUGGUUUCUCUUUAUGCCUAUUAUGUGAAUUUUAUUCUAUGCUCAGUAGUGUAGUGACAUUUUGAUAACUUGCUCUGCUGGUAUUUGUUGUAAGCCUUAAGAGGACCUGUGUCUGUCAAUUGUUCUGCCUGUCAGUUCUUGCACCACUAUGUUUCUAACCAUUUAUAUGUGAUGCUUUUGAGAUGGAGUGUUGGUCUAAUUCUACCAGCAAGUGUAGGGGUUAUAUAUGCUAGUAAUAUGUUUCACCCUCAAUUCGCAUGCUGAUUUAUAGAUGUUCACAAGGUUUCUUCUGCUUUCCUUUGCCUGCUGCUGCAGGACCUUCGAAGAAAGCUUCCAGUUACUCGGACACUAUUCCCGUGGCACAACACUAUGCAGUUCAGCUUGACCAGAGAUAUAUCAAAAGAACUUGGCAUUGGAAAAUAGGAUACGGUAUAAUCAGCAUCUAUUUUUGAGAUUUCAUCCAGCAGUGUUUUUGCUCUGCGUAUGUAGAUCCAAAAAUUUUCGUCCGAGACUGCAUACAACAUUCUUUGUUCCGUUUUUACAACCUUCUAAAAAUUUGAGAUUAUUGUGAGGAUUUAAGGAAAGGGUGCGGGGGCAGAAAUGCUGAAGAGCUAAAUACAGUUAUAGUUCCUUGAGCUGCAAUGCAAAUGCUGGAACCAGUCUGUUCUUCUUCCUGCAAAAUCAUCUUUGUCACAUGGUGCUCGUAAAUUUUUCUGCUUGUGUCUGAUCGUACCUAAUUCCAAAUGAUGAUGGGCAUCUUGUUGCCUCGAGUUUGUUUAUGUUUUUUCUUCUGUGAUGUGAUGGAAGUGAAAAUGGAACCAUCUCUCAUUUCUAGUUCUUUUUUUUCUCACGGAUGUGGUGAGAAAAGAGAGGGCUAAGAAAGAAAGUGAAAUCUUUCUGGCAUUUGGGAAUUUAGCCAGGAAAGAAAUUGAAAGAAAAGGAGGGAGGGAUUCCACACUCCCUCCUUUCACACUACAAAAAUCGUCAGGCCAAAAUUGGGGUGGAAAGCGUGAGUUAAGUAAAUGUUUUAAUAUAUCAAUUUUACCCUUUCAAAGAUUAUAAUAUAGUAAAUGUUUUUCUAUGUUACGUGAAUUUCAAGCUUCAAGGGCGCUUAUGUAAAAUUAAAUCUUUUCCUUUCAGUGCCAAUUACUCCCAAAUGGAGGAAAUACUUUUCAUUAUCUUUCUCUCCAAAAACUCCCAAACAACAUGAAGAGAUAAAACAACGUCUUCUUGUAUUUUAUUUUCUUUUCUAACUUAGACUUUCUCUUCUCUUCUUUUCUUUCCCGAACUCCCAUACUAGCUCUAACGUGCUUAUCCCUUUUUUUUUCCUUUUUACUAAUUAAUUUAUUAUAUUUUCCCAUUAUUAUAGUCAUAAAUAAAAUUCAUCAUUGAAUGAAAAAAGAAGUUUUAUUGAACGUUAAAUUAAACAUUGUUAAAUAUUUAAAUUUAAACUAUCAAUUUUAAUGAGAGAUACAAGUCAAGAAAAUUGGGAUCAUAGAAUUUUUUAUCUUUUAAUGGAAUCAUCUCCUUUCUCUACUGUUCUCUUAAGAGGAGCGUGAAAAAAAAAAAAAAAAAAAAAAAAAAAAAAAAAGGAAAGUGCGACAUGGUAUUUUGUGAGAAAAAUCACACCUGUAAUUGAGAAAUUCGUCGGAAAGCCGAAAAAGAUGCAUUGCUAUUUGCUACAAGAUUCCAUUGCCGGGAUUCGGGCGGGGAUUGGCUAAAAAGUGAAGAUUCAAAGAAUGUUAAAAACAUUCCGUUACCGGGAAUCGAACCCGGGUCUCCUGGGUGAAAGCCAGACAUCCUAACCGCUGGACGAUAACGGAUUUUUUUGUUGAGUGCUGCGAGCAAUAAGCAUUUUAUCUAUAAUCACUCGUUAUUAUCCAUGGGUUCACUGGCAUUUUUAUUGGCAAAAUACCAAAUCCAGGUUGGGAUGUCUCAAUUCUCAAAUGUGAAUUGGGAAACAGAAUAGAUAAGAUAAUAGGAAACAAACCGCCUCUAAUUAUAUGUUUCACCAAGAAAAAAAAGCUUGAUUUACUUGUAUUACCAAUUCUAAUAUACAUAGUUAAUUGUUCUUGAAAGUAAAAUAAAAUUAUAGGUAAAAAUUUGCCUUUUCUCUUAUUAAUGUCUUUCAUUAUUUUGUAAAAUUAUUUUAGAAAGUGGAUAAACUCACAUUGUACCCAAUCCCUAUGUAAACCUUAAAAUAAUUGCUCCAAAAAAAAAAAACUUAAAACAAUUAUGUAGACAAAAUCAAGCUUGAAGAAUAUGGUUAAAUCCCCAUUGUUAAAGAAAAAAAAAAAUCUCCGUCAAUACUAAUUUUCUUAUUCCUUUUGUAAAAUACACUAUUAAAUUUUGAGUAGAAGAACAUUUUUGUAGAUCAAAUCAACUUUUAAUUUAACCAUUUUCAUAAUAAACCCUUAUGCUGAACACGGGCGAGUCCACUUAAGAAUUUUAUUGGGAGUUUAACAGCAAGACAGAAACAUUGGAGGCAAAGUUGCGAAAAAGGAAAACUACGGGGGUUAGAUUUGCAAAUAAAAUAUUCUACAUUUCUACUGCCGCCUACCAAAUCACAAAACCCUUCUCCAGCCUCGUUUAAAAAGUUUUAAAGUCCACUCCGGCAACCAACGAGCUCUGUCCGAUCCCUUCGUCUCGUGGGGAUCAAUUCAAGUAAUUCUUCUCUCCUUUUCUUCUAUCUCUUUCGUCUUUGAUUUCUUUUAUUUGUUCAAGAUUCCAACAUGAUUUCCCAAAACUUCUUUUGUUUUUCGUAUGCUUACUAUACCAGAGGCUUUGACUCAAUGUGCUAGCGUAGUUUAAAUUUAUGAGCUACCCAGAAACUGUGUAUUCAUGUUUGUUCAAGUAGUGGAACUUAAUUCGGCUUUGAUUUUGUUGAUUCUUAAUUGGGUUUCUUUUUUUUUUCCCCCCUUUGCAGGUAAAUUGUGGUUGUUGUAGGGUUUUUGGCAUCGGAAGCAAUGGUAAGUUCGGGCAUUAGCUUUUAAAAUUAGCGUCAAACGACUGCCCCUGGUGUUUCAUUGUUCUUUUAGCUGAUUUGGGUUUUUCUUGUUGUGACUGUUUUUCGUUGUUUCAGCUGCCACUUUCUCUGCUUAAGACUGCUCAAGGGCAUCCCAUGGUAACAAUUUCAUACACGUUAUUCUUCUUUCUUUUUUUAUAUUUCAUAAUUGUUAUGCAAGUUUAUUUGUAGUGUUGUUGUUUUACGGGGUAUUUUGAUAUAAUAAGUUUGUGUGGAGAGUUCAACUAUGGGUGUGUUUGUGGUGUGCUUUUCAGAUGUUUUCUUGGUAGAUUGGUGUUUUCAGAAGAAGUGCUGCAGUCAUUCUUAGAUUUGUUGUUUUUGUCGAGUGCUUUUUUUAUUUUUCUUGAUAGGUGAGUAUCCUAGGGAUUAGGGUUGUGAGUUGCUUAGUGUGCUUAGACUCGUUUUUAUGCAUUAUCAAUGUGAGAGUUCAUUUUGAAAAGUUCAAACAUCUCAGAGAUCCAAGCAUAGGCUUGUUUUCUGUGUGCUUUUUUUAGAGUUUGUUGAUGAAUGUUUUUGGAAUUAAGGUUGUAAUUUCUUUAUUAUAGUAAUAAUGAUUGUUUUUAUACAUAAACAGUAUGAGCUACACUCAUGCAGUAAGUACAACAGGAGAAGUAAGUCAAAAGCAGUUGUCUCAGAGUGGGAAAGCAUAAUUAAGAGCUCAAUGACACCUAGAAGGUUCUAGUUUGUUUCUGUGUUCUCUGACACAAUUUUAGAGGAGCAGCCAGGAAAAUUGCUGUAAUUUUUUUUGGCUUGAAUAUAUAUUUAGACGAUCUGAAGAGCUGAUCAAUGGCACCUUGUUAUUGUUUGCGCUGUUUAUCUCAAGAUGAAUGUUGAGAUGGUACAUGCUCUUGUUUAGUGGAUUUGCUUGCUCAUGUAAAAUUUGUUUUCUUAUUACAGUUGGUGGAGCUAAAAAAUGGGGAAACGUAUAAUGGACACCUUGUCAAUUGUGACACUUGGAUGAAUAUCCAUCUUCGUGAAGUCAUCUGCACAUCAAAGGUGAAUUUUUGCUACCAUGACUUGUUUAUCAUCUCUCUGAUUGUUAUGCAUUGGUGUUUCAUGUAUUACGGGUGUAGCUUAAUGAAAAGUAAAUGCAGGAUGGAGACAGAUUUUGGAGAAUGCCAGAAUGUUAUAUUCGUGGUAAUACAAUCAAGUAUCUACGAGUUCCAGAUGAGGUAUGUUCACUUCAUAGUCAUAAAUAUGCAGAUUUGUUGUUUGCUUCAGUUCUCUUCCUUCUCUGCUUUGACAUCUAUAUGCUUCUGCUUCUUUCUGGUUUGUGCUUGGUAUCUGCUAACACUAAUAAAAGCCAGGAUUUUCUUUUAAGCGUACGUGCUAUCUGUAUUUUGCCACGCUUAGUUAAAACUUGAUACCUAAAUGUCAUCCAUCAUAGAUGAGGCCCUGUCAUCACUUCUUUUCUUUAUGUUAAUGGUCCAAUUGGGAAGACAUCCACCUAGUGCUAGCUUGGUUUUGGCUGCAAUGGUUGAUCAUUGAGCACAUUGACUUUGGCAGACGUAAAAUGCUCCUCCAAAUGGAAUGUUUUACAUUCGUUGAAUGGCUUUUGAUUUUGCACACUGAUUUUGGAGGACCAAUUGCUAACUUGUUUAAUUGGAAUGUUUUACCUACUCAGAUACAACUGUUUUGUAUAUAGGUUUGUCCAUUAAAUUAGCUUUAGAGUGAAGCUUUCUGCUGUUUGGUAAGCCCUUAAAAUAUUGUCAUGAGAGUAUUCUGGGAACUAGAAUUUUUCUUCUUCCUGCAACGAAAAUCAAAAAGUAUAGUUGUACUUUUAGGCGUCAGAUGUACACACACACUCUCUCUCUCUCUCCCCCUCUCUGGAGUGAUGCAGCUUAGCCAAAUCAGACAUUGAUGUGCUCCUUAAAGUGUUUCUUUUAAAGUCUUUAACAAUGGUAAUAUCUGGAGGCAUUUUAUUGUUAUGCUUCCAUGCAGUUGUUUAAACUUUAAUUGGGGCACAAAAAGUGGAAGUGCAUCUAUGUGAUGACAAAAGUACAGAGAUGGGUUCCUUGCUGACCAGAGCUUCUUUAUGAUCUUUUUCCUCGUCUCUCUCCAAUCAACCCUGCCUUUAUUUAUUGAACUAUUUGUUAUAAGAUCCUAGGUAGUUGUUUAGCUCAACCAUGAGUGAAGAUCACAUCCUUAAAAACAUGAUUUAUACAACCCCUUGAAGGAACUUUAUCCCACUGUCAAUUUCAUCUACAGUUGAUAGGGGCAGUAAAGGGUUGAAGAAUGUGGCUAAUCUGUUUUUCCUUUUUGUAGAUUUUUAUAUGAACCUUGGUAUGCUUUGAAUCCUUUGAUGACUCUUCAAAGAUUGGUGAUAUGUCGACUGUGCUUUCUUUUAAAACUGGAUCUUGUUUGGAACUAGGGAAUUAUAAAAACUAGGAAGUCAAGGUAAUGCAUCAUUGGGCUAGUCCCUUUGUAUCCUGCAGUUGGCUCAGAUUUGGUUUGGAUCAUUAGAAUGAUUCUUAUUUCUUGCAUAUCCAGCUACUCUAGUCCAAGAUAGCGUUAUUCUUCCUCUAUGCUGUAUGGAAUUGUUGUCACUUGACAUGUUUGGUAAAGACUUUUAUGUCAGAGACCUCUGAUUCCAUAGGACAGAGCAUUUUAAAUGGUUAUUUGCUAUCUUUGUAAUUGGACUGAAAACCUUUGUUUGGUAGUAUGCCUGCAAAACAACUGACUGAUUAUCAAUUUGCAUAACCUGUUGGGUGGGACUUUAUGGCUAUACAUUACAUUGUUGGGUUCCAUUGGAAAUACAUGUCAAUUUUUCCUUGCCUUGCACGAUAUAUUGGAUUGAUGAAUUUUGAUUUUCUCAGGAUACUGAUUAUUUGUGUAUCUUUUGCCUUUGUCGUGUCAUUCAAUUAUGUCAAUGUGCUUAACUCUUUUAAAGUGCUGAAAAUUGUACCUUUUUCAAAUUUUUUUUCCAGGUGAUUGAUAAGGUUCAAGAAGAAACAAAAAGCCGUUCAGGUAUUAAUUAUAGUAUUGAUUUACUUCUGUAUAUGAUUGAGCCCAAAGAAGGAUGUCUUCUCUGUGGAUGCCUUCUCUAAAUCAUCUGAAAUUCACAAUAAAAUUUGUUUUCUACUUCAUUCAUUGGAUGGCGUACUAGUAAUUGUAGGUUCCUCGUGGUAUAGAAACUUGUAUGUCUGGGUUCUUUGAUGUAGACAGAAAUUUCCCUUUGUUACUUCAACAUCAGUCUUGUAUUCUAAGUAAUACAUUUCAAAGUGGCAAUCAACCAGGAGGAAGUAGCAAAUCAGAUAAGUACAAACAAUCUUGUUGCAAUAAUUACAGCCUGUCCAAAGACAUUUUGCCGUGUAUAUUACGAUGUGUUUGAGAUUGAAAGAGUACAUUACAGAUGUUGGAUUGUUCCAAAAGCACAGUAAUGCUUGUAUAGAAUUCAUUUUAUUGAGGGCAAAAAUAUCAAGGAUAGAAGGAAAGAAAGUAAUGGAAAAUAGCAUUUGAGCGAAUGAUAUAUUGUUGUUACCAAGCUAUUGUUAAAUCUCCAACUUCAUUAAUGUAAUUGAACAGACUAAAGAACAAGAGAUUUACUAUGUGUUUCAUUACUUUUUGGAGAUGCAUUCCAGUAUUUCUGAUGAAUUGAACAGAUUAAAGUACAAGAGAUGUACUGUAUGUUUCAUUACUUUUUGGAUUCCAAUAUUUCUGAUCAAUGUAAAAAAAAAAAAGAAGGUAAAUAGCUUUUUCUCUGUGUACUGAAUGUGGAAUUUGGCACAUUAAAUUAGUUUAUGGUCAAAAAUGGUUUCUAAUCCUGACCACUUUUACAUACUUUUUCAGAUAGAAAGCCACCAGGCGUUGGGCGUGGAAGAGGAAGAGGUAGAGAUGACAGUGCUGCUGGGAGACAGGGAAAACCAAUUGGGCGUGGCAUGGAUGAUGGAGCUGCCAAAGGUGCAGGCAGGGGCAAGGGAGGACCAGCUGGCAGGUCUGGUGGUGGUAAAGGUAUGAAUUUGCAGUCUAAGUUGUUGGUUAUUAAGAAGCAAGCAUCAGAGAGCUGUGUCUUAAGAACUUUCAACAUAGCAUUUCUCAUUUUAAGACUUCUGAAUGAUCUCAGAUACGACUUUUCCUUCACUCCUUACAGUCCAAACAACCUUUGCAAGUUUACACUUGCUUUUUCUCUGCCUCUGUUAUGACUUGAAUGAUGAGGGAACAAAGAGUUGUCUUCUAAAUACCUUAAAAUUGUUCUCUCAUUUUUGUUUGCAAGUCUGUCUAACGGGUGCCCAUUGGGUACUCGUUUAAGAUAUAUUUCAGGUGUCAUAUUUUUGAAAAUGUAAGAUUAAUUAGGGAAAGUAAAUAAAUACAAGGAAGGGUAGGUAAGAUUAAAUAGGAAAAGCAUAUAAAUGCAAGGGAAGGUAAUAAUUGUUAGUAUGUGCAUGUACAUGAUAAGCUAGGUGAAUUUUAGGUGUGUUGAUGAGUGUUCAAUAGGCACCUGUUAGAAAAAGUCCUAUGUUUGUUUAUUGAAAGAUUUCCCUGGUUGAAUGUUGGUGGCAGGUGGUGGGCGUGGACGUGGCUUGUAGUUCUUUAGCUAGCUGCAGAAUCAACUUCCUUGGAGCAGAGUUGCCGAUUUUAUAUGGCAUUUUAUAGUGUUUGUUAAGGUACAGGAUUGAAGAAAAAUGACUGCUUUCUUGUAAAAGGACCGAGGUGUAAGGAAACUGUUUCUGUCCAACAAUCAAACAAGCAAGCAAUGUAUUUUAUAGUUCCAUACAUUAUUUUGUUGGUACUUCUUUUGGCUGAACGAAAUGUAAGUAUUAUGGAAUCGUUAUCUUUUCUUUCUAUCUCGAGUAAUUUUCGGUUUUUGAUUGACUUCUAAUCCUUAUAAGAAAUUACAUCGUGAGAACUUCUUGACUGCAAUCCUAUCAAUUACUCAGGUAUCACAUGGUUAGACUGUGGAAGCCUGCAACUUUCCUCUUGCUGGAUUCUACAGAAUCUGGCUGGUGAGGUUUUUACUUGGUGAGUAUUCACCCGUUUGGUUUGGACUCCGGAAUAGCAAUGGCAAUGGGUAUAAAAUGAUCGAUGGAUGGUAAUAGGUUUUGGCGAAUCCUUUUCACUUGUUUGGUACCAGGCUGAAAUGGGAAUCGAUGGGAUUGGUUUUUUUAAUUACAAGAAGUAAUUUCAUCCUUUUUUUUUCCCUUGUUUCCUAAAAUGGCCAGAUCCUCGCAGCAAAACCGCCCCAAUUUCCAGCCACCAGCCCUACGAGCCAAUUGUCCCCAAAACAUCAAAGUUUCAUCUCAAACUCUUCAAAUCCAUUUCCAUGUAAAAGCAAAAAUUCAAUUGAAUUUGAACAAAGUACUCUGCCUUGGAUUUGUAUAAAACUAGAAACUAGAAACAAAGGUAACUGUGAAUAGGUCUAAAACUUGCUAUUUGUUCACUACCGAACCCCUUACAUUCUAUCUGGAUGACUAACUUAAGCAUCAGAUUUACAACGAGGGAAUGUUGCCACGGCGUUUGCACCAGCACAGGAAAGGCCGAUCCCUGCCCGCCCGCACAAGUAUCAUGCCAAUUGAGAGCCGAUUGAAAAGUGAAAACAUCAUCCCAAAAUCACCUCGUUGAGCAGCAACCUAAAUGGGCAUAUCCAAAUAAAACAAACUCCUCUUUCGAGCUGCUCAAGCAAGUAGGUUAGUCUCUUUUAGUAAUAGCGGGUCCAGAUUCCAAUUUGUCCAGGCAAAACGUCAGUUUAGCAGUCGAAUCCGACAAAUGUCCACUUGCAAAGUUGCAAUCAAUCUGUUAUUGUUUGUAGUUGCAGCUUUUUGUAAAUUCUCAAAUAGCGAUAGCUUAAAAAAAAGAAAAAAAAAAGCUAAAUAACGAGAAUUUUGCAAUAACAUGUUUUUUUUUCAUUAUUGGGUGGAGAUUAGGGGUGUUUCGCGAAUCGAGCCGCUCGAAUACGAGCUCGACUCGAGUUCGUCAAUAUCGAGUUCGAGUCGAGCUCGAACUAAUUAAGUCGAUCUCGAGCUCGAGCUUGAAGUCAAAAACAUUAAACUCGUUGGCUCGCGAGCGGCUUGCGAGCUCAAUUAUAUAUAUAUUUUUUAUUUUUUAUUUUUAUUUUAAUAGUAAAAUUAUAUAUAUAUUCAUAAUAUUUUAUUAUUUAUUAAAAAUUUAUUAUUUUAUUCAUUUUUAAAAAUAAAUAAUUAUUUUUUAUUUUUAAAAAAAUAAAAUAAUUAUAAAUAUUUUUUAUUUUUUAAGCUCGAGCUCGAGCUCGACUCGAAUUUGACUCGAGCUCGAUAUUUUGAGCUCGUCGAGCUCGAGCUCGAGCUCAGCUCGAUUAGCCAAAGCUUGACUCGAGCUCGACUCGUUUGCACCCCUAGUGGAGAUGCUUGAAAAACAUGCCGCCGAAUUUAGAAAAUUUUGGAUUGCCAUUUUUUGUAGAAAAAUGUCCUGUAGUGAUUUGAUGUAUAUGAGAUAAAAAGGUAAUUAAAAAUUUUGUUUACAGAAAACGUAGAAAUUUAUGAUUUUUUUCUUUGUGAAAAAAAACUUGCUUGUGAAUCCACUUCAUUGCAAGCAAAUUGCAUAUUUGAACAAUAAGCAUAUAACUAUAAAGGAUACGUGUAAAAAUGUUCAAGAGUUAUAUGUUUCUCUUGUUCUAGUCCCUAUAGUAGUAAUAAAUAACAGUAAACAGCGUGUCAACGUUUGAAGAACUUUCAAUAAUGGCAGAUAUUGAAGAAGAAAGCAGUCAAUCAAUUACUCCUACAUUAGCUGGCCACCAAAAAAAUUUUAAGACUAUUUGGAUUUAGAUCAAAGAAUCAAAUCUCUUGUCGUGCAUUCUAAAAAUUCCAAAGUGGACAAUUUCAGAGGCCUCACUGUUGGAGUAUAUACUACCGCUUAUAUUUCCUCUUCACUCUUCAAUUUUUACUUGUCUUGUACGUUAUAGGUACCGUCUUGUAAUGUUUACUUCCUCAGUAAUCAACGAGUUCCCAUGAGUCAACUGGAAAGAUUUGUGAAUCAGUUAUACUUUCCAGGACAGAUUUGAAGUGCAACAGGAAGUGUUUUCUUAACUUCAAUGAUUAAACAAAAUACUGUAAAAAAAUUGGAAUGUCCACAUCCAAUUUUCGAUGGUGCUAAUGAGUGUUGUUAAUAAAAUAAUGCAAGCAGCUCAACAUAAAAUAAUUGGAUUUUCUUAUUGUAUUUGAUCAAUUGAAAAGGAGGUGUAUUGUCAAUUAUUACUGGUUUCUUGACGUAUAAAGAUGUAUUAUAUCUCGCAACAACCAAUAGUGGUGACGUGAAAGAAUUUCCUAGGUAAUACGAUUGUGUUGGUGAUCUUCCAGCGUCAGAAUGUUGAAAAAAAGUCACAAAAUGGUUGCCGAACGUAUCUGGAUACUAAUAAACAAAGCCCUCCUUUCAAAGUUUAAAUCCCGAAGAAGUAGGCUAGCAAAUCAAUUAGGUAGUUGCCAAGGGCCGUAAACUGAGUCGAGUCGAGUCGAAUUUUGAUCUAAUCUAGUUGAGUCUCAAAUUAAUUUUACCAAACUCGAGUUCGAACUCUCAAUGUAAAGUUCGGCUUCGAACUCCACCUCGAAUUUGAGUCGAAUCAAGCUCGAGCUUGAGUUUAAAAAAAUAAAAAAUAAUUAUUUAAUUUUUAAAAAUAAAUAAAAUAGUAAAUUUUUAAUAAAUAAUAAAAUAUUAGAAAUAUAUAUGUAAUUUUACUAUUAAAAUAAAAAUAAAAAUACAUAUAUAUAAAGUUGAACCGGCUCUCAAGCUAACGGGUUGAGUAUUUUUUAAUUUGAAUUCGAACUCGAGCUCGACUCAAGUUUGGUGUUGAUUGAGUUCGAGUCGAGCUUUGAUUCGAACUGCCCACAAUUGAUUUGUGAUUGGCUCGUGAACAGCUCGAUUUGUAUGCAACCCUAGUCGCUAACCACAAGGCAACUAUAGAAUGCAUUUCUUGAUGGCAUUUCUCUAGGAUAGAAGUGAAUUUCUUUCCCAGUAACCCUCUGCUGCAUUUGAGGGAUCGAUCUUCUAGUAUAAAUUAACGUAAAAAUAGUGUAAAUUUUGCUGAUUGAUAAAGAAAUAAAUUCCGAAAAAAGGGCUAGUUUAUUUUACUUUCAGUGGGUCCAGAUUCCAUUUUCUCCAAGUAAAAGAACAAAAUAGCAUUCAAAUUUGACAAUUAUCUACUUGUGAUGGGUCAAUCUGGUAAUAACUAAUCAUUUUAUGGAUCAGGUUUUCUGGUUCUUUAUUAAUCUCUUAAACUCAGUACUUCAUCUCUGAAGUGUAAAUGGAAACAAACAAAGAAAUAAAAUAAAGAAAUAAAAAAAAAAAGUAAAAAAAGAGGAUAAACUAUAAAGAAGAAGCAUUUUCUUGGAAUUGAGAAGAGGGAUCUUUAAACAGAAAGUAAACUAAAGCAAGAAAAACUUUCUUAGUAUUUUGUAGUGUAAGUUGUGUAGUUCAUUUGUUGUUCUUGUACGCUUGCUUGGAAUUUAGCUGUGAAACUAGUUAUGAUUACUUCAAUAGGUAAGGACACUCUUUUUUUUUUCAGGAAAUACUUGAGGGCACUCUUGAAUGGCAUUUUUUAUUAGGACUGAAAUGCCACAUUAUAGUACUGAAAGCUAACCCAACCAAAUGAUUCAUGAAACAAAUGGUUGUAUUAGUCAAUUUCAUAAUGCUGGAAAACAGCCAAAGCAGCCAAACUGUUUUCGUGGUACCACCUCAUUGUGAAGUAUUAUUCACAUCUUGUGUUGGCUACUAGCAUUAGCAUUAGGAUUAACUGAAUCUCUAUCUUUCAUAUCUUCUUCUCUUUUGGUGGUAGUAGACUAGUAGAGUUGAAAUACAGUAAAUAGAACUUUGGUUUUCUGUAAAUUGGCUUCAAAUGGCAGACACCAAAGAAGGUAUGACUCAAGAACAGCACCAUGUCACCAUAGAAGCUCCUAAAGCACUGCAAGACAAGGGAGAAGAAGUAAAAGAAGUUGAAGAGAAGCCUCAGAACAAGACAAAGACUAAGCGAGUGGCUUCCUUGGAUAUUUUCAGAGGCCUCACUGUUGCGGUGCAUAUUUUUCCCAUAAUCCCUUUUCUCUCUAAGUCUUGAAUUCGGAUACUGUAUUAUUUAUGUAUGCUAAAGGUAUCUGAAACCUUGAUAUUUUGUUAUCAGUGUUGCUAGAAAAAUCAGAGUUGUGAAGGAACUUCUUUUAUCUGGUUGUUGAAUACUUUUGCUUCCCCACUGGAAAGUUUUCGAAACUCUACUGGGAAACUAUUAGGAUCAAUAAUUUUCAGGAAAAUCUUUGGUGCAUUAACAAGUGUUUUCUUAUGCUGCUGCAUGAGCAUACAAUACAAAUUCUAUUACUUUAUAAGCAGCAGCUGCUGAACAUAGAACCGUUGGGUUUUCUUAUUUAUUGAAGGAAAGGUAUGAGCUGAAAAAAUAUGAGCAUAUGAUAAAAUAUAAAUAAAGUGGUAAUUCUAUUCUAAUAAGGAUUACUUAUAAUAGGAAUUACUUUGACAAGUUGCCUAAUUUGAGUGCUAAAAUGAAAUUACGAACUUGCCUCUGAGUUCAGUAUUGAAUCUGUAGUUGCCAGUGCAUUCCACUCCUAUAAACCAACUAUUCAUAAGUUACUAAUGGUUGAUAUUUUCAAAAACGCAAUAUCAGAACUAUGGUAACCUUACUAGUAUCUGCAGUGUAAUUCCUUCUUUAUGACUGUUGUGACUGUAAAAGAGUUUCUAAGUGCAAAUACCUGUGGACAGUUGAUGGUACUGGUUGAUGAUGCUGGAGGAGAAUGGCCGAUAAUUGGGCAUGCACCAUGGAAUGGUUGCAAUCUUGCUGAUUUUGUGAUGCCAUUUUUUCUAUUUAUUGUCGGAGUGGCAAUUGCACUUGCUCUCAAGGUUGAUUUUCUGCCUUUGAUAGAAUGUAUGCUUGGCUGAGACCAAUAUUGCAUUGCUUUCUGAUUAGUUCUACUGUUUCAUAUGUAGAGAAUACCAAAAAGGUUAAUGGCUAUUAGAAAGGUAAUUUGGAGAACUAUCAAACUUCUCUUCUGGGGUCUUCUUUUACAAGGUUUGUUUUACUGUUUUCUUCCCAUUUAAUGGAUGUGUGCUGCUUUGUUGGGGACCAUGUCAUUUAGUAAUAUAGUAGCACUUACAUUUAAGUGGUAGAAACUCAAGUUCAUUUCAGAAUCAAUAUUCAACAAGUAAUUCUUGCAAAAGUAUUAUAGCUUUCUUUUAUUGGCCUUUUGUGGUUAAUGGUGGCCAAAAAGUAUUGAACUCUAGGAAACUUAUUUAUAUGCUAUUAUAGAUAUUUGUAGCCUGACCUCCUUUUGAGCCCCACUAAGAUAUAUAUAUAUAUGUGUGUGUGUGUGUGUGUGAACCGAGUUGAUGCUGGAAGACUGCAGGGGGUGGCUUUGUCAAAAUUUAACGUAUUUAUGUUGCUAAGACAAUGAUUUUGCAUGAAGAUGCUCACAUGAUUUGGAAUUGUGUAAAAAGCAUUUGAGUUUCAAUAGUGAUUUGGCGGCCAUACUUUCAAUGGAUUAAGGUUUCCUUCAAGGUGGUAAUCUUUCAAAAGUUGACCAUAUACUGACUCACCCCUUUUAACAUUUGAAGGUGGUUACUCUCAUGCACCAGAUAAACUUACAUAUGGUGUCGAUAUGAAAAGAAUAAGGUGGUGUGGCAUUCUCCAGGUGAUCCGAAUUACAUUUUUCUUAUUUGUUGAAGUUUGACAAGUUUUUUUCUUAGUUCAACAAACUGUACACUGAGCCAAUUUUGGUUUGCACUUCUAGAGAAUUGCUCUUGCUUAUCUGGUAGUGGCAUUGUUUGAAAUCUCAACAAGAAAUGCUCAAGUUAAGGAUCUUUCACAUCAAUGGUUCUCUAUAUUCAAGAUGUAUAUUUGGCAUUGGUUUGUACUCCACUCUUCUUCUGAUCUUGUACAAUCAAUCAUAUUGUAAAGUAUUCUGAUUCUGGUAUAUUCUUCAGGGUGUUAGGAGCAUCUGUUUUAAUUAUUUACCUGGCUGUGUUAUACGGAACUCGCGUUCCUGAUUGGCACUUCAUCGUCCACAAUGAAGAUAGCACACUUUUGGGCAAGAUGUUAACUGUAUGUUCUUUGCUUCUGCCAUAUAAAGAAUACUAGCUUCUGCUACUCUAGAUACAGUUACCGGGGUCCACUGUUUUACAGUUGUAGAUGUCAUUGAUGUUGUGUUUACUAUUGCUGGAGAUUCAGAAGCAGGGAAAAAUAAGCUUUAGCUACUUAGUCGAUGUUGGCCAUUCAUUCUAAGGACAUUUAAGAAAAUCUGAAUUGUCUAUGACCAGCUUCAUAUCCCCUAAUUAUAAUACUUCACAAGAUGAAAAUAAUUCAUUCAUUCAAUGCAAUCUAAGCAUAUCAAGCAAGUGUAAUUGUUGCAUUUCUCAACAAAGAUCAAUGUGCUUCUUAAUCAUUCUUGUGGUUGUCAAGUGGUGUUUGUUUCCCACUCGCUUCUCUCUCUGAGCACCUUCAGUCGAAAAGGUAAAGAUGAUUUGGUACUUGUAUAUGCAUUCUAAUUGGUUGAUUGUGCAGGUAACCUGCAAUGUCAGAGGAAAAUUGGAUCCUCCUUGUAAUGCAGUGGGUUAUGUUGACAGAAAAGUGCUUGGUAUUAAUCACAUGUAUCAACAUCCAGCUUGGAAGAGAUCCAAGGUCUGCAGGGCUGUUUUUGAAUGCAAAAGUUCUUAUCAAUCACUAUGUACAUUGUUUGCUUCUGCUUUACGGCCCUCGGAAACUUUUCAUGGUAAUUCUGUUCUGCAGGCUUGCACUUACAGUUCUCCUCAUGAGGGACCUUUUCGGGAUGAUGCUCCAGCAUGGUGCGUAGCACCUUUUGAACCAGAAGGAAUUCUGAGGUAUGUAUCAUUAGUUCAUUUCAAUUUGAGAACUGCCACUAGUUUUAGUUGAAAUAUUGGCCUGGUCCUAGUUAACAUGUUCCAACAGCUAACUAAAUGUAUAGCUAAGCCAAAAUAGACGAUGCUCAAUGCGCCUCUAUCUUUUUAUUAUCUAUGUUCAGGAUACAGUUUGGAAAUUCUAAACAAGUCUUUUGACUGCAGCUCAAUUUCUGCAAUCCUCUCUACAAUCAUUGGAGUUCAUUUUGGACAUGUUCUUAUACAUACGAAGGUUUGAUAGAUAUAUAUAUCUUAUGUUUGGGACAACUGUUAUUCACUGAAUGUCACUAAAAGUCCUUAGUUCCUGAAUUUCAGGAUCACUCAUCCAGACUUUGGCACUGGACUGUCAUGGGUUCAGCUCUUUUGAUUUUUGGAAUUACUCUUCAUUUUACACAUGGUGAGCCCUGCUAGUCUCUCUUUCCCUAUGAACAAAUCAAGCAGCAAAUCGUAUUUCAAAUCCUCGGACUUGGUUUUAUUUGACACUAGGACCAUAUCAGCUUUACACAUUACGCAGCAUCUGUAGAGCAUGAGAUGAAAAAAUUACAUCUCUCGUUCGUCUGGUCAUAUACAUCAGUUUACUCACUGAUUUGGUUGGAUGCAGCUAUUCCCUUAAAUAAGCAACUGUAUACUCUCAGCUAUGUUUGUGUGACGGCAGGAGCAGCAGCUCUGGUGUUCUCAGCAUUCUAUAUCCUGGUAUGCUACUCGCAGAAUAAUCUUAUGGCCUGCAUAGAUUCUAGUCACACUGGUUCCUUAGUGAAAGCUACAAAACUAUGCUUUCUUGAUUGUGCACCUACCUGGUUUGACUUGGCACAUAAUGAGUUUAUCUUCCUCUAGUGCUGACCCUAAAAUGUGAGUAACUUGCCCUUGGCAUUUCAAAUGACAUACUUUACUGAAACUACAUGUCUUGUUUGAGACUUGUACCUCAACAGCUAAGGGUGCUUUUGAUAAAAUUGAAGUCUGAAGUCUAAAGUCUGAAUCUAUUAAAUUAUUGAAUUAUUAAGUAUUAAAUCUAUUACAUUUAAGUGCAUAUCAUAUUCAGUGAUAAGUGAAUAGUUCAUCACUUUAUUUUGAGAGCAAGUUUUGCCUAGGAAUUUAGUGCCACUUAAUUAAUUUAGAUGUUCAAUUUUUGGUAAUCAAACAGUCUGAAUAUAUUAAGAUCUGAAUCCAUUAAAUUAAGUACCGAAAUUUUAUGUUUUCAAGCAUAGGCAUUGGUUGCACUCAGUAUAAAAUGAGUCUGACUUCCUGUGCUAGAUAGACAUACUCUUAAACUGAACUUAGAUGAGAAUUGCAGAAACAUGGAAAAAAAUGAUUACCAUGCCACCAGUGAACACACUGUCAAGUUUGCAAGAGAAAUUAUCAUUUCAAAUAAGAUAAUUAGAGCAGGCUUCAGGUAACAAAGGAGGUCAUCUUUACAUGCAAUGGAGAAUCAAAUGAAGCAAAACAAAAUUUCGAAGUUUUGGAUCUAGCGCCAUUCUCUUGCACAAAUCAAAACAAAAACUGGUAAUAUCAAAGUUUCCUAAAGGCAUACAAUGACACAAAUUCCAUUUGCCCUUGUUAUCUGCAUGGAUGAAUCUUCGAGCCCUCGUGGAUACUAACUUAACAAUGAAUAGUAUCAUUGGGGGGUAUCUGAAAUGAGCAAACUCAUACUUUUGCUUACUCAAUCUUGAUCUAAUCAAGUAUUUCUCACUCCAUUCCAGGUUGACAUUUGGAAAUUGAGGUAUCUGUUUCUGCCACUUGAAUGGAUUGGUAUGAAUGCCAUGCUUGUGUAUGUCAUGGCAGCUGCAGACAUUUUCGCAGGAUUCAUUAACGGGUGGUAUUACGACAACCCUCAUAACACACUGGUACUGCACUCCUUUUAGCUGCCAAAUAUUCAGCCUUAAUAUGUUUGUUUUUCACUGCUCAAUUAUAGCAAUACUAAAACAAGCAUUGCAAAAUAUAAUAGCUGCUCUUCAUUGUCAUUGUUAUCACAAGCCUGUCUGUCCCCUUUAAGUUCUUGCAAGCUCUAUGCUACUUGAUGAGUUUCUGACUAUCAAAACAUUCUCUAUAGGUGCAUUGGAUUCAGAAGCACAUAUUCAUUGACGUUUGGCAUUCAACAAAAGUAGGGAUUCUACUUUAUGUCAUCUUUGCAGAGAUACUGUUCUGGGCUAUUGUUGCUGGCAUUUUCCACCGUUUGGGAAUUUACUGGAAGCUUUAGUUUCUGUGCUUGAUGCAUUUUGGUCCUUUUCUAGCUUUGUUAAUUAUAGCACCAUAUUUCAUCAUAACUGAUACCUUCUGCUACCUGUAUAAGGUUUUAUGAGCUGAUUUGUUGUUGAACUCGACAUUUUCAAUAGGUCUCCAAAUCAGAAAAAUGGGGCUUAAGACGCUCACUUGGGCUGUAGUGCAAUAACUUUUGCUCAUUCCGUUCUAUUGAUUUAGGUUAAGGUCUAAUCCAUUCGUAAGAAUAUGCAAAGAUUUUACCAAACAACUACCAAAGUGCAGCCAUGGGUCCAACAAAAAAUUUAUUGAGUGUUGUUGGACUAGGGGCCGAGGAGCUUGAUACCCCUUAAAUAAAGUUUUGAAUUCAAAUCUUGUGAACGGAGAAAAUAAAAGAGUCAUGCCGUAAAUGGCGAUCCGAUACCAUUCGAAUUAGCUGGGGUCCAAUGCAGUCACUAGACAUCAAGAAAUUUACACUAAAAAAAAAAACAGAGUUCCAACCAAAAAUUAAUUUCAUAGGAAUGAGGAAUCCAUAUAAUAUUGUCUUCAAGAACAUGUUGGGCUCUUAUCAGUUUUUUUUUUUUCCAUUAAUUGUGGUAGGACAAAAUUACAUUAGCAUAUAGGAAGCAAAGUGUGCAAGAACGUCCACUGCAAAACUGAUUGGUAUCUUUUAUUCGCGCAAAGUAUAUGAAUUUGGCAAAUAAACGUUUUUCAUUUUUGUUGACUUGUUUUGCGUUGGGGGGGGGGGGGGGGGGAGAAGAGAGAGGAAGAAGACAAAGAAAAAACUUGAUUGUAUAUAUUACCUUAAAAGAAAUUACUAAAAGCUAUCACAAUAUCUGACUUUGUCUUCAAUGUUCCUAAAUUUUCAAAUAGGUGCAAGGUAAUGCCAGGCUAUCAGAUUUAGAUUAAGGAGAAUAAAGAGUAAAACGGAGCUUCCUUGUUUGGAUUGAAGUUUUUCAAAGAAAAUUUUUGGGAAAAUGGCCUGUUUCAUCCUCACAUUUCACAAAAAUAUUCUUUUCGUCCCUCACUUUUAAAAUGAAACAAUUUCGUCCUUGACAUUUAAAAAUUAAAGCUAUUACAUCCUUGAACUCAAUUUUCAAUCUGAAUCAAAUCACCUAUUAACUUGAUUACAAAUUUUGAAGGUAUAAUUGGUAGAUUACUUGGUUAACUCAACUUGAAUUCCUACAUUGUCAUUGUAUACACUGAUGAUUUUAUAUACCUGCCAUAUCAUUUCAAUUUAAAUUUAAACACGAAAUUUUGUAUUUAUGAUACACAUCUAGACUCGUAAGCGAAUAUAUUAAUGGUGCAUGAAAAAAUUUUCCCAAAAGAAAAACUCUACUAUUCCAAGACAAAUAAUGGCCUUUAUGUUAUAAUAUUUAUUUUUGUGGUUUGAUAAAUGUCAUCCGAAUAUGAUGAAAUUGACCGAGUGACCUAUCAAUUCUAUCUCCGAAAUUUAUUACUGGGUUAUUGGAUGGUUUGAUUCAGAUUGAAAAUUAGGCUCAGGGAUGUAAUAGCUUUAAUUUUUAAAUGUCAGGGAUGAAAUUGCUUCAUUUUAAAAGUGAGAGACAAAAAGAAUAUUUUUGUGAAAUGUGAGGGAUGAAGCAUGUCAUUUUCCCAAAAUUUUUUAUACUUUUCGUGAUCAUAUUUUUCAAUCACCUUUUUAUCUCACAUACAUCAAAUUGUUACAGUAUAUUUUUCUACAAAAAAUCCAAAAAAUAGCAAUCCCAACAACCUAUUUUUCCAAGAAAACUAUUAUCUUACUUAUAGAUACAACUAAUAUCCUGUGAUUGCAUUCUAUUUUAUAUCUCUAGCUUAUUUAUAGUUUGUAUACAAUUUGAAUUAUUUCAAGUCAAAUGACAAACAUGUAUAAUAAGCUAAACACACAAAAAAAAAAAAGUGCGCAACAUACUAUUUUGAGGUAAAUGAAUAUCUUUCCUUAUUUCAAUUAGGUCUUUUUCACAAUUUUUUGUUUGUUGUGCCAUGUGGUCAUUUCUGUGCAUCGCCUUUUUCUUUUUUCUUUUUUUUUUGAAUUGCUUUGAUUAUAAGUAGUUCAUUUAUUUUAACAAUUCUAAAAAAAUCUAAUUCAAACGUGCUACAUUGGUCCUCCUAAACUAUUGUAUACUUUAAAAUAAAAAACAAAGGUUGUUGGGGGGGGGGGGGAGUUUCGUAACGGGUAUCUAUUGAGCACUCGUUAAGACACAUAAAUUUCACCUAAAUUAUUAUGUAUACAUAUAUUAAUAAUUAUUAAUCUCCCAUACAUUUAAACAUUUUUUAUAAUUAAUCUCGUCUUUAAAAAAUUAACACCUGAGAUAUAUUUCAACGAGUGCUUCAUAGGUUACACAAACCAAAAGGAAAAAAAAAAAAGGGAAAAAAGGGUUCUAUUCACCUUUUGUAGGCAACCAAUUCCCAAAUGGGCUAGUCUAGAGAACAACUCCGUUAAUUUGUUACGCAUCCUGAUUCUACACUUCAUUUUGGGCUCGGAAUCCAAUAUCUCCACUAUGGGCUUUCCUAGUUGUGAUCCAAUUCAACCACCGAACACUCCAUUCGUCGGAGAAAAGUUUCGUCUCCCCUUUCAUUUUCUUGAAGAAGAAGUUUUUCUCAUUUAUUCUCGUGAAAGGUCGGAGCUCGCAAGUCUCUUUACUCUCUCAGAACAGAUCCCUUUCUCUCUCACACACAACACACACGAUAGACACACACACAAUCUGGGGACGGUGAAUUGAUCGGAGAACAUUAUGGCGGCGCCGAUGGUAGAAGACAGCAACUUCGAAGACGACCAGCUCAACUCCAUGUCCACUGACGACAUUGUUAGGGCUUCUCGCCUUCUCGAUAACGAGAUUCGGAUCCUCAAGGUUUUUUUUUUUUUUGCAUAAAUUAUUAGUAAUAUGAUUUUGGACUUCGUUUGUUUGCUAUGAGAAGUUGAUUUUUUUGGGGAAAAUGAUAAAAUUAAAUUAUUGAUGUUGAUCGUGCAAUUUUGGUGAAAUUCAGGAAGAGUUGCAGAGGACGAAUCUAGAAUUGGAUUCCUUCAAGGAGAAGAUUAAGGAGAAUCAAGAGAAAAUUAAGCUCAAUAAGCAGCUUCCUUACUUGGUCGGCAAUAUAGUAGAGGUGAUUUUUAUUUUAGGGUUUUUUAGUUUCAAUGUUUCGUUUCUGACCUUUUAUGCUGUAAAUUUCACUUAUAAUUUUAGACCAAAAGGAAAGUUUUUUUUUUAAGGUUUUUGUGCAUGUUGAGAGAAACUUUGCGUAUAAGUUUAUUCGAUGAGCAUUUCCAUCGUUCAUGCUUUUGGCCAUGGUUUUUUCAUUUUGAACUUCUGAAACUUAUUGGGAUAAACAAAAUUAAAAGAGAACGCUAAUUGUAUGAAGGUUUCUGUGGUUCAGGAUGCUAAUUUGAUAAAAGAAAACCUAAACUUUAUCCAGAUUUCCCCUGAGACAUUCAGAGGAGAAAGAAGAUAGGAGAAGAAUUAAGUACCGCAUAAAAUUUACUGUGAGAUUUAUAACUAUUUUUCUGUAUCCAAAAUCUUUUAAUCGUCUUCUAUUAGCUUAAAGUUUUGGGUUGUUGGUGGAAUCAGCAUCAGCCUACACACCUAUUACUGGCGCUUUUGAUGUGGAGGGCCCUUUAAAUGUAUGCAUUAUUGCUUUUCUAGUUACUUCUUGCUUUUCUUUAACUUGAAACUUUUUGGCUUGAGCCUUGUUCUCUAUUUUUACCCCCCUCAGUGAAUGCAUUGGGUUUCAUUUGACUUGGAUGGGGAAAACAAAAUUAGGACCAUAAGUGAAUUUCGUUCUGGACUUUGUUGUGUUUCAAUUUCUCUGGCAGUUAUCUUCCAUUAUACUUUUGCUGGAGAGUCCAUGCUGAGGUUCUAGGUGAAGGAGCAGGUGUUUUUCAAAGGAUUUAUUUUUCAUCAUGUGAUUCCAUGUUCUCAUCAAAAGCCUCCUUUGGGGUCAGCAUAUCAUAUAAUGUAUGUUAUUUAUUUUUCUGGUGAUUGCUAUAUUAGCUAAUAUGAUUUUGCACUUUUCAGAUUUUGGAAAUGAACCCAGAGGAAGAGGCUGAGGAAGAUGGUGCAAAUAUUGACCUUGACUCUCAAAGGAAGGGCAAAUGCGUUGUAUUGAAAACUUCCACUCGCCAAGUAAGUUGCCUUAUAGAAAGCUUUAAUGAUUGUUUAUGAGCUCAAGCUUCUAGAAUCAUGUCCUAGUUCAUCAUAAAGUCCAUACAUUUUUUGGUUUUUCUAAACAUUUUGUAUUUUGAUUGUAGACAAUUUUCCUUCCUGUUGUUGGCCUUGUUGACCCUGAUAAAUUAAAGCCUGGGGAUUUGGUUGGAGUAAAUAAAGAUAGUUACUUGAUCUUGGACACACUACCGUCUGAGUAUGAUUCUCGAGUCAAGGCGAUGGAAGUUGAUGAAAAACCAACUGAAGAUUAUAAUGACAUUGGUGGUCUGGAGAAACAGGUAAAGUUCUUACUUUUUGGAAUGCUUUCUGUUGUGGCAUUCUUGGAUUUACUUAUUUAGUUGGCCAUGCUUAUGGAAUUGUGUUCGUUGUCAUAGAUCCAAGAACUUGUUGAAGCCAUUGUUUUGCCUAUGACCCACAAAGAGCGGUUUCAGAAGUUGGGGAUUCGUCCACCAAAAGGGGUCCUUUUGUACGGACCUCCUGGAACAGGGAAGACAUUAAUGGCUCGUGCAUGUGCCGCCCAAACAAAUGCUACUUUCCUUAAGCUGGCUGGACCCCAGCUUGUACAGGUGAUUAUGAUCACCAUAGAUAUCCUGGAUAAUUUGUCAAGUGGUCCUCUAAUUGUCAUUUUUGGUCUCUUCUAAGUCUGUUUAUUGGAACUUCCUGUGGCUUCUUCUGGGAUACUCUAUGGUGUAAUUUCUAAUGAAGCAUGUCACAUAUUCACUCGUUUGUCUGCUAGUAGGAGUUUAGGUCGGAUGCUCUGCUUGGAGUUUCUAGCAAAACUUAUCUUUUUGCUUUCAAACUUAGGAUACUCUUUCCAUUCAAUGUGCCUUUUUUUCAAAUUUUUUUUUUCGGUUAAUGAGCAUUAGCGAAUGCCAGAGAAUUAGUUACAAAUUUGACUUUUAAGGGGCAAAUAGAAGUCUCAUCUUUAUUUUUGAAGAAUUACUAGUGUUUUCACUAAUCAAAACAGAGGACUUAAUUGCUGCACCUUAUCAUGGAUUUUGGAGCACCAUAAGAAUUCAAUAAUUUGCAUAAUCUUUGAAUUUUAGGCCUUUUUGGAGGAAGUAUUCAGAUUUCUCUUUGGUGCUUUUGUUGCUAGAUGGUUUUAACUUUUCCCUUCUAUCCAUAUUCUUAAUAUGAGAUUUAAUUUAUUCUUAAAAGAGAGGGCUGUGGUUAGCUUAGUUUUCCAGGUGACAAAUGAUUCUGCAAUGUGGUGCAUGAGGGCUGUAAUUUGGUGUUCUUUAAUAAAGUUGACAGGCAAUUUGUAUAUAAUAUAACUAAAUAUACUUUGAUGCAGAUGUUCAUUGGAGAUGGAGCAAAGCUUGUCCGCGAUGCUUUCCAGCUUGCAAAGGAAAAAUCUCCUUGUAUAAUCUUUAUUGAUGAGAUUGAUGCCAUUGGUACAAAGCGUUUUGAUAGGUAAGCAAAUCGCUCGGGGUACUGCUUGAUUUUAUUCAGCCUGGGGUUUUUUGUGCUUAAUGGAUUCUCAUGGUUUAUAAGACGUGAUUUAUUAAAAAUUGGAAAGAAAAAAAGAGUAAAGCAUUGCAUAGCCCUAUACAGAUUGUAGCAGGUAUCCAUCCUUAUCUGAUCAAGUUAUGCUUUUGUUUUGCAGUGAAGUCAGUGGGGAUAGGGAGGUCCAGAGAACUAUGUUAGAACUGCUUAAUCAGCUUGAUGGUUUUAGCAGCGAUGAUCGGAUAAAGGUUUCUUUUUUUAUUUUUUUUCACACCCCUUUUCUUUGUUCUCGUUGUGUUGGCAUAUGAUUUUUUGCGGUUAACUUGGGAUAGGUUUCGACACACAGGCAGUAGAUGUUCUUCCUAGUAUAGUGCUAUUUUGGUGCUUUUGCAAUGAUAUUAGAUUUUAGUCAUUUAUGUUACUUUGAUACUUGUCCAAGCUCAACUAGUGGGCUUCUACGAAAUUAUGUCUAAUUUCUGACAGUUUUGUGCUGGUGUAUCUUGGUUAAAUUGUUCUUAUUUUUCUUUUGCUUUGGUAAAACAUCUGCAGGUGAUAGCGGCGACAAAUCGAGCUGACAUUCUAGACCCUGCCUUGAUGAGAUCAGGUCGACUUGAUCGCAAAAUCGAGUUCCCCCAUCCGUCUGAGGAGGCCAGGGCUCGGAUCUUGCAGGUACAUCUCUUAACUUAGAUUAUCCUUUUCUUACUGCUUAAUCAUCAUGCUUUAGUAUUGUCCAUACCUUUCUGGGGUUUACUUUUCAUUUUUAAUUAUUUUAUCUUGGUGUGGUGGUAUUGCAGAUACACUCCAGAAAGAUGAAUGUUCACCCUGAUGUGAACUUUGAGGAGCUGGCUCGUUCAACAGAUGAUUUCAAUGGGGCACAACUGAAAGCUGUCUGCGUAGAAGCAGGCAUGCUAGCACUGCGGCGCGAUGCCACUGAGGUCUGUCUCUCUCUCCGCAUUGUUUUUUUCUUAAUAUUUUUUUCCUGUUUCCGACUUCUUGGUUAGACACGACUUGUGAAAGGUAUUUGCACAUUUAGAUACCAAAAGCAGGGAUAGGGGUAGAAGAUGGGGAUUCAAAAUAGUCGUCUUUUUUAAAGAGUAUUUUGGGGAUUACGUAUGCUGCUGGGAUUAAUAUGAGAAAUUGGUUAAGAUGCUGCACAUGGAAGUUGGAAUGUUUUUUCAUGGAGGGGUUUUCAGACAUCUGAGCUCAUUUUUUAAAACAACUCUCUUCUUUUUCCAGGUGAACCAUGAAGACUUUAAUGAAGGUAUCAUCCAAGUUCAAGCAAAGAAGAAAGCCAGCUUAAAUUACUAUGCAUAGAGAUCAUGUGGGUUCAGUGAUUUCAAGCAUGUGGACGGCGAACGUAUGCUCACGUCAUAACUCCAUUUACUUGGCUGUGCUGUCAUUCUCGUACCCACACUCAUCUUUUUUUCCCCUGGGAAAAUCAAAAGAGAGAGAAAAGUGGAGGAAAGAAAGAGUGUUCUAAAACUAAAUCAGGAAAACAAGUUUCAGGCGGUAGAUCUUUUUCUUGUACCGACACUAAGCCGUACUGGUUGACAUUUUGAUUUGUAUGUAUUUGAAUGCACAAUGCAGUGGAGUAUUUGGGUCGCAGGUGUAACUUCUUCUUUGCUUGUCCCUCCAAGGUUUUAAAGCGGCUUUUAAUAUCAUUCUACGCCUACGUGAAAGCAUUACUGGAUUGGACUUUCUUUGGUUGUGAAUGUGCACUAUAGGAUGUUUUAGCAACUAGCGCGAAGACUAGUUGCCUUCAGGUGGUUUAGUUCCUCUUUUUAUCUUUUUCGUCAGUUUCAUGUGAUCAUGUAGAUGCAUUCUUUUCUAUAAUUACUGGCAAAAGAUAGGAAGCGGGUGCUACCAGCGUCGCACAGUUACUGUGAAAUUCAAAUUGCCGCUGGGAACGAAUGUGAGUAGGUGCUACCAGCGUCCGAUAGAUGUAGAAGAUCAUCAAGCUUAAAAGAGGACAUCAUGAAGCAGAAUUACGUGCCGUUAUUGUUGACGGUAUACUGGUUCUGCAUAAUCUGCUGUAAUGGGCAUGGCAACAACGGAAUGCUACUCUGAUUAGCAGCAGCAGCAGCUAGUGAAAUGUCAAGUUCCAUGUUGACUUGCAACAUUUACCAUGUUGCUGCUGUUUCUUGUGGCUUAAUUCCAAAGCAAGUCUUUAAGAAGUGAAAACUAAGAAAAAAGAGAGAGAAAGUUCUCUUCUUCAUAUUUCUGAACUACACAAUGUACAAAUAUAUAUAUAUAUAUAUAUACACAAGUGUAAUCUAUUUUAGAUUCUAAAAUCAUGCUAACCUAAAUCACUCUAUCGCCUAAUUUUAUAAUCAAAACAAAGCAAAUCUAAUCUUUUCUAAUAUUUAUAAUAGCAAAUCUUUCUAUAAUCACAUAUUUUCAACACUCCGCCUCAAGAUGGAGCAUAGAUGUUAAUCAUGCCCAUAUUGCCACAAAUAUAAUUAAUUCUCGGAUCAUUUAGAGAUUUAGUGAAAAUAUCAGCUAACUGCUUUCCAGUUCUCACAUGACUGGUUGAAAUCAAGUUUUGCUGAAUUUUUUCACGAACAAAAUGGCAAUCAAUUUCGAUAUGCUUUGUUCUCUCAUGAAAAACUGGAUUUGAUGCUAUAUGAAGGGCAGCUUGAUUGUCACACCAUAACUUCAUUGGAAGUGAAUUAUUGAUUCCCACCUCACACAAUAAUUGGUGUAUCCAUAUAAGCUCACAAGUGGAUUGUGCCAUAGACCGGUAUUCAGACUCUGCACUAGAGCGAGAUACUACAUUUUAUUUCUUACUUUUUCACGAUACCAAAUUACCUCCAACGAAAACACAAUAUCCAGUUGUAGAUCUUCGAUCAAUUUUAGAACCUGCCCAAUCCGCAUCUGAGAAGCAUUCAACAUGAGAAUGGCCAUGAUUACCAUAUAGUAUACCACAUCCCGGAGUUCCUUUAACAUAACAUAAGAUUUGCUCUAAAACUACCCAAUGGGUGGUUCUUGGUGAGAACAUAAAUUGACUCACAACACUAACUGGAUAUACAAUGUCACGACGAGUCACAGUAAGAUAAUUCAAUUUUUCGACUAACCUCCGGUACAUUUCAGGAUCUGAGAAUAACUCUCCAUCAUCUGCUAUAAGUUGCAUGUUGGGAAUUAUUGGUGCACUACAUGGCUUAGCACCAAAUUUUCCUGUUGCUUUCAAAAAAUCAAGGACAUACUUCCUUUAGCAUAAGAAGAUACCUUGUUUACACCUUAUAACCUCAAUACCUAAAAAGUAUUUCAAUAUACCCAAAUCUUUUAUUUGAAAGUGCGAUUAAAGAAAAUUUUUAAGGGCUGCCAUACCUGUAUUGUUACUACCAGUAAUAACAAUAUCAUCAACAUAAACCACUAUUAGGAUAAUACCAACUUCAGAUUGUUGAUAAAAGACAGAAUGAUCAGAAUUAUACUUCUUCAUGCCAAACUUUUGAACCACCUUACUGAAUCUCCCAAACCAAGCACGAGAACUCUGUUUUAAACCAUAUAAUGACUUCCGGAGUCUACAAACCUUACUAAACUCCCCCUAAGCAACAAAUUCAGGUGGUUGCUCCAUAUAAACUUUCUCUUGUAAAUCCCCAUGAAGGAAUGCAUUCUUAACUCGAAUCUAUAGAUAGAGAAGAUGGUGGAGGAUGUGAGUCUAUGUGUUGAGAACGACGAGAAUAUACUUGAGUGAUCGGUGGUCUGAUAGGAACAAUUGUUGUAACAGUAUAGACUAGAAUAUUAUCUUCCUCCUCCUGACUACUAUAGACAUUAGACUCAAAAAAAAUGGAUAUGUCUCAAAAAAUGUAAUAUCAGCAGAAACUAAAUAACGAUCUAAACUUGGAGAAUAACAUCUAUACCCUUUUUGAAAAUGUAAAUAACCCAAAAACACACACUUGAGAGAUUUGGGAUCUAAUUUAAACACUUGAAGACGGGUAUCACGAACAAAACAAGUACACCCAAAUAUACGUGGUUCAAUGGAGAAUAAAGAUUGGGUUGGAAACAAAAUUGAAUAAGGAAUCUCACUAGCAAGCACAGAAGAUGGCAUGCGAUUAAUUAAAAAAGCUGUUGAAACAGCAUCUGCCCAAAAUUGCUUAGGAACCUUCAUAUGAAAUAGAAGGGCUCUAACAACUUCUAAUAAGUGCCUAUUUUUCCUUUCAGCAAUACCAUUUUGUGGUAGUGAGUCAAAACAUGAAUAUUAGUGAAGGAUUUCAUUUUCUGACAUAUACGAAUUAAAGAGUUUAGAAAAGUAUUCUUUUGCAUUAUUACUUCACAAAAUAUGGACAGACACAUUGAAUUGUAUUUUUAUUUUAGUACAAAAGAAACAAAAGAUACUAAAUAAAUUUGAACGACUUCUCAUUAAAUAUAAUUAGAGCUGUUAAUCGAGUCGAGUAUUUGGCUGCCGAGCUCGACUCGAGUUUAAUUCGAGCCGAGCUCGACUCGAGCUCGUUAAGAAAACGAGCUUUAAAAUGUGUUCGAACUCGGCUCGUUAAAUGUACAUGUGGCUCGAGCUCGAGCUCGAGCUCGACUCGUUUAUCACAAACGAGUCGAGCUUCAUGAGCUCGAGCUCGAGCUCGUGCAAAUUAACAUUAAUAAAAACCUAUAAUUUUUAAUUCAUAUAAUUUUGAUUUCUAAAAUGACAAAUAUGCCCUUCAUUAACGAGCUCUAACGAGCUACUUGAGUAUCAAACGAGCCGAGCUUACUCGGCUCGUUAACUAAACGAGCAUGUUUCGAGCUCGAGCUCGACUCGUUAACCAAAAUUAACGAGCCGAGCUCGAGCCUUAACGAGCCGAGCUCUAACGAGCUUUCGAGCUACUUGAUUGGCUUAACAGCUCUAAAUAUAAUCAAAUAACACGAAAGUAGUCAUCAACAAAAGUGACAAAAUACUUAAAACCAAAUUUAGAUACUAUUGGACAAGGGUCCCAAAUAUCAGAGUGCACUAAUUCAAAAGGGGAUGUAACCCGUUUAUUGACUCUAGGCAAGUAAGGCAAACGAUGAUACUUGGCAGAUUGACAUGACUCACAAUCUAAAUGGGAUAAAUUCUGAAAACUUGGAUACAACUUUUUCAAGGUAGGUAGAGAUGGAUGACCCAAAUGACAGUAAAUUUCAAGAGAAGUCAAGGUAGAAAAACAUGCAACAGGUUUCGGCACUUUCGAUGAAGGGGGUUCAAGUAUAUACAGGUCGCCAUACUCACGUCAUUUACCAAUAAUCUUCCCCGUCAUAAGAUCCUGAAAAAUACAAUAUUCAGGAAAGAAUGAGACAGAACACUUGAGAGCUUUUGUAAUUUUACUGGCUAACAGUAAAUUAAAAGAAAAAUUAGAUAAUCAUAAGACUGAAUAUAAGGGGAUAGAUGAUAUAGAAAUUGCUAUACUAGAACCCAUAACUGAAGCACAUGACCCAUCAGUCAAAGUAACAUUUGGAUGAUCUUUGUUAGGAUUAAAAGAGGAGAAGAUACCUUUAUUUCCGGUCAUAUGAUCUGUUGCACCGGAAUCGAUGAUCCAUUUGUUAGAAAAUGACACAAGGCAUAUAGUAAGUUUACAUGAAUGAUCAAUAGAAGGAGGAAUGGUACUAGAAGAUGGGUUAGCAGAUUUUUGUGAGGCCUGGAACUUAGUAAAGCGGGCAAACUCAUCAGCAGAGAUGAGUAUGGAUUUGUUAGAAGGCACAUAAUUGUUUUCCUGGGUUGCGAAAUUUGCAAAUGGGGGCUGCUGUUGAGAUCUACCAUGAAGGUCCCAACACGUACGUAUGGUAUGGCCUGGUUUCUUACAGUGAUAACAGACUCAUUGAUUUGAGUUGUAUUGUCCAUGACCAACAACCCCACCAGUCCCAUUUUUGCCAUUGUUUCUAUCAUUAUUUCCUCGACCAACUCCAUUUCGACUCACGAGAGCGCCAGUAACAUUGGAAGUAGACAAAGAUUUCUCGGUUCUCAACACUCGUGUGAAAGUGUCAUGGAGGGAAACAAUCUCUGGGUUAGAGAGUUUGUGUUCGAGAAGCAUCAAACUCAACUGGUAAUCCUGCAAGAAAACUCAUUACAUCCAUUUGUUCCCGUUGAGACUGUUGAGUUUUUACAUCAGUACUAAAAGUAAGGAGAGAAUUCAAUUCCUUAUACACACGUUUAAAAUCCAUAAAAUAUUCUGUAAGGAAUCUCUGCUAUUUUUUCGGAUGGUAAAAUUCCUUGCAAACAUCAUAUGUAUGAUUUAAAUUACCCUUACCAGAAUACAAAAAGGCCAAAUAAUCCAUAAUAUUUUUAACAAACUCACAAUGAUUGAUGAGACUGACUAUCUCAUUAUCAAUAGAGUUUCGGAUCUGCAAAAAUAAUUUUGCAUCUUUCCUUAGCUAAACCUUCUUUUCUUCCCCAUCAACGGAUGGGUUAUCAGUGAAUUGAUCAUCUCUAUCAAUGCUGCACAGAUAUAUCCGAAUAGUUUUACUCCAAUCCAAAAAAAAAUUUCCACUCAGUUUGUGUUCAGUAAUCUUUGAUGUUGUAACAAUAACAUCAGAAAUUACUGUUUUCAUUUCUCUACUACUAACUUUCAUAUCUGCCAUUAUAAUUCACACAAAAAAAAUUUUAAAAGUUAUUCAAUAGGGUCACGUCAAAAAACAAAUUGAUAACAGAGUCUAAAGCUCUGAUACCAUGAAAACUAAAAAAAAAAGGAGGAAAAAUACUCUUCUUCAUAUUUUUGGAUUACACAAUAUACAAAUAUAUAUAUACACAAGUAUAACCUAAUUUAGAUCCUAAAAUCAUGCUAAUCUAAAUCAAUCUAUUGCUUAAUUAAUAUUUGAUGCUAUAAUCAAAACAAAUCUAAUCUAAUCUUUCCUAAUAUUUACAAUAGCAAAUCUUUCUAUAAUCACAUCUCUUCAACAGGAAGAAACGAAAUUGAGUGAUACAUGGUUUUUAUGGUUACUUAGCAUGGCACCUACUUCUGUUUCUUCUUGAUUGUCGAUCAAAUUACAGCGUCCCUGCCUGCUUUUAUUUGGUUGCGCAAUGGCUCUUUAUCGAGGUUUAGCAUUUUGCAGUUGCACCUUCGGUCUUGUUUAAAUGAAAGACCGAAUGCAUCCAACCAUGGAUGGAGGAACAAAAUUACACAACCACAGGCAGCUGGAUGGAGCACAAAUAUGCCCUGUAUGUAACUUACUUGGUAUCGAUUGUGCCUUUCCAGUCAAAACCUUAUAAGGUCCCUCCAAGAAUGACUAUGCUCCAUCAGGACGCACUUAAUCGCACCAAACAUCAGCUACUGUAAUAAAUAGACCUGAACCCUCCACCUUUUAGAAGAGCUAGAAUUUUACUGCCAGCUGAACAUGGUAUGAGGAAAAGUUUUGAUUUUGCAUACAGGGAACAAUCCCCAAGCUUGGUUUAUGCAGGAUGCUAAUCUGAGAAGGCAUCCACUUCAUGCAACUCACUGAACCAAAAAUAACAACUCAAAACUACACUGAUGCAAGUUGUUGGCAAAGUCAUUAGGAACUCCUAUUAUUCUCAAAAUCCUCUGUUAAAACAUAUAAGCAUGUAAGAAAAUGUAGCUAUCAAAAUUUAAAACGCCAAGGCAAGGCGUGUUCUACUGCCAAAUACUAGCACAACUUGAACGUAAUAAAGACCACUACACAAAACAGCUUCCUGAUUAUUGCACGCUUUAUUUCUAGCAUUUGACCUCCUUCAGCCCAGGUGCAAGGUAAAGAAAAGUUGGAUCGGUGGCACCUUCUUUGUAGUAUGCAAACACGAUUGAGCCAUCAUCAUGCAUGCUCUCACCAACAAAGCUGCAGAACACAUAAAACGAUCAAACAAUCAAUGAAUGUUUUCAUCCAAAACAACACAGCGGCAUUCAUCUAUAUACUGCUUCAAUUUCAAAUGUGGAAGUAGACAGAGAAUCCUGUUUCAUCAAAUAGGGUCGACACAGAGACAGGGAAAAGAUUGAGUGGACUUACAACUGAAGGUCGCUCAGCUUUGACAGGAGGUAUUUAGUUGCUCCUUCAAUGUUCUUUUUGAAAGCAUCCAGCUUCUCAGGCUCCAACUUUGGACUUAAAUUCUUGAUAUAUUUCUUGAUGUAUGCAACAAACUGCUUUUUGUCGAAAGCGGGUUGCUCCUACAAAGAGGCAAGAGUCUCUUCAUUGAAUAACAAGAAAGAAUAAAAGAGGAGGUCCAAUUUGGAGUAGUUUUGCAGCAAAAGUAUACCAACCUGAAGUCUGAAAGUAUCAACAAUAUCAACAACCUUGACAGCUUGGUCGUCAACUCCUUCAUCUUCUUCUCCACCUUCAGCAGAAGGAUUGGCCCCAAUAUUCACCUCCACAGCACCUUGAACGACCCACUGAUUGAACAUUCCAAUAAUUAAUGUCAAAUUUGACUUGUCACAAAUAAAUUUUUCAUGCUAAUAUGUGAAGCAUGGCCUAAAAUGUCUCUUUCCCUCCUGAUACAGAACAAUUCUACAAAACAAAAAAUAGUUGAAAUAAAAAAAAAAGGGACGAAAGCCUUUACCUUCCCUUCUACUUCCCACAGCAUUCCAUUCUCAAUUUCCUUAUAGGGGAAUGAGUCGGAUAGAAGCUCAUCGCCUGGAAAUAAUAAAAAAUUUCAUAGUAUUACUUUCUUGAAGCAAUAAAUAAAGACUAAAAGGAGGAGUUGAUGCAGUUGACAGCUAAAAAAGGACCAGUACCCGAGCACACAGGAAAGAGAUUGCCACAAAUCACAGCUUAAAAAAAGCUAUCCGUGAGAAAUAGUAUAAAGUUUCAAUCUUUAUAUUAGAAGGAAAACAUAAUUGCAAGAAACUCUGCAAGAAUGCUACGAUGAAUCUGGUAGCCACAGAAGCAAUUGCUAAGCUUAUGUAAAAGGUAUACCAAUUAGCCAUCUUUAAAUAUUUUUAGAUCCCAAUUAAUCAGUAUCAACAAACUUUUACUGACAAUUUGGCAAUUACUGGUUGUGUACACCAUACAACUCAACAUGCUCUGAGAUUAGAAGACUCCCCAGCAACACAGGCAGUGCACUUGUGCUUUCUUAAAUAAUAGUAGCAAUUAAUAAGUCAAUUGCUCCUAAAUUUAAAUUAAACAUGCUUGAUAUCAUUUUCCGACCAAGUUUCCCUUGAAGGGUUAGCUAGAAUUCCUUAGUUUUGUGCUCCUAAAAUAAUCUUCAGGGUAAACUCUAAUCAUUCUGGUAUCAACGAAGGACAGAAGUAAAGACUCUGCACCGAUGCUAUUCUCUUCCUUGAAUUGAAAUUCAUAACCGAAGAAACACGCAGGUAGAUCAGCCCCAACGUUAAACACAUAAUUGGUAUCCAAUUAUAGAAACCAAAUAAAUAACAAGUUUACAUCCAAUAAUACAAUCUAAAGGGUUUUUCUUCUUCUUUUCUUUUUCAUGGUUUUCACAUGUAUGAACUCAUGCGAGAAGACAACGAAAAAAAAAGUACAAAAGAAUUAAAUUAAACUCUUAAGCAAACAAAACAUAGGAACUGUUACAAGAAAAAGCAACUUUGGUUGUAUCAUGCAACAAAGUUUUCACACAGAAAAGGUUAAGAAAAGAAGUGUACCAGAAAGAAGAUCCUGGUAAACCAACAUGUUUGCAGACUUGAAGUUUCCUUGGUUGUCAGAUUUUUUUCUUUCUGCUGGCACUAUGGAAGACGUACUAUGCUAUAAUUGUACAGUAAGAGGUAACGAAAGAAAAGGUAGUCCUCCUAAUAAAGCCGGGUGGUGAGCUUUUAUAGUGGAGAAUUUGACGGUGUCCCUUCAGGAAUAGGAAAAUCCUAAUUAAUAAAACCACUUCAUAUUAGGAAUUACUUUAAAAUUUAAAUAAUCUUUUUAUUUGCUUUUAGGAAAAGAAAAUCCUAAUUUCAGAAACCUCCCCUAAGGUUUCUGACAAUUUUAUUGAGCUCCCUUGAGAUUUGAAAAUUUACACAUACCUCCCUUGCCAUUUAAAAUGAUAAUUUUACCCUUAAACAUUUUAAUGAAAUUCCCUUAUUUGGUAUGUUUAUAUUUAGAAUGAGUUUUAAAAUUAUUUUUUCAUUCUUUUUCCUUCUUAUUCCCUUUUUUUAAUUAUUUACCAAUAAAACUGUAGAACUAUUACCAUUGCUUGUAGUUUCUAUUAUACCCAAACAUAGGACUAGUGUUUUUUCGAAUGAAUUAAUUUUAUAUGUAAUUCAAUACUUUUGCUGAUUUUUGUUUUCUAUUUUUUGGUACUAAAAUUAACAAUAGAUAAAAAAAAAUGGCCCAAAAUCACUAUCAAAUUAUGAUAAUCCCACUACCCGAAAAAUUCAUAAACUCUAAAUAAAUUAUUUCAACAUUUUCUUUUCUAUCUUAUAAAUCUAAAUCUAUAAAAAGUGGCAUCAAAAGUACCCUAUCAUAAUGAAAAAAUAAUUAUUAUAGUUAUUUAUCAAAUAGCAGAUAUGGACAUGAAAAUUUUGACACCUUUUCCUUAUAAUUAUACUAGAUAAUCUUAUAAUUAUAUAGGAACAUAAAUUAAAACUCAUUACACAAGGGCAUUUUUGAGUAUUUAUUUAAAAAAUUGAUCAAGCCAAUAUUAUUUUAAAAUUUUGUUACUAAAACUGUCAAACUAAAGGAGGUAAGUAUAAUUUUUCAAACUUUAGGAGCUCAGUGAAGUUAUCAGAAACCACCUCACGGGAGGUUUCUGAAAUUAUCCCAAAGAAACUUGCAAAUUAAUGGGAUUUUGAGAAUUAGAUUCUCCUCCUCUUUUGACUGAUGGCCGACAUGGGCCUUUCUUCUCCGGCCGGUUGUUUUCUUGGCUAGUAGUGCAAUUUGUACACUUCUAUUCUACGUUACUACAAGUGGGAUGCAAGUGAUAUACAGUUGUGUAUGUAUGUUGUAUGUGUCUGCUGGGCGGUGCAUUGAAUUUGGAUUGCAAUCAUUUACUUCUGACUUUGGAUCAAACCCAAUAAAGAUAUUAUUAUCAAUUUCCGGAAAAAAAUAUUAUUUAAAAAAAAAACUGGUUCAAAAUGAAAAAACGAGAUAAUAAGUGAAACCAUAAAAAGGGAAGAGAAUCUCUGCUUUGAGUACGGUUACAUGGUAAAUCUUGCACUAUUAACUUGGUGGUAUUGUAGUAUUAUCAUAGGCUUGUGAAUUUUCUCAUUAGUUAGUUGAAAUAUCAAAUUUACCUUUUUGGUUAGAAUAAAUUGGUUUUAAAUUAGUUAAACUGAAGUGAUGAGAGUUGGAUAUUACUCACAGACACUUAAAGAAUGAUAACUUCAAUCUUGGAGUGAUCAUUUGUUGGGUAAACCCAUAAGUUUGGUUUACUAAGGGUAUCAUUUGUUGGGCUUAUUUCUUUCUAACUAUUUAGACACCAUCUUUGGAGUGAUUUUUUUGUUCCAAUUUGUAUGUGAUUGAUUGUUGAGCAAUGACUGUGUUUUAUUUUGAUGCGCUAAACUUUUGGUUUAAUAAAAGUUAAUUUAGAGAGUUUUUAAACCAUUUAGAUGCAUGUAAUUUGGGGUUGUUUGGCAAAUGAAUUUUGCCAAGUUUUUAUAAGUUUUUAAAUAAUUUUAACUACAUUAACAUUAAAAAACUCCUCAAAGUUUUUAAAAUACACAUCUCAAAAUACCAAAAACACACAAAAAAAAUUUUUUUUUCCUUCUUUCCUUUUUUCUUCUUCCUUCACCCACCACAGCCUUCGCCAUCAGCCAACACCAACUGGCACCUCUGUUGAUGUUAGCACCGGUUUUCUUUCUUUUUUUCUCUUUUCCCUUUUCUCCUUCCUUUUCCUUUCUCCCUCCCUCUCCUCCUCCUGUCCCCUCUUCGCUACCGCUCCUCCUCCUGUCCCCUCUUUUCUUCUCCCUAUCCCUUCCCCUUGUACAAUUUGGUCGCGUGACCAGAUCGCUAGUCAUAGUGAUUAGAUAUUUAGAUCACGUGGAAAUGGGAGGGGAAAUGUGGCAGAUGGAGGGGGAAGAGGUGGUGGAGGAGAGGGGAAGAGAAGAAGGGAGGGGAGAAGGUUGGGAGAGGAGGGAAAAAGAAGAAAAAGAGGGGGAGAGAGAACAAAAUAUAUUUAAAAAAAAACUCCAUCUGUUGUCAAUGCUGGACGUCGACAAAGGUUUUGGCGACCGGCGAUAGAGAGGGAGUAAGAUCAAUGGUGGGGUGAGGGAGAUGAAGAUAAGAGGAAAAAAAAGGAAAAAGAAAAAGAAAAAAAUUUACACACCCUAAAAAGUUUUGGAUUAAUGUUUCCUACACUGACAGCGUAUACACUGUCAAUAUUGAAUAAAUGACAAUUAUACAAAAUUUGAAUUUGAAAUUUAACUUUUGCACACAUGUCAUGAAUCCAACGAUGAUAAUGUAUACACUGUCAGUGUAUAUAAGAUUUACUUAAAAGUUUUUCUACAAUUUUUACUGUAAGCUACAAUAAAAUUUUAAACAAAUAUCCAAAAACCUCAAUCAACUACCUCUAGAGUAGUUGGUCACUAGGGAGAGGUUUAAAACUCUCCUUGAGUGUAAGUCAAUGAAUCAAAUCUCUUAGUUUGCAUUUUUCUUUAGGAUUUCUUGAAAAAAUUCAACAGCGAAAAAUCCAAAAAACUCAUUUGGUUUUCAUGAAGAAUUGACUAAUUCCACAAUGCACCCCCAAACUUGUACAUUUUUCCACUUUGCGCCCUAAAUUUUGAUUUUAGACAAUUUGCACUUUAAACUCUUAAUUUUGAAUAUUUUGCACCCCAAACUCUCAAGUUUGUCCAAUUUAAGUCUAAUCGAUGACUAUAUUUGCAAAAUUAAUGAGAUAAAGAGCGGUGAAAAUCAAUGACAAUAUACUAUUUUAUUCUAACAAUGAUCUCUUAACUUUUUUCACUAAUUUUAAUACAUUAUCAUUGAUUUAUGAAGUCCAAAUUAUUUAUAUUAUUAAUGAAAUUUAUGAGAUAAAAAAUGACACAAAUUAACAAUAAUAUAUUGUUUUAUUUUUGUUAUGAUACAUUAGCACCUUUUGAGAACUUUCAACAUAUUAUCAUCGAUUUGUUCGGUUCUCUAUAUUAUUUAUUUUACUAAAGUUAUUAUUGGUUGAAUUUAAAUAAAACAAAUUUAAGAGUUUAGGGUGCAAAAUAUUCAAAAUUAAAGUUUAGGAUGCAAAGUGAGAAAGUAUACAAUUUCAGGAGUGCAAAAUAUAAUUAGUCCUAAAGAAUUUGAUAGGGUUAAUUAUCACGUUUAACAAGUGACUUAUGGUGCGUCUAAAAACUGAAUUUGAAAUCGAAGUUUGAAUUUAUUAAAUCACUAAAUGGUUAAGUACUAAGGUUCCGUUUGAUAAAACUGAAUCUAAAUUCUAAAAUCUGAAUAUUAAAACAAUUAAUUUGCUGAAUUUUAAGCACUGAAAAGAAAUAUAUGAAUGUCUGAAUCUUAAUACUGAACCUAUUUAUACUGUUUGAUAAACAUUUAAAAUUGAAUGCUUAAUAAGCUAAAUUGUAUAUUUUUGCCCUUCUAUCUUUUCAUCCAAAAAAGAAAUAAAAUUUAUGAUUUAAUUAACUUAAAAUUGUUAGGUAUAAAACUGGCAAUAUUUAUUUUUAAAUCAAAUUAAUAUAAAAGAUGAGAUAUAUUAUGAAAAACAUUACAAUCCAAUAAUUCAUAUAACAUCUAAUAUUUUGAAUAGAAAAUUUAGAAUUAGAUAAGGAUUUUAAUUAGAUAAGAAUUUUAAAUAGAGAAUAUUAUGUUGUUUAAUUGGAUAAGGAUUUUAAAUAGAGGAUAUCAGGUUGUUUAAUUAAAUAAGAAUUUUGAAUGUAAUUAACAAACAAUGGUAGAUUUAAUAGAUAAGAUAAGGUCAUUGAAAUAAAUUUGUUGAAUUAAGUGUUCAGUUACGAUUCUUGUGUUGAAAAAAAUACACACAAAUUCAGAACCACUUAACAAGUUGAGCAAAUAAAUUUUUAUUUAUCAAACGUCCAUAACUUCUGAAUGUCUAAAAAAGUUCAGUUUCAACAAUCAUAUAUAUAUAUAUAUAUAAUAAAGUCGUAUCCUCAUAUUUAUCCCUUUGCAUUUUCUCUUUCCUACGUGGCUUAAUGAGACGGCAAGUAGUUUCCUACGUGGCUUGCUACUUUUUUGUUUGGAUGUAUAUCAAUUCUUAUUUCCUAUAAGAAUUCUUAAUAUUAUAUGAUUCUUAUUUCCUACCCAAAAAAGGAACUAAAAAGUAAUUCGAUAUAAAUAAAAGAGACAUAAAUCUUCUCUAUUAGAUAUAUAGGAAUAAAUCAUAAUAUAUAUUUUUUAUAGUGUCCUUUUUUUUAAUUUUUUUUACAGCUUCAUCAUACAUUUUUUUUAUUUUAAGAUAAUCUACCCAUAUAUAGAACAACGUACAAACAAUCUAGACAUGAAAAUUAAAGAAAGUUAGCCCAAGAAAUUUUUUACAAAACUUACAGUCCCUAUGCAUAAUUGAUGUACAAAGAGAAAUGGCACUUCAUCUGAUUGAAAAUUUCUGGAAAAGUCCAUAAAGAAAAUGUUAACCUUUUUAUCAUUUUAAUUGUUACAAUAUCUAGAUAAAUAUAACUUUUAGAAUAGGUGUAUUUAUACAGGUAUAUGUUAAAAGUCUUGGUAAGUGAUGCAACUGGUAGUGCUUGGUUUGGUAUUUUUGAUCAAGAGGCUGAAAGAAUAAUAGAACACAAACUUUCUUUUAUUUUUGACGAAUUUAACAAGGUAAACUUAUAUCUAAUUUUUAAUAAGGAUUAAUUUUUCCUACACUGAUAGUGUAUACACUAUCAACAUUGGAUGAAUGACAACGAUGCAAAAUUUGAAUUUGAAAUUCAAUUUUUGCACACAUGUCAUGAAUCCAACGAUGAUAGUGUAUAUACUGUCAGUGUAGGAAAUAUUUACUCUUUUAAUAAUAAUAGACAAUCCGACACUUAUUUUAGCCGUUGAAUAUUCUAACAAAAAAAAAAAUCUAUUAUGCAUUUCAUUUUCAGGAAGGGUUUAGCAGUGAAAUCGUAUCAUCAAUUAUAAAUAAGAUUACGUGGAAAUCUUUUGUGUUCCAAAUCAUCUUGAACAAUUACAAUCUGGAACAAGAUAAUAACAGAUUUACAGUGACUAGAUGGUUCCACUGUGAUUUCGGGAGGAAAACGCAUUUCAUGCUUUUACAGGUAAUGUGCAAUAAAUUUUUCUUAUAUUUCACAUAUUAUAUCUCAUAUAAUAUUUUUGUCUUUAAUUUUGAUAAAUCAUUAUCAGAUUGGUGGAACCGACAACCAAUACCAACCUGAAACAUUUUCUUCCCAUAUCCCAAUUAGUAUAACAGAUGAUUCUAAUCAACAACAUUUCAAUACACUUCAUAUGAAUCAUUCAUCAGAGGGUUCAAUAAAAAUCACAGAGGAAAGGAAUUCUCAUAAAAAGAUUUGCAUGAGAAAGUAGAUUUAAUAUACUAUUUUACUUUCUUAAAUUAUAAUCUUUACAUAUUGUUAUACAUAAUUUUGAAUGCGAUAAAUCAUUUUUUUCCAAUACUUAGUUAUCCUGCUUUGCUAUCAUGCAGCGAUAAUGGAAAAUUAAUAAAUGCUGAUUUGCACGGACAGAUCGAGGAGAAUGUUCAAACAAAAGAAAAACAAAAACAAAUUUAUGAAGAAUAGAAUAUUAUUUGACACUAUUCACUGCACUUUUUAUUUAUUUUCAAGUUUUUAAUAUUAUGGUAUUGUUAAAUGAUAUUUUUUCUAUUUUUGAAUUAUUAUUCACUGAAUUAGAUGUUCAAAUUUAUAUUAUAAGAAUACUUUGUAUUAUAAUGCGCACAUAAUAAUAUAUUUAAGAUAAGUUAUAAUAGAUUAUACAUUAAAUUUUUAUUUUAUAUCGACAUUUUUAUAAAAUUAACUAAAUAGUUUAUUAUUUUUCGAUGAUUCCCGUUCAACGAACGGGUACAAAACUAGUUUUUUAUAUUAUCAAACAAACUCCAAAUAUAAUAUAUAUGAGUGUAUAUCAUAUAAAGUGAUAAGUGAAUAGUUUAUCAUUUAUUUUUUUAAAAUAGUUUUAUUUAGAAAAUUUAGUUCAACUAGGUCAUGUUUGAUAACCCAAUUUAGUACUUAAAUUUAAUGGAUUCAGAUCUUAACAUGUUCAGACACACGUUUGGUAAUCAAAAAUUAAACAUCUGAAUUAAUUAAGUGACACUGAAUUUCCUAGGUAAAGCUUGCUCUAAAAAAUAAGUAAUAAGUUAUUCGCUUAUCACUGAAUGUGAUAUAUGUGACAGCCCCACCUCCCCCUAAGGCGAACCAAAGGGUUCGGCGGACCGCCUGCCUAACUCUCGCCGGGACUACGGAUCCGGAACGAGCGUAAACCCUACCAACCGCUCAAAAGAACUUCGAAAAGAUAACAUUCACUGUCCGAAACCCAAACAGGCACAACAACUUUAGAUAACCCUAGAAAAGAACAUUUCCAAACCAAAUCAACUUAGAAACAUGGUUAAACACUUUUUAUAUACACAUGGUUGCAAAUUUACAAUUCAAAAGGGAAUUGUUUGGUUAAAAUACAUUUAAGGUUUUCCAUACAUUGAGGAGCUACACAAAAGAAGAUUCAAACUAGCUCAACUCAUGUUUCAACAUAUCAGAGUCUCCAAAAUGUGGUUUCCUAUAAGGAAAACAAGGAUAACGGAAUGGAGUGAGUUAGAAGCUCAAUGAGGUACCAAAAUAAUCACAGUCAAGAACCAAGGAACUUCACGCUCAAUUAAUCACAUAGGUGUAUCAAAUAAGGAGAGGAACCAAACAACUUAGAUAAAAGGAUACAGAUGACUCUCAGGAGCCAAAUUUCCCGUUGCAGUACUUGAUCCGACUACGUUGACUCUCCGUCAACUUUCAAAUAAGGAAACCAGUCCAGUAGAACACCACUUUAUCGCCAAAUCCUGUUCACCAAUCACACCCCUUACCAGGCCCGAACUACAAAUAGAAACAGAAAUGGUAAUACUCGAGUAUACCGGAAUCAAGAGUCUCAAUACUCAAAGAUUCUAUAAAAACAGGCAUCCACAGAUUGUCAAUUUCCUCGACCAAGCCCUUGCAUGGCUCGAUUUAAUUAACUCCCCAUGAGGUUGAACUCAGGUUUAACAAGGAGGCCGUUGGACACAUUUCCAAACGACAUUAUAACAAGUGCAAGUAAUAGGCUCAAGUUCAUAACAAAUACAAGUAAUAGUUCUCAAUUGGUACAACACAGGCAAGAGAACGAGUGUGAUAAAGUACACCCUCGUUUCAAUCAAAUUAAACAGGAUUCAUAGUCAUUCAUGUCAUAAAUUUCAAGUACAGAUAACUCAAAUAGCAACAAUGCAAGGGAGUGGUACACUCACCAGUUCAAAUAAGGAUACUUCAAAAGUUUCCUUCCCAAGUGUGGCUUUAAUCGUCGGCACCUCCUAGAACAAUCAAGACAAGCACUUAAGACUCGACUCCAAGACCUAGUAUGGAAUUCGCAAUUGAGAUUCGGUUACGAGCCAUAUGCCUAGUCAAAAGAGCCAUUAAUGCAAAGCAAAGAGGUGACCUCGGAGUGAAAAGGUAACAAUUAAUUUUAAAGGCAUGAACAACCUCAAAACCCUACCUACAAUGACUGACCAACUCCAAAUGUGAAGUAGAAAAUGAAAGGAAAAUCAAUACUAGGAAAAUAGGAUUUUCCAGUUUCGCGCAACCCUAUAUGAAAAAUCAUAUCUCAAGUUUUGUAAGUCCAAAAUUAGUAAAAGUUAUACCGUUGGAAAAUACAUUCAAAAGGCUAUAACUUUUCAGAGAAUACCCUCAUAAGAUUCGGAACGCAAGUCAGUCAAAUUCAAGUCUCAAGUUGCUGCUUUAUCCAGUGAAAGACAGAACAGGUACCAUAUUUCAGUCAACUUUGAAAAAUCACCAGAAAUUGUACAGACAGAAACAGGGUCUGAAAUUUAUACGGUUUAUAGCCCUAUGAAUCUAGUUUAAAACGCAACAAACGGAACUUAAUCCCGACAUUUCUACAUCAAGAUAUAGCACAUUUUCCGAAACUGUGCAGAAGCUCCACAAAAAUUUUGACAGCAUUUCCCUUGUCUUUCUUUACUUUCCAUUCAAACCUCAACACCCACAAAUCACAAGCUAUCAAACACCUUAAAUUAGAGCCACAACAAGGCUCGAAUACGAGUCGAUUUCGAGUCAUAAACCGAAUCCACAUAUCACUAGAGUAAAAUAAUAUGGAACGUAUAAGUACAAAAUCAAACUAGAACAUAUGCGAAAACGAAGCUUGGGUUGGUAAACAAAAGGCAGAUUUGCUGUUGCUUAGCGGAAUUAACACAACUAAAGCUAUCCUUAUCGGAUUGAGGUGUAAUUUACACCGUUUUGAAGCUAAGAGAAAGGGUUACAAUGUUGAUGAAGAUCACUUAGUCCAAAUUCCAGUGUAACCUAGUCAAAUUCCCAAUUCUCAGAACCAAGUUCCAACUAAUCUGCUAAUUAACCGUACUAUAUUUAAAUGGCCAUAUCUCAGGCUACAAAAGUCUAUUUAAGGCGUUCUUAGAGGCGUUGAAAAGCUAAAACAAAGACCUACAACUUUCAUGAAGACCACUCAGUCUAGUUCUCACGUUAACUAGGUCAAAUUUACCAAAAUAAUUCCAGAUUUUCCAGUUCAAAAUUCACUGCGGAAAUCAACUAGCAGUCCUGCUUUAUUCACUCAUAUCUCAUCACACAUAACUCCAAUUCAGGUAAUUCCAAAGCCAUUUGAAAUCUAAGAUACAAGGCUAUAAUUCUUAAGAAGACAUCAUCAACCAAUUCGAUAACAUUCCUGGUCAAACUAACCAAUUACAUAAGCUGAUUAUCAGUUUCGGACAGAAACAGGGCAGCAGGGGUAUUUCGGUCUUUUCAUAGAUUACGUUGCUGCGAUUGAGCUGAAAAUUUACAGGCAGCUAGUUAACACCAUUUGCUACAACUUUCAUGUUUUAACCUAAGCCUGAUUCGGCAUCUAACAUGUUCAAAUAAAAUCGGACAGAAACAGGGUCAUUCAAAUCCCUAACCUGGAAUUUCCAUAAUACUACUUCCAACCAUGAAAUAUGCUCAUAAACUACCAAAACUACAACUUUAUACCACUAAUUAGCAAUUAAUUGAAGUAAAGAAGAGGUUCUUGGCAAAAUACCUUAUCUUCCUAUAAAAGAUGGUAGCUUAGACUUUGUCCUCCAAAAAUAACUCCACAAACACCUUGGAAACUACCUGAAAAGUAAGUUUUAUGGAGUAGUUUGGAAAUUAAUCGGUUGAAACUCAAGAUUUGGACAAGAAAUUGAAGUGGAAGAUGAAGAACUCUUUUGGUUUCUCUCUCACUAAUUUCAGCCAAAGGAGACAAGAAAAUGAAUGAAUUUUGGUCAAUUUUUGGUAUUUAUUUGGUAAAGGUGAUAAGAUGGUCUUAUGGUCAAAAUGUAAGAAUUAAUCAACAAGUGACACUUGUCACUUCAAUUAAUACAUGGUUAUCCUUUUGUCUCUCCACUCUCAUCCAUAUAAUAACCUCUAAUUAUCUCUUAGCACCUGGUAAAAUAAACCCGGUAUCCAAAACUUAAUCUAACUGGCCAAAUUUUUCCGAACUUUCCGCACUAGUGGGUCCCACGUCCGGUAUAUGCUCUUAAUUUCUCAAAAACCAACCGAUACUAGAAAAAUCAUCUAAAAACUAUAUUUAAUCAUAAAAAUUAUUUAGAAAAUUUUUCUAAUAAAGAAAAUGCAUAAAAGGCAUACAAUUAAAUAAAAUUAAGUCUAGAAAAUCAAAAAAUUUACGGGUUCUCACAAUAUAUACUCAAAUGUAUUAUAUUUAAUACUUAACAACUCAAUAAUUUAAUGGAUUCAAACUUUAAAUUUUAAAUUUCAGAUUUCAGUAUUAUUAAAUGUUCUCUAAAUUAAUUCAGAUGUUCUAUAUUUUAUUAUCAAACACAUCUAAAUAUGUUAAGAUUUAAACCCAUUAAUUUUACGUGCUUAAUUGGAUUACCAAACAAAACCUUACUUUGUCAACCCAAGUACCUAACCCAUGAGCAAGCAGGUUUAGUAGACUUAUCUAAGAAGUAAAGAGCUUUUCUUAAAGCUCUAGCAUCUAGUGGUUAUUAAAUAUCAUAAAUUUACUUAUCUAAGAAGUAAAAUAUCAUAAUUUUAUUAAAUCUGCACUAGCAUCUAGUGGUAUACAUAGAUACAGACAGAUGUUAAAUACAUAAGAAUGAAUGCUAGAAAUUAAUAAAAAAUAAAAAUUACACCUUGAAAUUUUAGAUACAUUCAAAGAUAAAACAGUAUAGGUCCGAGCCAUUUAUGUAUUUUUCAACCACCUACGCCACAUAUGCUAAUUAACUGCUUCAGACGCCGUUAUUAUGGUGAGAUCUAAUGAAAUAAACCUAAAAAAUCUCAUAUCUGAUAACUAAUCUGUAAAAAACUCAAAUCUAACAAAAGUAAUUAAAAACUAAAAACUCUCAUUAAAAAUCUCUCUGGGAUAGAAGAAAAUUUUCAUUAGAAAACUUUAAAAGAGAAGAAACUCUCACUAUAUAGCUUUAUGAGAGAAGAAACUCUUAUUAGAUAAUCUUAAGAGAUACUCACUACACAAAAAGGAAAGCAAAGAUAAUCAUGAAGGAGGAGACGAAUGGAGAUUGAUCACCCUCUACCAUUCUAUGAAGAGGAUUAGUUGCUAGAGGUAUCUAUCCUACAGUAUAUCUUUUAGAUUCAACAUCAACCAUGCUUCAACCUUGGAGAAUGAAGCUUUGCUUGCAAGGAAAAAUAAAUUUUUUUUUCUAAGGAGGAGGAUAAUUCAGAUUUAGGAGGAGUGAUGUUCAGCAGUUAUGAGCUUGGUAUGAGGGUUUGGUGCCAACUAGCUGCCAAUUGACAUCCUUAAUUCUAUGAAUUUAACCAACUACAAUGCAUCACCAUCAUCAACCACUAGAGUCCAACAAGAAUGAAACUUGUUAAUGGUAGCUAUAUGUCUUGUCGUUCUGGGCUGCCCCCCAGCAGAUCAUUACUUUUUCAUCUGGGCUGCCUCCCAGCAGGGCUCAUCAUUGAUGUUUGGUACACCUAUUUCACAAUGCGGCAAAAGCCAAAAUCCAUAACAAGGCAGUGUAAAUUUUUAUUUGAAAUUUUAGAUAUUCAUUUCAAUUUUCAAAUCAACUUUCUAUAGACUGAUUAUCAUCAUUAAAUGCAUGAUAAGUAAUUCAAAUUUAAAUUCAAAAUUCAAAUUUUAUAUACAUGUCACGCAUUUAACCAUGAUAAUAUAUCCGCUUUCAGUAUAUAAGUUUUAACUCAUUCAUUAAUGUGGCUACAACAAAGAUCUAAAUAUUCGGUAUAGUGAUAUGUUCUACUUAACCCUAUAUCUAUGAAAUAUUUUAUUCUCGAACAGUGAAAAUAUAUAUAUAUAUAUAUAUAUAUUGACCAGAACCAUGAUUAUCAUCCAUUCUGUUGCAGAUUAACCUAGAUUUUUCUAUUGUUACUCAUAUAACAUUCUUGUUUCGAAAUUUUGUCAUGUAAAACACACUCUUUAAAGUUGGACUCAAUUAACUCAAUAUGAAUUGAACUUGAUUAAUUCAAUAUGAGUUGAUUUCAAAUAAUAAUUAAGAGAAAAAAAAACCUUGUCACAGGUAAUAGGUGACUAGUAGAAACUCAACCUUAAUUAAACAACCUUUACAUGUUUUUACAUUAGCAGAUAUAUAUUAUAUUACAUAAUAUGAAUUCAAAUUUGAAAUUCAAAUCACGCAUACAUAUUAUAAAUUCAUAGUUGUUAAUAUAAAAAAAAUCACAAUAUUGCCAGUGAUUAAAAGUUAAUCUAAUAUUUACCAAUUGAGACUAUGAAGAGGCAUAUGGUCCACAGCUGCAGGUGUUAAAAGAUUUGAAAGUAUGGCACCCUUUACAUGUACCUCAUAUGUGGCAAACAAUGGACAAUGAUGAAUAUGAGAAUGUGAUUAGAUUGUAAGGUUUAUAAUGACAAAAGUAGAUGACACUUUUUUCUGUGUGGCAGGAGAAGACAUAAAAGGAGAGAAUAUUCGAAGGUUGGAGCCAUACAUAUUCGUUGGCUCGGAGCAUAAUUUGACGAAAAGCAAAGAAUUCCCUACUAUGACGCAAUAGGUAUUGAAUCUCUUGGAGUAGGUUUUUCUUUCAAGGAAGUCAAACUAAAGCACCGGCCGACCCAGCCAUGCUUUUAUAUUUUUAAUUUGAGAAAAUCGUUCAAAACACUUUUUAUUAUGUGAUGUAUGUGAGAUAAUAAGUUGAUUGAAAAUAUAAAAAGGUGAGUUGAAAAUGUGUUUAUGAUGCAAGCGAAAUAUUAUUUGAAAUAAUAUGUGUAUCCAAACAAACCCAUUUGUUCUUUAUUUUUUAAAGAGUAACUUCUACGUUUCUUAUAAAAUUAAGUCGAUAAAAUUCAGAUUCAACUUUUAUUUUCAAUCACUUUUUAUCCUGAAUCUAUCACGUAACCAUAUAUGGUCAGUUUUUUGAGGUAAAAAAGUUGUAGUAUUUCAAUUUAGAAUUAAUCUUUCCUAUACUGAUAACGUUGGAUGAAUGAUAACUAUGUAAAACUUAAAUUUAAAAUUCAAUUUUUGCACAUAUGUCAUGGAUCUAACGGUGAUAAUGUAUACACUGUCAGUGGUUAUAAAAUUUACUUUUUCAUUAAUAGAUUAAAAAAAAUGGCUCGAUUCAUUUUUAUUUCUAUAUUUAAAAAAAUAAGAUAUGACUGGAAUUACAUUCUUUUUUUUUUAAGUGAAUUUGACCCGAUUCAUAUUCAUUUUUAAAGUACGAUGCAGAUAGGUGGUUUUGAAUCUCAAGAGUAGAUUUUCCUUUCAAGGAAGUCAAACUAAAACACCCAGCCCACCAAGCCUGGCUGUUCUAUUUUUAAUUUCCCGAGGGAUACUUUGUACUUCGUCUUGUUUUUGCUCUUCACGCAGAGCAUAUGAUUUAUGACCAAUAUUUCCAGCUCCAACCAAAUUCUUGCUAGUCGAAAUGAGUUAGUGUUCAAAAUUAAUAUUUUAGGACAAAUUCCACUUUGAACCCUUGAACUUAUAUCACCUUUUACUUUGCACUCUAAACUUCAAUUUUGAAUACUUUACACCAUAAACUCUUGAUUUUAAACAUUUUGCGUCAUAAACUCUCAAGCUUAUCGUAUUUAAGUCCAAUCAAUGAUAACUUUAGUAAAAUUAACAACAUAGAGGACCCAACAAAUCAAAUACUGAUGUGUCAAAAGCAAUCGAAAAAUGCCAAAGUAUCACAACAAAAAUAAAACAAUACAUUUUGUCAUUCAUUUAUACUAUCUUUUUAUCUUGUUAAUUUUACUAAUAAUAUUAGUAAUUGAGACCUUAUAAAUCAAUGACAUUGUACUAAAAGUGGUCAAAAAGUUAAAAAAUUGUAGUUAAAAUAAAACGGUACAUUGUCACUAAUUUUCACCGUUCUUUAUCUCAUUAAUUUUGAGAAUGUAGUCAUUGAUUGGACUUAAUUAAAUUGGACAAAAUUAAAAGUUUAGAGUGUAAAAUGUUCAAAAUUAAGAGUUUAGGGUGCAAAGUAUCCAAAAUUGAAGUCCGGAAAAGUAAUAUAAAUUCAGGGAUGAAAGUAGAAUUAAUCCAUUAUUACGUUGCUACAAAGAGGCCUGGCUAUGGAGACAUCUUCAUCCACAGUUCUAUUCAGUUCAGAGACAUAAAUAUUACUCUGGUCAUCUCACCAUAGAUAUCUAUCCAGGAAUAUGAUAAAGCUGAUUUUAUCAAUAUAUAUAUAUAUAUAUAUAUAUGAUAAAGCUGGUUAUGCAUUAAAAGUUUAGAUAAACGGUCAAACCAACUUCAACCAACUUGGCCUGCAAGUUGUUAAUGAAGGAAUUUAAAGUAGAAAAUGACAAGAGCUGGCAAGGAUUUGGACCAAAUGCACAUCCCAUUUCCCAAAGGACGAGAUAAAGGUUUUAGGGUCUGUUUGGUUGGAAGUAAAAUAUUUUCCUUGGAAAAAUAUUUUCCGUGGAAGUAAUUUUCCAUGAAAAUCAUUUCCCUUUCAUCAUUUUCAGGUGUUUGGUUAGCUUAUUGAAAAUAUUUUCUUACUUCAUUUUUCUGGUGCUUGUUUAACUUUUGAAAUAUUUUCACUUUUAUCUCUAUCUUUACUUUCUACACAUUAUAACUACAUACUUCUUCCCAUGCAAAAUAAGAAAAUUUAUCUCAUUGUUUAACUUUAAAAAAUCUUAGAGAAAUGUAUAUAUGAAUAAAAAAUAUCUCCUUAAGCAAUAAACAAAUUGCUGGUCAUUUAAUGUCAAAUAUCAAUCACAUGCAAUGCUUAUUGUGACAUAUAUCUUGCACUCUCACUGCUGAAAGUUUCUCUAGAAAAGAAAGUCCCUAUUAUACAUAAUUAAUUACUAGCAUAGGAUGAGCAAGAUAGGGUUUUUUUUAAUUUUGAAUAUACUAGGGGGAGGGUUGGGUUGGGUGGUACGGGGGAGGGAGUGUAAGGAAGAGGUCUUGGAUUCGAGUCAUCCUGUUUACACUAAAAAAAAAAAAGGAACAUACUACAAGAUGUUUUCAGUAAGUUUGGAACAUACUACAGGUGGGAUGCAUGUAUUUCGGAAAACAACUUCAAUAAGUUUGGAAGUAAGAUGAGUGAAAAUAUUUUACAUAGGAAAAUGUUUUCAGUAACUUUUGUGCAACCAAACACAGGAAAUUAGGAAAAUAUUUUCCUGGAAAAUAUUUUCACCCGAAACAAACGGACCCUUAAUGAGCCUAGUUUUCUACUCCAAUAUUGGUGAAAGAAAAUUUGAUUUUGAACUAUGUCAAGAUAAUCUACGAAGGUCGCUGUGUCUAAUCAUGGAAUCAUGAAACGUCCACUAUUUUAAUUAGAUACAAGAAAGACAAGUGACAAAUAUCUGAAUCGACAACUAGUCCAGAGGAGAAUCCAACGAGCAAAAGAUUUGGUGCGCCUCUUGCUUUUGUCUCUGAAUUACGAGGAUUGACACAUUGACAAACAAUUUUCUUGGUUGGCCUAAUUAUGAGUAUUUGGCAUUUUACUUACAAGCAUUUUUGGUCCUUCAUUUUCUCCUUCACCUUCUAAAAUAAUUAACCUGCAUGGUAUGGAUAGCUCGGCCACUUCGGCCGAUAUUGAGCCUUCGUAGAGACUUGUCUUGGCAUAGCUUACUUAUAUGGGGUCAUCAGAAGCUUCAGCCCACCCCCUCAUACUCGUAUUAAUCGAUGAUUGAUAUGAUUGAUGUGACAGUCAAUCACCUUAUUAUUCAAUUUUACUACUGACACUGCCAGCUAUCGCGUCUUAUCCUAUCGUACGAGAUCAGAUUACCUGUAGACUUCAUCAUUUUGCUUUCUAAGUCAUCUGGUAUAAAUAUUGAUUCUUUACCCACUCAAAAGGUAUGUGCUCUAACUCACCCAAUAUAACUCCCAACAAUUACUGACUUAAAUAUCAAAAUGACUCCACGGGUAUUAACUAGCAUGGUAAAAUUUUAAAGGGUAUUGAGUAAUUGCGGUAGAGCUUGAGUAAAUACGGAAUUAUGACUUUGAGCUUCUUUAAAAAGGAAAAGUAUUAUGUGUGUAUGGAUACAAUUAAUAGUCAAUCACGUAGUACGCCUUUGACCGCGUGUGUUGGUUAGGACAACAUAUUAUGUGCACGUGUUCAGGUGCAUUUGACACGUGCGUCAAUGGCUUCGACGCAUUGACUGGCCCUUGAUAACGUCAACAAAAUACAAAUCUAAUUUUCUGACAAGAGUUCUUUUUUUUUUUCUUUCUUUCUUUUCAAAAAAAAAAAGUUAUUUUUUUCCCCCUCCUUUUAUGCAAUUCUCUAAAAAUCGUUAGUUGGAUGAGUACUUCAAAAUGUGCAUUUUUUUGUUUUUACCUAGUGUUGUCUAAAAUCUAAAUUACGUGAAGUUCAUAGAAGUAAUAAACAAAUUGUGCGAAUUUACUGUUCUUUAACAGAAUUUGAUAUUUUUUAAGUACAAAUAAUAUCCUUGAAAGUCCAAUUUGGCUCAACAACUUAAAAGGCCAGUAUUGUUUGCAUUUUUCAUAAAUCUAACCCUUGUUAUAUUUUUUCAAAGGAAACAUUAGCUAUUUUUUUUUUUUAGUAUAAGUGGGAUGGUUCGAAUUUAAAAUCUGUCAUUUACACUCCCUUCCACCGAACCAUCCAACCUGUUUUUCUCCAUAUUAACUGUUAUUUGAAUUGACAUAUGUAAAAAAUAUUUAAUUUUUUUCUACAUUGACAGUAUAUGCAAUAGUAAGUACAAAUGUUUAAUAACUAAUUACAAUUUGAAUUUAAACUUGAAAUUUUAUAUAUGUGAUAUGCAAACACCCCGCUAGUACGUAAAGUUUGCUCGUAUACACAUAUACGACAGAUUAAACCUUUAAACAAUGUCUCGAAGAUUCAUCCUUUAAACCUUGUCUCUCAUAUACAUUAAUCACCUGGAUCUACGAAUGCCACUCGUUAAAUGCGUGUAUUAUUUCUAGGUAAAUUGCAGCCUUCAUCCUAGGUUUAAGGCCUUUAUCCGACGUCUUUAACUUUCAACUCCUACAACUUAAUUAUAUGUAAAAGUUCAUUAUUAAAAAAAAUUAUAUGUAAAAGUUUCAUCCUACUCAUUUUUCACGUAGAUUAUUACAUUUAUGAGUUACGUCUCAUACGACUGUUUUUGCCAAUUGCCCGUUAAAAUUCUAUGCUAGCAUUCCACUUUCGCCAAAUCGAUAAUAAAUGUUUUGUGGUGAAUUUACAAAUUAAACAAAAUUAGUAAAAAAGAUCUGUUAUAUCAAAGUUUAUAAUACAGUAAUAUGCAGGACACGUAAUAUAUGCAUGUGAGAGUUUUCCUAAAUGGGAAUCUUAUAUGGUAAUAUUCAGAUCUUAAACAAUAAAAUAAGACGAUUAUUUUACUGAUUUUGUUCUACCAUUAUCUUUUCUUAAUAUCAUACUAGCUGGCAAUUAUUUGUUUUUUGACUAUAUAAUGCCGUGUGAUACCGUUAUUAGAAGUACAAGUCACUCGAAUCAAACUUGAAUAGUGCAUCUUCAGUAGGGCUGCAAACGAGUAGAGUCGAGUUGAACUUCAGUCUAAUCGAGCCGAGUCUUAACUUAAUUUUAUCGAGCUCGAAUUCAAACUCAAAUUCAACGAGCUGCCAAUUUAAAAUUCGAACUCGAAAAAAUAAAAAAUAAUUAUUUUUUAAAAAAUAUAAUGUAAUAUUUUUUCUUAAUAAAUAAUAAAAUAUUAAGGAUAUAUAUGUAAUUUUAUUAUUAAAAUAAAAAAAUAUAUAUAUACUCGAGCUCGCGACGAACUUAAUAUUUUUGAACUUGAGUUCGAUUUGGCCAUCUCGAUCUCGAGUCGAGUUUUGACUCGACCCACUCGCAAACGGUUCAAUUCAUUUGCAGCCCUAAUCUUGAGUUCGAUUGUGGUUGAUUCUAGCUAAAAUACUGGAGUUCGAGUUUAAUUUGGUUUUAGCUUACUCGAACUACGUUUUGAGCUUGAUUGUAUUUUAGCUGAACUUAAGUGAUAUAAAUCAAUAUUUUUAUAUUAUUCUAAACAAUGGAUAUGAUAGAUGUUUCACACUAAACAAUAUAAAAAUUUACAAUAUAUAAUUAUAAUUGAAGAUCGAUUGAACUUGAUUAAGGUCUACAGGCUUUCAAGUAUCAAAUAUAAGGCUUAAACUCGAGCUUGUCAAGCAAUUCGAAUUGGUUGAAGUUAGCUCGAAUCGGCCAAUGUGAACUUUGACCGAAUAAACUCGUUAAUAGUUUGAUUAAACUUGGCUCAUUUGCACCACGAACCAUAACACAUACUUAUUUAGAAAGUAGCCUUUGAAAAUAUCUAAGCUUUAAAGCUAUGUUUGCAUUGAAAGAUUUGAUAAAAGAUUUGAAAUUCUCUUAAAUAGGUCGUGUGGAUGACUCAAGAGGUAUCUAAAUUUGUAAUCUAUCAACUUUAGGCAUUGUUUAUUUUGAGUAAAUGGGAGGGAAAGGAAAGGAAAUAAAGGGACAAGAUUUUUAUUGUUUGGAUUAGUCUAUGAGGAAGGAAAGAAAGGUUUAGAAAGGAAAGGGAGGGAUAAAAUUUAGUUAUUUUUUUUAGUCAAUUUUCUGUCCAAAAGUGGGUGGAAAUGAAGGGAAAGGACAUCAAGAUUAAUGAAAUUUUUGAAAUUUUCUAAAAACAUAUCAGGUGUUUACAAACUAGACUUUUUAAAUUAUGGAUAAAAAUGUAAUUAAUUCAUAAUAGUUUCCUUUCCUUCCGUAAUUCAAAUAAGACAAAUGAGCUCAAGUUUUCUCUACUCUACUUUCUUUUCUUUUUUAGUAGAAUCCUCUCUUUUCCUCGCCUUGCCAUUCCUUCAAUCCAAACGACGCCUUUGUUUAUAAAUAAUUGGUAGAUUAUAAACAAAAAUACCUCGCAAAAUAUCCAAGCAACUCGAGGAAUCCGAGAGAUUUUCAAAUCAUUCAAUCCAAAUGCAAAUCAAAGUUGUUUUUUUUUUUUUCUAAUAUUUGGCGAGAGCAUAGAAAGAAAGAAGUAUUGGAAAUGGAAAAUAGGAUAAAAAGAAAUCUGGGAACCUUCACUGUAAGAUGAGUGAUCAAGUUCCCUAAAUGCAAGAGAUUUUCUAUUUCAAAAAUAUAUUUUUCAAGGCGACUCAAUAGACAAUCUUUAAUGCAUCUAAUAUAUAUCUAAUUUAUUUUAUUAUAAGUGUAUACAUUUAUCUUCAUCAUUUUUAUUACUACAUUUUACACGUCUUCAAACCCUUCUGACGCGUGUCCUUUAUAUUUCUUGUCAAACAGGCUCAUAUAUUCAGUCUCAAUCUAACAAUCACGUGUUUCAUUUCCCUUUUUUCUGGUAAAGUAUCGAAACACAUGAGAUGUAGUUAAUCUGAGCAUGUGCACUUAUAUGCUAAAAGUUUGGCGUAAUUUAGAUAUAUUAAUGUUAAAAAAAAAAUCUAUUUUUUCUACUAUAAGAUUAUGCAAACACGUUGUAUUAAGAUUAAUACUCGCCUAAAUGUGAUGUGCUCCAACCACAAAUGUAUUACAAGGGAUAAUUUUAAAAACCUCCCUUGAGGUUUCUGAAAAGUUCACCAAAUGCUUUUGAAAUUUUAAAUAUUAUACUUACUUUCUUUGACCCUAUAAGAUGAUCAUAAUAACCUUAAUAUAUUAAUAUUUUGCAUGCAAUCAAACAAUUCGCUCAUAAUCUCGUGCAUAUGAAUGCAUCACACAAUUAGUCAUUUAAUGGAAACAAAAACAAGAUUCUCUCGUGAAAUAACUAAUUAUGUCCUAAAUACAAUUUUAACACAAUACAAAUUAAUUUUGACUUUGCUCGGGGGAAUCUAAAGAUGAAUAGAAGAGGAUGUAAGGUGAAGGAAAAAGAAUGGCGCUAGUGGUGGUACUCCAACAUUUAAGGAAUAUGAUGUUAUUAGUGAAAUUUUUGAGUUUAACAGCGUUGAUUUUUUUUUUUUUUUAACUUAGAUUGAGGUUUAAAAAUUUAGGGAUUAAUAGUGGUGGUGGUCACGGUGACAAUGGUAUUAAUUUAAGAUGUGGGAGUAUGAAAGAUUUAAAAUAGUAGAGAUAAGAGUCGAAAAUUUAUUUGAGAUUUUGUGCAUGUUCCAUAUUUUUUAAAGAAUUGCAUAAGAAGGUAAAACGAAUUUUAUAAUUUCAUGAUGGCAUUUUGGAUUUUUGACUAUUAAAUAGUUUUUGUCACCAAAAUGAUAAACACAAGAAAGGUAUGUAUAAUUUUUAAAACUUAAAAAGAACUAAGUGAAAUUGUCAUAAACUUCAAGGGAGGUUUCUGAAAUUAUCAGAUUAAUACAAUAGCAGUGGGAGUUCCCAACUUACCAUCAGUAGUCCAUCACAUACGGCGGUUUGGUUUGGUUUGGUUUGGUUUGGUCCCACCCCUGCUUUCUGCUUCUGUCUGCAUAGUUACCAAAUCCAACGGCCCCAAAACAGGCGGUGUCCCUGACUCCUUGCUGACGCCAAAAAUUACAGUACUACCACUACUACCCAAUUGCCCCCAUCCCCGAAAAAAAAAAAAAAAGAGAGAGCGAGAAAACACGUUUCCCCCAACCAAUCCUCCCCUCACAUGUUUUUUCUUCUUCACAUCGUAAAAGCUCUCGUCUUCCCGUCUUUUCCCCUAUCCAUCUCUCUCUUACAAGCUAUCUUUAUCUAUAUCUAUAUCUACACCGACAUAUCCAUAAGCAAUCGGCUCUGAAUUUUGACUUUAAUUUUGGGGGAAAGAAGGAAAGGAAGAAAGAUCAAGGAAAAGGCCCAAAUAGAUAAAAAGGGAUUAGACUUGGAGAUUGAAUGCUUGCUCUGUUUUUUUUUGGGGGGUUCUGUUUGAGGGAAUUGAGGGGAUUGCUGGGAUUUGGUUAAUUUGGGUGAAUUGUUAAUUUAAUUGGAGGAAUCGAGGUGGGAUAAUUUAGGGUUUUGGUGGUGGUUGAUUAAUUUAAUUUAAUUUAAUUUGAUUGGAGAUGGGAUUGGACGGUGGGGAUAUUCUAGAUGACGGCGAUGGAGUUGGAGGAGGAGGAGGAGGAGAGGGAGAAGGGGAAGCAUUGGUCACCGUUCCGUGUUCGAUUUGUUUGGAUGCUGUGACUGAUAAUGGGGAUAGAUCUUGGGCUAAGCUUCAAUGCGGUCACCAAUUCCACCUCGGUGAGUUAUGAUUUUUUUUUUUCAUUAGCUUUGUUCUCACGGUUUUAGUUAUUUUGAUUGUAUACUUUCCCUUGUAAUUAUUGAGAUCUGAUUCUUUAAUUUUAGAUAACUGCAAAAUGAUCGAGAAAGAGUGGUCAGUUGAGUUUAAUUUACUAAGUUGGGGCGGAUUGAAGUUUGUAUUUUUGUGGUUUUGGAUUAUUCCAAUUUGAUCGGUUUUUGCUAUUUUAUUUCUCAAUUUUUGCUGAAUUAUGUGGUUGAUGAGGUGGGCAAGUGUGUUUAUACAUGCAUGAAAGCUGUAGAAGUAUUUACUAGUAUUAUUUGUUUUGAAAAUAAUGUUGAAAUGACGAUCUAAUAGUGGCAGGGAAGGGUUAUAGUGAGUUGGGUUGAUUAAAGUUUGACCUUUAGGAUUUGGCUACUUCCACCACUACAGGUUGUUAGUGUUUUCCACAACAUCUAGAUAAAUUGUGGCUUGAUCGUUUGUAAAAGCUUAAUUUUCUUGGGUUUUGGUCAAGUCAUGGUUUGUUGGUUGCAGCACUGGUGUUUGGGGAAAAUGCGUUUGAGAAAAGAUGAUAAUUUUUGUGUGUGUGUGUUUUUUUAUGGAUGUGGGCGGAUUUAUUUUAAGAACUUCCCAAGAGAUUGUAUUGAUUUAUCUCUCAAGUGUAAUUAUAUUGGAAUAGAAAUGAUGGCUUUGGAUUCACUCAAAUAGAUAUACCGUCACAUUUGCACAACUUUCAGUUUCUUUUAACUGCAAAUUAGUCUAAGCUCAUUAAUACAAGGCAUUAGUACUUUCUCUUAGCUGUAAAAUCUGAUAAAAAUGAAGCAGAAGGACAACCUUACAUCUGAUUCUUUUGCUUCCCUUGAGUGUAUUGAACAGUGAGCUGAUAUUUUGUAACCUGUAUUGGAUAAUUCAGUAGGUGCACCUCAUUUCUUGAAUUUUGGAGCAAUCAAUUGAUCUUGCUAGACUUUGUGUUUCUGUUGUGCUCAAUUGAUGGAUUACCGCUUUCCCUUGGACUUAAGAGCCUGAGGUUAUUACUUCCCAGUUGACUUUGUGAAAGAAGGGCUAAGUAUUUAGAUUCCAAUCUUGGUAAAGGCAAGAAGGAUUGCAUUAGUCAAAUGCUCAUAAAAAAUGAUGGCACAUUUUAAGACUAGGAGAGAGUUAUCCAUCAUUCAUACCAAAAAAAGUAUUUGAUAUAUGGGAAUGAUUGCUGGCCAUUAUUUUUCAAGAAUGGAAAAAAGACCCUUUAAGUUUGAAAGUUAUUAAAUGCCAUCUGCUUGCCCAUUCGUUCUUUGCUCCUUGUAUUGUUCCUUUUAAGAGCUGAAGAUAUCAUAUAAUUUCCCAAGGAUUUAGCUCGUUACUAUUUAUAAUCAUAUUGCAUUUUUCUCGAGUCCUGAUGAUUGUGUGAAGGUUUCUUUAUAUUUAGGUCUGAAUUUUUAGUAAGAAUUUUGACAGUGUUCUGGUGUACUAAAAGAUUGACUUUCUUUGCAAUCUGGUACUAACGAAGAAAAGAAAUGGUUUGAAGGUUUCCUUGGGUUUAGGUCUGAAUUUUUAGUGAGAAUUUUGACAGUGUUCCGGUGUACUAAAAGAUGACUUUCUUUGCAAUCUGCUAGUAAUGAAGAAAAGAAAUGGUUUGAAGACUGAGAUUUGUGUGGCAACUUUUGGAAUCAAAACCGCUGGCUGGACAUUUGUAAUCUAAGUAGUUAGUAGCCAACAGCCAGAAGCCUUAUAUACUAUUGCACAAUGUUCAUACACCUAAUAUGGGCUCAAAUUCUGGGGUAACAGCACCUGUUGAUCACAUGACAUGGCAUGCCUGUCUUUCACCAUGCCAUAUUGCAUGUGGCUGCUCUGCAGGUGUAACUAUCCAGUUGUCUAAACUAACAAUCAUCUGAGUCUGAACCAUUGCCCAGCACCCAAUUCUUAUGUACUUGUAUAUAAUAAACUUAUAGUACCCUGUUUGAUUCUUAUUGAGGGUCAUAUUAUGCGCUAGAUUCUUCAAUUUGAUUCAGUUGACACCUUUUAAAAAAGAUUCUGUAGUGAAUAUUAGUAUCCGAUAAAAUUCUGGAUAACAUGAUGUGACAAAAAUGCUAAAUUUGAUAUGACCUUUUGAUCUUCUUUGUCCUUUUCUGAGAUUUCUGCUUUCUUUACGCAAUAGGCUUAUGUUUUGGCUGUGAUUGCUCUCUAUGGCUAAAACUAUUGCUUUAUGCUUCAUGAACUCUGAUUUUCUAUUUGGGAAUGUCACUACAUAAAAGCAAAUCAUCUAAAAAGGAACAGUAUUGUACAAUUCAGAAAUUUGGUCCCAUUUCACCAGAAAAUAUAUAGUCAACUCAAUAUAUGUUCCCUUUUGCCAUUAAUAUUGCCGCUUCGAUUGUGGUUCAGGAUGCUGGGGCUUUUUUCAGCCUAUUCAGAAUUUGUCAUUUGUGAAGUGGAAUAUGAUAGACAUAUAAUAUGGGAAUGUUGAAUUUUGCUGGCUAACAGUCGAUUCUAUUGACCUAUUGCUUCGGUUUUAUUAGGGAAUAUUUGCGUUGGAUGAAUUUUUUAAGUACAAUGCCAGGGAUGGGAAAUUGUGAUAGACUAUUGUCCUUGCUGAGGUAUUAUUGAGGGAUAAAGAUUUAAUGAUUUCCUUUUUUUUUUUAAGAAGUAGAAAAGAUAUGUAUUAGUAGGUCCUCUAAUGACUUGAGGAACUUAUGUGGUUUUAACUACAACUUUUAAGGAUGUUUGAACAAGUUGGUACAGGAGUUCAUAAAGAAAGGAAGCAAAAAAAAUUGAAGUGCAAGGAGAGUUUUCAACCUUUGUUUUAUUGUGCUGAAUACUGAGUUGAGGAGGCAUAUAUAUAUAUAUAUAUAUAUAUAUAUUUUCAAAGCUGUAUGGCCUCUUGAAACUCCUGAUGUUAUGUCCUCUUUUUGAGGACACCUGCUUGGGAGGCAAUGUUAGGAGUUGGUAAUCUAGGGGAUACGAGGAUAGGCUUAGCCCAUAUUAGGAAAGAAGCUGGCAGGUUGUAUAAAUUGAGCACCUGUUUGUUAUGGUAGCAAUCUUUUCAGAAUUUGUAGAGGUUCAUGGAUAUCAAUAUUAAAGUUGACAGCGUGCUUCCUCUCCCUUUCCCUUUCCAUGUCAUGUGGUGCAUUUUGAAGGAGAGUGGUCGGUGGUCAUCUGAUACUUCAUACAGUAUUAAUAUUUUUCACCUGCACAAUAUUCUUCAUAACCUUCUUGAGUCCUAAAGAAAUCAAUCAAUCAGAAAGCAGUUGAAAAGGGGUGAGCCUAUCUCCCAACCUAUCUCCCAACCAGCAGAUGAGAGUGCCCUUUUUAUGUCUUUAUGUUCUACUGUGCCCCUAUCCAUUUUAGGAUGACAAAUGAAGAAUUACUUCAGAUGGGUUAGCAUGUGCUACUUCUGUGACUGGAUAUGAAAUCAAAACUUUCAUUGAAUUAACAGUUUGUUAUUGCUUCUGGUUCAUCGAAUCUUCAGUUUGAUUAUUGAAACUAUUAUGAUCUUGAAUGGUAGGUUGUGCUGUCAUAUAUUUUUGCCAAGGAUGUUCCUGUCUUGCAUUGAUUUCCUACUAGUCAUUAUGGAACAUAUUAAGCAUAAGAGGCUUGAAUUUUGGCCAAUGUAAUCAGCAAAAUUAAUGUCUUUAAUGAAUUCUAUGGGAGCCAUCUUUUUCUGUGCUCAAACAAACUUCACUGUGAUUUGACGAUGACUGACUGUUCCCAUUUCUCCUAUGGGUAUGUCUCUCGUUCUCAUGCAGAUUGCAUUGGUUCUGCGUUUAAUGCUAAGGGUGCAAUGCAGUGUCCCAAUUGUCGAAAGAUUGAGAAAGGCCAGUGGCUGUAUGCAACUGGCUGUCGACAGCUACCUGAGUUCAACAUGGAUGAAUUUGCUCAUGAUGAAGAUCUUUAUGACCUUAGCUACUCUGAAAUGGUAAUAUAUCUUGUUGAUCCUCUGUUAAGAGUUUUUCUAUGUUUUGGCUUCUGUGGUUUUCUAUUUUUCUCAUGUUCUAUGACUAUGGUAGCUUGCUGAUGGUCUGUGAUUGGAAAAGAGUGUCACAUUGACACACGCACAAGCAUAUAUAAAUAGCUUUGAGUUUGUAGAAAGAAGUGUUGUGCUGUCUGAGUUUGCUGACCUGAUGUAUUGCCACUUUGAUUUUCCUACUGGCUCUAGUUUGGCUGCUAGUAAUUACGUGUUAAAUGUCAAGAUGGAACAAGAACGAAAUCACAUUAUGAAGAAUGUAAGUGGACCAUUAAUAAUCUUGGCCAUCUUCUUCAUUGAGAAUCUGCAUCUGGAGUUUGUGCUAAUAAUCUAUAUGCAGUUUGUUCCCCAGCAUCUGUUAAAAAAAGAAAAUAGAAAGAAUAAAAAAACUGACUGCAAGCUAUGGACGUUUCAUACGAUCUUUUGUAUUCUGUUCCUUCUCUCUCAUGUUGGUUGUCGCUAUACAUAAGAUUAGUGAAGAGCUUUCCUUAUUAAAGGUUGUGUGCUGAAGGAGUAUUUUAGCUAAUGAAAAGAAGUAUCACCAAAUUAGUAUAUUUUUACUUGUACAUUGUCAAUUGUUAUUGUUUUUCUGAGCUAGAAGUGUCUUAGGCUCUAGGAAUUAAGUUCACACUUUUCUGUAAUGAAUGUGGCUCAGGGUUCUGGGCAAGAACUGGUUGUUUAAUCUGUUGGUUGUAAGUUUGAGAAGACAACACUGAGUAUAGCUGUGGACCACAUACACAGUCAUUAUGGAAGGAGAUGCAUCUACAUGUUUACACAUGUUAAAGGACUUCAGGUUUCAUUUUAUUGAUAACUGCCAACUAUAGAGAAGUUACUUGAUCUAUCAGCACACGAGUUAACUGCAUUCCUGCAAUUGCUCGAAGAUAGAAACUGGAAUUGUUUGUACAUUUCUUUCAUGUCCCAAAUAUCAGUUCCUUAAACUUUUUUCUUGAUUAGCGUGUGAUGUUUUGAAGUAUGAACCAAUAUGCUUAAGUAUAAUCUACACACACUUAUGCUCUUCAGGUUUGGAUAAUCAUUUAGUAUGCAGCAAUGGUAUAUCUUGCUAUGAAAUUGGUUUCAUAUGGUGGCUAUGUUACUGCACUUGAUUGUGUUACUUUUUACUGGUAACUGAAGCUAUGAGUUAUGGUGUGCAUUUUGUCUUGUGUUUUUUCCCGGAUCUGCUGCACCUCUUUCAGAAUGUGGACUACUAUACUUGUAAAAACAUGUUUUAGAAUUCAGCUUGUGGAAUAAUGUGCUCAUACUUUUGUUUUUAACCACGUAUGUAAAUUAUUAGAGUAGAGAAUACUUCUUGUUCUAUGUUUUCAAUAUUUAUGACAACUCAAGUUUCUUACAUAUUAGCAGUUUUUGCAGUCUAUUGGAGUUCAUUGGUGUCCAUUUAGCGGAUUGACUCGGCUACCUUCAUCUUUUGAGUGAGUACAACCACAAUAUACUUUCUAAAUGAAUUUGACUUUCGUUUCAUGAUGCAUUCUUUUGUGAACUUUUGAAUGCUACAGCAAAUCUCUCAGUUUUCGAUGUUUUUGAAUUCUCACCUUGAGGUGGGUUUGGUUUCUGCAACUGAAUAUCACAUCCAAGAAGCCAUUUGUGUUUCAUUAGUUGUUACCUCUGAGAAGGGGCUGAGCUAGAAUGUGAUUCAGUGGGGGCAAACUUAACAUGUGAAAUUCUACUACUAACGGUAUCAAAAGAUAUAUGUUUAACUAACAAUGUAAUCAAUACAUGCCAAAAGUUAUGUACAUAGUCAAUUCAAAAUUGAGCAAAAAAAAAAAAAAGUAUCUCUCAAAUGUCAAGUUCCUAAUAAAGGAGUUUUCUUCUCUUCUAAUAAAUUUUCUCUAGAUUUCUUGUUAAGAUGAAAAAAAAAAAGAAUGAGCACUUAGGAAGCUCCACUGCGUAAGUGAAAAACUUUUCAAAUGGGUUUGUCUGCUGGAGCACGUUGGAAAAGACUGAGAAAGAGAAUAAAUGGAAAAUUGAGUCUCUCUCUCUCUCUGUUUAGACAAGGUGUUAUUUAUUAUUAUUAUUUUUUAAUUUUUAAGUGUGUUGACUUAUUUGGAUGUAGGGACAUAAAAAGUGUGAAACACCAAUAAACUAUUUUUGAAGGACAGUGGGGCAAUUUCCUUUAAGUGUGGGUUAAACCUAUAACUUUUUACCUAUAUAUCGAGAUUUUUUACCUAUAUAUAAUUGCCCCUCUACUUUACCUGCAUCUCUGUCUCUAAUCCAAAAAAAAUUGCUCUUCCAUACAGCUGUGUUUUGCUUUGUUUUUUCCCACUAAACUCUUCUAAACAAAAGAUAUUCAAAUGUGAUAGCCAGGGCUCGCAGUAAAGAAAGUAUUAAGGACCAUGUGGUGGAGCACAACUGUGGUGUUCUUACAUCAUUGAAUGAUUUCUACUAUCCAUUGGGGGGAAAAUACUGAAAAGGAUUUUUUUUAAGUGGAUGAUAUCAUGAGUUUUUUGGUGUGGUGGGAUUUGAGAUCCUGAAUUUAUAAUUCCCAGCAGUGAGCUGCAUUUUUUACUAAAGUACUCUCGUCUGUUUUUGUUCAAAUAUGUGUUUAAUAAUGUAUUGAGAAUUUAGAACUACUACUUGUUGCAGAGUAGAUUUAAAGUAUAGGAUCAGUCUGCCUCCCACCCCAAUCAUCUAUUCUCUCUCCUCUUGUUAUUUGUGUAGAGCAUUAUAUGCUCCUAGAAUAGUAGGAACACACAGAAAGUCAUUUGGAGAAAGUUUAAUCAUUGUAGUGCCAAGCUUUAAAGCUGAAAGGCAUAUAUUUUAUUCAAGCUAAGAGAAACACAAAAAUAGGGGAGAAGCUCCUAUCUUGUUCAGUCACCAGAUCCAAGAGCUUGACUCUUUGAUAUAGAAAAUGAAGCGUUCGUGGAUUAAAGAAUUUAAGCUUCAUAAUUUUUGAUGCAUGUUGCCUGUAAAUGCCAAUAGGAAGAGAAGAAAUUGGAUAUGUUUUCUGCAUAAGGAGAAGUUCAAGGUCAUCCAGUCCAUUUCUACUUUGUGACUACUUAAAUAGAGUUCUAAAUCCAUUCGAGUAAGGAAACCCACUCGGUUUUCAGUUAGAUGGGAAGGGAUAUACGAGGUCCAGUGGUAGCCUAACACACAGCACUGCAGAAAGCUUUUAAGGCGUGCCAAAAUUUUGGUGUUUGGUUUAGUGCGGGAAUUGCUAGUUUUUGCACAUAUACUUGUCUAAGUGGCUUAUGGAGACUCUGGUGCUCUGGUUUUCUGGAUGAGAUGUAAAUUUAAAGUUCCUAGAUUUCCUAUUCAACAUUGUAUUGAUUAUUUUUGUUAAAAAUACAAGAAUUGUUCACAUUAACAAGGUUUGUUGUCUUCAAGCUUUGAUCCAUUAGUUAUUGCCUUUUUUGAAAAAGGUCUGUUUCAGUAUAAUUGGCCAUUGUGGAGGUGAGGGAAUGGUUAAGUACUGCAAUCCAAGGUGACAGGCCAACCUGGUCGGCCCUUGAUACCUUGAACUGAAGAUUUUAGGUUGGAAGUUUUGGUUUGAGAACUUGGUGAAGGUUGACCAUUCGUUAUCAACAUUAGAAUGGGCUGUACUGAUUAUUUUUCUGUAACCCUUGCUCAACCACUAGCAAGUCACUAUUCUGUUAAUGUACUUGUACUGGAUGUUUCAUGUUUAUUUAUGGCAUUUUGUUUUUUUGAUUAAGGCGACAAUUGAUGUCACAUUAAGGUUGUCUUGCUUUGAUUUGGUCAUGGUGUUGUCACAUUGCAUUUUGAAGUUUAGAGUUACUUUUGUUUCUUUCUCAUUUACAGUGUUUUGACAUGUUAUCUUUUUACACUUUGCAGAGAAGGAGAAUACUCAUCUACUGCAUGUAAGGUCUUUUCUUCUGACUUAAAGCUGCAAGUCUUGUGAAGCUUGGUAAUUGAUAGGGCAUUUCCUAUUUUGCAGAUCAUGAAAUUUUUGGACAACAUGCUAUCCUUGCUGAGCAUACAGCUAUAUCAUCUGCGAGUCAUCCAUGCCCAUAUAUUGCCUACUUUGGACCAGUCCAUCCCUCAUCAUCAAAUUCAAAUGCUAGCGUUUCCGAUGGUUCUAAUUUUAAUAAUCAUUGGAAUGGUGCAUCUGUACCAAAUGAGAUACCUGCAUCUUAUGCUUUCCCUGGCAUGGAUGUUCAUUAUCACAGUUGGGAUCACCAUUCCUCCCCUUUCCCUACCACAAGCAGUCGCAUUGGUGGUGCUGAUCAACCCUCAAUCCCAUCCGCGGCUCAAAGAGCAGCUAGAACGAAUUCUGAUGUUCCGAGAUCGGGAUCCUUUGUGCAUCCUUUCAUUGUUGGUCACAGGUUGGUAUUUGUUCAUCAGUAAUCCGAUAUGCAUUUACUGGAUUAGGCGUCACAACUUCUUUUGUAAGUGGUGUUGUACUAGAAUAUGCAUGUAUCCUGUAACUGGGCCAAAGCCCUCAAAAAGUACACAUGUCAUUGCCAGAUCAAAGUCCCUAGUCUCCCAAAGGGAGGAAUAGAUUGAAUUAAUGAAUAGGAUUGAGUUCUAUUGUUCAGAAGGAAAACAUCAUCUUAGACACUUUUAUUUUAUAUUGAACGAACAAAGUUGAUUUUAGGUAGUCCAUCUCAGAAAGUUUCUCACCAGCCAGUUUAACUAUAGGCAAUAUCACUAUCAGCAGCAGGCCUUUGCUAUUUUUCCUGUGCGAUUGUUUUGUUGUUUUUGUUUCCUUUUUUUAACAUUAUGAUAUUCUGAAUAAGGACACAGUUCUGCUGCCAGAGCUGGGAGCUCAGUUGUCUCAUCAAUGAUUCCACCUUACCCUGGCAGUGUAGCUCGGGCCCGAGACCGUGUUCAAGCUCUUCAGGCAUAUUUUCAGCAACCAAGCAAUACACCAUCAAUACGCAAUCCAGUGAUGUCUGGAUCACGGAGAUCAAGUGCUCAUAGGAGUGUGGCACAAGUUGGUCCAGUUGCUUCAUCGUCUGACCAGACUGGUGCUUUUUAUUUCAUCCCUUCAAGUUCAUCUGGAAGAACCUAUCAAGAAGCAGAAAAUUCCCUGCCCAAUCGCUUCCAUGGUUGGGACCGAGAACACUUGCCUUCGUUUCCCUCGAGUCAGAUUGAUAGAGACCCGGGUUGGGGACCAUUCCAUCAAGCAGCUGGUGGGGCUGAUGGUAGUCUCAGGACUAACAGCUUUCGUCAGAGGCAUGGACCUGAGAGGAUGCCAUCACAAAAUCGGUCAUAGACUGCUUAUUAUGUCGUGAUGAAACGUUAUGAUAACUAUGACUGAAACACAAUUUAUAUAUAAUGUUUGAGAAACAAUGAACAACAGUUGUAGCCUGUCAAGAUUGGCAGACGAAAAGCUGUUAGAUGGCCUUAAAAGUUUGGUGGCCAAGUGAUUGUGUGAUGGAUUUUGG